AUUGGAUAUGGUGUCUGUUGUCAUACUAAUGAAGGUCAUUACAGGAAUUGGCCUUUCCUUGGUUGACAUGCCUUGAAUAAUGCAACUAGGUUUGUGGGAUUGGAUAAUGUAUGUUUACUGCAUAUUAUUGGCUUUGCAAACCUGAGUUCUAUGGUGCGAGUCAUGUAAACAUUUUAGAUUCGAUAUGGUGUCUAUUGUCGUACUAAUGAAGGUCAGAGUAAGUACAGGAUUGGCCUUUCCUCGUGUGACGUGCCUUGAAUAAUGCAACUUGGUUUGCUGGAUUGUUAGGGUUGUUGCUUGUAUGUUUACUGUGUAUUAUUGGCUUUGCAAACCUGAGAUCUGUAAUGGGAGUCAUGUAGAAUAUUUUGAUGUUUGUAAUGGAUGGUUGUUCCUAAAAUCUCUUGUAAUCUCAUGAGAGGCAAAAUUUACUUGUGUUUGGUUGGUUGGCAGAGCUGAUAUGCUUCUGAUUCAACAAAGCAGGAUUCCACCUUCUGCAAAAAAUGCAGGUUUUUGAACUCAAAUCAGAUAGGAUUCAUGUAUCAUGCGAAACUUUGAUCAGGGCAUUCUGAUUUUCAUUCCAAACGGCAGUUCUCAUGCUACGGAGGGAGUUCAAGUGUAUACUGUAGUAUACUAACUGGAAGGCAUGCUGCUUAGUAGCCUCUGUAUUGGGAAAACUUGCCAAUAGUUUGCCAAGGCUUAAGGGGUCAGAAUCAGAGAAAAAGGCCGAAAGUUUGAUCCAUCUCUUUUCAGGUGACAGCAUGGGGAGACGAGUAGCUAUGUAGCACCGAACCAUGACAAACUUCCAAUUAAUUGCGGAUAAUCUGGACAAUUAACUAAAGUAAUUUUGCAUCGGCUGAUGAUGAGAUGCAGUAGUUCAACAAAUGAACUAAUAGGCUUUCACCUAAUUUAAGAUGGAAAUCGAUUGAAGAUACCGGAAGGUAUCUAAGCUGUUUGUCUGUAAGAUGGCAAACGAUGAACUAAAGUUUGAGAGGGGAAAGUAAAUUGUUGUGUUUGUUGAAGGAUGUUGUCUUGAUGUGGUACUUGGCAAAAUAAGGCGGAAAACGCUUCGCAACACAUAUUCUAUUAACAAAAACAAACUUAGUACCAAAUACCAAUUGAUUGAAAAGGUUAAACAAAUGUGCAACAUAUGAGAGCUUAAACAAACUAACAAGAAGAGUUUAAGCAUAAUAGAAGAGUUUCGUCAGAGGAAACAAACUAACAAAAACUUGAAAUUAUUUUAUGAAAAAUUGUAGUAACAUUUAAUAAAUGUGCUUUUUAGUUUUAACAAAAUAGUUAGAUCAAAGAUAAAUACAGUAGUAUGUAUGAUGGAUGGGCACGUUGGAGAAGGCGGCACGGCAGAAGGGCAUUUACUUUUACGGGGAAGCAAAAAAGUUAGUGCUAGUCUGGUUCCUUCUAAUUCUGCAGUCUCAUAAACGAAAGCGAAGACGCACCUCCACAAAACUCUCGUCCAAGCCUUGUGUAGGCCAUUGCGCUAGGAGCAAUUUGGAUUUCGAGGUAACGCCCACUGCCCUUCGUUCCAAAUUUAUCCCUCAUUAUAAUCCGACAUUCGCAUCAAUAUAUUCACCUGGACCUGGAGGUAAGCCAUGCCUGCUUAUGGUCAUUGUAACUGUCUCUACUUGUUUGAUAAAAUGCCCAAGAGAAGUACUCGAGUAAAGUUAGUUAAGAAUGAUCGUGUGAGGUCAAAAAGAGAAAGGGGAUUGUGACGUAAAUGAUCAUGUUGUAAUUUGUUUCACUGUGAACUAUGCUUCUCUUAUUAGUCGUUGCCUGGGAAUAAUUUCUUUCUUUCUUUCUUUUCCUCUCCUAGCUGUAAGUCUGUGCCACGCUGGGUGUCUCUUCCGAAGAAUUACUUGUUGCUCUGGUUGCUUGCUUGUUUAGUUAGGGAAUAUAUGUUUUAGGAGAACUAGGAAAGGAAAAGAUUUUUUUUUUUUUUUUGGCUCUGUGUUUGGAUUAAGCAGCUUGAGAGUUUUUCAUUUUUUUCUAGCACAUCUCAAACGUAUCCAUUCAUAAUUUCGUGAGCCUAAGUUUAUAUCUUUCUGAAUCCUGUUUUUGAUCGUAAAUUGCUGGUAAUUUUGCCUAAUUUGGAUUGUAUUAGGAGAAGAUGAAAAAAGGAAUUCAUCCACAGCGUCAAUGGAUUUCCUACGUAACCCAGAGCGGGCGAUUGAUCAACGUUAUGAUGACAAAAAUACACCAAGUUGGUAAAGUCUAUCACAUAAGGGGUAGACAGGAGAGGACCGAAGGCAUUGGCCAGAUUGCAAAAUUUAAGCGUCGUUAUGAACAACAGAAGGUAGAGGAAACAGAAGAGAAGUAAAUCCUUUCACUUGCAGAGCAAUGAUACAUUUCUAUGUUUUCCCUGAACCAAAUAUGGAAUGCCUUGUUUUCAUUUGUCAUUACACUAUCGUGCAUGGUAGCACAUAUGCUUCAUCAUUUCUUUUCCAUAAUUGACAACUUUUAAUGAUUUCUUAUGGACAUUGAUGGGUAAUAUUUCACAGAAUGGAUACCAAGGGCUUCAGUAUCUGCUGGUUGUCCUUUCAUCUUCUUUGCAAUUGUUAUUGUUUUCUUUUGGAUCUUAACGGUGUUCUCUGCCAAGUUGAAUUAAGGAUAUAUGACAAAUGUACCUUUGAUUAUGCAAGGUGUUAGAUUCUAUUUCCUUUCUUUUAUUCUUGUCAUUUCUUGCUGCAGCCUGCAAGUUUCUAGGCUUAUGCUUCUUUAGGCAAACAACAACCACUUGUCUUAGCAUUGAAUCUUAUUCUUUCUACUUGUUUAGUUUUGAGAUCGCUCAUUUUCUUCAUUGUUCAUUUAUGAUUAGUUUUGCAAACAUAAGUUUAUCAUGUUAGAGGUCCUUAAUCUUCACAUGAUAAUCUGAAGGACGAAGUUUUUCCUCCAGACUAUCUAUUCCACCUAGCUGAGUGCUAGUACGAUAUAUACUAUAGAAACUGAUAACCAUUAGUUCAACCAGUUUGGGUACCUUGUUUUUCCCCCUUUUUGAUGGUCUGUGUUGUUGUGCUAAUGAAGCUCAGUUGCCCUUUCCUUGUGUGAUAUGGCUUAAAUAACGCAACCAGGUCUUUGCUGGGUUUUUAUGGCUGUCACUUGUCUGUUUACUGUGUAUUAUUGGCUUUGCAAAACAUGAGCUCUGAAUUGCGAGUCAUUUAGAAUGCUUUUGAUGUUGUAAUAGUUGUUCGUUUAGAGACUUCGUAAAAUCUCUCAUAUUUUCCUUAAGAGGCAGAAUUAAUUUAUUGGGCAGAGAUGAUCUGCGUCUGAUUCGACAAAAGCCGGUUUGCCACCGUUUGCUAAAUGGCCAGCUUUUGAACUCAAAUGGGAAGGGGCGUAUGCAUUAUGUUCAAAUUUCGCUUGAGGUAUUCUGAUCUGUAUGCAAAAUGGUGAUUCUUAUGCUGCGAGAGGAAUUAAAUUCUCUACUAAUCAUGAGGGGCGUUCUGCUUAGUAAUCUCUUGCCAAUAGUUCAACAAGGCUCAAGGAGUCAGAAUCAGAAUGUAAGGUAAAAGCCGAAAGUGGGAUCCUAUUUCCCUUUGCGCCUAAGCAUGUUGAGACAAGUAUUAAACUUAGUACGAAAGCGCAACAAAUUUUGGAUUGAUUGCUAGCUAAAUUAAUUUGCAUGGCGUGAUUAACUAGUAAUCUUUCGCCAAAGUCAAGAAAGCUGGAAGGGGGAAAAGGGGGCGGGGGAGAAUACUGUGAUUUAAGCUCUUCGUUUAUUGUUGGAAGAAGCACUGUUAUAUGAAUUUUGAUAUGGAAACUGUGUUCGUUUAACAAUCGUAUUAUUUUGGAAGAUUUUUUUUUUUUGGAAAUAAUGGUGUAGCAUUUUUAAAAUAUGAUAUAUGUGAGAUAAAUAAGACAAUUGUAAAAAUAAAAAAGGUAAUUGAGAAACAUAUUAUGUAACAACAAUUUUUGUAUAAAGAAAUCUCAAUCCAAACAGACCGCUUUACCAAAUUUUUUCCUUGCUAGGCAAGUGAAAUGGAAACCAGUUACCCAUACAUACAUGUUUAAGAAAAAGAAACUUUCACCAAUGAAAUAAAAAAAAAAAAACUUAAAAUGUUUGAUGUGAAAGAGGGGUAAUGUAUAAUUACUGCCUUGAGAACUUCUGUCUGAAACUACCAUUAAAAAGGGACUAAAUCCCUCUUUGAACUUUACGUUGGGGGUUUGAAUUCCAUCUGCAGUGGAAAAAAUCCAAAGGAGGUGUCAAUGCAUUCCUUUGCUCUAGUCAGAUCUGUGUAUAACUCUCUAAAAUAUCUUCCAAGUUUCGAUUUCACUAUCCAAUACGAACGACGUCGUUGGAAUAAAAUAGUGUUUGGAUUUAUAUGUUUUGAAAUAAAAUAAUUUAUUUAUAAAUUCUAAUAAUUUUUUAUUACAUAUACAUCACGCUAUAAUAAUUAUCUCAAAUAAAUCAUCCAAAUAAACUCCUUUUCAAAAAAACAAGGCCCAAUUGGUUUCACUAUCCACAUUCAUGUACGUCGUUGCAGUCAAAAUACUACCCUUCCCGACGUCUAUCACCUUCAGGUAGAACUCCUUUUAUACUGCAAUCUCUUACAGGGCCUUGUGUCGAUGGAGUAAUAGAAGAAAAUCUUCUAAUUCUUUACUCCAAACGGUUUGGAAAAUGCCAAUCCAGAGUAGCUGAGGAGGAAUCCCACUCUCUGAAACAAAAAUUUGAUCAAUUAAACCCUUCUAAAAGAAGAAGUAUGUAUAUAUCAAAUUCUGGCUUGCUUUUCUCCACUAAUUUUUUUUGCUAUGGUUGCGUUUUAAUCUUUUUGAGGUUGUAUAUAUCCCUUAAAAGUACUCAUGAUUUGCCAUCAAAUUAUGGACUCUACCGUUUGCAAGGUUCUUUGAAGCUUCAGAUUUGCAUUUUUUUUUUUCCAGAAAGAAUGAUAGUAAUUUUUUUUUUUUUUCACCCCGCAUGAAAGUAAAACUUGAUAUCUGAAUAAAGGGGAAGCCGAAAGACGGUAGAAUUUUGACAAAAACAAAAGGAAAAGACAGGAUAGAAGAGGUAAGCCACGUCAACAAGUUCUAGAUUAAGACGCCGUCGUUUUGCACGAGGCAGGAGACUUGGACAGAUAUGCCGUUGGACAGAGGAUCCCGACCAUUAAUUACUUGCCGUUUUCUUUUUCCUUUAAAUUUUAUAUGGUGUUUUUCAGUUCUUUGCCGUUUAAAUGCACCUAAUGACCAGAAAGUUUGAGCAUUAAAGAUUUCUUUGGAGAAAAUCAACGGAAAAAAAAAAGCUUGAAAUGUUGAUGCUCACCUGAAAGUAUGUAAAUUCUAAUAUUUGAAAACGGCUUUUAUAAGUAUUUCCUUUUAACAAAAUAGUAGUGAAAAUCCAUGAUACGUAUGGACGGUGAAAUUUAGUCUGGGUUCCAUAAUUUCGCAGUCUCCAUCGAACACCCUUGGAAGCCUUUUCUAAGCCAUCCCGCAAGGCGCAAAAUUCGGAUUUUGAGGUACUCUCCACUACCCUUCUUUUCUCAAACUUUUUGCCUGCAUCGUAGCCUGCAACUUGAAGCGGCAUUUGCAUCAAUGCUUUUGUAUUCGGAGCAGGCCAUGGAUGUUUACGUUGAUAGCCUCUACGUGCUUGAUAAAUGCCUAAGACAAGUGCUCGAGUAGAUUUAGUUGAGAAUGAGCAUUUAAGGUAAAAAGACAAAAAGGAUUUCUACAUCAAUCAUCAUCUUGUAAUUUGAUUCAAUGUGUACUAUAUUUCUCUGGAGUCAUUGCCUGGGAAUUCUGUGUUUGUUUUCCUCUCUCAGCUGUUAAGUCUGUCACACCCUGGGUGUUGCUGUUUCUUAUUCCUAAAUGAUUUCAAUAGUUUCUUUAAUUUUAUUGCUCAUUUUCCUUCUCUAGUGAGAAAGUUUUCUAAUAAGAACUUCUCAUGUUUCUGCUUGGUAGAUAUUCCUACUGUAAUGGCAUCUUCUGCUGCAUUUUCUACAUAUGCAUUGCAUGGAAGUAAGCUUGCUUCCAGGACAAUGUGGGCCAAUACUUUUAAUGAGCAUACUUACAGUUGUUCAAUCCUGCAAUUAAAGCAAUCAAUUUGUGGUAAGCCUAGUUCCUUGUCAGUCGAAAUUCCUUUUGAGCUGCAACCAAAUGGAAGGUUAGUCUCCAAGAAUAGAGUCAUAUGCAGUGCAUUCGAGGUUGAGAAUACACCAUCAGUCAUGGUUGGGAAUAAGUUUCAACUUGAGGAUGUCAUUGAGGCUCAGCAAUUUGACAGAGAGACACUGAAUGCAAUAUUUGAAGUGGCACGUGAGAUGGAGUUGGUUGAGAAGAAUACUCCUGGAAGUCAACUUCUUAAAGGGUAUCUAAUGGCCACACUUUUUUAUGAGCCCUCAACUAGGACUAGGCUGUCAUUUGAGUCUGCCAUGAAGCGUUUGGGUGGGGAGGUUCUGACGACAGAAAAUGCACGCGAGUUCUCAUCAGCAGCAAAAGGCGAGACACUUGAAGGUAGUCAUUUUCCAAACCCCUGACAAGUGGUUUUGUUGUUUCCAUUGUAAGUUGGGCUUUUUAUAUGCAGAUACUAUAAGGACAGUUGAAGGUUACUCAGACAUAAUUGUGAUGAGACACUUUGAAAGUGGUGCUGCCAGAAGAGCAGCAACAACAGCCAGCAUUCCCAUUAUUAAUGCUGGAGAUGGUCCCGGACAGCAUCCAACUCAGGUUUUCUGCUACGUAUAAUUUAAUCCUGAUUAUUCUUUCGAGAUUCUGCUCUGCUUUGCUGGUUAUGGUUUGUCCAUAAUGUUACUCAUCUCCAUUUGUCACAAAUAUCUCAAAAGUUGUGAAUUAGUAGCAUGCAUUUCUUCGAUACGGAGUGUUAUCUUGAUUCUGGAUGGGAUGUGGUUUUGGAGGGAUUAAAAGUACUUCCACUGCAAUUCUCAUCCAACUUCCAAAUAUUAAUGAUUAUGUGGAAUGUCUCAAGCAUCUAAAUAAGAUUUUCCGUGUUUCCAUUGAUUUUUUCUGGGGCAACACAUUCAUGUUUAGGUUUCUUUGCAAUAAUGUUUGUCAAUAAUUUCUAUCACAUGUUGCAACACAGGCCCUUCUUGAUGCAUACACCAUUGAAAGAGAGAUUGGAAAGCUCGAUGGAAUUAAAGUCGGACUAGUUGGAGAUCUUGCCUAUGGAAGAACAGUUCGAUCACUUGCUCAUUUACUAGCCAAGUACCAUGAUGUGAAAAUCUACUUUGUGUCACCUGAUGUUGUAAGAAUGAAGGUACGGUGUAGCAUUUUUCAAAACUUGGUUUUUUCUUCUGCUUUUGCAUCCUCAAAGCAAUUCCAAUAAACUUAAUUUGUUGAUUUAGAAAGCUGGGAGUCAUGCUCCUCCUGCUUUCUGCUAAUAAUUUGGACGCUUAAUUACAUGUGAAACAGAGGAUUGCCACUCAGCAAUUUCUUUUCAACUGUAUUUUCAGAAUGACAUAAAGGAUUAUCUGACAUCUAUGGGGAUUGAAUGGGAAGAAAGUGCAGAUUUAAUGGAUGUUGCUUCUAAAUGUGACGUCAUUUAUCAAACCCGAAUCCAACGAGAAAGAUUUGGAGAAAGGAUUGAUCUUUAUAGCUAGAGGCAAGUAUAUUGUUAACCAGGACGUCUUUAAUGUAUUGCAAAAACAUGCAGUAGUGAUGCAUCCUCUCCCAAGGCUUGACGAGGUAAGCUUGCCACCCGUACUAACAGGAUUUUAGGUGAUACUUGGCAUCCAUAAUUUUCCCUGAUUACCAGCUGUUUUCCUUCACUCUCUAAUAUAGAUAACGGUGGAUGUGGACAAAGAUCCAAGAGCUGCCUACUUAAGCGAAGAAUGGUCUCUACAUUAGAAUGGCUCUUUUAAAGCUUUUACUUCUUGGUUGGUAGAAGAUGGCCAUGGGUUUUCUUUCCUACAGUAGCCAGUGGUGCUUGCUUCUAUGUGGAGCAGCUAGGUUUCACUUUUAAGAGGCUUUUUGGCUAAUUUUCCUUUGACGAUUGAUAUGAGCACAAAAUUCAUACUUGCUGCCGAGUUGUACCUUACUUUGGCACACAUUGAUGGCUAACUUUAGCUGCAUUUUCCGAUUCUAAUCAAUGAUGAUGUGCCCGAGAAAUGAAAAACCCUCAGUUCUGCAUGAUGAAAUCGAUAUAUUUGGCUACUAUUUGCCAAAUCCUUGCGAUUUGCACUCUUUGCUCCAACUUUCCCCACGUUGCUUGCAGUUUAUAUCAUUUUUCAUGGCGUUGCUUAAUCUGUAACAAAACAUACGUCCAUCCAGAAUAGGAAGAUUGAAAAUUCUCUAUUCAAGUAGUAGUAGUAGCAGUAGUAAUAAUACAAGAUGGUCAUCCAUUUUCAACGGAGUUGAAAAUAAGAUAAAAGCAAUUAUUUCUUUCAGCACUGUGUAUGAAAAGAUCUGCAGUUUAUCUCGCAAAUAUUACAUACAAAAAGCCAUUUCACCUAGUGUUUCAGAACAAGAACAAACCAAACAUCCAUGCAAUCAAAGACUGGACCAUAUAGCACUUUAAAUACUACAUUAAUUAAGAACAAAAUCCUAGAAUCAAACGUCUAGGCAUAACACAAAAAGGGUUCUGACUGAUCACUUGACUUCUUUUUCAUGUAUACAAAAGCCUUGGAAAACUGCAAAGACUUGAUUAUUUCUCCACGGGAUCACUCUCAUCACCCGUCUUGUGGAUGUUUCCCCUACCAGGAGGCUUCUUGAAACUUUCUUUCACAGUUUCAAAACUGGUGUCACCAGCCAUGGUUUCUUGAAACGCAUCAGCUUCCUUUUCUACGGUCUGACUAGUUGUUCCCUGGCGAGCUUUUUCUUCCGCCACCCGUCUGAACUCUUCAGCCGUCGAAGCUGCUCUCUCCGCUGGACGGCCAUCUCGGUGGUGGUCUGGUUUCUUUUUUGAACCAUUUUCUUUCUGUCCCUGCUUGCUAAGUUGGCUAUACAUCUGGUCACCAUCACCAGACAAACCAAGUCUUAGGUAAACUGCAAACACUAAAACACUUAACAAAGGAAAAAAAAGGCAUGAACAGGAAGGAAUUAGAUGAUUACUUGUACCCUGAAGGUAAUGGGUUUGACAGGUAGAUAUCUGAUUCGGCAAGUCUGUGACAAGUUAUAGAAUUGCAGAAGUUUGCCUCCCAUACUGAAUUCGAGCAGUGAUGAAGAAAGAGAAUUGUUGGUUUACACAAAUCCUGAUUACUCUUUUGUCUCGGUGAUCCUAAAGCACCAGAAGAAUUGAAAAUAAUGAGAAAGAAAUUGAAUUGGCUAUGUACCUUUUCAUCACUUGCUAAGGCCAGCAAGUCACUGGUGCAAAGCUUAUAGCUUGGAGACAGUAGUCUGCCACGUGGCAGGCAGCAAAAAUAUUUAAGGAUAAUUGCAGAAACCUCCCCCCAGGUUUCUAAUAGUUGCACUCAUCUCUUCUAAGGUUUGUAAAUAGCACUAACUCCCCUGAACUUAAGAUUUUGAUGGCAACUUUAGCCCAUGUUAGAGAAAGUGUCAUUAAAAAAAAUCUUUUGAAAAGUGAGAUAAUAAUUUUGUUUCAUUUGUACUCGUUUUGCCUCUUGCAAGGUUGUAUUAGUAAAAGAAUGAAAAACAUUAAAGAUGAGAACAAUUAGUGAAACUUAGAGGAUAUAUGUGCAAAAAGAAUAAUGGCAGCAGUAAAAGCUACAAGAAGUAACAAACAUGUGUUCAAAAAUCUGAUAUUCUAAAGCAUAUAAAGAAACUAUUGAUCAAUCAAGAAAAUUCAUCUUUGAUCAGUACAAGAGAGUUUUUUAUUGUCAUGCUAAUCCUUAUAGUAUGAGUAAAUCUUUCCUACACUGACAAUGUAUACACUAUCAUUGUUGAAUUCAUGACAUGUGUGCAAAAAUUGAAUUUAAAAUUCAAAUUUUACAUAAUUGUCAUUCAUCAAAUGCUGAUAGUGUAUACACUGUUAGUGUAGAAAAGAAUAAUCCUUAUAGUAUAUUGAUUUUACACUAUUUACUAUAUUUCGUACAUAGCUAUGCUCUCUCGUGAUCAACACAACAAUUUUAUCAUACUAUAACUAACACCACAAUUUUGUGUAUUAAAUUGAGAUGAUAAAAAAUUACUUACCUAUCAUCUUCUGAUUGUCACAAAUUUUUAACAGAAAAAUCCUCAGAUUUUGCCUUGAUUUCUACUUUCUUUCUUCUUUUGUUUCAUGAAUGCAUGAGAUGAAAUAAAUCCAACCAAAACCACCAAAACUUAUUCUUCUAUGAAGCCUUCUUUGGAGGUUUAUUUCUCCUACAUAUUUCUUGCUUCUGCUUCUCUUCUAUGUAGAAAAUAUAUUAUUUGAAUUGUUCUCUCAAGUGUUGUCAAUCAUAAAAUGACACUAUGUUGGAUCAUCAAUUGGUGCCAUUUUGUAAGUGCACUUAUAGUGCUUAAUAAAGUAAAUGUUAAUUUUGUUUAAUUAGCUAUCUUAGACUUGUUUAUUACUCUAAUUUUUUUGCCCCAAAUUUAUUUACUAACAAAUGUUAAAUUCUUAGGAUACAGAGGUAAAUUUAUCAUAUCUUAUGUCAACUAUAUAUGCCCCAAAUUCAUGUUAGAGGAGGUUAGUGUUAUUUUUCAAACCUUAAGAGUGGUGAGUACAACUGUUGGAAAUCUCACGAGAGGUUUCUGCAAUUAUCCCAAAUAACAAUCACAAACGCAGCCUCAAUUACGUAUACUGAGUAGUACGCAAUGUGAUAGCCUGGAAAGGUGCCGAAGGAAGGAUAAGCAUCAGGUGGCAUGUCACUUGAUCAUGCAUCAUCUUUGUUUGGUGCUCACUGAACGAGAAUGAUUUACCUUACUACUUCGUAGCUUUUGAUGGGUAAAUUACGUAAUGUAUAUAUCCUAGCUAUUAUGUACAUGUUUGAAAAAUGUUAUUUACAUUUUAUUUUUUAUUAUUUGUACUUUCACCAUUUAUUUUAUCAUAUAAUCUAAUAAAUAAAAUUUAUAUGAUUAAUAUGAUAGCGGGUGUCUGAUUAACAAAAAAUGGAAGUAUAAAUAACUUUUUUUUAUAUUUUUUAUUAUAUAUCAACUAUUUUAAUCAACUGCUGGUUCCAAUUAUACUGACAUAUCUUGUGUUACGGAUAUUGGACAUAUAUUAGUGAAGAAAAUUAUUAUUCACAAAUUAAAAAUUUGAAUUGAAGGGAGGAUUUAAGUUUAAAUCUUGUAUCUCACAAUUAGAGAUGAAAAUUAAAAAGGUUGCGAAGAAUGGUGGAUGGUUACUUCAAGAAAAAAAAAAAAAAAAGGAAUGGUGGAUGGUAGGAUAAAAAAAGAAAAAGUAAGUAUUUGAGUUCUAGUCCGACCUAUAACCUAUCUCAGUCAGGUGGGACCAAGACCUUUCAGUAGUGAGCCCAUUUUCUCUCAAGAGUCGAGUUUUCAAACUUUUCAUUGUAGCCGGAAUACAAACCUCACCCGUCUUCUGCUCCAACCGAAACUCCCAGGACUCGGAAACCACUUGGUAACAUCAUUUGUACUUCUCUUCUUGCCCUUUUAUUAAUCCGGAUGUUCAAGAGUAAUUACAUCAUAUAUAGCAGCAUUCGCAAUGCACUAAUAAAUUUGUGCGCUUCUCUUACUUUGUAAACAUGGGGUGUGAAUAAAAAUUGAGUCUUUGUGCUUAGCCGAAUAAACUUGUUUGAUUGGGGAUUUUGGUGAAACGGAUAUUCUGGAUUAUAGAGUUUUUCUCUUUUUUUUGUUAAAUUUUUUUAUCAAGUUACUAGGUUUAGAAAUUUGGGGAAUUAAACUUUUUCCAGUCUCAUUUGGAUUUUAUUUGGUUUACGUCAAGUUUAAAGUGAUUGGCACUUGGAUUUAGCUACAGCUGAAAAACAUAAUCAUGCUAUUCAAUUGUCAAUACUAGACUGGAGCUCUGUUCAAUGAGAAUAUGUUCUAAAUUGAUUCGUCAAGUAAUCAAAUCUAACGCGAGCAAGAUUUCUUGCUCCUUUUAAUUAUUUAAGCUCAGGCUCAGCUUGACAAGGAUAACACUUGAGAAUUUGCAUAUAGAAGAACCAAGCAAAGCUUUUCUGCAAAAUUAUGCUCAUGAAAAAUUAAUCCAAGCUUUAACAUUGUGUCCAACUGAUUAGGCUCAUGAACACCCUAGAGUUACUAGCACAUUAAUUUGCUUGUCAGUUUCAAAUGUCAAAGCAGUUUCUUUUUUGUUAACCACUUCGGUAACAAAUUCUUUCUCGCUUUGCCUGUUUGGCUAGCAGAUUAUUGUUGAGUGCUAGGUUUAAUAAGAUAAUUUAUGUUAUGACCUGCCAAGUUACAGCCACACUCAGUUACUGAUCAAUCUGGAAACUGGACAGCAGUGCUCAACCAGGAAGAAAUGAGCGCUUUCAAGGCUUUUAAAGCUUGCGUGCCGAUUGAAUGGAGUGAUAAGCUCUACAUAACCCUUGUUAGGGGUAUCCCUGGAACCAGGGAGCUCCAUAGGCGGACAUUAGAGGCGCUGCGCCUUCGCAAAUGCAACCGCACAGUUGUGCGAAAAAAUACUCCUACAGUUCGUGGAAUGCUUCAGCAGGUUCUGAAAUUAGCUUGAUCCAACUGCAUAUUUGUCUUAUGUGGUCAUACUCUGGUUUGGCAACUGACAAUUCUUCAAUAAGAUUGCAAAUAGUCAUUACUAUUCUUUCUGUUAUGUGUAUUGGUUCAUAUCAGGUAAAACGAUUGGUUGCAAUUGAGACAAAGGAAAUGCACGAGGCUCGGAAACGAAGAGGCUAAUCACAGAGCUCUGCGACCACCGUUGGUUAUUAGUCAUCAUCCAGCCCCAAAGACUGAAUCCUUUCAGUUAUCUUAGAGAUUCUUCGAGGCAUGCUUCUUUUAUUUUUCUGCUUUAAUCUCUCUACAUACAAGUGAACACAGACACAGAAGCACACUUUUGAAGGUAGAUAAAGCAUUAAUAACGUGUCUACAGGUAAAAUGGUGAUGUGUUUUGCGGUUGGUGAGGGUAGUGCUGGACCUUUUUUCUCUACAAAUUAUAUCAGGAUGAUGUUUGUAAAAUUUCAGGUUAGAUGAGAUAAGUGGGGAUGACGAUGAACAGAAGAAAUCGUAUUGAUUUGAGAAAUAGAUUGAAGAUUGUCUCCUGCAGCUAGAUUGUCAUUGCAAAUUGUCUUAUUUAAAAUGUGACGCAAAGCAAUAGAAUUGUCUGGCUUGAAACAUGACGUAGUGACAAAACAGGAUAUCGAAUUUGGGAGGAAGGAAAGAGGGCUGGAUACAAGGCUCGUGUAUAAGAUUCUAUGCUUCAUUGUGCUGUUUUCAUUUCUUUAUCCGAUGUAGUUGAACGUGCAAUUGUUUAUUUGCUGUCUUAUCCAUUAGUGUAAUUCUCUGGUUUGGUCCUUCCAUUUAUGUAAUGUUCUCUGUUCUGCAGAUACAUAGCAUAGUACUGAUUGUGAUUCAGAUCUUUGAAGAACAGAAGUUUCAUUAGUGGCCGAACUUGUGUUAAAGCUUGUAAUCUCCUGGCGGAUGAAUAAAAUUUGAAGUGUUGCAAAUUUAGUUCAGACUGCAGAGACAUAGGCAGUUAAUGCUUUUUUCAUGAGAGGUUUUUUCUUUUGGAAUGAGAUCAUAGAUUAGUGGACUAAACCGUCGGAUUUAUUUGGCACUCAUGUUUGUAGAAAACCUUUUACACCGUAAACCAUUAGUAUUAUUUAGAAUAUGUUGUGGUGUUAGGAAAAAAAAAAAAGAAAAGAAAAAGUGGAAGAUACUUGCCUUCACAUGUGUCCAAGCAUUAGUGGAGGAACUAAUGGAAGAAUCAAAGCUAGUGCUUCAUUCUUAGUUGGCUGAGAGAAAACAAGAAAGGAAAACAAACCACGUUCCAUUCACUUCCUCUGUUGGCUAAAACGAGAAACAACAAGAAGGAAAAACAGAAAACCUCUCUUUCCUUCUCCAACCUUGAACACCAGCCAAGAAACAAGAGCAACUCCAGCUCAUUUAACCAAGGAAUGAGAUAGAGAAACAAAAGAAAAGCAGAUAUGUUAUAUUUUCGCUCAUGGCCUGGUGUAUGUUAAAUCGUUCGAUGCAUCAGCUUAUAUAGAAAACCCUGUUUGUUGAACGGGCUUUAAAUCUGGUCAAAUCUCUGAGAAAGUUGAAGGUGGUGAAUGACGUUUAGAAAUGAUACCAGUAAUCUUUAGUAGUUAUCUGGUUACUUAGCCCUUUUCUUUUUUUUCUUUUUUUUUUUCUAAAGCUGGUAAAGGAAGUUCAUGCUUGUCUUUAACUUUUGAGAUUGUUCUAAUGCUUCAGAAUUGUUGGGUAGUGGUAGAAAUUGAAGGUGGUGAAUUGCAAGUGGAACCCAUUGUAUUCGAGUAGCCCUUUGCUCAAAGUAUAGCAUAGAAAAUGAUAAUGAUCUCCAAGUCAAAUUGGAGGAAAAUACAAGGAUGUUGAACACCAAAAUUUCACACAAGAUUUGUCACUCUUUUCUUUUUUUCCUAUAACAUUUGGUUUUUUUUUCAAAUCUGCAAAGAUUAUUUGAGGUGGGAUAACGGCACCUUGAUUGUCUUUUGACUCCUCUACUGUACAUGGUCUCUAGCUUGAAGCAAUUAACGGAGGAUCAAAAACGUGACUAGUAUUCUUCUGUUCUAAUGCAUGCAGGUUAGCAAAAACUCCAACAAGAGGCGCGCAGUAUUAUAAGUGCAGGCUUCUGUCUGCACAUAAUUUUCCCUACCAUCUCUAAAUUGGUCCUUAAUAUCUGGUCCACCUACCAGUGCUCCCACCAGGACAUUAGGAUUUGAUUCCUGGCGUCCAUACCAGUUAUCAUAACCUUGUGUGCAGCCGAUAAAUCCCUUGUUAUUCCUAUAAGACUCCAUGGAUGCUCCUCUGUGAUGCACCCUCUGGGGGUACCUUGAACCGUAGCCAACCAAGUAGCUGAUGGCCAUCGGAUUAGAGCCUAAGAUGUAAUCAACCUGUGAUUUUGCGAAGGAUGAUAUAUCAUCUGGACCCACUAAGACUCCUCCGUGGCAAUUGAGCUUUUGAUUGGCAGCUCGGAGAUGAUCAGAGUAGGCCAUAAGCAAAAAUGUUGCAGAUGAAACAUACUGCAUGUUGUUCCAUUGGCGGAUGUAGAUGAGGCCACCUGGGGUUCGAUGUAUAUUGGUUGUAUUGUUCUUGUUCAGGCAGGCACAGAUGUAGUAUUCUGCUUUGAAGCGGUAUUCUUGGAGAAUCUGACUGUGUUCUUCAUGCUUUUUUUUCAUGCCCAGCUGCAUGAAAGGAAACGUAUGGAUAAAUUGUAGAAAAGCCAUUAAACAGGGAAAAGUAUUUUCAAUUUUAUUCAAGUAUUGAUUUGCUGUUGUAUUUAGUGCUGCCUAGUGCAUAAAUCACAAUCCCCAUUAAGCUUCAUCAGUUACAAAAAGGAAAAUAAUUUCUAAUUUUUACCUUCAAUGCAGUAUUGAAUGUAUGGGAUGAAUCCCAUUUGCUUUCCCUUCUGACCGACCCAGUCUGGGAUACAAAUAGGGCCAUUAGCAAAUCGACCCCGUUAUCAUUAUACUGAGGGUCCCUUUGUUUCGACGUAAAAUGUUUUCCAUGAGAAAAUAUUUUCAGUAAAAGACAUUUUCCAUGAAAAUAUUUUGAUGUUUCAUGCUUUUCUGAUGUUUGGUUAAUUUUUAAAAUGUCAUUUCGACAGAAUAUCUGCAAGUAGAGCUGCAAAUGAGUCAAGUCGAGUAGAGUUUUGACCUAAUCGAGCUGAGGCUUGACUUAAUUUUAGUGAACUUGAACUCGAGCUCGAGCUCGACAAGCCAACAAUUUAAAGCUCGAGCUCCAAUCAAUUAUUUUAUUUUUUAAAAAAUAAAUAAUAAUAUUUUUUCUUAAUAAAUAAUAAAAUAUUAAGAAUAUAUAUGUAAUUUUACUAUUAAAAUAAAAAAAUAUAUAUACUUAAAAUAAAAAUAAUAUAUAUAUUCUUAAAAUAAAAAAAUAUAUAUAUAUAUAUAUAUAUAUAUAUAUAUAUAUAUAUAUAUAUAUAUAUAUAUAUAUAUUCGAGCUGGGCUUAAUAUCUUGAACUCGAGUUCGAGCUCGAUAUUGAUCGAGCUUGACUCGCGAGCGACUCAGUUCGUUUGCAGCCCUAUAUGCAAGUACUCCGCUCUACGUUGUCUAUCAUUCUUAAAGGCAUAAACUGAUUCUUUUCCAAACUAGAAAGCAAGGUUCCAUAAGAAUAUGUAGUGGUAAUACGAAUAGGCAGUUUGAAAUAUUAGGUUCGUAACUCAUGGCAAGUGGAAAAAAUAACUUCUAAAGAUCUAUUGUGUAAGUUGUUUUCCACAAGAGAAUGCAGAUCAUUUUCCCAAAAAAAAAAAAGGUUUUCAGUGGUCUAAUUGCAUCCAAACACUGGGAAAUUUUGGAAAGGAUUUUUCGGAAAAUAUUUUGCACUGAAGCAAACGGACCCUAAGAACAACUAAUUCUUCCCCACCGUCAUGGAAUCUGUGCGAAUCUUGUGCAUGAAUCUAACAAUCAUAAUGUGACGUUUUAAUUGCUUUCUUUCCUAAUUCUGUCUUGCGCUCAUUACCCCAAUCUACUACUAUUUGCCGCUCAAAUAAUGUGGAUGGCAGAGAAAGACAUAAAAUCUUUUGGAUUAUUGGAUUCUGGAGGUCGGAGGGGUCAUCCUUUUGUCCUUCCCACACCUAACAGUAAAAUUAAUGGCGGCGGAUGGGCAGGUCCUUCCCACACCAUAUCAUCAUUUUAAUCAAAUGAUGAUUUAACCACAGUGGUGGUAGUAUUUCCGAUAUGAAAUGAAAUUCACAUGGGCUCUGUACGUAAAACCUUAAACCUUAAACUAAAGUGUGUUGGUUGAUUUCUGAACUGAAAGCAAAAGAAACGAUGCAGUGAAACACGUAAUGGGAAAAAGCCAACUAUGAAGACUAAAAAGAGCCAUAACUAAAGUGUGUUGGUCUUGGAUGAGGCAGUGGAAAACAUGGGAAGAGGGAAAAAGCAAGUUUACCAUGGCAGCAAUAACCUGGACACCAGCAUACUUGACAUCCCAGCUGAAUUCUUGCAUGGCCCAAGUGAUCCACCAAAAAUUGAGCCUUUCCAAUUGCAUAAUUCAAAUAAUCUGCCCUGUCGGUGGCCUUAUACAGCCACAAUGCUCCCCACAACAACUCAUCCAUGUAACCACUCACCGACGGAUAGUACCCCUUCGCCGCCCCUAUGCUGCUAUCGUAUUUCCCUCUAUACUUGUCACCAAACUCAAACAACUGCGCAACGAAUUUAAUCAAACCCCACAUCUGUGCAUAUGCAUGUGCAUGUGUGUUGUGCAGUGUAGUUGCAAAACUCUCAAAUCACAGUUUUUUUUCUGUGACCAUUGAUACAGUAAGUUAAUUACUAAUCCACUUUUAAAAUUAAAGGAGACAGAAAUUUAUUAGUUGCCUUGCUAUCAUAUAGUCUUUGAUUAGCUGAACGGUACCUCCAAAAGAAAUACUUAUACCAUUACUUGUAUAUAUUAAUCAGACAUUCUGCUUUAGUUCAGUUUGGUUGGUCGCUAUCAUCUGAUGGCAUAGCACAAAGAUAUUCUAUUCGAGCAGUCUGAAUUGAAUUGAAUUGAAUUGCAUUUGCGUGCGGGCAUAGAUUGUAGUCUGAAUUGUGUACGUAAUUAGUUGAAUCUAAUCUACUGAAGAUCAAUCAAACCCAACGUACCUAUCCCUCUAACUAACAAGUCAUAACAACCUCAUUAAUUAACUAACUGAACUCAACUUACUUGUUGCGCAUGAUCCAACAGAAGUUGGGAGUAAUGAGGAUUGGUUCUCCUAAACACAAUGGAUGCUGCCGCCAUUGCAGCCGCCGUUUCUCCGGCGACGUCCGAACCCGGAUGAUCCUCGUCAAUCUUGUAAGCUCUUCGGGACGUCGUCAUGUCCUCCGGUCUUUGCCAACAGUAGUGAUCCGUGUCCCGUCACCCACCUGAAGGAUCAACGUUAACUUGACAUGCUUAGGACAAAAACAGUAGUUUGUUUGUACAAAUAUUUGACCAGAAAAGAUUUGGACCCACGCAAAAAAUCUAUGGUGUGAAUGAAUAAAAUCACGUCUCCGGCGUGAUUGGAGCAAUUUCUUCGGGGCAGAAUGCUGCGCGUGAGGGAACAUUUGAUACGGCUUAGCAUGUCUUGCUACAUACAGAGACUUUAGACAAGUCCAUAAUUUUUUCAACAUGGGCAUAAUUUCUUUGCUUAAAAAGAAAAAACAGUUUGAAAUUUGAAUCGCUUGCCUCGUCGUCACUUAUUUUUUAAUAAUUGGGUGCAGUAAAAAUGGGUAUAAAUUACCUGAACCCACAAGACAUGAGGCUGAGAAUGUGCUUUGAUGAAGUAGUCAGUCCCCCAUUUGAUUGCUUCGAGCGCGUGGCGAUACUCGCCCGCGGCCGCAAUCUCUUCCCGUAUUGUAUGACGCUCCAGGAAAGCAUCGUAAUGGUAAAGGCCAUUGGCAAACCAAACUUAACGUUGUCCCCUGCAUCAUAGUAACCUCCUACCAAGUCCACCUAUAUAUAUAUUUUUUUUUUUAAUACAUGAAAAAAGUGUACAAGAAAAUCUUAAGUAAUGUUCCAAUUACAUGCUGUACCGUAUAUGAUCAUAAUAAUAAGUAGAAUGUGACGGAAGAAAAAGAAGAAGAAGAAGGUGAGAUUGUGGUCGUACGAACCCUUGUUCCAAACCGUCGGUGAGGCCAGAAUGGUGUCGCCAAGGGACUCUCUGAUUGUAAGGCAAGUGACCGGAGCGUUGCGCUUCGAAAUAAAGGAGGCUUUUUGAAAGAGCUUCUCUGUAACGGGAAAGGUUUGAAGAUUCAGAGAAAGGGAGGAGGUGGAAGAAGGCAAAGAUGGAGACUAGAGCGGCAGCCCAUCGCCUGGGAGCUUUGCAUUUCCUGUCUUCCUCCAUUACUCUCUCUCAGCUUUUGAGUCACUUCCACCUUUCCCUCUUCUUCUUCGCCUUCGUAUGUACAUCUGAGGCAUGUGACUUCUUUAAAAGUUCGCUUGUGCCAUUACGUGGCUUAUGUCUCUAAUUUUAUUUUAUUUUUUUUUAGAUUUUCGAAUUUUAAAUUUUCUCCAUUUCUUUUUCCUCCCCUUUUUACUCCAUUUGGAUUAGCUGUUUUUUGGGGUGUUUUCGAAAAUUUAACUGUAGUAUUGUAUAUGAAAAAAUUUUACUAUAAAAAAUUUUUGAAAUAUUUGAUAUAUUAUAUGGAUGAGAUGUUUUUUAAAUUAUUAUGUAUUACUGUAAUAUUAUAUUUGAAAAACUUAUUUUUAAAAAAAUGAUCAAUCUAAACAGAACACUUCAGGAGGGUAGCGAGGUCAUAGCCUUUUGUUGGUUGUUUUUCGUAAUUCGUUUGAAUUAUUAUUUAUUGAAGUUUUUGUAGAAAAAAAAAUAUUAUAUAUAAUUUAAUGUAUGUGAGAUAAAAAAAUGAUUAAAAAAUAUAUUUAGGAAAAACAUAAAAAAAAAAUUUUAUUUUGAAGAGAAAUGGAAUCCAAACAAAGGAAUUCUUACAGGAGGAUCAAUAUGACUAGGACGUGCUGGUUCCGUCAAAGAAAUUAUUCCACUGUGAACUACUGAACAAGAUCAUUAUGCCCGCGGUCAACGGUCGUAUGUAUAUAGCAUUGCGCUUGUUCCACCAACUCGUAACUGUGAAUCUACUACCAUGCGCGAGUAAGUAUACCUAUAAUUCCCUAGCCAGCUCCACUGGACUAUUAUUUCGAUACAUUUAUUUUACACAAAUACUCUAUAAUAUAUUAUUAAGCAGUUUUCUUUUCCCAAUCAUAGGGAUGUAGCAUUUUUUUUUUCUUUUUUAAUCAGAUGUAAUCCUUGGUCCUCAUCUUUCUUCCAUUCCUAUUUCCUGUCCACCUUCUAUUUUUUUCUUCUUUUUUUUUUUUUUUUCUUCUUGUCCGUUCAAAAAGGAUUGUUCUUCUCCUGGCCUUGACGUGGCACUCUGCAGAAGGUCCUUUCUCGUCAAUGAGAACGACUCUUGCGCUUGUUUGAGAGUUUAGACUUGAAAAAAAAAAAAAAGCAGAAGAAAAGAGGCAAGAUGACAACUUACAAGAGAGAAGAAAAGAAGAGAAGUGACGUAGAUAUGUUUCUAUGUUUUAUGGGACUUUAUGAAUGAAAGAUUGAAUGAUUUGGAUUACUCAGGCGUUACCAUUUUGUUGUUUAAAAUUCUUUUUUGAAAAAUUAUCAAGCUUUUUAAUUGGUUAUCUCUCAAUUCAUCUCCACUUUUGGAGAGCUUUUUAACCAAAAUACCAAAAAAAAAAUUCCACCAUUUGUAUCCACUUCUCUUCUCAUUUGAAACUUCCGAACAACGGAAAAACUUAUCUUUUCUCCUCUCCAAAAUCCAACUCCCAAACUAAGCACGUUUGGAUUGUAAAUUAUCAUGGAUUUUUUUUCUUGAAAUAAUCUCUUUGACACAUUUGCCAAUCAGAUUUCUAUCUUACAUAUGUCACAUCACAUCACUAUAGUAUAAUUUUUUUUAUAACAACUUCCAAUCCAAAUGGAAGAUGUAGAUGGUGUUCCAAGGUUACGACGCAGUCAAGUUUGGUACUAAAACAAAUAUGCAAAUGGUGUUCCCAGCAACUACAUUCCAUUGAUACAAUGAAGCAGAGGAGUCGUUACUGCUCAAGAAAAUGCUUAUCCUUGAAGUCUGAAAUGUAACCCCACCCGAAUCACAAUACCUGCAAAGGACUUUUUCGAGUCUUCAGAAUUAUUGACCUAGAAAGGACCCGAAUCACAAUACCUGCAAAGGACUUUUUCGAGUCUUCAGAAUUAUUGACUUAGAAAGGACGAGGGGCCUGGACGAUUGUCAGAGACAACCGUCCCAGGCAGUUCACGGUCUGGAUGAAAUCUCAAAAAUUUGUGCGGCUUAGAUCACGUCUUGUAACUCGAUUUUCAUGCCGUGCGAAACCCACAAAAAUGUUGUUUUAUUUUACUCACUGUUAUUCAAUUGUUAUACUUGUACAGAUGAUGUUACACCAUGUACAAAUGGUGUUACGCCUUCCGGAACGGUUGUCAGAACAACCGCUCCAGCCCGCGUCCACCUAGAAACCCUUCUCCUCGUUCUGUACUUUACAGAACAGAACAGAACAGGGCUUCAUUCCAAAUACCAUGACUAAUGUGGUCAGAACUUCCCAGGCUUUGACCACCAACAAAUCUAUGAUGACAACCUAUGAUAUGAUGCUCAAUUUACAUCUUGCAAUAGGACAUUAGGACGCUCAAUUUACAUCUCCUUCCCUGGACAGCAAGCAGUUAGUCUAGGUCGCUCAGUCUCCCAGAAUCCGGUAACCAUGAAAUUGUACCAACAACACCUUUUGAUCUAAUGGCUAGCCAGCUAGCUUCCGAGAAGCUUGCUGACGGAAAUAUUCAUCUGCCCUCAUCCCCAGAACAGGCGAACAAACGAGAAGAACAUAAUCACAAGUUAAAAACUGCACCAUGCCAAGGAAAAACAACAACAACAACAAAAAUGAAGAAAAUCUGAAACACUGAUGAAAAAGCAUCGAAUCUAAAAGAUAAUUACCAAACGUGGUAACUAUAUGUCAUAACGUGAAACAUCCAGAACAGCACCUCUAGCAUCCAUCAUCAACUACUAAUAUAGAUACAUAUAAAAGCCCUCAAGGUUAAAAGUACCAUCUCAAUUUUUAAUAUUACAAAUUUACAAUAUCAUCAAGCCUUCCAGAUUCCCCAUCAUAUCAAUGCCUAGGCAAAGGCACCUCCAGUCUGGUGCAGCAUAGCAUCAAUCUCAUCACCAUCUUCCAUACUCACCUGUGUACAAAAUAAAAUGUAAACAAAACUAAAUGGAUUGAUUGCAAAUUACAUAACAGUAGUGUCUUGGAAAGACAUCUUAAAAGGAAAGAAGGAAAGUAACCUGUUCAGGAGUCUGCUCCCCUUGGAGGCGUUGGCCAUCAAACAAGAAUACCAUGGAGCCCAGUUCCACAGAUUGUCUCUCGCAGUAAGCAUUAAUGAGCUUCUUCAGCUGUGUGCUCCUCUUUAUCCUGAAGAACACCUCGCUCCCAUCCUACACAAACCACCGUCAUCGACUACUUGCUCAACGGCCAAAAAAAAUUAAUGCAAAUAUUUUGAUCAUGUUAGCCAAGAGCUUAAAUGCCAGCAGGAAAUUGAAGCACCAAAACACCAAGUAGUAAAGCGAAAUUUAGCUUAGGAACCUUAACUCGAACAUGGCACAGAUCCAUGUAUAAUAUAGUCCACAAACAUUCGAGAAUAACACAAGAAAAAUCAAAUUCCUAAAAAUAACUUAAUUUUAGAAACAUAGUACUACAAAACAAAAACGAAACCCUGACAGACAUUCUACACGCGUUAACUGUUUAAGAAAGAAAAUGGAAAACAAAGAAACCCCUUUUAACGGAGUUAUACCGUGCUAGAAGACAAAGAUUAUGAAACAUAAAACAUACAGAAAAAUACAAAAGCCAAAAUAAUAGGACCUGUCCCUUGACUUUGAGGUUAAUGUGUUGCUCAGAGGGCUUCUUAUCUUCCUCUUGAGUAGUGACGCCUGACAUUUUCCAGCUCCUCCUCCAAUUACAGCCGCUGUUGACGCCGCUGUUGACGCCGCGCUGAGUUCGCCGCCGCUGAUGUAGAAACUUCGGGGAAAAGCGGGGCACUGCCAAAUGUUGAUGUGAAUUUUGGGUGAAAUUGGGUUAAUUGGGGAAGUGGACGGCUAAGAUGUAGUGGGGCAGAACAUGAUCAAUGGGCGAGAUUGGUUAUCUAAAAAGGUUUGUACUGUCGCAUGCAAAAUGGUCGCGUAUGGCCCUGGCCCGUGAAAGAUGCUGUUUGGACUAAAUCGUCAUAUAAGCUGGCCCAAGUAGGAAAUCUCGUUGCUCCAAGAAAAGCAAUCAUCAUAUCAACUGGCCCAAUUAGGUAGUGUCGGUGCUCACGAAAAGCCCAAUUUCUUGGAAUCUCGCACGAAUUCUUUUCAACUUCCCAAUGAGCUCUAACGUUCUUUGAAACAUGUUGACUCAAGUAACAAUUUUUUGUUGAAAUCCCAUGGUUUACUAAUGUAAAUACCGGUUGAGGUAGCCAGGACAUUAGCCGAAGGGCUCUUUCAAUUCCGCAGUUUCCUGGUUCGACUCUCAAAUCCUAUCGAUUCCCCAUUUUUCUUUAUAUAAUGCUUGAAGUUUGCUCGUUAAAAAAAAAAAACUCCUGCUCUUGUUCAUGAUGGAUUAUUGUAGUUGAUUAUAGAUUCUGCAGUUUUUAAAAAUGUUCUUGCUUGCGUUUGUAUUAAAAUAUAAAUUUCUUUUACGAACCAAAAAAGGCUAAAAUCUAGAAUCAAUAAAAGAUUAGCUUUUACUAAUUCUAAUUGCUCUCUAGUGUCAAUUUUACUAAUUAAUUUUUGCUAUAACUAAUCCAAAGCUGAACAAGGCUUUACUUGAUGGACCAAUUGUUGUCCGCCCAUGGGAGUUAUCCGCAAGUAUGGAUUAAAUUCUCACCACAAAAGAGUACGCGUACUUGCGAGAAGGCCCGUUACCUACUCCUCCUUCCCGACCCCAAAAGCGCGGAACUUCGAUUGACCUUGCCACAAACACCAAGGGCAUUGGUGAUCAUCGCUCAAUCAAAGUCACGCACGCUUUAGUAGUUAGCAAUAGUUGAAAACCAACCGUUCCUUUUUACCUGCCUAUGCUUACCAACUAUAACAUGCCAGAUUUCACCAAAAGGAAAUUUUUUUUCAUCAAAUCUUGGGUCCCAUUGACAAAUGAGUUUUUUUUGGAUGUUUGUCUAAAAUUUUACUAUAAUUUAUUAUAUAAAUUAUAAGAAAAAAUUUUGAAGUGCGUAAAUUUUUAAAUAUUUUAAAAUAUACAUAAUUUAAAUUUUUUGAAAUUUUUUAACAAUAACUGUAUUUAAAGUUGUUACUGACAAAUUUAAUUAAAAACUUGUUUGCCAAACUGGCAAAAGAUAGAAAACUAGUAGUAGCAUAACCUGGCAGCAUUAAGUGCAACCGCUUAUGGAGAUCCAAGAGCAAUGCCGCCCCAUUCCAUCGUCCCCGUGUUGUUUUUUUUUUUUUUUUGAGUUAUAACCUACUUUAUCCUAAUCUAGAAGGAAGGGGAGGCUAAGGAGACUGUUAUAGGGGUUAGUGGGUAUACAGAUUCAACUAAAUUAAAAAAAUGCUAUGGCACAAUUCUUAAAUUUUUUUUACUGCUGAUGAGAUUUGAACCCUUAUCAACACAGCCUAAGGAGGAAAUUAAAUCCCUCCCCAGUGACCACUGAGCCAUUGGCCAGUGGUUUCAUCGUCCCGCGUUGGGUUGUUAGCUUAGGCACUAAGUAGGCCGACAUGCCGGAAUUUUAAUGAAUCCCCCCCCCCCCCCAAACAGACUAGCCACUGUCUUGUUUUGGUAGUUGAUCAAAUGAUGAAUGAAGGAGCAGAGGUCACAAUCUCGGCCGACCUAUCACCUAUGUAUUUGCACAAGCGUAGCUAUUUGUCAUUCAAUACUCAAAAAGGCUUACGCAAGAAAACGCAUAAAUAUCAAAACAUACAUCUACAUCCUUAUAUAUUGAUUUUCACUUUACCAUGCACUCACAAGUCACAAUCUAAAAAUCUGAUUGGCUUUUUUUUUCAAAAAUAAAAAUUUUUAAAUACAAUACUACAGUAAUGUACAAAUAAAAAUAAAUCAAAAAAUAUAUCAUUCAUAUAAUAUAUUAAAUAUUUAUAGUAAAAACUUUUCAUAUACACUGUUACAGUGAAAUUUUUUAAAAAUAUUCCCAAAAAACAGUUUGUUCCAAAGGGAGUGUUGUCCAACUUCUCUAGGAUAUAAGUUGCACCUACUAUUCGGAAAGCAUUCGAAGGUGACAAAAAGAAAUACGAAUUUGCGUAGAAAGAAAUACCGGCCAGGGGAAAGCCCACCAACUGAUGGAGAGUUUAUUUAGGCUUAAUAGGAUCAUCACAGGGCUACAGGAAUGGCAAGUCGUGGAGUAAUUCACCACACCACUUCUGGCGAAAGCAUUAAACUGAAAUCACAUUUUCUCAACUGCCUCUACCGACUUUGGGAUAAAGUGUGGUCAGACAACGCCAAAGGAAGAAAGGCAGGAGAUUUUCUAUAAUCAAUCACUUGAUUCAUUUAGGAGAUGACUUCUAAGCUUAAAAGAUAGGAAAUGAGUUCCCUUUUUCGUGAAAAUUUCUACGGUUUUGGAGAGCCGUGCUGACGGGAUAUCUUUAUUUCAAGUCGAAAAGUGUUAAACUUGUAAAUUAUCCAUCUCAUCCGGAUUUUGAGGUACAAUAAAGAACAAGCAUAAUCUAAUCAUGUUUCUCCUGCCUGAGACAGUAAUACACAAUAAAUUAUGUUUUCCAAGAAAAACUCAAUUAGUAUAAUGCACAAUACAGACUAAACCGUAAUUGCCUGAUUGGCUGCCGGAGCCCUGACGCAUUCCCAUUUCCAAUAAUUAUCAGUCUUGGUUGCAUCCCGUUGCACAUGAAGGACGAAAGCAACGGCUAAAACUGGAGACACAAGAUUUGGCUUUGUCGAGAUUUGGCCUGUUCUCAUCCUUCUUCUCGGAAUAUGUUUUUGUAUGUGAUGAGUUACGUCUGAUUGUCGGAAUGGUUAGUAGUGAUUAGUUUGCCAAUUACCACGUAUGAUCUUCAGGCUUUUGUUUGAUAAAGUCCACGUAGGUUUUAGUGGUUGACGAAAACCUUGAAAUUAAGCAUUUUGGUGGAUACAGACGCGCCUUAAACAAAACAAUGGUCCUCCUACGGUUUUUUAUUCUUUUGGGUGGAGGCCUGGAGGUCCUCCCACGUUAGCAUCGUGUUUUCUGCUGAUAUAAAGGGUCCAUUACGUAUUACUACAUUCUCAACCAAACGACCUCAAUCCUCCUCGUAUAGUACCAACCGAGUGGCUUAUUUUCUGGAAUUGAUCCAACAGGUCUACAUGUUUCCCUCUAUCUGGCUCGUGUUCUUCUUGCUAUCGUGUUUAGAUUGUAUUUUUUAGAGUUUCUGUAAUAAAAAGUGUAUUGUAGCGAUUUGAUAUAUGUGAGGUAAAAAAAUGAUUGAAAAAUAUGUUUACGAAAAGCGUGAAAAUUUUUUUCAUGAUAAAUUCCUUUCCAAGGAUAGAGAUUUGAGGUGCAAUCAAGUCAAAGCUUGCGAGCGACUUGGUUAAAAGCUUUGACCGAGCUCAAGUUCGAGCUCGAUCCACUCGUUACAUUCAACGAGUCGAGUUCGAACUCUAAAAAUAAAUACUCGAGUGCUCGACGAGUUUAAUCAAGUUUUCAUAUUAUAUUUAUAUUAUAUAUUUUGAGAAAAAUUUUAUAGGUUUCAUUUAAAACUCGAGUUCAAGUAAAUCGGACUUGAUAUUUACUCGAACUCAAACGAGUCGAGUUCGAGUUUAAUUUUAUUUUAUCGAGUCGAACUCGAGUCCAAAUUUAUUUACUCGUUCGAGUUCAAGGUCGAGCUCGAAUACUGUACUACUCGAACUCGACUCGAUAACAUCCUUAGUAAAGAUUUGUUAUUCCCUCGAAGCAAUGAAUUGAUGGAGACAUAUGCACAACUUUUUUUUUCUGACAUUUUCUUACAGAAUUAAGAAUUUAAGUAAAUAAAUCUAAUCCCCACAGUAACUUCAAAAGCCGGCAACUUUUGAAGUCCUGUGAGGAAUUUAUCUACCCAAACCCUUUCUCCCCCAAUACCGACGUGGGAUAGAAAACCUCCCACAGGAUGCCCUGCUUGAAAUAUGCACAUAUGCACAACUUGAAAUAUGAAAGCAAGGAAAAAAUGGAGCAAUAGCAGUAGGAUUAUGAUUUCGGGCCACCACAGGCAUAGAGUAUUUUAUUCAUUUAAAUGCGUUCAGAUAGUUUCUUAUUUGAAGGAAAUUAUUUGAUUAUAUCACAAACAAACGUACUUUUUAUAAAUUUAAUUAUAAAUUUAAUUACUUUUUUAUUUCACACCUAUAGCAUUACAAAAAACAUGACAGUAAUAUUAAUAUUAAUAUUCCCCCUCCUUAUUUUGCCACUUUUCUCACUCUGUAUUGCAGCUUAUAAUUCGUCUUGAAUGUCACUAAUAGCAGUCAAGAGUUCGAUAACUUAACAUGCUAAAUCUCCGAGGCUGCAGACUCUGACUUAAAUUUCCCGUGCGGCAGAUUUUGGGCCGUUACACGAUUAGAAAAAUGGGGUAGCGUCUCCAUCCGUACAGUGACAUGACAUGACCUGACCUGGGCCAGCAUCAACUGAAGUCUCUUGCGAAGCGCCAAUCACAGCUGGCAAGUGAUCGAGUCCAACGUUCAUAUUGGUGAAAAAAAACGACUAAAAAUCAGAUAAUUUCAACCAGAUCAUCAUGAAUUGACAUUUUGUCCAUAAGGUGGAAACCAUACAGCCGACUUGGUGUUGUAAGCAUGUACAUUAAUCAGGAAGGAAGUAGGCCAACAAGAUUGCGACAUUUUACCCAAUAUCAUACUUUUCUUUGACCCGUCACCGUUAUUUUUACCCAAUAUUUUUUUUUUUGUCUGGAAAAGUUAGGGGAGCUCAAAAUAGCAGCGACAGAAUAUGUGGGUCCACUUGGGCACAACAUAAUCUUACCAAUUCAUACUUCCAAGGUAACUAAGUACUCUUUGUAAACUCUCACUGACCGAUAAACUUUUGAAAUCGUUUUCCAAAUUUGAGAACUUAAACGAAGGUGAGUUCCAAGGUAAGGCAAUGUGAGAGUUUUUUUUUCUUUCCAAUUCUGAUUUUUCGUUGUAAAAUUUGCAACUCGACAGUGUGCUUACAUUCAGGCAAUUUCAUGGGGGUAAGGCCAUCAUGUUGGUUUUUACAAUUUGGAUGAGAUCAAUCAUCAAUAAUUGGCCACGUUGCCCCAAUAUUCCACCUCCUCUUAUCAUCUUUACGUUCCCACACACACUUCCCCACUAACUCCACGAUCCUUUUAUUUUACCCCCUGACCAAAUAUACCACAACGGUAAGUAAACUUAGCAAGUGCCAUGCACCUCCGUCUAUAAAACCACCAUAGAACUAGAACCAAAUACUUGUAACGCCGAAAAGAAAUCUCCCCUUGGAAAGAUUCUUUCCUCGAUGCUCUGCGUCCCAAAGAUUCAGAGCAACAUGGCAACUCCCUCCGCCCCCCACCACCACCUCCUCCUCCUCCUCUCCCUCAUCUCCCUCUCUUCCCUCCCCUCCACCCUCUCCGCCGGCGGCUCCGUUGCCAUCAACUACGGCCGUGUUGCCAACGACCUCCCGUCCCCCGCCAAGUCGUCCAGCUUCUCAAAGCCCAAGGCCUCACUAAAGUCAAGCUCUACGACACAGACUCCAAUGUCCUCUCAGCCCUCUCCGGUUCCGGCAUCUCCGUGACCGUUGCACUUCCCAACGAACAGCUUUCCUCCGCCGCCGGCGGCCAAUCCUACACUGACUCGUGGGUGCAGUCCAACGUCCUUGCUUACUACCCCAAAACUCUCAUCGAAGCCAUUGCCGUCGGGAACGAAGUUUUCGUGGACCCCAAGAACACCACUCCUUUCCUCGUACCCGCCAUGAAAAACGUCUACUCUUCGCUGGUUAAGUACAACGUUUCCGCCAUCAAGAUAUCUUCCCCCAUUGCUCUCAGCGCACUGCAAACCUCGUACCCGUCGUCCUCCGGUUCGUUCAAGUCGGAGCUGAUUGAGCCGGUGAUCAAACCGAUGCUGAACUUCUUGAAACAAACAGGUUCGUAUGUCAUGGUCAAUGCGUAUCCGUUCUUCGCUUACACGGCGAACACGGACACGAUUUCGUUGGACUACGCCUUGUUUGGCAACAACAAAGGCGUAACAGACCCGAAUAACGGGCUGGUCUACAAGAGCCUGCUCGAGCCCAGCUCGACGCCGUUUUCGCAGCGAUGAAUGCGGUGGGUUUUAAAGACGUCAAAGUCGCGGUGUCGGAAACCGGGUGGCCGUCCAAGGGGGACGAAAAUGAAGCGGGUGCAAGCCAGCAGAAUGCGGCGUCGUACAACGGGAACCUGGUGCGCAGGGUGCUUACGGGUGGUGGGACCCCUUUGAGACCCGACGAGCCGCUCAACGUCUACUUGUUUGCUCUGUUCAAUGAGAAUCAGAAGACGGGGGCCACCUCCGAGAGGAACUAUGGGCUCUUUUAUCCGAGCGAGCAGAAAGUUUACGACGUUCCGCUGACGCUGGAGGCCUUGGCCAGGGCACCCACGGCUUCGCCGUCGAACACGAGUCGGGUGGCGACGAAGCCUCCGUCCACGUCCAGCGGUGGUGAUUUUUCCCCCAGCACCGCGGGCCAGACUUGGUGCGUGGCGAGUGGAGAUGCCGGGGAGGAGAAGCUGAAGGACGCACUGGAUUAUGCCUGCGGGGAAGGAGCUGCUGAUUGCCGUCCGAUUCAGCGCGGUGCCACGUGUUACAAUCCGAACACCCUUGUGGCCCACGCAUCAUACGCUUUCAAUAGCUAUUAUCAGAAGAAUGCACGAAGAAGUGGGUCCUGUUAUUUUGGGGGUGCAGCCUACGUGGUCUCUCAAUCUCCCAGUAAGUCCUCUUCAAAAUACUACAGUACUAUACUUACUAGUAGUAAUUAAUAAAAAAAUAUAUAUAUAUAUAUUUAAGUAUCCAUCAUUGAGCAAAAUUAAAGAAGGGGUGGCUACAAAGUAUAGCACUGUAGCAAUGUAAUUAUUGGUUGAUUCUCCAAUUUGAUUCCGGAUAAUUAUAUGUGUGUGUACUGCAGAGUAUGGGAGGUGCAACUAUCCCACGGGCUAUUGACAGCAGCAGGGACAUUGCGAUGGAAGCUCUGAUUCUACUUCCUUUAUUACAUAGGGAUUUAUUGUGGAGUUAGGUCAGACUUUUUGUUGCUGCGCCAUAUUUAUUAUUGGCUUCAGGGACUCUAUUUUAAUUUUUAAAAUUAUCAUGUAAGUAAUUCAUUUUUUUAUUAUUAUUAUUAUAGAGAGAGAGAGAGUAGUAUUGUAGUAGUAUUAUACAUCGGGUUGGUAUGAUGGCUAUUUGACUGAUUCUCUGUAAUUAAAUACCUACUCUUUGGUGCGUUGAUGAUUAGAUGUCGUGAAAGUUCCAGUUUUCCUCUCUGUUCUGUGCUUAGCUUUUGGUUAGUGCCUCGUAUGUGGCUUCAAAUUUACUCUCCUUCUGCCACGACUUAAAAUCACAAGUAUUUGCUUUCAAGACAAGAUUAAAAUUCACUACAGAUUUUCUGCUAGAGCUUGUGGCUGGCUAGCGUGCAGAAAUCAAUCUUCACAAGAAAUAUUAGAUUUGACAAUGGAAUGGGAGCCCAAGUUCAUCAAUCUUAACAUGGAGUUGGACCAGCCUAUGUUGUUAUAUCACUGAGCCAGCCCAUUCCACUUUACUGACCUGUUUAAAUCUUAAUCAUUAUACUAUUUUUGUCUGUCUUUUCCUUCAAAUUAAAAAAAAAAAAAACCAUAUCUAGAUGGGGGAAAAAAAAAAAGUAAAAGAAAUUACAGUUACAAGCCAAAAAUCUUCAAAAACAAGAUCGCAAACAUCAGCAAAGUGUAUGUAACCUUUGAUGCAGUUGUAGCUAGACGGAAGUGUAGAGAUUCUCGUAUUAUAUGUGCAUUCCUCUUUCCCACACUUUGUUCUUCUUGCAAGAGAAGAGAAGAAAAAAAGAGGAAUAAUAGUUAUGUGACCAGGUCUGGGCUUGCGGCUUACCUUUGCGGAUAAAACCCAAUUAAACAAUGAAUGUCUGUGGCCCAAACAACAGAACGAAACCAACGUCUUUUUUUUUUUUUUUUUUUUUUUUCCAUCGGAGCGGAGGAGUCUUCACAGGGAUAAAUAGCGAGUAUUUUCUAGGUGGUUCUCGUACUAUGGAACUAGUGUAAAUACCCGUGCUACGCACGGUGCUAACAUUAUUGAAAAAAUAAAAAUAAAGGGAUGAAUUUAAAAAGGUUAAAAAAUUAUACCAACACAAUCAAUAGUUUUUAUAUUUGUUUUAAAUAUAAUGAUGUGAUACAUUGUAUGAGAAUUGUUAACCAAAUAAAUACAAUAGUUAAAGAAGAAAUAGCAUCAAUGGUCAGAUAUACAAUUAUAUUAUAAUCAAAUGAAAAUUAAGUAUCAAUAGAAUUGUUGUUAACACCCAUAGUUAAUACAGUAAUUUCUAUAUUAAUAUAUUUUGGUACAUGUAGUAAUUUGAAAUACAUGGCUAAACACUAACAUGCACGUGGCUAGUAGCUUGUUUUCGUAUAUUAUUGUCGGGGUAUAUAUUUUUUAAAAAAUUAAAUUUGAAAGGUUGAAAAAUAAAUUUUGAAGGUUAAUUAAUAUAUUUCUUUUAUUCCAUGUGUUGGAAAUGAAUUAGUUAUAUUAGUUACAUGGAAAAAAGGUUAAAAAUUCAAAAAAAAAGUACCAUUUUAGUAUCUAAUCUAUAUUGUAUUUAUGUACCUUUAUCUAAACCCUCAACAUAUAUUAAAAAAAUUGAACAAAGCUCAAAUAAAAAAUAUCUAAAGAAAUACUAAAAGAACAGCAAGCAUCAAAUGUUACCCUUUCCUGCCUCUCGUGCAAUACAUAUAGAUGUAAAAAUAUAUUUCAUUAAUUUUUUAUCCGGACAGAAACUAUUCAUUAAUGUUUAUGCUCGAACUUCAAGGACAUAUUCGUAACUAUCGUUGAAAAUAUAUAUUACAUAAGAAUAUAUGUUUGAAAAUUUUGAAAAUUAAAUAUUGUAGCCUGGGGUGCAGAAGAUAUAAACACCAGGCAACGAUUUAAUCUUUAACUAAAAUGAAAAAGUUUUAAUUGGUUGUAGUGUUUUAAAGGAGGGAUUGAUGUCUUCAUAAUCUGAACUGAAGCGCCUUCUCGUUUCUUGAAGUGAUAGGUAAUAAGGAAGAAAUAUGUAUCUAUACUCCUCGUAAAGUUGAACUAUAACUAUAAAUAACAUAAUUAAAUUUGGAUGAAAAUGCAUUUAAAAAAUUGCUGAAUUUGUUACAUAUUCUUUUUCUUUUCUUCAUAUGCAUUUUAAGAUGCUAAUAUUUCCAAUCAUUGUGUUUGCAACCAUGCGUCAACCGUUUUAAGUUAUAAAAGCUGUCUGUUGCGUCAACCACGCAUUUUCAUUUUUAAAUGUUCUUCUUACUCUGUCAUUAGUUUUUAUAGUUUCCUUAUUAGAUGAUCAAGAAACAUGGGGGAAAUGUGGGGAAAAUGUAAGCAUGGUUAUAGGAUUUAUAGUAUAUUCAAUAACUUGAUACUCAAAUCACCGAUGAGGUAAAGUUUGCCUAAAUAAACUUUAUAGUGCCCUAAUUCCUUGCAAAAAAAAGUGCUAAAUAGUCCUAAUUGGCAUCGCAAGUUAUGGUAACGUGCCAGUGGCAUCUAGGCCUAAUUUUUUUUGGGGUAAAAAUCUAGUACUAAUUGGUUCUGCUGUUUCUUGAUCAUGUUGUAUGCUUCUGAAUUAAAAUUGUAUUAAAAUAGCAUGUGAAUAAGCAUUUGUCUUUAAUUAAGGAGUAAAAAGGAUUUAAAGUAUAAAUAAAUGCAAAAGUAUAAAAAGGAUUUAAAGUAUAAAUAUAUUUAACGAUUUAUGAAGUAGAUUAUGGGAAAGUUUUAAAUUUUAAAUCUAACUGAUGAUAAGGUUGGUUAUAACCCACUACUUUUUAUGUAUUAAAAUAAAUACAAUAAUCUAUAAUCGGCUACUUGUUUCGGUCUUGGGAUUUUUUUUUUAGAGUUAAAUAUAGUAAAACCCCUUAACUUUACAUUUAGCUGCACUUUACCCCAUCAACUUUACAUUUAGUUGCACAUUUGUGAUUUUUUUGAAACGUAAUUGUAAUUUGCAAAGCUCAUUUGUAGGGGUGGUUAUAGGGUUAGUUUGGUGAUAAAUAUUUCAUAAUUAUAAAAUAUAACAUUAUAUUAAAAUAGCAUACGAAUGAGCACUUGUCUUUAAUUAAGGAGUAAAAAGGAUUUAAAGUAUAAAUAACAAACUAUAAACUGCUUAUGAAGUAGCUAGCGAAAAUGUUUUAAAUUUAAAAUUUGAUUGGUGAUAGGAUUGGUUAUAACCCACUACUUUUUAUGUAUUAAAAUAAAUAUAAAAAUCUAGAAAAAAGAAUGAAAAAGUUUGCAAGCCAUUGAGAGGGUCUCUGCUAAAAAUCCCUUCUGCAAUACAUAUAGAUAUAGAUAAAGAACGUAUGAAAAUAUUUUAACCUGUGAUCUGGAGUCCCAUGAUGGGAUUUUCUCCAAGUAAACUGGAAAUUGCCCGUGUGAAGCAUAAAAUGAUCAAUUUUUAAGAUCUCUUUCUAUCACAUCUUAAGGAAUUGCAAUUUGCACGCAACCAAAAAUAGGACCUUAUGUUGUUCAUGUCCAUAUACAUUGCAAUUCUCUCUCAAUCAUUUUGUACUGUAAAAAUUCAUGCGAGUCGUAUUAGUGUGUGAAAAGAGAAGAAAAAAGCAAUUCUUUAUGGUGCCUGCCUGCCCAACGAUAAUCCUUGAUUCCGAAGUUACUGGCGAACAAUCCCAUCAUUUUACCAAAAUAAUUGUCGACCCAAACGGAAUACUUCACCUCUACACAAGCCAGCCUGAUUGACAGGGGUGUCAAUGGGUAUUCGGACUUAUAUCCGAUAAAUUUUUUCGGAUUUGGGUUGAAAACUAAUUUUGAUAUCUGGAUUCGGAUCCAAUCCCGUUUACUCUAACAAAAACAAGUCGGAUACGAAAUAUAGGAUUAUGAUCCGUAUCCGACCCGGCCAAACAAUAUAAUAAUAAUUAUAAAAAAUAUUUCUAUAUAUAUUAUUUUAUCAAAUUAAUAAUUUAGUAAUGACUUUAUAGAUUGAUUUGUAGUUACUUUUGGAUUGACUAUUACGAGUUAUUUGUGAUUUAAUUUUCUAAUUUGAUUUGUUUAAGUUUGAAGAUUGGAUCUAUGAUUGGUUUUGGAUUUAAUUUUGUAAUGUUUAAAUUUUGACCUUUUCUUUCCAAGUAGACUCGGAUUCGACCCAGAUUUGAUCCAGGACCAUCAAACCUGGAUUCUCGGAACUUUAAAGUCAAGACUCGUCAAAUAUAUGGUCGGGUCCGAAGCUAUUACAUAAAAACAUGUUCGGGUCAAAAUUUUGAAUUUCGUCUCAAACCCGGCCCGUCGACGCUCUACUAAUUGACAAGCAGCUGAGACCAACAAAUCGGCAGAACUAACAACUUUGCUCUGCACCAGCUACAAUCCAUGGGCCCAAGUAAUAACAGCUGAUUUGCGUUUUUUUUCCUUUCUUGUGGAGUUAAUUUUCAUGAAAUUGCACAAAAUUAAUUCAACCGAGUAUUUUUAACAAAGCGAAUGCAUCUGUUUACAGUGAUAGGAGCGGUUGCUGUCUACGGAAAUAUCUGCAUUUGUUAAUUGGCUAUCUCAAUAUUCAUUGCGUAAUGGUUUGAUUAUGCAUUGUGUAUGAUGACAACAACAAUAAAUUUUAAAAACUGAAAUAAAAGAAAACUUUCGGUGAAAAGGGGAAAGGAAAGUAAAAUGGUCGGAAGGCGAGGGUAUUGGUAAAGCUGCGUCGUUUUAUUUUAGGCAUCCAAGCGUAAUGCGAAAGGAACCAGCCCAUCUGAAGAUGAGUUUUUGAUUACUACAUCCACGUCCGAAACAUGCAUCACGGUAGCUUGCAUUUGAAGUUAUGUCAUCAGUCGUCAGCACGGGCCCAAAACAUCAAGCGUGGCUCUAGAGGACGAAUUUAUUACUAGUAUUUUUCUCUUUUUUUUUUUUUUGGUUGGUCUGGAGUGAAGGAGGAUAUUUUAAUCCUUAAUUAACUGGCCUGAUGAAUAAACAAAGGAUUAAUCUUUCCUACUGCACUGUCAGUGUAUACACUGUCAGCAUUGAAUGAAUGAUAACUGUACAAAAUUUGAAUUUGAAAUUUAACUUUUGCACGCAUGCCAUGAAUCCAACGAUGAUAGUGCAUACACUGUCAGUCAGGAGUAUAUAAGAUUUACUAACAAACAAAACCUUUCCUAAAACUUUUCGGUUUUGCUAAAAAACUGAAAAAAUAUUGGAUUCACGAACAAAUAUUUCCUAAAACCUUUCAGUGUAAACAAAACCUUUCAGAUUUACUCAUAAAUAAAACCUUUCCUAAAAAAUUUUAGUGUAUUGGAGAGUCUCGUCUCGUACAUAUUUUUUGCUUUCAGUUUGUGUCUUACACAUCAUGGUAUAUAAUUCAGUUCUUACGCUCCAUUAAUACGCUUUAAGAAAUUCACUUAAGUUGUGAAAAUGACUACUUAUAAAAGAAACUCAUUACGUUUAACACGAGAAAACUUGUCGGGUUUCUUUUAAUGUUUUCUGGUUCAGCUUUCACUACUGAUUAUUAACAAAGCCACCAUACUGGUAUUGUGUGUUUAUGCGUACGCUUUCCACGUUCAUUGCUUUUCGGCUUUUGCAACUUUAACAGUGAAACCUUUUUGUAAUUUAAAUCUUGUUGAAGCUAAAGAAGAAUGGUAGAGUCCAAGCACUCCCUUGUCCCUUUUCCUUCCUCUUAUAAGGUCAAGGAUAUUUAAAAGAAUUUUUUUUAAAAAAAAAAAAAGAUUGAGCGUCAAAUAAAAGGUUUCUGCCAUUAAGUUGGAUGUUUUCCGGUGCGUGGGAUGUUUCUCAAGGAUGGUUCAUGGCUGGCUUAUUGGAUGCUUUUCGAGAUUAGAGGGCAUUCAACGGUUUCUGACUUGAGAAAGGAUGAGAACCUCUUGAGUGACAUAGGAAAAAAGUUAGUCAAGCUUUCAUUUUCUCAUACAAAGGUGAAAAAGAAAUUAAGAAGUAUAUUAAACAAAACAUUAUUGUUAAAACUUUUCUUCAAAAACUGGCAAUCGAAAGGUUUCACACAUUCUUACUCCAGCUUUCAUUUUCUCAUAGACAGGUAAAAAAUAAAUAAUUAAGAAAUAUAGUAAACGAACAUUCUUAAAACUUUUUUUUUUUUUUUUUUUUUGGUUUGAAAAACUUGCAAUCGAAAUUAAAAACCGGCCUUUUGUUUUUAUAGAUCCUUGAAUGCUCAAACUUUGAACAAAAGCAGAAGGUUAAAGUAAGGAAAAAUCGUUCGAAAUGUCUGUCAUAUUAUAUCAAAUGAAUUUUUUUUUGUCAUUUACUUUUAAACCCUUUAUAAAAUGAAAUCGAUAAAAUUUGAUUCCAAUCUAGAUUUUUAACCAUUUUAACAUUGAAACUAUCACGUGACCCAUACAAGAUCAUGUUUUAGAUCAAUCCAUAUUCAUUUUUGCCUCUGAAAUAUAUGAUCUAACCUAAUCCAUAUUUAUUUUUCUCUUAAAAAAGUGAAAACUAACUUAAUUUAUAUUGAUUUGCACAACUAAAAAAAGUAGGAUCUAGCCUUUCUGUAUAUAAAAUAUAAUUGCAUAUGGAUCACAUAGUGAUCUUAGGCUAAAAAAGUGGUCGAAAACUUAGGUGGACACUAAAUUUUAUUAAUUUGAAUUUGUAAUGAACAUAAAGCUAAUAUUUAAAAAGUGAGAGAUAAAAAAAUUUAUUUGACAAAAAUGUGAGAGACAUUUUGAACAAUUUUUUUAAAAGUUAAGUCUUUCCAAGUUGAUUUGUGCAAGUGAUUGGCCUCAUUUGCUGCCUUCUCCAAAAUGUAACCAUAACGUUAUGCAACGGUAGUAGUUCUAUUACUUUCUCUUUUCUGCAGUUACUAAUCUUUUAUUUGGAAUCAGAAAAUCCACUAUUCUAUUAUCAGACUUUUCAUAUUUCCAAUAGGAGAACAUAGUAAAACAAAAACAAAAAGAGACAAAAUCAUAUAUAUCUAAAAUAUGGGGGAGGGGAAUUUUGAAGGAAUUGUACAUUUAUCAUUAGGAGCCUCGUUCAUUCGAAGCUAAACGUUAGAUAGACUACUCUUCAAUAUGUUAUGAUUAUGAAGAUAAUUUUUAGCAACCUUCGUGAUAUUUGAGAUGCUUGUUUACCAGGAUAUGUAAACUUUAUGGCCAAAAAUUUCAAAAAAAAAAAAAAAAAACCGUAAGAAAAACACACUAGCGCUAGAAAUAUGACAACUAAAAAUUAGGUGUACAAGUAAGUAGUGUAUUUGAUGAUUUGAGAUUAAUAUGGUAUAGGAAAAGGUUGAACUUAGGCAGAGGAAGCUGCAAAGAGGUAUUAUGCCACUCUUUAUGGUUGGUCGGUGUUGGUGCCGUGGUCGAACAAAAUCACCAAACCAAAAACAAAUCAAACAACCAUUUCUAAGUCAACUUUUUGUUCACACUGUAUAUUAAAAGAAAUCAAAAUGGGCCAUGGAAAACAAAAAAAAAAAAAACCCAAUAAUAAUUAAAGGGUUAAUUUUAGAAACCUCCCCUGAGGUUUAUAAUAGUCUCACUACUCUCCUCCAAGGUUUUCAAACUAUUGGAAACCUCCUAUAAAACUAAUUAGUUAGUAACAAAUCAACCCAAUUCAAAUACAAAAGUAAUAUAAAAUUGGUAUUAGGAGAGAGAACGUAAUUUGAUUCUAUAACUACCCUCAAGUUUUGCAUUAGGAUGUUAAUUUACUACGAACAAUAUAUAUAUUUUUUAACUUUAUCAAAUGUGAAGAGUGUAACUAUUACCACAUUCAUAGAGUGUAAACAAAAGACCAGCUUUCUAACUCUACAACAAAUUUAGCAACUCAAUAAUGUCUCAUUUACAUAUUGCACGUGCAAUAUCAUACUAUUACAUCUAUUACAACACAUCAGUUGUAUAAUCUGCUACAAGAGAAAUAAAGCAUGUUAACUUAGUUACAACCAACAUUUCGGUUUAAAAAAUAUCAUUUCUUGAAUAAUUAGAAACAAAAAAUUUUUUGUCAUCAUUAAAAGAUUUUUUAAUUUAGUAAUAUACAACUAACAAUCUUUACUUAUAUUUUAUACAACAUCAACGCCUAUUUUCCAUGAUAAUAAAAGUAUCAAUUAGAAUAUUAAAAAAAACACUAUAAUUGAAGGAUUAAUCUUUCCUACACUGACAGUGUAUACACUAUCAGAGUUGGAUGAAUAACAACUAUGCAAAAAUUGAAUUUGAAAUUCAACUUUUGCACACAUGUAAUGAAUCCAACGAUGAUAAUGUAUACACCGUUAGUGUAGGAAAUAUUUACUCAUAAUUGAAUACCAUUCAUCAAAUGAAGAGGAUUAUAUAGAACAUAAUACAAGCUACAUAAUGUUAUAUUUUUCAUUUUUUGUUUGAUCAAAGUUAUUCAUUUUCACUUGCAAGGUCACUAUUAAGCAUGGCCAUUAAGAAUUACUUCAACAUUUACAAACAAAUAAUAAAAUUUUCAAAACCUAAGAGCAGAAAAAUCUUAGAGGCUGACCUUAAGAUUUUCACAAUCACCAAAAUUUUGAGGGCAACUUUCCUCUUCAAGUCUCAUAAAUCCUUAGAUAUGCUUAAAUAAACUCAAUUUCUCUUGCUCCACAAAAGCUACUAAAAGUUUGAAGAAUUGUUUCCACUUACGCACACCAAUUAUCAAUCACAUAAAGAUGCCUAUAUUUGACCCCUCUUUUGUAAUGGCAUAUUUGAAUUAAAAAAAAAACUUAUAAAAUGUCAUUAUUUCUGUUAAAUUUAGUUAAUACCAAUUUAACUAGUCAUGUGAAAAUAAUUGUGAAAUGUCUCUUUAGUUGUGUGUGGGUAUUUAAGGCGUUUCUUCAUGAUUGACGUGGCAAUUGAACCCAAUAGUCUGACAGGGGGUGUUUCUGAUAUUUUAAAAACCUUAGGAGAGGGUUGUGAGACUGAAAUUAUCCCUAAAAUCCAAUCCGAAGCCUCAUACGUGUAGCUCAAUUGUUCAACCAAGCCUUGUGAAAGCCAAAACCAUCUGCCGGUUGGCGUGACACGGAGCCCCCUCAAUUUACCAGUUAAUGGGUCAAUUAGUCAGAGUGGACCGGCCCCCUGAUUCAGCUUGCUUGCUUUAUGUCCCCACUCUCCCGCCGAUUCAACGACUGGUCACCGGAACUCACCUUAGCCUAGCCAGUGAGCUGAAUAAAGGCGGGAAGAUCUGGAUCACAUGAUUGUGUUUGGCUGACAACGUGGUCAGUUGGAUGGAUCCCACCCGCACCACCUGAUGCCUCUCGAGGUUGAGAAAUGGUAGUCUCUACUGGGCUGCUACUACUACCAUAUUUUAAUGCUAAUUAAAAUAUGGGUACAAAAUGGAAAAAUAAUUUCUGCUGAGGUAGGGUAGGAGGGUGGAUGGUCCCGGAGGUUGAGUUGGGUCGGGCUGGUGGGUCGCGGGUUGGUGUAUUUAUUAGGACUUGGUGCGUGUAGAAAAUUCGAAAUUCAACACGCAGUUGUUUGCCAAAUUACCUUGACCUUCCCUAAACUCUUACAUAAUUGCCCCUGCUUCUUCGUUUUGCAAAAUUGUGCUAACCUCUUCCGAUUUUUUUUGUUAAAUAAGCCUCUCAUUUGUCCUAUAUUGCGAUGCUAGUACAACACACUAUGUUUAUAAUAAUCCAAAAUAUAGCAUUUGCAAAACCUUUGAGACAGUAGUUUAGGAAUUGAAAGCUCAUUUCGUAGUGUAAGCGGUCAAUGGUUUCUGAACUAACUAAUGUUAAAUGAUAUCUAUUAUUUCAAAAUUUCAUGAAGUGCCAAAAAUGAUAUCUAUAUAUUUGGUUUGUUUGGAUAGAAUAUUAUUUAAAAUAAUUACUGUAGCACUUUUUUAUAAUAUAAUAUAUGCGAGAUAAAAAAGAUAAUUAAAAAUAUAAAAAUAUGAAUUGAAAAACGUGUUUAUGGUACAAGUGAAAUAUUAUUGAAAAAAGGUGGGUUUAUUUAACUUCUUAAGUAAGUUUUAUGUAAAAAUUUUGCGAUAAAAAAUAGUGAAGAUGAUAUUUAUAAAAAAAAAAGUUAAAGGAGUGUUUGGAUAUCAUUUUUCCUAUCAAAAUUAACAAAAUCAACAUAAGAAAAAAAAGAGAGAAUAUUGUAGUCUAAGAUAUACCUAGGGAAGUCAAUGCAAUUGCUACAAACUCUAGGGGAGAUUAUCAUAAUUUACUAUAUUUAUCAUGGAAGAGGGAUGGCUAAGCAAUUUUCUUGUGUUUGUGGGCACGAGGGUUAGAUUAUCGAUAGUUGCGCGUCUACAGUCUGUCCCUUGUUGACCCCGCAGCCUGGUCGAGACUUAAUGGUCAUGCUGGUCAAGGUAAUUUUUCCUUUUCAGGAGUGCCACUUUUUUCUUUUUUUUUUUUCCCCUGUCAAAGGUGCACGACUAUUUAAAACUCCACUUUUUACUCAUUUUCAUAAUUUUUUGCUGGUUUAUCCUUUUUCAUCGUACUUGUGGAUGAAUUUUCAAUCCUUCCCAUAAUUGAAUUUUUAUGUUGGAAAAGCCUAAUGCGAAUUGAAAGUAAGUGCCUAAUUCUUUUUUUUAUUCAUGUUUGAUAUUUCGACCAAUUCAAAAGUUCUAAAAUUCAUGAGUACUAAUUUCCAAAUUCUACUUUGUGCUUGUUCUUUAGGAAAAUUGCCAUGCACGAUUAACUUAAAAUACUUUAUUUUGUUCAGAAAUGUCCAUGUCAAAAGAAAAAUCUUGGAUCGUAAAACAAAAUAAUACUUCCCGUUUUGCGUUUUGCUUUAGGCCUCCUCCAACCUUCAAAGUCGGAGAGACUCGAGAGGGGAGAGGGGGAACUUGUACUACAUUUAUUUGGCAGUGGACGGUCCCGUUUGAAUUUCUAUUUUUUAUGAUUUUUUAAAGCAAAAUAUAUCACAACACUAUUUAAUAUAUAUAUAUAUAUAGUAAAAAUACGAUUGAAAAAUGUAUUCACAAAAAAUAUAAAAAUUUUCUUUAGAAAACUGCAUUAUGAACUAGACCAUAAUCUUCCAAAUUUGAUAUUAUCUAAGAAAAUCCAAUAAUCAUUAGAGGUAAAUCUGAAUUCAGUGUGUGAAUACAUUUUUCAAAAACUUUGAUUAGCAAUAUUGAAAUGGUCUGGUUAACGGUUGCCUUAUGGAUACUCGUAAAGGUUUAUCGUAAUUGUUAAUUUUUUGAAAUAUAAAAUUAAUUAGGAAAGAGUAUAAAUAUAAAGGGAUUAAUUAGAAAAAAUAUAUAAAUGUAAGAAAAAUUAGUAAUUAUAAAUAUACGUAUAUACAUAAUAGGUUAAAUGAAAUAUAGAUGUGUUAACGUGGGUAUCCGUUUAAAAAACCCAUAUACAAACAGUAAAGUUCUUUGGUUCCGUCUUUGAUGUCAAUUUGCUUCAUGGAAAAUUAUGAGAUUUGUUGAACAUUCCGGGAGCCAGGUAUGCAAAUAAUUCGUUUCUCAGGGUUGGGUGCAGGACGGCACCGUCACGGCAAAUCAUACCAAGCGGUGGCGGCCUCAUCCACCAAGGUGUCAUGAGGAUGAUAGUGCGAGCAUGCCCAUUCCAAUUCACAAUUUAAUUUCUAAUAAUGACCCUAACAUAUGUGUAAAAUUAGUCCUUUCUACAGACUUAUGCAAGUUAGCUUGGCUAUUACGCCUAAUCAUUCAGUCAAAUUACUUCUUUGACCACAAUCUCAGCUUGUUUGCUGCGUCUACAUUUGCAACAAAAUUGUUUUUUACAAGUUCUGAUGCAGGGGUGAUCAAUAGCCAAAGUACACGCAUGUACGCACAGCUUUUUCUGAGUUUAUUGGUCACAGUUGGGGCUUUAUUAAUUGUUGGGAAGUAAAAUAGUAUACAAGAAAUAUAGGUAUGCAUAAACCGCUCAAAGUAAUCACCAACCCACCGUCAAAUCAUGAAAGUUUGGUGGGGUAGGAGGUAAGGAUUCAAACCUUGAGCGUUACUUUGAACCGUCUCUCACUAAUCGCUACAGUACGUGGCUCUUUAAAAAACUCAGACGGAUGCCUUAAUCCAAUGAUGGUUCAGUUUCUGUUGGACCUCUCUGUAGGUUAGUUGGGUCCUUUCCUAGAAUAUGUUAGAAUAAGAGUAGGAGUAGGUGUAGAAUAGACUGUUAUGUCAAAAAAAAAAAGCUCAAAGUACUAGUAGUUUACAUAGGCUAGUUAUUCUUCAAUUUAUUGUCAUGUUAUUGGAGCUAAUAAACCAAUUGCCGAACUUAUUUUCUUUGUAAAUUUCGCGAGACCAUAAAUCAUUCAUUGGAGUACUACAAAUUACCCUCACAUCAAUUUAGGAUUUACACACACGAAACAUUUUGUGAAAAAAUGUUGUUGUACUUGACCUUAUCAAAUGACUCAUCAUACGUGACAUUUGCCAAACUUAACUACGCCGGUGAAUGAACAUUCAUUCAGGGUGGUUGGUCAACGACCGUGUCAAAUCUCAAAGUGAAAGAGAGAAAGGGAGCAAGGUAAGAAAAAAUUACUUGGCCGCGAGUUAUCCUGCAAAAUUAUGCAGAUGCAAAAUUGCGGCAUUGCAUAAUGAACUUGGAUUUGGACGAAAAGGGCAAAAGAUUAGAAACGUGCGUUACUUAGGAAAGUAUUGGGAACAUGGAAUCGAUUUGGUCAAUUUCGGGUGCCACCCUCGUCGUUGUUCUUCAUCACUUCGUCUGACGAAGUCGCAUAUUCUCUGUUCCAAGGCAAUAGCAUCUCAAAGCGAAUGCUCGACAUUUUGGAGCAAAUCCAAUCGUAAAAAAGAGAAUAUAUAAAACAUUCUGCCGAGACAACUCAACGGUACGGGGACCUUCGUUGAAAUACUUCUGGAAUUAUUUUUUUUUAAAGUAAAUUUGUUUGGAUAGAGUAUUAUUAGAAAUAUUAUUUAAAAUAAUUACUGUAAUAUUUUUUGUAAUGUAAUAUACGUAAAAUAAAAAAUUAAAUUGAAAAAUAUAUUUGUAAUGUAAGUGAAAUGUUAUUUAAAAAAAAAUGUAUCCAGACAAACCCACUAUUUCUCGAAUUAAUGAAAAAAAUCCUCAAUUUCAUCCUCGCACAACAAAGAAAGAAAAAAAAAAAAAGCUUUUAUCUUCGAUAGAACACUUAAGGAAGGCCGGCCGGCCUCAAAUAUUGACAUAUUUGUUUUUCUUUUGAAAACUAGGACUUGUCCUUUAUGAGUGAAAAGAAAGCAAGAAAAGGAAAAUCUUAUUACACACUAACUUAAUAUUCAAUAUAUUUGGAAGCAUCACGUUUUUUCUUUUUCUUUUUUCGAGAAGAAAAACGAUGGACAAAUUUCUGGUUGGUUUACAAAAUUGGUCCAUUAAUAUCUAUGACCAAUCAUGAAGAAUUUUUACUAAGCCAAAAGUGGCCUCACCUUUUAAUGCAACUUAAUAAAAAUCGUUAAAAUAAUAAUGUAAGAUAAUCGUGUGAUUUCCAAGGACCAUUUUGUCUUUUUAGUCAUCCAGUUAUUCUACUGGCGAUUAAGAAAGAAGAAAACCCAGGUUGUGAAUGAAUGGAUGGUUUUUUUGUUUUUUUUUUUUUUUGAGGGAAUGAAAUGGAUGAAUUAAAGCCAAAGGAUGGGAAACGGAAGAGAAGAGAAAACAACUUGGGUUGGGUUUGUGGGGUUAGGGAUGGUAGAGAAAAUCGAGAAAGUUAUACAGUAGACCCUAAGACCGUAGAAAGAAAAACGUUUAAAUUUAACCCAAAAAAAAAAAGAAUUUAAAUAGAGAAAAAGGAGGAACAUAAAAUAAAGGAAAUAGCAGAAUAAAACCAAGAAAGGUACAGUACAUGAACUAAUGAAAUGGAAACUUCCCAAAAAAUAAAUAAAGGAAAAUGAAAAAAAGACCCUCCUCCCUUUCCUUUCUCUCUCUCCCUCAAUUCCUCCUCAACCAAACACACCACAUACAGUAGAGAGAGAAAGUUGUGUGGAGAGAGAGAAAGAGAGAAAAGAGAAAGGAAAGAGAAAAUACUGCCAAAAAAACAAAAAAAAAGAGAUAUCUCAUCUCCUCUCCUCUCUUUUCCUGGAUCUUCAUUUCUCUGUUCUUCUCCUCUUUGUAGAUAAAAGAAAUUUUCGAUCUCUUCUCCUUUUCUUUUCGUUCUUUUGUUUGUAAUUUUGUUGUAAAUUUGACUUUCGGCCAUGCGAGAGGCAGAGCAGCCGCAGUGGCCAAGCAAGCGGCGGCGGCUGCAGCCGCCGGAGAAACCAAUGGAUCUGGAGGAUCUAAAGAGAUCAGAUUCCGUGGUGUAAGAAAAAGACCUUGGGGAAGAUUUGCCGCCGAGAUCAGAGACCCCUGGAAAAAAACUCGAGUUUGGCUCGGUACCUUUGACUCAGCCGAAGAUGCGGCUCGAGCCUACGACGCCGCUGCUCGGACUCUCCGGGGUCCGAAAGCUAAAACCAAUUUCCCUUUGCCAUCAACCUCUUCUUAUCAUCAUCCCCACCAGUUUAGUAAUUAUCAAAACCCUAAUAACCCUAAUUUUAAUAAUAAUGACCCUGCCAUGUUUAUAGAUCACCCUCAAAACCGGUUGUAUCACCAGGAGCCGCACCAGAUUUUGCACCCUCAGCGGCCCACUUCUAGCAGCCUGAGUAGUACUGUGGAAUCUUUCAGUGGUCCCAGGCCUCAGACGACGGCCGCGGCGGCGACUUCCAUGAUUCCGUCCAGUUCCAGAAGACAUCCUCGGUCGCCGCCGGUGGUGCCUGAUGAUUGUCAUAGCGACUGCGAUUCAUCCUCCUCCGUUAUUGAUGACGGCGAUUGUGACAUCGCUUCGUCUUCCUUCCGGAAGCCGCCAUUGCCAUUUGACCUCAACUUGCCAGCGCCGGUGGAUGUUGACGCUGAUGACCUUCACUGCACAGCUCUAUGCCUUUAAUGGAUGUUCUGAUCUGUCUGAUGAUAAUAUGAUUUCCGAACAAUUCGAUAUGGAUGUUCGGAUUUUCCUUUUUCUCUAUUUUUUCGUUUUAAGCCGGAAAAAUUCCCCAAAAAAAAUUGAAAAAAAGGGUCAUAGGCAGGGUAAGACUAAGGUGAUGCUGUAAGAGAGAUGAGAUUGGCGGGUCAUAUGUUGGUCUGUCUGCUAUGAGUCUGUUGUCUGAAGAGAAAUUACCUCUUUUUUCCUAAAAAUAUUCUUAAGAUUAUGAUUUUAAUGUUAUUAUGGUUAGAGGAAUGACUGAGAUGGAUGCUUUGAAACAUGGGCUAGAGUGUGAUAUGAUAUCAUAAAUGUAUGAUGAACUGAUUACUCUUAUUUUUGUAUCUUAACUGUAUGGGAGCUUUGGGAUGUAGAGCAGUCUCUACUGUUGUUGUUGCUCUUGAAGUGAUACGAUAUUUACUUUAGUAUUUACUUGUAAAACUAGACUGGGUCAAACAGUUCUGAGGUGCAGCUCAUGUUGAUUUACGAGGAUAUGAACAUUGCCACCCUUUGUUUUAUGUAAAAUGAGAGCUUUAUCUAAUUUGAUUGACGGUCAAAAGGAAGUUCUUCUUUAAAUGAAUCUGUAGAUUUGUGUGCUAUUUCGUAGAUCUUGGUUGUUGAUGAGUUUUUAUUUGCUAGGCUUGUGUAUUAAUGCGUAGAGGUUCAUAUGCAAGCCCUGUCAUUAGUUUAGUAUUUAAGCAUGAGUAUGUAGUCAGUGUUGAAGUAAAAAGUGCAUUGAAUGAUUGAUCAAGUCGGUAGACUUGAAGCCAUGCAUGAGAUUUUCCUGUUGGAAGUUAUGAAUUGCAAGUUAUCGUGUGUGGUAUGGAGUAUUGUUUGUUUUUUGAUUUGUGGAUAGCUCUUGUUAUGUUUCUUUCUUCAGCAUUCGGAUGCUUGAAAUGAGGAAGCAUUGAACCUAGAAAUAUUCAACAGAUUGGAUCUAAGUUGAGGUUGAAUUUGUUGGCUAAUUUGUUUGGUGUACUAGUAAUAACAAAGCUAUUAGCCUAUUGAUCCGUUUCUUACCGUCUUAAAUACUUACUCUUUUUAGAGCUUGACAUCAUCUAUUGCUUGCAGAAGUUUGUUGAAUUCAUGUAGUAUACCUUUGUAGUGCUCUGACUUGCAUCAUAAUGCCCUUCCUUUUUUCCCUGUGGUUGUGCUUUGCUCUGCAUAAGCAUCUUAGUUGUAUCACAAUGGGUGAACUUGUGCUUUGAAUCUUGUACCAGAAUGAUAUGUAAAUACAAUUAGCUUGAGAUAAUUCGGUCUGGCAGUUUUUUUGCCUCUCAUAUGUUUAGAACUGCGAAGCUUGUUCUUGUUAACCAUUCACUUGUGUUUUUUCUUUUCAUUUGUUUUGCAUCUGGCAAAUUACCUCUAGGAGCAAGUUGCAUGCUAGCACUUUUGCAAGGUAAGAAGUUGAUUGGGUGGGAAUAGCCAAACACCAUGCUCUACUUGAUUGCUAGGACCAUGGGAUUGUGGCUAGUUAUAUAUUAGUGAAUGAGAGGUUUUGUGAUCAAAUGGUGAUGCAUUGAAUACUCUAGUGAGUGGAUGGAUAGGCUUAUGGAGGCUUCUUUGCGGGAAUUGAUAUUUUUGUUGAGGAGGGUAGUUUAUACCUCUCUUGCUUGAUGGUCACAUUAGAUAUGCAUACUGUGUUGUAGAUGCUAGGUACUUUGACUUUGUACACGUUGGCUCACUGAAGAUGAUAGGAUCUGUACCUUCCUUCCUCCUUUCCCCAUAUAUUUGGUGUUUCAUUCUGUUGAAAACUCCUUUUUUUGCCUGGUAAGGCCGAUGCCUACUUUUUGAACAUUUUCUGAAACUUAAAUAAACACCCUGUUCUUAUUCUGAGUUGCUUCCUUUAAUCCUGCUAUUCGGCAUCAAAUAGAAUCUCCUGCUGAGAUUAAUGCGCUUUGGUACCAUGGGGUCAUAGUUGCAAAGGUCUUCCUUUUGAGUCUUGUUAUCAAGUGUUCUGUUGGAUUUCAAUGCGAAUGAACUUAUCAUAACCAUCAGCUAUUUUGGCGGGUAAUGCACAAUUUAAAUGAUGUAUACAGCAGUGCAUUUUAUGAUCUCAUGGAAGAACAAACUCGUGUGAGGCGGGCACUUUUGGUCUGGGGGAAUGACUAACAGUAGUAUUUAUUUGUCAUGAUUUGACCGGUUCUUGCGCCUGUGUAGGUGACCAGAAUUUGAAUUAGCUCAUGCACCGGUGACUGGUUUGGCGCUGGCGUGGUUAUGUUGAACUGGCUGAAUGUCAAGUACUGUAAUUGCUUAAAAAAAUAAAAAGGGGUACUGUAAUUCUUAGCUUCCUCCAAUAAUCAUGGAAGUGGGAGUGAGACUAGGGAGUAAGGGAGAUCUAACUGCAAUUCUCGUCGUAUCCUACUUUUAUUCAUGCUUUCCUGUAGAGAUGCUAUCAAUUUCCCUCAAACAAUUGGUCAAAAGUUAAAGAAUUGCCCGCAAGAUAUUCUGCAAUCUUAAUCCAUUUCUACAGUUUUGUGUGUAGUGGAAAAAUCUUAAAAAAAAAAAAAAAAAAACUUGUCCUGGAGAAAUGAACAAGGCUUUUUCAAAAAUCAUUAUUAUAAUAUAUUUGGAUUUGGAAUUGUAGGUGAGUGGUUCCCAACGUUCCAGUCCUCAAAGCUACUUAUGUAAUAAUAAUACGUUGAGCAAGUAUAUUUCCCUACGUAAAAGUCCACCUUCCUUUUGUAGUUUGCGGCCUUUGAGACUUGAAACUCCACAUUUUAGUCCAUGUCCCAGAAUCUAUCAACCCUCGGACCAUGGAGAGAUGUUAGGGGAAAGUACUUGACCUCCUUAGACAUCAAAUCUUAGGUGGGAACCGGCAUUGCAGGUUCUGUUUAGAUUGUGGACGAUUAUAUAAGGAGCGGGGCAGGGACGGUCAACCAUCCUGAACAACAAUAUUAUUUGUUUGGAUAGAGUAUUAUUUGAAAUAUUAUUUGGAAUAAUUACUGUAGUAUUUUUUGUGAUGUGAUGUAUGUGAGAUAAAAAGGUGAUUGAAAAUAUAAAAAUGUGAAUUGAAAAAUGUGUUUAUGAUGCAAGCGAAAUAUUAUUUGAGAUAAUUUCACUGUCCAAAUAAUAUAUUUUUUGAAUGUUUUUAUAAUUCUACGUAAAUUUUCUGUACAUCCUUUUUACAAUAGAAGUGAGAUAUUUGUUAUUGUUUAAGUGGAUUCCAUAUACAAUAAUUAGUUUUUAUUGUUAAGUUUUAUAAAUAGUUCACGCAAAUUAUAUCUUAUUUAACAAAUAUUAUAUUAUUCAAAAAUAUUAUCAUGGAUAAUCGUUCGUGUCCGUGGUCGAAUUAUGUAUAUCAACCCAUUUGUCAGAAUACAACCGAUUGGAAUCCUAGUGGCAUGCACAUUAGAUUGGAGCAAGUUUUUGGGAUCGAAAUAAGUAACGUCCCCAUUUUGGCCGCUAGCCUGCACACACAUGUUGGAAGAGAAAAACCAAAGGGAAAAGAAACAAAACCUUUUUAGAGCUCCGUUUGAAUCGAGAAAUUUGAUGAAAAAUUUGAAAUUGAUCUAAAUCCCUCUAGUUGUUUGGAUCACUUGAGAUAUAUUUGGAUUUAUAAUUUAUUAAUUAUUUAAAUAUAUUUUAAACACUAAAUUAAUUGAUGAUUUACAAAAUUAAAUAUAUAUUGAGUGAUCAAAACAAUUAAAGAGAUUUGAAAGGAUUUCAAAUCUUUCAACAAAUCUCUCAAUCCAAAUGCAAUAUAUGAGAAUUGAAUUUUGGUCAUCUUGUGCCCCUUUUGGGGUUGUAGUGCUUUCGGUAAAAAAGCACGUUUAGUUGUUAAAAGUAUUUUCAAGGCUUUUGGUGAAUAUUAUCCCAUAAAAUUAUGAAUAAAAUUUUUUGUGUUAAAAGCACUUUUUGCAAAAAAUAAAUAAAUAAAUAAAUUUUGGUGCUUUUAGAGUAACUUUUGUUAUUUAAAAAAUAAAACAUUAAAUUUAAUUAUUUUAUUCUAUAUUAUAAACUAAAUAAAGAGAUAAAUACAUUUAAAAAUGUUCAAAUCACAUAUUAUCCAAUACAAUAAGUACUUAUUGAACUAUAUCUCCAAAUAGUAUACUUAAAAGCACUUAAUAAAUACUUCUAUCAGGAGCUCUAUUAGCAAAGUAUUUUUUCAUAAAUUAUAAUACAAGAAGUAAUUUGUAUACUAAUUAAUACAAGAAGUAUAAUAACCGGACCGAAUUGCACGAAAUCCCAACCGCAUUGAGUUCUUUCCCCAAAAAAACAGAUGAGCCAAUGAACGUUUGACGUCAAUUUCCAUCCCAACUUUUUUGCUACCUGUAAAAACCAAAGGCAGGACUCAUGAACUGCAUCCAAUCAGAUACUCCCAGGUAACGCUAAAUUCAACGAAUACAAUUGACAAAAAAUCUUCUCGAUUCGUUUCUGCAAAGCUAUCUUCAGCCGAAGAACUGAUAAUCUUGUAUUAUACCACCACUCCAUUAAAAUAUAAGGUCAUGCUUGGAUUGCUUAUUUUCGUCGAAAAAUAUUGUCGUUUUUCGUGAUUAUAUUUCCCUAUCAUCUUUUUUUCUCAUAUAUAUCAAAUCGCUAUAGUAAUUUUUUUAUUAAAAAUGACGGAAAAUGCAAUCCAAACACAAUCCAAACAAUCGAGAUGUAAUCCCGAAGAUUCAAUGCCUAUUUUUUUUUUUAAAUUUGGAAAUAAAUAUUUUGGCAGCACAAAAUUUAUGAUAUGAUUUUUCUAUAAGCGACUGGUUUGACAUUAUCAUGUGGAGAGUUGGCCUUUUUGUGCCUAAUUGAAUCUCCAACUUUACACGUUGCAAACCAACGCUCAUAUGUGCAAUGUCGUUUUUCAGUUAACUACAGCUGUGAUUGGAUGAUGCACUAAUGUAAGAGGCAUCUUUUCACCACAAAUCCCUUAAUAUUUUAAGAACUCAUCCUGCCUGAACAGCCCAGAUGUACAAGUUUGGUUCGAGGAUUCAAGUCUUGCUAGCAAUUUUUAACACUUCCAGAUCAGAUCUCAUCUGAUGUUAAGGGGAAAAAAAAAGAGUUGUUACUACACGACUAUUGCAGUUGGAGAUGUGGUUCUGUACAAAAUGAAUUUGAAUAAAUUCGAUUCCGAUCACCGUCACUAUAAUAAUAAGCAAAACAGUCAAUGGUAGUACCCUGACUGACGGGAAGUUUUACACCAAUCAAUACACUACGCAUCUACUAGUUCUAUGGCGUUUACAGGAAGAAGAUGAAUCGUUAUACUCUCAUCAGUCAAAUUGAGAUAAAAAGUGGUGGCACGGGCUGGUCUUUAUUAGAAGGAAAACUACCCAAAGCACAAAGGCAAGAAGGAAACAACUAUGAGCAUGAGAUGGAUGCCAGCAGCUCUCGCUGUCUCACAUGCUGCUUGAGAUUUUAGGUGCACCCCCGACUUCGGCCUCCGUGACAUCGACUCGGAUCAGAUUAUUGCUUUUUAACACCGCGCGUUUUACGGAUAUGGUGUGAAACUUGCUACUGUUAGACCCAUUGACUGUUUGGAACUUGAGUUUUUUUUGUUAAGUUUACAAGUUUUUUUAAAAAUUUUAUCUAUAAUAACCUUAAAUAAUUUUUUGAAAAUUUUAAACUAUACAUUUUAAAAUACUUAAAAAUUUAUAUAUUUCAAAAAUUUUUUUAAAAACUUUUACAGCAAGUUAUAGUAAAAUUUUAAAUAAACAUAAAAAAAACUCACUUGUCAAACAAACAAGGCGUUGAUCAAACUCGAAACAAGCUGUCCAAUCGAGGAAAAUCAUUCUUAUAGCUCAGUAAUCAAUCAGUCAAUCACUCCCGGUUCAGUUGAGAUGGCAACGCAUUUGAUUUUUUAUUUUUUUUUUUUUCGAUAAACAACAAAAUUUGUGGACCAAAUAGGACGAGAAUCGUGACAAAAUGAUCGCAAAAGAGGACGAAAAUGAUUGGAAAGAUUCAGAAGAAAACCGUCUGCCCCUGUUGUAGAACAUAGCAAUGCUCCCUCUCGUUAACUGCAAGUAAAUUAACCAACAAUUUAAGGUGUCGGGGGAGAAUCCUAGAAAGAAUACUUGCUCCCGCAGCCAGAAUCCCCUCCCAUUUCUUUUCUUCAUCCCCACCUUGGUGGCAAGCCAACUCUUUUUAUUCCACCACCACCAUAGCCAAUAAUUUACCUGCCACAUUUCUCCGCCCCAUUCGUCCGUCCUUCCUACGCCCCCCAUAUUUCCCGUUUGACUCACAAUCCCAGCCAAGCAUCCAAGAAUCAAGAUUCAAAGCCAACUCAUAAUCUCAACCAAGCCAAAUAGUACUAUAUUUAUUUUCCUAGUAUAAAAUCCUUAAAUCAGACCCCAUUUCAAACCAAAAUCAAGGACCUCCGAAUUUCGCACCCCUCCUCCCAACUCCUAUUUCUCUCUGCCUCUUCAAUUCAUAAUAGUUUAACCCUCGUUCAUACGAUGAACUGAUUGUUUUUCCCUUUCGGGUAAAUACUAAAUGAUCAAUGGAAGCCGACAGGGAAGCGUCGUUGAACGAAAACAGCAAGAAGGCAUUGUUAGCUAGAAGUGCAUCACAUGCACAAGAUGAAUUGAAGAGUUUCAGGACAUGGCUGAAAUGGAUGUGCGUGGAUCAAUCUGAUUGGUGGACUGCGUUUCUUUCGUGGUCUGUUUUUGUGGUAUUGGCUGUCGUCGUCCCUUGUCUCUCCCAUUUCUUUCUGGCUUGUAGUGAUUGUGAUAGCAGACACAGCAGGCCUUAUGAUACCAUUGUGCAGCUUUCUCUUAGCACCUUGGCGGCCCUAUCUUUCAUUUGCCUUUCCCAGUUUGUGAGGAAAUAUGGGCUCCGGAGAUUCUUGUUCUUCGAUAGGCUUUGUGAUGACAGCGAGACCGUCAGAAAAGGAUACACCGUUCAGCUCAAUGUAAGUUCCUUUCUUUCUUCCCUUGUUACUUUCUGUAUUAUUUAAGGUUACUGGCUUUGAUGUUUAAGCAUCCGACUUGUUUUCAUGCAUGGUUGAUGAUCAAUCACGCGUUAGGGUUCAAGACAAUAGAGGUUUCGACUUUGAAAUUUCUGUCUUUUCGGCUAAAUCAACCUGAUAUUCUGAUCGUCCACGUUUAUGGUAAAGGAUCUCAUUCUUUGGUUUUUGGAAAUAGUCAAGUGGGGAUCCUAGUAUGUGAUUAGCAUAGGAAAUGGUGUAUAUACACCUGCGAGUUCGGAGAACUAUGAAUUCGUAAACAUGUAUGAUUGUGUAGGGUGGUAAAUUUAGUGUGGAUCUUCUUGGAACAUGCCAUUUUGCUUAAUUGUUUUGAUGAGUGGCCUAAAAGUAGUAUUUGUUUCCUGGAAACGAAAGGUCAGUCCUCUAGUAGUCUGGUGAACUGUAACCUGUCAAGUGUCAACUUAGAACAGGUUCUUCUUCUCAACCCAUCAUCUUUUAUAGAUUGAAGAAUUCUGAGGGCAGGAAGUAGUGGUGAGGAGGGGGGGGGCAGGAUAGCUGUAUAUAGGGGGAGGAGAGCUAUAUACAGCUCAAGACUUAAAUUGUUGUUUAUCACCCUGUUGUUGAGAACCACAUUUAUCACCCAAUUAAACCUUUCUGUCAGCAUUGUGAAGGAAACAAGGUGGUAUAUUGUGGUUGGAUUGUUAAGUGCUUAAAUUUCAUAGGCAAUCCUGGAAAUAAAAUUCUUGGUUAGUUCCUUUUCAAUAACGAAAAUAAUCAGGUCAGGAGAUAAUACUAAUAGCACCAGUCAUAAUCUGUGCAUUAAGUUUACUAACGGCAUAAGAUUUGAUGCCUAGCAAGUGAUCAUAGCUCUGGCAGUGAAAUUGCAGUGAUGUUUAAAUCAAUCAAGUAAUUUGCUUUUCUGACAACCAGUGCUAUCUAAUAGCCAUUAUUCUGUUUUGACCAAUCAAGUAAUUUGCUUUUUUCGACAACCAGACCCUUUCUAAUGGCCAUUAUUCUGUUUUGAUCAACAUGAUUGGCAAUAUUGUCUUUAUAUGCAGAGAUCCCUGAAGAUCGUAUUCAUCUUUGUGAUACCUUGUUUCACAGUGGAGUGCGCUUACAAGAUUUGGUGGUAUAGCUCGGGUGGCACCCGAAUUCCCUUCUUGGGCAACAUAAUAGUGAGUGACACUGUUGCAUGUAUUUUAGAGCUUUGCUCAUGGCUCUACAGGACUGUGGUCUUCUUCCUGGUGUGCAUUCUCUUUCGCCUCAUCUGUUAUCUUCAGAUCCUCCGAUUACAAGACUUUGCACAAGUCUUCCAGGUAGAGUCUGACGUCGAAUCAGUGUUGAGGGAACACCUCAGGAUCAGAAGGCAUUUAAGAAUUAUAAGCCACAGAUACCGCUCAUUCAUUUUAUGGGCAUUGAUCAUCAUAACAGUUAGCCAGUUUGCAUCCCUACUCAUGACUACGCGCUCAACUGCUGAUCUUAGUAUAUACAAAACCGGUGAACUUGCUGUAUGUGUCCUAAUUCCAAAUUCUUUUCCAAUAUUUCCAUGAUCUGUUUAUGAGAGAAAUUUGAAGCUGAAUGCCUCGUCUUUGGCACGCAGCUAUGCUCCGUCAGCCUUCUUGCAGGGCUGAUGAUCCUGUUAAGAAGUGCAACCAGAAUUACACACAAAGCACAAGCCGUUACGUGUCUUGCGGCCAAAUGGCAUGUCUGUGCAACAAUAGAUUCGUUCGAUACAACUGAAGCUGAGACGCCUAUUUCCAGGGUGCCUGUCAACCACGUUUUUCCGGUGAGUUCUGAUGGAUCAGACGCUGAUGAUGAUGUUGGCGAUGAAGAGGAUGAUAUAGACCACACCAAGCUCGUUCCAUCAUACAACUACAACACAAUUUCAUUCCAAAAGAGACAAGCCUUAGGUGAGUUGGUAUAAAACCUCAUACAGUCCAAGAAAAAAAAGCCUUUUACUACCACUACUUCAGGAAUGUGGAUGAUAGUGCAUCAAAUUCGUACUUGUGUUAUUGAUUUUUUGUCCCGUGAUCAUGAUGCCAGGCUGUUCUCAACUGUAUCUUCUUUCAACUUUUGGCUUUCUUAAAGCUAGGAAAAGCCGAAUUCAAUCAGAAACUACACAAUACAUGUUUCUGGAAUUCUGAUUUCGGCUUUUGAAAAAUGCAGCUUUUACGAAAGUCAGAAUCAAUUGAGAACAACCUGGCUAUCUCAUUCUCAUAGUUGUCGCCUAAAUAACCAAUCCUCAGAAACAAUUUUUUUGUUUUUUGAGUUUGUAAAUUAGAGACUUGAUGGUGUAUGCGAGGCAGCUGAUUGUUUUGGGUGUUGCUAUGCAUGUCGCAGUGACAUACUUUGAAAACAAUAGAGCGGGAGUGACAAUCUAUGGGUUCAUGCUGGACAGGACCUCGCUUCACACGAUAUUUGGCAUAGAGUUGUCCCUUGUGCUUUGGUUGCUUGGAAAGACCAUCGGUAUUUCAUAGAAAAGAAACAAGAGGGUUGCGAAAUUUUGUGUGGGAUUAGCAUUUAGACCAUGUUGGGCAAUUGACCCCUGAGAAGAGAUUUGAGGCGGUUUGCUUUGUCGCCGCCCAUUACCAUCCAUGAACGAUCAGCGACGAGUGACGGCGACGGAGGAAGGUCUGUCUAGCUCUGGCUGGCGACAUCUAUUCAACAUUUUUUUUGUCAAAAUAUCCGUCGUGCGUUCUUCUUCAUCUUCUUCUUUUGUGUUUUUUUUUUUUUUUUUUUAAAUAGCUCUUGAUUUCUAUUUUUUCUUGUGAAGUGUCAAUGUCGAUUAAUGUUUCUUUGCUUGUACUUAUGCUGCAGAUGAUAUGUAACGUAUUUAUAUCUGUUGAGCUACUGUCAUCAUUUUAUUUUAAUUUUUUUUAAGAAAAGAAAUUUGGAUAAGUGCGGCUCCCGUCACCACUUUUCUUGGUAAUGUCCAGCUGGGAUUUUUAUGAUGGUAAAAUAAUAUGAGUCUAUUUUUUUGGUAUUUUUUUCGGAGACAAUAACAGUUGUAUAAUCUAAUCUAUUUUACAUUAAGAGGGAGGAGGCGGAUCUAAGGAGGUCCAGAGAUAACUCGGAGAGGAAUGAAUCAUCACCGGAUCAAAUAAGUGCAUAACACAUUCGCCUGAAUUUUUUGAAACAAAUCACUCAAAUGUGACAUUUUGGUGAAUCUUGUUUCCCACUCCACCAAGCUAGUCCAUCAAGCUAGGUGGUAGCCACCGGUCCCUUUCAUAACUCACAGUUUUUUGUAUGAGUGUUUCGAUAAAUGGACUCUGCGAAGACACUUCAAAAGCCGGCAACUUUUGAAGUGCUCCGCAGCACUUAACUACUAAACCCCCAAACCCCCCAAGCGAUGUGGGAACUUAACCCCACAGGGUGCCCCGGUAGCCACCGGUCCAAGAUUGGUAUUUUUUGGUAUUUACACCAAAGAAAAAUAUCUUCCCGAGUGGGGACAUGGGAUGGAGGCAUUAAGAAAUUUGAGACGCUCCUUCGAUGAGCACUAAUGAUGAUCUAGGAGUAAACGAUUGUACUCUCAAAGGAAAAAAAAAAAAAAAAAAACUUCAGUCAACGUCUGCACGGUCGAAAUGUGACCUUCACUCUGACGUGUCCACGCUGGAAUUGGAAAUGCGGGUGUACGUGUUCCUUUUUGUGCAGUUUGCCGAGAUUAAGCUAAACGAAUGCUUUUUUUUUUUUUUUUUUUUACACAAAUGUUUAUUCACAGGCUUCUAAAAACCAAGUCAAGAUCGCUGCCUCCUUCCAUGGCUUUGCUUACAAUAAAGAAACAAAGCACUCUUGACGCGAGAAUAAUAUACUAAAAUUGGAUGUGUACCAAGGGGAAAAAAAAAAAAAACUAAUGACAGGAUAAGGUUAAGAGACGCAAAAAAGAUUAAUAGUCGAGUGUAUUUGGGUAGAAAAUUAUUUAAAUUUUAUUUAGUAAUCAUAUUAGCACUUUCUUUCUUUGAUGUAAUUUGUACCGGAUAAAAAUAUAAUUAAAAAAAUUUUAAAAAUGUAUUUACGACAUAACAAAAAAUUCUUCCCAAAUAAUCACAUAUGCAAGACACACUCUCAAAAUGAACAAUUGAUAUAUUCAACGAGUAACAAUUCUCAAUGGGAUAGUUUUGUUCAGCGAUAAUAAUUAUUGGAGUGAAUAUUAAUAGUUCGAUAUUAAUAGAGAAUUUGUUCUACCACAUGCGAAGACUAAAUUUAAAUACUUAUGUCACAGUUGUGAAAACUUAUUAGUGUGCUUUUCUAAUUCGUUAUUUCCUUUCAUAAAUUUGUUAUUUUUAAUGUACAAGGAGUUUAUAGCUUUUUGUUGUUUCCAUAUUAAAAGCAUACCUUAGUCAUUAAGGAGACAAAUCAUAGGGACAAGGAGAAGGGUACUUAAUUUCCACAAUAGUUUCAAUAAUAAUAAAUCAGAUGCUAAAAAAAAAAAAUUAAAGUAAUUAUUAAACAUAUAAAAACGACGACAUCGAAAGUUAAAUUGCCUCGCGUCGGCAAAAUGGCUCUCUCCUUUCCGCCUAACGGAAGCGAUGGCACUAAUAAAUCCUUCUUCAAAUCCUGUAGCUUAAAAACUAACGAACUCCUAAAUUAAAGCCGCGGGGGCUGGUGCAUUCGCUUCAGAGAACGUUUAAUCAUUUGGAAAGCGGAGUCGAGUCAUGGAAAUUGAUUCCGCUCCAAUCAGCCGAUGCUCCAAAGAAAACCAGAAGAUCUAUCAGGACUGGUUCGCUUUUGCUGAUUCAGGUCUCUUUUUCUUCCCAAAUCUCCCCCCUCUCUUACACAUUGUCCUUUUUGUUUCAAAAUUAUUCAAUUUUUGAACUCUUUCUAUUUGAUAACUUUUGAAUUUUUUUUUUCUUCAAAUUUCAGAUGGAGAUGGGCGACUUACAGGAGCUGACGCCACCAAAUUCUUUGCCCUCUCAAAUUUACCUCGCCAUGAUCUUAAACAGGUUUUGUUCCUAGCUACGUAUUCAUCAUUGUCUCCUCUCUUGUUUUCCUUUUUGUUCAAGUUUAAUCUCACUUAUUUGUUUAUUUAAUUCUUUUGGUUUAAUAAAAGAUUUUUAUGGCAAUAUGAUAGUAUUCCGUAAUAAAUGUCUCUCAUCGACACUGCUUCGGCUUUAUAUGACUGCAUAUUGUAGUUGCUUGUGUUGUUGAAACCAUAUUACCAGCAUGGAUGCUCGUACGUGUAUAUUUCUCAGCUUACUAGCAUUUCUAAUUAAGUCAUGUAAAUAUUAGCCUCCUACAAAUUUAUGCCGUUUAUGUAUCUUUUGGUGAUUUUUUUUUUUUUUAUAUUAUUUUCCUUGUUUUCCACAAGGUUUGGGCUAUUGCAGAUUCUAAACGACAAGGUUUUCUUGGUUUUAAAGAGUUUAUUACGGCAGUUCAGGUUCUGAUAUCUUCUCUCCCUCAUUUAUAUUUGGCUUAGCUCCAGUAUCGGAAAAGAUGCUAAUUUUCUCUUGUAUCUUAAUUUCUAGUUAGUUUCUUUGGCACAAGCGGGGCAUGCAUUAACUAGUGAUAUCAUAUACGCUGAAGGUAAGUAGCAGUAUGGUUUCACCUUCGUUCUCUUUGUUUGGGAAUAAUGUGGUCCGGAGGAGUGAUAAGCAUAUUGAUGCUUUCUGGUCUGUCUGUCUUGGAAUCUACUUUAUCCUUUUCAUAUGUUAGCCUUACUAGUUUAGCAAAUUAUAAUUGUUACAGUUGACUUUGAAAGUCUGAAACCUCCAGCAAUGGAUGGGUUGGAGGCGCUACUAGCUGUGAGUAUACCAAUGUCCUUCCUAAUUCUUUUUGCAAAUCUCUUGGAUCGUUCACUGAUAAUUCUCACUUUGUUAUUGCAUUUAUGCAGAAGAAAAAGCAUACACCGAAAAGUGACCUAGAACAAAAUGGUGAGACUGUUAUUGAUCUAGCUACAUAUUUUGUGUUUCUUUCCUCUUUUCCUUGUUUAGAGACCUGAGUUUGUAAAGUUCAUAUUUGUUCUGCAAUUCAGGCAUUCCUCAGUUGCAGUCUUCACCAUCUGCUAAUUGGUUUUCUUCGUCAAAGUCUGCAAAGAAGGUGCAUUGUAACAACUACUUUGUCUCUAAAGGAUGAAAUAUUGCACUUUUUCCUAUACUUUUUGCAUUGAUACAUUUUACACAAUCCAUGUUAUUUAAUUCUUUGCAUUUUCUGUUCCCUUCAUAGAAUUUUAUUUCUAGUGUUGGGUAAACUGUUUUACAAUACUCUCUAUUAUGUAUCAAAGUAAUGUGAUGCAGCGAGAUGAUAAACAGAAUGGAUUUGGGGCUGUAGAGAGGUCAGACUGGAAGAUUUGAUAUAUCUUCUGUGGCCAUUAUCGAAGCUGCCAUAGGACUCUAGUACAUGACAAGAUGACAAAAAAGUUUGAUGUGGACCGUAGUACAUCAACUAGUAUGCUAAUAGGAUUUGAACACUAUUCCACAAAGAGCACUUCUUAAUGUGCAAGAACUUGCCAUUGAUGAUUAAUUUUGCAUCAUGUAAACACACUUUACUUAUUGUUUUGGGUCCUAUAAUGAGCUUUGCUUUUGCUUUGUGUCUUGUCAGGUGUCUCUAAGCUCUGUUACAUCAAUUGUUGACUGAUUGAAGAAGUUGUACGUCCAAAAACUGAAGCCAUUGGAAGCAACAUAUCGUUUCAAUGAUUUUGUUUCCCCUUUGUUGGUGAGUCAUGCGUCUGCUUUGUUCUUCACUUGAGGGAUUUGGAUAUGGUUGUGAUUCCAUUGUCUUAAUUAACUGAAAUCAUAGUUGACUGGAUUGUUCCUUUCCCUAGACAAAUAGCGAUUUUGAUGCUAAGCCCAUGGUGAUGUUGUUGGGUCAAUACUCAACUGGGAAAACAACAUUCAUUAAACAUCUGCUCAAAACGAGUUAUCCAGGUAUUUAGAUCUUCAUGCGGAGUCUGCGUAUCUACUCUAAUAUCUCCUUAGAAGAUAGGACCUUUCUGAUCAUUUUAUGUGUUAUUUUCACAGGUGCUCACAUUGGACCAGAGCCUACAACAGACAGAUUUGUUGUUGUUAUGGUAUUUUUGCCACUCAAUUAUUUUUCAUUUUUCUUUAAUAGUUCAUCUGUAUCCAAAUCAUUAUUCAAUGGAUGAAAAAAAAGUAAAUAUUUGCCUUACCAGUAUAAGCCCACAAAGUUUCAAAUAUUAGAUUUCAGGAUUUCUUAUUCCAGAAUUCCAACUCCACAUUAGGCAUAAGGAAAGUAAUUGGAAAUUUGUUUACUUUUAUUCUUGGGCUUAUUGCUUUAUUUUGUUUUCUACAGAAUGGACCGAUGAAAGAAGUAUUCCAGGGAACACUAUUGCUGUACAAGCAGAUAUGCCAUUCAGUGGUCUGACUACCUUCGGAACUUCCUUUUUGUCAAAAUUUGAGUGCUCUCAAAUGCCACACCCAGUAAGUGGCUACUUAUUCCCCCUUCCCCCCCUCCCUGCGAAAAACUAGCAGAAUCUCCUGAAAUGGUUUUCAAACUUACUGUUCAUUUGAACUUUAUAAGCUGUUGGAGCAUAUUACAUUUGUGGACACCCCGGAGUUUUAUCAGGAGAAAAGCAACGAACACAGAGAAGUUAUGACUUUACUGGUGUCAUAUCAUGGUUCGCUGCAAAAUGUGACCUCAUUUUGCUUUUGUUUGAUCCUCACAAACUUGAUAUAAGUGAUGAAUUCAAACGUGUAAUUGCAUCUCUACGAGGUCAUGAUGAUAAGAUUCGGGUAGUCUUGAAUAAAGCUGAUCAAGUUGAUACUCAACAAGUAAGUAGGUAGAAUCAAUUUCAUCAUCCAACACUCUCCCAAAUAUCAAAAUAUAGUUCUAGUCUUCUGAUAUACUUGCCUCCCUUCUCCCUGUAUUGUAGCUUAUGCGAGUUUACGGAGCUCUAAUGUGGUCUCUUGGCAAAGUUCUGAACACUCCGAGGUUACUCGGGUCUAUAUUGGGUAUGGUCUAUAUUUGCGUCUUUGUUCAUUGUAUGUGCUUAGCACGCAUCAGAUGUUGUGAGACUAGGAAAGAUUUUAUUCUUCACGGAAUAUUAGAGUGAGUAUGUAUUUAUAUCUUGAGCCCUUCAAAUCCGAGUCAUGUUCAAUAUAGGGAUUUGCUAAUAGGAUAUGAUAUUCAGCUUUGAUCAUAUAGUCAUUUAAGUGACUAAAUCUUGUAACUGCUGCUCAUCAUUAACUCAUUUAAGUGACUAAAUGUAAUAACUGCUGCUCAUUUUGAUGAUAAGCACAGUCACCCUAUGGCAGUACAAGAACGUUUUGAAGCCCACAAGAAUGUCUACCAUUUGGCUUCAAUAAAGUUUUAUUGUCCUUCUCACUCUUCUGUUUGUACAUAAGGUCUAAGGCAGAUAAAUAAAUAAUUUGGAAUAACUUUAGUGCCAAAGCACGUUACUGCCUCAUCUCCACUUUGUGUUUAUGUUAAUUAGUAGACAUGCAAUUCUCUUAGCCUCACCAUGCUCGUCAUAACUUCAACUAUUUUUUGAUGAGAUUAGUGUUUCCGACCGACAUGAGGACUUGGGAAUGUACCGCUGUACGAUUAUCAUAGAUUUUCCUUUUCAUCCCAUCAGUUCUCCAUGUUGCACGCAAUUUUAUGACUGCCUUGCUCUGGCACAGCUCUUUCAAUGACAAGCCUAUCAAUGAGGUCGCCACUGGUCCUAUUGGAAAAGAGCUUUUUGAAAAGAACAAGAUGACCUCCUUGCAGAUCUGAAGAAUAUACCCAAAAAGGCUUGUGAUCGUAGAGUAAGUUGACCAGUUCUGCUUACGUGAAUGCUUUGCUUGCUUUCAGAUGAACUAAUUUGGCUUGUCGUGGAGUUUAACUUCUUGGGUUGAUAAGUUUCCCUGAAUUUUUUUUUUGUGCAGAUAAAUGAAUUUGUAAAGCGUGCUAGGGCUGCCAAGAUUCAUGCUUAUAUUAUCAGUCAUCUGAAAAAGGAGAUGCCUGCCAUGAUGGGCAAGGCAAAAACGCAGCAGAGACUCGUUGAUAACCUGGAAGUGGAAUUCGGAAAGGUUGUUCUCUUUCUUUAGUGCAUUUAGAUGUGUACAGAGAAAUAUCACAAUUAUGUUUAUUUCUCGUUUCCCAACAGGUUCAGAGGGAGUUCCAUCUGCCAGCGGGGGAUUUUCCGAAUGUUGAACACUUUCGGGAGGUCCUGAGUGGAUAUAGCAUUGAUAAGUUCGAGAAAUUGAAGCCUAAAAUGAUACAAUCUGUUGAUGAUAUGCUUGGAUACGAUAUCCCAGAACUUCUCAAGAAUUUCCGGAAUCCAUAUGAUUGAUAUGCAUAUGUCUGCUAUCAAAUUACAGCAGUUUUUUUGGGUAAGAGAAAUCAGAAGAAUAUUGCUGACGAUUUGCUAGAUUGGCCGCCCACACGUUCAACUUCUUCUGACGCAUAAACAUGAUUUAUGCGGAAAACUACGACGCUGUACGCUUCGAUUAGGCGAGCUAGUGUGAAAUUAGCAGUGACAUGAAUAAUUAUUCAGAUUGUAUUGUCUUUUGAUUUUCUUGGCAUUCUUACAAAAAUAAUAUAUAAUUCCAUUUACAAAACUGAUAUGGUUCCUACCCAGAGACUGCUGCUAAGCUCAGCGUUUUCAAGUACAUUUCCUUUUUCUCAUAUACAUGGCGUAAAAGGAAACCAGAGAAAUCUUAACAAAGAUACAAAAUUUACCAAGAUUUGCCUUCUCAUAAUUGAUGGUAUUCCACUCUUCCACCGCGUAAGCGUAAGAACAUACCAAAAAAUAUUAUUAAUGCUUCUCAAUAUUUUGUAUUGAGAACAUACCAAAAGAUGGCUGGAGUCCGAAUAUGUUGUAUAUGUAAACGAUAUCAUACCAAAUUUACGUUAUCACCGUUUCCGCCCUAUUCAAUAGAUAUUCACCUUCUCUGUGGUCACCACAUAUGUCGUUUCUUAGAUCGACAAAAACCCUUUUGCAUCCAAAGAAGGCCUUGAAGGAUCUGAUGGCCAACGUUGGAGCCAAAAUACACCAAUUUAUGAUGGCUUGCAACUUAUGCAAAAUUUUCAAAAUCGACAGAACCUCUAAUCCGCCCACCCCUCGUGUUUCCGUCUCUUCUCCUAGCGAAAGUGAUCACGCCGAUCAUACACCGGCUGCAAUUCAUUCACCAAAGAGUGUACCACCAGUUUUCUGUCCACUUCCCAUUCAAUACUCAACAGAUUCUAGUGGUGCCGACGACACCGAAGACGAGGAGGAAGAUGCAGAGGAAGAGGAAGACGAGGAGCAGGAGGAGGAGGAGAAGGAGAAAGAGAGUCAUGUGUUGGACUAUAUUGUAACGUUUCCUGACUCCGACUCCGACUCUGGUGCUGAUGAAUUAUCGAAGGUGCCUGAAGGGUGCUUGUGUCCUGAUCAAGAAUAUACCGUAACAUUUCCUGACAGUACCGACUCUGAGUCUGAGUCUGAAUCUGAUGCGGAGGAAGAGCAAGUGUUUGUCCAUAAAGAUGACUGCUUGAAUUCUGAUGAUGGUGAUGACCAACUUCACUUUGUGACGCCUCAUCAAGAGGAGGACAUGUAUGCUCAUCAGCACUGUGGGUUCCAAUGUCAUCAUCACGAUUAUCAUGGGGCCGUCAUCAUCACGACGAAGGUUAUGGUACCAAUAUUAUGGCUGGACAGGCUUUUACGGUGUUAGACAACCUCCAUUCGAUUUACUACAAUCUUCUUCCAUUACUGACCCCCGAUUUGAUAGCAUUUUAUGUUUUUGUUUCGGGUUUUGCCCUCGGGAUUUUAUUGCGUUCUUUUCAUCAGGUUCAGUAUUGCUUGUUUGAUUGAGCUACUUCAUUGAUUUGAAGCGUGUACUUGUGGGUUAUGUCUGCGCAUAAAGUGCUAGAAAAUUUUUCUCCAUUGCUUGCUUCAUAUGCUCUGCUCUGAUCUGUUAAUUUUAGGUUACUAAAGUGAUUGUAUGGGGUUUGCAUGAAUGCGAUGACAAUUUGCGGUCAGCUCAGAAGGUAACAAGUUAAUGCUGCGUGUCUCCCCUCCACAGUGUCAAAGCCCAAAAGACGCAUUCAAUUAAUGUCAAAUCAGUAGUGCUUAAUACCCAAUUUAAUUGCUAGGGUUACGCAAUCGUAAGAAUUCUUAAUUUUUUUUCUUUUUUCUCUUAUUCCUUCUAAGGUUUGGAAUCUCCCUUUAAUCAAAAUAAAGAAUCACUAGUAUUAGUUAUUUUGUUUGAUAACUUCAUACUGCAAUCACUAGUUUUGUUUGGUACCAAAUCUUUGUAAUCAGAUCUUUUAGUGCAAGAAUGCCACCUAUAAAAUGCAAAUUAUCUACUUACACAUUAUCAUUUUGCAAAUAUUACAUGAAUAUAGGUUCAUUGUAGAUCUUUUUUUUUAUGAUUUAAACUGUUGCGGAAGCUUUACUCCAACAAGGCAAGUUUUUUUUUUAUCUUCAAAAGGAUUCGUGUUGUUCUAACAAGGUCCAUUUUGAAAGAAAGUAAUUUCAAAAACGCCUUUUAAUACAGGGAUAAUUUUAUUGAGCUCUCAUCUGAUUUUACAAAUUACACCGACCUCUUUUGUUAUAAUAAAAUGACUAUAAUGACCUUCACUUAAUAGAUAGUAUAAUGAAAUGAGAUUAAAAAAAUGAAAAAAAAAUCAUACCUCUUUGAUUAAUCCUAUUUACAAGUUACAACCAACAACUAUUCCCUUUCACUUAUUAUCACUCCAUUCUCAUCCUGUAAAUAGCUCUCAAAAUCCUACCAACCAUUGCUUAUAACUUCCUCCAAUCAUAUCACAAGUGAUCCCUCUAAACUCUACUAUAUAUCCCCAUUCCUCUUGUCUUCCUUUGGAUUAGCUAAAUUACAAGUUCAGUUGAGGGAUCAAAUUUAAUGGUUAAAGUAAAAUUUGAUUUUAUGGUCAAAAUAAAAGGAGAUAAAGAGGCUUACAAUAAUAAUGAAACAAAUAAUGCAGGCGUUGGACAAAAGAAUAAGGCUGUAAAUGAGCCGAGUCGAGUCGAACUUUAGGCUAAUCGAGCAGAGCCUCGACUAAAUUUUACCAAACUCGAACUCGAGUUCGAGCUCGACGAGCCGGCAAUUUAAAGCUCAAGCUCGAGCUCCAAAAAAAAUAAAAAAUAAUUAUUUUAUUUUUUUAAAUAAAUAAAAUAAUUUUUUUCUUAAUAAAUAAUAAAAUAUUAAGGCUAUAUAUGUAAUUUUACUAUUAAAAUAAGAUAAUAAAAAAUAUAUAUAUAUACUUAAAAUAAAAAAAUAUAUAUACUUAAAAUAAAAAAGAUAAAAAAAUAUUAUAUAUAUAUACUUGAGCUCGAGAGCCGAGCUUAAUAUUUUGAGCUCAAGUUCGAGCUCGAUUUCGACUCGAGCCAGUUCAAGCUCGACUCGAGGGUAAAUUUGGUAAUUUGUUUAUCAUUCGUCCAUAAUACUUUUUUUCAAUGUUAAUAACUGCAUUUGGAUUUCAUUUUAUGCUUUGCAAUUGUUGGUUAUAGUUUUACGAUAGAGGUAGAGCUUCUUCUCUAUAUUUAAGAUGUUAACAUGUUUAGGGAUUUGAUGGUAGGUUAGGUAAUUUUGUUUGAGAUGGUGUGGGCAUUGGAUUUGAAAUUUGGGGUGUGAUUAGUUGUGAAUAGAAUUCUGGUUUUUGGGAAAAUGAAUUUCUUGAAGAUCUCCGUAGUCAUAAUCAUGCCUUUCCUUUUCUUAAACUUAAUUAAUCCCAUCCACACCUAAAUCUUCCCUAAGGAUUUUCUUCAAAACCAUAACGUGACUCACGUAGUUGGAGUUGAGCCACUUGUAUGGAACCAAGUCAUGGCAUCCUAUGUUGAAAAUCAUGCAAACAUAAAGAGUAAUUGAUUGUGAGUUUGACUAUUUCAUGAUAAUAUAUGGUGAGAAUAUUUUUGAAAGAUGGAACGAACCUUCAAGGUUGGAUGCAUGCUCAUGCUUUGGGAGAAGCAAUUUUAUGAUUGUGAUGAUGGAAUUACUUGGGUUUGGAUUUAAAAUUAGCCUGUUUGUUAGUAUAGUGGAUUUGGCGGAAAUAUAGAAAAAGGCAUUUGGAAAAACGUUUUUUGUUUCAUUUUUAACAAAAAGGUAGUUUAGGAUUUUUGUGAAAACAUAGCCUUUUGGAUCUAUAAUGUUACAUGAAUAGUAAAAGCAAGGGAGGUAAAUGCAAUUUAAUAAACUGAGAGGAGCUCUUGCCAUUGUUAGAAGCUUCAGUGGAGGUUUUCGAAAUUAUCCCUUCGACAAAACAGAGGUUUCAAUAAAUUUGAAGGUAUGUAGAAAUACACACAAAUUUUCUACCAAGCUUUUGGAAGAGUAGAUUAUAAUUGCCUACCAUGUAGGAAUUAGGAAAAGAGGGCAAGUACAAAGAAAGAAAAAGCGUGGUAGUCAGCAAAAGGGUGAGCUCAGAUGUGCGCUAGCUUCGUCCGAGUGGUCAGACGAUCGUGGCGACCCAACACCACAAGAAGGCACUGCUUUCGUCAUGGCAACCCCAGGAAUGCACCAGCCGGGAAUCGAACCCGGGUCUGUACCGUGGCAGGGUACUAUUCUACCACUAGACCACUGGUGCCUUAUGAUGUGCAUCACCUUUUUAAUAAAUGUCACGUUGACGGUGGAUAGCAUUUUGUUCUAGGGAUAAUUUUAGAAACCUCCAUUGAGAUUUUUAAUAAUUUCAUUUAGUUGUCUCAAGAUUUUAAAAAUUACACAUGCCUUUCAUAUCAUUCAAAAUGACAACACUAUCCUUAACUAUUUUAAUGAAAUUUCCUUGUUUAUAUGCUUAUACUUAGAAUGACUUUUAAAAUUAUUUUUUUCAUUCUUUAUCCUUCUUAUUCCUUUUUUUUUAAUUUUUUACCAAUAAAACUGUAUAGCUACCAAUAUUACCUUUAAUUUUUAUUGUAUCCAAAAUCAAACUAGUGAUUUUUUUGAUGAGUUAAUUUAUCUGUAAUCUAAUGUUUUUGUUGAUCUUUAUUUUCUAUUUUUAUAUUAAAAUUAACAAUAAAUAAAAAAAAUGGCCCAAAAUCACUACUAAAUUAUGAUAAUCUCAGUACUUGACAAUUUCAUAAAUUCUGAAUGAAUUAUUUCAACAUUUUCUUUUUUAUCUUAUAAAUCUAAAUAUAGAAUAAAAUACCAUAAAAAAUAUCCUAUCAUAGUGAUAAAAUUAUUAUUAUAUUUGUUUAUCGUAUAGUAGGUAUGAAUAUGAAAAUUUUGGUAUCUUUUUCUUAUAAUUGUAUUAGAUAAACUUAUAAUUAUAAAUACAAAUAAAUUAAAACUCAUUACACAAGACCAUUUAUGAAUAUUCAUUUAAAAAUUUAACCAUUGUGGUAAGCAAAAAGGAGAGCUCAGAUGUGCGCUAGCUUCGUCCUAGUGUCAGACGAUCGUGGCGACCCAUCACCACAGAAGGCACCGAUUUCGUCACGGCAACCCCUGGAAUGCACCAGCCGGGAAUCGAACCCGGGUCUGUACCGUGGCAGGGUACUAUUCUACCACUAGACCACUGGUGCCUUUUGAUGUCCUUCGUCAGUUUUUAUAAAAUUUAAGUUUGAUGUUGGAUAUCAUUUUAUCUUAUCACACCAUCAUGGCCGUGAGGUGUCUUCUACUUCUUCUUUUUUUUUUUUUUAAGGCAAUUAGGUAUCUUAAAAAAGGUACAAAUUACAUAAUAUAUGAUAAAUGACAAUUGUAUUAAUGAAAGAGAUAUAGACUACACUAAAAACUUUGUUGCAUUUGAAGGGAUUUUGAUGCUCUUUUAUUGUACUGGUGUAAGGGCACAUUUAAUGUGUGUGCAAUUUAAAAUAUUUAAAAUGAAUUAAUUUUGUAUGAUUUUGCUUUUUUUUUUUAACAUAAAUUAUAUUCAUAUUAUUUUUCUAAAGAACUUUGAUUUAUAAGGUUACAAUAAUUUAAUUGUUAUGAUACUUAAAGCGAUUGUGGAUUAUUAUUACAAUACUUUAAGUAGGUAUGAGUAGUUAUGUUGGGAGAAUUGGAUUAGGUGAAUAAGGUAAAAAUUAGUACUGUUAUCAGUAUAAGAGUUAAUUAGGACCCUCGAGAACUAAUUAAUUAUUGAUUCGAAACCAAGGCCCGCAGUGGAAACCCCUAUUUGGCAGCAGAAGACGCUCAAGCUCAAGCUCAAGCUCAAUCUCAGUGGCAUUCUCACGAAACUUCUCGCUGACGACGUCGUACAAAAAAGUUGUACCUCAAAUCAGCAGGUAAAAAUGCACAGGUCAAGCAUCAUAAGAAUAGUUUACAUGAAUCAGUGAUCAUUAUCUAUUUGGGGUCAAAUUCAUAAACAAGACUAAUUUGUUUAGCUAUUCAUGGAGGCGUUGUUACUAGCACUAUGCUUAUUAUGUUUAUGAAGCGCUUGUUGAAAUUCCCCUGAGAAUGUUGAACCCUGUGUAACUACUGUAAACACCUUGCUUAUCAAACACUUGUACCAAAAUUCGUGCCUGUAUUAGCACCUUGUUGGAUUUUACGUACAAAGGUUCGAGAAAUGGUCAGUGGCUUACCUUUUCUUGAAGUUGUUGAAAUGGAGCUUUCUGGUUGGGAUAUGUAAACGUAAUUGCCAGUUUUUUGGUUCAGCGUGCCAUCAAAGUCGUGGGAUUUUGCUGUAAUGUACCAUGAUAAUGAAACGGCACGUAUUAUUAUAUGAUUAAAUCAAGAACCUUGACAUUAUUACCGCAUUUUGUAGGUUGCAGUGGGAAGGAAAAUGCUGCCUCAGAGGAUGAAAAAGGUCAUUACCGACAACCCAAAACAACUUGCUGACUUGAUCGACCUUGUAAACCUGCCCUCAACGCUCAGAGAAUUCACGGGCCAGUCGCAGACCUCGCGUUUGGGGUGCUUUACGCGUGUUUGGUCGUACAUCAAGGAGAACAAACUCCAGGUUUGAGAUUUAUUGCUCAAUGCCAUUCCUUCGGUAUUCACAUUUAUGUCUGGAAAAUUUUUGAAACAGCAUGGUUAAAAGUUGUGAUGCAAGGUUGAAUUACGAACGAAUGGUCAGGAGAAAUACUCGAGUGCUCGUAGUUUUGAUACUUUGGGUGUAUCUUUUCUUUUUUUUUUUUUAAUAUUAGUUAACCUUUGCUUUUCUGUUGGUUUUCGUUAGGAUCCAAAUAACAAGAAUCUGGUCAAUUGUGAUGCUAAAUUGAAGCAAAUUCUGUUGGGUAAAGGCCAAGUCGAUCUUGCUGAACUUCCUAUGCUGAUUAAGCUGCAUUUCCCGAAGCAGCAGAAAUGAUCUUCACGUUUGCAAGUCAAAGACGGCUGACACCAACUCUUGCUUUCGCAUUCCUUUCUAUAGAUCGGAUGAAAACACAGAAAGUUUAUGUAAUAGUCAGAUGGUCGAGGAAUUAUUUCUGUUAGUGGCGAGUUGGCAGGUUAUCCUUUCCAUCGCUGCCUUCAGAAUUUUUCUCAAAUGUUGUAGUUAGUAAUAUGACAUACAUGGAUAUCAGCUCUACAUAUAUUAUUGGUUAUCGGCUGCCGUCAUGAGAAAAAUCCCAUUACAAUGAUAAUGAACUCUCUUUGACUCUGGUUUUUAGUUUUUAACUUUUCAUUGUAUGGCUAUACAGAGAAAGCAUUGCGUUCAGGUGCUAUUUGUUUUUUCUCCCUCUAGAUUCUUUGCAUCAGGCGUAUCAUUAACUGCUUAGAGUUUUCCUUUUUUUUUUUUCUUGAAAGAAACCUCACGAGAAAGGUCAGAAAAUUUAACUGAUUCAACAGUUUGACAAAUUAGUCAAGUUUUUCAAUAAUUGAACACAUUAAAACAUUUUCUGUAGCAAACAGUGCAAGAGAAUUCUUUAUGGCAUGAUGUGCUAUUAUGCCAUUCGUUUUCUCUUGGCAUGAAAAGAAUCCCAGAAUGCAUAUUUGGUUGCAUCUCUGCAUCUGAAAGGGUUAUACCUGUCACAUGAGUAAAGCAUCUCAAAAGUUCCAGUCCCGCAACAUGCUGUUGCUGUGUCUUCAAAUCCUUUAUUAGGGCAACAAAUUCAGAAGGCAUCUUGAGAUAGCGUUGACAGAAACCUGAAUUACAUGUCCUACAAAUUUCAGGCAAUUAGCUGUAAUGUAGACGGUCUUCUAUAUUUGAAACAAAUAGAGUAAGGACGAUGAAGAGAAGAAACAAUAUGGAAAACUAGAAACUGCAAAAUCAAGUGGGGGAGGGGGAGGUGAGUAUGCUCCUGCUUAAACUUUGUACAUCAUUUUAUUGAGUUUCUUUUCUAGCUCAAAGAUUCAUCCAGUGUGAAAGAAGGAUUGACCAGGUAAACUUUGGAUUAUGAUUUAUGUGAUGGUGUAGAAGUCUUUAUUUUCUUAAUGGCAGACGUUUCUUAGGAUAAGCAACAUAUUUUAAAAUGAGAGAUAUUUUGUUUACAUUGUUGUCUUUUGAACAUUAAAGAUCUCAUACUAUCUUGGCAAAAUCUACACAGGAUGAACAUCCUAGAGUGAGCAUUAUACUAAUGCUUGAUUUGUAAUUAAUUUCUGAAUUUAUGCCUGAUGCUUUCUGGUCCUGUCUAUCUUGGAAUCUACUGUAUCUUUUCAAAUGUUAGCCUUACUAUUUUAGCAAAUUAUAAUUGUUGCAGUUGACUUUGAAAGUCUGAAACCUCAGCAGCAAUGGAAGGGUUGGAUGCGCUACUAGCUGUGAGUAUACCAAUGUCCUACCUAAUUCUUUUUGCAAAUUUCUUGGAUCAUUCACUGAUAAUUCUCACUUUGUUAUUGCAUUUAUGCAGAAGAAAAAGCAUACACCGAAAAGUGAACUAGAACAAAAUGGUGAGACUGUUAUUGAUCUAGCUACAUAUUUUGUGUUUCUUCCCUCUUUUCCUUGUUUAGAGACCUGAGUUCGUAAAGUUCAUAUCUGUUCUGCAAUUCAGGUAUUCCUCAGUUGCAGUCUUCACCAUCUGCUAAUUGGUUUUCUUCAUCAAAGUCUGCAAAGAAGGUGCAUUGUAACAAUUACUUUGUCUCUAAAGGAUGAAAUAUUGCACUUUUUCCUAUACUUUUUGCAUCGAUACAGUUUACACGAUCCAUGUUAUUUAAUUCUUUGCAUUUUCUGUUCUCUUUAUAGACUUUUAUUUCUAGUGUUGGGUAAACUGUUUUACAAUACUCUCUAUUAUGUUUCAAAGUAAUGUGAUGCAACGAGAUGAUAAACAGAAUGGAUUUGGGGCUGUAGAGAGGUCAGACUGGAAGAUUUGAUAUUUCGUGUGAGGACAUUAUCGAAGCUGCCAUAGGACUCUAGUACAUGACAAGAUGACGAAAAAGUUUGAUAUGUACCGUAGUACAUCAACUAGUAUGCUAGUAGGACUUGAACACUAUUCCACAAAGAGCACUUCUUAAUGUGCAAGAACUUGUCUCUUGAUGAUUAAAUUUGCAUCAUUAACAAAUGGCCAUUUGUUUGUAAACACACUUUACUUAUUGUUUUGGGUCCUAUAAUGAGCUUUGCUUUUGCUUUGUGUCCUGUCAGGUGUCUCUAAGCUGUGUUACAUCAAUUAUUGAUGGAUUGAAGAAGUUGUACGUCCAAAAACUGAAGCCAUUGGAAGCAACAUAUCGUUUCAAUGAUUUUGUUCCCCCUUUGUUGGUGAGUCAUGCAUCUGCUUUGUUCUUCACUUGAGGGAUUGGAUAUGGUUGUGAUUCAAUUGUCUUAAUUAACUGAAAUCAUAGUUGACUGGAUUGUUCCUUUCCUAGACAAAUAGCGAUUUUGAUGCUAAGCCCAUGGUGAUGGUUUUUGGGUCAAUACUCAACUGGGAAAACAACAUUCAUUAAACAUCUGCUCAAAACGAGUUAUCCAGGUAUAUAGACCUUCAUGCGGAGUCUGCGUAUCUACUCUAAUAUCUCCUCAGAAGAUAGGACCUUUCUGAUCAUUUUAUGCGUUAUUUUCACAGGUGCUCACAUUGGACCAAAGAAAUAUCACAAUUGUACAGAGAAAUAUCACGAUUAUGUUUAUCUCUCGUUUGCCAACAGGUUCAGAGGGAGUUCCAUCUGCCAGCAGGGGAUUUUCCGAAUGUUGAACACUUUCGGGAGGUCCUGAGUGGAUAUAGCAUUGAUAAGUUCGAGAAAUUGAAGCCUAAAAUGAUACAAUCUGUUGAUGAUAUGCUUGGAUACGAUAUCCCAGAACUUCUCAAGAAUUUCCGGAAUCCAUAUGAUUGAUAUGCAUAUGUCUGCUAUCAAAUUACAGCAGUUUUUUUGGGUAAGAGAAAUCAGAAGAAUAUUGCUGACGAUUUGCUAGAUUGGCCGCCCACACGUUCAACUUCUUCUGACGCAUAAACAUGAUUUAUGCGGAAAACUACGACGCUGUACGCUUCGAUUAGGCGAGCUAGUGUGAAAUUAGCAGUGACAUGAAUAAUUAUUCAGAUUGUAUUGUCUUUUGAUUUUCUUGGCAUUCUUACAAAAAUAAUAUAUAAUUCCAUUUACAAAACUGAUAUAGUUCCUUCCCAGAGACUGCUGCUAAGCUCAGCGUUUUCAAGUACAUUUCCUUUUUCUCAUAUACAUGGCGUAAAAGGAAACAAGAGAAAUCUUAACAAAGAUACAAAAUUUACCAAGAUUUGCCUUCUCAUAAUUGAUGGUAUUCCACUCUUCCACCGCGUAAGCGUAAGAACAUACCAAAAAAUAUUAAUGCUGCUCAAUAUUUUGUAUUGAGAACAUACCAAAAGAUGGCUGGAGUCCGAAUAUGUUGUAUAUGUAAACGAUAUCAUACCAAAUUUACGUUAUCACCGUUUCCGCCCUAUUCAAUAGAUAUUCACCUUCUCUGUGGUCACCAAAUAUGUCGUUUCUUAGAUCGACAAAAACCCUUUUGCAUCCAAAGAAGGCCUUGAAGGAUCUGAUGGCCAACGUUGGAGCCAAAAUACACCAAUUUAUGAUGGCUUGCAACUUAGGCAAAAUUUUCAAAAUCGACAGAACCUCUAAUCCGCCCACCCCUCGUGUUUCCGUCUCUUCUCCUAGCGAAAGUGAUCACGCCGAUCAUACACCGGCUGCAAUUCAUUCACCAAAGAGUGUACCACCAGUUUUCUGUCCACUUCCCAUUCAAUACUCAACAGAUUCUAGUGGUGCCGACGACACCGAAGACGAGGAGGAAGAUGCAGAGGAAGAGGAAGACGAGGAGCAGGAGGAGGAGGAGAAGGAGAAAGAGAGUCAUGUGUUGGACUAUAUUGUAACGUUUCCUGACUCCGACUCCGACUCUGGUGCUGAUGAAUUAUCGAAGGUGCCUGAAGGGUGCUUGUGUCCUGAUCAAGAAUAUACCGUAACAUUUCCUGACAGUACCGACUCUGAGUCUGAGUCUGAAUCUGAUGCGGAGGAAGAGCAAGUGUUUGUCCAUAAAGAUGACUGCUUGAAUUCUGAUGAUGGUGAUGACCAAUUUCACUUUGUGACGCCUCAUCAAGAGGAGGACAUGUAUGCUCAUCAGCACUGUGGGUUCCAAUGUCAUCAUCACGAUUAUCAUGGGGGCCGUCAUCAUCACGACGAAGGUUAUGGGUACCAAUAUUAUGGCUGGACAGGCUUUUACGGUGUUAGACAACCUCCAUUCGGAUUUACUACAAUCUUCUUCCAUUACUGACCCCCGAUUUGAUAGCAUUUUAUGUUUUUGUUUCGGGUUUUGCCCUCGGGAUUUUAUUGCGUUCUUUUCAUCAGGUUCAGGAUUGCUGGUUUGAUUGAGCUACUUCAUUGAUUUGAAGCGUGUACUUGUGGGUUAUGUCUGCGCAUAAAGUGCUAGAAAAAUUUUCUCUAUUGCUUGCUUCAUAUGCUCUGCUCUGAUCUGUUAAUUUGACGUUACUAAGUGAUUGUAUGGGGUUUGCAUGAAUGCGAUGACAAUUUGCGGUCAGCUCUCUUCCUUCCACAGUGUCAAAACCCAAAAGAUACAUUCAAUUUAACGUCAAAUCACUUCUAAACAUUACACACAGUUCAAGGCCUCACUAUAUAUAGAUGCUGAAGACUCUUGCUGCACCUGAAAAUAUGGCGAAUUUGAACGUGAAAAUCUAAAAUAACUUGGGUUUUGAUAGAGAAUGAGCAUGUACUGAAACUGCAUAUAAAUAUAACGUAUCAAGUAUCACGAAAAUCAGAGAACAAAACAAGCCAUUGAACUCCUACCAAAUUCUUUUGGAUUUUGAAUGAUUUCUGAAAAAAUUCCAUAUGGGUUGGAAAACACCGGUAUCAAUUUGACCCUUUUUUCUUCUGAUCUUUUUUUUUGUUUUCAUUAAAUAAUGAAGAGAUCCUAAACCUUACACAAGGAAAGAGGAAGGUGGAGGAUUUGUGACUGAAGCCUCAUGAUUUACCUAAUUACUAAUAUCCUUUUGGUGAUCGUUUAGACCUUGACAUCUAUUUGUUAACAAUGUAGUAACAACAGAAAUUUUAAAACAAAUGGCGCCAAUUCACCUAAUAAUAAUGUGUUAGCUUUAAAAAGAUGGUGCACCAAUUUACCUCUAUCUAAGAGACUGGAGCAAAACUAGUUCACAAAAUUUUCUCCUGUGCUAAACUACUCCAGAACUUUUUUGUCAACUCCAGUAAUGAUUUUUGUCAAGCAAUUAACCCUAAUCCCAGAUUAACCUCCAAAAGCCGGCAACUUUUGAUGGCAAUCCAGGGACUUAGCUAGGCCUGUAGAGCACCUGCUGCUAAGUGUUAACUAACACCCAAUACUCCAGAAUUUUCAGUUGUUUGUUUUUUUUUGUCAACUCCAGUAAUGACUUUUGUUAAGCAAUUAACCCUAAUCCCAGAUUAACUUCCAAAAGCCAGCAACUCUUGAAGGCAACCCAAGAACUUAACUACCCAACCCAAACCAAACUACUCCAGAACUUAACCGAGUAAAUUUACCAUUUCUUCCUAUAAAAAGUCGAAAACUAUGCAUUUUUUGCUUGAGCGUGCCAGCAAUCAUCCAUCUCUUUUCUAAUAAUUUCAAGAAGACCUUUGACAUUUGAGAUUGUUUGGACUGCAUUUUUUAGAAUGUUUUUAAAGAAAAAAUGUAAUAUUGUGUUAUAGAACGUUUUAAAAUAUGAUGUAUGUAAAAUAAAAAAAUAAUUUAAAAAAUAUAAAAAAGAUAUUAACAAAAAAAUUCCUAAAAAGUAGCAAUCUAAUCGACGCAACAUAAUGGUACGUACCAAAAUUGGCGCCAGCCCACAUUUACAUCGGUGGUACGCUUAUGAACUUUGUAACGCCUUUGGCCCAAUCACGUCACCACAAGUUCCAAGCUUCUCGAUGCUUCUAAUCCAACCUCUUGCUAGAACUCCAACAACUGGACGUUUCUACCCCGUGAAUCGUAUCAACCAUUCGAAAAUUCCCAAGGCAGAUAGGAUUUUUUUUUCCUUUUUUUUUUUAAUUUUACUAUGUUGAUUAUUCCUUUUAAUUCUUGAUUCCCAGUAUGCCUACAGAAAGAGUAUAUAUUAACUUUAGUCCAACUAGUUACAACUUGGUACAUGGUAUCAUAUUAUCACUUACAUUUUUUAUUAGAGAGGAUCGACAAUAAUUUUUUAUUUUCUCAUUUAAUGAUCCAAACCUGUUACCUCUUUUUAAUAAAAAAUUUUAUCAAUUAGACUGCAUUUUAUUAUUUAUAUACUCUUAAGAGAGUACGAAUAUUUCUUAAAAAAAAAAGAGAAUAUAAAUAUAAUUAUUUUAAUAAAUAUUUUUCCCAAAAUCUCAAGUAUACUCUCCUCUUCUUUUUUUUUUUCUUCUUUUUAGUGAGGAGAAUCUUAAGAAUUAUUUAACGUGAUUUACUUGCAGGAGUAUUUGGUUUUGUGAAAGAUUUUACCACAUAAUAAUCACACAAUAUUUCAAAAAAAAAAAAUUCAAGUGCAAUAGAAAACUGAGGUUAUUUUUGUCAUUCAAUAAUGACUUCCUUCUCUCCAACCUUCCAUCCAAAUUCCAAAGUCCUAACCUUUUCUUUCUCCCCAAGCACGCCUCUUCUCCUUGCUUUUCUAUCCCUGUUUUCUCAAGGCCUUCUCCAUCAUCUUCCUUCUUACAGCUUUUGCCUUUUAUAAUCUUAACUAUUUCAUCCCGAAUUUUGCCCGAGAAUCCCAACUUUCAGUCAUGUUGGUGAGUAGAAUUGCAGCUCGUUCAUCUCGAACCAUGGUGACUCAGUGCCGCAACUCGUUGCUUCUCUUGGCUCGCCAAGAGCAACCAUUUGUCCCCAUUCCCUCUAGUCAAUGCCACUCCCUUAUCGAACCCCGAAAUAAGGUCUUCUUCUGAUCCAAUUUUGACAUUGGUUUACGUUUUUACGGGUUUUAGUGAAAAGGGUUUUGCUAGGGUUUAAGCGGUCAUGUUAGUUAAUUUGACCAUUUGUUAUUCUCUUUCCUGAUGUUUGACUCUCUCAAUUGUUUUUGAUGAUUUUAUUUGAUCUUUUAUAUGUCUUGCUGUUGUUUCUUUUGUUAAAGAUUAAAUUUUUAUGAUUCGUUUGAAUAUAGAUAGGAUUUUUCAGUUCUUUUGUUGUAAAUGUUCAAUUUUUGAGAUUCGAAAUGUUCUUGUUUUGUUUAGUUUGGAAUUUUUUUAGUGUAAUUGUUUGACUUGUUUAUUGUUUUUCAACCUUUGCUUAGAUUAAACUCUCCCUGAAAAUGUAAGCUUUUAAGUUACCAAAGUUUGGCUAUCACUUUUGCACUGACGUUGUCUUGUUCUGGUAAAUUCAUGCACUAAUCAACAGUUGUUCUUAAUUAUCUAUUGGUGUAAAACUGUUACCUGAAGUUUUGUUACUUGAUUAUACUUUUUUGGUUGAAGUAUAAUAAUUGGUUUAAAUUGGAUGAAUUCCACGUAGAAGGGUUCUAUUUUGUGUUUUUUAAGAGUUUAUUACGAGAAAAAAGCAAUAAUGCAGCUUAUUUUCUUGCUCCAGGUGGUUUCAGGGCAAGUGGCUUUAUUACAUCGCUCCUUUCUGAAUGGAUCUCCAUUUCAACUGUUUGGUUUUUCAUCAUCUGCUUCCCCGCAACAUAAUGAGAAGGAUACAGCACAACCCGGAGCAGAAAAUGGAAGUGAUGCUGCUGCUGCAGGAACAAGUACAGAAACAGAAGUUCAUGAUAAAACUGAAGCAUCAGCUUCUACGGAUUCUCAAGUUAAGGACGAAAAAGAUGUAUCAGGUUCUAAUGUGGAGCCUAACUCUAACACAUCACAAUCUGUCAAAAGAAGGAGAAGAAAAACUAAAUGGUUUUCAUUUUCUAAUUCAGAUUCAGAUUCAGAUUCAGAGGGUGAUCUCUCGCGGGAUGACCUUGUGAAACUUGUGGCGGAGAAGGAAGAACAAUUGAAGAUCAAGCACGAAGAGUUGCAGAAAUUGCAAGAUAAAGCUCUUCGUACUUAUGCUGACAUGCAAAAUUCCAUGGAUAGGACAAAACGUGAUGCAGAAAACCUGAAAAAAUUUGCCGUUCAGGUUUAUAACAACGAUAUUUAGUUUAUCUCACAUGCAUCAGUGUUAUCUUAUGCACAGCAAACCUGUUUCAAAUCCCCCCCCCCCUCCCCAAAAAAAAUAAAAACACCCUUUCUUAUGUAUGCUGAAAAAUUAUGUCAAAACAUCCUGUAUGACUAGCCAUAGUACAUUAAUUUUUAGCUCCACUCAGAUGGAUCGCUUUUCUGCAAAAAACAAAUAAUAAUGCAAGACUAGGAAGUCCCAAAAAAAUUCUUCAAGCUGGGAAACCAGCCAAGCUGUGUAGACAUUGUGUAGAAUUCUUGAAGCACAGUUUUUGUAUCUAGAAGUACUGAUUCUGUUUAUUUGGGUAUUGUCAUAGGAUUUUGCCAAGAACUUAUUGGAUGUUGCAGAUAAUCUUAGUAGGGCUUCUUUGGCUGUGAAAGACAAUUUCUUGAAGAUUGAUGCAUCCAAAGACGCUGUUGGAGCUGUGCCACUUCUAAAAACACUUCUGCAAGGUGUUGAAAUGACUGAAAAACAGCUGGCUGAGGUCUGAUUUUCUUGCCCUAAGCAAUGUACAUGUAGUUUCCCUCUUACGUCACCAUAGUAUGUUAUGGAUUGGAGUAGUGAAUGAUUACCAUAUCACAUGAUCUAUAGAGUGUUAACCUCAUUGCCUUAUCAGUUAAAAAUAUAUCGAUUAAUUAUCACUUUCAGGUAUUCAAAAAAUAUGGAUUGCAAAAAUAUGAUCCGGUAGAUGAAGAAUUUGAUCCACAUAGGCAUAAUGCCGUUUUUCAAGUACCAGAUCCUUCCAAGCCUCCCAACACUGUUGCAGUUGUUUUGAAGGUAACUUUUAUAUAUCAAUUUUGCCCCUUCCAUGAAUUUAAUAUGGUUUCAUGAACUGCAGGAGGGGAAGUUUGACAAUUUUGGUCUGAUUUGAAGAAUUCUCAAUUUAGAUAUAGAUAUGAAUGUUCGUUUAGACAGAUGAACAAGUUAUUGUCAUAUGGUGCCUGACAUCAUGAGUGCAUUUAACCCUCUACAUAUUUGUUUCGUUUUGGAAAUUUAUUUUGGUCAAUUAGUAUUACAGCAGCUAUUAUUAUUAGACUAGGAAGCAGAAGUAUCAUUGGAGUGAUGUUUACUUCCGUAGGUUCCCGUUUUAUCUUAACUACUUAUGUCGCACGCCUCCUGAAGGAGUGAAGGAUGUUAUAUCUGUAUUUGAUCGUGCAGGCCGGAUACACGUUACAUGACCGGGUCAUUCGGCCAGCAGAAGUUGGUGUGACACGGGCUGUGGAAAACGAUGCAGAACAAAGCUCCGAAACCUGAUCAAAAUGUAUAGCUUACUGCAUGCAUAGUCCUUGAGCUUGUCUGAAGAAGAUCAAUGCCAUGGGGUUCCAGUCCUAUAAGCUCAAUCUAAUCUUUUCCAUUUUAGGGGAUAGAUCGUAAUUUCUUUCCUGUUUUCAGCUUUCAUUUAUUGUGACGUUGCAGAGAUGGCGCCACUAGGAGCAGCAGUGUCUAAAUCUUAAGCUCUGUGACGGGAUUUUUUUUUUUUUUUCGGAAGUUUUGUAACAGGAAUUUUGAUUAGAGGGAUAAACUUUUUUGCUCCUAGUGAAGUCGUUUUCUCCUAGUUGCUUUUUCCCGUCAACUCGAUGGAUCGUUGAUGGCGGAGCUAUUUAUCGGCGAGCAAACUUGCCUGGGCAAUGGGUACUGAGGGUUCAAAUUCAACACUGGCAAGUAUCUUUAAUUCAAUGAUUACUAUUAAGGUAACUUCUGAUAUAUCAAUAGUCUGAGUCAAACAAAUACACGACGAGGGAACUCACAAUGGGAAACGGGACUGCGGGAUUAGCAUCAGGGUUCGCUCGAAGUCCCUCUGAAAUCGUUGUUGCCGACAAAGGUUGUCACAGCUAAAAAGUGGGGGGGGGGGGAUUAGAAAGACAAUAUAAAUCCGUUGGCCCGUCUGCUUAAUAAGCCGAGACAGGGCAUUGCCCGAGUCAGUCUAGGACUAGGCGGUGAUAUUGAUUUCUGACCCAUUCUCUUCUAUUGAUGAGUACGAGAGGACUCCGCCUAGUGGUGCACAAAGCACAUCCAUGGAUGUUUGGAAACAAGAAAACUUAGAGAUAUUUACUGCUGAUUUUCCCUGAAGCCGACCCAGCAGUACACAUGCCAAACAUGGAGCUUAAUAGCAGAAGGUUUAAGUGGAGCAUAAUUACAAGAGGGGCUUCGAGGUGAUGCAUACUCUCUCUCAGUUCAUAGUCCUCAAUGCAAGGAAAUAACUUUCGAAAAUGGCCAUCUUAAGUGCUCAGAUCUUCUCAUACAGUAAACUGCUCUCCCUAUUACUCCGUCAUAAUGGCUUCUUUAAGUCAAAGCUGCAAAUCCAAAUUCUCAAAAUAUGCGUGGUCCUCACCAGGUUCCUGCAUCAGAGAAGGGGAGAUCAUGAUGAAAGUCAUAGCAGCUACCUCUGGAAAGUGAUCAAUCUCGAAAGGCGCGUUAUUAGGGACUGAUAUCAGUCUUGACAUGUUUUUUCUACCAUUCAGCAGUGUCAAAUGUAUACCUUUUACACAAAAUGAUACUCUCCACUAUUAUAGCAUCAGGUCUAAAUUCUACCGUAGAGAAUACGCGUUCUCGUACUAAAUUUUUACUUCCUUCUUGAUCAUUUUGCCCCUCAUGUGCGAGGAUACUUGGGUCUCAUAAGGCAGUUAUUCAAGUAUAUGGUAAUGCUGAUAUACAAGUCCUUCAUCAAAUGCAAAUGUAGGAAAAUGCAGCUUCUUCUGUCUUCAGUUGACAGAAUACAGACAGACAGGCAGACAAUAAUGAUCUAAAUGUAUGGAGGGCCAACAAAAUCUGUAACAGAGACCAGAGGGUUGUGAGCUAAGAAACAAAACAGAAAGCAGAUUUUAAAAUGAGUCACCUUCAUUUCUUCCACGAAAUUAUCAUUAAAGUGCGGCUUCUCAAAGGGCAUAUCAAUAGUCAUUAUCACAUCUGCUCUAGAUUGGUUCUUUUCAAUUCUUGCAGCAUCAUCGUCAGCCUUUCGACAGCUUCUUUCUUCUUUUCUUCGAACGCAAUAACCUAAAAGGUUAAAGGUCACAGAAUAUGGAUCAAUGUAGAUAGUAAUAGGCCUAAAUUCUGCUUUCCUUUCCAAGUUUUUUUUGGUUCACAUCAAAUUCUUCUUGCACUGCUUUGCCUCGCCAUUUUCCUCGCUUAUAAGCAUCAACAUCUUCAAUGAGAUGUCAAUCACAAGCUCAAAACUUUUCAGAACGAUCAGGUGAGGAGACAUUGAUUUGAUGAAGGGGAAAAGAAAAAAAAAACUGAAGAAAUGGUUUCCUGUUUUCGCACGUUGAAAACUUACACCAAGAGACUUUUCUUUUUCCCAUCUCUCCUUCUGGCUGGGCUUUUGGUUUCCCUUGUCCCCUAGGUUAAACUAAGCGGGUUCCGAAGUAACAGAGAGUUAAGAGACGGUAUAAUAAUCCCAUUUCAAAACCAUGCCUAACCAUCAGAAGGCCAGAACCACUAGAAACAUUGAUCAACCCAGAGAAAAGAAGAGAAAUAAGCUUCAAACAUAAAAAAUAAGAAGUAAAGAGGGUGAGAAAUGGGCCAUACCGGGGUGCGCGAACUUGCGCUUAGAGGGCUCCGACGACUCACCGGAGCUGUUUAGCGGGGUCCAGCGGCAGAGGAGGAGGCUAGGUGCGUCCUGCUCCUGGUGCUGGUGGCCACGCUUGCCGGCGACGGCAUUGUUCUUGUUGGGCUCUGAAGGAACCCACUUCCUCUUCCAUUUUCGGACAGGGCCGGUGAAGGCUGGAGCAGAUGGAGCUGGGCCUAAUCCGUAUCUGGAAUAAAACCGGCUGAGCCGCUGCCCAGUUCCUUCCAUUGGAAAAGCUCUAUGAUUUUUCAGUUUUUGUUUUUUUGUUUGGUUGGGUCUGUUUUCUCUUUCUUUGCGACUGCGAUUGAUGAACAGAGGAGGAUGAGAGAUGUUUUUUAGGUUCUCUUUCUAUGGGUGGCUGGUGAUCGCGGCGGAGUAAGCAGGCAAAGCCUGCAAAGGUUCCAUUUCACCAGUUUUCAGACUUCAGUCUUGAAAAGAUCUUUAAAAAAAUACAAAAACGAAAAGCGACGUCGUAUAUCAGUACUGAAAUAAUGAUCUGCAUUGCACCUUGCCCCGUUAGCGGGGCCACCUGGUACCGUUUUGCUAUUUCCCCUCCAGUUGUCCCGUCCACUUGUCCUCCCUUCCAAUGGCACUGUUGCAACUUCGCAUGCAGGCAGGGACUACUGACUACUACUGACUAGGGAGGAUGUUUGGUUUCGUACGUUAACGAGGUUGAAGUUACUGAGGCUUAGGGCUAUUAAAUAAAACGACCAACUUGAAAACUCGGUUGAGUUCUAAUUGAUAAACCUCGAAUUCGGCUCGUCAAUUCUCAUAAAUCAGUCGAGUUUGAAUUAAAAAUUUACCCAAUUAAUUAACGAUUUGCAUAAGUUGGAACCAUUUAAUACUUGAGUAGCUCGCUUGAAUUUGAUAGGAAAGGGUAUAUAUGUUAUUUUAUAAUUUAAAAGAAUAAAAAUUAAAAAUUAUAUAUUUUUAUUUUAUUAAUUCAUACGAGCUCAACUCAUUUGCGAUAAACGAAUCAAGUUCGAAUUUGAACUCGAGUCACAUGUCUUAUUUGUCAAGUCGAGUUCGAGCAUAUUUUAAAACCCGUUCACUAAAUCGAGCGAGCUCUAGUCUUGACGAAUUAAACACAAGUCGAGUUCGACAAUCAAAUACUCAGUUGGAUUAACACCAAACUAGAGCUUGACUUGAACUACUGGUUUGAGUUCCUUGCUAUUGACCUAAACACCAGUGAAACUCCGCUAAUUUAAUUUCUUUAUGAUGUUAUCGAGGCAAAUUCCAUCAUCAAAUUUCGAACAGUACUGGUGAAUUUUACGAGCUUGUACUCAAGCUGGGUAAUAUUUGCGCUUCGCUCAGCCAGUUUACACUUUACACCGAAGAUCUCCUCUGUUUCCUCAAAAACUAACCCUUCCUUCGUUAAAAAAUAAAAAAUAAAAAUCCUGAAAUACAGAACUGUGUCGUUUAGGCCUGACCAUGUCAAUAUCUUACUACUUGGACAUCCUAUCCAUCACUCACUUCAAAAGCCCCGGCAGGUUAACAGUUUCGCUGUUCCACAGAGGCAAAAAUGGUGCUCUAUGGCACAGCAACAGCAUCAACAUUACUCGAAUUCAAGGCCUCUCUUCUCUCCCUUGCCCUUCUUUCGGUUCCCGACCUGUGAACCCUCUUAUUCAGCCCGUCAAGAACACAAUUUUCUUCCCUGCUAUUAAACACGUUUCUAGUAAUUCACCGUCUCAGCAAUUCAAGAAAAUCUCAAAUACCUUUGUAGCUUCAGCUUCUACUGCGGAAGUUGAUACCCUUGUUGAAAAACUUCCAGCUGAUCUCAAUGUUACUGAAACCGAAGAACCCAAUUCUAGAGUGAGUAAUCUUGUGCGCCUUUUUUUUCUCCUAACUGCAUCUCUAAUCUCAGUAAAAGGUGAAAACUUUAUUUCUUUGUUUAGAACAUCCCAUACGCAUGUUUUCUUGGUGUUUAAUUUUUAAGUGACCUUGAAUGUUGCUAACGAGCUUUAUCUUUAUCGUUGAACUCUUGCUUGCAGGUGAGGUUGAGCGUAGAAGUUCCUCCUGUUGUUUGUGAGGAUUGCUACAGAAGAGUCAUCCGAGAGUUCAUGAAGAAGGCAAAGGUGCUUUUUGCCUUGCUUUAUCAGUCUGUUAAUAUCUGCCAAUAAAUUGUUAUAGUCUUUAUAAGAAUCUUUAUCUCUGUCUGUUAAAAGAGAAGGAAGAAUGAAAAAAAAGAAGCGAUUUUGAGAGAAGCUCUCUGAUAUGUGAAAUGGGAAGUGUCAAAUUUGAGCUUUCCUUUGUGAAUACGGCAAAACGAAUUGCAAAUUGAUUGGUAUUACAAUGCUACUGGGUGCAGGUGCCAGGGUUUCGCCCUGGGAAGAAUGUUCCAGAAAGCAUUCUUAUCAAUUACAUAGGUAAACAGAAUAUCCAGAAGGCUAUUGUUGAGUCUAUCUUGAAGAGAACCCUUCCACAUGCUAUGUCUUCGGUAGGUUGUCUUUUCUAUUUGGUUUCAUCUGUUAACGACUAUUCCUAGAUUAUUUCUUACGAACAUGGAAUGCAUGGCGCGCUUCUCUUUAUGCUGGAACUGCUCAUUACUUGGUUUGCUGACUAUAUUUCGAAUGCUAUUUCACAGAUGACUGGAAAAGCCUUGGAAGAUUCAAUUCGUAUUGUGACAAAAUUUUCAGAGAUGGAGAAUACAUACUCUUCUUUGAACUCUCUGAGGUUUGUUAAAGUAUUAACUUCAAGUAACUUCACCCUUGCAUGUCAUGUAAUGGAGCUUAUGAACUUGUUGCUAUUAUGUAGCUACAGCUCCCUAUGGUAGAAUGUAGUUAUAGUAUUAUUGCAUUCAGAGGCAAGGAAAUAGUGAUGGAAAUUCAAUACUUUCUUACUUUCAUAUGCAUUUUUCCGUGUGCUCAUGCAAUUUUUUAGUGGGGUCUAGAUAUGACAUCAUUGUUGAUGUGGCGCCUGAAGUCAAAUGGGUUCCUGAAUAUGGGUACAAGAAUUUGAAGAUUGUUGUAGAGAUAGACAGCGAGAUAGAUGCCAAGAAAGCGUCUGAAGAAGAAUUAAGGCGUCGCCAUAAGUCUCUAGGUUCACUUAGAAUUGUAACUGACAGAGGAGUAAAGGUAAAAGCAUGCUUUAUUUCGUAGGAAUGAUACAUAUUCCAAGUUCAAUAACUGAAAUAGGUCUUCUUGCUUUCUAAUGUAUUGUGGACUUGAGAGUAAAUUUCUACAGCUUGGGGAUGUUGCUGUACUUGAUAUAUCUGCAACAACAAUAGAGGCAGAUGACUCAGAUGCUAAAAGCAUUCCAUCGGCAGAGAGUAGAGGUUUGCCCAUCCUCGACCAUAUUUCUUCUUCAAACAAUAGUUGAUUAUCUUCUGAUCAAGAUGUUAUUUGUCUGUUUUAACUAUAUAUCCUUUUUUUUUCACUUUAUUUGGUUUCUGGUGCAUGCCUCUACUUUUGCGAUAGAAAGAAAGAACUCCCAUUCCAAGAUCUAUCCAUAUAUGUUCUGGUGUGAAUGGACUUUAUUCUCAAGUAUCCCCUUAGAAAUUACGUAUGAAGAUGCAAAGCUGUAACUAUGCAUCUCAAAGCUGUAACUAUGAAGAUGUCUGCAGUACUAAACUUUGCAGAUUUCAUGCCUGAUGCUUUAUUGCAAAUAGGAGCAGUAUGAUGGAUCUGUCUCUAGACUUCAUGAUUAUAAAAGUUUAAGGCAUUUUCUUUCUGUAAUUAUGAAUAAAGGUUGACACUUCAAUAUCUGCUUGUAGGUUUUCAAUUUGAUACAGAAGAUGGAGAUAGAAUCCUUCCUGGUUUCCUGGAGGCGAUUACUGGGAUCCAACGUGGUGAAACAAAGACUUUCAGUAUGUAUUUCCUGAAUCAUGGGCACAAGAAAAUCUUCGGGGUAUUGAAGCUAAAUUUACCGUGAGUCACAUUCCUAUUUUAAGGGUCUUGCACAUUGAUGAAACUGACAAGUAAAUUCAUUUAUUUUCUACAUGAUAAGCUUUGCUUAUUUUCUUCUCUCGUCUUUUUAUUUACGCCUUUUAGUACACAAGAUGAGUUGUGAAAUUCGUAACUGUUGUAGCCUGUGUAAAGCCUGGGCAAUUUUGAACUUACUGGUAUUCAUUUUUGCUGAUACUAGCUGUUAUUAGAACUCACAGAGUCCCCUGAAACUUUACCAAUAUUGAGACAGGGUACCUUCGUGUAAAGUUUUCCUUGUUGUCAAUGCAUCUAACAAGUGUUAUUUAAUCAAUUUGACAGAAUUAUCAAAUUGUAAGGUUAAUGUUCACUUUUGAUUCAUCUAAACUUUAUUCAAUAGUUUAAUAUAUUUCUGCAUGCAACCUUAUACAUGUUAAUGGAACAUUUGAGGAAAAUGAUGCAGCGUAAUGCUUCGCUUACUCUAGGUGGAAUGUAAGGAACUGUUUUAUCGAGAUCUACCUGAUCUUGAUGAUUCCAUUGCUGAUAAGCUGCUUCCUGGGUGCACUACACUGGAGGAGGUGAGCUUUUUGAGUCCUGUUGUAAUUAAAUUCAGGUGAUUGGUGUAAUUGCUCAUCCUUUUUUCACAUGUUACUUGCUACAUGUGCCUGCAGGUCAAGAAAGCAUUACUGGAGAAGUGCCUAGAAGUGGAGCAAACUGCCAAAGAACAAGCAGCAGAUAAUGCAAUUCUUGAUCGACUAUGCAAGGUAUUCUACUUUGAGGCAUGAUGAACAUUAGAUAUAUCAGAAACAUCCACUUUGACAUCUUUUGGCUGCAGUUUAUCCUAUCCAACUUACAUGUUACCCUUGCUGUUAAAGUGGACUUUAUCUUGUUGAUCUGUCUGCUUUUAUUUCUUUUCGUUGUCUUUUUAUAUGUUAUUCAAGUCGACAUUUGAUGUAGUGUGAUGAUGGUGUUAUUUGUGGCAUUAUAAUAGCUAUAAGAGAAUAAUCUCUCCUCCCUCUCCCUGUUCUCCUGGACUCACCAACUUUAUGUGGUAUCUAAAAGUGGGCACUUUUAUUUUUUAUUUUUUUACAAGUGGGCACUUAAGAGAAUUUUCUUUUCAAUUGAACUUUCACCAUCAUGACCUCAGUAGUUUGGUUAUUCUCGUACCCAUGUAAAUUCUUCUAACUACAAGUCUAGCUAUUCUCUUUGGCAUUCUAAAGAUGGUUGAAGUGGACAUCCCUCGGUCUUUGUUUGAGGAACAAGGAAGGGAACUUUAUGGAGCCCAACUUUUGCAAAUGCAGGUGAUUACUUCCAAUCCUAUUUUCUUGUAGGCCACUCUUGACUUUCUUAGAAUGCUAGAAGUUGACAUCAUUAUGCAUCUAAUAAACACGUAUUCAUUUAAGCACUGUAAUUGGAGUAGGCAAAUAGGCAGCUGAAUGAUCAACAGUUGGCAUAUUUAUCAAGUGCCAAGGCAGUCAAUGAGUUCUUGGAGAACAACAAGGAAAACAUAAAUCAUGUGAUAAAGCAGAAUCUAGCUGUUGGUGACAUAUUUAAACGUGAAAAUUUGCAGGUGCACCCUUUUAUCCCCCUCUGAUUCUUUCUCCAUGAUAUUCAAACUACUCAUCCUUUGCUUAUCUCGUAUAUUUUCAUUAACCAUUUAGUUUGGAAAACCUAGUGUUCAUCUAUGACUUCCUUCCCAUGCCGCAGUUUUCAACAGAAGAGCUGGUGAAAGAAGUAAAAAACUCAAUUGCCGAAUUCAAAAGACAUAAUCAGGAAUACGAUGAGGAGCGUGUGAAGGAACAGGUCAGUACACUACGCAAGAUGUAAUCCUCAUAGCCAUUUUAAAAAAAUUGAUAUCUCUUUUAGACUAAAUAGUUUGGGGUCCACAGACAAACUACGUUUUGAACUAAUUGGGAAACCUUGAGAAAUUUUGGUAGAUAAAGGGAUUCAGAGCUGAGCAAUUUUCCUUUAUUAGAAAUUGUAUAGAAAAGAAGUAAAAGGAAUGUUGACGUGGUUUAAUGGGCUGCUUUGCUCUGAAUUCAAUCUCCGGCCUCUUGAGGAACAUCCUAAAUCCGUGCAUAAGGUGUACCAAGUGGCAAUGCUUUUACUUGCUCUUUUUCCCUUUGAAAAUUCGUACAGGUGCAAGAGGUGCUGGAGGGGGCAGAAGUGCUAGAAUGGCUAAGAGAAAAUGCAGAAAUACAAUACACAACUCGGUAGAUAAAAGCAAUUAGAAAAUAAUGCAUGGUUUUGGAUAGCAAGGAAAGGAGAUAUAUAUCUGUUGUGGCUUUCACUUUUAAGAACGGUCCACCUUCUGGUAGCGAACUAUGAGAAGAGAUGACAUCUCCAAUGUUUUCGGCCGGACAUGCGAAGUUAUUGCAAGAUUCGUGUUGGACUUGCCGGUCUCAGGUCCACUGUUUUGGGGUUGUCUUUACGGAAUCAGAGAAAUUAUAGCAUUUAAUGAUCCAUAUUGUUUAGCAUUCGGGUCGUUGGACAUGCGAAGUUUAAUGAUCCAUAUUGAAUAAAUCCCCAAGAACAGAUUUUUUUUUUUUUUAAAAACCUGCUGCUGCUGCUGCUUUCCUUUUUCCUCCUUGAGAUUGCUCCUCUGUUGUGAGUUCUGACCAAGCAUUCAAAACCUCGGUCUCCACAAAGCAGAAGAACCAAAAAACGUUAUGUGACAAAGAUCGAGAUAGAAAAUUGCAACUCGUGCAAGGUAGCACACAGUUAUUCGUUUGUUUCAUGUUCUUGGGUGGUUCGGGAUUGCCCAUGUCCUUAGUUUACAAUAAAACGUCAGCAAUCCCACCAUUCUAAUCUCUAUUCUCUUUCCUCCAAACCAUGGUUGCAACCUGUAAAUAGGGAACCUGCCUAUCUUCAAAAUUGAAUCCUAUAACCUUGAAGUUGCUUCAUAGCCAUUGCCAACAAUUGUUAUCCAAGCGAAACUGAGAAUUAUCUGCUCAAGGAAGUGAUAAACUGCCGCUCCUCGAAUAUCUGACUGAGCUUCAAAUAGAGUGCGUUUUGCUCCUCGAAGCUGAGAUGCCGUACAAUCUGCAACGCCAAAACUGCAGCAUAUUAGGAGUAUGGACUGGGAAAUCAAGUAAUACUCGUGGCUGGACUAGUUCCUAAUGUUUUUCCCGAUUAAUAAUUGAAUGCAAUAUUUUUGUAGCAUGUUCGUGUUUUUCGAGAUUAAUGCCACAGGCAAAUCUUUGGCAUUGUUAACUUCCACACCGUUGUCACGAGAUUGAAAACUGAAAAUGAAGUAUCUUCAAAUCUAUAUGAAGUAGCUGUUCCAACAAUGAGCAGUUCACCUGAUCCAAGAUCAUCUCGACAGGAUUGUCUUGGGAAGCAAUGAAAGACUGGUAAUAGAUGUAAGCAAAUAUGGCCAUCACCAUCUGCAUUGAAGGUUGGCAUUGGUCAUCAGUGCCCUCCGCUUGAGAUCAGACACAAGACUCCAUAUAGAUGAUGAGAAAAUGCAAGGAUGAAAAGAAAUAUGGAGAUGUUUUGCACCCUUUCGUGAAAGAGGCAAUUUCGAGACAAGUGCUCAAAGACAGAUUCUGGUAGCUCACCUGGCAGUCCAUUCUAUCAGUAAAACCUCCAUGUCCAGGAAUGCUGGCACCAAAAUCCUGAAUAACAAAUGGAGGAAAAGACGGGUAUGAUUUCCACAAAUAUUUAUUUUUAAAAAAUAUCCAGAGACAAUAAUAUAGGAAUGAUUACCUUGAUCUUAAAAGCUCUCUUGAAUCCACUCGCAAAGAAACCUCCAAAAGGUGCUAUCAUUGAUGCAAACAAGCCCAGGCAUAAAGCAUGCCACUGCACGGGCAAAAUGGAUAUCUCCUUCCAAGGGAACUGCACCGAUUAAUUUGUUAAAACAGAUUUACACUACCGUGUCUUUAAGCAAGAAAUUUGAGCAAGAAAGUGGUGUUAAAAAUUUCAAUGGAAGCAUUUGACAGUCUGUGAAUUACCCAUUCAGGAAGCAACCCAAAUAAUGAAUAGUAAUCCGGCUUAAACAAUGGACCAGGUUCACACUCGAGCCAACCGGUUGAUAGAUCCUGCACUUGGUUAUUUUAGAUCGAGAUACACAAUGUCAUGUCAUAAACCUGGUUUCCAACCAUUGGGAAAUGGUUUGUACGGAGAAAUUCACCUUUCUUGGACAAGUAAGCCACUGAAAACGGCCCAUGAUGUUUGCAAGCUGCAUGUGAAAUUCAUUAGGAUAUAUAUAGUCACUAAGGACACGAUUUGUCUGAGAAAUCCUGGAAGUCGAGAGGUAGUAAAGACAUUUAGCAGGCCGGGCAGUACAUUUAUGCUAAGAUGAAGCCACCUCGUACCCCCCCAAAAAAAAAUUUUUUUUUUUAUUUUGUGAACUUCACUACGAGCAUAUAUAGAGCUUAUCCUUUUCGUGCUAUGUACCCUGAAAAUUGAAGAACAUAAUAUUUUCUGUUUACUUUUCGUCAUCAUAAUUAAAGCACCAGAAGAUGCUUACCAGAAAUGCUGAUGUCACGGUUGCAACAGAUGCUCCGAUAAAACCCUCCCAGGUCUUUUUUGGAGAAAGUUUGAUCAGUGGUGUUCUUCCAAAGAAGAAACCAAAAAGAUAAGCAGCUAUAUCGUUGAUAGCUAUAAGUGAUGCAGGCAAAAGGAACCUGCAUCAAUCACGACGAUCAACUUGUUUUUUCACUCGCAUAAAGACGGACUGGAGAAUUGAUAACAUUGCAAAUUGGCCACAUAAUUCUUCAGUUGAAAAGCAUAAAGAGAUUGAAAUCUCCACAACUUUUGAAGAAAUCAAUAUUCAUUUGGAUUUUAUUUCCUUUUUUUUUUUUUUUUUAAAGAAAGGUACUUUGUUUACAUCCAUAGGAACCCCCAAAUCCUAUCAGCACAUUUCUGUAACAUCAUAUAUAAAUUUCUAUAACAAAAAAUGGGAAAGACCAAAAGAUCAGAUUUCUGUGUAACUUGGGCUUCUACUGCAGGUUCAUUCAUUAGGUUAGCCAAAGUCGAGCAGAAAAAUAGGCAUAUAAUGUAACUGUCUCCAGGGAAUUCGUAGCUUUGCUAAUCUUUGUUGUUCGACGACAACAGAGCACCUAACCAAGUGCGUUAAAAGUGAUGAUUCCCUCUUAAAAACUGCUGCUUCAGAAGUUCAUUAUGGGAAAAAAAAAAAAAUGCAGUGAAAAAAUGAACAAUUGGGGGCCCAACAUUACCAGAAUAUUCCUUCAAAAAUGUUGGCUACAGUGAACGAUGACUGCAUGAAUACCGUAAUGAGGAUCAUGUGUGUCCAGGCAUACUGACCAAACUGAUAUUUGUACAUCUUCUUCUUCAGGGUGAGAAUGAAGCACACGACUCCUGUAACAUUGGGCUGAACGUUCAUUUUCAUAAAGAAAUGUGCCAAUAAAACAUGAAGCCACCAGAUGCAUGCAACAAUAUUUAGUAACCAAUCAAAGACUAAGAGGAGAGAAAUAUAAGACCUAAGGUAAGGACUCAUAACAGCAUGGUCCAACCUGCAAUAUAUAAGAAAUAGCAAAUGACCAUCUGGUAUUUUACAAGCUUGUUCACCAGCUUAUAGAAGGCCCUUUCAGACGUUACAGUUUUUACAAGAUGUUGACUGAGAAUACGGCCGUAUACAUGCAGCAUUGCUGUGAAGAAGAAAUGCCUGGAGCAACACAUCAUCUUAGUUUUAGACCUUAAUCUUCUGCCGCGAGGAAUUAACAAGCCUUCAAAACGAGAAGGAACGCUGAUUUGAAUCAUUACCAGUUUAGCAGCCUAAAUCCUGGAAGCUGCCUUUCCUCGUUGACUCUUCUUGAUAAACUGAAUAGCUCUCCAGUCAUGAAUAUUUGGAUGACAACCACCAUGGCACAGAUAUAAAGAUGACCCAUGUAAAGAAUGAAUAAUAUACUUAUAAGCAUCCAAAACGUAGAAGCUGUGCGGAUCCGCAUUGAUCUGUACUUGUUCUCGUCAUCAACGAGUAAGUAGCUUCCGCUCAAUUUGCGUACAUCCGGAAAAGACUGAAGAGAGGAUGAAAUGUUUAGUUCCUAAAUAUACCAUGAAAGUUGAUGAGGAAUAAAUGUUUUACAUGGCCGAGAAAAUUUUAGAUCAAACGCACUCUUUGGAUUAACUGCAAGCCGGGGCAAUUUGAUCCCCAGCCUGAAGCCAUAACUUAGACUUACUGUGGUGGCAAGACAAGACAUGCAAAAGCAGAAAUCCCUGUGCCGCCAACCUCAUUCAAUUAUGACAUAUUGGUAGUAUUGAAAUGGACUAAAUGACGGGAUAAAUGCAUGAAAAGCGUAAGUUAGGAAUUAAGGUAUACAUAGGAUGGGCCUCCAUUUCUUGGACGAUCCUAGUACACACAAUCAAAACGUUCUCAUCUCAAAGGACCUCAGAAGUUAGAAGAAACUAAUAGGUUGCUAUCGUUUGAUCGCUCACCUCAGUUGAACGCCUACGAUGACGAAAUCUAGGAGUAGAUGGAGAAGCAGGACCAUGAUCCCUCUGUGUCAUCCUUCUGUAUUAUUUUUGUUGGAAGACUUUUUUUUUUCUUUUCUACAGAGUGAAUAAGCCUGACCAAUAGAAGAACAUCAUAUCAUAUAAUGCAACAGAAUCUAUAAAAAGAAAUGAUCCAAUCUGAACGACCAUCUGCUGAAUUUGUGUGAAAACAGAUUAAAUUUUGAAAAGAAAUUCAGCAAACGAAAUAUGAUAUUAUUUUCUGCCCCUCAUUGGGAUCAAUUCAGAGGCUUCAAAGUUUUCACUACCAUGUAUGACCAAGUUUCCACAGACUCAGCCCGUUUCGGACCCCGUCAAUUAGCAAAGUUCUUCCUGCAAAGUUUCAUAAACUUACAUGAUUUAAGUGAUUUUUGCUUUAAAAGGACUAUCCCUCUCCGCAUAUUUAUGUUACUCGUGAAGAGAAGGCUAAUGCUGUUCAAUUAAGAGUCAUAACGAAAAUCGUAACCCUGUAUAAGACCCACCAAACAGAGCAACAGGUACCAGUACAAUGAGGCAAUCCGGACAAAAGAAGUCAUCGUCGUGUAUUGUAGUGCUAUUAAAACUAAGCCCAAAAUCUUUCUGCUGGGGGCAGGCUGCAAUGAUGUUGUCACCUAAAUAUCUUAGUUGAAUUUUCCUGUUUUAAUGAUUCCCAGCAGCGAGCAAUAGAUGCCUUCUGUCUCAUUAUGCAUGGCAUCAUACGGGUAAAAUGAUUAACCAAAAAAAAAAGAAGGCCUGCCAGCUUAACCAACGGAGAAGUGGGAAAAGAAACUAUUCAAGAAUUGCAAAAACAUUAACCAAGUGACAAGAGAAAACUUACAAAAACAAUGGAUUUGGAUUUGAGCUUCCAAUACUUGCUUCUACAUCACCGGAUUCUUAAUCAAAGAGAAAGAGAUAGGAAAGAAAAAAAAAACCCAAUCUGCUGGAAUAAAAGCUGAAGAAAAGUUACAGGAAAAAGCGGAAAGGUUAGUUUGAAGAGUUAAAGUUUCCAACCAAACGGAAAAAGUCCCACAAAUGACACGUGGGUUUUGGAUACCGUAUUGAAUCCCAUGAAAAAGAGCUUUCUAAAAAAAGUGUUCAUGCCCAAAGCCAAGAGAAGCUAAAACCAGGUAAUCAUGGAUGUUCAUGGCAAAGUAUUUUCAUCGGUCGGGUAGAGCAGAAAGAUUGUUCAAUCAUUUCAGGGUCCUUCUCAAUGAAUAAAUAAAAAUUAGAAGGGUUGAUUAGGGUAAGCACCUUUUUGCAUUGAAUUGAAGCUAGUAUAAUUUUACUCCGCUGCCAUACUCUUCCCUAUUAAUAAUUAAUGUCUAAUAACCCCUUUCUCUUGGAAAAGCUAUUGAGACUUGAAAGGAUACCAUUGCCAUCAUGCAAGUGCUACAGAACACAAACGAAUUGUUCCCCGGAAUUACACUCUAAAUAAUACAUGGGCAUAAUUAUGAAAUAUGCUGUAUAAUUUGCCACUUUCAUACCUCAGCAGGUGUAUGGCAUUGAAGGAAUUGUCCUCCUUGGAAACUUUGAAAUGCUGCUUGACUACAUGCGAUCAAAGCUGAAGAACUCAAUGAAACAUUUAUUUAUCCAAAAAAAAAAAAAAAGAAAGAACAAUGGCUUAUGCUACGUCAACAUAUAAAUGGUAAUUUCUGCCAGUCAGGAAAAGCUUAAGCUUCAAUUUCAUUGUCCCCCACAAUUCCCGGUGGGCAAAGAAAGUGCACUAAGAAAUCAGAACUUGCACUUAGCAUUUGAUAUUUUGGAUUGGUCGAGACCUGAUAGUGGCUAGUACCAGCACUGGGUAAGAAAUGCACUGCUAAUAAUGAGGAAAUGCAUGUGACGGUCCUUUCCUUUGUCCUUUGUUUGUUGCGCGGGCGGCGGUGGGUUCAAUGCAAGCAAACAAGUCUCCCAUACAAUAUACAUACGCACAUUCAUUCAUUCCCUGCUUAGCCAUAGCAUUGAGCAUUCUCAGGGUCACAUGAAAGUUGAAACACAGCUCUGCACAGCACCUCCUAAUUUUUUCUGCCUCAGGUUUUGUCAUUUGUGACGUUCCUUUUGGUUUUGGAGUUGCCCACCAUAAAUAGUACGGUAUACUAGUCGUGCUUUUUUUUUUUUUUUUUGGUCUAACCACCCGAUAUCCCUUUCGGACUAAUCCGGAUUCGGCCCGAGGAGUGCCCGCAGAAUUUGACUCUUAUUCGAGGGUGAAGGCCUGACCCUAGAGUUAUUGCAGGAGCGCAGCGAGGAUCGAAUCUUGAUCGUCCUGCUCGCAUUACCAGCCGCUUACCACUGGCCCCAACUCCUCGGGUUUACUAGUCGUGCUUUUACUUUCAGCUUUGUGGAUCUAGUUUUAUAUUUGCUUGAAUCUCGAUAUUAUUUUUUGUUAGAGAUUGUGAAGAUUAAUGGGUUCAACUUUGACCUACUCAUGGGAUGAUUAAUUAGGUGAACUCCUACCCACUAAUAAUAGUUUGCAUAGCCAAGAAACGAGGGAAGCGGAAAGUAGUGGUGUUAUAUUCCCCCACAAAUUCAAACUCACUCAAGUUGAUGAAAAUACUAGUACAUGACAUAAGUCGCAAGUGCAAAAUCUCUUGUGUGUGUAUAUAUAUAUAACUUGAAAGAAAGAAAGAAAAAAUUAAUUAAUCAUCAUUUGCCAGUCACGGGAAAAGGGAAACAAAUUAAUUAGAAGUGUGAUUUGUACUUUUUAUUUAUUUAUGUGGUGUGCCCUUAUUGUUGGCUAUAACAAUUUCGAAUUCUGUUUGUUUCAAAGAAAAAUUGUCACAUUUUAUCAAAUCGUUACACUAAUAUUUUUUACAAAAUUUUUUUUUUAAAAAUACAAUCCAAACAAAGCCGAGUUUCUCCUCAGUUUACAAGCCAAGCAGAAUUCGAAGUGGCUGCUAAGUGCACUAGGCGUCCAAGAUAAGGAAAAUGACAAAGAGAUCACUUGAUUAAUAGUAGUACUGCAAUUAAUUGUGCGUCGGCUAUCUAAGCUUCAAUUUUCUUAUUUAAUGUUUUCCUUCGCUCUUUAUGCAUCAUCACGGCCUCACAGGGAUUAUGAUACAAAAUUGUUGUCUUUAACUCUCUCUCUCUCUCUCUAUAUAUAUAUAUAUAUAUAUAUAUUUUUUUUUUUUUUUUUUUUUUUUGGGUCCAAAAUUUAAGUUGAAAAUUAUCAACAGGGUGAUCUGCAAUUGAAAGCAAUAUGACUUUUGCGAUGGACUGUAUCAGGAUAAUAAAGACGUGCACAAUGGUUCGUGAUGACACCCGUAAUGAUCGCGACUUUUGAGUUUUGCCCCCAAAAUCCUAUUUAUUCCUCCAUGCAGCGUCGCUCGCACCGUGUCCAUCCUUAAAUUACGAUAUAGGCUAUCGGGUUGGAAGAUAAUAACGUAAUUGCCCUGUUCUUAGUGACCGCAUAAAUGAUAAAUGGGAUAAUUCCAAAAACCUUCCCUUAACUUUUUGCCAAUAUCAUUGGCCUUCCAUGAAGUUUGAAAAUACCAUAUCCCCCCCCCCACUCAAUUUUCGUAUUUUCUCAAGUACCAUAGCCAAUGUUUGAGGUGUUGUUUGAAUUUUCUCAAUUCAAAUGUUCUCCGUCCUAUUAUUUAAUUUCCAAACAAGUUGUUUAUUCAUGGCAUUAGAUAUAUAGCUGUGAUCACAAGGCAAUAUAAAUUCGUUCUAUGGAUUUUUUAUAUACAUGAAUUGUUCCGCAUGUCACAAGAAAAAGUAGUAAUACUCUUCAUUCAAAAUGGGAAAAUGUUUGAAUUGCCUAGUUUUUUAUAAUUGUAAUGAUUUAUAUUAUUUAUUGAUUGGUUAUCGUUAAUGUUUUUCCAUUAAAACUAUCCUAGUAUUAUAUUAUUUCAACAAAAAAUUGAAGGCAUAUAAAAGUGGUUUCAAAACAAGUGAGAACACAUGAAUUAUGAAGGGUACCUAUGCUUAUAAUAUAAUUUAGUAGAAUUAUAUAUAUUCACUUAUGCACUGUGAGUAUAGAAUAUAAGGGGCAAAAAAAAGGAAAAGGUAAAAAAUAAGUAUUUAAAAAUAUAUGUUUGCGAAAAAAAUUAUGUAGAAGUACAAAGAAACUAAUACCUGCUUCCCAAGAACUACAAAGAAACGGUAUUUUUUUUUCGAAACUCACAAAAGAGAGUCUACCUAUAAAAAAAGAUUGAAAAUCACGAUAUUUCUAUCACCAACAUGUAAUUCCUCAAAACAAGGGAAUAAGCUAUCUUUUAAUUUAUUUCUAUCACUCAAAUCGUAUUAUCGUUUACUAUAAAAUUUUUUGCAAAAAAAUUAAAUGGGUAUAAUGUGCUAUGUUCAAAUUUUCAAACCAAUUACAUUUUAGUAGAUAUUGAAUACGAAUCCGAUUAAAGAAAUUUAUGACAACUCAAUAUAUAAUGAAAUAUCCUCUCUAGUAAUGCAUAAAUGUAAAAGGAGUACUAGGAGAAUAUUCAUAAAAUAAUACUGCAAAUAUUCAGUUCAAAUGUAAAUUUUGAAAUUGAAACUUGAAAGCAGUUGCACUUAUAUUUGCUUCCAUAAUUUUUUUCCAAAAGGAAAACUUUCAAACAAUCAAUUGUAUGCAUUUUCCGCGGAACUUAAGUAAGGAAAUAAAUGUGUGAAAUUUCAAUUCGAAUUUCAUAACGGGUCAAAAGGAAUUUUGGGAAAUAAGUCUUCUAGUAGGAGAGAGAGAAAGAGAGGCGAAAGGGUCCGGCCGUUCGAGCAAUUGGACGAGUCAAAGAAAAACAACGGCGGUCAAAGGGUGAAGGGCAAAACGAGUACCUCACAUCCUCCGACAGUGUCAAAUCUCGUAAAUAGUCCUAAAACCACGGGCCAGAAUAUAACCAAAAAUCUUCGCGACAAUCAUAGGAGUAAUUUUCUAACGCCUUUGGACGACGACGUUAGAAAACCGGGGCCCCACUCACAGUCAGUCUCCUCUUCCUCAUCUAAAAUCUAUGCACAAAUAAAUAAAUAAGAAUAUAUAUCAGUCUCAGUCCCAGUCUGUCCUUUUGCCCUUUUUCUUCACUCCUUGCUUCACUCUCACUGUCCUUGCCAAAAACACGCACAACACACACACACACACACCAAAAAAUCGAACAAAGGUCCUCAGAUCUGAGCCCUAAAUCCAUCCAAAAUUCCAUCCUAGCAGUACGAUCGCUGUAAGUAUUAUCUACAUUAUCAGCCUUUUUAUUCUCUCUUUACGUGAAAAUUAUUUCACAUAGUGCACGCACAAACUCGCAGUUGUAAUUCUACUUUGAUCGCUUGUCGAGAAAAUGUAGUAAAGUUGAUGAAUUUAGUGCUUCUUUUGAGAUCUGAGUAUUUGUAACUCCAUGUGAUAUCGUCUCAGCAUUUACUUUGUUUUUGUGGUUUGGUCUUGGAUGAAUGCUGGUUGCGGGGUUCAAUUGUGUAAUGAAAUUUCGGGUUUAUUGUUAACAGUGGAACUCUUCUUUUUGCUUUUUCUUUUAUUUUUGUGGGACCUGAUUUUGUCUGUGCAAGUGAAAAUGAAGUUCUUUAACUAGGAUUCGCUGAGUUUUUGUGAAAGAUUUGGCUGCUGGAAUUCAUCCCCUAGGCGGAAAUUUACAUUCUAACCUGGCAUUUUUUGUUAUUUGAUGUUCAUAAUGAGUUGGUGGUCUGGGUAACCAUUAAAAUUGCGGGUGUUAUGCCAUAAUGUUGGUGGUGUUCAACUUGUAUUCUACAGUCUCGAGAUGGCAAUUACCUGUUUGUUUCUUCUUUUCAGUGUUUUUGGUUGCCAGAGAUGAUGAAGCUUAGAAUGAUUUCACAUCGUUAAUAGCUUGUGCAUCUUACAUUUCAAUUGAUUUAAAAAAAAAUCACAGGCGAAUAUCUGGCAUUUCAUUGUUCAUUUUAGGUCAAUAUAAGCACUUGCUACGUGAUUUUGACUUUAGUUGAGGUUUACAUUUUCGUUCUGCAUUUAUUUUUUUCAUUUUGAGAUGCUAUUUCUUUUCAUUUCUUUUUCUUUGAAAAAAAUAGAAAAUAGACACACUGUUUUGUGCUUGACAUUACUUUACCUUAAGUGUGACGUGUCGUGAUUGUUGGACUAAUUUCAAAUCUCACAUGAUUUUGGUUAGGUUGUUAAAGGAUGGCAGCAGUGGACGCUCAAUGUCCUCUUCUAGGAGAGACUACCUGUGGUUCUUUACUGCAGCAAUUGCAGGCAAUUCCCCUUCCUUUGACUCACACUACAUAUUGUUCAACUUAUUAUUUUCUUAUGUUCAUGACAUGAACAGUAGUUAAGCGCAUAAUUAGCCAUGGGAAGUCUUGACAACUGGUGAAACUCAGAAAACCCACUUGAUGACAUGUUAUAUUCUAUUGAAACACACUAGGCAAGUAAAGUGGUGCGUGCAAUACUGGCCUUUUGUGUCUCUUAUAAAAUAAUGGCACAUCAUUCUGUCAGUUUAGCACUUAGAGUUGUUUGCCACUUGAGCAUUACUCAAUGAUUUCGUGCAUUUACCAUUUCAAUGAUUGAAAUCCUCGUCUUAGUGCAGCUAAUCUGGGAUGAGGUUGGUGAAACUGAUGAGGAGCGGGAUAAGAUGCUUCUUCAGUUGGAGCAAGAGUGCUUGGAUGUGUACAAGAGAAAGGUUGACCAGGCUGCAAAGUCCAGGGCACACCUUCUUCAGGCAUUAGCUGAUGCCAAAGUUGAACUCUCAAGUCUUUUAUCUGCACUAGGCGAGAAGAGUUUUGUUGGAAUUGUAAGUAGCCGCCUAUUGAUGCUAUUCUUUCAUAAAUGUUAGGUAAUUAGGAAAUUAGAAUGUUUGGAUCAGUGUCAACUUAACAUCCAAUUCAACCUUGAGCUGAAGUUCAUUAUCUUCUUUUGGCUCUGAUUGUGCAGCCUGAGAAGACUACUGGAACAAUCAAGGAACAACUUGCUGCUAUAGCACCGGCAUUGGAGAAAUUGAUGAAACUGAAAGAAGAGAGGAUAAAAGAGUUUUCUGACGUGCAGUCACAUAUACAAAAAAUAUGUGGAGAGAUUGCUGGGACAACUGAGCAGGUUGAAAGACAAUCUGUGGAUGAGUCUGAUUUAUCGCUCAAGAAGUUAGAUGAAUUCCAUGCUCAUCUACAAGAACUUCAGAAAGAAAAGGUUACGUCACUCUGUUGUUAAGGUCAAAUUUUUGUAUUUAAAGAGGUUUGCCCGUCUUGAGUUUUUAACAGGCCCAUACUUUUAAAAUGCAGAGUGAGAGAUUGCACAAGGUACUUGAAUUUGUCAGCACCGUGCACGAUCUUUGUGCUGUGCUUGGGAUGGAUUUCUUCAGUACUGUGACAGAAGUGCAUCCUAGCUUGAAUGAUUCUACUGGUGUCCAAUGUAAAAGCAUAAGCAAUGACACACUGUCAAGAUUGGCCAAGACUGUCCUAGCACUAAAGGAGGAUAAAAGCAGAGGCUGCAUAAGGUAAUUGUUUCAGUGUGUGAAACGUUGUAUUUUUGUUGCAUUGAUAGAUAUUUGUUUUGUGGAAGGUAAACUAUCAUUUGAAAGUUGCCAUGAAUGGUGCUUGUACAGUCACACUAGCCAUCCAAUCACAACUACUAAUCAAUUGCAUGUAGGGGGUAUCUGGAUUUUUUUAUGUUGUACUUCUGCUUAUUUCAACAAUAUGCAUCUAAAUAAGAAAAAGGAUAUCUCUAGCACUGCAGGAUUAGUUCGUUUAGAAAUUUUACUUUGUAAUCAGUAACUUCUUUAGCAUGUUAUCUGAGUCUGGCAUUUAUGGGAAAUAAUAUCACUCUGUGGCUUACUUAUUUCCAUUAUUGUACUCUGGUGUCUGCUUGCAAAUUUUGUAUUACCUUUCAUCUUAUCUGUAUGCCAUGUACUCACCUUCUAAGACAUGCCUUUCUUGCAGCUUCAAGAAUUAGCAACCCAGCUAACUGAUCUUUGGAAUUUGAUGGAUACCCCUGAAGAAGAACGGAGUUUAUUUGAUCAUGUUACUUGUAAUAUAUCAGCUUCAGUUGAUGAAGUUACCAUUCCUGGGGCCCUUGCUCUGGAUCUGAUUGAACAGGUAUAGGCCUUUUUUUUUUCUUGUGCUUUAAGUUCUAACAUGGAAGCUGAAAACACAAGUAUUCAUCUUGUUUACUUCUUGUUAAGGCUGAGGUGGAGGUUGAAAGGCUUGAUCAGCUAAAAGCUAGUAGAAUGAAGGAAAUUGCUUUCAAGAGGCAGGCUGAGCUUGAAGAGAUUUUGCUCGUGCUCACAUAGAGAUUGAUUCAGAGGCUGCUCGAGACAAAAUUAUGGCUCUCAUUGAUUCUGGGAAUGUUGAGCCUGCAGAUUUACUGGCAGACAUGGAUAAUCAGAUUGCAAAGGCGAAAGACGAGGCUUUGAGCAGGAAAGAGAUAUUGGAUAAGGUUGAGAAGUGGAUGUCAGCUUGUGAAGAAGAGAGCUGGCUUGAGGACUAUAAUAGGGUAAUUCUUCUCUGGCGUGCCAUUUUUUAUGUGUAUUUUCAUCACAUGCAUUUGAAUGGAUAAAAAGUCAACGGUCUAGAAGUCCAGUUUCUUCCUUGUACUUGCUUUCUAUGGUAUCCAAGAAAAGAUCAGCCUAUCUGUUUAGUAUUUUAAUGCAAGUUAGUUAAAGCUUGUUUCAGGCCCCCAAGAUAUUUCUUUGUUGUUUGCAAUUUUAUUCUUGAAUGGCCAAGGCUGGGAAAAAUAGGAUACGUGAAGUUAAAGAAUCCUGCGAUUCCUGUACUUUCUGUGUUCUCUCUUUUACUCUUCUCAGUACCAAAUAUGUGAUGACUUGCAUCUUUUUUGAACAGGAUGAUAACAGGUACAAUGCAAGUCGUGGAGCACAUUUGAAUCUCAAGCGUGCUGAGAAGGCUCGGGUAUUAGUAAACAAAAUACCAGGUACAUUUCAGAUCUAUUGGUAUGUUUGGGCUACUUGCUGGAUUAUUAUAUUUCUUUUCAUUUAUAAAUGAAUUUUCUCAUAUUGAGCUCAGUCAAGGAUAAAAGACACUCAAUUACAAAGUGAUGUGAGUGAUACCCAUCGAGCAGCAUAUAUUUUUUUGCAUGUCUGAAUGGUUGCAUUAAGUGAAUUUUGGCUCUUUAAUGCUGUUGUACAGUUCAGUGAGCCAGUGGACAAUAGAUCUACUGAUUACCGGUGCAAUGAUAAAAUAAUUUGUUUUGAGUUGAAUUUAUGUGGCAUAUAAUGUACUGGAAUACUGUAGCUUCUUUUAUGACUUGUAUGACUACUCUGCUACCAACAAGAAAGCUUUAAAACAAUCUUCAAAUAUGAUCUCUUCCUGAUGGCAACGCUUAUGUGGUUAUAUGGAGCAUUUUAUGGAUAACUAUAUAAUCUGGUUGUCGGCAUGUAGCUCUUGUUGACACCUUGGUUACCAAGACUCGAGCAUGGGAAGAAGAUCGUGGCAUAUCAUUCACGUAUGAUGGUGUUCCACUACUGGCGAUGCUAGAUGAAUAUGCAAUGCUCAGACAUGACAGAGAAGAAGAGAAAAGAAGGUUGAGGGUAAGUCAAACAUCUUUGGCAGGACAAACUACAUUAGUAACGUUCAACUGAUUUAGAGCCCAUUUAUACCUGGCAUAUAACAGUAUAUAACAUCUAUAUGUUGCCCUCCACAGGACCAAAAGAAAUUCCAUGAGCAGCUGAGCAAGGAACAAGAAGCAAUGUUUGGUACAACACCUAGCCCUGCUCGACAGGUUGGUGUGAAGAAGGUGGUGGGUCCACGGGCAAAUGGAGGUGCUAAUGGCACUGCUGGGAGACGACUGUCUCUUCCUGCCCAUCAAAAUGGUUCUAGGUCAAUUAACAAGGACGGGAAGAGAGAUAGCUCGAGGCCAAUUGCUCCUGUGAAUUAUGUUGCCAUAUCGAAAGAAGAUGCUACAUCACAUAUAUCGGGCACCGAACCACUUCCAAGUACACCAUAGUAAACUGCCUCGAGAGAUCUGAUAUUUGUGGCAUUGUGUAUUUGUUGUUACUGGCUUUAGUUGCUGUAGUAUACAUCUUGGCACAAAAAGUGAUUUUGAUAGGUAGGGACUGAGAUACUGUACCGUGUCAUACUGGUUGUAUCAAAAUAGGGCUGUUCGAUUAAUGUUGCUCAACCUCUGGUCUUUGGUCCGGCGAUCAGAGAGAGCCCUUAGAGCAGUGUGGUACACCAAGUUGGGGAUUUAAUUCCCGCUUGGUGCAUUUAGGGGUUGGGUUCUCCCUCUCCCAUAGCAUAGGAAUAAAGUAGAUGAUUGGCGAUAGACCAAAAAAACAAGAAAAGAAAAUAGAAAGAAAGAAAUGCAAUGCUGCUCCGUUUGCAAUGACUAGAAAUUACACCCCGACAAAACUGCGGUACCCGUUGUCUUGGAAAAAUAAUUGACGAAAAAUUGGACGUACCUCCGAUGUAGAGCAUUUUAGAGGUGGAGCGACCAUGUAAAAGCUCAUUAUACUACAACUGGCAGGCCUUGUAGGCAGCCGAUUAGGCCGCUCUCUACGACGAUUAGACGACUGACAUCUUCAAUUGGGCCAACUCUGCCUGGGUCUGCCUUUUCUCCUCUAAAAUCUUGGCCAUGACGGCCCUAUACGCAAGUGGGUCGUGAUGGAAAUGUCCCCUAGACACUCCUAUGUCUCAUUCCGAGACAAGCACAAGAGUCAAGUUCUUCAUCUGUACCACUGGCCUGCACUUUCAGAUUAUAUAGUUUGCAAGAGACUAAUCCUUCCCUUGAUGAUGCACGUGAAGUGCUAAUCCUUUCAUACGAGUGCCUGCGGUAUCAAAUUCUUGAGUUUAAAUGCUAAAGAUAUCCGAAUGCUGCAUCUUUGCUCCACUGAAAACAUUCCCUUUUUUUUUUUUUUUUUUUCCGUAUCAAAAGUCUAAAAGGUAGGAAAGGCUUAUGUAUCACCUCCUUGGGAAAAAUUAUAUGCUUCUACCUCCAGAUCGAGAGAUCCCAUCACAGCUUAAAAUUCCAUCUGCGAUGGCCCUGGACAUUUGUGGAGAUUUAGAUAAUUUAAUUGGUAAUUAAUUUCAGGCAGGAAUAAGUUGAAUUUUCAACUUUACAAGAUGUCAUGAGGUCCUCAAUUGACAUGCCAGUCUGAAGUUCUAAUCAUAUGAGAGAACACAACAGGCACAUGCAAAUAAAUGAUAGGAGAUACUAUAAUUACAUCCAUUUCCUCAUUUCUCCAUGAUGUUGUCCUCUGACAAUUGAACCACAUUUCCCCAAUUUUACAUGCAUGUCUACAGUUCCCAUGUCUUCUGGCCUCCAGUUCAUUGGCAGGCUAUAACAUCAGAAAAGGUUUGGUCGUUGACAUUAUCCAUUCCCAAAGCAAGUUUGAUAGUAGUAUUUAGUGCUUGUUGCUCUCAUGGAAUUCAAAGCCACAUCCACAAGGCCGCACCAGCAUGCACGAGCACGACUGCUUGCUUGUUCUUAUCAUGACAUUUAUCCACUGAAUAAUUCCUUGUCGGGAGAGACCCAGGAUGGGGAAUGAGACACAACUAUUAUUCUAACUUCACGAGCAACUGGCUACUUUGGAUCUGAGCGUCACCUGAGGUCAUUAAUUCUUGAAUGCUUCCCGACUUUACUGAUCAUAGCAAUCAUAGCAAUUUAUCAUCCAGACCCGCUGCUCGCCAGAAGAUGCAAUUAAUUAUAUGUUAACACUUAUUAAGAGAGCAGAAUUAUCGUACGAGUUAAUCAAUCAGUUGGAAUCUUUGAUGGCUGAAUUGCGGAAGUAGGGGAUUGGUUCUGGGAUAAAUAGGACAAAUAUUGAAGUCGCAUUGAAUAGUUUGGAGGGUAAGAGCAAUCAACCGCCUCGAGAUCUAGAGAAGCCGAAAAUUAGUACACAAUCAACGCUUACAUAAUUCAAUUUUUCUUCAGUUGUAAGUAAACAAAAUAUCAAGUACACCGCUUCAUGCACAAGUAACCAUGCAUGCAGGAGGACGUUGAGAAGAGAACGUGCAGCCUAUCAACCUAGCUAGUCAUUUUAUGAUCUUCUCGAUCCCUAGUCCCUAUAUAUCCAGCAUUGACCAAAUCAAACCUAUCACUCUGCUAAGUGCCCUGUGCCCUUGGAUCAAGACCACGAAGUUUUUGGCUCGUUCUUGGUUUCGCCUGAUAGAUCCAAAACGAAACCAUUAGUUCGUUUCAACUUUCAACCCAUAGCAAAAGCGCCUUUCUUGUCUGAGAUGCAGAGAACAUUAAUAUGUUGUUAACUUUCGUUUCUUUUUUCUUGUUCAAGCAGCAGAGAAGAUAUGUGCAUUCGGUAUUCAAAAAGACGUGCAUGCUGGUUUUCAGCAUCAAUUGCUUUUGCCAAAUUCCUCUUUUAGAUUUUACAGGCUGCGCUUAAUUUGUUGCAAGUUAUAUAUAGUCCGCAUCAUAAAAAAAGUAAUAAGAAACCAAGGCCUAAAAGUAGCUCAAUAUCGUUCUAUUGAUUUUAUGUCCGCCCUGGAUCAUUCUGUUCCUCUUUUUUCUGUAAACUUUUCUUGCCCCCCAACAAUAAAGAGGGGACAUGACAGUAUAAUGAUCAAGUAUCUUCAAAAAUGUGAAUGACUUCAAAACCAAGAGCACCAGAUAAGUCUAGCUAUCUUUAAUUUAGUUGUGCAAGUACCCAUGAAAUUAAUUAACAAGCCAGCCAUCAUGCAGUUUUGGCACUUACUAAUUAACAAGGCCACUUUUUUUUUUUUUUUUUGUUCUUCCUCUCUGUCAGUUCAAGUUUCAAAUCCUGACAGUUAAGGGGAUAGGAAGGAUGUGGAGAGGAUGAGAGGAUAAAAUUUAAAACAAAAGUUUUUUGUUUUUAGAGUCCACCUUGAUGUUAUUCCAUUGAUUUUAACUAUCCCACUUCUGUAGCAUUUAAAUAGUUAAUCCCACAAAAAUAUAUAUAUAUAUAUGAAGCAACUGCAAGGCCUAAGGCCAUAAAGUGAUCGAGUAGUAGAAAAGUCUUAAUUGUAGCUACUUAACGGUAGCAUUUUUCUUUUAUUUUUUCUAGUGUGGCACCUGAAGUUUGCAUUGCUGGCCAAUUGAACAUCAUGAUGGAUCUUAUGAAAGCUGUUUCUGUAGGCUUCUAGCAGCCGAUCAUCGAAACCUUUCCUAGCUCGUAUUUGUAGGUGGGGGUCGAUAUAGCAAGGGUUUUUUUUUUUUGACCAUCAGACAGCGAGACCAAAAAAAAAAGGCACAUAUUGCGACUUUGCAGCAAUAGUGCUGGUUGUUGUUGCAUGCACUUUUUGUCUUUCUUUCCACAAGGUAGAACAGUAGAAUUUGAGUGUUGGGUCCAAAUUGCGAACUCUUUCCGUCUGCAGACAAGCAGGAGCAACCGCCCAAUUUGCCAAUUCAAAUUCCAAAUCUUUUAGUAGUAACUUUGUGAUUCAUCUUGACAAAGAAAAAGAAUAGUAAGGAAACUAUUCGAUCCAUCAUCACCUACAAAAAUCAAAGUGGGGUUCACAAAGAUGAUGUUACACAAAAACUGGCAAAAGGAAACAUAUAACUUCUCGCCAUUUGCUGCGAUCCCUUUUGACCCCCCCCCCCCCCCUCAGCGCAAAGUUUCAUUCUUCUCAAGAAAGGGGAACACCCGCAAAAGCAAAACACUGUAUGGUCAAUUCGAAACAGCUUAUUCUCACACUGUAUGGUUUUUGAAACUUGAGGGCAAGAAAAUUUAAUCACUGCAAAUGUCCAAACUGGCUUUUGCGCUAUAUAUAUAUAGCGUAUACCAACGAUGGCAUCUGAAAUAUAGUGAAGAAAGAAAUCGAAUCCAUUCAAAUUUCUUUCUUGUAUAAAAAAAGAAAAAUGGUAUAAUUUUGGGGUACCAUAAUCAUAGAAGAGGCCUUAACUUCUUAAUUCUUUAAUUACCUAAUACGCUAUUGAUCCGCGGCUGUAAUUUAUAUAUAAAAAAAAAAAAAAGAAUCAACCGACAUUCAGCACUGUCCAUGGAAAAAGGGGUCUAGACUCUAGAAAAGAAAUGCUGUUACUACUCACUAAAGCGCGGCUCUUAAUCCAACUCUCUUAAAUCUUUGAUUAUCUUAAAUUCCGUUAACAGUUAAAAGGAAGAAAGUGAAAAUAUUUCCUUUGCAUGCAUGGUCGGGCUGCACAGUAAUAACUACCACAUGCAAGUCAAAAGCUUUUGUCUUUAAAAACCAAAAACCCAAAAAAAAAAAAAAAGGAGCUGAUAGUUAAUAGGGUAGUUGAAAAUUCAGAUCGAUCGUUAAAAGAUAAAAAAAAGUCGCUCCCUAAGAGAUCCGUCCGGUAGAAGAAGAAAAUAGUCCGGCCUAGUAUCACGUGAACCGGCGACUAUCACGGCCGUUUGGACUUUUUGGUGCUGAAAAGAAAAGGAAGGGAGAGAGACGAGAUGUUGGACAAAUAGUCCUGGAACAAGAUUCCGGGUAUUCAGUUCAGACUACCACUACUUCAAUUGCCCAUCCAUAUAUAUAUGUAUUUAUGGUUCUUUGAAAAUUCCAAAGCAGCUAAUGGGGUAGAAUCAAAUCUUUUUCAAGCGUGAGUUAUAAGACAACGGACAGUAAUCUAGAUUCAGAUUAAAAGUUAACCUCAUUUAUGCAUCCUUUGUAGCUUUCAGCUCAUUUCUUUAAGGUCUUGGGCAUCAACAAAAAAGGUUUAAUUUGCGACUCAUCUUUUCCUUAAUGCUUGGGAAUUUUUAUAGAGUAAUCAUUACUGGUUCCAAGUGGAGAAAGAGAGUUGAUGCGAUAGCUUGUACAAAGAACUUAGAGGAAUGUCCUGAAUUUUCCACCCAGCCUAGCUAUUAGAGGAACCACUUUAAAUGAAAUCCCGUUUGUUUCUGUACGAGUUUGAGCGAUCGAGAUCAUAUUCAUCGGUGUUUUGGGUCCUCUCCCAAUCUCCGCAAAGAUCUACGUUAGAUUCUGCCGCAGAUUCCAACAGUUCUAUGGUAUCAUCAGUGAUGCUAGCUAUAGUGUUAAUGGUAGUUAACAAGCAUCAUUAGGCGCACGAUGGAGACUGAGAUUAGCCUUAAUUUCUGGUGUGAAUGUUUAUCAUGAGAAUAAUCAAAUUCAUUCAUUCAUUUCUCAAUUGAUUUCACCAAUCUUCACUAUUUUAGUCGUCUCUCAUCCAUAACUGACAAUGGUACCCCAUAAAUGACAUGAUUUUUAAUGAAUGUUCAAAAGUGUUAAUUUGACACGCUCAAAUUUAUCAUUUAUGCCUGGAAUAAUCUUGUAAACACUCACAUUGUAGUAUACGGGAACACCCUUGGAUCAUCCAAGUUACUUAAUUUCAAUUUGAAUUUGAGCUUCUUUUUUUUUUUUUUUCUUUUACACAUGUGGCGUGCAUCUAUAAUUUUCAAUAUUCGGUGUCAGUAUAUAUACAAUAUUAGCCCUAUAUAUUUAGGGACUUUACUUUUAUUUUUAUCCCCAUAUUUAUUUAGACACUUCUAACUUUUCUUUUAAACGGAAAUUGCACAACAGCUACCGGUCCAUAUGACAGACAGUAACCCCGCUAUAAAUAAUAAGAUUUUCAAUGAAUGUACUAAUUAGUACAUUUAAUUUAUUUGUUGUUGGGAAUAUUGCAACGAACUGGCUAAUAUUGUGACAAGAAAUCGUGAUAGAAUAUCACUUUCCUUUAGGCUUCAUUCGUCCUGUAUAGCGUGCAAUAACCUUGAACAAAUAUCCUUUAGGAUAAGAUGAAAUUUGUUUGUCUUGAACUCUUGCACAAAAUAAGACAAACCCCUGUGAACUAAGGAGUGCUUUUGAGAGAAUAUACAGUAAUAGGAAAGUGAUUUUCUGCAGCAAAUCACUCUCUACUUGGCUUCUUUAUAUAGGAAAGAUUGUUUAAAAAACAAAAGAAUUCAUUAAAUACAUGUAUGAAUAGAUUCAAAGUGUUGUGUACAAAUUCAUACACUUUAAUUCAUGCAUCUCAUGAUUCUAAGAUCAAAACAUGAAUCUAUCUUUUCAUUCAGGAAUUCCCACAUACGUGAAUAUAUUCAUGAAUGAAUGUACAUUUUACAAACACUCACAGUACUAUACAUGUAUCAAAACAUGAAUGAAUAUACAUUAAUUACAUGCAUGUACAUUAUACAAAUUUUGAAAAAUUUCCAACAUUUGUAUAUAUACAGGCUUAUUUUUUUGGAUAAUCUUUAUCUGUCAAAAUUUAUUUGCUUGAAUCAUUAUCAUAUUUUUUAAUAUUCACUCUCUACUUGACCUUUUUAUAUAGGAAAGAUUGUUUAAGAAACAAAAGAAUUCAUUAAAUACUUGUAUGAAUAGAUUCAAAGUAUUGUGUACAAAUUCAUGCACUUUAAUUCAUGCAUCUCAUGAUCCUAAGAUCAAAACAUGAAUCUAUCUUUUCAUUCAAGAAUUCCCACAUACAUGAAUAUAUUCAUGAAUGAAUGUACAUUUUAGAAACAUUCACAAUACUAUACAUGUAUCAAAACAUGAAUGAAUAUACAUUAAUUACAUAUAUGUAUAUCAUACAAAAUUUUGAAAAAUUUCCAACAUUUGUAUAUAUGCAGGCUUAUUUUUUUGGAUUAUCUUUAUUUGUCAAAAUUUAUUUGCUUGAAUCAUUAUCAUAUUUUCUAAUAUGCACUCUCUACUUGACCUCUUUAUAUAGGAAAGAUUGUUUAAGAAACAAAAGAAUUCAUUAAAUACUUGUAUGAAUAGAUUCAAAGUAUUAUGUACAAAUUCAUACAUUUUAAUGCAUGCAUCUCAUGAUCCUAAGAUCAAAACAUGAAUCUAUCAUUUCAUUCAAGAAUUCCCACAUACAUGAAUAUAUUCAUGAAUGAAUGUACAUUUUAGAAACAUUCACAAUACUAUACAUGUAUCAAAACAUGAAUGAAUAUACAGUAAUUACAUGUAUGUAUAUCAUACAAAAUUUAAAAAAUUUCCAAUAUUUGUAUAUAUAUAGGCUUAUUUUUUUGGAUUAUCUUUAUUUGUCAAAAUUUAUUUGCUUGAAUCAUUAUUAUAUUUUCUAAUAACUUUUUUAUUUCACGUAUAUCAAAUUUAAAAAAAAGUGAUACAAUAUUAAUUUUUUUCAAAAAAUUAUUUCAAAUAUUCUACUAUCCAAAGACAUUCAGUACUGUCUUUUUAAUUUAACUUUACUUUUGAACAGAGAUUGUACAACAAUUAGAUAAUCAAAUGUACCUUUUGGAUGGAAAGUGUGAUUUAGAGAUCUUAUUCGUUGACGAAAAAAAAACAUUCUAUGUCAUCGACUGUGUAUCCAUUAUUUCCACAUAUAGGGUAUAGGGGUGGCAAUGGGGUGGGGGAUCCCUCCCCCACCCGCCCUGUUGACUAUUAAUUCCCCCGCCCCCUCCCCUCGUUUCCACCUGUGGGGUUAAAAAAUUUGAUUAUAUAAUUUCAUUAUAAUUAAAUUUGAGCAAAUAAUCAAUUACUAAAAUAUCAACAUAUCAUCAAAUUAUUAUUCAUUGCAACUUCACAAUUGAAACUCAUAAAAAUAAUUAAACAAAAGUUAUUUGAAUACAAUCUAAUAUGAUAAAACAAAUAUAACUAAAAUAAUCAAGUUUUUACUUUUGAUACAAAUACAAUCACUAAAUUAUUAUUGUAUUUUUCAGAAAAAAGUGUUAUUGUAUUAAGUGUAGUUAGAAAUUUAAUAUAAAUGUGUUAAUAAAUUUAGUAUAAAUAAUUAAUAAUUUUUAUUAAUAGACAUGUAUAAUUAGAAGUAUAAUUGAUAAUAUUAUUAUAUAUAUAAUAUAAUAAUGCACAUAUAUAUAUCUUUUUUAUUUCUAAAUGGGUAGUGGCCCACGUCCCGUUUUUAAAUGGGAGAAAAAAUUGCCCCCGCCCCUGCCUCAAUAGACCUAGGCACCCGUAUCCGUUGUCAUCCCUAAUAAGGUAUAAGUAAAUGCACUUAUGCCACAAGUAUUCCCAGGAUUAAUAGCACAUUUGUGUAUCAGUAUGCGUGGAAUGCAUAACACUUGUCAAGAGUUGAAUGAAUCGAUUCAGUUGCUUAGACUAGUUCUCUUCUCCGGUCUCCUGCCUCUUUCUAUGGUGUCCAUACUAAACUAACUACACGAAUUCUUGUCUGAAAAUUUGAAGUCGGAUAUUCACCGGAGAUGGGAUAUUCACCGGGAUUCCGGCAUCAAUCUCGGACAUGCUUUUAUUUACCAUUUUUUUUUUCAUUUUCCAAUUUUUUCUCAAAUAAAAGAGAAAAAGAACAUGCACGUGAGACCCAUACUCAACAGUUUACCACCCCUUAAUUUACUUUCUUAAAUCGUAUAUGAUGUUUCCUACUACAUUACCAAAUUUCAAUUUUUUUUUUUGGCUGGAUGGUGGGGGUGGGGGGGGGGGGGCGACGAGGGGGUUGUACUACAAUACCGUAACUUAUAGGGCUUGUAGUAGAAUAAGAACUUUCUCAACCAGCUAUAUAUUCUACUCUUGGAAGCCAUUUUCACUCCACAUAAUUAACUACCAAAGCAAUUCUCCUGAUUAGAUUAGAUAUCGAAGAAAAAUUUCUAAAUGGCUCCUGCGGAAGACAACGUUGUUGUUCCACACAAGAAGCUUGAGAAGUUGCUGAGCAUGAAAGGAGGCAAGGGAGAGGCUAGCUAUGUCAAUAACUCUCAAGCCCAGGUUCUUCGUUCUCCCAACUUUUAUUUAUUAGUACUUUGUUGGUAUCCAGACAUGGUAGUUUGCGGACAACCUGGACUAGUAAAACUCCAAAUUUGCACGUUGGAUUUAGUACUACUUGAGAGCAAACUCGCCUUCAUUUCAUCUUCAGAUGUUGAUCGAUCAUCAAUCUAACAUAUGCAUUACUGUAUUGGCAAACAUAACUACCACUGAAUACAUCAUCGUUAUUUUGAUCCAUAACAAAAAUUACAUGACCGCAUAAAAUCAGAGAGGGUUUUUUUUUCUUUUCUUUCUACCUUUUUAUACAUGGCUCUUCUUUAACUUUCAGGGUUUCUUUUUUCUCCCUUUUAUAUAUGGUUCUUCUCCAUAAAUAUACCUUUGCAGGCUCAACAUGCUCGGUCCAUGCUCCAUCUUCUGAAAGACACCCUGGACGUAGUCCAACUAAACAGCCGCGAAACCCCUUUCGCGGUGGCUGAUUUGGGAUGCUCUUGCGGCAGCAACACUCUCUUCAUCGUUGACGUGAUCAUCAAGCACAUGAUCAAGCGUUACGAGGCCUUAGGCUACGAUGAGCCACCGGAGUUUUCAGCAUUUUUCUCUGAUCUCCCCUCCAACGACUUCAACACUCUUUUUCAGCUCCUCCCACCCUACGGCGGUAGCAUGGAGGAGUGCCUCGCUUCCGACAGCCACCGCUCCUAUUUUGCUGCGGGAGUUCCUGGUUCAUUUUACCGCCGCCUCUUCCCUGCUAGAUCAGUUGAUUUCUUUUACUCUGCGUUUUCCCUGCACUGGCUUUCUCAGGUAGUUAUUUCUCAUAUGACCCCCUUUUUUUUUUCAAAGUUACAAGAAGAAGAAGAAGAAGAAGUACCUUUUGAUGCGCAACCUUUACUGUACGUAGACUUUCAUGAGCAGGACAACAUGAUUCAUAGUUGAUUAAACAGCAAAUGAAAUAUUUUAGGAAAAAGGUUCAUAAUACUGCUGCCUAAUUAGACUAACUAAUAAUAGUAGUGAUUGUUUAAGAAAACUUCGUUUGUUUUAUUCUCGAAUCCCGAUGAUGAUUUGCAGUUUAAUUAUGACACUAAACCAGAUUGAUUAUACUAAGUGAAGUAAUCAAAACGUAGGCAUUUGCUUUAGCUUGUUAACGAUCGAAACGUAGCGUCUGAUUUACUUUGAGAAGGUCAAAAAGUAAAAAAGUAGGGUAAUAAUUAUAAUGCCCCUUGGCUCUAAUCAAACUUCAAAACCGCCUUUCAAAGACUUGCUGAAUCCAUCUUCGACCCUUUUGAUUCCAUUAUUGUAGGGUAGCAUAUGGUAUCAGUUUAUGAAAUAUUGCCUUUUGGGCAAAUAACUUUCUUUUGGUUUCAACAAAAUCCCCUUCUUCCAUGUUCAAUUGUAAGUUCCCAAAACACGCCUUCAAAUGUUCAUAUAAAUAAUAAUAAUAUUGUUCAAAAAUAAAUAAAAAAGGAGAAAGAAUUGUUGACAAAUUAUUAUGAGGAGUCAGAGGGAGGUCAUUGACGUUAAAUUACUCCUACUUGAUAGGACAGAGAGUCAAAUGAAAGAUUUGAAAAAGCUUAGCUAGUGGCUAUAUAAAGUUGGUUUGAGAAAGAACAAGUAUCAUAAGAUGACAAAUCAUGGGCUAAUUAGUCAAUCCUCCUCUUUCGGUUUCGGAAGUGCUAAUUAAUAAUUACCGCUGGCUAUUGUGGAUUAGCUGCAGUAGUGUAUUAUAGGGUGGCAAGUCAAGUCAUCACAAACAGGAAUGUAUAACUGCAGGUGCCGGAUGCUGUGGUGGACAAUAGAUCAGCGGCUUACAACAAAGGAAGAAUAUUCAUCCACGGUGCAAGCGAGAUCACAGCAGACGCCUAUAGAAAGCAGUUCCAGACGGAUUUAGCCGGUUUCCUCAGGUCAAGAUCACUGGAAAUGAAGAGGGGCGGGUCAAUGUUCUUGGCCUGUUUAGGCAAAACUUCACUCGACCCCACAGACCAAGGUGGGGCAGGGCUUCUUUUUGGGGCUGAUUUUCAAGAUGCCUGGGAUGAUCUUGUCCGAGAGGUAAUCAUAACAACAAAUCAUCAUCAUUAUUACUCCUAUUUAGGAUAAUUUGUUUGGUUUAGAAAAACAUUAAUUCAUGCCCUCGAAUCGAAUGGUAAUUACUAAUUACUUACUGCACCUAGUUACUGCAUGCAUACAUAAUCUGGUAUCCUAAUCUUUCGAGGAGGAGGAGGAGGAGGCAUCACAUCAAUGAUCAAUCUCUCUCUCUCCCCAGUACUUACUUACAUUUUGCUGCGUUGGCGAUGAAUGGAACAGGGUUUAAUCACGAGCGAGAAAAGGGACAAGUUCAACAUUCCGGUGUACGCGCCGAGCCUGCAAGACUUCAAGGAGGUAGUGGAAGCCGAUGGGUCGUUUGUGAUAAACAAGCUGGAAGUAUUCAAAGGAGGAAGCCCGCUGGUGGUGAAUCACCCAGAUGAUGCGGCUGAGGUGGGCCGAGCCUUAGCCAACAGCUGCAGGAGCAUCAGUGGAGUCCUAGUCGAUGCCCACUUAGGCGAUCAGCUCAGCGAGGAGCUGUUCUCCCGUGUCCAGCGCCGAGCCACAAGCCACGCUAAAGACAUACUAGAACACCUCCAAUUCUUUCAUAUAAUUGCCUCUCUUUCUCUGGCUAUAUAGUCUAAAAUUGCAAAAAAGGCAGAUAUAUAUAUAUUAUUAUUAUUAUAUAGAGGAGGUGGAUGGAGGAUCUUGUACUUCCACUUCCUGGCUAUAUAUAUAUAUGUGUGUGUAUGCAUAUAGGGACUGUUUGUUUGCACCUGUCAAGUUAUAAUAAUUUUUUCUUUUCUUAUAUAUAUAUAUAUAUAUAUUUAUAUAUAUUGCUGGUUUCGUGUUUCCUUUUUUUUUUCUGGGGAAUUAGUGAAUAAGUUUUCUCUUUUCUUAAUUUGGAAAUACAGUUUAAAAAAAAUCACUUCAUUAAGUAAAUAAAGUGAUUGAAACUUCCUUCAGGCUUCAACUCAAUUAUAUAUCAACAGGAGGACAGCUGAGCCUCACAAUUGUAGUGCCAAGAAAAGCUUCAGAGAAUACAUUUAUUUGUAUGUAGAGUACAUUGGCAUAAUCUCCCAUAUUGAAAUAUUAUUGCUUGCUUAUGUACGCUGCUCACUGGAUUUGGAGAGAGGAAACAGCCGACAUGGUUUUCAGCCCGAAAGGAAAAGCAAAAUGAGAGGAAAAAAAAAAAGUAAAAAAGUUGUGAGAGUCAAUGAGGUGUGGAUCCAUCUUAUCCAACAUUGUGUUAAUCAAAUCACCUUUAAUUAACAUCGUAAUGGAAUCUAUUGGAUGGCUCCUUUUACCGUGAAACAACAACAAUUAUAGCGCUUUUGUGGAAACUUUCCACAGUUGGAAUGCCUGUUUAGUCUUUCUUUUUUCUUGUAUACGUUCCGUCAGUUCUCCAAAACCGAGACUGCCUUUGUCUAAUACCUAGACUUCAACUAAACCCGAUCAAAAUCAGCAAAGGACAUAUGCAGCAGCGUUCCCUGUCCCUGCCCUGCGUGCAUGUCCAAUCUUUCAUGGUUCAUUAUGUGAAGACUUCUUCAUUGAUCCAUACGAUUCAAGGUUCCAACUCAAAACACUUCGAUGCCUAUAUCAGAUCAAGCCCCUACUGUAAAGUCAUACAAAAUUGCCCAAAACACGACAUUGCUAAAUCCCUGUCAAGGCAGCCGUGCACCAUCACUCCGAAUCUCCAACUCCAGCCAUCCUUCUUUCCAACACCCAUCAGCGUUGCUAAAUCAUUACUGCCAUUACACACUUAAUUUCAAGGUAUAUAAUCACAUAAAGUUAAAAAAAAAAAAAAAGACUUUCCCCCUGGAGAAGAAGAAGAGAAAAAAAGAAAAAGAGUACGUAAGGUAAGGUUGAGGAAAAUUCGGAUGCAAGUGUAAGAAUAGCGUUACAUAAUCUCCAAACAUUCUCAUACAUGAGCCAAUGCUGGUCGUCUAAAACUCACCUUCUUCUUCAACUUCCCACUCUGGGUUCGGCAGAACGAGGAAUCUCCGAUCUCUCCUCCAUCAACUCUAUCAAAUUUCAUCGAAGAUGAUCUCUCAAGCACGGAAUUCUCUCUAGGAAUUAGGUAAGCAGCCUUCGUCAUUAGCUGUAUGAUCAAGCGAUGGAUAGAUAGACCCUCUUGUUGGCUUGCUUAGAGAGGUCAAACUGAUGGUGAUCGCCUGCUUCCUUACCGCGACUUAAGCAAGGUGAUGCUAAAAUCCAUUCCUCCAGAGUUACCAACUGCACUUUAUUCUUUGACCCAUGAUACUUCUUUUCUUGAGCGGAUGGGACUCCUUCUUCUCUCCCCUUUUCUGUGUUGUGCUUCCGCCUAGGCAUCCUUGCUUCACAAAAUUGAUUAUGCAUGCUGCUAAACCAACUUCAGAUUCUUGUUUAGAUGAUCCUCUGGCAUUCUUCUCGCGAAAACCUUUAAGAUUUGAUUUCAUACUAUUUUCCGCUCAAAUAAUUAAUGUCGCACCUAAUAUUCGUGAAAAAAAAAAAAAUAACUCAAGGAAAUUAAUGAGAUGGUUUUGAUUGCAGGAUGACGAAGAAUAUAAAACGGAACUCGGGCCAAGAGGGAACCAUUUUUCAUAGGCAGAAACGUUCAUUAUUAGGAUUGAUUCUGAACCUCCAUUUUGUUAUCCAUCGGUUGUCCCCAAGCAAAGCAAAUAUUAUUCAGAUUCCUCUGUGGAUAAUUUUCGGUACUAUUUCUACGAUACAAGAAAAACCUCGUCGCUCCCGUGAGUUACGUCCAAACAAUCCAGAGCCUUUGAAUUGUUCUUCAAAAUCAGACGAAAACAAUUGUCAUGCGUCUUCGCAUGCGGCCUUGUUCUAGAACAGAACUAGCAUUGUACAGUGGGUACGUAUAUAGUGCUAAGCCAAGAGAGCUUUGUGCUGUUAAUGUUAGUGAAGCAUUGGCACACUUCUACAAAGGACUUCAAGAAUGUGGCAUCAACUAUAAAGAAAUCAAGAUUCAUAAGCUUCCUUCUAUAGGUAAAAAGUUAAUCCAGCCACAGCGUUCUCUCGUUUGGAUUGUAGUUUUCUACAGAAAUAUUUUAAUUAUGUUUCACGAACACAUUUUUUUAAUUAUAUUUUCUAUCUCACAUAUAUUAAAUUAUUAUAAUAUUUUUUUACCUCUUCUACAGAAACUUUCAUUACCUCUUCCUCUACCCCCAGGCCCACCCCAGAAGAACGGCAGAAAAAAGAAAAACUGGUAUCUUAUUAUUGGAAACCAUUCCUUGGAAUCUCGAAGAUUAAAAAAAUCAAUUUCCUAUGAGGUUUCCCGAAGGUCACUAAUUGCUAAUUUUAGCGAGACAUAUACACUUUCGAUUUCCAGUUACGGUAAUAGAGAUAUGAAGCCUGUUGAAUUAAUUAGAAGACCGAGCUACCAAGAACCAAAUUAAAAGACUUGACAACUGAGAUGCACAAUCCUACAAACUACUACGAGAAGAUCGCAGGGUCGGUCGGAUCAUAAAAUUUGUUACUACGCCGUUUUAAUCGCAGAAGCAUCUGAAAACUUCUAAUUAUACCUUCUUAUAUUUCAAAAAGAACAAAUCGUAAGGUUUUUUCCUUGUAAACUGCGUAUUUAUUUUGCCCUCCAAAUCCCUGAACUAAAAGGAUCUAAAUAAAUACUCGCAAAUCUGCUUUUAAUUAUGGUGCUGGCUGCAGACAGCAAGGAUUCCAACCAACGCAUCGUCUUAAAAAAAAAAGGUACAUACCUAAUGGUCGGAAGAUAAAAGCAUCAAUUUUUCGGUGCGUUCAGCAAUUUUGUUACAAAAGCACUACAGUUGGUACACAUUAGACAUGGGGUGUGAGAAAUGUGGGAUGGGAAGGGAAGGUUACUGAAGGUCCAUAGCACGGGGCAUUUCUUCAAUGACGCACAAAUUUCUUAAUGCACAACCAACUUCCAAACCAGCAAGUGUACAAAAUCCAAUAACUUCUCAAUAACUGAUACCCAUCUUUACAAGUAAACAAGAGAAGAAGCUGGCCAUAAAAGGAACAUCACCAAAGCAAAUAUCCAAAUAAAGAAUUCAGUGACCAGCAGAUGGAAGUGUUAAUAACUCAAGUGACUUCUUAAGGAAAUCCACAGCAACAGAAACCUCAUCAAAUGCCAAGGCUCCAACUGCAAAUCUUGCAGCCUUGUGUGCUUCAGCAAUCUUUUCAGGCGGAGGCUGGUAACUGCUGUCAUAGUGAUAUGUUUGUGCAGCAGUUAUUUUAGGCUUCUGAAACACUCCCAUUUCCACCAGGUGAAUUAUACUGUGUACCUGAUGCAUAAUUGGUGGUACUAGGAGCUGAUGUUGUAGAAUAGGAAGCAUCAGAGCCUUGAUAUUGUGAAGGAUAAUGAGAUGGAGCAGUGGGAAGGCUACUCUCAGUAAAACUAGGAUAAGACUGAAAAUGGGGAUAUGAGUAAGAGGGAACAUCAUGUGAAGGAUAGUGCUGCUGGGCUUCAUGUCGGUAUGCUUGUUGAUGAUAGAAUUGGGAAUAAUUUUCAGAUCCGUUGGUUGAAGGAGGCUGAUGGAAAGUAUGUGUAGGAUAAUCAUCAGCAGGAUAAGGAGAUGGAGGUAAAUUUGACGAAGGUGAUGCCACUAGGUUGGAAGGGGGAGGAAUAUUUGCAGAAUGGUGGAAGUUAACUGUGUCAUAUGUUUGAGGAGACGAAUCUGACUCAAAUGUAGGUCUCGUAGCAGCAUCACUUCCCGGUUGAGGUGGAUAAUCGGCUCCGGUUGGGGUCUAAUAGCGGUAUCACUUCUCAGUUCAAUGUCCUGGAAAGGCACAUCAGUUCUUCUCUGUUCAACGUCCUGAAGUGCUGGGUCAGUACUUCUUGAUUCAAGGUCCUGAAAAAAGCAAGGUCAGCAUCAUUAGCCUGCACACCAACUCAAUUGCCCCAAAAAGAAGUUCAAAUCAGCUUUUGGAUUUCUUCAUGCUACUUCACAAAAUAGUAUGUCUAGCCUUGAGCCAGAAAUUCAUGCAUAACUCAAAAUCCCAGGCGCAUAAUAACCAACUUAGUGAUCCAUUACUUAAUCUUUAAAAGAAAAAAAUGGAAGAGGAAGAAGAUAUACAGCAGAACUAAGAGGGGAUUUCCAAACUUAGAAGUAAAUGAUUUCCCAUGAUAGCUUGAGAAACCCAAACUCUGCCUAUCUCAUUCUAGUGGUCCCUACUUCUUAAUGAAUAAAGUUUCAACUUGCCUCUAGGCCACAUUGAUUGCAACAACUAAAGAUAUACAAUAGGGAUUGAGGUCAUACGUAUUCACCACUUGAUGUACUUGGUGGCACAGACAAGUCCUUCUCACCCCCAGGAGGACCUGGUACAGGUUUCCUUCCUUCUUUCAAAGCUUUCCUGAUAUCUGCUGCUUUCCAGGCCGCAUAUUUCUGCUUCUGUUCAAGCUGAUAAAAAGAAGUGAUCAAGCAAAUUCAACAGUGUUAGCACAUAGAUCAUAAAAUUACCUUCAAAUGUAAACAAUCACGGAUGAACAAACAAAAUGAACAAACAAAACUAUCAAAAUUUUUCAUCAGAAACUCACAUCAGGCUGAAGUUCACCAAACUGGUUGAUUAUUUCAAAGAAAAUGCUAGCAGCAUAAAAAGUCUUUGCAGUGUUCCUGUAGGAGAUGUAGCAAAUUAUACUGUUUACAGACAUAUUGUGUAGAUUGACAAUGUGGAAUUGACAAAAUCUUGAGGAACUAUUGACAGAAAACCAAAUUUCAUUGACGAACAAAGAAGAUGACAUUUAUGCCACAUUAACUAAAUGCCAUAAAAGGCAAGUAAGAAGCUGAUCAGCCAAGCAUGAAUGCAACCCUAUAUGUGUAUGUGUUUUCUAAAGCCACAAUCAUCAAAAGCAAACUUCCUAAGCAAAAAAUAGCUAAUACAUAUUCAUCACACCAAGACAUACAUUUUUUCACAAGAAAACAACAAAAUCAGUAAAUCUAGCUGGGAUGAUUGGCAUGAGUCAUAAAAAAAAAGUAUAAAAAUGUCUAAGAAACAAUUAUCGCAUAACCAUAUCAAGUGGGACGACUAUAUUAACUCUCAUCAAUAAGCCACUAUAGCUUAAAAUUGGAUUCCAGAACUUCAUGUAUAUGAGGUUAUAGAAAAAAUAACAGGUAUGUUCUCACUACAAAGCUGAAGAAAGCAAUGUGACAAAGUGACUGCUUGCAUGCACGACAAAUACAAGUUCAAUUACCUAAGUAAAACUUCAGGUCUGAUAUUCUAAGAAAAGCUAGCUCUUUCUCAUAAUCAGAAAACAAUAAAAUGAAUACUUCAAGAGACACAUGGUUACACAUGACAGCCUCAAGCUCAACAGUAACGAAUCCAGCGAUUUUAAUACUUGAAGCAUUGACCAGAAGCCACAGAUCAGACCUUGGCCUAAAAAUACAUUAAGCAUAAUAUGAAGAUCAUAUCACUGCCUAGAUUAAAGAGGUGCAGUGGAAGCAAAGUAUCAUACAGGUCAGCUUUUCCAGCACGAUCCUGCUUGUCUGCCUUAGAAAACACAUUCAUGGCAAAUCCCUCAAGGUGUAAAUGAUCAUCAGGCCCCAGCUGCAGUGACUUUUUGUCCUGUACCAAAAAGGGCAGAAGAUAGGAAAGAAACUACCUGUAGUAAGAGAUUUUCUUCUUCCUGAAAGUUUAACCAACUUCUGAAGUAUGGCAGUAGGAAUAUUAAUGAAAGACGAACAAUCCCUCAGAGAUAUGAAAGAUUCAAUCAUUUUCUUUUGUACAUAACAACAAAGUCCAUCACUUCCAAAACCAAAUAAAAAACUUUAAAAAAAUUAAAGAAAAAAGGGUAUUAUUUUUUAAGAGAAGCUUGAUCCUGAUACACGUAACAUACAUCAUCAACUAAUUGCAUAAACAUUCUCACGAAGAAUCUAUAAAAGCAAAGUUAGAAAGAGAGAUAACCAACAAAAAAGCUCCAACAAGACUCCAAAAUGGAGUAUCGUCAUCAUAUAAUAUCUCUCAAAUGAUCGGCUUUGUACCAAAAGAAUAUAUAGAAAAAAUAUAAAAGAAAGGGGAAAGUAAAAACCUUCUCAAGUUGUUUCAUGAGGGAAACGAGGAGAGAGUUGGUGGUCUUAGUACGCUCGCUCUGGGGGAUCUUCAAUCCUCGUUCCAUCGCAUAUAAUCGACCUAACAACCAAAAGACGUCGAAUUUCCGAAAUCAGCAAAUAGCAAAAGUUAGGGUUUAAGUAAAGUACUAAUCUGAUUGCAUAAUCAGCACAAUAAUACAAGCACAUCACUAUUUGAACUUAAAAAUUAAAAAAUAUAUAUAUGCACGAUGAUGAAAGAAUUAUAGAAUAUGAUCGUACAAUAGUAAGCAACGAGGGGUUCGUGCUUCUGCAAUUCAUCGGCUCGUUGAAGAUAAGGCAAUAACAGCUUUGCUGGUUCGUUUUCCCCUGCCAUCUUUGCUCUUCUCAACUCGCACACAAAGCGUCUUCAAUUUUGAUGUAAGAAGUUUCCUUUCUUUUCUAACCUUUUGCUAAAUUGGUUGCCUCGUAGACGUUUAUGUAAUUAUUUGCACCGAAAGAUGGCGAUGGCGUGUGGGGUGCUAAAUGUCUCUCUGCCUCUUUGGGUCGAGAAACUUGAGAAUGAUUAGAAAGGAAAGAAAAAAAUGUUACAGUUCAAAUGCCCCACAUUUCUUCUAUGUGUUACAAAUUAUAAAAUAUUUCCAGCAAUUUUUUUUUUUUUUUAUGUUUCGAUCAUCUUUUUGUUUCAGAUAGCAAAUCAUAAAAAAAUAUUAUAAUAUUAUUUCAAAUAAUACUCAAUCCAAACACAUUAUUCUUUUAUCUAACCAAACUCAAGUUAAAUCUAAGAGCCAAUCAAUAUUAAACCUUGUCUUACCUUAAUUUGAUUAUUAAUGAAUAAACUAACAAGCUUAAUUCAUAUUUCACAAAAAACCCCCCUCCCCCCCCCCCCACAGUUUACAAAUUAAUUUUUUCUUGAUUAACAGUGUAAUGAUUUAUUCUUUCACCCUAAUAUUUAUAGAUAUAUAUCGCAUGUUCAAAUUUUAAACUUGAAUAAAAAUACUUAUUAUGCAUCCAAACUUGAGAAAAUUAUUUGUAUGUAUAUCAUAUGUUCAAAUUUUAAACUUGCAAAGAAUUAUUUCUUGUUAUGCAUCUAAAUUGGACGAAAUCCUAUAGUCCGUUUAGAAUAUUAUUCUCUCAAUAUAUAUUCAUCAGUGAUGAUAUUGAUUUAUUUAUGAACUUGUUAACGUAAAUGUUAAGAACACUUAUUUCAUUGUUGAUUUAUUUAUAAACUUGUUAUAACCUAAGAGUCAAGAACACUUAUUUCAUUACCCAAAGAAAUUUUAGAAUCUCCCCAAAAUUUAUUAGCAAAAAACAAAAAUUUAUCCAAACAAUUAUAUUCUUGAAUUGACUUGGGUAAUCUUUUUAGAAAGAAAAGAUUGACAUUUUAUCAAUAAUAACUCAAUAUUUUGAUUUUUUUUUGUCAAAAAUAGUUUUUAUUUCCAACAAAAUCUACAAACACACCAACACAACAUAAUCACCUCUUUCUCCACCACCACCACCACACUCUCACUCCUCCCAACUACCACCAUCGAAAUAAGCCCCUUUCUCUUCACUUCUCCCCCUCCCCCUCUCUCAUCCAAAAACCCACGCCUAUGGCUGCACCUCUGCCAUCAUCGCCACCUCUACUUCCUUCAUCCACUCUUUCCUCCACUUUUCUCCUUCACCUCCCUUUCCCUUGUUCCUUUUUUUUCCACAUUUCCCUUCUUCCUUCUCCUUUUCCAUUCCGCUUUUCUUCUUUUUCCUCCAUCCAACCAUGACUGAUCUGGUCUAGAUUGUGGAUGGUGGGCGAAGAAUAGGAGGAAAGAAAGGGAAAGGAAGAAAGGAGCAAGGACAAAAGAUAGGGAAGGGAGUAGGGAGGGAUAGCGGUGAAAGAGGGCAAUAGUGAUGGAUAGGUCAUCUACGGGGUGCAAGGAGUAGGUAGGGGGAGGGGCAGAGAAGGGAACGAAGAAAAUAUCGCAAAAAAAAAAAAAGCCAAAAAACCACACACCUUCUAACCGUCUAUAACAAUUAUUUUUCUACACUGAAGUUCAAUAAAAACACCCACUCCGACGGACUGUUGUUAAGAAGUAAAAGUUACUAUUACAGCCCCAAACGAAAAAUGCACGAAUAAUUCAUAAUGAUCGAAAAAAACAUAUUAAUUUCUAUCUUUGUGAUUGUCUUCAUCCAGGACAACAUAUUACGCAAUUGCGGAAGAGAGCUGAAAACAGCCAGUUAUAUCAGAUACGCCAAGUCACCCAGGAUGUCGAGUAAUUUUGACCCAAAAAAAAAAUAGAAAAGGGCAUGACAAGGUUCCUACUCUGGACUACAACUAGAAAAUUUUCAAUAAACUAUUAUGAGAACCGAUACAUGUACUUGUAAAAGCUAUAAUUUCUAGCCCAAAAGAAAACCAAAUUAAAAGAACUACAGAUUGUACACGAACUGAAUAUUCCACCAUUAGUUGUCCCGGGGCCUCUGCUGCCACCACCACCUGUUCAUAAGCCCACAACUUACAAUCAGCUGCAGACAAAUCAAAGAGGAACCGGUAUUCUAGUUUUAGAUAAAGUUUCAAGUACUUCUUUCUGACAGCUUAGGCCUAAGUCCCCAUGUCCAUUACUUCAGAAGAAUGCAAACAAAAUAUUACUCAUCAAUAGUCUGGAUUUUUCAAUGGCCAAUGUUGUCAGGGCAGAAAGGGGAAGAAGCAGGGGGGGUGGGGUGGGGAAUUGCUUGGAUAAGUUGGCCUGGCACUCACAAUGUUAGGCAUUUGUGAUAGAAGGGCACAAUAAAAGACACUGGAGCAGAAUUGCGACCAAACUUUUCAUCAGACCAAAAAGAUGCUUAUAUUGCCAAUACUUGACAUGCAAGCCGAAUCUACGUAACCAAAAUGCUGGAUUUAGGUUGUAAAUCAAAUUACUCUUACAAAGGAACAUGAAAGAUUAUAUCGCCAGAAUACCAAACCCAACAGCCUAAACCCUACACCCCCUCCCCAUCCACUGCCGUGAACCCCUCCUGGCAGGGAAAAAGGAACUGGGAGAUGUUUUACCUGAAGAAAGUCUAGUAGAGGGUAGCUGCAUCCAAAGCCCAAGGACAUUGACACCCAAAAUGAUUGGUAAUUGACUGAUUAGCAGUUAACAUCACGAAACAGCCCUUUUGGUUCAUCAUAAAUCCAUCUGCCAAAAGUUUAAGAAUUAAUCAGAGACCAAAACAAGGCAACAAGGACAAAAACAGCAAUAAUCGGUGGUGCAAGUGUCAAUGACAAUAGGUUUUCCCUCCUGUAAUAAGUGUUAUGUUAAAUUUCAAGAUUCUGACCCGAAGCAUCCAGCAUCAACAAUAGAACAGCCACAAUUUGCUUGGCUUUAAAUUUGACAAAGCAGUCCAAUAUAUUGAUCAGUAUUCCUGAAAAUUAUAGGUACUAGUGUACAUAUAUGCACAAAUAUAGUUCCCCCAGCACAAACCAUUUUAUCCGAUCUCUUAAUGCUGGAUAUCUACAUCAAUUUCCUCACUCCAAGCACUUAUACUCACACAUACAAUGCAUACAGAGAAAGAGACAACAGACACAGGAGGGACUCCUAGACAGUUCAUGGCAUGAGAAGGUGGCUCUUCGUAUGGACACAACAAAGAUUUUUAAUCAAAGAAAAUAAAUGUUUCACUGCUAAACCAUUUCAAUUUCAGACAUUUAAAAAUUAAAGAAUUAAAGAGAGCUAGAAUUUUUGUCAGACAAAAAUAAAAAUAGAUGCAUCAAUACUCAUAACAAGCUUCGUAUAAUAGAGAUACACGUACUGGAAGAAUAGAUGAGAAAGUCAAAAGGUGCUAACAGAGAUAUUUCACAAUCAUAGACCUUUGACAGAAGAUUAGUGCAUGAUUAAACAAUAAAACUAUGUAGCAACAUACUUGCAUACGUAAAGUGGCUGUAAACUCUCAUUCGGCCUUUUCCUCCAUUGGUUCUCUUUUCUUUUUCUUCAAUGAAUCUUCCAGGAGGAAGAACUUCACAAAGGCCUUGUACCAAGCCAGCCAUUACUGUGCAACUAAUAGUAGACUCAUAGACCUACAGAGAGCAAGACGGAAGUUAAGGAGUUGAGCAUACAUUAACUAGUAAAGUAAACAUGUCAACCAGACAUGCAAGGGCCAAAUUGUCUAGCUAAAUUGUAAAUUCAUAAAGCAGAGAACUAGUUCUUGAUUUUCCUUUAUCAAAAUUUUCUGAGCUGUUAAACUUUAAUCACUCCAAUGACAUGAUUUUCUCAAGUAACAAGUGAAACUUUUAAGUAGUUAAUUUUGUUCAUGCCCAAUCCAUUCUCUUCUUCAUCGAUAAAACACUUGAAAUUAAAAAUCCAACUCCAGACCGCAAUAGAACCACCACCAUCGAAUUCUCCAUCAAUUGUAAAGUUCUUGACAAGUUCCUUAGGCUUAUCAAUUUACAAUUAAUGCAUCUUCAAUUUACCCUAAAGCCCACUAUAUAUCAGACAGACCGUAACUUUAUUCAUUUUACAUUUGGUGAUAUUGGCUAAUACUCUGCCAUCCAAUCAUUACACAACAUGAUUUAGAAAAAGCACAAGGAAAGCUUCUCAUUAGGUAAAACUUUUGGUGUACUCUCCAGUCAAUUGUCGCCUGGGAACCUGAAAGCUUAACCAACCAAUUUCUUCCACAUUUCUAAUUUUUAAUAAGGUGUUUGAACAUUAUAUCUUGUCUCAAAGUCUGUCAACUAUAUCUACAGAAACCUUGUUCAAUUUAUUAGCAUCUUCUAAUGGAUAAAAGUAAUUAAGGAAGAUGCUAGCCAAUAGGAACUGAAAGCUUGUAACUGGGUCAGCACGGGAAAAAAUUAACAUAACAGAUAAUAAAUGCAUGGAAAUAAAAGCUAAAAUUCACCUCACUGCUUUCCAGGCCACAAGGACGGCCAACGGCUUGUGGCAAAUCAGCAGGAAAGUAGCACUUAUUGACACUCACCCACCUAGUUUUCAUCUUAAUAUCCUCCCACAUGGCCUGCAAAGGGAAAACAAGGCAAUCCAAUCAAAAAGAUCACCAAUAAUUAUUUGCUAUUUCACGUCUUUUCUUUUUCACUUUUUUGUACUCCAUUAAGGUCAGGGAUUAACUUGUUUCAAAAAGCAACCUUCUACUUUUACCAAGUACAUAGCAGUUCUAGUGCAGAGCUGAGGGAAGUGGCAACUCAGAAAUUGAGAGCAAAUGAGAUGAAAAAUAUCAAAAGAAUAAUGUCAACCACUCAUAGGACAAAUAUCAGGGCAACGGACAGACCUAGCUGGUACAUGCAGUUUUUAAAUUUAGAAUAAUGUCAACCACUCAUAGGGUAGAAUCAAGCAUCCCUAUGAUUGCUUUCUGCCCAUCAGCUAUAAAGUAAUUUGUGGAUUAGUAUAUGAAACUUGCAAAACAUUUAGGUGUCCCACAAGACCUGAAUUAUCCUAUAUUAGUACCUGAAGUUUUGACGGAAUCAAUCUAUCAUUGAAUUGAAUAAGAACAUGAUCAUGGAGUUUGUAGACAACUCCUCUAAUGCAGCAAGACUGGUAGAAAGCUUUCUCCUCAUCGACUUUAAGUAUACCGCCGAUCCAAUCCACAUUGUGUACAUAAUCUGGUAGAAACUUUCCAUGCUCUGCAAGUCCAGAACUGGCUGCAGAAGUUUCAGCAGGAAUAGCUCGCACAGUCCCUUGAUCAUUUUGUGAAGAUUGCUGCAACAGAACAGCACUAUUUGGUGCCCCUGGCUGGCGAUUAUCUUCUGCGUUGCCAGGGGACUGCGACGGAGAAGAGAAACUAAGAACUGUCUCAGAUUUUAAAGGAGUCUGUGAAUUCGACUCUAGCAGUUUCUCUUCACACAGGCCUUUAACUGAUGACAAAGUAGGAGAAACAGAGACUGGACAGGAGGCUUCUGUUAGAUUAUUUAAAGAAAUUCGUGAAGAUGACUUGUCAUCCAUCUUUCCUUUGCCAACAAUAGUAUUCCCUCGUAUUUCGGUUGUAUUUUCCACCUUCAAUGCAGAUGUUGGAUCGCUAUGACCACUUACUCUAUUACCAGUAGAGGCCCUUUGACUUGCAGCAUUCCCAUUAACCAUUAUCUUCUGCUGGUUCACCUUCACAUCUAGAGCGGCUGCUUUCUUAUCUGGAGUUGAUGGGAGAGCAGCUGCACUAGAAGGCACUUUGGGAACAUUAUUGUUUCUCAUGACACGACCAUAUUUAGGGGGCAAGCCUUUCCCAUUGCUUAACUGCAAGCAUUUUACACAGUGCCACUCUGCUCUAGGAAUUCCUUUUGGAUUAUUUAUGUGGAGACAUUUCAAGUGAUAACCCUUCUCACAAGCAUCACAAACAAGAACACUGUCCACAUCAUUUAUGGUAGACUUGCAUGUUUGGCAAGUCGAAGCCUUGUUCAUGUAAUCCCUGGACGGUGGAGUCCAGACAGGGCGCUCAGAAACCCGUGGCUGUAAUAACUUUUGAACAAUUUUACCAAUUUCAGCAUGGGUAUUUCUUGGUAUGGGAGCCGGAAUAGUGUUUGUGCCUUGCAAAUGCUGAUUUACACCAACUGCAUGAUUUCCAGUUGUAAUCUGAGUUACUGGUGGUUUUGAUAUUGCAAUUUGUGGGCCUAUUCUGGACUUGGCAUCAGUUGCUCCCUCAACUUUAACGGUAGCUUUCGCAGGCACCUUCUCAGCUCCAAUUUUAGGGGGUGCGGUGUAGAUUGGGGUUGCAGAGACCAAGCUGGCGUUUUGACAGAGGGCUGAUCCCCAGAAGAAUUUGCUGCACAUCAAAAGAACAUGACACAUCAUUUUACAAUGCUAUGGAAAUUGGUGACCUGAUAGUUCACCACAGAGAUCAGUACAAUUAAGACCAACCAUUUUCCAGGGAAGACUUUGUUUCUGAAGUUCCAUUAAUAGAGCACCAAAGACAUCUUAUUCACAAACAGAAAUCCUACGUAAAGAUUUUUGUGAAUCCAGGAAAGUUAUUAAGGUACAAAUACCAGAAACCACUUCUAGACAUAAAAGCCAGAUGUUUGCAAGGGCAUCAGCUAGAAAAUCCAACAACCAAGUAUGCAUAGUUAAAGCAAAUUCAAUACUUACUCUGUGCAAGGGUCUGCUUAGUCUACUUGAUAAUAUAUAUGUUGAGAGCAAUGCACAACCCAAAUAGUAUACAGCACAUUCAACUCAGAAAAGAAUUGCUUUUGUAGAUAUCAGGUAAUUAAUUGCAAAAGUACCUAUCACUAAUCAUUCCUCGAUUAAAACAAGGAAGUGAUUGCUACCUUGCACUUGUGAUGUUGGCAAAGAUCCAUUUGGUCUUCCAUCCAACCUGAAUCUUUCAAUCCUAGGCAAUGCAACUGGAGUAGCAUCCCUUGCCAUAUUACUGGAGGGCAAUCCACUGGGAGUUGUUGGUCUUACUUCACUUGUAGGUAGCUGAUAUGGUAAAGAUGUCAAUGUUGUACCAGCUACAUGACCUAGAGGUGAAGGUUGGAAGCUUCCAGAAGAAAUUGGUAUAUGACUAGGUUUAUCUGUGGCAAAAACACGGCCAGCAGGGGUGGAGCACGAUUUUCAACCGCCACACCAGACUUUGUAUGCAAUCUUUGCGAUGAGUGUUGAGCAGAAGGUAGAGUAAAGUCCUCAGCUUUUUCCAUCUAAAGGUGCAGCCAAAAACAAGGAAGAUUAUGCACAAGAUAAGAAAAAUAUGUAAACCAAGAUCUGUAAACAGCAUUCUACAACCAUGUAAGUGAUCAAUUAAUGCUGCAAACAUCAGAAUCCAAUUCUGACACUGCUUAGAAAAGAGAAACCCUAUGCUGAUAAUAUCAAAAGAAACUGUUAAUCAUAAUAAGAAAAAAUAAUUACAGUCAAAAAGCUAUCAAAUAAUAGCACACACACAAGAUAUUAGCGCCUAACUGAGUACCCUUCAGUUAAUACAUCAAACAAAAAAUAAACAUCUUAGAAGAAAAUUUAAAAAAAAAAAAGCAAAAUAAGUUUGAUCUUCUAAGCCAAAUAAUUUUCAACAGAAGGUGCUAAAGUUGAGACCUCAAAGAAAAUACUUUAACCACAGGAAAUCAGUUCAAGGACAACAGAAUUACCAAGUAUCUCAAUUUUUCAAAGUUCAGCAUAUUCAGGAACUUAUACUAUGAACUAAUAGUACCAGAAAUAAAAAGAGUAAUUGGCUGCAAUGUGCAUUUAAUUACACCCGACAAACAAGUAAAAUACAAUAAUUGUUUUUUACACUCGAUUAUGAAUACCCACCGCCAGAAGGAUUAACAUUUACACCGGGUAAACUAAAAGUGUUUGUAACGUGUUGAGAUAGCAUGAAACUAAGGAAAGCUAAUAAUGACGGCAUGCAAACACAUGGAUGUGCAUUCUUAUGCCCGUUAAAUGUUCGCUACAUGGAACAACUACACGUUUUAUUCAAAUACAUCCAUAUUCUAACUCGGCACAUGGAUCCACAAAUACAGCUAAAAGUCAAUUCUUAGAAAUCGAGCAAGUAAAUGAGCAAGCAGAACUUUAGUAGCCUAAAUUUGUCAUCUACAAGCCAUCUACUUUUCUCAACGACAGUAUUUUCCCCUAAUGACAAAAGAAGAUAACUGCAUCAUAAAAGGACUUCAAUGUAAAUAACAAGCACUGCCUUCCCGCCUAUAAUUUGACUUUUCAAAUUUUCCUUUUUAGCGGUAUCGUCUUGUAAAAAGUUGUUUAAGCCAAUGGAUUGGACAACUACUCACAUGGACAUUCACACAAGCUUUCUAUAACAGAACUAAUCAUGGCUUUGCAAUACUAGUUGAAGAAUACAGAUUAUCUGAUUAGCCAUAAAGACUAGUAGAUUUCUUGUUCGGAAAAUCACUGCCAAAUUCUUCAGUGCAAGUUCUCACCACAACCCAUCGUUUAAAUGAACAUUCUCUUUACAGCCCAGAAAGGUAUGAUAGUCACAGUCAAAUUGAACUGUUAAGGUGUUCUCCUCUGUUUCCAAACUCAAUAACAGCACAUUUCACCAACUGAAUGCAAUCCAAACAAAAUUUAGACCAACAAAAUAAAAAACUAAAGAGUUCAAAAUUAUGUAAAGAAAAUCAAACCAACCUUUCUUUUGGAAAGCAAUAACUUCUCAGCAAUGGUAAUCUUGGGCGGCCGAAACCCUAACCUCUGUUCCCUCACCUUAUUAAGCCCGAGAUCCUCAAUAAGUGCCCCAAAAACAUCCCUGGGAAACACAUCCUUGGGCGGAAACAAUUCACAAACCUCCACUAACUUCUCUCGAGCGGCCGCCAUAAUCUCCUUCUCAACACCAGUCGGAACCUUGCCUCCCCUCAUCUUCCCCAUGGCCGCCAACACCAAAACCAUCUCCGCCACCUUCCUCAUAUUACCAACCACAGCGCCUCCAUGCCUCAGCUUCUUCGCCGGCGGAACAUCUCCUCCUCCUCCUCCUCCUCCUCCAGCGGUAUCCUCGGCCGAUCUUUUCUCACCCAAUUUCACCCGGAUUCAACCGAAUCCAUCCUUGACAAAACCCUAACUCAAGCCAAAACCAUAAACGGCGUCGAAUUGGGAGAAACCUGCAAAGAGAAGAGAGAUGAGAAGCCAUAAAAUGAGGAGACAGGAGGCCGGGGAAACCCUAGAGAGAAGAGAAAAGAGGAGAGACGGGAAGGAGAGACUCAAGAGAGACGUUGAGAUGAAAUUUGGGAAAUAAAAAAGAGAAAUUUUUCGAUGCGUUAAAAAUUAAAAAUUAGAAUUAUACUACCUUUUUGGCGGGUAAUUGAGAGAUAGAGCUGCGAGUUGUUGUUAUGGUGAGGCGGGGUGCAUAUUGUUUGUUGACAGGGCAGCAAAAACUUAUGUGCAGGGCAAAGAGGGAGAGAUUAUAGAGAAAACGCGAUCGUAUUAAUAUUAAGCGAUUUUUCACUUUGCCCCCUCAAUUUGUACGAUUUUAUACUUUUUCCUCUAAGGGUCCGUUUGAUAACAUAAAAAAGUGCUGAAUCUGAAUUUUUCAGACAUUCAGAUGUUUUGAGUGUUUAAUAAAUGAAAGUUCAUUUGUUGAACUUGUGUGUAUUUUUUUCAGCACAAGAAUCGUAAUUGAAUGUUUAAUUCUAAUAAGAAUUAAUAGAACUACUUCAAUUACCUUAUCUUAUCUACAAAAUUUACCCUUGUUUGUUAAUUAUGUUCAAAAUUCUUAUCUAAUUAAACAAUCUAAUAUUUUCUAUCCAAUGAUUUUCUAUUUCUUGUUUCUCCCUUUUGAAUGAUUUUCACAUCUUCCCCAUGCUCCUCAUAUAAUAUAUUUCAUCUUUUAUAUUAAUUUGAUUUAAAAAUAAAUAUUGUCAUUUUCAUACCUAACAUUUUUAGCUGAUUAAAUUAUAGGUUCUAUUUCUUUUUUGGAUGAAAAGAUAUUAGGGCAAAUUUAUCAAAUUUAACUUGUUAAGCAUUCAGUUAUAAAUGUUUAUCAAACAGUAUUAAUAGGUUUAACAUUAAAAUUCAGACAUUCAAAUAUUUCUUUUCAGUGCUUAAAAUUCAGCAAAUUAAUUGUUUCAAUAUUCAGAUUCAGAAUUCGGACUUCAGAAUUUAGAUUCAGUUUUAUCAAACGGAACCCAAAUCUUUGUUGGUUCUCGAUUAGCUCCUAAAAUUCAUAAGUAAGGAUGCUUAGUUUGUUUUUUCUUUUUCUUUUUUCAAUAUUAAUAUUAUACUAGUUGGGAUGGAAAUAAAUAGGUUUAUUGUGACAUUAAGAAAGAUAAAUAAGAAAUCAAGGAAGAAAAAUGCUUAAAGAAAUAUGAGUGCAUCACUCUUAUUUUUUUUUAUCAUAAAUUGUCUUCUUUUUUUUUUUUUUUUUGUGUUACAUGAAUCCCUGAUAGCUUCAUGGUCAUAUGUGGUUUGCUUUGCAAUGACACGCCUUUUUUAAUAGUCUAAUGCUCUCGUUCUCUUACCAAAUAGAUCCGUGACUUAUUUACUGAAAUUAGAGCGGUUUGAACUACAUUACUAUUACACACAAGGCGAUAUAUCUUCAAUACUUAUAAUUCCAGUCUCACAAAAUACACACGUAUUUAUCAGCAUAUGAUGAUAUUAGCCUCGACGUCGAGCACAUUUUAAUACACUUGCAUCAUAAAUGAUAAUUGGUCAAACUGAAAAUCAGAAUUUAAAAACUUAUCUGUCCGUAAAUAAACUUGCUUCUACUCGAAAGUUACUGAUACAUUUUAGUUCUCCCAUAAUUACACUGAAAAAAUGUGUCAUCUUUCUUUCUUUUCAUCAAAGAAAACACCUUUUCCAUUUGUCCUUUACCAAUACGUUUUGCUUUCCUAGUAUCCUUUCCUUCUCACAGGUACAGUCAAAAUAUUGUAGACCUCUUGUCGGAUCUAAAUGCAGGGUAGCAACUAAUUAUUACUCUACAAGUCUGAAACUGAGAGGCAAAAUGUGCAUAGGAUUCGGGCUACAAUUGACUGGCCUUCCUCUUUAACAUUAGGUUAACGAGAUACCAACUUCGAUCUCAGAAACAGCUCCCUGAGCUGAGUCAUAAGCUUUGGGUGAAUAAGACAUGAGCUUUGACAUCUAACCCACAAAAAAUGGAAUUGGAAAUGUGAUGGAAAUGAUGUCUGAGCUGAUUUGAUAUCAGUCGUCAAUACUCCGAAGAUUUCAAGGAAGACAUGCUCCGGGAAAUGGCAGAAGAAAGAGCCAGCACUCCAGAAAUUUAUUUUCCAUUUUCUUUUUUUUUUUUUUAGGAUGCACAGCAUAACUUCAUGUUACAAAUACCACUGCCAAAUGUCAUCCCCCCAAACUACUGUACACAUUGAGCAACCCCAUCGAGUCUAAGCAAACUGAAAUAAAUUUCUACAUCGCGAUGCAGAUCUAGUUAGUAUUAUUAUACAAAGACUGUAUGAGGUUGCGCUGUUUCAAUGAAUGCCACAUCACUGCCAAUGAUGAUCCUGGAAUCAGUACAGAGCAGCUCAGUAUUUUGAAGCUCAAAACCAUGGAAAAUUGGUAUUGGAAAUCCUUUGCUCAGCUUUAAAUUGAUAUAAGGCAAGACGACAGUUCUCAGCAACGUCGAGAUCACAGGCUGCAUGGAGGAGCCAAAACUUGGUUAAAUUAGACGCCAUUACUGCAGUUUAUCUGACUUAUAUAACAGUCCUUUCACAGCAUAUAAGAGGAGAGAAACAUACACCAAAUCAGUACACUGAUUGUCAGUGUGAAUCACAGGAACGCAUGUAAAGCGCGACACUUUGUCAUGUUAAAAAUGGAAAUCGAUCACAUCAUUAACCAUUUCUAAAAUGUUGACUUGCUGGUAUGAGACACACUUCUAUCGGCUACACGAGACAUCUUACCCUCACGUUCUGCACAAGGGCUAUAACAAUUUCCUUUCACAAAUUUUGCUAAUUAAAGUCUGCUGAUUACGACUAUUUCAGAAAGUUAUAAAUGAAUCUGGAUAGACAUGCCUGAUGCUUGUUAGGUUUUACUGCUGGAACUAGGAUGAUGUUAUAAGCGCAUCACAGCAUUAGGAAACCAGUUGGAAGUUGGAUGAGCGCUUGAAUGGACAUACCUGAACAAGAUACAUGUGGAGGUUACCAAUUUUGCUCCAAUCCUGGGACAUAGUAAAUUCAUUUAACUUCACGCUGACAGCUAGAGCAUUACGUGAGACUUCUGGAUAAGCAGCAGCGCUAAUUACCUGGCACGAUAACGAAGCUAUAAUAAGGUCUGGAAGACAGUGCCAAAUUUUGAUGGAUAAACACAAACAAUAAAGUCUUAACUCGGGCAAAAUAAACUGCCUUCUGCAAGUAAAUCAACCCCUAGAAUCAUAAGUCCUAUUAACUUGACCAUUCCAUUCCCGAUGCUGUUAGGAAAAUGAAGUCCCUUUUUCAAAAGAUCACAGAUGAAUGAUGUAUCUAAAACAGCUGUGCGUCGUCACAUUCCAUCUAAAUGGGUCGAUCAUCACAAAGGCCACCCGUAUUUAAGUAUCGAAGAUAUGGUAUAAUAAUCCUCAAACAAACAGCUUCCACAAUUCAAAACACUACCCGCAUAAUCAGACCUAGUCUGUCACAACAAAAGGUCACCCUCCAUCUUCCUCUUUCAGUCAGGAAAUGCACGGUAAUUAAACUGAAGCACGGUCCAAUUACACAAUCAUGUGAUCAAAAUUUAUGUCCACAACUACCCUUAAAAACAUGGGAAAGCUUAGACAACUUAAGUUCAGAACGUGGGUCAGAGUAUCCUUGUAAAAGAACACUAGCAUCAACCAAACUCGGUCAACCUGAGAAGUGAAAUGAGAAAGUUCACAAGAUUUGGAUGCAAUGUCAUCCAGAAGCUUACCACAGAAAUACAUGCAACCGGUACUACUUGACCAUCGUCCAACACAUCAAUUAUCACUUUUAAGGGGAUUGUUGCAUCAAUCUGCUUCUCACCAAUUUUUAAUAUUGGAUUGGAAUGCACAGAAAUAUUGAGGUUCAAGUCAUCAUUUGGGUAUUGUUUGUAGAGCUGAGGAAUAAUGAACCUCCACUCAGCAGUGUUCAUCAAAUUCUGAUCAGGUAUAUUGUCAACAAUCCAAUGCAUUUUAUUGGCCUGAACACGAAAUUAAAAUCAUUAGACAGAUGUCCAACAAAAAGGUAAGUUAACACCCCAAUAUUGUCUGGCAACUAAUCAGAAGAUAUUAUAAAUAACAAGCUGAUGCUAGCAAUCAAUAACCAACACAAAACAUAGAACCAAAGGAAUAGCUAACAGAAAGAAAGUGAUCAGAGUUCAUGAAACUUUUCUUUCAAGUCUUACUUCAAAGUAGACUGCAGAUGCCGAUUCGAGGACAUUCUCAUGCACUGAGAUCCCCACCAUCCUAGCUGGACCAUUGCAGGAAAAUGGAACUUCAACAUUCUCACGCUGAAGUUUGGAAACUGCAGCUUCAUCCUUGAGACUGAAUAAACCAUUGAUUUCAAGUUCAAGAGAAGAGUUACUUAAUUUUGGGUCACCGACGAUGGUGACAUUUAAAGCAGAAAUAUUGUUUACUGUAACUUCUUUCGGCAGAGAUUGCAGAAAAGAAUCAAGCUCUUGAAUUGCACCUAUUAAUUUCUUCAAAACAGCAUCUUCAACUGCAGAUGCUAUUUUAUCUUCGAAAGCAUCUACCAAUCUUGAAAACAACAAAGGAAUCAGUAUAGGGAUAGUUGGAAGCUCAAACAGAAUAAUGACAGGCAAAACGAAAGUCAUGCAAAACCAAUGAGGAUGGUGUGUGUGUUAAGUAGCCUGAUAAUUUCAUUAGAUUAGUCUGUUGUAUCAACACAAAGCAGUUCCAAGAAAUACGAUCAAAAUAAUGCUAACCAUAGUAGCCCUAUUAAGCUAAAGCAGCAGGUGUGUUCAUAGGAAAGUCUGUUUAUUCUUUACAAGCCCCCAUCUCAUCAGGAGUAUAAUAAGCCAAACAUUAAAUUGGAUCACUAUCAUGAUAAGAUAGAGAUUAUAGUUCUAAGAUGAUUUUCUUCCAUUAUCGCCUAAGUGCAUUGUGCCCACAAUUAUAAAAUGUGUUUUUUCCUAGGAAACCUAUAUAGUAGGCUUUCUAUCUCUGUUGACAACACCUCAUGCCCCUCUCGCUGAAAGCAAGGGGAUGGAGAACGAUAAUCAAAGAACAUGAGGCAAAUUUCCUUGAACUAUGCUCAUGGCUUUUCACUGGUUUCAAUUGCAAUGACGUGCUAAAUUGCCCAUCAAACUGAUGGACUGAUUUCCAUCUUCUGUCAAAGAGACUUUGGAUACCGGGCGAACUGUGAAUCUUUAAAAAUGGUAGAAGCAAAUAAUCAAUAUCAGGAAAAACUUCCUGAUGUUGUGAAGCAAAAUGAGAUGAUCAAUUUCUCAUUUGUCUGAUGGAAGUGAAGCUACAACAUUUCAUUUAGUUUUAGGUCCAAAUCACAUUUUUGAAUGACAGAAAAAAUAACUUCAGGCAUCCAGAAAAGGGGGAGAGAGAGAGAGAGAGAGAGGUUUCUUAAGUGGAAGGGCAUCAAAUGACUCUUUACCCUUGAUAUAGCCAGGACGCUCCACCAGCCAAAUCAAUGGAUAGAUCUUUCACAUAGCAACCACAAUCCACGAGUGACAGCUUAAGAGAUCCUUGCUGAUUCUUCAAAUCAAGCAAAAGCCCAAUUUCCAUACCUUCAAUCUUUGAAGACGUAUCUUUCAUCAAUUCUCUUUGUAAAGACAAAAAUUUAAUAGGCAAUCAUGACUGUGCGAUGUUAUGAGAGCAAAGCAACACCGUAUACAUGGUAUUUUGUAAGCAACUACAUUAACUAUACUGUUACAUUUAGUUUUAGCUAGUUCCAGCUGAACUACUCAGCUGAUGACAAAGAAUGUCCGGACACGAGCACUAACAUUGACAUGUUUGCUAGCCCAGAUGCUAAUGCUUCCAUAAUGCAUCAAUUCUACAUGAUCUAAGUUCCUGAGAAGCCAGUGCAGGGAGGAACUGCACAUCCUCACGCAAAAGGCUGAAUGCUUUGGCAACAAACAAUACAAAGGCAUCAAUUUUGCUAGUAAUUGAUGAACUGAUAGGAUUUAAGUAGUAAGCUCGCAUAAUUUGUUUUGCGAUGCAAAGCAUAUUUACACUGCAUCAUCAUUCACAAGCUUAAUCCAAACAGUAACACGUAUAAGAAAGCUCAAUGGCAUGUACAUGAAUUAUAAUUCAGAAGUAUAGCAAGCAAAACUGAGACUUAUUAGUGGUAUCACCUGAACUUCUGCCUCCCCUUGAUCCGAAAUUGAGAUUGGAAGCAACCAGGUGCUGUAGGAAUACCCCAGUGCAUAGUCAAAUUAGCGGUGGCGCCAGCAACAUCAACAAGGAUGCCAGUAUCACCAGUUUUAACAGUUGAGGAAGUAACGUGAACCCUGUAGAGGGUAACAUUCGAAACCUCCAUGCUAACUGUACCAAUCACUGGAAUUUUGACAGUCUUCUCAAUAUUAGGCAGCUCAAGUGGAACCAAGGAAGUCUCGGCUUUUUCAAUUAACAAAUCUUUGACAAAGUCGAGACCUUUAUCGGAUAUCUCAUAAGAUAUGUACCCUUCACUAGAUCCAACAUAGGCCCAAGAAGAAAUCAUUAACCAUAGCACUACCAAUAAUCCAGCUGAAUCAACUGAAUGUCCCAUGAAGUAAAAUUCAAACCAGGCAAACACCUCAAUAAAUGGAAACAAAUUUGAAUCCCACGUGAAUAAUUCAAUUGGAGGAUGAGAACGUGUGUGGGAGAGAAUUGUACAUUUAAACUUGAAAGCAACUCUCAGGUAUGUUGGUCAUGACUCGCAGGAGGAGUUAAAUGCAAAAGGGGGUCUAUGUUGAUAAGACUUUUUUUGGAGUUUUCUAUAUUACUUCUGGUUCGGGAGCUGGCUGGAGCUUCAUAAAUCACGAGGUAAACGAGGAGGGAUGAAUCAUCAGCAGAGGAGCACGCUUUUCAGCUCUAAGGGUGACCAGAUUAUGAAAACCGGUGGAUAUGAACAGAAAGAAGCGUCCAAUGAGUAAUCUGGGAAAACGUUGAUAAUCGGUCAAGAAAUUGAGCAAUAAAUGUGAGUAAAAUUAAAAGCUGAAGACUGGAGUACAGUAGUGGUACUAAAUUACCAUCAUUCAAUCUCUAGUUCUAUUCUUCCAACCUGCCAAUAAGCCUGCCACCGGUCCGGCGUCUGGGAUGGGGAUCCGUUUAUUCCUGCCUGCUCCUCUCUCUCAGUCGAGGCUCGGAGAAUUCAGAAGAGUUGUCCUGUGGAGUAGUAGCUGAGAAUGGAUCAGUUGCUGCUAAUUACCGUACCUCAUCCGACAUCACUCACUCCUGUACUAAAUUGGACAAAAAUCAACUUGAGUGAUAUGCUAAGAAGCAUUUAAUGCUUGGGUGGACGUUCACAAAAUUACUUCCACAAAACUUUUUUUGAAUUGCGAUUUGCAAACUUGUGGGUUGCCUAGAACAACCCUAAUUUGCAAGGUUGGAAUUGCGAUUUUAAUAUGAUUUCUUGUUGACAACUCACCAAUCAAUGGUUACGUGCCAUUUGAGAAUUGAGAGAGCUCCCUUGCCACAUUCAUUAAAUUUGGAUUAUAAAAUGCAUCAUAUUCAAAUAAUCUUCCAUAGGCUACCAAUAAUGUCUGUCUGUCUUCUCUUGUUUUUUUUUUUUUUGGGGGUGGGGUUAUUGAGUGAUUUGUAGCUAUAAAUAAAUCUCAGGCGCUACAGUUUGCAAAACUCACGUCCAAUUUACCUUUCGGAACCAUAGUACAGGAAUUCAUGGAAUACCAAAUUCCGUAAGGUACCCAAAAUGAUAUUCCAAAUGGAAGCCACGGAACCAAGAAGAGUCCUCCACCAAACACUUCAUUCUUUUUCUUGAAAAAAAAAAAAGAAAAGCCCCAAUACUCUCUCUCCCUCAUGGGCCUGGGUCGCUACUCGCAAGCCACAAAACAUCCGAAAAAAUAGCAAAUUCCCCGCCCGCCCGCUAAAGAAGAGCCCAUUUGCACUUGCAGUUUUAUGGUUUCACCUCAUUCAUCAUGCCAAAAAACAAGGGCAAAGGGGCAAGAACAGGAAGAGAGGAAAGAAUGAGGCGGACGACGAGAAGCGAGAGCUGGUUUUCAAAGAAGACGGCCAAGAGUAUGCCCAGGUUUUGCGCAUGUUAGGUAAUGGCCGCUGUGAAGCCAUGUGCAUUGACCAGAACAAGAGACUCUGUCACAUUAGAGGGAAAAUGCACAAGAAGGUCUGGAUCACCACCGGCGACAUUAUCCUCGUUGGCCUCCGGGACUAUCAGGACGACAAGGCUGAUGUCAUCCUCAAGUACAUGCCCGAUGAAGCCAGGCUCUUGAAGGCUUACGGUGAGCUGCCGGAUAACGUCAGACUCAAUGAGGGGAUCGCUGGAGAGAUGGAUGAUGAUGAUGACGGCCAUGGUGAUAUUAGCUAUCUUGAGUUCGGGGAUGACGACAUUGAUCAGAUUUAACUCUCAAGGCCAACGAUAGUGAUAAAGCCUGGACCAGAGCUUUUCUUUCAUCCUGGACCAUUUUUUGCUAUUUUCAAUGCCAAACUCGUUUGUUUUAAGCUCGUUUCUGCGCAUAUUCGGACGAGUCCAGACAUGUUUCAGCAUUAGGAGGAAAUGCACGUACUCGGAGCCUGCAUCACAAUGUCCCACACUCAGUUUGCCUUUCUGCUCAAAAAAUACUAACCGUCGUGUGCUAGCAGCUACCAAGAUUUCUGAGACGUGAGAAAUUGAGAUAUUUCGCUGCGCCAACGUGGCUGAUGAAACGAUCUCUUCACUAAAAUAGCAAAAGCGAAAAAUGGAGUUUUAACAUCACACGCCGUCUUGAAUCCGCUCAAAGAGAGCCAGAAUCGACUACACGACCUGGGGCUUAACGGGGUUAUCCCACAGCCAGACGGUAAGACUCAAAUUCUAACGUUUUGAUUGAUGGUACAAAUUGUUUACGUACAAAAAGAAAAUGUGAAUUUAUGAAGGAAUUGGAGUGCGUUUUCAAAAUGAUCACUCCUGUGAUUUGAAGUCUUUUAGUAAAGGGGAGCCGCACGCACUGCCUGAUUGGCUAUAUAUAUAUAUAUAUAGUAUAUAUUUCUCUCAUGCAUGCAACUUGCAACUUGCAACUUGCAGGCACAUGCGUACACGACAGCUCCAUCAGGCCGAUUAAAUGCUCCUCUACCAGUACGGCAGUACAGAUUAACCUCACCCUAUAAAUCCUCAUACAUAUUUCUUCACUUCCUCCACGCAUUUCUCAAUUCUACCGGUUUCAGCUAAAAUUACACACAAACGCUCUCCUUUAAUUACCUUCUGCAAAACAUUUGCUAAGCCUUGAAGGGAUCCACAGGCCAUGUUGGUCUGUCAUCCAGCAAUCAAGAAAUGGUUUUCUGGGCUCGGUAAUUUGACCUUCAAAUGCAAGGAACGCAUUUUCUCCUGGCUUUCAACGGAACUGAGCUGUUUCGGAUCCGGGCUCUUAUUUACAGUGAUGAAGAGAACUGCUGUGUCUCUGCUCACUUGCAUCUUUGCUUUAGGCAAGUUUCUUUGACUCCCCAGCAUUUCGAUUCUUCCCUUCUUGAAUGAAUGAAUGAAUUAAUUUUUCGCCAGACUUUCUUUUACUUUCCAGGCAAAGGUUUGAUCUUUUGAAUCUAAUACGGAAAAUAUCCCCCUGCUUUCCUUUGAAUUUCCUUGGCACUGUAGGGGGAGCAACAGUAGGGACAAUAUCAGGAGCCAUUAAAGGACAGACUACAGAAACUGGACUCUUCCGUGGGGCCGGAGUUGGUGCGGUGGCAGGGGCCAUCACGGCGGUCCAGCUAUUGGAACUGAUGGUUAAUGGAGAGCCGUUUUCCAAGGUAAAUCGAAAUUGCGUCCGGUGCUAAUUAAAAACAACGGACAGCUGGUAGGUAAACAUGAUGAACUUUAAAAUGAAAGAAAAGUAGAAUUGUACGUCCCUUUCACAUUCACGAGGGUAAAUGCACACGGCACUGGAGUGCUGCUUUUAUUAUAGCUGCAUGCAUGCAUUAUCAAUCAAUGAAUGGGAAUGGACGUUUACGACUACAUAUUUUUGGACAGGUUGCUCUCAUAUGUAGUCUUGUGAAUGGAAAGAUAUUCAUGGAGUGGGUCAGUCCUGCUGUUCUAAAAGCUUAUCAAUGGCAGGUGAGUGUCCACCACCACCACACCAGUACUCUCUCUCUCUUAGGCAAUUGUUCUGUUUCUAACACAUACAUAUAUAGGAGCAUCACAAUUGUUUCUCUAUUUCAGCUUUUUUUUUUUUUUCUUCUUCUUCUUGGUUCAUGCAUGUCUAACAAAACUACUACUAUCAUGUCACUCAGACCGGUGAUAGCAGUAGGCUUAUCAAGUUCGGCUUUUUCAAAUUGCAGAUUAGCGACAUGGAAUCAAAUUUGAGGGAGAUUUCAGACAUUUUUGAGGUCAAUUCCAUCAGGGGAUUAUCACGUGAAGCUAUCAAUGAUCUACCUACAUGUAACCUUCAUUCUAUAGAGACCACAAAUCCUUCUUGCCAUGAAACAAUCUGUGCAAUUUGCUUGACGGUAAUCUAUUUUCCUCAGUCCGGACAGGAACAAGAAAAUGUUCUCUUUCUUGGCACCUAUUAUUUUCCUCCUAUAUUUAAUGGAGUAUCUUGAUGAUCACUGAUCAGUCUGUGUGUGUGUGUGUUUUUUUUUUUUUUUUUUGCUUAUUAUUAUUAUUAUUACCUUGUAAUAAAUAAACAGGACUUCAAGAACGGAGAUUGUGCACGGAUGCUUCCUACUUGUGGACAUUCUUUCCACUUAAAUUGCAUAGAUGAAUGGUUAAACAGGAAUGGCACUUGCCCGGUUUGUAGAAGAGAUAUUUGAUUUGAUGGCACUUUGGCCGGAGGAGAUGCAGAGCACAAAAUGAGAGCAGGAAGGAACCCGUAUUUUAGUGCAUUAGCCAACUUUGAUUGAAUUAAUUAGGUAAAUCUCAUCAUCAUACGUACAAUUACAACAUGCGUCCAAUGAUGGUCAGGCAAUUGAAUGUAAGGAAUUAGUGCAAAAUCCAAUGAUGGGUUAGUAGCAUUGUGGUACUACUCAAAGGGUGUACCUGUACCACCAGUAGUAGAGUAGAGUGUUUGUUAGUUUGGGACGAGGCGCCUGGAGACAACCGUCCGAGGCAGUUCACGGCCUGGACGAGGCCUCAAAAAUUUAUGCGGCUCAGAUCACGUCUUGUAACUCGAUUUUCACGUCGUAUGAAAUCCACAAAAAUGUUGUUUUAAUAUUACUCGCUGUUGUUCUAUUGUUACAUCUUGUACAGAUGAUGUUACACCAUGUACAAAUGCUGUUACACCUUCCGGAGCGGUUGUUCAGCCCCGCGACCGUUUGUUUGGAUUGACGUGUUUGUUUGCUCUGCUCUACAAGUACAACCUUUGCACUGCCAAUCUAACUCAGCCUGUGGGCCUUUAUUUGGCCAUUCUGCUCUGCUGUUGUCUCCCAGAGAACAUUUUAUAUUCUGCUGCAUUCUGAAAAUCCUAGGCCGAAUGCGUAUCCAACCUUUAAAGGCAGGAGAUUGCUGAUCGACUUCACCCUAGAAACCAAACCUUAAAUCAAUCGAGUGGAGUGACCCCUCCAUUUUAAAAUUAUAACCAUAUGAUAUUAUGUGUUUAACUUUAAUGGUUGUGGACAUUGUUGGUGUUGGUGUACUAUAUAAGAUUGAUUCAUAAAUUAAAGGUAAAAUAUCCUCACAACUCUAACCAACUCAACGUGAAUUCUUGGAAUAAAUAAACGAUUACAAAGUACAAAACAUGCUAAUUGCAGAAUGGCUUCAGGGACAAGGGUUGUGUAGGACAAAAAUGCUUCAUUUUGAGCCGAAAUUUUUUUUGAAAAAUAUCUUUGCAACUUUCCAAACCAAACAAAAAAAAAAAACGUAAGAAAUAUGAGCCGAUACUUUUUCGACCACAAUCGUCGAAAAGGGUUUGAUCUAAUGAUUAAAUUUGAAAUAUUACGAAUUAGAUGUUCUAAAUUCAAUUCUCGCUUCCUCUUCUCAAUUUCUUAAAUCUCACUCAUCUUUUCUCCUCUUUCCCGCUUUUUAAAUUCCGUCCUUUCCUUUCCUUGUUUGAAAAAAAAAAUUGAUAAAAAAAAGAGUCUCAGUGGUGUGAGUUUGGGUUGGGCCUGAGAUGCACAACUCCAACGAAAGUCAUGCAAACCCACGCUCCGCAAAAAGCCCAGGCAACAUAUGUUAGAAAAGACGACCGGCGAUGGUACACAAGACUCCGUGUCUUGACUCUCUCUCUCAACAGUCAAAUCCUUGAAACGCCGAAAUACUGCGAAAAGGCAUAGAGGAUUGGGAUUUGGGAGUAGGUCGUAGACGAGACCAACGGCCAUUGUGUGAGAUUCUGGAGUGGAGACUGAAGGGUAAAAAAUUUACUACUAUGGCGUGGUUGGCCGCUGCAAAGAGCUUCCAUCUGCCGGCGGUUGAUGUCACUGCCCUCCGCUCUCGAGCUCCCUUAGCUGUCGGCUGCUUCGGCUGCGUGUCGAUGGCCGGCGCCGGCAUCGGCCGAUCCUCCUCGGCCUUUCGGUCUAAGCUCUUCGCUUCCUUGAGCAUUUCCGCUGAUGCCAGUAAGUGUCAAAAGUCACUCACUUUAGAUGUGGCAUCUCACGCAAUACUGGUUGUACCUCAUUCAACACUACGCAACCAAACUUAACUAGACAUUUCUACGCUAUUUUUUGUUUUUUGUUUUUUGGUUUUUUGGGUCGAUUUAUUGUUUUGAUUUUCUUUAGAGUGGAAUUUUUUUAAUGGAUCAUGCAAGCACGAUUUUAUGUAUAUAAUUCAUUUGUCAAAGAUGAUUGUAUAGAAGCCUUGUUUGAACUUGAAUUUCAUUCAUAGAUUGGAUCAUUUGAUCAAUAGUGUAAUGAGAUUAAUGGGGAAAAAAGGGACAGAGACGUUCAGAAACAAGCUUUUGUCCUGAGAUGAGGAACCACGAACCUUAAUCAGUAGGCUAUACUCGAUGGUAGGGCAACAGAAAUUUAAUGCAUAUCACCGCAUGGAUGAAUGAAUUACCCAGUACCGAAUUAUGCAUUUGAUGGAUUAUAGGAACUUUGUCUGUGCAUGGGCUUACUUUUGUGCUCUUAUGCAUUCUCGUUGGGUUUCUUAUGCGAUUUUAUCUGCUAUGCAAACUAUUCUUUUGUGUUCUAGGUAUAAAGGAAGCUAUUCAGACUGACAAGGCCCCAGCGGCAUUGGGGCCAUACUCUCAAGCUAUAAAAGCAAACAACCUCCUUUUUGUGUCUGGGGUUCUUGGUCUAGUUCCAGAGGUCUGUGACAUUGUUUUCAAUGAUCCGUAGUAUGUGUCUGAAUAUGUGAUGAUUUAUUUUAUUCACUAAAAAUGGGUAAUAAAUUGUUUUGUGUUGAAAAUCCAGACUGGGAAGUUUGUCUCGGAUAGUGUUGAGGAUCAAACAGAGCAGGUACAUGCUAAGUGUUGUCGCCAGUCAUUCUUUUAAAUAGCUUGAGUGUAGCAGUAAGUGUUAAACUUUUGACCGAUGGAAUUGCUGCUGAUGCAUUUAUGAAAUACACAUACAUGAAUUAAUUGAAACAGUGUGGUGCAAAUGAAGUAUCUGAAAUUAGGUUUUUUCUUUUCUGAAUAUUUUACCAGAUAUUAUAGUUACAGAGUGGAUCUUACUAACACUUUUUGUGCUAAUGCAAAUUAACAGGUUCUUAAGAAUAUGGGCGAGAUACUUAAAGCAAGUGGUGUUAGCUAUUCCUCAGUUGUUAAGACAACAAUUAUGUGAGCAAUCAUUUCUAGGCUUUCAAUAUAACCUUAACGUAUCUCUCUGUCUUUUCAGAAAGUUUCCAUCCUUAAGGCUAAAAGUGUUUCUUUUUCUGUUACAGGUUGGCUGACUUGAAGGAUUUUAAGAAAGUCAAUGAGAUUUAUGCUAAAUGUGAGUCCAUUGAACUAAGCCAAGUUCUUUUCUCAUUUUUCCUUUUCCUAUUUUUGAAUUCUGUCUGGGGGUAGAACAUACGAGGGGGGGGGGGAGAAGCUAGCAUACUCCUUAUGACAUUCAUGAUUCGAUCCCAAAUUCUUGUCAGCUGACAAUCAUGUGUCUCAUGAUUGUUGUAACAGAGUUACAGCAUUUAUAAUGGACUAAAAAAAAAUCAUUUGUGGGAAUUUAGGAGAUUAAUUGAAAGAGGUACUUGAAUUUGGUUGUGUUUUUAUCAAGAGCGUGUUGAAGAGGCUCUUAUUGUUUUGGGGCUUUUGGGAUGUUUAAGAUGCUGAAACUAAUAGCUAAAGGACAAGUUGUGCCUUCUUGAUCAAUCGUAAUGUCUCCUUACAGAUAUAUGAUGGAAGAUGAAAUUAAGAAGCCCUUACAGAUUACAAAAUUAGUCCUUUUCCUUUCAUGCUUUGGAGAUUGUCUUUUUCUACUAUGAUAUGUGGACUCUACAAUUACAAAUGCUUGUGUUAAUUGUCAUGGUUUGGUCGAUUUCAAAAAGUUCAUGAAACAUGAUGAAGAUUCCUUGUCAUGUUAAAUUUUUUAAGAGAUUGUAGCAAAAGGUAGAGUAAUCCAUAAAGAUUCUGACCCACAAAUCAUGUUUACAGUUAUUCAAACAUUAAGCUGGAACAUAUAAAUACUCUUUUAAUAUUGACGACACUGAAUAAAAUCAUUGCUCUGCCUAAAAAUCCACGCGCUUUCUUUUUUUCAUCUGAAGGUCUGAAUAUGUGUCCUGUCAACUAAACCAAAUGUCUCACACACACACACUCUGUCUCUCUAAUAUCUUGUGUGGGGUUUCUUUUUUUCUUGCUUAAUUUGGAAGAGGUUCAAAUGUCUCAGUACUUGGUUAUCUAUUUUUAAUGGUAUCAAGAACACUUGAGAACCCUUUUCCUGUCCUAGCAAAGAGUAAGGUUUGUGAAGCGCAUUGAAGGAACAGAUGUUGUCUGCAUUUUUCUUGUCAAGGAUUAUUGAUUAUGGAGACUUUAAUCCCAGCUAAAAUUACGACAUGGUAGCCAGAAUUAUGUGAUUCUCUUUUCUUUCUCUUUCUUUCUUUCAAUGGGUUGUAAUCUAUUUGGCCUGUUUAUGUUGCAGACUUUACAUCACCGGCGCCAGCUCGAUCAACUUACCAAGUAGCAGCUUUACCUUUGGACGCAAAAAUUGAAAUAGAAUGCAUAGCGGUGCUGUGACUUCUCAGCUGAAAUGAUUUUGUGGACAUUAUCAGCCAGGAUCCCAGCGUAAUAAGUUCAGAUGAGCCAUGUGAAUCUGUAAUUGAGGUCCAGUAUCUGAAGGCUGAAUCCUUCAGAGUUGUAAUACCUCAUAAUUUGAAAUUCUUCAUGGAAAGAGUUGAAACGUAAGAAGAGGAUUCAUUAUGACGUGUUGCAAAUUUGGUUCCUUUUGCAGAUUUAGGAGCUCUUGACAAUGAAAACUCAGAAAGUUGCGGAAUGCACUGCAAGAUCUUUAACUAACAUAUACAGUAACACGCUGCAUAUCGGCUUUAAUUACAAGUUGCCUGCAAAAUCAUGUAACUGUCCUUGGGACAUGAAAUCAAAGAAAGAAGGGUGUAACCUAUUAUUAGGAGGCAAAAUCAAAUCCUAAAUCAACAACAAAAAAUAAAAAUCUAGCGCCGUCUCGGAUCAACCCAAGCGCAAUCAUUGUACAUUGUUGUGCCAAAGAAGUUGUCCAGUAAAUCGUCGCUUCCAACGGAAUGAUACUUCUUGGUGCUCAAAGAAUAAUAAAGCAGGCCACCUUGAUAAAAUCUGGGAAAGUAAAUUCUGUUGGCCAUAUCUGGGCUUUCCUCAAGGUGGGCGAUAGACGAAUACCGGCUGAGAUACAGUGAAUAGUUCCCCAAGCUGUUCAUCUCUUGCCAGUUCUGCUCGUCGUUAAUUAGCUUGUACACUCGAAUCCAAACUCUAUUUCCCCUGCGCCCCUCAAAUACAGACAGAAGAUUCUCAUCGCACUCCACCAAGUAAGCGCGUCGAAAAUUCUUGCAAGGCCUUUCCAGGUCGAGAUUAAUUCUCCAUUCCAUAACAUAGUUACCAUCUUCAACCUCGGCAUUUCCAUCCUCCUCCAUCUCCAUGAUGUCAUUAUCAGUUUCGGCUUCUAGCUUUAGACCUCCGAGUAUGCCAUCCUUGCUUAGGUAAUAGAAAGUCCCCCCGUGGAGCAGCGGGCUGCUAAAACCGGGCUGGAAUUUUAUGUCGGCUUGGCCAAACCCCACUUGCCUCCAUUCUUGCUCUCCCAUUUUGAAAUGGUGGAAACAGACUUCUUUAUCAACUCCUAAGCUUGCAAAAACGAAACACCCCGCGGAAGAUGGCAAGGAUGUAAAAACAAAGCUUGUAUAGCGCUCACGAGGCGUAUCCGGAAAACGAAUGAUCUCCUUCGUGUAUAGAUUAAAGAGAGCAACAGAAUUUCGUUUAUCCAGCAGUAACCAUCCGUCCUUGGCAUAGCGAAUUGUAUGAUCUUCAAUAGCCUCGGGAACCGUGACUGAGUGCUUGCCCUGUAGCCUGGAUUCAACAAUUUCAUAGACUCCUUUGUCUCUAUUGGAGAAGAUGAGAAAUGGCCGAGGGAGUGAGUUGGAUUUCAUCCUAACGGUGGAGGCACAGACACUAUUGAGGCAACGAAAAUUCAUGUAAUCGACAAAAGAAAGAUUUCCGCAGACCAUUGCGAGCAUAUCUGGCGGGAGAUCGCACAAGCGUCCCUCUUCCUCGAUGAUCUCUACGCCACUGUUAUUGACCUCAACAUUAUUUUCUUGGGGCAGCAUUUCUUCAUCUUCUUUGGUAGUUGUAUGGCGCUCGGACCUGUUUGGAGGAGGAGAUUAGAUCCAAUGAAUAUCUGCAACUGUUUCUGCACUAGAAAUUACAUCCCAAAAAAGGAUUAACUUUUGAUGAACGUUACCUUUGAACAGGCAUUAUCCAAGUGGGAAAAAGAAGCCAUGGUUUUGGUAAAUCCGGGCAAGGUAAAUGCGUUGUAAUGCUUUCAUCCUCGAUCUUGUACGAGUACAACGUUGCAUCAAAGCGGUCAGUGAAAUAAAUGCAACUCCCUCUCCCAGCUUCUUCCAUGUCCGAGUCUGAGUCGGACGACGCCACUGGACCCGGGCACGAAAAGCUGUAGUGCUCGCCCAAAAACAAGGUUCGGCCAUUCAGACUUGUCACCUUCUCCCAUAAAUUUGAUGGGAAGUUGAAUUUGUUGAUCUCAAUAGUCAGGGUGUCGCAAAAGUCUAGCGAGCCAUAACAGCUGUGAACUGAGAAAAGCUCAUCCCCAGAUCCCACCAACCAAAGGUUUACAAGAACUGAGUGGAAGUGGUACCAAGGUGGCCUUUGCUGGUUCAAUAAAGAUAUGCCACAAAUAGUGUUGGAUUUCUUGUCCAAGUUUAUGCGCAUCAAACAGAAAAUCCUUGCGGAUGUCGCAUAGAUUCUACCAUUGCAGCUUACGGGUUGACACAGAAAAUUUUCUCGGCUGUCUUUUGUGGUUGAAGUUUGGGCCUUCAAACUCUCACCAUAAUUAAACUCAGUCCACUCUUGGUCACCAGGACGGCAGUAUAAGAUUAUCGGGGCUUUAGCCACAAAUAACAUUACCAAACAGCCUGGAUCAGUUGGCGGCGAUGACAAGAAACUAUCGAAAAAGAGCAGCUUUGAUUUUAGACGGGGAAGAUCAAAGCAUUGUGAAGUCGCGGGGUUCCAAAUUGAGUACGUCCACUUGGUCUCGAUAUCGGCCAAGACUAACCAGCCGUCUUCAGAACAAUAUACAACUGUUUUAUCUAUUAAUUCUGGGAUCCUCUUUCGCUCGCUCUUCCCAGGUCCAGAAGGAGAUAUCGUGCAAAAGGUUAGGUCGUUGUAGCCUUUGCCAUGACGGUAUAACAGCCAAGGGUAUUUUCCUGGCGCAGGAAAUUGCUGCGGUAAUGGUCUUUCUUGUCCCUCCACCAUGUUUUUGGAAUCAAGAAUUUGCCAAAACAAUUAACGACAAGAAGAAGAAGAAGCAGAAGAUGGGGAAGCAGGAAGUAGACAGUUUCUUGAUAAAUAAUCAAUGAACAAGUUCAACAUGUACAUGCCCCCCAUAAAUAGAUUUUCAAUUUCACGGGAAAGGGAACAAUUCCUGCCGAAAGGGAUCUUGUCCAUAAUUAGAUUUUCAACGAAAAAGGAACAGAUCCUGCUGAAAGAGGGAAACUUUCCUUUACACAUUAGCUUCUGCGAAAAAUCUCUAGUCCAUUUUUUUGGAAGUAAUUCCCUUAGUUAUUUAUUAUUAGCUUUAUUAUCACUGGUGGAGAACUUGUUGAAGUGAUUACGUUGUUAUUUUGAAAUUACCAGAGAUUGCUAAUUUAGCAUGCUUGUAAUAGUGAAAUUUCACGAUUCUUAAAAACCUGGACUUUCUAUUCCGCUCGAAAAGUGAAAACCCCACAAAACAUAUGCCUCCCUGCUUCUCCCAUGCCCGAGUCACACACUGCUGGAAAGAUAAGAAAGGUUGUAAUCAAGGCCCAAAAACAAGGCUCGACCAUGCAAACUUGUCACUCUCUCCCAUAAGUUUGCAGAGAAGUUGGGAGUAAUUGGGAAAACGUAGUGAUGCCAUAGCAGAGCUGAACUGAAAAAAGUUCAUCCUUAGAUCCCGCUAACAAAAGUUUUGCACGAUUAGUCCAUCUCUAACGGGGAACUUCGAUUUUCGGAGAGGCAGAUCAAAGCAUUCUGAAGUCUGGGGGUUCCAAAUUGAGUACAAUCGCCGGGUCUCGUCAUCUGUCAAGAUUAACCAAACGCCAGAACAAGAUACUACUCUUUUGUCGUUUAAUUCCGCGGUCCUCUCACGCUUGCUCUUCGCAGAUCCAGAAGGAAAUAUCGUGCAAAAGGUCAUGUCGUCAUAGCGCUUCCCAUGACAGUAUACUUCCAACCAAGGGAAUUUCCCAGCUAGGGCAGGAAAUUGUUGUGAUAAUGGUCUAUUUCCUUCCUUCAUCAUUUGUUGCAUUCAAGAAAAAGGGUUUCAUGAGCCAUGGCUAACGUGGUAGGUUCACCACGUACAGAAAGUUGCUUCUUGUUUUGCAGGCAGUAGCUAGUGACAUGUUCAACAUGUACAGGAAAGACUUUGAAAAACUGUACUGACUCCCUAGCUGUUUAUAAUUAGAUCCCUCGGGCCAAAAAGGAAUAACUAUGUAAGGACAGCUUGCUGCUGAAAGGGGGAAAGAAAGUAUUUGAUCAGGCUGCAAUUGAAUUCUCACGUCAUUGUAUGAUUAGCUUUAUCCCUGUUGAGAAACUACUAAACUGAGUGCGUAUUGCCAAUGAUAUAUGAACUUUCAGGGGAAAAGCAGAAGUAUUAGAAUUUAUUGAUCAAUGGCGAACAUGGCGCGCACUCCUUAUAGCUAAAAAGCAGUAAAAAGUGGACCAGUAUCAAAGUUAAGAGCGAAACUCUGCUGACUUCUACUAAACAAGGGGAGAGAAGUAAGAACCAAGGACAUAUUUCCUCCUCCUCUCUGUGUCAAAUUGUAAAUUGUAAAUGUAUAUGUUCAGUACCUCACAAGAGAUAAACGUGACCAGAUUACUGAUCCCAUAAAACAAAGAAGGGACGCAACUCAGUGGUACAGCCACAACUCAGGAACUGCCUAGGAGGAAUACAGACAUAUUUUUCUUUCAAAGAAGAAGAAGGAUCGAUUUAUCAGACUUUCUUUUUCUUCACACCUUUGUAGAUUCUUUCAUCUGUAUUCUUGGAAAUUUACAUGGCCUGUUGCUUGUGCAUGCUCCACAGCCUCCUGUUCAUUUACGAUAUUUGCCAAAAAAAAAAAGAGACAGAAGAGCUCUGAAUUUCUAGCAAAAGGAGAGAUGAGCAAAUACCAAGAAGAGAUAACAUUUCAAGCCAGUAAUAGAACCUUCUGUCCAAUCACUCCAAUUUGGCAGACUCCACAACGCAGAGUGAAAUUAGCAGUGUCAGUGUAAAUCCUUUUCCUGCAAUUCAGAAACAUUUUUCAAUUAAAAUGUCACAUGCUGCAGCUUCAAUAUGUCAUUCAUUUUGAUAUCAGAAACAAAGGCUCGUUAUCUUAAUUUAUACAGCAUCCUCAAAUGCAUUUUAAUUAGCUUUCUGAACCAUCAAGAUUUGACUUGAAUAAGAAUACAAUGGGCAAGAAAUAUCGAUUCUUAGGAAACUUACAAGUAUGUGCCACAGACAAUUAGGCUCAUGGAGGAGGACACUUAUGAUACUUCGAUUGAGUAAGUUACACCUUCCAUCAGAACGGUACCAAGACACAUAAUUGUGCACUUGCAGUUUAAUCAAGGAACGUAUUUAAGGAUGGGUAUCAUACUUUGCCAGAUUUGAAGCAUUUCCAGGUGAGUAGAGCUUUAUGGGCCCAAAGCAACUCAUCUCACCCAUACUUAGGAAGUGACGAAGAAAAUGUUUAAUGAUGGACCAUGCCAGACCAAACUUAUGGCUAACACACGGAAUACUUGUCCCACAAAGUCUUUAUUUUCUUGUUUUCAAUCACUAAAUCAGUAAGUUUCAGCCCUCAAAUUGUGGAAAUGGAACAACCAUGCUCUAUCCUUGCUUUCAGCUGCAAAAAGAAAAAAGUUGCAUUUCUUCGGGCUUUGACUCAAGAAAGGAGGACGAAAAGAGAGACACCAUAUUCUAAGAAACAUCAUAACUUCAAAAAGCUCUGAGACACAGAUCAUUACUUCAGGCCUAUUCCCUUCCUUGAUGUGGCCACUUCUAUUCUUCAAACUGAUGUUAUUGUCUUUUCUCUUUAGGAGGAGUGUUAAAUUAUAGCCAAAAUAACAAGAUGUCCUUCGAGCACAGUAAUUCAGAGCAGAGAUAAUACAAAACAAGCACUGUCACAGAACUAGUUUUAAUUUGGAAGAAAGCUGUUCCAUGUCCUGUUAAUACUGGUGAUUCAUUACCUCUGUUGCUCCUUCACCAGGUUACGAGCAAGCCCCUCCACUGGUCCAAUGGUCUGGUCCUUUUGAACAGCAAAUAUUGUCUGAUCAAAUUCUUCUGGAGCUCCAUCAGAUGGAGACAUCUGUUGAAGUCAGAUAUUAUAUUAGAAGCAGCAAUAUGUGGAAAAGAAUGGACCUAGAAAGUGAAAGAUUUCAUUAUCACUAGGCAUCUACUACUACAAUUUGUAUAUCUUCAAAAAAUUUACAUGUGGAGUGACGCAAUUUAUGCUUACACUACUGCUACUUUGUUCUAAGUACUACAGUAAAACUGUGUCAAAGUUACUUUCAUGAUAUUAUUGAUUCCUUUCCGACAUCUACAUCACAAAUUUUCUCAAAACCUUGAAUUCACUAACAACGAGUGCUGAGAUGAGUGAAAUUUCAUAUGGUAACAAACUUGAUGCGUAUAAAGCCAAGACACAAACAUAUGAUUUCCAACAUCAUGAUCAUCCUCAUGAUGAUUAUUCAGGAAUCAAAAGCACGAAAACAUAAGAAUGCCCAAUGAUGUAUGAAGAAAUCAUAGUUAAGGGAGAAGACAUUACGGCUAAAGCAUCAUAAUGCAGUCCAUCAUAUAUCAGCAUAACUCUCUCAUUAUAGUAGUUCCCCUGUUAAAGAGUGAGAUGACAGAGAGAUUAGAAAUUGAAGUCAGUUGAGCCAGUCCAAUUCAGAAAAGCCACAUUGACAUCCACAAAGUGAUACCUGUCCAUAUAAAUCACAUCUUGCGGUUUGAAUAUCAUAUGCUGCAAUUUCACGUCCAUAAUAUUCUGUCAAUAUUGAAAGCUCUAUCGCUCCUACAAGAAGCAAAAAAGAUAAAGCAUAUAUACAGUUCAAUCAAAUGAAUUAACAGACCAAAAAAGGGGGAAAAUAAUUGCAAAGGGAGCACGAAUAACAAUAUUAUUCAAAACAUAUGCAACCAAACAUAUGUGUAAUGAAGUAUCAGUGUUGCAAUCAAGCAACAGAAAGUCCAGUGUCCUCAACAGUUGAAUGCAGCAGAUAUUAAAACUCAGGACAAGACAAAAGCUCCAUAUCAGCUUUCAGUGGUUAUAAGGUGUUCAUCAACCAGUGAUUAUUUAUGAUUUUGAUCAGAGCAGUGGCAGUAGUUAAGCUUUAGAUAUACUGGAAGAACUGCAGUGGAAAAGAAACAGAAAUACACAACACACACCUCCCCACUUUUCUGGGUCUAGAAUCCAAGCACAGUACUCUUCAUUUGGCUUUCCAAGGAAUGCUUCAGAAUAUUUUGUUGGAUCACUGGCCACUGUUGCAGCUAUUACCUACCAAAAAAGUUGAAGUUAAGAAAGGUUAGUAAGAUACCGUAAGAAGCAAACUGAAAGAAUAUCAUUUCCUUAACCAAUUACAAUGAGUAAAAGAAUACCAUUUCCUUAAAAAGUUACAAUGAUUAAUUCAGACACCUUCAAUUUUCACCUGGAAAUGUUUACAUUAGUGAUUCAAUCAGGGUAGGAUGGCCAGAUGCAUAAUCGUUUACAAAGUCAGGCAAUCCAAUGGCUGCUAAAUCUCUUCUACAGUAUGCUAAACAUUCUUGAUUGAGUCAAACAUGUUACUUUAAUGUGAGAUGUAUUGCACAUUACAUAACUAAAGUAAAAUAUUCUAUAGUCAGUGAAACCUUCAGUGAUAUGCGUAUAGACAGACAUGUCUCCUGCAACCAAACGAGACUAGUUAAUCGUCCAUACAAACUCUUAGAAUUACUUGUUAAUAGCUUUCUAGUAUGAACUUGGACAGGAGAUUUAGAUAAUGGUGAGGGCUGGAACUAGCAGCUCCAUAACAUAGUGGCCAUUAAACAAUGUAGAGAACAAAAUCAGAUGGAACUUCAAAGGGCGGAAUGAAAACAAAGGCCAGAGGUAGAAAAUUUUAGAAAUGGCUAUGACUUCCUCUUUACUUCAAGCAAAUAUUUCAGAAGUGAAAUAAAAUUCUUAGAAUUUAGAACAAAGGGAUAAACAUAAUUGACGCUCACAGAAUCUGACCAAUAAAAGUGUCAACAGCUUAUUCAUAGGAAAACUCAACACAAAAAAUGGAGUCUAGUACUAACCGUGCCAAUGCACAGAUAAUUGAACAUAAGAAAAUAGUCUCUGAACCCAAAAUAGCAGCAAUUACACCCAACUAUGUCACUUCACAACUUGCCGGUCCUCAAUUAACUUGAUGAAUCUAAUUUAUAUCACAUUUUACCUAAAUAGAUUACUAGCAAGAUGCAGCCACAAACUACAACCACUCUUCUUCCUCAAUAACAAGGCACAAUUAAAGGGCUUCCAACUAAUACAUAUGUACAACAUGAACAUUUUAUUACCUGUCUCAGCUCAGAUGCUUUGUUUUUGUCAUGGUCCAUAACAUACCUGAAGACAAAGAACCAACAAAGAUAAAAGUAAUUCAAUUCUAUUACACCAUAUUUACAACGAAAGAUGAAAACAAAGAAGGAAACCCAAAAUUUACCCAACAGCAUUAAACAGGCAGCUGUUAUCUGAAGGAAUUACCCUCCUAACAAUUAUGCCCUCCAUCUUUAUUCGCUUAUGUAAUCCUGAAAGUCAUUAAACACAAAGGUGAGAUUCUAAUUAAGGGUUAACAGGAUUUCAAACAUCAAACUAAAAUGUAAUCAAUCAGUCCACGGGACAUAUAGCUAAUAAUUAAAACUUUAUAUAGGAAAAAAAAUGUCCCACCCAACCCAACUUCAUCCCAAGAAAGAAAGAAAACGAAAAACAAGAACUGACGUGUGAUUUCAAGAGCUGUUAAAAAAAACGAAAUACAAGAAAUACACGACUCAUUAAGCACGACUAAAAAAAAAGCUGUGAUUUCUUGACAUGUGAUUUCAAGAAAGAAAGAAAACGAAAUACAAGAAAGAAACCAAGAGCUGUUAAAGAUACGCAUUACUGCGUAAUAAUUAAGCACGACUAAAAAGGUUUGAAGCUGAGAAGGCAUGCGAAUUUUGGAUUUUACUUAGGAAAUGAUUGCAAGAGAAGGGGUGGGUUCUGGAAAACUAGCUCCAGCUAAGAUUCUUCAAACUCCCAAAGAAAGCCAACCCAAAAGCAAGAUAGAGACAAAAAUUUUGUUCCCAAAUCGAAAACUUGAUUGUACACACUGAAAAUGAGCGGUACCCAGAUGAGAAAAAUGAGCAAAAUGAAAAGGGCGUAGAUCUAUGCUUCCAAAGAUUGCUUUAAUUGGAAGUCAAGUAAAACCGAUAGAAAGAUAAGAACCGAAUAUGCUGACACCAGACAAGUAAGCAUUGUAUAUAAAAUAGCGCGCGAGUGCGUUUAAGUUAAAGAUAGAGAGAAAUCUCGCUUACAAUUCACAAUUCAAAUACGUUAUCAGGCUGCACCGCUGCAGUCUGCACUGCUGGAUAUAUGCGGAAGAAGCAAUCUAUGGGAAAUGAAUCUAUACGAGUUUGUGGGAGUGCCUAGAAGCUUAUGCACGAUAUUUAUGGACUGUUGAGAGCCCGAAAGCUCGAGAGGCUGGUGCCUGUGAUAAUAAAAGAGGAAAGUUCAACAGCCUCCCGCUGAAUCACCCAAUUUGUAACAGUAGUAUGUAUCAUUUGGAGUUUUGGACCCUGUUUUUCUACCGCUGAGUAAUAAUUUUAAUGUUUUCUUCUUUUCUCUUUGGGAAAAAGGGCAUGAAGCGCGAAUCUUGCAACGAUGAAAGACGACGAAUCUCUAAUGUCAAUAGAUAUCUGAAAUGAACACCUUUUUUUUGUUCUUCUUUUUGCAACUUUUGGGGGUUGAGCCUUUCAAAAAAUGGCAAAACUUUUCUCCUCCACCUAUUUAAAUUUGUUCAAUGCUCGCUUCCUCUGAGAAUUUUAUGUAAGGAUUAAAAAAAAAUGGUAAAUGAAUACGUAUCCAAGAAAAGAGAAUUCAGCAAUAUAACCUAAAAACCCAGAAUACAAGUCUAUUGUGCCAUUUGAAAGAGACUAUUGCCCCACUUGUCAAAGCACAGAGAUACAUCCAGAACACCAAAACCUGACCCCCUAUCCCGGAAUGGUUUUUCCUUGCUGGAACUAUUAACGGACAAUUGGAGUAGUAUUACAUUUUGCUAGCUAGCAACCCCUCCGCGCCCGGUUCCAAAAUCAAGCUAUUAUUCUUCCACUCGUGGAAGUUAUGGAUGAAUGCUCUUGCAAGGCCUAUGUAAAUGGAGCAGGAUCAGAGUUCCCAAGGAUUUAAUCCUCCGUUUCUGUUCACGGGUGUCCAUAAAAACCUUCCUUCCGAGUAGUUUCAGUCGGUAGAGAGCGAAACUGCCCAUCAUGAUAAUCUCCGGCCUUAACAAGUAGCUCUACUUAGCUGGUUUCGACAUUCAUAAUUAUUAUCUCUAUAUCUUCUGCUUUAGAACAUGCCGCAACUGUACUUUUUGACUUUCCAUCCUGGCCUCCAGAAGUUUUGAUUUCAGACUAUUCUUCUGUGCACUGCGUGGCCACUCAAUGCACCCUUUCAUGCCUUUGGUUAUGUGUGGAUUUCCCGCUUCAGGUGAACUCCAUUGUCCAGCCAUGUCUGGUGGACUGAGCCCAUCUUUACCUGAACCACAUUCUGAAGAAAUCAAAGCCCCAUUUGAAAGCCUUCCAUUGGAAAGUCUUCCGUUCAUUCCCUCCACGGAUAUGAUUUUGUAAUUAUCACUAUUGCUUGGGUAUGAUCUCCAGAGCCUAGAAAUGGAGGACGCCUUCUUCAGUUGCCUAGUAGGUACAGAGCAGACUUCACUGAUCUCUGUGAUUGGUGUCCCAUCACAAACAUUUGCUUCCCAUUCUGUACAAGUUCUAGAAACAUUACUGUCUUGGUGAUCUUUCUCAACAGAUGGAUCACUUCCAUCUGGUGAAUAACUAGAGUCCUGAUCCUCAGGAUGGCUCGCAGUUUCCCAUUCGCUUCCCUCCUCUUCUAGCGUGCCACUCUGAUCGACAAACACGUUAGAAUGUCUCUGCAUAAUGUCUUUUUUAAACGCAUUAAUUUCAGGACUCACUGUACGAAUCUUCGAAGCAUGACUGGCAGGACUAUAUGCAACACAUGGUUCAAUCUGUCUCUCAUUGGGUUCACCGUAAUUAACAUCUUCAAAUACAGAGAAUAUAUCAUCCAGAUUUGGGGGCUCAUAUGUGAACUCACUGACAUCCUUAACAUUCACAGAGGUACCAGCCUGUCGAAGGAGCUCUGCCAUUCUUAUCUCCUCAGAAUCUCGGAUUGCACCUCUUGAACUCAGAAAUGACUCCAGUUCUGCUAUUAGCCUAUUCAUGUCACUGUACCGCUCUUCAAGUGCCACCUUUGCAUCUAUCAGUUUCAUCUGAACCCGUUCCUCCCGCCAGACCUCAGCCAUCUGCAACAUUUUUCUCUCUUCAUCGACUUCCUCCCUGAGCUUCAGAGCUUCCCUCUUCAAUGCUUCAACUUCAGCCUUGUCUUCUCCAAUUUCCUUAGCUAGUUCAUCACAUACUUCCUCUAUCAAUUCUCUGGCCUUGCGCUCUUUCUCAUAGUCCUGCAUAUAACACUUCGCCGAUAACUUGGUCUCAGCCAACUCGUUAACCAGCUUGGAGUUCACAAUUUCCAGUCUUUGGCGAUUUUUCCUCUCUCUGCUCAAGUCAGCUUUGAUGUCAUCAAUAAUUACACGAACUUUCUCAUGUUCUCUGCUACGCCAUGCAGCCUUUUCUUCACUGAGUUUCUUCAGAAAAUGUUCAAGUUUCUUUUUUGAGGUCCGUCUCUCCAGUUCAAGUUCAUGAAUCUGUGAUCGAGCCUGCUCAAGUUGUGUCUCUAGGGCAGAUAUAGCUGCUGAAGCUCUUGCUUCCUGGUCAAACUGCUUUUGCUGCCCAAAUAUCUGUUUUACUUCAUUGGAUGUUUUCCAGCCAACAGGAUCCCAUUUCGUUGCACCUUCCAUUGCAGAGUUGGAGAGUUGAAAUGAGGAUUCAGCCUACAAGGUAUCAUUCAGUUCCCCCACAAUCAGAUCAUGAUAAUCCAGAACCAACAGGAAAACAAUAAAUCGCAGGAUAAGUAUCUCUCUGGUGAUUGAAACUAUCGAGUCCUCCGAAACUUAUCAUAUGGUUAAUACAACCUUUUAAUGACCAAAUUACUAGUUUCAAGAAGAACAUUUGCUCGUAGAGGAGUUCAAUGCAUGUUAAAGAAGAACAUCUGCUCUUAGAGGGGUUCGAUGCAUGGUCAUCAGUCGCCACUCUUACUUAUGCUAAACGAGUCAUGCCUCAUGCCUCACCAUAUGGUCCAGGUCCUCCUUGGUUUCUAAAAGACGUUUCUGUCUUAGCCCAUACAAGUAUGUAGUCCUAGAUCUACCAUAUUUAGUAGACAUAAACAGCUUCGGAAGAACAAACCUGACAAGGACCACACAUACCUUAGAGGAAAACCCAUUUCUUGGACCAGUAACGGACUGGGGACUUCGCACCAGAUCCUUCGUUGUACAAUCGUGCACUUUGCAAUUAUGAUAACCAUGGAAGGGGACCCCGACGUAAUUAUCUCCAGACUGCAAGAAAGAAAAGAAAAGAAAGGUAACAACAACAUACUGAAUCUCAGUCCUUUACCUGACAAAACAAAAUUUUAACGGCUCCAAACUCGAGACAAAUCAGCUCCAGAUCUAAAACAGCACUAAACCUGAUAUGAUUUAAAAUCGUCAAUGGCAACAAAUAUGAUCCUAUAUAACUUAAACAGCUCUUCCAAAAAAAACAAAAUGACCGUGUAGUGCUCAAUCCAAAAUGUCUGUCUGUUUAAGAUAACACAGUACCAUAAAAGGAUGUCAAAAGUUUCUCCAGGAAGUCAAAAAAAUAAAAAUACCGAUGCAUUUCAAUGAAAAUUUCAGCUAAGCAUCCCAACCAAAAAUGAAGGGGAGUUGAGUUAAUGCAAGAUUAGUACGAACUGAUCAACUUUUUGCUCCACAACAUAGAAAACCAAGCAUUCAUUAAUUAUCCCUUAAUUUCAACCUAUACAGAAAUAAGCCUCUAAAGACAGGAUCUUUUGCAUCACACUACCUGGAACCCUAACUUUCCACCGCCGCCUGUAGAAACCUCCGGCAAUUGCAUUCUCCAAAUCCCAGCAGCAAGCUUCCUAGCCGAAACCACAGCUCUAACUUUCCGGCCAUUGUUCCGACCAGCCUCUGGCGGCGACUUUUCCUGCUUACAAAGUUCAUUUUCAUCUUCAACACCAACUUCAUCAAACUUCCAUCGGAGUAAAGGGGUCUCCGGUCUGCUGCUCCUCUUUCCUCCAGAGUCUUUUCUCAGCCGAACUCCAUUGCCGGAACCCCUACUUUUCCUACGAUGUGGCUUGCUAGACUUACUGGGUUUUUCUAAAAGAUCGGAACUUUGAAAAGGGUUGAAUGGUGUCGAAGAUGGACCCUGCUGGAGCUCCUUCUUGCCGGCUGUAAUCUUCAUGCUCUCCACCCUGAUUCAGCCAUUGUAGAACUUCUGACAAAUGUUGAUUUUCUCCCUGAGAUGCCUUUUCUUUUUUUUAUUUCUGGCUUUUUUGAGUGAAGAUGGGAGGGGCCGUAGGGUAUGGGGCAGUGGGGUUUUGUGAAUUCUUGCAGAGAAAUGGUCCCUGGCUAGCUUGGGAUGAUGAGAAAUCAGAGGGCAGACUGAAGAGAGCAAUACGUAUAAGUAGAUUUGUACGGUCAACGUCUCUUAUUACAGUAACCUCGGAUUGCGUUAAUAAAAGCCAGAUAAAACGGUGUCGUGGGAGGAAACUGGUACUUGAGGGCCGAUGACGGUGUCGUAUAGCCGGUGAAUUAGUGUCGAAUCGGUGUCGUUUUUGGAAGGAGCGAAGGCGUCCAAUCGUUGGGGAAUCGGACAGCAGCAUGUGGUUGCUGGUUAAAUUAGUGGCGCCGCGAAAUUUACUGAACCGCCACGCAUGUGACUUGUAUUCUUGUAAAUGUUCACGCACCAAGGAGCGCGUCGUCUCUCUCGUGCGGUAACUAGAACUUGCUGUGAAUCCCAGUAGGAUAUAGCAAAAAGGCCUCAUGAAUCAUGAUCACAAAACAGAGCCCGCAGGAGUAAUCGAGUAAACGAAACCCAUGAUCGAUCUUGUUACGAUGGGACCUGCAAAUACUCCAUCAGUUGUUAAAAUUUUUUCAUUUUUUUAUUAUAUCAAUUUUACCCUCAUAUAAGUAAGGAUUUACACUUAAUCACUACAAAUAAAAUUGUUUGUAGUUAUUAAAUUUCAAUGACUUAUAAAAUCUUCUACUCUUUGCAUUUUUAAUAUCUUGUUUUAUUUUUUAAAACUAGGCUUUUAAUUAUUAUUACUCUUUUAUUAUAGAGAAAAUUAGUUUUUUAAUGUAAACACCUAUAAGGUGUGUUUUGCUCACCAAUUAGUGUAUAGAUAUACAAUAAUAGUAGUAUACUAGUUAAAAGAUUAUGCAUGUUUAUCAUUUUUUUUUCCAUUUUGACUAUUGAUUCAAAAAAAGAACAUUAAGAACUAUUGGGUAUCAACAUAUUAAGGAUUGGGUAUAUAAACAUCUAAGCUAAAAUUUUCCAAAUUAUAAAUAAGAAGAAUCUCCAUCUAGUAGAUAUAGAACAUGAAAAAUGCCUAUUCGACUUUAUUUAGAAAAAAUAUAUAGAUAUAUACUGUUAACAAAAACUGUUAUUUCUUGAAAAAAUAAACACUUGUUUUUUGUUAAUUGUUAUGCCAACGCUUCAACAUUUUGGCGGUAAGCUGGUUAUUGGCUGAAAAUGACUAAAAUAGUUUUUUGUUUCAUCGUAACAAUCAUGUACAAAUAAUAUGACAGUGUAACACAACAAAAUAUCUCGUUGUUUUUGUGGUUUAUUCAAUCAUAUGUUGCAUAAGUGAUAAAUAACUAAAAAGUAAUCAACUUAAGUUCAAUUUUUUUUUUUUGGCAAAAAAAAAAAGAAGAAGAAAGAUUUAGGGAAUGCAUCAUGUUUCUCUAAUAUUUAAAUUUUCAUACGUGGAUAUUUGAGUAUCAUUUCAUUACCAUUAGCUCUCAUUUCGCAAAUGUCAAUCAAUGUGAGGCAGCAUGUCAAAUAAUUCAAUGCAAACGUGUACUGCUUCAUCAUAGUGAUGAGCAAGCAAAGCUCCUUUAGGUUUUUAUUUGCACGUAACUUCCACUACUAUUUGCGAAGUCAAAACAGCUUCCACUAUUCGCACGUCAUAACAACAAUGGUAAGUCAAAAUUAAUAAUGGUAGAAUUUCCGAGUGCUCGAGAAAAGAUGAGAUCACCAAUUUCAAAAACUGUACAUUUGCUUUUGUCCUUGACGGAUAGUAUAUGGCUACGCGCAGAAAUGCGCUUGUUCGACAGAAACAGGAUUGGGCUUGCGUGCGCCUGGAGUCUGGCGAGGCUGCAAGUUUGCGAGCUCUUCCGCUUGGGAGAUGCGUGGUACAGUUGCGGAGAUGGUUCGGAAAAAGAGAAUCCGAGGGGAGUUUCCACGUGGCUGCAAUCAUGCCUUCACACGUAGGCGGUGCUGACCCUCUUGUGGUGGUGAAGGUACUGACGAGUAACUCAUGAGCGGGUCGAAUUUGAACUUGAGAGUAGCUGGAUAAAGGGGCCGAAUGGAGUUCAAUCCUUUCUUUGUUCUUGCUGUUCAAGUGCUCGUCCAGUAUCGAUUAGUUUUAUUAUUUAUAUAAUAAAAUUAUUUCGAUUAUGAAAUGGCCAAUAAGGAUUUAUAUUUUAUGCAAAGUUUUGUAUUUCAAAUUUUUGAAUGCUCGAGCUCGAUAAGGCUCAAGAAUAAUAUAUAGUCUUUUCAAGUCGAGUUCGAUUUUUAAUUGUUCUUUUCUCACGAUAUGAAUUUUUGCUUGUUCACUUGAGUUGAGCUCAAGGUCAAAACUCAAUCAAAAAGCCCUGUUUAUGGUUGAAUUUGACUUCGAAUUAAACACUACUCAAAAUCGAUUCGACUCGGCUCGCAUCACUCUUACGCUUUUACCAAAGCGACAUGCAUACGUGGCUUGCACAUCGUGAUGAUUAGGCAAUUGAAAAUGAUAAUGCUCUUACUACAGUAUAUGCAGGUCGGAUCUCAUCUCCACUGAGCAUCUGUUUUACGAACUACUCAUUAGCCUACGUCGGACAACGGACGUGGAAUGCACAAAUAAUGGCAGUGCUCCCGUUGUUUGUUUCUUCUAUCAGUUCUAAUUAUUAAGUUGGGUAUGUCCUUUUGUUUAUCGCUAUGUAAAUCGAGUAAUAGUUGGACGAGUGAUGUCCAUGCUUGCAACAUAUCUUUUGACUUAUUGGAGAAGAUAAUAGACUCUUAACAGAACACGUUAUCGUUCAUUCUAACAUACUAUUCAAAGAAGGCCAAGUAGCAUAAGUUCCAAACAAUUCACGGUACAUAUUUUGAACCCUUUAAUACGCAUCAUUGGUAUUGAUUUUCUUACUUUUCGUUACUCCAAAAAAAAAAAAAAAAAGGCUGUAAUUCAUAUUUUAAUUACGAAUAUAAGCUGCCCCUAAAAAUUAUUAAGAGAUUCUACGGUCAUUUUCGACUUUUUCAUGAAAUGAUGAAAUAAGUAGUGUUUUUGACUCUUUUUUUUUUUUUUUGCUGACGGAGUGGGUGUCCGGAUCAAUCCUUACGGAACCCAACUAAUCCCACUCCGAUCCGAGAGGAGAGGCUCCAUCUCCCGAACACGAUAAUCAUAGAACUCGAGUCCUUGCGGGCACUGGACAUCAGCUCCUAAGGAGGCUUGCUGACACCAAUCGAGUUGCCCAUGAGCGGCAAGAGAGGUGGUGGCCAUUGACCUUUUGACUUUGAAACUAUAAUAGUUUCAAUUAUUUAAAAAUAUGGACCAAGAUAAUUAUUGAGAAAAACAAUCCGCUUGUGUGCAGUGCAGCUUAACUGCUUGUCCAUUAACAAAAAGAGCUCAAUACUCAAAAUUUUCCGAAGUAGCCCAGCGAAAAGGUACCAGCAAAUCUCAGUUUCCUAUGGGUUUGUUGUAUUACUCCAAAUACCUGUUUAAUUUCUUCAUCUUUACCAAAUCAAUGGGCCCCACAACCACAAAGUAUGAUGUUCUCUUCUCCCACUUGGGGGCAGAACCCGAUGAGGCCCAAUUUCUUUUAAAGCCAUAGUCCAGUUCCUUAUCAGCUGAUUUUUCUUAGUUUUCUAAUUGGGGCAGAACCCGAUGAGGCCCAAUUUCUUUUAAAACCGUAGUCCAGUGGGCUGCCUCCUGAUCUAGCUCUCUGUUAGUCCCCAGCAUAUCCACCGGAACUUUUUGCCUUGAACAGGCCGAAUUGGCAGGUACAUAUAAUUGGCAGGAUUUGUUGACUGUUAGGGACUGUACAGACUGGAGGAGCAGGAGUGUACAUAUAAUUGGCGGACUCGUCUUCCUGUCAUGGCCUUCGGCAUCCCUGGGAAGUGAACACAUUUCUGUGGACGGAAUUCUGCAGGAUUUGGCGUACAAAUUUCUAGAAACUGAAUGAAAACAAGUUCUUCUUCUUCUCCUCCUCUCUUUUUCUUUUAAACAGGUUUUCUUUACAUACGAUAUCAUUCAAUUAUCAGUCUUUGGCAUCUUAACGAUUUCAAGUCUCAAAAAAAUAAACAAGUGUUGAGUUUUGAACUUUCAAUCUGUUUUUUCCAUUGGCGCUGCUAAGGGAAAACUUUGAUAGACCCAACCGUGACAAUGCAGUGAAGGAUCCAACUUUAUCACAUUCUAUUUUUGUUGAUAUGAUAGACCAAUUUGAGACAUGAAAUAUGCGAGGAAUUGGAUAGAAUGUUAUUUGAAAUAUUAUUUGGGAAAAAUUACUGCAGCACUUUUUGUGAUGUGAUGUAUGUGAGAUAAAAAAGUGAUUAAAAAUAUAAAAAGAUGAAUUGAAAAAUAUAUUUAUGAUGCAAACAAAAUAUUAUUCGAAAAAAUCUGCUAUCCAAACACUUGUUAUUUAUUGAAACUCGAAUUCUAAUUGGAUUCUGUCCAUCCACAGGCUCGGGCGCGGCCCGACCCGGCCGUUACAGAAACAGUACAAGUACGCAAGAUCUUCAUGUCCCGACCGCUUCCGCAUUGACAAGAUUGAGACAUAAGCGAUCUCGUCCUUUACAGCCAUCUAUGAGUUAGCCUCUUUUUUUUUUUUUUUUUUGGUUUUCGAACACGAUAAAUUAUAUUCUGUUUUUCGGAGGUCAAUGGGGAUCCAGAAUUGAACCAGAUAAGAGAUGGGUACAUUUGCACUCGCUGAUGAAACUUACAAUAAAUCCUGAACGAGAAUGGAUUUUCUUGACCUACAUUCAAAGAGAGAGUUUUAAAACUCUUCCAGAUUAGAGUGAACGAAUUCUAGUUUUUUUCUAAUUUGUUUUUUUUUUUUUUGAGAGUUGUUAAAUGUGCAAGAAUUCUCAUUAAUACUAAUGAAUAAACCUAUGGGAACUGACAAGUCUGAUUGGCCGAAACCAAAAUGACAAGAGGGAUGUGCAUGAAUCAUGCAUAAAUGCAGACCUUUGAAAUGAAUUCUCAUUCUUUUCUUUUGAUUGUAGGCCCGUAGCUACGGGUUUAUCCAGAUUCGUCGCUUUCUAACACGUCCCUUUUCUGGCAAUUCACAUUCUUCUUUGUUACAUUGGGAAUAUAUAUGAACUAAGUGUGCUAAGUGCACGCAACGUUUGAACCAUUCGGGAUGGAAAUUGAUGCAAGGAAACGUUUGAAGACCGCAUAAUUGAUUGUAUAUUUUUUUAUGUAAUUAAUGUUAUUGUUAUUUGACCGCCACCAAAACAAUGACAGGUUUUUGCUUUUAUGUUUCGGAAGUCAUAAGAAACCCGCACGGCCGCACAAGCGACUGAUUAAAACAUUUAAGAGCUAAACUCCUGACUUUCUUUUUUUAUUAUAUUAUUUUGGGGAAUUUUCCGCCCUGUCGCCGCAGCAUGAUUUCAAGAGUCAGCCGGUCUAUCGCUCAGCCAGUCGCCGUGCAAGUACAUAUGCAUCAAUUUUGCCAUGAGGAUGAGGAAUCCAUAAAAAUGAAUAAUAUAGAAUUGGCAGAAGAGGUAAUACUCCCUCCGUCCCAUUUUAUUAGUCAUGAUUUUUUUUCACACAGAUUAAGAAAAUGUAAUUAAUUUGGUUAGAAACAUAAAUUUAGAUUAUUAAUUUCCUAAAAUACCCUUUUGCUAAUCACGAAGAGUGCCAAUUAAUAUCAGUUACAGCUAAUGGGUUAGUAUUGGAAAAACUCAAUGUAUUCAAUGUAGUGGGUUAGUAUUUAAUAACAAUGUAUUAAUAACAAGAUAUUUAAUAAGGGUAUUUUAGACAAUUUGAAAGAUUACUACAUUUCUUAAUGGGAAAGUGGACUACAAUUUGGGACAGACAAAAAAGAAAAACAAGACUAUCAAAGUGGGACGGAGGGAGUAUAUAUAUAUAUAUACACACCACGUGGGGAAUUAACCCUUGUCCAUGCAGAGAGAACAAAGGAGCCAACUUAGACUGGUUUUGCUGCCACCCUUCAAAAAGUGACGAGAUAUAUAUAUAUAUAUAUAUGUAUGUAUGUAUCUUUCCAUUCGUGCACGACACAGAUUAAUCAACGGUCAAGGAUUCGUCAGUUUUAUUCAAGUGUCCCUCGUGUCGUGGCCAUUACUGGCUUUAAUCCCUCGAUCACUCGAAUUCAAGGAAUGAGAAAAGCCAGUAAUUAAUCAAUCAAUAAGCAAGUUUGAUAUAUAUAUAUAUAUAUAUAUACCAUUAAUAGUGUUGUGAUGUUGAAAUUGCAGGUGCAGCUGCAUGUUUAGCGGAUACAAAUCCAUAUAUAAAUUGUUGUAAGAUAUAAUUAAUCAAGCACUUAAACUCUUAGUACCAUCAAAUUAAGUCAUUAAUCAUUAUCCAUUCAGAGUUUGACAUUUUUUUUCAGGAUGAUAUUCAAGAGUCGAGACAUUGACAAAGUACGUACAAAUUUAUAUAGUUUUCUAUCUACAUAUCAACUCUUCACGAAUUCAGACAUUGACAAAAGUACUUUCAGAUUUUGCGUGCAAGAGUAAGCGAGUUCUAGGAAUUUUAUUUUAUUUUUUGUUGCGAAAAUUCUAGUUAGUAUAAUAAUUAAACCUCCUGGAACUGGAAGUAAUUAAGCGUGGUUGGUCCAAAAUCAAAAUGAUAAGAAUUGAUUGUAGAUUCCUUGUUAUAUAGUAAUUAAAAAUGUUGUUUGACCGCCUCCAAACUCUCUAUAAAGUCAUGUACGCCUCUAAAUUGAAAAUCAGAGGUACUCGUCUUGAAUGAAGGCUUUUCUAGUUCUUUUUCCUUUUCAAUUUCAGCAGUCAUAGAAAACCCAAACAAACGAACCAAAUAGCCGGUAGCUAGUUUGACUACAAAACAUCAAAAUCGAUUUGUUUCUUGGAUUCUCCAGCUUUGUCGUAUUUUAAACUAUUGCCCUGCUUGGCACUUAAAUGUUUUGCCAAGUCUGUCUGCUACAAAUUUUGUUAAAACUAUAGCUACAGUAGCCUCAAAAAACUUUUUAAAAAAUUUUAAACUAUACACUUAAAAAUAUUCAAAAAAGUUAUACACUUCAAAAAAUUUUUUUUUUUAAACUCUACAGUAAACUACAGUAAAAUUUUAAACAAACGUCCAAAAAACUCACUUGUCAAACGAGACCUAUAUCCAGUUAAGACAAUUCUCGCCUACUUUUAUUUCUUUUUUUUUUUUAAUUCUGGACUCGUACUUUAAUUUCUGUUCUAGUAUGACCUAUGAUUAUAGAAUUGUUCAUCCCACAACAAUUUAGCACGCCCUAUCUGUGUUAGAUUUCACACAAUAAGAAAGGUCUUUCCCCCUCAUCAAUUGAACAAAGCAAGGGCCAAUUCCCUCAACACAAAAGACAACGCUAGCUUUAUACUUGCACCAGCAGCCCAAAUUUUUCUCAUCUAAUUACUUUAGUAAUGCUCGAGCAUUUUCGCCUUAUCGUCUCUUCGGAAUGCCCCCCCCCCCCCCCCCCAACAACCAAAAAAAAAAAAUCAUCUUCGGUAUGAGUUUGAACACUUUGGCAAUCGUGGAGAGGUAUUCGGCUAGCAGCAUGAUUUCAACAGUCAACCAAUCUAUUGCUUCGCCAUGCAUGCAAUGCAAAGUACAUAUGCAUGGCCUGAACUACAUAACGUAAUUUUGCAUGUAAAUUAAAGCCAUUAAAAGUGGCAAAAAGAGCUCGAGUUUCUGGGUUCUAAUUUACCUUCUCCUCCCUCACUUCUUUUCUUAGAACCGAUCCAUUUUCUAUUGAAAAAAAAAAUAAAAAAAAAGAGAAGAGAUAAGUUCAAAUGUUUGGAAAAUCGCGCUGCAUAUAUUGGUUAGCUUCCUCGAGGUGGGAAUUUACCAUUAGUCGAUACAGAUAUAUAGAAGGAGCCAACUUAGACUAGCUUGCCGCAAACCACCUUUCAAAAAGUGACAAGAACUUCAGUCUAGUACACGACACAGUUUUUUUUUUUUUCUUAAAUUUUUUUAAUAUAUACGUGAACAGAUUUGAAUACGAAACCUUUCACUUACACUCCAUCUUUCGAACUAUCCAAUCCAAUUGAGGAUUCGUCAGUUUUAUUAGUUAUACUACUAUUAUGGCGUUCAAUUUACUCAACUGAUUAGAAGAGAAAAAAAGAGUGUCAUCCAACAAUUAACGUACUUAUUAUUGAUGAUACCAUAUCAUCGGACUACGCCCCUACAUCAUGCACUUGCAUAAUUGUUGCAAUUAAUCUGCAACUAAAUAAGUACUUAACCUCUUAGUAAUACAUAAAAAAAAAAAAAAACUACUCGAGAAAGUGUUUAAUGAUAUCUUUGUUAAGAUAAAUAAUGAACUCAUAAAGGCGCUCAAUUGUUUUAGAGAAGAUAUUGAUUCGUGGUUUAAUGGAGGUGGACAAGAAUGAGUUGCAUAGGAUAGGUAUUCAGAAAUUCGUGGUAGAUUAUUUGGGAUAAAUAUUUUAAAAAAAAAAAAAAUACUGUAGCACUGUUUUUUAUGUGACGUAUGUAACAUAGAAAAGUGAUGAAAAUUUUGAUAAAUAAUUCGCUAUCCAAACAAAUCCGAUAUUUAUUAGGCUCAAAAAAAAAAAGAAAAAAAGAAAGUAAGUAUCCCUUCACAAAAAUCAAAUGUGAAGCAUUCCACUGCUGUGUCACUUGAAUUAAGUGCACGUACCACUUUCCGUGUCAACAUGCUCGUCCCUUCCUGCUCAAUCUUCCCGAUUGCUCGCAUCAUCGCAAAUUGGCAAUACCUAGUGGUCGACAUGAAACUAUGCAAGAUUCCGGGUUCCCUAAAUGUUGCGUGUUUUUUUGAUGAAGAUAUUAAUUAAAAUAAUUUUUUUCUGAGAAAUUAAUUAAGGUAAUUAUAAUGAUACUUUUUAUGAUGCAAUAUAUAUAUAAAUUAAAAAGAUAAAUAAUUGAAACGUGUUUGCAAAGAAGACUCGUGAUGAACAACUUUCAUCAUGGGACGAGGCCUGAGGGAGCAACCUACUCGUGGGAUAAAGAUUGUGAUAAUGAAAAGCUUAGGGCGCUUAAUUACGACUAGCGUGAGAUCAGCCAGAAAAAAAGCAGAUUAGGGAACCCACACGUGAGUACGAAUGCGCAAGAUUCCACUUGCCCAGUUGCGUUCACACUGGACAUCAGCAAGCAAGAUUCGCUAGCCAAUCUCUUUUCACACGGAGCCGGCUCAUUGGGUUUGGCCUAAUACUCAGCUGCUGCUUCAGUGGCGGAGCUUCGACGGAAUCACCUCUACUUUUUUAGAACAAUUUUCUGAAUUGUUGUAAAAUAAAGUUGUUCUUAUUCGAUGAACGUAUUAACAAAUUUUCUUAUUUACAUGUAUUAGUCACUACCUCUUUAGCCCUUAUCACUUUCUAUAUAUCUCUUUUCAAGGAAAAAAUGGCGAAGAUGUUUUUAGCCACUAUUUUGAAUCGACACAUAGAAUUAUACAUGUAAAUAAUGUUGAAACUAUGACAAAAAUUAUAUAUAUGUAUAUAUAUAUAUAUAUCGUUCCUUUUUUGGUACAAGUAGAAGACAUUUUUCUUCUUCAUUUAUAACUAAAAUUAUUUCUUUAAAAAAAAAAAACUAAAGUUGUUUCUGAAGUUAAAUGAUACAUCACCAAUCAAUUUCAAUUGAACUCAAGAAGGACGAGUUUAAGACGAAUUAGAAGUAUUUGAUUUGAAUUUGAAUUUUUUUUUAUUAUGAGGAUGCAGAAAAUACUUAAGUCCUGUAAUAUGAUGAUUAAAUUUGCAAUGAAAAUUGAGAGAAAGCACCGCUAGAUGCAAGCACAUUAAACUAUAUAUAUUGUGCAUAAAAUUGUAAGAGCAUAGUAAUAAGUACUAGUAUAAAUCAAGUGCAUGUUGGUUGGAGCAAUGUGAUGAUGCAUCAAUUAUAAGUUAGACAUUUAUUUGCUAUAUCUACAGAAAAGCUAGAAUUUCUUCUUCUUUUUUUUAAAAAAAAAAAAAAAUAGGAGUUGAAUGCAAACGUGGCUAAUUUUAAAUUGAGAAUUAUACUUUUUUGACACGGAUGCAAUGGCUUAAAAGAGCACAAGAAAGAAGAGCCAAAAAAGAUCACAAGGAGGGGAAAAUCCUAAACCUGGCCAAAAUAUUCAAUUUGGACUCGUUCUUUCCAUCCCCAUUUAAUUUAAAGAUAGAAGAAGAAGAUAGCCUGCCUCCAAGGUUGAGCAAACAAAAUUCAACCAGGCCUUUCCCUUGGACCGUUCCGUUCAAUUACGUACACCGCCAGGUUGCAUGCAAUUAAGAGAGGUUUGAACAAGUCCAGUAGAAGCCUCUACUCGUCCGAGUAAUCAGAUAAUCAUAUCCGUUUUCCGUCAAACAAGUUUUAACUGGUUACACUAUGGAAUAGUAAGUAGCUAGCUGACUGAAGUGUGCUGAGCCGCCGCCGCCGCCACCACCAGCGGUCCAAUAAAAUUGCCUCGACUCAAUCAAGAGGCCAACCAAGAACAGGUGCAGUGUGGGACACGGACCCAAACAUUCCAAACGCUCCAGCACCUGCCAGGUAGGAUACCCUCGUGGCAACCAUCUUCUUUAUCACUUUUCUGCUACUACUAGUCUACUACCACUCGGUACAUUCAUUUUGUUUUGUUUACUACAAUGAAACGUGCAAGAUUUUUGGCGUGCGUGCGUCAUAGACAAUAGCAUCAAAAAUUUUUUCUUUUUCAUAAUAUGCACAUUCAAUGGUCAUUCAUAUUUCUGGAUAUGUAAUUGUUUGUUUCUUUUGUGUAAUUCUUUUGGCUGUUCAAAUUGGUCAUUGAAAGAAUUCCCCCGCGGGCUCCACCUGCCUCCCUGAGUCCCUAUAUAUAUAUAUAUCAAGAUCUUACUCGAUCGCUUUAGUAAUCAAUUCCAAGCAUUCAUUUGUUAGAAGAUGGGAAACUGUAUUGUCAAAGAACCCUCCACAGAAUGGGGAGGGGAUGAUUGGGGCUCUCUCUCGACGUUGCCAUCAGAGGCCCAAAAAACCGUGUUCUCUGGUGGGGCUGGCCAAGACAACAACAGGCUGUAUAUGAAGAAGAAGCCAACAAAGAUGGAGGGACAGAGUUCUCUUAGAGGGAAGCAGGAGGCUAAAUCUUUUCCUUCGUCUACCACAGCAGGGACAGAGGUGAAGAUCAAGAUCACGAAGAAGCAGUUGGAGGAACUUCUGAGUAAGGUGGAUGUGCAGGGGAAACCGGUGAAAGAGGUUUUAACACAGUUGCUCAACAACCUUAGUGAUCAUGGAAAUGAGACGCAUCAUCCAAGCUCCUGGAGGCCUGCCCUGCAAAGCAUACCAGAAGCUGAGGUGUAUUGAACAAAAGGGUAGGUGUUAAGUUAACUUGGUCCUGUAAAGUCUGUUAUUUGUAUUCGUAUAGUAUUUGUUAGGUCCUGUAAAGUUUUUGUUUUUGAUGAGGUUCUGAAUUCAGACAUAGAUCAUGCAACUCUCAGCCUCCAUUUAUCUCCGUCACUUCCUUGAUCCCAAUGGAAAUGGGGUUGAAACGGUUCUUGGAAAUUUUUGUCUGUGUACAUAGGAAACAGGAUGAACAUGUUUUUUUUUUUUUCUGAGCCGUACUUGACGGUGUCAGUUACAUGAAUCAAAUACUAAGCUGCUGCUACUCUUUUUUUUUCUUGUUUUGGGGGUGGGGAGGGGGGGGGGUGUGGUUUGUUACUUGUUAGACUACAGCUAUUUUAUCAACAGAGCCAGCUAAUGCAAAGUGACCUCGUGUUAAUUAUUUGUUUAGGUGUUCCUACACUCCUGCAAACAUUUUGAUAUAAUCUUAGAUCUUGGAUGGAAUUUACAUGCCUUGAAUUACAUUAAAAACUUGAUGUAUGGUAAUUUUCUGAGGCAGGCAUGGUUGAUAAUUGGUCUGUGUUUCUGGAAAAGAGGACUUGGAUACCAGGAACAUUAACCUGCUAAAUAAUAUUACUUACUACUGUGUAGCAUUAAUGAGUUACUCCACUUUUAGCCAAAUCAGAAGACCUAAUUCAUUAACACUACAACUCAUAAGACUAAUUCAUGUAAUAGGGGCAAAAUCAAAGAUAAUCGAGUUAAAUCCUAUAAUAUUGGGACCUUUUUAUUGACUUUAACAUUGCUUAGAAUACAUAAUUUUGACUCAAUUACUAUUUGAGCUAAUCUCAAACACAUGAUAAUUAAGUUGAAGGUCGAAUCAAGGUUUUUUUUUUUUUUUUUUUUGUAUUUAAAAAAAAAAGUCAAAUCAGGCCCUAAUGAGUAAUGGCUUGAUCUAUUUACUAUAGUUCUCCUUCCGUCCCACUUUGAUAGUCCAGUUUCUUUUUUCACACAAUGUAAGAAAAAGUAGUUAACUUUGUUGGAAAAGUAAAUUUAGAUUGCUAUUUUCCUAAAAUACCCUCACAUUAAAUAUGGUACAACUUAAUGGGAACUUGAAUUGAUGGUAAAAAAAAAAAUCAACCCUCAUUAAAUGGGAUAGAUUUAUAGUAACAACUACUCACAUUGAAUAAGGAUAUUUUAGGAAAAUUAAAAUACAACUACAUUCUUCAAUUGAAAGUGGACUACAAUUUGGGACUGAUGAAAAAGGAAUACAGGACUAUCAAAGUGGGACGGAGAGAGUAGUAUUUUUGGACUUGAAGAAGCUAACUCAUAUAGGCAAAAUUCUCCGCCACGAGACGACAGCGUAUAGUACAAUAAGAAAUCAGAUUACUUUACAAACGCCCUGCUUUUACGAGUCCAAUUUUGAUAUGAUUAGAAGGAAGUCGCUAAAAAUUGAAAUCCACAACAAAAAAAUUCAUUUUUGAAUCUCAUUUUGGCGCAAAAACAAAUAAAAAUCCUAAAUAGUCGCAUUCCUCACCUCAAUCCUCCGCACAAUGGCGGAUUUUGAACCUCCAUCGUUCUUGCUAGGGUUCGAUUUGGACCUGAACCGCUAGAAGACCGGAACCAUCAACCAGCUAUGAUAACAAGGGUUAAUUUUUAGAAACCCCUCUUAAGGUUUCUGACAGUUUCAUUGCUCUCCCUUGAGAUUUUAAAAAUAUCAUUAACCUUCUCUAAAAUAAUAUGUUUUUGUAGCAAAUUAGCUCAAUUCAAAAAAAUCAACAAUAAAAAAAUGAUUUUAUGCUUUUAUUUUAUUUUAACUUCAAAGAGAUAGUAGGUUCCCAAAUUCUAAAUCAAACCAAACAAGACCAUUAUGGUUUAUUAAAAGAAAAGAGAGACCAUUAUGAACUUGGCACUUUUUGUCCCCAUAAAUGACAAAUUGAAAGGAAAAAUACAAUUUAUUUUGGGAGAAAAUAUAGAAUAAUAGAUUUUUAAGACUUGUAAAAAAUGAAAAUUCGAAAUAUGAUAAAUUCAAAAAAAAAAUCAACAAAACAAGCAUAUCAGAUAUGAUAUGCUAAUUCUCUUAAUUAAACAAAUUGUAUAUGUUUGGUUUACUAGGUUUGCUUUUUCUUUUAUUUGAUAAAUGAAUUUAGCACACUCUCGUGAUUUUUUGUAUCACUACAUUAAUUUAAAUUAAUGAUUUUAAUGUGAAAACAUGUCAAAAACUAAAAUGAGUCAAACUUCCAAUACAAGAACACUUUCAAUUAAAAUAAUAAUUUCUUUGUUGGAUUUUGCAUUUGUUUUGUCUUUAAUAUAUUUUCUCAAAGCAUUGAAGAUUUCAAACAUGAAUUAAAAGUUUCAUAAUUCUAAAUAUGAGUUAAAUAUGAGCUUUAUGCAUAUUGAUGGCUCCAUUUUUGUGGUUAUUCGUUAAAAGCAUCACUUUUGGCACCAUGGUGAAAUCAUUAUUUCGGAAGCAUAAAAAUAAGUAUUAGCAAAAGAAUUGUGAUAUUUAUUUUUAGGAAAAAGGUUACGUAUGUCAUUUAGCAUUUGAAUCCAUUAAAAAUAGCUUUCCAAAAUAUAAAAUAAUUAAUUCAUUAACUAAUUAGGUUGUUUCUUAUACCUUAUAAGGGCAUCUGUUAGAAAAUCCCUAAACAAAAUCCAACACCUAAGUUAGUUCAAUCAUACUUGGUAGCUCCAUGUAGCAAGGGAAGCAAUGAGAAACCGUUUAAACGGAUUAUUAAUUGUUUCUGCUUCUUCAAAAAUGACAAUAAUUAACAUAACAAUUAACAUCCACUAAUAUUACCGUGCAUAAUAAUUAAGACUUAAAUCGUUAACUUUUUGGGGGAAAAACAAAUUGAUCAUCAAACAAACCCAUAACAUAAUGACUAGCAUCCACCAAUAUGCCCAAGCACUAAUAUAGGGAAAUAACUCUCUAUACACUCUUUUCCAACCUCUUUACAGGUGAUUUUAUCAGAAUAUAGCCAAAAAAAAAAAAAGCAUGAUGCUGCACUAAAGUUCCACCAACAUGCCCUAGUGUACAGUGGGUAAUUCCGUUUCCUGGAAAAUGCAAACCCGUCCAGGUGGCACGUAAAUAAAUUUUAAUAGAAUGUAUAGCCAAGCAGUUUUUUUUCAUUAAAUUCGCCAUUUACUAAGCACUUCCAUUUUUUACAUAAUUUUUUUUUAAAAAUUGCAAGUAUAAAUAUAAGAUUGGCAUAAAAUGACACAAGUAGGGAACGCGACGUCGAGUAUUUUCACAUUCAACUUUAAUAAAUGUUAACUUUAAUAAAGGUGAUUUGACAUAAAGUUUAUCUAGGAAAGCUAAGAAAUAUGGAAGGAUAAGGGUGCUUAAAUAUAAAUAUAAUUGUUCAAGUAGCCGUCGUCAUUAUAAAUUUAGAUUGUUUUAUAUAUUAUUUACUUAAACGAUUAGAAUUUUUCCUAACAAGUGCUCGCACCUAAAUUUCAUCCAACCUAUCAUAUAUAUUCACAAGCUAACUAUUAUUACCAGCUCUCGCAGUUAUAUACUUUCUCUAAUUAAUCUUAUAUUUUAAAAAAUUUAGCACCUACAUUAGAUAGACCAAAAUAAUUAUUAUAAUAUCAAGGAUAAUUAAUACCUGAUUCGCAUGCAAAGAUCAAAAUUCUUUAAGUGGUAAAAAAAAAAGAUUAAAAUAGCUAUUGUAUUUUAGUGACUUUGGUUUUCUCUUCCAUAUUUAUUAACUUAAAGAAUGGUUAAGCUAUUAAGGGUAGUUUUGUCAAUUUGCAUGCACUAAGGGUAAUUAGUGUUCCAAUCCAAAUGACAAGGGAAUUAAGUGAUAUUUAUGAAUCUUCAAAGGUUCUGAGUGAUAUUAGGCAAAACUUCAAGGGAGGUUUCUGAAAUCAUCCCUAAAAUCUGCCUAUCAAUAAUUUCCAUUCACAACUAAAUGUUUAUCUUUUCCUUUUAUUGGUCCUUCGCUGCUUUUUAGUCGUUGGUUCUAUUUUAUGAGUUUUAUCCAUCCUUAACUGCUUAUUAGUCUUUUUUUUUUUUUUUUUUUGACGACUGGGGUAUCCUGGUCAAUUGACCAGACUAAUUCCCCAAGGCUGGAAGAGCCCGCCCAAGGAUUCUAUUUAAUCCUGGUCAAUUAACUGAUUAUUAGUCGUUAGUUCUAUUUAAUGAGUUUGAUGUACACUUUCAUGAUGUACGAAUCUUUUUUGUGAUUAAUACGUAGUUCUAUUGCAAAAAUGAUUGAAUUCAAGAUAAGGCCCAUAAAUCUGAAGUUUUCUUCCCAAGUAAAAUAUUGAGCGGCGGCCAACAGAAAUUCCUAAAUUAUUGCCAGGAGGACCCCCGGGAGGGGGGGGGGGGGAGAACGGGUUGGGAUCUUUUUUCGGGGAUCCCAAUUCUAUUCCACUCGUGGUUCUAAGUGAGUUUCCUUCUGUACUCUUGUCGGUUCCUAGAAUCCUUCUGUAUAUAUUUAUGUAUGCAUAUAUCCUUCUGUACUCGUGGUUCUAAGGUUCUUUAGUCGUGAAGAGAAUUCACAUCCUUCGUGAGGAUUCUAGUUGCUUUGAUUGUUUAUAUUGCGGGUUUAAUUACUUCAGAGGGCAGGCCAAGGUGUCAACAGUCAAUUCUGAUGAAGGAGAUGAAUCAUGAUGUGCAGCCACUACUGCCUGAAGAGGUAAUGACUGAGAUUCUGAUGAGAUUGCCCGUGAAAUCACUGGUGAGAUUCCGUCGCAUCUCCAAAACAUGGUGCACAUUGAUCAGCAGCCCUUGGUUUGCCGAUAUGCAAUUCAGCCAUGUUAAUGCCAACGGCGAUAACAGCGAGUAAAAUGCUGUUAUCUUUCCAUUCUUAUAAUCACCAUGAGGUUGAAGAUUAUGGAGACAAUAUUGCAUCUCCGGCCAGCCGCAUUAAAGUCGCAGCCCCUGAUUGGGAGCUACCUGCUUCAUCGGAUCAUGACAUAGUUGGAACAUGCUACCCGCAUUAAAGUCGCAGCCCCUUGCUGCAUUGGAUCCCAGAGAAUCAGGUUGAUUGGUCCGCGAGAUAGCAGACGAUGCAGCUGCGAAUCUUGCUGUGUUGGAUGAUUUACUUGCCUUCUUCUUAGUCAAGACGCCUUUCGAGUCACCAUCUGAGUACUUGAUUUUUUUUGGGUCGACGACACAGGGGGUACUUGAUUGAUAUAUGGGCGAUGAGGGAAUAUGGCAUCCAAGAGUCUUGGGUCAAAAAAUCUUCAAUAGACUUAUGGGUGCUCCAUUAAGCUAUGAAAUCCCAUUUUGUUCUUGGACUGCUGAUACUCUCCUUCUGACCUACCUCCGACGAGGAGGCGGGAGGCAACAGCAACUGAUUUCUUGUUCCGUCCAAAAUAAUGGAUCCCAGGAAAUUGUAAAGGAGGGGCAUUAUAAACUUCCGGUGGAACCGUUAGAAGAAGCCAUAGUUUAUGACGAAACUUCGGUUUCCCUCGACCAAAUUUUGAGCUGAUCCAUUUUUUUUUUUUUUUUUCCCUUUGAGAAUAAUUAGACGACAUUGGAUGCUCAUAAUCGCUGAACUCUUUCUGACCUGCCUGAUCACGGCACUCUUCCUUUGCAUAUAGAUGCCUAUAGACUGAUUAUCUCAAGUGACAGAUUAUUGCUUCUGCACACAAACUAUAGGAGCCGUCUCCGUUGAACAAAAUAUACUGAGACAAAAUGAAGAUGCAUCCAUGUGCAAAAGAAUGGAGAUAAAUAGGUGCAAGAAGUGUUCUUAUAGAAUAAUAAAGAUGAAGAAGUGCAAGAAAUGCUGAUAUUCAACACACUAGUUUUUUUUUUUUUUUUAAAUAAUCAAGGAUGGAAGCAAGACAAAAAAGAUAGAAGAUAAGUAUUGUUUGUUUCAGAGCUACAAAAGAUAGCGAAAAUUUUUGGAGUUCUUUGUUCUUCCAAAUUUCCAGUAAGGAUUUUGUUACCUAGAUAAAUUUCUCAAAGUACAAUCUAGCCACUCAAAGUCAUUUGUUUGAUAAAAGAACAGUCAACAAGAAAACAAAUAAAUAAUUGAUUUGCAGCGCUCACAUAAUGUGAACUUCAUGCUUGGACCUCAGUAUACAUACAUGGAGUAAUGAACAAAAAGAGCACAAUUGCAGCUCGUACACAUACUCCCAGCACGACCCAUAACCGUAACCCGAACUUUUUGAAUAGGAUUGUUAUCAGACAUCUCUGCCUCUCUCUUUCUCUCAAAGCCCACCACAGAACAUCAGAAUUAUUGGAAGUUAAAAGAUUGUAAAAGAUGACUGUGGAGCAUAAUUGUACGGAAUUUUUAUGAAUGGAAGAGGGAUGAUGGUGAAGAGGUGGUAGAGUAGAGGGGACUAGAGCAGAGCCACAAGAAGAGAGAGAGGAGGAAACGGGAGGCAGCUGUUCGGAAUAAAAUUAAACUAAGCCAUCCCCCUCAUAAGAUGUCAAAUCCAUAUCUGAGUCUGUUUAGUGACAGAUAGUCAAUUACUCAUUUUGACAGUGAUGCUGUCUCUUCUUCUUCUCCUUCUUUUUAACGAGAGAAAAAAAAAAUCCUAACAUUAAAACUACUCAUAAAUGGAGUCGUAGUAGUCUAAGAGCUAUGAAAACGUUGAGAUCAAAUUAAGUAAGUUUUGUCAUUUAAUGAAACGUAUUACUAACAUUUUCUCUUGUAUCAACUGGACUGAGAAUUGAGUAUAUUAAAGUACAAGUGGCUGAAUCUGUAGCCCAUUUGAAGGGGGGGGGGGGUAACAAGAAAAUAAAAAAGACCCUGUUUAAUAACAGACUCCAAAUUAGGUCAACAUACUCUCAAGAAUACAUUUCUUGGAGUAUGAUCUGUAUCUAAUUACGGGCAAAAUGUUUAUAGACCCGCAGUUUAACAGAAAAUGAAUGGACAUUGAGCCAAUAUUUGGAUUGCUGUCCACCAAAAUCAAUUGAAUCGGUACUAGUAGAAGGCAUCUAUCUUGCAUUCGGCUCAAGUAUAUCAAACUAGAGAACUAAUUUACAUCCCACAAUGUACUAUUUGCGGUAAUCUGGUGUUGCUUAGUUUCCAUCCAUACAAGAAUGUGAAUAUUCCAACGAACAUACCGAUGAUCACACUACUAGCCAGGUAAAGCGUAUGACUGAUAGUCUAUACUUGUAAUGCAAGCUCCCAUGCACAAACGUUUCAUGCAUCAUUUGCUGACUACUUGAAUAAGAUUAAAGUCUUUGGUGUAUCUCGGGCAUUGCCUAAACGAAGCGUUAGGUCUAAUGAAGCAGAAUCUUCUUCAUCAAAGUCAUCAUCAGGAUGUCUCUUAGGAUCGGUACUGGUCCUACGAAGCCAUUCAUUAAAAGAUACAUCAGAAUCAUAGCCGCCUUCAUUGCCAUGUUUAUCAUCUUCUGCUGCCGGGUGACCCUGGCCUUCUGAGUUUAAUCUUUUCAAAUCAACUUUUGCCUUUUCCCCAAGAUGAUGGUGAUUAUCAAAGGAUCCCAUUUUUGUGAUUUGGCUACGUUGUUUCCUGAUACCCAAUUCCGGACCAGUAUUAACAUCUUCGUCGAGAUUAACUUGGACUAGUGUAGCUGCAUCGUGGUGCUCUUGAUCUUGAUAGAAAGGAUGAAGUUCAAGAUUUGGGGAUAGUGAAGCUGUAUCAUGCAAUUCUUGAUCUUGAGGAGUAUGAAAAUGAAAAUCUUCUUGAAUGGCGGUGGCAGGCUCGCCAGCAACGGCUUGCUGAUUAUCAGGAUUUUCCUGAUUAAUGGGAUGAUCAUUUGGAUGAAAUGCUGCUUCCUCCUGCUGCUGCUGAUAUCCUUGGCCGUGGGGUGGAUUUUGACGAUGAUAAUGGGGUGGCGGGAGAUACCCAUCUCUUCUUGCUCUAUAACCAGUAUGAACAAUGCAUCAGCCGAAGAAUAUGAGUAAUUAAUUUAAUACAAAUAACAAAGCCGAGAAUGCAUAGCAGUACUAAAGAUUGGAUUUACUUGGCUUUUAACCAGGGCAACAUCUUGGAAGCUGGAUAUGGAGACUUGCGUAAUUGUCCAAGAACUCGAUAGUUUUUUUCCAGAUUGAAGUUAAUUCUGACGAAUUCUAACCAACAGAAACAACAAAAGGAAGUAAAAAGAUUGAUUCUUGGAGAGAGAUGAUCAAGAAAGUUGGAAAAAGAAUAUGCAAUUUAUUUUCUCUGUUUCCGAGGUCAGCACAUGCGUUAUAUAAACUGAGUUUAAUUCAUACCUACAACUUCACAUUUCCUCUCUAAUUACAGUUGAGCAAGCAGGACGGAAAUGGAGCUUGGAAUUGUGAUACAAAGGAGAUCAGGGAGAGGAGGCGAGGAGUUGAAGGGCUUUUUCUGAACUGUGUUUUGGAGGGAACUUUGUAUUUAAAGAGACUUGAAAUGUAACGUUCAUUUGAGCUUUCACAGUCCUCUGCUGCUGUUUAGAUGCCUGCUAACGAUUUUGUGAAAUUCACCCCCAGAGAGAGCUUGGGCCUCUUGCCCAGGAAAGUUUUGGACGAGGUGGUACUGAUCAAAAUUUUGUUACAUCUUCCAGGAACUUAUGAUGGGGGGUGAACAUGUGCUUUAAUCAAGAAGAGAAUUGUAUAUAACAUAAUAGAAAGAUAACAAAUGCCUUCUGUAAAAAUAUUUUCGGUAAUUCGGGGAUCAGUUUUUUAAAACCAAUAUCCGAUUACUGUCCAAAUUUUAGUUUGGUAAAUUGGACCGAAGAAUCAGUAAUUUGAUAACAUCCAAAAUUCAAAAUGUUAAUAGUGAGUUAAAAUACUUUUUUUUCUUUAAAAAAUGAUUCUGACAAAAUAACAUCCCAUAUAUUUUUCCAAUAAAAUUCAAACAAAUUAACUCAAACAAAUAUGAUAUGCAAAAAAAAAAAAAAAGUCAUAAUCCUAAGUCUUAUCUCAUAAUCUCAAUUCUUAAACAACAUUGAAAUAAAUUCCGUUUUACCGGUGCCCAUUUUUCAUUUUUUUCCCCCGAAAUAUGAACGCCCACCCAUACAAAUGCGUGCAACAAGACUACAGCGAGUCAUUUGCAUUAACUGCGUCAAAUCCAUCUGCUAAUUCGUAACUGAGAGCGAAAAGGAUUAAAAGUCUUGAAGAUUUGAGAACAAUAUAUAGGUUCAGUGGGCUUGUGACAAAAACUAGUUCCAAAAGCAAGACAAAUAAUGGUUCCACAUUUUCACUCGGCAAUUGCAUUUUCUUCCCCCACAAAUAUAUAUAUACAUAUAUAUGUAUAUAUAUACGCAGAGAUGAAUUUGCAUCCUUACCAAUAUGCUUAUAAAAUUCCACAAUCCACGAGGUCUAAAUACAUGUUAUCAAUAGCUACAUAUUUCUGGGCCAUGUUUCAUCGUCUUAGAACAAUUCCAUUACAAUUAUCCUUAUUUUCUAUUCCUCUCUAUAAUCUUUCACCAAAAAAAAAAAAAAACUUGCACUUGUUUCUUGCAUUAAUUUCGAAUUUAAUAUGUUCUGUCUCUUUCUUCUUCCCUUCUGAAAUAUGUAAAACACAUAGAGGGUUUUUCCUUAAAUAAAAGGGUUGUGAUAGUUCAAUGCAAAUUGUCACGAUCAAGGCUAAACAUAGACCAAAAAACUUCCAUUGCAUCUUUUCAUUGUUUUUAUUUCAAGACUAUUUCUAGCAACAACUGUAUAACACCAUACGCAUGGAAAUGACUAAUUUUUUUUUUUAUAUAUAAGUGAAAGAUAUUGAAUUGAGAAUCUAGUACUUUUUUUACCUUAUCGUCUAAUCUAACUAGACCUGUCAACGGAUUGAGUUUUGAUCAAAAUUGAAAAUUUCGAACCCGAACCCGAAUCCGACUCGUAUUUCUGACAGGUAUUGUGCUUAAGAUUCUAGAAUCGGGUGUGAUGGGUUCAGGUUGGGUCCGGGUCUAUCCGAAAAGAAAAUGCCCAACAUGUAUCAUUUAUUUUCUUUUAUCUAUGCUAGCAAAAAGACCCCAACAUGAUUCCUGGAUUUUUAGAAAAAAGCGCUUAUAUGCAAUUUGUAAUGAAUACAUUUCUGGUGAAACAAGUUUGCCUCUUCCAAAUCUCAAUUUCUUAGAUGCGUUAUCUGGGAUAUGGGUAAUUUGGUUAAUUUCGUAAAAAAAAUAUUUUUUGUUAAUUUAGUAAAAGGAUGUAUUUAAAAAUAUUUAUAUUUUAUAAUUAUUAAUAUAUUAUUUGAGUUCGGAUCCAAGUUAAAAUCCUAUAUUUCAUAUUGGACUCGCUUCUUUAUUAGAGCAAACGAGUACGAACCCGGAUUCAAGUAUCAAAAUUAUUUCUCAAAUUAUCGGAUCCGGAUCCAAUCCGAGUCCAGACUCCACCAGUUGGCAGCCCUAAAUCCAACCCUCCUCGAAAAUAUGACUGAUAAUUUAAGGGAUUAAUGUACAUCUUCAUGGAGCAUGUAAAUUAAUGACCUCCAAAGUGUGGAAAACCAAACAUUGCAAUUUCUUUUACAACAAAUACAAUGCGUAGAAGCUAUAACCAAUCAUUCUAUCGUCAGUAUAUCCUGAAUUCAGCAGAAUCAUGUAUAUGCUGCACAAGAUAUUCUCUUGUUCAGUAUCAUUAUUGUCUUCCUAUCUCUUAUCUUUUGUCUAUUCCUCCGCCAAAUCCUCACCAAACACCUUGACAAUACUUUUAUAACCCCAAAAACUAAACUCAAGAUCCGCCACAUAACGAAUCAUUUCAGGGCUGAUUCUGUCAAACUGAACAAGACAAGGCCAAAUUGGUGGUAUUCACUAAAAACUUUGCAAUAAUGGAGUUGUCAAAAAAAAAAAAAAAACUAUAUUCUUUUUUUUUCAAGCAGGCCAAAAAAAAAAUUGAGGGAACUCUCUCCAACGCCAAUAAGUUAUCAUGCUCUCGGACAGUGACUGUAUGCAUCACUUCCUGUUGCAUUUUCUAUUGCUUUUCUGUUUCUUCCUUUCAUCCUCCACAAGCUCUUACUUUCUUUCUAUCUUCCCCUCACUUAUCUCUCUAUCCAUCUUCGCCAGUUUAUUUUACUCUCUAUCUUCCUCUCACUUAUCCCUUUAUCCAUCUUCAGAAAUUUUGUUUUGCUGACUUCCUUGUAUUUCUUGAACCUUUUCUUUCUGUUCUCCGCCUUUCUUUGCCAACAGCUCUCAGGAAGUAGAUGAAGGUACGUUGAAAGACUGCUUUCCUGAACGAUUCCUUUCUGGGCUUAACGUUUUCAGCAACUUUAUAGCACUGCUUUUGAGGAAAAAUCAAGUCUUUCUAGUUUUAGGAUCGUUCUCUAUUGUCAAUGAUACUGUAUAUGAGUUAAAAGGCGUGUCAAUGUUUUCUUCAUUGAAAGAAGCUUAUUUGACUGGAAAGACUUCUCUCUUUUUUUCGCCUCACUCUCUUCCAUUUUUUUUCUAUGUCGCUUUCUCAGCAACCAGGGUUGGUUAUGAUAAUUGAUUCAGUUGGAUUCUGAAAGCUUCAAUAAAAUAGUAAAGUGGGAUCUUAAUUAUGGUUGUCUUUUCGUACUUUUCUUCUUCACCCUCUUGGAAGCCUGAACAAGGUGAUAUAAUAUUAUUGACUUGCAUAAUCUCUGGUCCUUUAUGUGAUAUGUAUUAUUUUAGUAGUACUUUCUUUUGAUGCCUUGUCAUUGUAGACUCAUAGUUUGUCUUGUGGGUUCUUGAACUUUCUUCUGGACAGAUUUAAGCUGAUUGGAGAGAGGAGUUGGUUGAUAAUGGAGAUUUCUGGAAUUGGUUCAUUUCUAAGGAAUAGGAGGUUUGGGAACUACCUUGAAGCGAGUUUUGGGGUGAAUUUUGCCUCACCGUCAAAAGUAGCCGUAAAGGAAGAGGUGGAAAAGAAGAUACAAUCUGUUGCUUUUGUGGAGGAUGAUGGAAUAGGGGCUGUGUUGAUUUCAUGGGUUAGGAUCGUUGUUUGUUUCGUGACAAUGAUGUUUACUACAUUCAUAUGGGCCUUGAUCAUGCUGGUGCUUUUUCCUUGGCCUUACCAGAGGAUCAGGCAGGGUAAUAUCUAUGGUCAUUUGACCGGCAGAUUGCUGGUAAGUAUCUUGCUUCUUGUUGCACCUUUGUAUUUGAUGAUUUUUCCCCCUGGAAUUCUAUCCUUCAUAUGUGGUUGCACUAUAGUUAUUUCUGAUUGUUUGUGAUCAUCGUGAACCCUGCAUAGUGCAAAAGUUGGAAAACUAUCAAACUAAGCUUUAUUGCAAUGUCUUGGGGAUGUAUGUUGUUUAGAAUCUCAACGUUCCUCAUCUUGAAUUACUAAACCAAAUUAUACACUCUUCCAAAUUGAACAAGCAUUUAGUGUUUGUUGGUUUGCAUCCAGCGUCAUGUUGUUUUCCAGACAUUUUUUUGAGAAAAUUUUUUAUCAUAAUGGCAUCCCACACACAAUGCUAAAACGGUGGUUUGGAUUCCUCGGACAUGCAAUUUGAUUUACAAGGAGAUGCCCUAUUUGUAAGCAAAACUUACGAGAGCUUCUAGAUCUUAUGUGGCUUAUUGAAGUUGAUUAAUUCGGAAUCCGGGCGCCUUCUAUGUAGUCAAUGGCAAUCAAUCACUGUCUUUCCAGAAUUAUUACCAGAUUUUUCCGUAAUUGUAACUUGAGUGAUGCUAAUUUCUAGUUAUCAUUCCGUCAUGUUAAUAUGCUGCACGCAAUUAUAACAUUCAGAAGUUCAGAAGGGAAUCACCCUUCUUACCAGACGAAGCAACAAUACAUUCAUUUUAAGUCAGCAAGGAAAUGCUGUUACAUGAGGCACAUCUAAAAAUAUACGUUAAGUGUUCAAGUGUUCGACGAUGAAAAAGUUCAGAUUGUUGAUUGCAGAUGUGGAUCUUAGGGAAUCCCAUAAAGAUUGAAGGUUCUGAAUAUGAUGAAAAGGCGAUUUAUAUCUGUAACCAUGCAUCUCCCAUCGACAUUAUUCUUAUAAUGUGGUUGACACCUACUGGCACUGUUGGUGUUGCGAAAAAAGAGGUAAAAAAAAAGUGAUUUCUUUACUAGUUUAUUCAGCAGACUUUGUUACCCUUUAGUUAGUUUGACUAGUCAGUACCUGGAAUGCUGCCCUUUAGUUAGUUUGACUAGUCAGUCCCGAGAAGUCAGGCUUGAACACUGAUACAUGUCAUUCACUUUGUCAAAAAGAACAAAAAGGGGCGAUAUAUAGGAAUGUUGUGUCUACAGUUCAUGAGAAAGAGAUUUUGGAAAGAUCUCACCUUUUUUCUUUUGUGAUUCUUUGUCGAAAGGGAAUUUUUUUUUUUUUUUUGAAUACAUACAUGGCGUGUUGUCAUCCAGAUGAUGAAUUUUCUGCAGAUCAUAUGGUAUCCACUCUUUGGACAGUUGUACUUUUUAGCCAGUCAUCUUCGGAUAGACCGCUCCAAUCCAAGUGCUGCCAUUCAGUCCAUGAAGGAGGUAGCUGAUCUUGUCUCCCUCUGUUUCUAUUGGAUCCACUAUCCACUUGCUGAAACAAUCAAGUUUUUGUGCAGGCUGCGCAUACAAUUCUCAAGAAUAAUUUGUCUUUGAUUAUUUUCCCCGAAGGAACAAGGUCCAAAAAUGGGCGUCUGCUACCGUUUAAAAAGGCAAGAUUCACAAUUACACUGACUGGGAAAAAUAAUAUGAGUAAUCAAAUGUCAGUCGAACAAUUGUAACCGUUAAAUUGCUAGGUUGAGUCUAGGAAGAUCUUGUUAAAACUGGAGCCAAUGGUUUUCUUUCUAGUAAAGAAUGUUGCUGAAUGUUGUUGCAUAAGGCAUCUAGAAUCAUGAUGCUGGCUAUUUCCUUAGCAUGUUAUACAGUUUUGUUUGAGAUGUACGCUUGAACAUUAUACUGACUAGGUCAAUUAUCUUGGACCUGUAUCCAUUUCUGACAUAGCAACUUACAUGAAAUAGCUGAAUUCUAUUCUUUAUCCAUCUUUCACCUAAACUCUUGGGAGUGCAACUCGUAGAAAUAAAAAAUCUUGUAUCAUUCUUGCUAGCUAGUAACCAAGGAGAUUUUUACUGGCUUUGCAGGGUUUUGUACAUUUGGCUUUGCAAACCCGCCGGCCAAUUGUUCCUAUUGUCUUUACAGGCACCCACAGGGCAUGGAGGAAGGGGAGCUUGCACGUUAGGCCAGCGCCUCUGAACGUUGAGUAUCUUCCUCCCAUCAGAACAGAUGAUUGGACCGCAGACAAAAUUGAGGACUACGUGAAAAUGGUGCAUGAUGUUUAUGUCAAAAACCUCCCAGAAUCUCAAAGGCCCAUGCAUUAGGAGGGAGGAGUGCUGGAACAACACCGCCUUCCCAGCCAAAAACUCUUCCUGUAAUUUGUAGCUCUCGGAUGAAUCGCCGCAGCUUUAGAUGGGAGCAUCAUUGCGUAUAAAUUUUCGGUAUUCGAAAUAGCACAGCUGAUAUAAUGUACCAUGCUGGCAUUUUUCAACCAAUGAAAUCGGCAUAGGUUUCAUGGAUGGGUCUCUUGUUUGCAACCAAAAAAGCAGCAGAUAUAUCGUGCAUAUUCUUGGUUUCCGAGUCGAGUUCCAGCAUGAUGUCAGAGUAAACAGCCUCAUUGGAAGAGGCGUAGGAACAGUUGCUUGACAGUUCACAGUCAAGAUUUAGUCAAAAAAAAAAAAAAAUUAUACGAUUCAGAUCUCAUCUUGUAUCGCAUUUUUUACAAUAUGUGUGUAAUACAUAAAAUUUUGCUCUAAAAUUACAUGUCGUUGAAAGUAAGUUAUAUCAUGCUGCUGUAAAUAGAGUUAUGCGUGUGUAAAAUGCAUAUAACCUUCGGAGCAGUUGCUCCUGCAACCAACCGUUCCUGCCCCUGGUCCAGCGUCAUUAAACUGUUCAUCUCUGUCUUCAUCUCAGAUAUCCUUGAUAUUCCAAUACGUGGCCUGGCCUCAUCUGAGUUUUCGAGUCCCGUAGAAAUUUGUUUUUGAAAAAGUCCAAAAAUGUUUUCUAACUAGUACUUUUUCUUUUUUUUUUUUAAUUUCACGUACAUGUUUAUAAGAGAAAAAAAGUUCCCAGUAUGGUAAAGCGCAUACACAUAUACUUCCAAAAAGAAAAAAGAAAAAAAAAGUCCAGACCGUAGAAGUUCUAAAAAGUUAAAUGUAGAUAACUAAAAUUAUUGCUAAAAUUCCUAGUCAUCAAACACACAGAUUUUGGGUUAGCUAAAAUCAUCCCUAAAUAAUAUACUACUUUUUGUUAGCAUUUAAGAAAAAAGCAGUAAAUUUCUCGUUAACCAUAAUUGUGUAGAGCGAUUAUCUUCAUCAGUAGUGGCGAUUACAUGAAAUAUUCGGAAUCAAUGGUUUGUUUGGAUAGAGUAUUAUUUGAAAUAAUUAUUGUAAUAUUUUUUGUGAUAUGAUAUAUACGAGAUAAAAAAAUAAUUAAAAUUAUAAAAAAUUUAAUAAAAAUAUAUGUUUAUGAUAUAUGCAAAAUAAGUGUGUUUGGAUUGUAAGUUAUUUGAAAUAUUUUUACUGUAGCACUUUUUGUGAUGUGAUGUAUGUGAGAUAAAAAGGUAAUUGGGAAGAUGAAAAGGUGUAUUGGAAAUUGUAAUGGUGAUGUCAGCAAAUAUAUUUGGCCAAAUAAUUGGCUGUCCAAACACACUAAAUAAUUAUUUUUAAAAAAUUUAAAUAUUAAAAAAUAUAUUAUAUGUUCGUUUAAGAACAUGUUACGUAAAAUCUAUAAAACAGGGGCAUUGACGUGGCCCCAUCCCAACCGUUACAACAACUGAGUUUAUACUCUACCUUCUACGCUCCAUCUCAGUCUUACCCGCUGGAUGGAAGAACAAUGGGACCAAUCAAAGCUUCUCCUGCGCCCAUAACGGCCUGUCACGGAGUUUUCAAAUCACAGUCACGUCAGAAUAAACAAAUCUCUGGAGUCGUAAGUUCCUAAGACUGCAUCUUCAUCACCUCCUCCUCCUCCCCCUCCCCAAAAAUAUCAUCAUUAAUGCUUUACUUUUAACCUUAAAAUAAAUCCGAAUCUCCAUUUUUACUACUACCGCUGCUUCUUUUCAUACCAUUCCACUGCUACUAAAACUAGUAGAUACUCGCCGUAGGUCGUAUUUUUGCACAUCUGUUCCUUCACCUUAAAAAAAAAGCCUUAUUAGGGUUUUAAGAAUUUCCCCAUUUGUAAUUCUAUCUUAAACCCCUCUCAAGCUCUUGUAAAAGGUAAAGUCCUUCGUUUCCUGAGCUUUUAAUUUCAGUCCUUUUUUUGUCUUUUUUUUUUUUGGGUUCCGGGUUUCAGUAACCUUUUGUGUUUCUUGAAAAUCCUUUAGCAAUCUGAGCCUUGAUAAUGUGAUUAGAUUAACUUUAAUGCAUCAAAGUUAAAUUUUUUUUCUCUUUUAGAUGUCUUCAUGUCUGCAUUUCAAGAUUUUGCUCUUAGGGUUUUAGAGAAUGAUAUAAAGUUCGGUUCUUUUUUUUUUUUUUUUUGGGGUGGAGUUUAAUACUGCAUGCAAAGAUUGCCAUUGUUAAAAUAUUUUCUUCGGGACUAUUAAGUGUAAGCAAAAAUGAUAGUCCUCGUCUUUAGCUCAUGGUAAAAGUAGGUCUUUUUUUUUGCGUAUAUAUUGCUUAUUUUCGUCUCUGGGCUUUCUACUAGUUUUCUGUGCUUUAGGGGGAGAUUCAGUCUUUGAGAAGCUAUAGGAAUGUUUAUUUUAAGUACGCCGAUGCAUACUUAUUUAGACGUGCGCUAGUUGUUGAAACAAUUAAUCGCAUACUGUCUUGAUUUAGAAGUGCAGACAUUUGGGAUCAAUCUCUGAUAAAUUAACGCUCCUCAAUAUCAAGAGCUAGAGGUAGGCGAGGGACAAGGUGCAUGUGACAGUACAUUAAUUGUUUUUCUUUGAUUGGUCCUUAUAUGAAGAGGUCAAUUGCAGUGUCGUCUUUGCUUGGAUAUGUUUUAUACAAAUGAUCUUGUUUCCUUCUGGUAGUAUGCCUAUUAAUUCCUUUGUGGAGCGGGGUAGGGCGUUUUGGGUAAUUAUCAUAUGAGUUGAUGGAAGGUACAGCUGAGGUGUCUAAACCUUCUCCCUUAAGGGUUAUAAUUCGUUGAUAGGGUGUUGUCCACAUGUAAACUUUUAUAUUGCUAUAUAAAGAUUGCUAAUGCAUUGAAUUUUCAGUUGGAAAACUCUAUGCUUUUUCUGUUAGUAAUCAUUGUGAUGGCUCUUUCUCAAACAGGGGCAAGGGCCAACAUUUCCCCAAUAGAAAGUAAUUGUGCAAUUGUAUCUGGACAAUGAGCCAGGCUAUCCAGUCAGAGGGUUCUAACCUGACGCAGGUCCUACCUGCAAAACGAAAAAGGGGUCGCCCGAGGAAGGAUCAGAGCCUAAAUCGCGUGGGACUCGCUCGUGUUCCACCUGGUUUUGAAGGAAUAAAAGAGAACAAAUCCCGAAAAGCAGAUAAAUUUGAUGGCAAAGAUAAUAUGGUUGGCCAGGCAGUUGCAGGGGUUGUUGAAGCCUCAUUUGAUGCUGGUUACUUGCUAACUGUCAGGAUUGGCAACUCCCAUACCAUUUUGAGGGGAGUUGUUUUCAAGCCUGGGCAUUAUGUUCCUGUAACAUCACAGAAUGACGUAGCUCCCCAUGUUCAAAUGAUCCAAAGAAGCGAAGUCAGUCUCCCUUUGUAUAACCAGAUGCAGAGCAGCAACCCAUCUAGAGAGAGGAAUGACAUUCAUGGAUCGUCAUCCCAAAUAGCUAACAUGGUGGUGAAAAAAGGAAUAUCUACUUCUCCAACAGCAGGCCCUUCAUUUCCUCCUGUAGGUUCCAGAGGUAAUGUGGUUCCUGUUGUAUUGCAACCUCUCGGUCCUACAAAUGGACCACUACCUGGCAAUCAAGUGAUUCUGGAUGGAUCACCUUCAAAAGGUAGAGAGGUGGUGACUGUAGAACCAUUGGCUAUGUUACGACCAGAUGAAUCAGCAUCCUCUAGCCAGUUUCAGGUUGCCACAAAUCAACAGCAGCCUUCUCAAGUGCAAACUAGCAACCAAGUACGAGCAGGAAGUGUUCCGAUUGAAAAUGGAUUGUACAGUGAAGUUGUAUCUGUGGUUGGACACAGGGAAGAAGCUCAAGAAGUGAAGCGAACCAGUGUGCCGACACUGGGAGAACCACUUGCGGGAUCCCAAGGCUCUUCACAAUCUUCAGAAACUCAUGUUGAUAAUGAUAAAUCAUCAGCUGGAACCUCUCAAAUGGAGUCAGACCAAGAAAUUGGCGAUGUUCAGUUACCAUCUGAUCUUAAACCCAUGAAUAAUCAUGGCAAGGGCCGAAUGACUGAGCUUUUACAGGUAAAAAAGAACCAUUAACUUCAAAUAUUUGCACGAGACCGAUGUUUACAUGUAUACGUCUCUGUAAUAGUUUUGAUAAUGAAGACUAAAGUUAAGUGUCUUGUAUCAAGGCCUUGCAGGAAAAUUUUGACAACCAGAUGCCUCCAGCUGAACCAUCCGCCGGAUCUGGAGCAGACUCUCAAGAAAAGCUGAAUCCAGAAACAUGUGGAAAAGACGAGAGAACCAAUGAAUGACCUUGUUCUAAAAAAGAAGCUGCUGAUUUUAGCGGGUCACCUCAAAAAAAUUUUUUUUUUAAUCCUUCUAUAAUGAAUUUGGUAAGCAUCUCAGAAUGGAGUGAUACAGCAAAAUGGGGCAAACAUAACCUGGUGUGCAAUCCGGCCUGGCCAAGGGCCUUUAGAUGUUAAUGUGCGAACAUAGAGUUUAGGUGAAAGAAGUUUGAUUUUAAUAGCUGUAAUGUAGGUCAGAUACUCUGAGCUUGGCCGUGCUCAAUGUGUAGAGAGUGUUUCUCUAUGAGAACUAACUGGUUUUGGGGAUUUUUCUCAAGGUGUUAAUGCUUUUCUUUUUCCAUCAUUCAAAUCAUCCCGUUUCUCUUGUAUUUCAGCACCUGGUUCCAUGGAUCUUUUUGGUGAUUGAUGAACGGAAAGGCUUGAAGUACUUGAGAUUUGAUUUGUAGCAGGGUUACUUUCGUGCAUUACAUUUUGCAGGUAGUAGAACGGUAGCUACAGCGGGUAAGAGGCCACGAAAAGGUUGCCGCCUGCCUAGAAAGUAUUUAGAGGAUCUGCAAGAUCAACCAGUCGCUCAAGAUCCAAUUAGACGGUGAAAGUAAGAUUGUCUCUCACUUGGAUCGGUAAAGGAAAAUGGCCGUGACAAGAAUGGGAACGAGUGAUAAACAAGUUAAAGCAAAACAUCUUGAUACAUGGGAAAUAUUAGACAAGGCAUACGAGAGCCAGAACACAUCGGAAGCAUCUUGAGUACGAUAUGAAGAUAAAAGAAUUGGAGCGAUUGUUCUCCUAAUUAUGCUCAUAAAUGUCACAUAUAUGUACGAGAGCCUUCACUUCCAACCAAAUACGGAUAAAGGCAAACAAAAAAUUGACUUAAGCUUCAAGAUAUAAGAUGACCAAAAAUAGGGUCCCUUGCACUUUUACAAAAUCAAUGGCCUCUGCAUCAUGGGGACACAAGUAUCAGGGGGGGGUGACCAUUUCACGAUUGACAGACAAAUUUGGCGCUUAAGGAACCAUCAGAUCCCGGAACUGGAAUGGACCCCAUACUGGGAAAGAAUGGAGGUGAAAUAGGGAUGUACGAAGGAACUGCAUAUGGCUGCUGCCCAUUAGCUAAAAAUGGAGUAACAUAAAGCUGCAGUGCUUGCAUUGUUGCGAUUCCUGCAGUUGAUGAUGAUUUUUCUGGUUACAAAUGUGUGUCCGAGUGUGCAUUAAAAAGUGUGGAACAUUGUGUACAAUAUGCAUUUACAGUUCCAGAUUAAGAGGCUGAGCAGAAUAAUGCAGACUGGCAAACAGGAUGGAGGGAAGAAGAAGAAUGAGAGAGAACACAAACAAUAGAAUUUUUGUAAGCAACAUAAAUAGUACUCUUAGAAGUCUCUCAUCAAAAGCAGCAUCAACCAACAAACUUCAAUCACAUAAUCUGAGUAUUAAAUAAAAGACCAUGAAGAAUACUAGCAUAAUAUUUUCAUGUCCCGAGAUGACAAUCAACUCACUCAAGAAAACUGUCAAAUCUGGUAUAUACUCGAAUAUGUAGUCAGCAUGACAAGGGUUCCUUUUCCCAACAUGGUAAAUAACUAAAACUGUCAAAAAGUUUUGCCUUACUUCAAUAUCCACAUGAUCGCACAAUUGGGUGAGAAUGAGGCCCUUUUAACUACUUUCAGCAGACAAACAAAGUAAUAUCCAUGAAUGAUCAGUUACAAUCUGACCAAAAGCCGUACAUCCCUCUGGACACAAAGUAGAUGACCAAACUGUUUGCAAAAAUGCAAUUGCAUAUGUGCUUUAUGCAAAGCAAUCCAAAAGAUGAAUCAACUACUAAGGCAGGCAGCAACUAUAAACUUAUCUUCUAAGAAUUCCUAGAGGUCUACAUAUGUAGUGCACAUGAAAUCAACUGCUUUACUCCCAACACCAUUUGACCUUAAAGGAAUUUUUUUUUUCAUUUCUCUUGAACCUCAUCCAUACAUCUGAAGAUCCAUGAUUUGCCAAACUAUAUAAUGCCAGAUAUCCCUUGUCCCUUGUGACUAUAAUGUUACCUUUGUCCUAGUAAAAAGGAAAGGUGAACUACAAAAAGAAUACAAGUAAAAAUUAAUAAUCAGAUUUCAGAUUUCACUAAGCUACUAUAAUCAACAAGUUGAUUUCUUCAAAUACUUGCUCUGAACUGUCUCCAUACCUUGGUUUUUGGGAAGAUUUGCCUGAUGUGGCAUCAGCAGAGGAUGUGAAGAUAACUGAGAAUAUCCUGCCACACCCUGAGUGGCAUCCUAUUAAUAUCAUAGAAGAGAUUAGAUGUGAAAAUAAGAAGGGAUCAGAAAUUACAUAUGCAUGGUGAAAAAAGAACAACACAUGCAAGAAGGAAAUUAUAAAAGAAAGAGAGAAACACAAACAACCAGCAACAGUGACUUUUAAGCUAACCAGCGAAGUAUUGAACUAAAAGUAAAAUGAAUACAAACACAUCCCAUAACUCCCCCAACCAUAAUUUCUUAGUUGCAGCAUAUUCCAUCAUAGAUGACACUGUAUUGCUCAAAGAAGCAUGGAAAAGUUCAAUUUUAAAUUACUGACAUUCCAGCAGGUUGUGGCUAGAACCCUCAGUGUGUGCAUCAUCUGAUGCAAUCUCAAGUCAAUAAAAGUUGCCUAUGCUAUGAACAAACAAGUCAGAAGUUGUCUCACAUUAGAAACUGGAAGUGCAUAAAACAGCGGCCCUGCUCGCCCAGUCAUCUGCAAAGUCAAGAAUGCUAACACAAAUUAGCUAAAUUAUCUGCAAUCCAGUAGCACACCAACUACAUAAAAAAGAAAACCAAACGAAGAAAACUAGCAAUCUAACUGUCCCCUGCUACAUACAUUUUGCGAAUUUUGAUGCAGAUACGUUGUCCCAGCUUGAAGAUGAUUAUACUGAUUGGCAUAUCUAACUGGAGGUGUCCUGCUUCCCACAUGUCCAACAACCUACACGUAAAAGAGACAAAGAUACAGUGAGAAAUUGACAUCAUUAAAGAUCCCAGAGAUGGUGGAAAACUGUACAGAUAUCAAAACAGAUACAGAUAUUCAAAUAGUUGCCAACGUUGACUAAUUUUUGCUCUUUUUAUUACUUGUUCUGUCACUCUUCCUUUAAACUUCACCAUUCAUAGUAGCACAACUGACAAAUGCUCUCAAAAUUCAUCCAAUCUAUCAAUCUCAUCUAAUGACUAAUGCAGGAAAAGAUGAGCUAAGAGUAUAGGACAGAUGGCAUCUCAACCACCAAUCUGCUGUAGCAGCUUAAAAUGAAACAACAGAAAAACUUAGCAUCUCCCACAUGAACAUCACAGAAUUUGAAAACUUGAAUAAACAGAGCGUCCCCCAUAGAUGCAGUGAUGAUUUGGAUGGCAAUGUCACAAGGCCAAAGGGUUUGAUGUAAUCUAGAGUUUUUGACAUGUUUAUCUUUUCAAAGGAACUAACUUGGACUUACAAAUUAUGGAAGAUCUUUAAAAGCUUUAACACUUUCAAGUUUCCCAACACAAGAACACUAAAGAUAUUUAUUACCUUUUUCAGAGAAGAGCUUAUAAGUGGGAAGUAUGCUAAGAAGGUAUACUUGACAAUUAUUAUUAAAGAGAAGUGGUUUUAAGAAAAGAGAACAUGUCUAAUAAACUAAAACCCAAGCCUAAUUGUUAAAAUGGGAAACCAUAGCAGUCAUGCAGAAAAACUUGACAGGCUAAUUUUGGACAUUUUUUUAAGAUCAAGUUAUCAGUAAAAGGUGGGAGGCUUGAAAAAGGAAGUUCCUGCAUAUGAAACCUUAUCUAGUGUUCCAAAAUCUGCUUCAAGGAUCUAGAAAAACAACCUUCAAAAAUCGUAUUUCCGCUAUCAUCUGGUUUUACAUUCAUGUCAUCCACAUGAUUCCCAAUCUAAUAUGAUUUAUGGGCAAGUAAAAAUGCUUGCGAUACUAGUACUAUGGAAAUGGGAGGAUAGAGGAAGCAAACACAAACAAAUGUGAAGGACAACAUACCGAAGAAACAGUAACCACCCCCAUGGUCUCAGGAGAAUAGCUAAAGGAAAUGAAAAAGUUGAUAAAAGGGCCUUAGGUGUUUUUACAGCAAAUUCUGCAAUACUAUUAUGGUAGUAUAUAUGACAAAUGUUCCCUGAAGACAACUGUCACGAUUCAUAGAUGUAUUGUUACUAUGGUGGACAGAAACAUAUAUAUAAAGAACUUCGUUUGAAGGCUACCAGUAAAGAUGCAUUACUAGAUUACUUUGCCUGUAUCAUAUUGUGAUAUUAUUUUUUCACCAUCAGCCCUCUUCCAGAUGUUUAGAUGAAUUAAACUGUGUAACUGUAUAAUAACUAAGGAAUCAUUAAACAAUAUGACAAGAGUUGGUAAGCAUACAGGCUGGACAUAUUGUAGAUCACUCCAGCCAUUUCCCAGAAACAGGUUAUUACGCGUAAGAAACUUAGCAGGUACAGAAGAACAAUAGGCAAAGGAACUCAAAUCAGCUUCUGGAUCUGCAGGUGCAUUUGAUACCGUGGGUGGGGGUUCUGGUGUGCGCGAUGGCACUGCAGGAGGAGUCGCUGAUCUAUGUUGCAAAGGUGAUGGAGAAAACAACUUUGCUCUUGGGUUGAGCUUAGAUUCCUGAGAAGAAUAAUGUGUCACGAGAUGACAUUAUGAAACUAAAAAUUAAUAAACCAAGUAUUUGAGCAAAGGUUUUUAUCGAACCAUUUAAUACAGGAAAAAAAGAGCAAGCAUCACCAGUAGCAGUUUACAUUCUAGAUUAUCACCUAAACUCUAAUUUAUCAACAAGACAAUAGUGUAAAAUGCUCUCAAAAUAUUUGAUUAACAGUUUGACUCAGAGGGGAACUUAGCAACAGAGCAACAGCGAGUGCGGUUCUCAAAAUUCAGACCACUUAAGUUUGUUCUUUAGAAGGGCUAGCAAUAGAAAUUAAGUCCUGAAGAAGGGAAGUUAAUGCUUUUCAAGCACUCACAGCAACCUUAAGUAGCAACUUUACAUAUUAAGAACACAUGCUUUACCUUAGUGGUUAGACCAUGAUUUGCAACUUUUGGAAGCACCACUUUAGUGGAAGCAGAUGACAAACUGAGGUUACAAUCUGAGGCAACACCGAAACCAGAGGAAGCAUCAGCACAAACUUUGGAGGAAAGAGCAGUUGUCUCCUGAGCUUUAUCUAAUGUGUGCCUCAGAUUACUUGGAUCAUCAAGCUUGGCCACAGUAGAUCUUUCAAAAGACAUCAGAUUUGGUGAUUCCCCUUUGUUUGUUCCAGCAUUCAUGUCCUUGGAAUGAGCAUCUACUGCAUACAAAGAACUGAAAGUUCAAAAUCCAACAAAAAAAAAAAAAAAGUUUAAACAGGGCAUGCAGGCAUCUACUUGACUUAAUAUUAACUAAAAAAUAAUUUCAUGAUGGAAUAAAUUUUAGGAGUUGAAUGCAUUUGAUAAUCCGAACAUGAUGAAUGCUUUCAGCUUUUAAAAAAUGCAGUAGGAUCUCUUAUUCCCUAAUAGGCAGUGAACAAUUUAACACAUUGAAUGUAAAAACCUCAGUGGAAAAGUAUAUGCCUAUAAAUUCUAGAGGCAACACAUUAGAGUCAAAACCACCCUAAUGUAACCAAGGCCCCUAGGUAAGUUAGUUUUCUUCCAAUGUGGGCACAGACUCCACACUGGAGGUUCAACCAAAAGUAAACUUUCCACCUAAAAUAUAGCAUUGACGACAAGUCCAUAAAGGUCAAUGCCAAUCAAUUAUCAACAUUAAUAAGCUUCCCAUGUUAAUAAUAACCCUUCAUUUCUCCCCACCCUAGCCACCUCAGAGACUAAUGAAACAUACUAACCUAAACAUUCACAAGUGAGCACCUCCCCAAUCAGUGGUGUAUGAAAAUAAAUGAUCAAUUAACCAAUUAAUCAAAUCAGAGAGACUACUGAAGAUAUGUAAGAACUCACAGCUUGAUCUUGAGCCUUCAACUUGAUCAGUCUGAAAACAUUCACAGACAUUACAUCACUAAGUUACGAAACAUAGUAAAAUCCUUUAGCUGGAUAUUUUGUUUAACAUACCGUUUCCUCCCCAUGCAAAACUUGCUCCUGCACUAGAUCACUCCGUUUUUCCUCUGAGCUGUCUCCAACCUGUCUGUCAAGAAAUAUUUAUGGAAUAGCACAGAAGCAAACUUACUUCAGAAAAUUAUAAUGAGUACCACUAUAAUUUUGGCAGAAAUUGAAAGAAUUAUAUAAACUAGUGAGAAAAACGCACCGUAUUUUCUGUGCAAAUUAAAAGAAAAGAAUUCAUAAGAAAAAAAGAUGCAAGUUCUUGACAGUUAUUGGAGGUUUUUUAGGUUUGUACAUGUGAGUGUUUUAUUUUUCUUUGCUUUUUUUUGGGGCGGUGGGGAAAGUGGUAUUAUUUUGUCCUUGUUGUAAGGGUAACAAGAGAAAUUAAACGAGUGAAAAAAAAAUUGAGUCCAUAAGCCUCCUCUUGCUCUAUAAAAGCAAAGACAGUUGUUAGAAGAAAAAACUCUAACAAAAUACACACAACCAAAAUCCAAUAGCUUAAAAGCAAAAAGCACAAUGCAAUUACCAAUAAAGAUGAAUCCUGAAGUGACAAAUGUGAUAAAUUCCAUGCCAAGGACAAAGUAUUCAAGGGCUAAAGAAUCAAUUAGGAAACAUGCUAGCAAAACUACAAUUUUCUACUUUCAUAUUUGACGCCUCAACUUUUUUUUUCCUUUUGCCACAGCAUAGAUACAAAUGAAUGUAAUAAUGUCCUUCAACAAAUAUAAUGCAUAGUGGAAUUCAUCUCAAAGAAUGAGAAAAUCACCACUACUUCCUACCUCAUAUUAGGUGAAACGGUGAAAGCCUCUCCCCCCUGCAUCCAAAAACAUCAAAUGUAUAAAAAAUCUUAAGAUCUAAAUAUGAUGAAAGAUAAGCAUGUGACAUGGAGGCAUGUACAGAAGCUCAUACUUGUCAUCUACAUAUACUGGAGUUCUUGCAAUGUAACACAAGGUUAUAACUUGACUUUCUACAGAAAAAGAUUUCUUAGGUUACAACUUUACCUUGACCAAGUUUCUGCAGUCUGAUUUUCCAUUUGCAAUUGGCACAGAAUUAUUGUGAACAGAACCAUUCUGAAAGCUAUUCUUAUAUGGACGGACAAACCUGCACAUGACAAAUGUACCCAUUAACUAGAAAUAAACCACUUAUGAAAUGAAUAUUAUACAGCUCACCUAUUUUGAAAAGAUAGGGACAACAUAGCAUUUAUAUUUUCAAGAUCAGAUUCAGUUGACAUUGCACAGGGGCAUUUAUAGAACCAAAAUCAAAAUGUGCAAGCAUGAACAUAAUGAUAAUUCAAGCCCUAAACUAAACUUGAGCACAACUUAAAGUCAUCAACUGCACUUGAAAAUUCUACAACCAGGCUCAAUAACAGUUGAGGCAAAAGAAAGAGACUGGCGAAAAAAUUGUAAAAGUCAAUUUGAGCAAUUGCUUUAACUAAAAUUUCAGCCAGUGAUUGCAACUAUUACACCCGUAACAUCAAAAACUAAAGCGAGAAUCAUGAUGUGGGCCUCACUGGCAUGACGAAGAACUUUCAUCUAAUGCUAUCAACCAGUACCAGGUGGCACUACCAACGAUAUAAUCGUAUAAAGAUUAAGGCAUAUAGUCAUAGAGUCAUAAAAAUUAUAACAUUAAUAGAGACUUCAAUAAAUACCUCGCAUGAGUAUCAUGCUUUCUGUCCAAGUUGGGUUCUUUAGAGUUUGUUACAUUUGCCUCCCUCUCUUCACGUACAUUCUGAGGCAAAGUGCCAGCUGUAGCCACAACAUAAGCUGCUCCAACUUUUCCAGAGAUACCUUCUGCUGGUAGCAUUAAUUCCUAUACACCAUCGAGUUUGUUACACAAAUGGUUGUCCUGCUUGACUCCAAAAUAUCAAGAAUUCCCAAUAGCUAAAGAAUGGACUAUGGCAUACCUUUGCAACAACUUGAACAAGAUCUUCUGACAGAAUUAUAAGUGUCUCUAUCAGACUUCCAUCAGCUAGAUUUGUCUGUCGAUUGCCCUUCUUAAUCAUCCUUGCUUUCUUCAAAACAAUACCUGGAUAAACGCCAAAUCCAAAGAUAAGGAGUCCUUCUUAAUCUCACAAUUUUCAGAAGCUAAAUUCUGAACAUGGAGAGGUGAUGUAAAAAAGCAAUUUAGGCCUAAAGAUCCCCUCUUUAUUUAAACACAAUAGAAAUCCAAUCAAAGCUAUCAAACUUUUUAAUAUGUACAAUAGAAUUGUCGAAAAAAGAAACAGGAAACAAAAUACCAAAUCGCAUCCCAAGUUGAUCAAGUCAAUAAAGAUAGAAAUCUUUACAGGAGUAACUCUAGGAGAAAAUUGAAACCCGGAUACAAUUUCACGUAAAUAACAUAAGCCAGUAAGGAAAAGAAGAAAUUCCAAACGUUGACAAGAAAAAAUAAAGAAUCACUAGAAUGACAGUAAACGCACCAUAGGCAUCGUCGAUAGAAGCAGUGUGGAAAGUUCCAGAAUAAAUCGAGCCGUCCUUCACAUGCACAUCCACUGGAAAGCCAAUGAUGGACAUAGUAAUGAAUACCAGAGCAUUGUUCGCUGAAGUUGAGGCCCCGUUUUGUUCCUCUGGCAAAAGCCCCCCAUUUUUGCGACCCAUCUUUAUGAUCUUUCCCAAUUUUACAGCCUGAUUCUCUCUCGCAACACUUAGUAUAUAUCGAUAUAUAUAUGCUUUUGUGCUUAUAAGGCAAGACAAACUAGUGAUUCAAAGGUUGCUGAAGAGAUCUGAAGUGGUGGUGGCGGUGGAGGAGGUGGCUUCUUGCUGUUUUGCACAGCUUGGGAAGACAAUUCACGAUCAGCGAAAAUUAGAUGAAACUUGCGGGCUUUAGUGCAAUGUAAAAUGCUGCCAUGCUUUUUCCUUUUGGCUCAUGUACCCGGACAUUAGGCUGCAAUUUUUGGUGAUGCCUUUUUCUUCGUGUUUUUCGCCUACCAGACCUUUCAGAUUAUUUUUUCCUUGUACAAAUACAAUUUUGGGUAUUUUACGUAAAACUUUACAGUCCAAUUUUUUUAGGGUGCGUUUGAAGAAACAGAAGUCUGAAAAUUGGAGUUUGAAAUUUAAAAUUCGAAUUUAUUAAAUUAUUAAAUUUUUAAGUAUUGAAUUUAAUAUAUUUGAGUGUAUAUUAUAUUCAGUAAUAAAUGAAUAGUUUAUCACUUAAUUUUUGGACUAAGUUUUAUCUAAAAAAUUCAGUGUCACUUAAUUAAUUCAAAUGUUUAAUUUUUUAUUAUUAAAUAAUCUAUAUAUAUUAAGAUUUGAAUAUAUUAAAUUUAAGCGCUGAAUUAGAUUAUUAAACAAGGCCUUAUUCAGAAAUAACAUCCGCUAGAGUGUUUACGGUUAGAAUUUUGUGUCUAAUAAUUAGAGGGUGAAAAGGAUGUGAGAGAAAUUUAAAAAUAUAUAUAGAGUAUUUAAAUGCUGAAUUUUUCCUUUUAAUUGAACUCGUGAGAUGAUGAUAACAUAAUGGUCUAACUAAUAUAACUUCUAAUGCAUUAGAAAAGAAUAAGGAUUGAGAUAAAAGAAAAGAAUUGAAAACAAAAUAAGGAAAAAGCCGAAGUAUUAUUACGGAGAAAUAGGAAAGUAAAUGAAAGAUUUGUGACACCUUGAUACAUUUAGGUGCGUUUGAUAAAAUAUUGAAAUCUAAAAGUUGAAAUUUAAGAUUUAAAAUCUGAAAUCUGAAUCCAUUAAAUUAUUGAAUUGUUAAAUAUUAAAUCUAAUACAUUAAAUCUAAUUCAUUAAAUUAUUAAAUUGUUAAAUAUUAAAUCCAAUACAUUGAAGUGCAUAUCACGUUCAGUGGUAAGUGAACAGUUUAUCACUUAAUUUUGGAAGUAAAUUUUACCUAGAAAAUUCAAUGCAACUUAAUUAAUUCAAAUGUUCAAAUUUUUUGUUAUCAAACAGGAAUAUGUUAAAAUCUGAAUUCAUUAAAUUCAAGUGCUGAACGGAGUUAUCAAACAAGACCUUACUUUAUGUUUUAUUUUUUCUUCUCACAAGAGAGCGUAGUGUAAAUUUUCUAUGUAAUUUAAGUUUCUUUUUUAUUUCAAGAAUUUUAUCUUUUUUAUUAUUUAAAAUCUUCCAAUAAGUGCUUAAUUAAUAAAAUACAUUUACUCGUGUGUAUCUGUAUUCUAGACUCCUUCCUCAACUAGUAUCUAGCUUUUAAUAUUUUCCCCCCUCUUGAAAAUUUUAAACCUAGGAAGGGUCUAAAUAGUUUUCCAAAAAACACCCCAUAUUAAAAGUAGCACUAGUACAGAAAAAAGUGGGCCAAUUUUUGGCUUUGGCUAUAAUUAUGAUGCACAAACGUAAUUUUCCAGUUUUAACUGGUGCACAAAUUUUAUAACCCGGAAAAUCUUCUCCUGCUAAACUCCUUUAAACCCCUCCAAUCGAUUCCAGAUUCUUCCGCAUCGCCGUGGUUAACACAAAGUUCAAUCCGGCAACCCUUCAAUCUCAGAAUCCUCUAACAGACAUGAGAAGACCAAAACCCAAGUCCAAGAAGUUCAAAAUCCAGAGCCGUCAAGCCGAGGUUGAAGAACUUGAGCUCCUCGAGUCAUGGAUUGAAUCCGGUAAACCCGGAUCGGGCUCUAACCCGCUUUCACUCCAGCCGCUACCAGAUGAAUCUCCGGUUGGCCGGCUAUCCGAUGGCUCGUUUUCUCGUUACGCGGGUUGUAAAAAGUUCAGCCAAUUGCCUUUGUCGAAGGAAACUAAAGAUGGGUUGGCUGCAGCUAAGUACAAAAACAUGACUGAUAUUCAGAGGGCCUCAUUGCCCCAUUCGAUUUGCGGCCGUGACAUUCUUGGUGCUGCUAAAACUGGGUCUGGUAAGACCCUGGCUUUCGUUAUUCCGGUGGGUUUUCAGCUGAAUUUGUCACAGUUUUGGUUUGUUUUUUCAAUCUUAUUUUGGUCAAUUUUUAUGCUUGCUGGUGUGAAAGACUUGAUUUUUGGUUGGUAGAAGACGGAAAUGUUCAAUUUGGACGUGUUCAAUGUUCUCCUUUUGUUGAUAUUUUAGUUUGUUUUGUUCAUCGAUUAGGAAAAUGAAUGGAAGAUUGCAAUUUACCAAAAAUUGGGUUACUUUCGGUUAUUUUCUUGCCUAUCCUAGGAGUUUUCAGAAAUCCAACUGAUUGAUGGCAAUUUAUGCUUUUAUUCUAUUGACAAGUUAAGUUUGUCUCUUUCUCCUCUUUCUCCUCUUUGACAUUUGUAUUCUAAACUUUUUCAAUUGGAGUUAAAAAGAUUGAGGCUUUCGCAUUAAAUUCUGUAAAAGGACUCAUCAGCAUUAGGUUGAACUUCAAACUAAAAGAUCAGUAUAAUUUGGAUUUAAGAGUUCCAUGUAAAGUGCGGAAUUUGAGACCUGAAGACAGAAAUGCUUCUAGUUGUCAAGUUUCAUACGUGUAUUUGUUUAAAGUUAGAUGAUUGAGCUUGACAAUUUUGAUAUUCUUCCCCUUCUUUCCCCCCCAAAUUGGGAGAAAAGAAAAUGAAGGCUUUUCCUGAUUUUCAUGCUUAACAAGUUAAUAUUCCUUGCUUUUCCCCCUCCCUUUUUGUGCACUUUUAGCACAUCUUAAUUUCUUGUAGUGAUGGAGUCUUGUUUCUCCUCGACAGAUUCUUGAAAAGUUAUACCAAGCUAGAUGGGGUCCAGAAGAUGGAGUUGGAUGCAUUAUAAUGUCUCCUACAAGGGAGUUAGCUGGCCAACUUUUUGAAGUAUUAAAAUCGGUUGGAAAAUACCAUGGUUUUAGUGCUGGUCUUCUAAUUGGUGGCCGUAAAGAUGUUGACACAGAGAAAGAACAUGUUAAUGAUCUGAACAUCUUGGUGUGCACUCCCGGAAGGCUUCUUCAGCACAUGGAUGAAACCCCAAAUUUCGACUGCUCACAGCUCCAGGUCAAUAUAUUCAUUUGAUCUUUGUUCUUCUAUUCUGCUUUGACUUUCUCCUAGAGUUUCUCUUCUUCCAGUGUUAGCAUUUCCUGUGUACAUAUACACAGUGUAUGAUAUGUUUUGUCAUCCAGUAACUUUAGUUCCUGUAACAAGCUGUGAACAUUAAUUUGAAGAAACAAGAAUCAUCAGUGUCCAUGCUUAGUUGUUUAUAAAGUGCCAUGGACUAAGUUUUAUGUGGCAUUUGCCAUAUACUAUUGCACUUUCUUAUAUUCGCUUUAAUGGACUGGAAACUUGAUCUUUGACUUGGUAGCUGUGCAUGCUUUCUUCUACAAAAGCGAGAAUAAUUCUUUUUCAGUUCAUCGGUUGCUAGGGGAUCAGUGAAUGUAAUUUAUUGUUGUUGGAUUCAAUUGCUGCAAAAUUCUAUACAAUUCUUUUCGGGCAGUAGUUUGAGUUCAUCCAUAUUUUCACCUAAGCACAUAAAAUGGACAAGUUUUGCAGCAUCUUUUAAUAUUUCAUGUCUGCAGGGGUGGCAUGUAUUUUGUUUGUAUUAGACUUUAUUACUUUGGACCUUUUCUUUAUUACGCUUCAACAAGUUGUAUGGAGGUUGUUAGUGAUAUUUAGUGAAAUUAAAGGAUGUGCUAAUGGUACAAUAAAUUUUAAGCUACGAUAGAUAGGGACAAUUUUUAAAACAUGACUAUGGUUCAAAAAUUAAAGUUUUUGCUUCCUUAUGAAAUCUUCAUGGUUCCUUAGUAGCCGACUUGGUUUGUUUUUCUGGCCAGGAUACAGGUUCUGGUGCUUGAUGAGGCAGAUCGUAUUCUUGAUGUAGGAUUUAAGAAAGCUUUAAAUGCUAUUAUCUCACAACUGCCAAAGGAUAGACAGACCUUGCUGUUCUCAGCUACCCAAACAAAAUCUGUUCAAGAUCUUGCUAGGCUUAGUCUGAAAGAUCCAGAAUACCUUAGUGUGCAUGAAGAGGCAGAAACUGCAACUCCCAAUCGCCUGCAGCAAACAGCAAUCAUUGUUCCUCUUGAGCAAAAAUUAGAUAUGUUAUGGAGCUUUGUAAAGGCACAUCUUAAUUCGAGGAUACUGGUGUUUCUUUCAAGCUGCAAGCAGGUAAUUCUGCUUUAGCUUUAUUAUGAAUUGGGAUAUUCAGGUGCAGAGCCUGAAAAAUGAAGAAAUUUCUCAUGCAUAACUUGCUAGCUGUUGUAAUUGAAUGCAAAAUUUGCUGUGCGUGUAUGAGAACAAUCUCCAAGCAUUUUAAAGUAGCCGGAUAUGUACUUUCUUUUUUGAGAACAUUGCAUAAAUAUUUUUCUCUGUAAACGCGGAAAUAAAUCUCCUGAUAUUGUCUAUUUAAGCAAUCUUGUUCUGGAUAGACUUGGAACAUGAUCACCAUCCUCUUAGAUUGCUGAAUUUAGUGCCAUCUAUCUCUUUCAACAAAUAUUACCUUCAGAGGUCUGUCUUGUCUGAGUGCAUCGCAGAUAGUUUUAAAGCAGAACUGCUGAGAGAGCCAAAAGCUAAAGCUGCUGUUAUCUAAUUCUAUGAGACUCCAAUCCAGCUAAAUAGAUGCCAAUCUUGAUGCCAUAUCUCCGAGCAAGUCAUUGUUUCUGCUGCUUUUGGGGGUCAACCAUUUAUUCACAAGUCACUGGCUUAAAAUGUAUAAAGAAGUAACAAACAAGAAGGUGAAAAUAACAUUGGUAUGAACCUGUAGGAUUUGUAAUUCUGUCUGCUGGAUCUGGCUAUAAUGGCUUUAACAUCUCUCUUAGUUUCUUUUGAAAUCUCUCAACAGAUAUCACAUCAUUGAAUCUUGGGCUGUGCAGAUAGAUGUCUAGAUAUUGCAUUUUGAUCUACUACUAGCAUGCUUCAUAAAUGAGCCUUUAGGAAUUGAGAGCAGAAGCAAUUGCAAAAACUGAUACUUUCAUGGUGGUUCAUGCAGUUUAAUGUGUACUUUGUGGACUUUUCUGUUAUUCUAAUGCUCUCUUUAGUUGCUGGAGAAGAAAAUAAAUGCAUUUCACUCAACUUGGUUUCAUACUUUUUCCAUUUUUGUUGUCCUGUUAUUUUCAUUUCAUAUUAUAUAACAGGUAAGGUUUGUUUUUGAGACCUUUAAAAAACUUCGUCCGGGGAUCCCUUUGAAGUGUCUUCAUGGAAGGAUGAAACAGGAAAAACGAAUGGGCAUAUACUCCCAGUUUUGUGAGCAACGUUCAGUUUUAUUCUCCACUGAUGUUGCCUCAAGGGGGCUUGAUUUUGAUAAGGCUGUUGACUGGGUUGUCCAGGUUAGUUACUUGUUAAGUAGGCCAUAGAUACUGAAAGAUAACACUUGAUCUGAUUAAUUUAUUGGACAAGCUACCAAAGAAAAGGAGUCAUUAAUCUGUUAACUUUGUUGAUUUCCAGAUGGAUUGUCCUGAAGAUGUUGCUGCAUACAUACAUAGAGUGGGCCGAACAGCUCGCUACCUUUCCGGAGGGAAAUCUGUUUUAUUUCUCUUGCCUUCAGAAAUGAAAAUGCUUAAAAAGUUAGAAGAGAAGAAAAUACCCAUUCGAUUUAUCAAGGUUCUUUUUCUCAUUUUGUUAAAUAUGAUUAAGUUUAAGCAACAUUUGCAUCAUGUAUUAUUUUUACGUGUUUAAAAAUGCUCCUUGGUCAUCGGCACAGGCAAAUAUGAAAAGGUUACAACCUGUUUCUGGGUUGUUAGCAGCUUUGUUGGUGAAGUACCCCAAUCUGCAGCAGCUGGCUCAGAGAGCAUUUAUUACAUAUUUGAAGUCCAUAAAUAAACAGCGGGAUAAGGAGGUCUUUGAUGUGAUGAAACUCCCAAUUGAUGACUUCUCUGCAUCAUUAGGCCUUCCAAUGACUCCCAAGAUUCGUUUUCUGAAACAGAAAGUUAAGGGAAAAGCUUCUGAGGAAUUGUCUCUUGUACAAGAAAGUACUGUUGGUGACAACUUGAAUGAAGAUCAGAUAGAAAGUUUUGACACUGGCAAAGCUGAGAAAGACAGAGUAGAAGCAAAAGAAGACAAAUUUCUUCUUCUGCAAGAAGACACGCAACGCGGAGAAAAAGUUACGGAAAUUGGAGAUGCUGGGUAAUUAUUUUUGUUUCUUUGGGUAUUUUACUUUACAUAUUAGACCUAAGAACUAAUUUGUGGGGAUCAAAUAAAGAAAGAUGUUAUUCACUUUCCAGCUACUUAAUUUUCAGUCCUCACUCUAGAUUAGUGAUUAAGAAAUAUGUAAACCAUAAUUGACUGGCAUAAUGCAGUAGACUUUAUUUAUCUGCUCUAUGCACCUCUCUGAUUUGUUCAUAAGACAAUUUUCAAUUUAGAAUGGAUGAAUUGUAUGUUGCCCAUAAAUUAAGAAUGCAUUUUCAUGAUACAUAACUGUUGGAUAACACACUUCAUUUACCUGGCUCACAAUUAGUCCUGGUUAAAUUUAAUAGGCCACUUAGUAAAUGGUUUCUGAUAUUCUCAUGCUGUAUCCUGAUCUUAAAUAUUUGGGCCAGUUCUUACUCUCCGAUGUUUUGGUAGUCCACCUGCAACUAGGGUUUUAAAGAAAAAGAAGUUGAAGAUCAAUGUGCAUCGACCAGUUGGGACCAGGGUUGUGUUUGAUGAAGACUGCAACACUUUACCCCCUCUCGCAAAGUUGGCUGAUGUAAAAAGAAGUGCUGACUUGGUUCAUCUGGACAAAGACAAAGGUAAUUAAUUUGGUUACGUUAUGCUAAUAUAUGAUAUCAACAGUAUAGGUAUGGUAAAGAUUUUUCAGUUCUGGUUCUCCUUGAAGUCAUUAUUCCCCAAAAUGAUAUCAUGAAGUCGUGACCAUUUUUUUAGAAGAUUUAGACUACUUGGAUUUGUGCUUGUUGUUUACUAUAUUAGAAAAAUACCAAAUUUCAUGGCUCAUUUUGGAUGAUAUUGGGAGUUCAGUGAUUGGCACAAAGGGAACAGAAUGCAUACUAUAAACCUGGAGAUUUUAAGUGUGUGCACUUGUAUUUUAUCAAUGUAGAUUUUAGUACUUCUUUGUUUCUGACUUUUUACAUUUCCUAUGCCUCAGUUAAGCAAAGAUUUGCAGACCUGAGGAAAGAAUUGAAGAUAGUAGAUGAGGAAGAUAAGAUUUUGGACCGUAAGCGGCGAAAAGAAAAGAGAAUCAAGGAGAAAAUGAAGUGGAAGAAAGGAAGGGAAGGAGAGGAGGCAGAUGUAGGUAGUGAGGUGAAUAUUUCUGCAUCAGACACAGAAGAAAGUGGAGAUAGAGUCAAUAAGAAGACGAAGAUAUAUUUUGACAGUGACAGUGAUGAUGGUAAGAGGACGAGAAAGGACAAACAGGGUGGUUCUGCAGACUCCAUUUCUCUGGCUGAGCAAGAGCAGCUGGCUCUUAAGUUGCUGAGUUCCAUGCAUUCGUAGUUUAUAUUUGGAUAUUAUAGUGGUUUUUUUUUUUCCAAAAAAAAAAUACACACAAACACACACAGCAUGAAAUGUGGUAUGAGGUGAGACAGUAUCCAGUCAAACUGUAAUCUGUACACUUGCUAGUUAGUUUAUUAUAUAAUGAGAAGAAAUGUCAUAUUUUCCUUGUUUGAAAGUUGUGGGAAAGAAAAAGAAUGGAACCUGAGAGAUUUGGUUUAGUUGUGUAUUGCCAUUUUAAAGGUUUAAAAACCCCAGUUUUAUACUCAAAAGAGUUGAUAAAAAAAAAAAACUCUCUACCUCUUCUCUCAUAACUCAAGUUUUCUGUCUCUGUCUCUAUCUUAUUUUCUCCCCUAAACCCCAAUCUUGGCAAGUGCUCUGAGAUCAGCUUGUACCUUUGUUUCAAACCAUACAAGAAGCCACCCUGUUAAAAGAUGCACGCAUUUAGGGUGUUUCCACUUCGUAUUGUGGUUGCCAAAUAAGGUUUGAAACCUUAAAUUGUGCAUAUUUUCAUUCCUCUCCUGUAAACUGAACCAUAAUACUGUUUUUUUUUUUUGGAAGGGGGGGGGGGUUCUAAUUUGUGGUUGCCAAAUAAAAUGUGUUAGUUAAUAUUUGUCAAAUAGAGCCUUAUUUCUUACAACAACUACAUUCAUUUAAACUACUAUUUUUCUAACAAGGGUAAUUCUAAUCAUUUUAAUAUCUUUUUCUUAAAAUUACACACUUUAGGGUACUAGUUAAAACAAAGCCAGAGAAUAAGGUAAUAUAAAUGAAUGAAUUAGAUGUAUCAAUCAUUGUGUACGUGAAAUUGACAUUAACCCAUUGAUCGUACAUUGGGCUAAUCGCUUAUUCCAUGAUCACAAUUUCUUCCUCUUGAUUUACGAACUAAUCAAACCAAACUUGAACAGCAUGUUGUAUUUUAUAAUAUUUUAAACUUGGUUUGAUUAGUAUAAAAUUAAAAUUUUAAGUAAAAAGCUCAAACUAUUUGAACUUAACUCAAGUCUAAUUCGAUAAAAACUCAUUUGAACUUGAUUCAACAAAUAAAUAAAUCAAACUUAAACACAAUUUUAAAUUCAUUAAAAUAAUCAAAACAAAGUUGAACACUAAAGUAUUCAGAUUGAUUAGUUUCGUUUAUACCUCUAUAGGGAAUAGUACCUUAAAUCAUUUAUAGCCCUAUAGGGAAUGAUACCUCAAAGGAAUCAUAGAAUUUUCCUCGAUCGAUUUUGAUACUAAAUUAACUUUUUUUUAUUUUUAUUUUGGGACAAAGAUAACUCUCUACGUGCAUAUACAUAAUUGUGCUUAAUUUUUUUUUAUCACAACGAUAAUAUUUGUAUAACAUACUUUAGCCUAAUUUAGGGGAAAGGAAAGCCUAAUCGUAUUGGAGGGAGUCGUUUGAAAAUAGCAGCUACAAUUAAGUGAAAAGUAUGUGAAAGAAGACAAGAAAGUUUUGGUGAUUACCAACAUCUCGCUUAAUUGCUUGUCUAUAAAUUAUUAAUGGGCUUAUCCAUAUAGUACUUUUCAGCCCAUCACUGACCCUUUCCCUUUCUCAGCGCCGCCUUGUCUUCUCGGCCCGCUCUCGAACCCCAUAAAUACCCCCAAUCUCCUAGAAAUCUUCCUCUCAAUUACUGGCCCAUUCCAUCUGGGUGCCCUCUUUCCUGUCCCUCUCCAGUAUAUCUGUGCUGUAUCUACUAGUGCUUUUUAUAUUUCUUUCUCCCUUCGAAUUAGGGUUUCUUCGAUUCCGUCUCGAAGAUGAUGCAACCAGGCGGUGUCGUUCCUCCACCCAUGGCUCCGAUGGAUCAACAACAGCACCACCACCACCAGCAGCAACAGUACCCGCCGCCGCAACAGCAGUGGUUCAUGAUGCCUCCUCAGCAACCUCCGGUUCAGCCUCAGGAUCCUCAGGUUUGGGGCCAGCAGCAGGUGUCGGCUCCACAGCAUUCUCAGCCUACGCAAUAUGGAAUUGCGCCUCCGUCGACUGCUGCUUCACCCGGCUCCAAUGAGAUUCGCUCUCUGUGGAUUGGGGACUUACAGUAUUGGAUGGACGAGAAUUAUCUUUCUUCCUGCUUUUUCCAUACUGGAGAGGUAUAAGGAGAAUUUGGUUAAAUUGUACGUUUUUCGAAAUUUGGGGGAAUUUUGGGGAAGAUUUGAGUAAGAUCGUUUAUUUUGAUUUAUUGUUUGGUUUCUUAACCUCAUGAUAACCUCCGGCUUUAUAGAUUCAUUAAAAACGGUAGGUUUUGCUAUCGAUUGCAGAUAUAAUGCAUGCAGUGCUAGACUUGGUUUUGUAGUUCUGUAUAUAGGCGUGGUUUUUGUUUUUGGUAACAAAGUGCAUGCCAGGCUUUUUGUUCACUUGUAGUAUUGGCCUUGGCGUUGUAAUUUUCGGUUUGUACAGGUGCUAUCUUGUACUCAACGUUAAUACCUCGAUAUUCCAAAUUAUUUGUAGCUCUGCGAAUAUUCUUGAGGCGCUUUUGGUAAUGUUUUGUAAGAAGAUCAAAAACUAGAAUUUUAGUCAGGGAGUUAUUGCUAGUGUUCGUUGUAGAGAUUGAGCAAGGGCGGGAAAGAUUUUUUUUGACUGAUUUUAAUUCUUCGUUUUGUCGUCUUUCAGCUUGUUUCUGUAAAGCUUAUUCGUAACAAGCAAAGUGGUCAAUCAGAGGGCUAUGGCUUUCUUGAGUUCAGGAGUCGUUCAGCGGCUGAAAAUGUUUUGUUUACGUAUAAUGGCACAUUGAUGCCGAAUGUCGAGCAACACUAUCGUUUGAAUUGGGCUACUCUUGGUGCUGGUGAGAGGCGUACCGAUGACUCUCCUGACUACACAAUAUUUGUUGGGGACUUGGCUGCUGACGUGACAGAUUACCUUCUCCAAGAGACAUUUAAAGCUGUCUAUUCGUCAGUUAAAGGCGCAAAAGUUGUUAUUGAUAGGAACACUGGACGGUCCAAGGGGUAUGGUUUUGUUAAGUUUGGGGAUGAGAGUGAGCAACUCCGUGCUAUGACAGAGAUGAAUGGUGUCAUAUGCUUAACCAGGCCCAUGAGGAUUGGACCAGCGGCUAACAAAAAACCUGCUGGCGUUCAGCAAUAUCAGAAAGGUAUGUCGUGCUGACAUCUCUUAAUUGAUGGUGGUGUGCUAUGGCAAGAAUUUAGGGCAUUGACAUUUGCUUUUUGUUCUCUUUUUAUUGGACUGUUUCAUUUGUUGUUUUCUUGGUACUUCUUAGUCGUAGGUGAAGCAAUAAGUUCCUAGUCAAGGCAUUGGAAGUUGUUUUUUACCGCUUUUGAGAUAUGAAUGUUCUUUGAGUUUUGCACAUGAAGAUACGUGGAAUUUACGAAGUCAUUUCCUUCCAGUACUUACCUUUUUAAAAUGGGCUCAUAUACUUCUGCUAAAAAUUUAAAAAUCUUAUAAAACUCAUGUUGUCUCGAAGCAGGAAACAGAGAGGCUCUCAUUUACGGGGGGCCUGGAACUGAUUUCAGCUGAAUUGAUUCCACUUUAAUGGGUGGCAGUCCUUUUAGGUCAGUUAAUUUGUUUAUGCCAUAAGCUUCCUUACUUCGAUUUCCUGUGGCAUUUUUAUGCUACACACACUUACUUUCCAGUUUCUUACUUUGGAGUUUAGAAGGGAAUAUUUAUUUUCUUUCCUUCAGAGGUUUCAUUUCCUUUCUCGCUUCCUUCAUUCUACUUGAUCCUCAACUACCUUCAUUCCAUUUUGUUAUGGACCAGUUUCUUUGGUGACAAAGGAUACUCUAUUUCUUCCAUUGCCAAUUGUUUUUUUACCUUAUCUUUUACCAGUUAAUGUUUUUUCCAAGUCUUCUCAUGGUGUAUGGUUCUGUUAGUAACCUGGGGAAUGAUUUUUUAUAGUCUUCCAACCCAGUUAUUGCACUUCUAAUUUUGUAAAAAUUCUUUUUUUUAUUGAGUUUUUAUUCCAGGGAAAUGAAAUUGAUUUGGUCUUUUGAGGUUUUGGUGCAAUGAAUCUUUUGAGGCUCAGUCUUUUAAGGUUUCGUUGGAAGGGAAUCUCUGAGGAUCAUACAUUCAUGGAUUUCGAAGCUUUGUGAAAGUACUUCUUGAAUAUGUUUUUGUGGAUAAACAGGUCUUUUGGUUGGAUUUUUGUGUGGUUUAUGGGCUUCUUUGUGGUGUAUAAUUUACUAAGUGUUGUUACCGGUCUUGCAAUAGGCAUAAGUUAUGUUGGAAUUUUAUUUAUGUGACAUUUCAAUGAGAACAUGAGCGUGAGAAAAUCAUGGAUUGGCAAAACUGCAUAGCAUGAAUGAUUGGAUAUGACUAGAAAAAUCUUGUGUAAUGUUACCUGUUGCUGUUUUGCAUUUUCUUCUGUCAAGUUAGUAACUUAAAUCUUUUUUCAGUGAGCAUGACAAUCUUAAGAGAUUGAGAUUGUUUGCUUUUCAAGUUAUUCGUUUCUUCCUGCCGAAAAUAGUGUGCACUUUCCAAGCAUUCUCCUUGUCUUAUGCAUUUAGUGCAUCCUCUUGUUCCAGUGCAUCUAUGGUGACCAUUCUUAAAAGUAUGUGCUAUGUAUUGCCAAAAGCCCACUUACAUGAAAAACUUUGCUGUAAAGCUGCAUUUAUGUAUUCAAGAGCUUGUCUAUUGCUGUUCUUAGUUGUGCUUGACUAGUGUGACUAGAGUCGUGUUUGUCAAAGUGAAAACCUUUUAAAGUCUAAUGUAAUGUACUGCUUUGGAGCAUUAAUGUUAUAAAUUUUCUCUCUUUUGCAUGUUUCUUUUGGCUGGUCAAAUGAACUUUAUCAUUGUUAGCUCUGAAGUUUUGAUCAAUGGAUGAGUAAACAUUUAUAUACCUUAGAAGAAAGGUGUACUACAGAGAAGUGCAGUUGUGCCUCUUACUUAGUGUACUAUUGGUGUCUCAAUACUUCAUUUGGCAUUCCAGUGUGCGAUGCAGUAGCUGUCUUAUCAAACUGAUAAUAUCUCUGUAACUCACAGUUUCCUUUUAAUUUCUGGUCAUUCUUACCUUUAUCCAUCAUUUGCAGCUCCCAAUCAGAAUACUCAAGGAAAUGAGGGUGAAAGUGAUCCAAAUAAUACAACAGUGCGUAGCUUGUCUUAGUUAUGGAUUUACUUUUGUUACCUGUGUGGUAGUUAAGACUGUUUCUUGUAAGUGCAGAUAUUUGUGGGUGGAUUGGACCCAAGUGUGACAGAUGAGAAUUUGAGGCAAGUAUUUGGCCGAUAUGGGGAAGUUGUACAUGUAAAGAUACCUGCAGGGAAGCGAUGUGGUUUUGUUCAAUUCACUAAUAGGUAACCUUUAAAUUUUGGGGGAAAAAUGUUGUGGUAAAUUUUGCAGUUCGUGAUGGCCUAUUUCUUUUGAUUUUUCUGUGCUAGGGCAUGUGCGGAACAAGCAUUGGAAAGCUUGAAUGGUACACAGUUGGGAUUACAAAGUAUUCGACUUUCAUGGGGGCGUAGUCCUUCCAACAAGCAGGUUUGGGCCAUCUUUCUGUCUCUUGGUACGGUUGAUAGUUGCAUAUAAUUGCAUAUCUUACUUUUCCUUGAUUUUGGACAGUCGGAUCAACCCCCGUGGAAUGGUGGAUGCUAUGGUUAUACACAAGGUUAUGAUGCAUAUGCAUAUGCUCCACCUCCGCAAGACCCAAAUGUAUAUUAUGGAGGUUACCCUGGAUAUACAAAUUACCAACAGCCGCAGCAGGUAGGAGAAUGCGAAAUGUUUUUAUGCGUUUUUUGUUUGUUGCUGAAUUAACCAGCAAGGGUGUUACUUUUUUAGUUGGUUUUGUUGGUUCAGGAAGUGAUGCAAACGUCCCUGGUUCUUGUCCUCCUUUGUUGAAUUUUUUUAGAUAGAUGAGCAACUGAAAUUCCUUGUGCUAAUAUUUGCAGUGAUCUAUUGUUGCAAGUUGCAAGCCUUGGCAGUCUACGCAACUUGGUAUAUGAAAGCCUCAGAGAUUGUUCAGGGUAUUUGCUUGCUAUUCACGCUCGUAACAUGUCCAAUCAAGAGAGUUGCGGUAUUUGGCUGAAUGAUAGUUUGCCGUUAUGGGAGGGCUAAGAACCAUAUGUGCUCUUAUAUAUUUCGUUACUUUAUGACUCUCCAUCAAUUUGGGAGCUGUUGGGGCGGGCGGGCUUGUUUCAUGGUGAUGAAGGUUUACAGUAUUGUUAUUAUGUCGAGGAUUUUGACUGGUUUAUCUCUAAUAGUGACGCUUAUAAUGCUUGCCAUCCUAAAUCUAGAAUUAUUGGUUUAAGUAUUGGUGUUUGUGGCUCUCCAAUGUCGUGUGUCACUGUCUGUUUGGAUUCAUGUCUUUCUCAAAAACUUGUAUUCGAAGUGUUAAAACACCCCAAAUGUAUUCCAAAUCUGCAAUACAACACUCCAAAUAUAUUUGAAAUAUACCUAUAACAUAAACACCAAAAAUUAACUGAAAAAGAAUCCACCACUUGUUUCUUCCACCUCCACCGUGACUGUACCUCCCCUUUCCCCCCCCCCCUUCGGGCCCCCCCUUCAUCCUUAGCUCCUCGUAAUAAUCCCGAUCCCUACCAUGUCCCUCCCUUCCUCCUUUUACCUCCUCAUCUCCUAUUCCUCUCUUUUUUAUGGCGCUAUCAUCUUUUCCUUCUCUUUUCUUUUUCCGCAUACCCCUUGUUCUCCCCUUUUCCUUUCCUAGAUGACUAGAUUCGAUUGCUGGGGAGGAGAGAAGGAAGUGGGGGAAAAAGGGAGACCAAGUGGAAGAAGGUGAAGAGAGGAAAUGGAGGAGGAGGAGGAAGCAGGAAGCAGGAAGCAGGAAGGGAAGUAGUGUUGAUGGAGGAGAGUGAGAUGGUAGAGGGGCACGAGAAGGGAGAUGAUGUUGGGUGGGAGGGAGGAGGGAAAGGAAGGAAGGUGGGGAUAAUUCUUAAAUUUUUUAGAAACAUCUCAAAAAUUUAAAAUUGAAAAAAAUGUCACAAUAUAUCCUUUCCUUACUCUUACCUAUACUAAAAGCGGGAGUUUGCAAUUUGAGUUCAAUUGAUUUGGUCCGCUUAUCAGGCUUGUGAUUGGUUAUUGCGAGUCCGAUUAUUCGUCACCAUUUUAUAUCGGAAUCGGACCUGGCAUAACGACAUAGUCACCGCCCAUCUUGAAAUGCACCGUGAAGAUUUUUUGGUAUCAUAUACGAUAUAUGAGGCUGCAAAUGAAUUGAGUCGAGUCGAGUUUUGACUUAAUUAAAACGAGUUUUGAUCUCAAUUUAAUUUUUCCAAACUUGAAUUCGAAUUCGAACUUGACGAACUCUCAAUAUAAAACUCGAGCUCGAUUUAAAAAAAAAUAAAUAUAAUUAUUUAUUUUUUUUUAAAUGCACCGUGAAGAUUUUUUGGUAUCAUAAAUGAGGUUGCAAAUGAAUCGAGUCGAGUCGAGUUUUGACUUAAUUAAAACGAGUCUUGAUCUCAAUUUAAUUUUCCCAAACUCGAAUUCGAAUUCGAACUUGACGAGCUCUCAAUGUAAAACUCGAGCUCGAUUUAAAAAAAAUAAAUAUAAUUAUUUAUUUUUUAAAAAAUAUAUAAAAUAAUAAUUUUUCUUAACAUAUAAUAAAGUAUUAGGGAUACAUAUGUAAUUUUAUUAUUAAAAUAAUAUAUAUAUAUAUCUUUACUAUACUAAAAGCGUCAGUUGGCUUAGCUACAGUGAAAAUGGGCCGGUUAUAGCGUGAUUUGUGUGAGCUUGAGGGGCAGUUUGGUCUUUUGCCAUUCAGUGGUGUGGCUUUGCUAUCCGCGUGGCUUUGUUAUGGGCACUGAAUAGGGAGCCGCCGAAUACACCAGCUACGCCUAACAUGUGAAAUGAGAAAUUCCAUUUCAACGAAAAUUUUGCCACUUUGGAUACAUUGAGCCCAACAGAGAUAGAGAGAGCGAGAGAUGGUCUGCACUCGUGGCAUCUACCUUUUGACUUUGAUUUUCAAACCCUCAUCUUACCUGGCCUAACAUUUUCAGUAUAGAUUGUAGAAGAAACAACUUACCAUGUUGGACGAAAUUCGUACUCAUUUUUCGUAGCCAUUUUGUAUGAUAAAAUAUUCAAUAAAAUUUAAAACCGUUAUAAUGGCUCGAUACUAGAGGUGACAAAUCAACCCACCUAAUUAAAUUUACCUAUACCGGUCCAUGAAUAGAUGGUAUAAGUUCAAAAUUUUUGAAUUAAAUUUUUAUAUUAAUUUUUAUAGUACUUAGUUCAAAUUUUUAUAUUCUUAUUAUUCAAUUAUUAAAUAAUAGAUAAUUUUGUAACAUAGAGUAUAAAUGAAAAAAAAAUGGUAAUUAAAUUUAUUGAACAUUAUAAAUAAAUAUUUAAAACUAAUAAUGGGUACAAAGAGUGGUAUAAAUUGAUAACUUGUUUUGCAAAAAUAAAUUUAAACGAGUUUACCAAAAGUUAAAAUAAAUAAGUUGUAAAUGGGUAAUUGAGUUACACAAUUCAUUUUUUGACUUACCCAUUUAUACCUAUCUAAUUAAAUGAGUAUAAAUGAGUUAAUUUACUUAUACCCAUUACCCAUUUUAUUCAACCCAAAUUCGUACUCAUUUUUCGUAGCCAUUUUGUUGACAAUAUUAAUAAAACUCAAACCAAUUGUUAUAAUGGCUCGAUACUAGAGGUGACAAAUCAACCCACCUAAUUAAAUUUACCUAUAUCGGUCCAUGAAUAGAUGGUAUAAGUUCAAAAUUUUUGAAUUAAAUUUUUAUAUUAAUUUUUAUAGUACUUCGUUCAAAUUUUUAUAUUCUUAUUAUUCAAUUAUUACUAGAGGUGACAAAUCAACCCACCUAAUUAAAUUUACCUAUAUCGGUCCAUGAAUAGAUGGUAUAAGUUCAAAAUUUUUGAAUUAAAUUUUUAUAUUAAUUUUUAUAGUACUUAGUUCAAAUUUUUAUAUUCUUAUUAUUCAAUUAUUAAAUAAUAGAUAAUUUUGUAACAUAGAGUAUAAAUGAAAAAAAAUUGAUAAUUAAAUUUAUUGAACAUUAUAAAUAAAUAUUUAAAACUAAUAAUGGGUACAAAGAGUGGUAUAAAUUGAUAACUUGUUUUGCAAAAAUAAAUUUAAAUGAGUUUACCAAAAGUUAAAACAAAUAAGUUGUAAAUGGAUAAUUGAGUUACCCAAUUCAUUUUUUAACUUAUCCAUUUAUACCUAUCUAAUUAAAUGGGUAUAAAUGAGUUAAUUCACUUAUACCCAUUACCCAUUUUAUCCAACCCAAACCCACCCAAGUCACCCAUUUCAACACCUCUACUCCAUACUUUAUAUUCAAGCCCAACAUUUUUGUUUUCCCACUUUAGCUUUCUUGCUUUGUUUUACCUUGAGAAACAAGAAUUUUCAUGAUAAACUGAAUUUGUUCUUCACUACGAUUUCCCUUGUGUUCCAACAAAGGAACGUUUAACUUAAAAUAAAUAUUUCAACCAGGGGAAAAAAAAACCAGUUUAAAAACAACUAAUAUAACGGUUGAUAUAUACAUACACUGAUACAUCUAUACCUUCUAUACAAAAUGACUUUCUAAUUAUCGAAUGCAAUCAUAUUACCGAUUAUCAUCGUUUAACCUACUCCAUAAAAUUAAAUUAAAUUAACACAAGUUAGGGCAACCUCGCGCGUAGCGCGAGGCCUAAAAAACUAGUAUACUAAAAGUGCCCGUUGGAGUUGCUACAGUGCUCAUGGGCCGGUUAUCCGGUAAUUUUGAGCAACUUCAGUGGCAUUUUCAUAGGCAGGCCGGUUAUCCGGUAAUUUUGAGCAACUUCAGUGGCAUUUCAUAGGCAGAUAGAUUGGUUAUGCUGUAAAUUUCGACAAUUCCAGUGGUAUUUCAUAGGCAUUUAUUUGGGCUUGCCCUCUUGCUCCAGAGUUCAACGCUAGAAUUCUUUCCCCUCUCCCUCCAGCGGCAUUUUUUAGGAAGCAUAUAUGUGCCAUAUAUAAAACUUGAUGCCCUUUACGGUGUUGCAUUGUUAGUUCUUUCUUCUUUUUUUUUAAAAUUUUUUUUGCCUUUAUUAUAAAGGAUAAAAUGGAUUUAUUCUGUAACAAAAUAAUAAAACAACAAUUUUAUCAUAACUUCGAAUCUUCCCAUAUUUUUACGUUCAAUUUCUCCAUGUUUAUCUACUAUAUUUGACACACAUUUCUUCAAUUUUUCUUUAUUAACAUCACCCAAAUUAAGUCCAUGCACUUGUUUCCCCUAUAAUACUUCACUUUUAUAAGAGAAUUAUUAUUACAAAUAUUUUUAUUCUAAUUAGUUAUAUACACAUCUGAGUGCGCCUUACUCACUAUUAUGUAUAACAAGAAAAGAUUUUUUGAACAUGUUUGAACUAAUUCUUGAUAAGAAAUUUCAGAAAAGUAAUGUACUACCUAACCUUUAGUUUUAGAUACUUUUAUUGGUAUUUUUUUCAUUCAGAGUUUUAGCUCUCUUGCCUAUGUAAUCUUGAGAGAAAGCCAUCUGAAAGCAACAUAUUGGAUGUGUUUCUUUCUUCAAUUGAAGACCUGGAUUUGGUGGUUUUAUAAGGUGAAGUUUUCACACUCUCACCUAACUGAUCUUGUUGAAACUUAUUUCAUUCUUGAUUAGAUACAAAUAGUGUGUGCAUAAUUUUAAAAAUGAUCAGCGUCACCAUAUUUAUGAUAUUUGUAUGUACUUGUACAUUUUAAAUGAAUGCAUCAUUUAUUUAUAGUAUCAAGAAUUCGCAAGGAUCUUAAGCCAAAAACUGACUAUCUAAGAGAAAAUUACAAAUCAAAUGAGUAAACGAGUAACAACAAUAUUCAAUUUACCUAAAGUCAAAAUCUCCACAUUUAUUAACACCUAUCAUGUAUUAAAUAUAUAACCAAUUUACAUUAAUCCACUUACCUUCAUUUGAUCUUGAUUAACAUAUAGCCAGGGCAUCCUCACGCAUCGCGUGAGGUUGAAAAAACUAGUAUUGUUAUAAGAAAGUUUUUGAUACACGAUAUUAUAGUAAAUUUUUGAAAAAUAUCUUGAAAAGCACUUAAUUCAUAGCCCAAUGGUAGACCAAUUAUUAGUUUGGAUUUAUGGCUGGCCUUGAAAAUGUUCAAGAUGGGAUGGUGCAUUCCGAACCCUUGUCAACCGCUAACGUGCAAUUGAAAGCAAGAAAAGAAUACGCAUAGUUUUGGGAAAAUUGUAUAGGUUUCUUUAGGAUUUCCUUGAAUCACUGAUUACUACAUACAUUUAACAAUGGAAGUAAUUUGAUUGAAAUUGUUGCAAUUCAACUCUUAUUUCAUAAUCUAAAAUUGAAUUUCAAUUUAAGAGUAUGACAUUAAAAGGGGGUUAUAGUAUCUGUCGAUAUUUUGAUUUCAUUUCCAAAGUGGGAAAAAAGUAACUAGGGGAUGAUUUAAUUUUUAUCAUAGCGACACGGAUUAAGGGUCUCUCUAGUUGAUUCUAUCUAGUUCAAUCAUCUUGUUGGUGUAAUUCUUACAAUUUUGGAUGUAAAGUCUUGUAGAUUUAAUAUAAUCAUUAAUUAAUAUAUGAGUUGACACAACUCACGUUUACAUCAAAGUUAUAGCAUUUUACAUCAAAUGUAGUAUGCUUUCCACAACUGGCCGAGAGUGGAUACAAUUUUUUCUGGAGAAGCCCCCGACACCAGAUGCAUCAAACUUGGAAAGCUUCGUUUUGACUUUUGAGAGAAAGCUGCAAUGGAAAACAAAAUUUGUCGGGAGAUGAAAGUUGAGGUAUGAAGUUGAAUGUUUCCAAGGACCAGCGAUACUUGGCUGACAGACAAAUCCCUGUUGAAAGGCUUUGACAGUUGGUUGGUUGCACGACAAAGUUGCACGGAUGCACCGUAUAGGUUUAAAAUUCAGGCUCGUAAAUGAUUUUGGAGUACACAAAAGAAAAAGUCUGCAUUGGGGCAAAUCAAAGACAAAGUCAAUACGUUUUCCAGGAUCUCUAAUUUGAUGGCUAUCAUUGCGCAUGGAAAUACUGUACUUUCAACACAUGUUAUAUUUGUUAAGCAACGAUUUUCACAGCCUAUAUAUAUAUAUAUGUAUGUAUGUAUGUGUAUAUAUAUAUUCACCAGAGUUUUUCCUUGCCUCAUUUUGUCGAUCCAACUAGGCUUGCAACCCAGCUCAUAGUAACAUUACAAAAAGAAUAACAAGGCGAGUAUAUACCGUUGUAGCUGCAUUCACUGGUCUAGUUCAAGAACUGAGGUUGUUGAUAUUGCAUUUACAAAUUACAACUGGCCUGGCUUUCCAAGAAUUUUAACUUCUAUCCUCCCUGUUCCGUUCAUAGCCCAAUUCCAAUACUUAUUGCUUCACAAGUAUAGACGUAGUUUGCGCUUCUCAGUCGAAUCUUUUCAGAAAAUAUAGCAGAAGAUGGGUGUUCCGCUCAAAUUGAUGCCUAUUCUAGUCUCAUUUUUUGUGUUGGUGAUAGGCGCUUCUCAAGCAACGUCCCGCUUGUUGCAUGAAUAUGAUGAAGCGGCAAUGGUUGAAGAGCAUGAAAAGUGGAUGGCAACUUAUGGACGUGUUUACAAGGAUGAUGCAGAAAAGGCAAAGAGAUUCCAGAUAUUCAAGAAGAAUUUUGAGUAUAUCGAAUCUUUUAACAAAGCUGGAACUAAGACUUACAGCUUAAGCAUCAACCGGUUUGCUGAUAUGACCAAUGAGGAGUUCCGGGCUCGCAAUGGAUACAAACCAUUUACUUCAUCGAAGUCAGCAUCAUUUAGAUAUGAGAAUGUUACAGAUGUUCCAUCUAGCUUGGACUGGAGAGAGGAGGGAGCUGUUACUCCUGUCAAGAACCAAGGAGACUGUGGUAAGUCAACAAAUCUCUCUCUCUUCUCUAUAUUUGUUUUCUCCAAUAAGAUGCCAUUAUAUCAUAACAGGACGUGGGAUUCGCAGGAUUAGUUUAACAAAGUUUUGGACCCAAUCUACAGGAUGCUGCUGGGCGUUUUCAGCUGUGGCAGCUACGGAAGGAGUUCACCAGCUGAAAACAGGUGAGCUGAUUUCGCUAUCCGAGCAAGAACUGGUGGACUGCGAUACAGAUGAGGAUCGAGGCUGCGAAGGUGGUUUAAUGGACUCAGCAUUUAGCUUUAUCAUCAAAAACCAUGGCCUCACAACUGAAUCACAUUAUCCAUACUUGGGGAUUGAUGGCAGUUGCAGUGCAAAUGAGGAACAUCCCCCUGCAGCAACCAUCAAAAGUUAUGAAGACGUCCCUGAAAAUAACGAAUCAGCCCUCUUGAAAGCCGUGGCUAAUCAACCUGUAUCUGUUGCAAUCGAUGCUGGUGGACAAGAUUUUGCGUUCUACUCCAGUGGAGUGUUUACAGGAGAAUGCGGCACUCAUUUAGACCACGGUGCCACAGCCGUAGGCUAUGGAAUAAGCGAAGAUGGAAUCAAGUAUUGGUUAGUCAAGAACUCAUGGGGUGUUGAUUGGGGUGAAGAUGGAUACAUCAGAAUGCAAAGAGACAUUCAUGAUGUGCAAGGGCUUUGCGGGAUUGCCAUGAAUGCUUCUUAUCCUAUUGCUUGAAGUUUUCUUAGAUUCAAAUCAGUUUUUUUUUUUUUUGCCCUCAUUUUUAUGGCGUAUUUAUUGAAGUUUAGUUGCUUACGGAUUUUUUUGCCAUUCGAUGGUAGCAAUCUCUUGCAUUUGACCCUUAACUUAGUUUUGGAAAGUUGUACUCAACUUACAAGCUUGUAUUUGCAAGAAAUGAAGUCUGAAAGAAUUACCAAAAAAAAAGAAAAGAAAGGGCUAAAGUCACUUCCUUCUGUUCUAAAUCCACACAAUUGAUCAUUAUUAAGUUGCAUUUGUAAUGAAUCUUGUACACAACUUAAAAAUAUGGGCGCGGAGAAAACUAAUUAGUCAGCACAGAGCGAUAGGAUCUUUGAACUAUGCCUCAACAAUGAUGAUUAGUUCCAACGCCAAGAUCUCUUCAACCCUUUCCUUAACCCUCAUAAUCAAAUAGCAUUUGGUCCCCAUAUUGCAAAUGUAUCAUUAUGCUAAUCACCAACGCAAGAUUAAAUUUAAGGGAAAAUCGUUCAAAACGUCCUUCACAUUUUACAAAAUAACUUUUUUCAUCUCUCACUUUUAAAAAUAUAAUUUUACGUCCCUUACAAAUUCACAUUGAUCAAAUUUGGUUCUUACUUAAGUUUUCGACUAAUUUUUGAUCGAAAUUCACCACGUGCCUUGCAUGAGAUUAUACUUUAAGGACAAAAUUAUCAAAUUAAAUUUUAUAUAAUUCGAUUACAACUUGGCACACUCGAAAAAAAAAAAAAAAAAGAGCUUACGCGGAAUAAAAAAGAAAAAAUGGGUAUUGGCAUUUUUUGAGAUCCUAAAAAAAUAAAAAGGAAAACAAAAGUCCGAGAAUAAAAUCAUAAAUACAAAUAUAAAGUUCACAUGGAAUAAUGAAGACAAAAUUGUAAUCAGGACAAGAAGCGUUCCUAAAAGGACAUUAUCCACCAUUGAGCGGAAAUUUAUUACCUACUGCUUCCCUUGCUUCUCUCUCUCUUCUUACUGUUUAUUGGUUCUUGGUUCCUAUUAAUUAAUGGUGAGUUGAAGCAAGUAAAAGAUCACAAAGUUAUGAAGCCAAAUCUGAAGACACUAGUAUCUGUAGUUUCAUUGGCAGUUGUUUCAGUGAUAAAUGUAACUGCUACGACCGGCGAUUACAUUCGACCUGCACCUCGGAAAAAUCUUCAGUUUCCAUGGAGUCCGAAGCAUUCUUCUCAUCCCCAACAGGUAAGAAAAGGGAUCAACUGGAAGGCCUUUCUUUUGUCCUUUAAACUAGUUUGCUUUUUGUUUUAGUGAAUUUUGGAUAAAGGGUUGUUAGCAAGUCCACUGCCUGUGAUGCUAUCAUAACGGGAUCUUGUUAAUUUUCUUGAGCUUUGAUGAAAAGAGUGUGAAUUGUUUCAAAGAAAGUGUGUGUACGUUUAAGUCUUCAGAAAUUUGUUGUCAAUUGGUGUUUGUCAUGGUUAAAGCUCAAGCUUAUUCAUCGAAAGAUGAUAUCUUUGUGGGAGACUUGUGAUCAGCUCACCUAUAUUAGUUGCUAAAAAUUGGAAAACAAAAAAGCAUAUAAAAUAAAAUAAAGGGAGCAUUCAGAAAGUGUAGGAGAGCUUAUAUUACUGUUUUCUGUAGGUAUUAUAUGUAUAGAUGUACAUGCGUGCUUCUUACUUCCUUGCAUGUAGCCGUCAAUAGUAAGAUUCAAUGCUUCAAGAGGUCACUGAUGUUGGAUUUCCAGCGCAUAAUGCACUCUUAGUGUAGCCAAAAGUUUGUGGAUGCUGUUUAUUGUUGCAGGAUUAUUUUGAUUCUUUCUUGUCAGGUUUAUGUAUGAAGGCUGUAAAGCUGCUUGUUCUUACUCAGGGAUAUUUUCGUUGCACAAUUUGACUUUCCUCUUCGCUCUUGUUGAGUUGCUGUAGGUUCAUAUCUCUUUGGCCGGGGAUAAGCACAUGCGUGUCACAUGGAUCACAGAUGAUAAAUCUGCUCCUUCAGUUGUUAACUAUGGGAUGUCACCUGGAAAAUAUAACUCUGUUGCUCAAGGAGAAAGCACAUCGUACAGUUAUCUUCUGUACAGCUCAGGGAAGAUACACCAUACUGUCAUUGGGCCACUGGAGGAUGACACCAUAUACUACUAUCAAUGUGGUAGAGAGGGUCCUGAGUUCAAGUUCAAAACCCCACCAUCCCAGUUCCCAAUCACUCUGGCAGUGGCUGGUGAUUUGGGUCAAACUGGAUGGACCAAAUCAACUUUAGAUCACAUAGACCAGUGCAUAUACGAUGUGUAUAUGCUCCCUGGAGACCUUUCAUAUGCUGAUUACAUACAGAGUAGGUGGGAUACAUUUGGUGAGCUGGUGCAGCCACUUGCCAGUGCCAGGCCUUGGAUGGUGACACAAGGUAACCAUGAAAAGGAGCACAUACUACUAAUCAAAAAGUCGUUUGCUGCUUAUAAUGCAAGAUGGAAAAUGCCAUACGAGGAGAGUGGAUCCAGUUCAAACUUGUACUAUUCAUUUGAUGUUGCCGGUGCACAUAUCAUCAUGCUUGGUUCAUAUACAGAUUAUGAUGAAUUCUCGGACCAAUAUAGUUGGCUGAAGGUUUGAACAUCUGUAUGCUUUUGCGCGAAAUUGCCUUUCUUUCAAUAAUUUUCCCACUACUCUUCCAAAUAAGGUAAUUAAAGUAUCAGGGCCACGGGUAUGAUUAGUGUCUUUCUGAAAUGUCUGACAUAAUCAAGGGCAGAGAAAAGGAGAGAUUUAUUUUCAUUACUUAUCCAUAUCGGUUUUGAGGAAUUGCUUUGAGGUCGCUCUGAAAUUUAAAUGUCAACAUGAAGCAGUACCGCUGUAGACAUUUAUGCCUAAGUGAAUCAUUGAAUCACAACCUUUGAUUGUUCUGAUGAGCUAGAACACAUGGAAUGUAGAUUCAGCAAAAAAUUUUAUAUGAGUUGUAUUGCUUAUGUUUCUUUUAAAACAAAUCUAUUCCAGGAUCCAUAUCCAUUACAAUAAUUUCAGAUUACUAAUCAAGUUCUUUCCUUUGCUUGGAAAAGUUUAUGGUUUGUCUAUAAAUUUCGUUUCCUCUAAGAUAUUUUUAACAGAAAGUCAUGCUCUUAAAUGAUUCUAAAAGCGCAUAUGUCGAGUAAUAGAAUAGGACAUAUGUCUUCAAUGAUUAAUUUUCUGAACCAAGAAAACUUAGUAGUUCACUGAACCUUGAAUUACAGGCUGAUCUUGCGAAGGUAGAUCGUGAGAAGACACCUUGGCUACUUGCACUAUUCCAUGUGCCGUGGUACAACAGUAAUGAUGCUCAUCAAGGCGAAGGUGACAACAUGAUGGCAUCAAUGGAACCUUUACUAAACGCUGCCGGUGUGGAUAUCGUACUUGCUGGUCAUGUGCAUGCUUAUGAACGCUCGGUAUGCCCAAAUUGGUUUAACUUCUUAUUUGGUCCCUUGUUUCUGAGUGAUCUGGAACCUAACCUGAUUAUUUGGUUCCUUGUCCGCAGCAACGUGUUUACAAUGGCAGAUCGGAUUCUUGUGGUGCUGUACAUAUAACAAUUGGUGAUGGAGGAAAUAGAGAAGGUUUAGCACAUCGGUGAGUCUUCCUCUUGAUCCCCUUGCACACCUAAGAAAGAUUAAAGAGAGCCUCUUUCAUGUAGUAUGGCUCUUUGGGUCGAGUAACUGAAUUGCAUCGUGAACAAGAGUUAUUGGUUUAAUGAAGCGUCCUUUUUUCUUUUUCUCUCUCUCCCGGAAUACUUCAAUUCCGUCGUACAUUCGCAACAAAUAUUUUCUGCGUAUAGGAAAAAAAAAAAAGCUUUUGGGGAAGUUGAAAAGGGAGUGACAUUGAUCCAAGCAGGGAUGUUUUUUGAGUGCGUGCCUGUGUUUGUUUGUGUGUCUGUCACAGAGAGAGGGGAAAGGGGGAGGGUGGGGAGGACUGAAGGAGUUAAACUUGAUGUUUUGAAACAUUGAUAUCUCUGUUGAGUCAUUAUUGAGUUUUACAAGUCACUUUUUGCAAUUCAUGUUCUUCCCUUUUCCUCUCCACAUUGACGUCUAACUAGUCUUGGGAAAUGAUGACAGGUUCAAAGAUCAACAGCCUGAAUGGUCAGUGUUCCGCGAAGCAAGUUUUGGUCAUGGUGAGCUCAAGAUAGUGAAUUCCACUCAUGCUUUCUGGAGCUGGCAUAGGAAUGACGAUGAUGAACCAGUGAGGUCCGAUGAGGUCUGGAUAACCACUCUAAGGAGUUCGGGUUGCAUUCUUGAAGAGAGUCGUGACUUGAGAAAGCUCCUAUUGCAGCCGUAAAACUGUUCUCUCAAGGGGGUGCCUAAUUAAAUGAACUACUGCACAAACUCCUGAAGCAGUGUAUAAUACCAGCAUAGUUAGAGGAGUGCAAAUCUGCAAGUGUUGUACUGUUAUUAUGUAUUGUAAGGUAUUGUAAGAACGGUAUGUACCUUCCUUUCUUCUGGAAGUGGACUGAAUCCUUAAAUUGCUGUAUAAGAAGAUUACUUACGGUAUGUGAGUUUAAAUCCAGGGUGUUAUUUUCUGAAGGUGGAUUGAAUCCUUAAAAGUACUCGGCACUUUGAAUUUAAAACCAGGGCCCUUGGGCAAAGCAGGACAUUAACGUGAUCUUCAUUAAUCUGGGUCCUAUGUCUUCUGGAACUGUGGAAAGUUCGAGGAUAAGAUUUUUUCAAAGGUAAGAGAAACUAGAUAUCAGCUUUUGAGUACAGUUUGAUUGGUUCCUUCAAGGGAUCCGGACAGACAGCAAGAAAAUCCUCAUCGUGUUGCCGACAUCCAAAUUUGCCAUCGCCCUUGACAUAAAAGUGGUAACAAGUAUUACCAAAAGAAGAACUUGUUAUAACUGAUCAAGUACUGUACUUAGAAAUGGUGAAUAACGUGACGGACGGUACCAAGAUUUUGUUAGCUACUAGGAAGCGUCUGGAGCUGGUAUAUGCUGAGCUGCGCAAACUCUGUGUGUGUGUGUGUGAGAGAGAGAGAGAGACAACACACAGCAUCAGUAGUUGCAAUCUGUUUGAUAAAUAAAAUUUGGACGAAAAGAAAAAAGGUUUUUACGCAACAAUGGCAUCGUUCCACAGCGGGACACUAAAUACGAAUGACAAAAUGGGAGGCGAUUACUCUACAGUCUAAUAUAAAAUUGGUACUCCAAUCCGUUAGCUAUAUAGCCUAUAAGAUUCCACCUUUCUACCGAGUGCUUUCAAUUUUUAACCUUUCAAUCAUAUCAUGUGCCAACAACCUAGGACUCAAAACUGCGAAUAGGCAAAUUAUCAGCCAUAAAGUCAGGAAGACCUCAUCCCAGAAUAAAGCAGUCAGCUCAUGCUUCCCAAAUCUGGUUGGUGAUUAAUGGAGGAAAUGAAGCAAGAUGUAAACCCAAGUUAAUGAGCUCAACUCCAAGUAUACGACUUUCUACUUCUAGCAUCUUUUUAAGUUGCAAGUUCCACUGCACUUGAGCUGUAUAUCUGAUCAUUCCUUCCCCGCCAAAGUAUUAUUUGUUCGUCCUUGAACAAGAUAGGAGUACAAGGUACCAGAUCCUGCAGCAGUGUAAGCAAUGGGAAUGAGAAAUGCAGCAUCAGACGUACGGGUCAACCAAUUUGAGACAAACAAAUUCCAUGUAAGAUAGUUAUUGCUCUCCACAAGAGCCAUACCCGUAACUUAACUCCUAUCCUUUUGCAGUCACUAGUCCCCACGUGUGCACAAUCUAGUCUAACAACUUCCUUGGUCUUAAAUGCAUCUCUCACUCUGUCCACCACAUUCACAUACACACCAUUCCUGGCUGUAGAAAAGAAGCAAAAACUAUUACCAGCUCUACAUAACAAAUAAAGCAGCAUUUAAUUUCGCGAGUUUAACCAUGAGAAGAAAUGGGCAGACAGUAUAAAACUCCCGAAACUAAAUUCCCUUACUGAGUUUCAUUAUGGGAUCAGAGUUGAGCCCUUUGUUUCUCAUCUCCUUUGCCUCGUCAAAUGUCAGGCCAUCAGCAACAGGCUUCACAAGCUUUGGAUAUAUUGGUGCAUAUGGCUUCCACAGCAUCAAAGGAAUGACUGGUCUAUUUUUAGGAUCAUAGUUCCGACCUCUGUAUAGCAGGAGAACGUUACUCUGACGAUAAAUUAUCAUCCCACCAGAUUUAUCCUACAAGCGCACUGUGAUCCUGAUGAGCACAAACCACAGAUAGACUAAAUAAAGAAAUGAAACACUUUUAAGGUUUGAGAUUAACAGGUAGUUUACAGUUCCAAACCUCGAGAUGAAAACAAACAUUGUCCAUGUCAAGAGUUGGCACCCCUAAGCACUUAAUCCUCACAGCUUCAGCCCUCUUCCAAUGGUUAUGAAUGUCUUCCAGCAUGUUGUGAGUAACUCCUCCUUUCCCUUUAUCAAAUUAAGUAGAUGGAAAACCCAAUUCAUUAUUCUUUACAACUAGAGCCUAGCAUGAGUUUUCAUAAUAUGCAUAAUUCCCUCAUCCUGAAAACUAAACACAGUAUUAAGCAAGAAUCGCAACCCAAUAAAAUCUCAACUCCCAACUCAUCACCACUGAAUCCUAUCACGCACUAACAUAUUGAUAUUCAAUAACAGGGGGAGCCUAAAACAAACUUUUCAGCCUCUAAAAUCAUAUUCCAUAAUGCCUUGGCUGCUUAAAAGUUUUCCUCAAACAUAAGUUCAGAUACCUAAUAAAUUAUCAGCAAGAGAUAAAGCACUUGACCCAAGCUCAAAGGAACGUCCUUGGACUUGGUUUGAUUAGUAAAUCAAGCUCUAAUUACUUUUCCUAGCAAAAGAGUGAAUUUUUUUUUUUAAUCAUCAGAAUCAAAAGGAAACAAAAUUUGAAAAUACCUAGAUUGAUUUGGCGAGAACAAUCACUAUGCCUAUAUUUCUCCACGAGCUCUGCAAUCUCCUCCUCCAUUAAAGGUUCCCCAAGAACCUUAUUCCGUUGCUCGGCCAACUUCUCCGAAUCCACAGACUCUUCCGCCGGGGCCGACGUCCCGGUCCAUUUCCGGUCAAGCCGACCAGGACCAAAAGGAGAGAACCUCGGCGGUUCGCGAAACCCGAUUGGCUUCACAUCCGGGUUGGUCUCAGAGUAGGAGUACUUGAAAUCAAAGGGUAGGUCCGACUUUACCGGAAAAUUCAGGGCAUUUCGGGAAUCAAGCACAUUCGAGGAACCCUUUUUCCCUCCUCGAGCUUUCUUUUGUUCAUUUUUCUUCUUGUGUUGUCUCCCGGCCCGGGGUUUAAGGAGGGUUUUGGAGGUAGCUGAGAAUGGAGGGUCGUAAAUGUCGUCGUCUUCAUCAGAUAACGGAGAGUGGCUCAGAAGUCGAGAGACACAGAGCAUUGGGGAUGAGGGUAAGGGCGUGAUUUUGGGUAGGCCUCGAGAGGUUGUCCGACGCCACGCGAAGAGCUUCAGCAUCGACAAAUGCGAUGUCCGUCAGGUGUCGUCGCUCGCCAGGUGAAAUGAAGAAAUUAGUCUAGUCCACGCCACUCUUGGGUACAACCGUACAAGACUUGCUGCUGGCUUCUCUCCAAGUUUUGCCAAGGGUUUUGGGCCUGGUUGGAACUGGGCUUAAAAUUGGUACUUUCAUUAGAAUAGGACGUGGAUUUGGAUUGCACUUUGUUGAACUACUCAGUCGUUUAUCAAGCCUAAAUUUACAGUAUUCAGUGCUUUGCCUUAUUCAUGUUAAAUUUAAUCGAGAUUUGUGCUUACUGGAGUUCACUGUCUGAAUUUGUGAAGUUAGUUAACUCUAAUUCUUGUUAGGGGUUGGUCUAAUGAAGUAACAAAUUAAUGUUGGACAAGUUCCUAUCAAACUAAUCCCACCUCGAGGAUAAAUGUUGGUUGGUAUUCAAUUCCUAUUGUUAACAAAUAAGGUGCUUAAAGAUUGAACCUAAUUUACCAAAUUGGUUGCAUGGUUAAUGUUUUACAUUACUAAAUUAAAAAUUGCAGUGGAUACCUUAAUAGUUAUCAAGAUAUUUUGCCUUAUUGAGUUUCAUCUUGAUUAGGUGUGUAAACAAGUCUAAUUAAAUUGAACAUUUCAUUGUUUAAAUUUGUUUGAUUAUUUUAACGAGUUUGAAAUUUUGUUCAAACUUAACUUGUUUAUUCAUCAAAUCAAGUUUGAACGAGCUCUUUAUCGAGUUUGAAUGUUAUCGAAUAUGAAAAACUAUUUAAUCUUGACUUUGAUUAGUUGGCGAAUCAAACUCGAAUGAACUAUUACCAAGCUGAGUUCGAUUCGAUAGUUGGUUCAUCUUUCAGCCUUAAUCUUGACUUGCUAUGAGUUUUUAAUGUUAAAGGCAUGAGAUGGGGUUACUUAGUUAAAGAAGUUACUAGGCCUUUCCUCGAUGUAUAUACUAUAUAACAACACAUUAUUCUUCCGUGUAAUUUGAGAGGUAAUGUGCAGAAUAUGUAAAAGCAUAAAAUGCUGAACGCUAACUUAAAGAACACAAGAGGGCAAGAAACUGUCAAUUAGAUCCCAACAAUUUAAUGAAGAGUCCCAUUGUGAAUAUGGAAAACUGAAAUGAUGACAUCAGUGCUCAAGAUUGUGAAGGCUUUACAGAGAAUUUGCUCAAUCUUUCAUCUUUGCAUUGCCUCUGAUCUCCGACCAUGGAUUUAAAGACCUCUAGCAGACCAUCCAAUUUCUCAGGGUCUUCGCCCAAAGCCUUGAGUGCAUAUACAAUGCUCUCAAUAGUCGACAGACAACCGGUCUUUGGCUGAUGCCUCACUUCACUAUACAAGCUCAGCUCAUCUAAAUCCAAUUUCAAAUGAGGCAAAAGCUUCAACCAGGGAUUCUCAUUGUACAUUCUCUUGGCCUUAGCCCAUGUUCCAUCCAACACAAUCAAGUUCUUCACCUCGAAAUUAUUAGCCUCAAUCCUCACUGCUCUUUCACUAGGAAAAAGCAAUACUGAUCCGGGGGGAACCUUGAUUUCAAACUCCUGAAACUCCUCGUAUUCAUCAAUUCCAUGCAACUGCUUUCUCUGAAACUUAACUACACUGAACCCUUUUCCUAAAUCGUUACCAGCUAUUUGAGAAGCCAAUAGCUGAUCAAACUUGUUCUGUUUCUGCAUUUGGUUACAUAAAGAUGCAAUAGCGCCGUACUUCUCAAUAGUAAAAGCAACAACAGCAUCUCCUGAACAUCCAGAAACUGCUUCAGUUGGACUAAAAGCUGGUCCUGAGACACAUUCAGUGAUUAAAGAUUCACUAUUGGAAGCUGUAACACAACCAAAAUCAUUUCUUUUACUAAAAUCCUCAUCAGAGUCAGCAAGAUUAGUCCUUUUCUCUUCUGGCCUCUCCGUUAACUUGACGAAAUGAGAACCUUUCUCUGAUCCAUUACAUUGAAUAGGCCACUGAACAGAAUCCCACUUUCUUUUACCAUUUCCUAUUCCUCCAAAAUCAGUGAUAUUCCUAUCCCAAUGACUCGAACCCGUUUUAGAAUCCGGAUAGCUGAAGUCCAAGACGAACCGGCCUUCAAAAUUGACAUCAGAGACUGAAACUACGGUGAGAUUUCUUAGGCCAAGGGAGGCUAUUCUUGUAGAAUUCAGGGGGUGCUUUUUCUCUAGGCCGUGUUGGAGGAUUGUGACGGCGACAGAGUUCUCGAGCCUGGGGGCUUUUAAUCGGGUACAGAGGCAAAUUCGGGCGGGCUUGGAGCAUUUCGGGCACAUGGGUCUCUUUGAAGAACCCGAUUUAGUCGCCAUUGCUGCAGUUGAGGUUAGGGUUCCCUGAAUGUAGCUUGAACGAAUUUGUGACGGGUUGAGAAGAAAAUAAAGUAGAUGUAGCCUCCGUAGUGGCCAGGUUCGGAUCUGAAAAUGAACCUGCAUUAGUUCACGGAGCAGUCCAUACGAAACGGGUUAAGUAGACGGAGUCAGGUAAAGGCGUGGAACAGAUUUGGGCCUUCCUUGGGUUUGUUCCGUUAAUCAGCCUCUAGUUUACCAUCCUGCCCCUGUAGUAGGUAGCUGCAGGUAAAGUUUUGGGUUUUGGCUCUUGACCAAGAAAUAAAGCAACAGGCUCGUGCCCACCACAGCACCCCACUGGCCCCUCCAAAUUUCGCAGCUGAAUUUUUCAGAAAAACCACCCUCAGAUAAAUUUCUUUCUUGAUCUGGAGAAGAAAGGCCUCCAAUUUCUCGAAUUCUCUCAAUCUUACUUCCAAAACCCAGUUGGUGAAAAAUGCAUGACUUUUGCUUUACGAUUCCGUAUGGCCUGAUUCUUGUUGCUGGUGGCAUCGUCGGAUAUGCCAGGAAGGGAAGCACGGCUUCACUGGCUGGGGGUCUUGGCACGGGAUUAGUCCUCCUCUUAGCUGGUUAUCUGAGCCUCCAAGCUUUCCAUAAGCGCAAGAACUCUUAUCUUGCCUUGAUUCUUGAAACUGGUAAUCAAAUUCCUCAUAAGUCAAAUUUCCUAAGACGUCUGCAAUUUUUUUUCCCUCGAGAUGGACAUCUUUUUUUUUUUUUUCUUUUUCUCCUGGUGAUAUGAUAGGUAAUCAUGUUCGAAAAGUUGUGAAGUGUGGAAGGAAAUAUCUUUUCUUUAUAUGGCAUACAUAAAUAUUCUUGGGCGAAGACAACGUAACGAAUUUGGGAGAAAGAACUGUUGCAGCAAUUAUCUUAUGUUCAGAUCUUGCUUUUCUUGAUUUAGACUUGUAGUAGAUCCAUUACCUCGUGUAGAUUUGGAUGGUCCAAGUUUAAUUCUUAAUCCGAGUUUACUUUCUGUUAUGCCUGCUUGAGGAACUAGGAUAACAGCAAAAUAUAGUUUCGCCUUAUUGGCAUUUUGUCCGUUGCAUCAUAAAUAGAAGAAGAAUUGAGAUCAACAUGCGAAUUUGUUACAGAUUUAGUUGGCAUAUGGUAUGCACAUUUAGCUGCUUAUGCAAGUACGUUCCGACUUGUGUAAUUUUAGCUUUCUUCUUGUUAAACUUUUUCUUGCUGCAAAAUGUAUCGUCCCAACCUCCUUGCUUGUGCAUAAGCUAAACUAAGAGCUACUGUAAUGAAAUGCUUUUGCAGCCUGUACUUUUGAAGAGAGCAAAUUCUCUUUGGCUCUGUAGUUCUCUUAGGUGGAUAACAAGUUGUAACAGACUUCAUAUGCUGUCUUUAGUGUGUGAGUCUUUGUUGGAGCACAGGAGUUUGGGGACACUCCAACCUCUGCUCCUGGUUUACUAAGUGCUUUUUUGGGGGCCAAAAAGGGGGGCGGGGGAGGAUAUAACCUUUAUAAAGAUGUAAAGGGUCUACUUAGGAACCAUCAAGGAAGUUAGUAGAUCAAAGCUGUGCACUUGUACAGGACCAUGCCUAUGCUCUUCUAAACCUAAAUAAACUUUUAUGGGUUUUAAGAUCCAAAGAAUAUAUCUUUUCCCUAGUCAGAUUGCUAAUGUCUUGUACUUGCAAUUUUUACAUUUCAAUUGCAAGUCAUCGCCUUUCCUUUUGUCAAUAUUGUUAUGUGGUGAUCUAUAAAAGAGGCUGUAUAUACUUUUGAUGAUCUUAUUUGAAUAAUGAUUAGCGCUAUGGUUCACAAUUUGGUGUCUAAUUUUUCAAACGUGGUUCAAACAGCUUGUGCUGCUCUACUUACAUGGGUCAUGGUACACCGCUACCUGCAAACUUCAAAGAUAAUGCCUGCAGGUGUUGUUGCUGGGAUCAGGUAAUUUUAAAACAUUGGAAGAGGAUGCUUUUUGCAGUUGGAUUAUUCUAUUUUGUUGCAGAACUGGAAUCUGUGGCAGAAAAAUGCUUGCAUCCAUGUUAUGCAUUUAUUCAUUCUAUGGGCUUUUUGCCUUCAAUGCCAAAGUUCAUAAUGUAUAAAACAAGGCAGAAUUUCGAACUAAAGCAACCUAUAGGCUUCAAUUACUACCUAAAAGUGGGAACAUGUUGGCAUCACCAGGGUCAAUCACAAAGAACUAGGAUAUGAGAUAGCAAUGGGGCCAGGAAGAAAAUUGCACUAGCCUCAUUACAAAUAUUUUGUUCCCCAAUUAACCUCAUCACCUGGGUAGAGCUAGAAUGGUCAAAUAUCAUCUGCCACAUUGUAGCGUCUUACGUGGUUGCUCUUACGUGGUUGCUCUGGGAGUCUUGAAAUGAUUAACAAUUCUGGAGUUCGAAAACCAUUUAUUCUCUGUCUAGCAUCUUUGUUGGUAAAUUCUUUGUGAUAUUUAUAACUAUCUUUGUUUGACUUAGUUACUUGCCUGGAUGAGGUAACUUGGUGUCUUACCUAGUUUUUUAUGAUUUUCCCCCUCAUUUACUUUGAGAUUCUGAAAUGGAACUCCUCCGUACUCUCUUGCAGCGCGGUUAUGACUGUAUUUUAUCUCUACAAAAUUAUCACUGGUGGAAACCAUUUCCCCACAAAGAGCGAGUGAUGGCCCUGAGAAGCAGCAUUUAACUUUACGGGUUCAAGACGAGACGAGGUUGUAUUUUCGGCUACUUUGCUACAUUACUAAUUAAACAGCUUUGCACGAAAGCAGGAAAAGAAUUUGUGCCACUUCACUGGCAAAUCAACAGAUUUUACCACUCCCACUGUGUUUUGCAUGUAUACAAAGUGCUCUCUACUAUUUCACGUAAUCAUAUGAAGAUUUAUGCAACCGUAAGAUGUUGAUUGUUGGACUCCGUUUUAGUGGGAAGAAGUCUGCCUAGAGGCUUGUUUAGCUAUCUAUAUUCAUUGUCUUCGAAUAAGGCUAAACAACAGAGGUGAAGAUGGCCGAUCCCUGAAUGGACAAAGGGGGAUCGGAGUGCUGAUAGUUUAACAAGUAGUUAAUCAGUAUUUAGUAGGAAUUGUACUCCCUAAGAGAUGACAAGAUUUUUUUUUUUCUUCUCUGUCUGCCCGAAUACACCUACCAACCAUUUACAGCCAGGCUGAAGAUGGCCAAGCCUUUCGAGUGGACAGGACAGCAGCGAGAAUUAGGAUAUACAAAUGAAACAGUGAAAUGAGUUUGGUGAAAGAGAAGAGUUGACUUUUAGGAAAGAAUUGUUGCAGGAGGAAUUAAAAAUAACAAACAACUUGGAUAAGAAAUAGAAGCGGUGAACCAGAGAACCAUUAUAGAAGACCAAACCCAACCGUGAAUUCGCGUAACAUAUCCCAAGUCACAAAGCGAUCGAAAUGAAAAGCCUAAUAAAAUUGAUUGACACUGAAACAACUUCUGUACAUUUUCACCGAGAAAAACAAUUGAAAUGCAGGACGGGUCGGCAGAGUUGGAUGGGAUCAACAAGUGAUGCUGCAUCAGCACGAGGACAUUUCCAUCUGAUUCCCAUCUCAAAAUAGACAAAGUUUCGGAACUAAACAAAUGGUCACUGACAGCAUUGUUUCAUAUUCCUUCCAAUACAAAAUCCCGCGAUAGAGUACUCAUCAUUAAGUAGCAUCAAACGUGUCUAGGGACGAUCAAACUCACUCACCUAGACUGCAACACAAGGAGACGUCCAUGACGAACAUCUUCCUCACACUUUGCCUGUUCCUUCUGCCAGUCUUCUUUCUCCUUUUCAGGAGGAGAAAAGGAAAGAUCAUCAGAGGAGCUUCCACCGGGGUCACUGGGACUACCCUUAGUAGGCCAAAGCCUUGGCCUUCUCAGGGCAAUGCGAGCCAAUAUUGCUGAAGCAUGGUCUGAGGAAAGAGACAAGAAGUACGGUCCAGUCUCUAAGCUAAGCCUCUUUGGAAAACCAACAGUUUUCAUCUAUGCACAGGCUGCAAACAAGUUUUUGUUCAGUCCAGUGACGGAGGCAAACUUUCCAACAACCAACAGGCCGUGUCAAUAAGUAUGAUUUUGGGGGGAUCGUAAUAUUUUGGAGCUCAGCGACGAAGAUCAUAAGCGAGUUAGAAAUGCUCUUCUUGUCUGAAGAUGUACACUUCUUUUCGGGUUCAACACGGAGCUCGAAGAGGUCAACUUGUUAAGUACCUCCAACAGCUAAUAGGGGAGCUCCGUCCACGCAUCAACCGCAGCCUUAAGGCCGGUGCAAAGACUCAAGAUAUGUUAAAAGGAGCAGCUUUUACGUGAAAAGAGACUUGAACUGUCAAAAGGGGCUCCGUCCCACCAGGGCCUCAUCUCUUGUUUACUUAGCAUCCCCGGAGAAGGCAAUGCAGAAGUAUUAUAUGAAGAAGAGAUAAUACGCAAUGUCCUGCUUAUGCCUAAAGGAUGGCAAGUAAGAGAGAUACCUCCUCCUGUUAUUUUUGUUCUUUCUAGUAUAUGGUAAAGCGUGGGAUUAAAAAAAUCCUUCCUUCACGAUAACUAUAGAUCUUUUGGGUUGCGGCCAUGACUCGCAUGGAUAGCAGCAUAUCCCACAAAGUUUGAUCCGACAAGAAUUGAUGAUCAAUCUUCCAUUCCUCCUUACUGCUUCAUUGCAUUCGGGGCAGGAGUUCGUAAAUGUCCAGGAUACGAGUUUGCGAAAGUUCGAGGCUUUAGUCACAAUUCACUGUCUUGUUACUCAAUUCACAUGGAAGUUGUGCUGCCCAGACAAUCAGUUCAGUCGAGACCCAAAUGCCAGUACCAGCUCAAGGACUCCUAUUCAACUAACACCAAAAAAGAAAACACAAUACAAUAUAGAUACAGGGCAUUAAUCAAUUUAACAACUAAAGCUUGGAUUUGGAGGGUCGAGAAUCGGAUUUUCUGCCAAGUGCCAAUUAAUUCUCAGUUGUUUUGUACUUCAGCAUUGAGCACGAAGUUCCCUUCUAGAGUUAUCCGCAGUUCAAACUCGCUCUAUUUUUCUGCAUCUUUUCCCGUCGAGAGAGAGAGAGAGAGAGAGAAGAUUUCUCAGGACUAGUGAUUUCAUAAUACGAUAAGAUACUAUGAGCUAACAAGACUCUUUACUUUUUACAAGGUCACUAACUGCCACGUCAUCAGGCAAGUCCCAAACAACUUUCUUCUCCUUUCUUUUCUUCCCUUUAUUUUUAAUUAUUAAUUAUUUUUAUUUUAUUUUUUUUGCAUUUCUAAUUUCUUGAAAAAGGAGGCAAAAGGCGGUGAAUCGGACCGCCAAUUAAGAGAGCAGCUGAGAAUUGUCAGCACAAUCCUUCAAAUCCCGGGUUUGGUUUUCCUUCUUCAGCUGCUCCCUGCCCCGGCUUGUCGAUGGAAAAAGUCAAAGCCAGAGACCUAACGGCCUCGUUUCAACAGCUCGAUUUGCAUCUCAAUCCCAACAAGGCCACUCAGAAAUCAACCAAGUUUUCGCUCCUUUCCCAUCAAAAUCAUGGUACUCACCAAUCCCUCUUGUAUUUUGUUUCCCUUUUCUAUUCUUUUAGUGUGUGGAGGUUCAUCAGCCUAUUGAAAAUUUUGCUCGAUCAUUUCUUGAACUGACUGAUGAUAUUCUUGCGAUGUUAAGUUUUUUUACUUUGUUCGAGCUUUUUGGAUUGCAGUGCUAAAGAUUAAGAAGCCAAAGCCUCCCAGCUUAGUGAGUUUAUGUCUUGGGGUAGUUGGUAGGCAUUUUGAGGACAUCAUUGAGGACUUGCCUGAUAUUGCCCCGACUUUUCCACCCAAUAUCAAGGUUAAAAAACAUCAAAGAACCCGUCUUUUUCUUCUUCUUCUUCUUCUUCUUCUUCUCCUUCUUCUUCUCCUUCUUCUCUCUCUCUCUCUCUCUCUCUUUGUACAGAAAUUGAUGUAUUGAUCCUUCGUAUUGUGUAAUCACAGCAAUGAGUUAAAAUGGUUAUCUUGAUUGGCAGUGAUUUAAUUCGUAAUAUAAAUUGUUCUAAUAUUUAUGUGGCUAAUGGUGCUCCAGGGCCGUUAAUAUGUGAUUGAGAUUUGGUGUCUCAUUGUUACCUAAACUGCUUAAACUUGUAGUGCUUGCUUUGAAGACUCUAUUUUUGUUUGCUUUUUCCUCUAAUUUUUUUGGUGGUAUCAUCAUCCAUUCUUAUUAAUAAAUUUGGGGCCUUUGCCGCUUGUGAAAUCAAUUGGCUUUAUUUGAUCAGUCGACAGUGUUAUUGUGAAAAAUAAGUGCCUUAAGAGUCCUUUUAAGAUGGCUUAAGGGAUUGCAAUUUGUUAUGGAUAAUAGCAGUACAUGAUCUCAUAAAAUCAGUCUAGGUAUGAAAAGCAGGGGUGCAUAUAUGAAUGAAUUAUUUCAUGAACCUUGUUCUAUUUAAAAAGAAAAGAUAUUGACAUGUCCAUGCAAAAUUGUCAGAUGGCCCUUGCCGCAAUUGCAAGAAGACGAAAGUUACUGACUGAUGAUGUUAUUAUCGUAUUAGCUGAAAGUUCUUGGGACAUACUUGACAUAUCGGGUUCAGAUAUUUCUGAUUUUGGUUUAUCACAAGUACUUCAGAUAUGCAAAUCUUUGCGAGCAGUUGACAUAAGGUACCCAAGUUGUGAUUUUGUGUUAAUUCGGAUGCAAUUUGUUAUUCUUAUGUAGCAAUAUGGUAGGAACCCUAGGACGUUCCAUUUGGAAUUGCUGCCACAUUAGUAGAUUUACUUAGAAUUUAACAUCUUCUCCAUGAACAAACUUUUCAAUUAUGAAUGAUUGUUAUCCUUUGCGUUGCAUGGGCUGUAAGAAGCCAACAGUAUGGUCCUUUCCAUUGAAUUUUCAAGAUCAGUUGCUUGGUUAUCAUCUCAUACUGUUGGACUUUUCUGAAGAUUUAAAGAUGCAUCAACUUGGUUACAUCUUUUCAAUGACUAGGCGAGAGAACCAAUCUGACUUAUGGGAUGUGGUUUUCUUUUGUAACUUUCAGUUCAUUCUCGUGGAUUUUUUGUUUAAAAAGCUCCCAAAUGUUCCAGUUCUCGACUUGCAGAAAGUUCUAUAUUGUGAUUGUUUUUUAUCCUGAUGGGGUAUCACAUUGCAUAUGUUGUACUAUUUUUUACUAUACCAACUUUAUUCGUCUAAUGUGACUUGGCUUUUGUUUACGCUGCUGUCUUUCUUUACCUAGUCGGUGCAGCAAACUCACGUCAACUGGGAUUUCUGAACUCCUUCAGCAUUGCCAGUGUUUGGAGAUAUUGAGAUGGGGGUAUGCUAUCUUCCUUGUACCUUUUUCUGUGCUAUAUUUAUAUGUACAAAGCGAUGCUGCUAUGAUUAAAUUCACCGGGUUGGUUUUGUUUAGGUGUGUACAACCUCCUUAACUUCUAACAUGAUUUUAAGAUUAAUAUUAGGAGAUACAUACAAGAUUGUAGUUCAAAUACUUUUGUUUGUUUUUUGUUUAAUUAACUAAUUGGCCUUAACGCCUGUGUUAUAAUUGUUAACAUUAAGGUGCUAAAUUUUUGUGCCAUUCACCUGGCAGUCAACUCACCGCAGAUGUUUGAACUUGUGUGUUCAUAUUGAUCUUGUACGUUUUAACUGGAACCUGGAUCAUAGUUGAGUUUUAGUAUCAACCCAUGUUUUUGCUGCAUUGACUUAUAGCAAACAUAUAUAUGUAUAAUUAAUAAAUCUAGGCUCAUUUCUGUUGUCUAGAUUGAUAUAUGAAGAAUGGAAAAAGGACAUUGGAGGCAGAUGAAAAAACUUAUCAGAACUCACUCAACUUUUACUUUAAAGUGAUAUUUACUUAUUCCAUUUGCUGCCUCAAUCAGAAGUGAAAUAAACUUCUAUAGACGUUUAAAGAGCUUCCCAGACCCCGGUGCAUGUCUCGACUUUCUCGAAUUAAUUGUCAAUCCGUGCCAGUUGAGUCUUUCAUACUAAUAGAAAGAAGAAAAGUAUAACCAAUUUGAAUUUUCUCUUCGAGUAUUCUCAUCAUCUUAUGGGAUAGAAUGACCCAAUAUAUUGGGUUUUGACCAUGAGCAUAAACCUCAAUAACAGGAAAUGAACCAAAGUUCAUGUUGCAGAGGGUGCCCAGCAACUGACCAAACAGCGCGGAGAUGCUUAAGUAUCUUGAAGCCUACUUUACAUGAUGUGGCCGGGGAAUCUUGGGAGGAACUGGAGGCCACAGAUAUUGCCGCUGCUGCACAAUCACUUCGUUGGCUUGUAUGGGUAUGGUUUCCUUUCAAUGUUAGUUUGUAAGUUCCGUUUUGCUAUUAAAGAUGACCGGUGUUCAGAAAUUUGGUUUGCUUAACCUAUGAUACUAGAUUAAAAAAAUGAGCGGGUUAGUGCUCUUAUUUGCAUGGAGUUCUGAUUUGUGAACUUUUAACAGCCAAAAGUUGACAAGGAUUCCUUAGAGAGCUUGUCUGUAGAAUGCCCCCGCAUAAUUAUAAACCCAAAACCAUCAGCUUUUGGAUACAGAGGCUUUGAAAUUCCUAGAGAAGCCUUCCCAAGUGCAGCAUUGGACGAUCCAGUUGUUGAAGAUAUUGAUCCGAAAACAUGGGCGAUAUCUGGGUUUACAGCUGGGUCAAUAAUCGCGUCAACUUCUGGCUCUGAUGAGUUACCCAUGGCUGAAAAGUUUAGGCUUGCAUUUGUAGAGAGAGAUAACCGGUUGGCACCAAAGCGUGCAAAGAAUGCAAGGCAGCACCAGCGACGAGCAGUGAGGGAGUGGGUGAUGAUGAGUUCUAGAGCAAAAGCAAUGGCACUUGCCUCCCAAGCAACCAAGUCUCUACACCAUCGGAAUUAGGCUAGGACGUUAUCCUGCUUUCAUAUCAUGAGUUUCAUUCUUUAGAGCCUAAGGAUUAAGUUUUAUCACUGUAUUACUUGAAAGUUGGCCUGAAGUCUAUGCGGUUUUGCAGGCAUGAUUUUCAUUGUUUCGGUCUCUCUCGUUUUCAUGAUGUAGAAUGUAUGUUUUAGGUAUCUCUAGCGAUCCAGUGGAUGGGAGGAAUUCACUGAUCAGGGAUUGUGUUAUCAUUCUUCUUCUUUUGCUUUGCCUUUGUAAAGUAUUUAAGUACAGUGAAGUAUAGUUAAGACACCGGCUGUAAAGUAAUGCAUUCCAAAGAAAUUUCUUGCUUCACAGGUACAGCAUAAUAAUUUCCGUCUAUUUUGAGAAAAGGUAAAAAAAAAUUAGGUAAAGAAGAUUCACGCAGCGUCUCAGACAAACUUUAUUCCGGCCGACGUACAUGUUGCUUGACCUACAAAAAUUUGUUUAACUCAAUAAACAAAAAACGCAUUAUUUGACCGUCAACAAAAUCUAAAGAGAGCGCAUUGAAGCUUUAGAGCGUGCAGAUAUCCUUCACCGUUUGCAGGGCCUUAUCUGCACCCAGUGGUCACUCUAGUAAAAGCACUAAUAUUUGGAAAAUGCACGGUAAGUAGAGAUGGAUAUUAUUCGUCAAACGACAAAGGAUAACCUUUAUACACUUAACCACCUUUAUCACACAUUGACAACACGCCCUUAGUCAAGUGAGAGAAGCAAAACUGAGACGAGAAAAGAUGGACAAAUUGAAGACACGCAUAACAGGAAAAGUUUAACAAACAAGCGCCGACCCCGUGAUUAAAUCCACCCCACAGUGGCAUUUGUAUCUACGCAAGUUUACCACUACCGCCUCCAAAAAAGACACGCUACAAAUUACGCCACAUGUUCCCACUUCACCAGGGCCAAAUUAAAAUGAGAUGUAAAUUUUCACUAUUAUCCGAGAGCUUUAUUUCAAGGCAAGAAACAACUCCGUGCAAUAAAUCUCGAUAGCUCAUGAACUAAGAGAGGAUUGUAGCUGUGCUGUAGUCCCUGCUGUCCCAGUUCUGCAUAACUGGUCAUCCUAUGCUCGAGUGAAACUCAAGUUUUCACUUGGCCAAGUUUCGAAUAACGUAGGGAAGGAUUCCACCAUGGUCGAAGUAUGUCAGUUCUACCUGCAAACACAAUCAAAUAAUGAUUUCAGAAAACAAUUUUUCAUUGUUAGUUCUCAAUCUCCCCAGAAAAAAUAAAAACGUAAGAAAUCUUUAAUUUCUCUUAAACUUUUAACCUAACUCACACGGUCCACUUUCAAUUUUUUUAUUGGAUCACCUCAUCCAUCACGAAUUAUAUGUAUUAAGAUAGAAUCACUAAAGAAAUCCUAUCAAGGAAUUCUACUACUUUAAGUAGUGCUGCUCAAUGACCAUCAGCUACAACGAGAAAUUAUUGUUUAGCUGUGGCAUUCUGAGAAAGGGUUCAUCACCGGGAUUUGGCCACUAACCACCCCGAAAGGGAUGAAGGGAAUAAAAUAGUAUCGACCCAUGGCCACAAGUUUUCCUUGCAAAUUGGCAUCAAGUUAGACCUGACAGGGCUGAAACAGUUAUACAUACCUGUGUGUCAAAACGGACUACACAUGUGAAAGACUUUCCAUCAUCAGUGGUGACUGUAAUGUCUUGGCCAGGUCUUACAUCGCUGACUUUCUUUGGAAGGUCUAUACUGUAACGUUCAUAACCUGUCAGGCCCAGCGUAUCAGCAUCCUCGCCAGGUUUGAAACAAAGUGGAAUAAUGCCCAUCCCUACAAGAUUACUGCGGUGUAUUCUCUCAAAACUUUUGGCGAUCACCGCUUUGACUCCCUAAAUCAGAAGCAGAAUAUGGCAGGUGAAGCAAAUAGGAUGUGCUAAACAACCAAACCAUCCAAAAAUGUUUUGCAGACAAUACCAACUUACCUGCAGCAUUGGACCCUUAGCUGCCCAGUCUCGAGAACUGCCACUUCCAUACUCUGUACCUGCCAGAAUUAUGGUGUCCUGACCAGCACUCUUGUACCUCUGAGAACAAUUGCAGUGUUAGUUUAAUUAAUAAAGGUUAAAGAUUGGAUUAGAAUGCUACCAAUUAACAUCCUAGUUGAGAGAACAGAAAAUCAAUCUUAAGCAGAGGGGGGAAAAAAAGCAAAGAGCAAGCUACAAUGGAAGACUCGCCUAUCUUUUCAUUCUACCAGCAUGAAGCGGCAGCUGGAGAUACCCCCAGCCUUUAUAAUUCAUGUAUCCAUGGACACAGAGAAUCAAAUUAACUCCACAGACUAUCCAAGUCAAUCAACACUGAUCUAACUAAAACUCACCAUUGCUGCAUCAUAAACAUAGAGCUCCUCGCCUGUUGGGAUGUGAAUAGUCUUUGGAGCCUGUUUGUUUAAGAACUUAUUCAGAAGUCUAAUAUUUGCAAAGGUUCCCCUUGCCAUCACUUCAUCAUUGCCACGACGACUACCAUAAGAAUUGAAAUCUCUACGGUCAACACCACGCUCCAUCAAGUACUUCGCAGCUGGACUAUCCUUAUGGAUGCUCCCUGCUGGAGAAAUAUGGUCAGUAGUGAUACUGUCACCAAAUUUCAGCAAGCAAUACGCAUCCUUGACUCCAUGGGGACCAGGUGGAUCCAUGGUCAUGUCCUUGAAAUAUGGAGGUUGAUGGAUAUAUGUUGAGUUGGGAUCCCAUUCAUAAAGCUUUGAUGAAGGAACAGACAGUUGAUUCCAGAAGGCAUUGCCUUGUGUAAUAGCUUCAUAAGUACUCUUAAACAUUUCUGGGAGCACGCUAGACUGCACCACCUGUGAUCUCAGCAAACAAAGUCAGAUAUGGUAAAAAAUGUCAACUGAAAGUCAAACAACCAAGAAAAUUACAAAGAAACUACCUCAGCAAUUUCUUCGGUACUGGGCCAGAUAUCUUUGAAGUACACACUUUUUCCAUCUUUUCCAAUUCCAAUUGGGUCCUUCUCAAAGUCAAUGUCAACCUGGAAAGAAUCAAAAUGUUAAGGAUCCUAUCAAAAUGCAAGGAUUCCCAUUGAUAUUGGCCCCAGCUGCACAAUAAAAAAAUCAAGCCCCUGGUUUCUCAACCAUAAAAGUGAAUAACCAAUAGAUCAUCAGAUACAAAAGUAUUCAACACCAUAAUUAAAAAGGAUGUAGACCACUAUCAUGGUUCGAGGGACUCUUGAUUCCUUGAAAAACACACAAUGCUUAUAAAAAAUUGGAGCAUCUCAACUUCGGUGAUCAUUAUAUUGAUAGCUACACAAAUUCAGAGGAAGAAACCGGAACGUAAAGUUAAAUAAAGUUAUGCAUAAUACCGUGCCAGCAAGUGCAUAAGCAACAACUAAUGGAGGUGAAGCAAGAUAAUUAGCCCUUGUCAGCGGAUGAACACGACCUUCAAAGUUGCGAUUACCAGAAAGUACAGCAGCAGCAAUGAGGUCUGCAAAGGAUGUUAAAAAACAUGAAUGUACAGGAGCAAUACUAGCAAACUUGCAAUAUCGCGUGUCACCCAAAUUUUAAAAGCAAUUUUACUGCUAAGGUUGCUGACAUAUCUAAUAUAGCGACCUAGCAUCAGAAGCAAAAUAGGUUAAAAUCUUUAUUUCUUGCUACUUUACUAGAUAAAAUGACAUAUUGGUCUACACUGGCCAUAAACAAAAGAGAAAAAAAAAUACUUCAAUCGCAUCCUCUUUCAAAAUAAACGAACUUCACAAAAAUUCUAAAUAAAGAAAACACUCCUGUCUAGCAGAGCAGCCCAUUUGCAACCAUAUCACCAUAUGCAUUUAACUUUUCAUUCAAUUGCCUAUGUGAAAAUUGUAAUAGGUCUCUAAGAUCAUUCAAAAGGCAUCAUUUAGCUUUCACAUUCCCUUUUAUACAAGACAAACUAUAAUAACACAGGCAACAGUAGCACGAUAUGUCUAAAAGUCAAGUGACUCCAAAGAUAUUCGGGCAAUGUAAAUGAAAGCUAGAGGAAAGCCUUGCACAGCUCUGAAUUUAUGUAAAUAUGGGAUAGUAACAUUAUAAACAACUUUAAUACCAUGUUCUGUGAUUGCUGAAGCUACUGAUUCUUGCAGAUCCCCAGAAUUUCCAAUGCAUGUCGUGCAUCCAUAGCCAACAAUGUGAAAUCCUUGCUGGUUCAAAUAUUUUUGCAGGCCACUAGAACAAGAAUAAGAAGUUUAGUUGCUAAUUUAAAACAGUACACUGGGCGAGUAAGGAGUAACUCUUAGAUGAAUUUGCAUCAAAACAUAAGUACCUCUGGAGCAAAUAUUUUGUCACAACUCCAGAGCCUGGGGCAAGACUAGUUUUUAUCCAUGGCUUUACCUACCCAACAGCCAAGAAAAGAAAUUAGUCAAAAACCACUUUCAAGUAUGACUACAAUAUGCAGAGAGUCAAGUGAUUAAAGAGACUCUGCACAAAGCAAGGCAAAGGGGUAAAGCAAAAGGUAAAAAUCAUAAAGCACUGUAACUUCAAACUGUGGUACAUGCAUGACCUGAGAAACUAAUACUAACCUCCAACCCCAACUCACAGGCCUUCUUUGCAACAAGACCAGCUCCAAGCAUGACACUCGGAUUGGAUGUGUUUGUACAGCUUGUGAUAGCAGCUAUAACAACACUACCAUGUUUAAGUUCAGCAGGCUGGCCACUGAAUGAGAACUUGGCAACCUUACUUUGUUCUUCCUUUGGCACUCCAAACCCCUGGCAAGUGACAGAUUCAGGUAGUUCACUAGCUUAACAUCUGAUCAACAAAAGCAGAACUGUUUCCUACAUUUCACCCAUGCAGUAUAAUCUCACUAAUCUUAUUAAUUUGACAUCAUUUGCAUGGUCAGCCACACAAACAAAAACUUGUCAGAUUAUGGCCAGGCAACUAAAGAUCCCUAUCCAACCAAGAGUAGGGAAGAAAAGGGGAAUCAUGUAAACAAAAAACUAGAAUUAGAGUUUCACUCCUUUCAAUCUUUUUUUCAUGCUUCACGGAUGCGACCAGGUGUUAGAAGUAGAAAAGGAACAGUAGAAAAUAACAUUAAAAACAAACAGCAAAAAUUUUUAUCGCACCUUAAACCCAAUUUUGUUAUCAAGACAUGAAUGCCAAUCAUCCUUCAUUUGUCUUAGAGGAACUCGGUCAUGUGGUCUAAAACAAAGAUACCGAUCUCAUCAAUAUAAACAAAAAGAAAAACCAUAACCAAACCAUAAAUUUCCCUGAACAGCUCUAGAACAACUACCUUUUCGGUCCAGAAACACAAGGUUCAACACCAGCAAGGUCCAAUUCCAGAUAAGAUGAAUACACUCUCUCCUGUUGAGGCUGGCCAAAGUUGAACACACCAAGCAAAAUCAGAUUUUAUGCUUUGAUCCACUUAUAUCACCUUAAAAUGUAUGAAACUGAGAGAUUCUACCUCGCUGUAGUCAACAAACAUCUUGUUUGAGCGCAAAUAUCCUUCUAUCAUUGCCACCUAAAAUAAUUUGAAGCAAAAAGCCACCAGAAAGCAUCUAAAUUUAUCUUGUUGAAACCACAAAAAUGAAUAGACUGAGAUCACAGAACUUACUGUUUCAUCACUUCUCCCAGUUAAUUUAAGGUAUUGUAAUGUGACAUGAUCCACAGGGAAGAAACCCAUGGUUGCUCCAUACUCAGGUGACAUAUUUGCAAUAGUUGCCCUAUCGGCCAACGAUAAUUCAGCCAUACCAGAACCUAAACACCCAUAUUCUGUUAGUACUAAACUGUAAACAUAUAACAUGAACAACCCAAGAAAUACUUGAAGAGGUAUAUUUACCAUAAAACUCGACAAACUUGCCAACAACACCAUGCUUUCUCAACAUUUGGGUCACUGUUAAAACCAAAUCAGUAGCUGUGACACCAUUGCGCAACUUUCCGGACAAUUUAAAUCCAACAACACCAGGUAAAACCAUGCUCAUUGGCUGUCAGAUUUAUAAGAAAUCAAAGUCCUGUGUCAUGCCUUAUUCAACAAACAAGUUCAGACAUUCCUAGUUUGUCAAAACAACUAAAUCUAACUUGACAACUCCAGUAAAAGAUGAUAGAACAAAAGGAGAUCCAACUACCUGCCCAAGCAUAGCAGCCUCAGCUUCAAUUCCUCCAACACCCCAACCAGCAACUCCUAGUCCAUCAAUCAUUGUUGUAUGAGAAUCAGUUCCAACAACACUAUCAGGAUAAAGAAUGCCAUCAGUGUUGAAGACAACCCGUCCAAGGUACUCCAAGUUAACCUGAAAUAUUGCCAUAAGAGAAGCAAGUGUGUGGUCAAGUUUUCAUGAACAUGUUAACAACGUAAGGAGCAAAAUUAAAAGCUAAACUAUUGUACAAGUUCCCCAAAACUAUUUCAGCCUAAGUAACAAUUCAAAUAUCUAUUAACUUUAUGCCCCAUUAUCAUUAAUAAACAAAAAAGUCGCGUGAAAAACCUUCACACCAACUCCAGAUAGAGUUGAACAACAUUUUAUAAUCUAUGUCAGACUUUUACCUGGUGGACAAUGCCAGAACCAGGAGGAACAACAAGCAUGUUAUGGAAGGCAGUGGAUCCCCACUUAAGGAAGGCAAACCUCUCAUUGUUCCUCUUGAAUUCAAGGUCCAUGUUUGCCUGCACUGCAUUCUCAUGUCUUGCAACAUCAACUUGAACUGAAUGAUCAAUAACAAGGUCCACAGGUACCUGUAGAAUAUAUCUCAUCUUAGACCUGAUGACAAGGAAUAACAGGAUAGCAAUACUUUUUUGUUAUCUGAAAAGUCAGGCUGCAAUAUGCAACUAUGAAGCGAAGUAAACAACAAAUAAACAAAGACACCCAAACACAACCACCCACCCACUGUCAUAACACACAUAUUACAGCGGAACAAGUGGCCAUUGAAGUCAAAAAUGGAACUUAAGGAAGGACGGCUGAAGAAAGAAUACCACAGAGUACAGGUUAAAGGAUAGCUUAGAACAUUCAAGCUAGAGGGUGACAAAUCCCAGUAACACAGGGAAAAAGAAUAAAUAUGUACCAAGGGAUUGAUCUUCUCUGGGUCACUGCCAAGACUCUUUAUGGCAUCUCGCAUGGAAGCAAGAUCCACCACAGCUGGAACACCAGUAAAAUCCUGAAGCAAAAAGAGAAAAAAAUAGUGUUCCAAAAGUUUACUGCAUAUAUUUUCUGAUUAAGUUACUAAACUCAUGCCUCUAACCUGCAACAAAACUCGGGCUGGCUUGAAGGGAAUUUCAACUAGCUUUGGUGAAGUAUUUUGCCAAUCAAUGAUCUUCUCAACAUCAUUCUUGGUGACUUGGAAGUUGUCACAAUUACGUAUAGCAGAUUCCAAGAGUAUCCUAAUGGAAUAUGGAAGCUUAUCUGUAUCCAAAUAAGGUUUUACAUUGUUAAGGAAAAUGAGAGCCUUUUCUCCUCAAAACAAGAAACCUUAAAUAUUGUACUAAUGAAAAUUUACUAAUGACCUUAGUCAAUUAGCGAAAAAAUCCCACUAGGUAUAUCAGGUUGAAAUAUGACAACUUUGUUUACAAAUAGGCCAGGAGACCAGAGAUACCUAAGGGAAGAGAAGAAUAAUAAUGCCAGAAUAAAACAAAUAAAUUUCUACCGGAAAAGACAAGCCAAGAUACCCUGAUAACACAUGAGAAUAGUACGACUAGGAGCACAUACCAAUUCUGGGAUCAUUUAAAGCAGGAAGGCUAUAGAACUUUCCAAAGUCACCACCUCCAGGCUUGGGUAGACUGGUCAAUAUUCCCUUAUAAGGAUGUUCAGGAGCUGGAACAUAAAUCAAUAAAACAAUCACCACAAAGUUAAGUUCAACAGGCUAAAUUGUGGCAAUGUUAUUCAAGUAAGCUUAAUUAGGCAAUUGAGGUAAAUAAAGGUGAAACCACGCAGUUGUCAUUGUCAUCCCAAGAUAAUAAGACUUGAAGGGGAGAGAGAAAAAUGAAACAGGAGCAAAUAACUGCAAAAAGCUAAUAUCCUAUACUAAGGCAGCAACAAUUACAGCACUUCAUUUUAAAACAAUAAGAGAACAAAACCUUUUUUUUCAAAGACAAAUCAAAUGUAGGUACACAAACGUACAUUUCAAGCUGGUUCACUUCAGCAUGUAAGUUUGACGAGGAAAAACAGUUCUGCAUAAAGUAAAGCCUUUUUUUUUCCAAAGAGUAUCAGAAUGCAACCCAAUAAACCAACUUUUACAAGUAAAACUCCAACUUUUCACACGAAUGGCAAAUUCGACUAGAUGGAUAACAAUUCAUCCAACCCGAAAUGAAUAGCAGACAUCAAUUAAGCACGAAAUAAACUCAUGAUCAAGCAAACCACACAAAAAACCUUUCCACAUGAGGAACCGAAGAAAUACAUUAGAAUCAAGCUAAAUUGAAAUUGAGUUAAUAACUCGAGAAAUUUGAUUGAAUUAUACCCAUAGUUGCGAUCUUUCGCUCGAAGCGUUCGAUGACAGGAGCAGCAGUUCUGAUCUGAGCUCUAAGACUGACAGGCGAUCUCCAGUCAACGCCGUGACUCCACCGAGGAACAGAGCAACGAAGCGAUCGAACCGCCGACGAAGGUUUAAAAGACCGACAAGCGAUAAACGACGACGGUUUGGAUACCGAAGGAGAAACGAAGCUUCUGGAAACAGAAGACAAAAUAGAAGAUGGUGAUGAUGAUGAAAUUGUAGAUGCAAAACGAACCCUAGCAGCUCUCAAGAUUGCAGCAGAAGCAGAUUUGGACACUGACGAUGAAGGUGAGCAUGUGGGUACAUACAUGACGGGAGAGCACCCGGUUUGUCAGAGGUGUCAGUGAACCCUAAAUAGAAAAAUCAAAAUGGGGGAAUAUAACUUCAGGUUUUUCUCACUCUUUUUUUUUUUUUUUUUUUUGCGUUCAUUUAUAGAUACAAAUUUUUGUAUGUAUAGGCUCGUUGAAGGAGGAUCGAAAGACUGUUCACUUCGCUUGGCUGCUUCUGCGUGGAAAUGGAUAUCAGGAUAGAAAAUGGAAGGGUUUUGAUAAGGUGCUGCAGCACUGUGGUUUUGGAAUGCAAUUGGUAAUCACGGACCAUAGGAUGAAGCGGUGGUGGGAUAAGACACGGUGUGGAUGAAUUUAGGUGGUGUUCCCCGUGAAAAGGGGGAAAAAAAUGGAAAAAAGUACGCCUUCUUAUUUUAAGUUGUUUAUACUUUAUAGAGUAAUUUGUAGAUGCUAUGACUAAUUAUUACACACCCUAGGUGUGUGAUUGUUUUUAAAAAAAUGUAUGAUUUAUUUUUCACGCGAAGUACAUAUUAUGAUAGACAUCAUGGGUUUACUGAAAAAUUUAUAAUUAUUACUUUUGCUUUGGAGGAUAUUAUUGUAUUUAAAUUAAAACCGUGUUGAAAGAAAAAAAAAAAAGAAAAGCGAGUGAAUAGUUUUAAAAACUAUCGUUAAUGGGAUAAUUUUUGAUAUACCACAAAGUUACCUAAAUUAUUUACAAGUUCUCUUUCGUAAUAUAUAUACACACACACAUAUAUAUAUAUAUUCAUCAUUCUAUGUGUGUGUGUAUAGACGCACAUACAUACAUAUACAUAUAGAAUGAUGAUUAUUAUAUAUAUAGUAAGAUAUUAAUGAUCAUUUCCAUUUCUUUAUAUUUGAGUGGAUGUGAAUUUAUGUGUAUUUUUUUAGUGUAAUUAAUUCUACCCAAACUUUAUUCAUUGAUAUGCUUAAUCACAUGCACUUACAAUCUAUGUUUGCAGCGCACCACGUUUUCUAUAGGCUACUUCUUCAAAUGCAUAUGACCUCACACUAAAUCAAAAUUAGGUUAGCCUCCAUAGUUAAAAAGAGAAAUUUAUUAUGAAUUAACAUGAUUAUUUGAUCAUUAACUGUUGUGUUAAAAGAAAAAGUAUUGGCUGCGUUUGGAUUGAGUGUUUUUGCACCUGUUUUUGAAAAACUGUUUUUCACAUUCCAAAUGCUACAGUAAUGUGUAUUUCAAAAACAACUUCAAAAACACCAUAUCCAAACAAUAUAUCAAAAACAACUCCAAAUAUAUUUCAAUUACGUAUAUUUAAUUUGUAUAUUUUAAUUAUGUAUUUUAAUAUGUAUAUUUCAAUUAUAUUUUAAUAUAUUUUAAUAUGUAUAUUUCAAUUAUGUAUUUUAAUAUGUAUAUUUCAAUUAUGUAUAUUAUAUAUAUAUUAUAUUAAUAUAAAUAUAUUUAUUUCAAUUAUGUAUAAUAUUAUAUAUAUUAUAUCAAUUGAAAUAAAUAUUAUAUAUUUAUAUAAAUACAUUUAUUUAUAUAUAAAUUUAUAAAUAUAUUUAUUCAAUUUUGUUUUAUAAUAUAUAUUAAUAUAUAUUAAUAUGUAUAUUUCAAUUAUGUAUAUUAUACAUAAAUUAUAUUAAUAAUAAUGUAUAUUAUAUAUAAUAUACAUUUCUAAUAUUAUAUAUUUAUACAUACAUAUUAUAAAUAUUUUAUUUUAUUUAUAAUAUAUUUUUAUAUAUUUAUAAUAUAUUUACAUAAAUAUUAUAUGUUAUAUAAAUUAUAUAUAAUAUAAUGUAUAAUAUAUUAUACAUUUAUAUAAAUGUACAUUUAUACAUAAUAUAUAAAUAUUUAUGUAUAUUUAUAAUAUACAUUUAUAUUAUGUAUAAUAUAUAAUAUAAUACAUUUAUACAUUUGUAUUAAUAUACAUAAUAUUAAUUUUACAUUUAUUCAUAAUAUUAAUACAUGUAUACAUUUAUAUUAAUUAUAUUAAUACAUUUCUACAUAAUAUUAAUAUAUAUUUAUAAUUUAUUAAUUUAUACAUUUAUAUAAUAUUCAUUUAUAAUUUAUACAUUUUUAAUAAUAUACACUUAUACAUUUAAAUAUACAUGUAUAUUAUGUAUUAUAUAUAUUAAUACAUUUAUACAUUUAUACAUUUAUAUUAAUAUACAUAAUAUUAAUUUUACAUUUAUACAUAAUAUCAAUACAUAUAUACAUUUAUAUUAAUUAUAUAAAUACAUUUCUACAUAAUAUUAAUAUAUAUUUAUAGUAUAAUAUAUUAAUUUAUACAUUUAUAAUAAUAUACACUUAUAAUUUAUAAUAUAUUUAUAAUAUUCAUUUAUAAUUUAUACAUUUAUAAUAAUAUACACUUAUACAUUUAUAAAUAUAUUUAUAUUAUGUAUUAUAUAUAAUAUAAUACAUUUAUAUAUUUUUAUAUGAAUAUAUAAAUAGAUUUAUUUAUAAAUAUCUAUAAAUGUAUUAUAAAUGCAUAAAUGCAUAUUUAUAUAAAAAUAUAAAAUUUAUACAUUUAUACAUUUAUACAUUUAUAUAAUAUUUAUUUAUAAUUUAUUCAUUUAUAAUAAUAUACAUGUAUACAUUUGUAAAUAUAAAUGGAUUAUAAAUGCAUAAAUGUAUAUUUAUAUAAAAAUAUAAAAAUUAUAAUAUUCUAAAAAUACUCGAAAAUAUGUUUCAAAAAUGCCUCUAAAAAUAAUCCAAAAAAAUCUACGGUAAAAGUUUUUCAUAUAGUUUUUGAAAAACAACCCAAAAAACAACUAAUCCAAACGGACUUGUUUUUCAGAUUCAAAAUGCUACAGUGGUGUUUUUGAAAAACAAACCCAAAAACAGCUAAUCCAAACGGAGCCAAUUGGUCAAAGCAAAACAUUCGCAACUAAUUUAGGCUGGGCGUGUUUGGAUAGCCUUUUAUUUCUCAAAAAAACAUUUACUUAUAUCGCAAUCAUAUUUUUCAACGCGCACUAUUUUAUCUAAUCAAUCACCUUUUUAUCUCAUCUCACGUGUAAAAAUGACUUGGUCUACUGCAUUGAUCAGGCUGAUUCAUUUCUACUGUAGCAAAUGACUUGCACUACUGUAAAAGGGCAAAUACACAUUCAGCCUCCCAGUUAACUAGAGAGCUCAGAAGAUUCAAGUACUUGUCCAUGUAAUUGUAAGGGUCAACAUUUUGGCGUUAAAACCCCCUUGGAAAUAAUUGGAAAAAGACGGUCUUUGAGGAGCAAAAAUCACCAAAUGACCAGCAUAUGGUAUCACGUCAUGUUGGAGGUUGCCAUGUCCCUGGUCUGAACGAUUCACCUGUUCCCGUAGGCUCGGAAGAACUGAAACAAAAGUUUGUGGAGUCAAAACAUUUUUCAGCAUAGAUGAUGAUUAUGCUAUUUCACAUGAAAUCAGUGAAAUAGAUCAUCUCCAGUUUCAAACAAUAACACGUCACUCAUAUGGACUUUUUUUUGCUCACAACUUUUGAGCUGCACACUCGUAAAAGUUGGUCCACUGAUGUCGAGUAGCCAAAAUCUUGGGGCAGGCACACGCGAAAUGAAAUGGAGGAGUAGAGACGCACGGACUGAAUGAACCAAGAAACUUACUCUUCUUGUUUUUGUCGAACUUCAUAUGGUGGUUGCUUCUCUGACUCAGUUGCUUUGGAGGUCCUGUGACCACACAAAGGCAUGCCAAAAGGGAAAUUUCAGGAUCAGAUGUACAUCCAUGCAACGGUAAUUGACACUAAACAAAUAAAGAAGAAAGAUAGACUUGUUGCGGGUUUAAUUUCAAUUCACUUGGACCACAUCAUUAACAGGUGCAUAUACGAUCUGACUGACCUCCCUGAUGCAUCAAGUGCUUCCCCACGUCCAUCACCUUCAAGAAUAAAAUAACACGGGGAAAAAGUAAGAGACAUGGCACAUUCUAAUGAAAAGAAAGGGAGAAAUUAGUAGACGAGUAAGGUCGGAGGAUGGAAGCUAUCAUGCUCGAUAAAUAGACAAAUGCAGAACCAGAUUACAGAAUUGUUCAUUCUCUGCAUCCUCUCUUCUCUCAAGACAGUGGUUCUUUAGUAAGUAUAUGAAGAAACAUGUACAUCUAACUCUCGCAGUUUCCAAAUUUUACAUGGAGGGCACAGGGUUAUGCAAGGAGUAAAAGGACUGUAGGCAUAGAAGCUAACUAAUACUGGAAAAGAUGCAAGAUGGAAGUGAUAGCAGACAGCAGAGUUUAGACACUGGGAAGUAGUUCCAGAAAGUUUAUCUUCCUACAGCUGGCUUAAAAUGUCUGUCAAGCAAAAGCUUUUGUCCAUUUAUUGGAUGGAAAGUUCAACUUAAGAAACGAAAGUUCAGGGACUUAAUUUCCAAAUCCAAAGAAGAAGGCUUAGGAUGGCACGUAUCUUGAACUCCAAAGCCGACUAGUGAAUUUUGCAUUCUGCCCAAUAUAUUAAUAGUUUAAACUUUGCAUUAUCCAUGCAGAAUUAUCCCCUCAGCUGUGGGCUAAUGUAUUGGUCAUUACAAGUAUAAGAAAGCAAGUUCAUAACAGCGCCUAAUGUUAUAAAAAGGACAACCAAUUUAACAAUUAAAAUGGUAAAACAAUAGUUGGCUACCUUCUGAAGUAACUGGGAGCUGCCGGAUAAAACUCUUCAAGUCUGGCCCUACAACUUUACCUAUACCAAAGAUAGCCUUCUGUGAGUUUAGUACAAUAACACCAUGUGAAAGUAUACAAGAAAAUGCGUGGCUUACCAGUCUUAGCAGCUUCUUGACUAAGACCUUUGGCCCCCCUUUCCUCCUCUUCUUUCUUGAGAACUUAGUGCAGUAAAAUAUUUGUUAAGCACUUGUUUUGGUGAAAAACUAUAUCACAACAACUUCAAUUUUUUGAAAUCUAAUUAAGAAGAUUAAGCUCAUCAUAAAAACCUGGAGAUGCUGAUUUUUUGAAUCUAGGAACAAUAGUUCAAAAUUAUGCAACCAAAGACUUCAAUCAGUGGAGGACAACACAUUUUAUAUUCUUUUAUGGACAAAUGCAAGCUUGUUAUUCCAUGAAAACCCUGCAGCACUGACCAUUUAGCGUUCUGCCAUAACUUACUAAGAUGUGAAAAGAAUCACCUCACAUUAGACUGUUCCGGGAAACAUGAAAAUAUAUAGCAUGAGCUAUUACUCAUGGUUGAUUGAGAAGCUCUUUUCUCAGAUUCUAUCACAUGCCAAAGUUUCAGAUACAAGGUUAUGGGAAGUCAAAUCCAGAAAAGAUAAGCACUGAUGGAAGUUGAAAGAGAUUACACAAAUUAUACUUACGAGCAACAUUGAGUCUAACACGUUCCCGUCUAGCCUCAAGCUCAGCCAUUUCCUGACAACCAAAUUAAUAAUCAACUAAAUGUUUCUGUUCUCUUUCAACUUCUUAGUACAUGAUGUAUGGAGAACUUCUAGAAUAUCCCCUGAAGAUAAAAACAAAGACAGCGGUAUAUUGUCCACAUAGAACAUAAAAAAUUUCUAAUAGAAGAAGAGACUUUCCUACCCUAUUCACCUAUUGACAAUCGAAAGGAUGGGAACAGCACUUUCAGAAGAGAAGUGACCUUCAGCUUGCUUAGCAUCAUAUGAAACAAAAGACAGACAAGGUUGCUUAAUUUACCUCAGGCGUAGGAGCUAUCUUUCGCUGUCCAUUCAGCCAACAUAUCCAUUCGACUACAAUGGUUUAAGCAUAAAAUUACUGAUUAUGAGAACAAAAUGUGGAGAAGCAAGGUGCUUGUGAUCAUAAAAUUGAACAACUUCACCAACUUAAAGUAGGAAAAUCAAGGAUUCAGGUUUAUAAGUGGGUAUGGAAAAGCAGAAGCAUUUUCCCUCAAUAAAGAAUUCCUCAAAUUUAGCAUGUCAUUGUAGAUAAUUAACACAUUAAACAACAAGUUCCAUUCACCCCGAUAAUUUUAAAAUUAAUCCAAGAAAAGAAGCCACACAAUAAAGGGAAAGUAACAAGAACAAUGCUCUGUCCGAAGAGAUAUACCUGGAACUGAAGUUGGUUCCUGCUCUCCUUUGAAUACCACCCAUCGUUUCUCUUUCACUGAUGCAGUCACAUACGUAAGACAUAAGGCCAAGCACAUUUACAAUUUCAAUUUGCAAAAAAGCUGAAGAAACGGCAUUGCAGCUACAUAAUAUUAACAGAGAGCCAACAGACUUCCUCAAGCUAGUAGUUUAUCUCAUUAAACUAUCUACACGUUCCGCCAGAUCAUGCAGUACAAUAAUCUGAUGAUAGCAGUUUCCAAUAACUAAAUGAGUGUGGGAAAAGAAGUACUAGCACCAUGAUAUUAAGCUUCACUAAAACUCAAAGUUCCCAUCUUUGUAGGCCUUAACUGCCAGGAUAUCUUUUGGCCUAAAAUGGCGACUAAAAUAAUUGGACAAACACCUGACGAAAAUCAAACUUUUCUGCGUCCUAUAUCACACCUUGACCAGUUUCAUUUCAUCUAUACUUUAGUUCAGCUUUUAAAUCACAAGUUCUUCAAGCAGCAUUUCAAUAAAUAAAAAAAAAAAUAAAGGAAUCAGCAAGAAUGUGUGCAAAUUCCUCCCAAAGUUCCCAAUUCAUACAUCGAAAUUCACAAAGUUCCAAACUUAUUAAUACAUGUCCAAAUACCAGAUGCUUUAUGCCCAUUCAUUUAAUAAAAUUAUAUAUAUUGCCAAACUAGCACAAAGUGCGAGAGAGGAAAAAAAAAAGGAAGAAGAAAGGACCCACUUACUGACACCAUCAAUUUCUUCCAUUCGAGUAAAGUAUCGAUUCCCAGCUUUGUCCAUUCCCGCCAUAGUCUGAUUUCUGAAUAAUCCCACAAUUUUUGCCCAAAAUCUCGACAUCCUUUUUCUUUUUCGAUAUUAAUCAGCAGUAAUCAGGAAAUAAAUGGUUCUUCAACAGCUUCUUCUUCUUCUGGACUCUCAACCAUAAGCUUCUGUUUUCCUUCCUGAAACCUCAAGAAAGGAGUUCGAACCCAGGUGGCUUCAAGUCUUGAAUAUUGUGUACCACAUAAGACAGUGUUUGGAAACAACCUGAAACGUUAACUUCUGCGUUAACUAUUGUAAUCAGCACUUUUCAUGCUGCUCCAUUCCCUAUUCCUAUGGAUCAAAAUCACUUGAUUCAACGUAAACAAAUCACCCGAAGUAUGUUCUCUUGCUCUUCGAACUCCAUAAUUACAAAAUAAUCAAGAACAGAUGUCUAUUGGUCCCAGUAUUGGGCAGAGUCUGGGUUGGGUUUGUUUUCUCAGGUAUCGCUGGUAUCUGCCAAACAGUUCCAUAGCUGGAAUCCCACAUCGGAAUAACAGAAGAGUCUGGACUUCUUCAAAUCAUCAGAGAAUGAGCAAGCUGCCCGCCGAGCCUCGUAGCGCGGGCUUGUAACUCAAGCGGGGGCAUUAGAGUGAUGGAACAUUGGUCCGACUUAGAGGGUAGGGUUGAGAGCGCUACUUACUAGCCUGCCCACUCCAAGCGGAGAGCUGGGCCGCGUAAUCUUGGCGAAGGCUGAUGUUUCACGGUCCCUAAAGAGAUGGACACUGCGCGAGGCUGGCUUAACAGAGCAGCGAAAACCACCCGCUCCUUGCAGUGGAGGGACUACAGGCUGGUGCGCUCCUGGCCCCAUCAUUGCCCAAUGGGCGGCCCAAAUUGGACCAUCACUCUUUUAAUCAUCCAAUUUUUCCUUUUAAAUAUUUUUUCUAGAUAAAGGGAGGGGGGAAUUUAUGCAGCAAUUUUUCGUUUUAAAAUAUGUCUUCCAGAUAAAGGGCGAGAGGGGAUUUAUGUGGCAGCAAAAAAGAAAAGAAAUCUAAAUCUAGAUCCUCUUAUUGAGAAAAGGGCAAAAGAAUGACGCCUUUCAACAGUUUGUUUCAAUCUUUCAUCCAGAUGAAGAGAGGGGUAGGAUUUAUGCCACAGGAAAAAAAUAAAUUUGAAUUUAGGUCCUCUAAAUUCUAAGGGCAGCUAAUUUUCUAAUUAUUAAAAAAAUUAAAAAAUGUCUUUCAACUGCCUGUUUUUUUUCCUGCAACGAUAACAUUCCUAUAAGCUAAUCAUUUUCAUAGUCUUUUAAUUACUAAUUUCAAUCCAUUUUUCAUUUUACAGGUGUUUGAAUUGAGUAACUAUCUAGAAAUUUGUUCUUCUUUUGGUGAUAUGAUUGUGCAUACAAAAUAGAAAGUGUGAUCUAAAACCAUAUCUAGAAAAUAGUAACAAAACAUUUUUUAAAAGUAAUCAAUUAUCCGAACAUAGGAGAUGAAUUUCUACAGAAGGCUUUCCCAGCAAAUGUUGCACACGUGACUCAAACGAUGCAAAUAUUAGUCAAUUGUUAAAAUUUUGGAAAUUUGGACAAACAUUAGGCCCACGAUUGAAAAGUUUAGGCCCAAUUUGUGCUUAGACCAAUUUCAAUCCUCUGUCACAGUCUCACUACAUCUUCCACGGUUUCACCUGAACUGUUAAAAGAAGAUCUAAAACCAAUUUGAUAGCCGCUGGCCGGAAUUUCAUCUCCGGCAGGCGUUCAACUAUUUCACUAUUUGGAUCUUCUUUUACCAUGCUCUCUCCCAAGCAAAACAGUUCAAAAUCCAACUUCGAAUUCCAAAUAUCUCCAAAAUCCCCAAAAGCUCGAUCUUUCUAAUCUUAAACCCUCGAUUUCUUUUGCUGCAUCUUGUUGUAUGAAACCUGUAACGUGCAAACUAUGAUGUCUUGCUCCAACAUGUCAACAACGGUCUCCUUAAAACCUUCAAUUUGUGACCCCUUUUCAAUUUCUUCCCUAUCUCAGCUCAACCCCCAUCGCAUAUUAAAUUAUCAAACAAUUACAGAUACAAAAAGGUUUGAUUUUUAUCAUAUUUCGAGAGCGCCCCUUAUUCAAAAUGGCCUCCGUGAGCUCAGGGAGCGGAUGGAAACGGUAAAAAACACCCAAAAAGUGACAGAAGCAAUGAUGCUAGUUGCAGCUGCAAAAGUGCGGAGAGCCCAAGAAGCAGUAAUCAAUAGCAGACCAUUUACAGAGGCCCUUGUUGAAGUCUUGUACGAUAUCAAUGAGCAGCUUCAGUUGGAUGAUAUAGAUGUUCCUUUAACAAAUAUUAGGCCAGUCAAGAAAGUUGCUCUCGUUGUGAUGACUGGAGAUAGAGGUCUUUGUGGGGGUUUCAAUAAUGUUAUGCUGAAAAAGGCUGAGGCCCGGAUUAAGGAGUUGAGGAAUCUUGGAUUGGAUUAUUAUUUGAUUAGUGUUGGAAAAAAGGGCAAUGCUUACUUUCAUAGAAGGGAUGGUUUGUUUGUGGGUAGAUUUGUCGAGAGUGGGGGAUUUCCUACUUCUAAAGAAGCUCAAGUGAUUGCUGAUGACGUUUUUUCUCUGUUUGUUAGUGAAGAAGUUGAUAAAGUUGAGCUACUGUAUACCAAAUUUGUGUCAUUGAUAAAGUCUGAUCCAGUAAUCCAUACUUUGCUUCCACUGUCUGCUAAAGGAGAGGUUUAUGAUGUGAAUGGCAAAUGUGUUGAUGUAGGCAAAGAUGAGUUUUUCCGAUUGACAACAAAAGAAGGGAGAUUGACUGUGGAGAGGGAUCGCCCGAUUGGAAAAAAGAGGGAAUUUUUGCCUAAUUUGGAGUUUGAGCAAGACCCUGCUCAGAUUCUUGAUGCAUUGAUGCCACUUUAUUUAAAUAGUCAGAUUCUGAGGGCAUUGCAGGAGUCAUUUGCUAGUGAGCUAGCUGCAAGGAUGAAUGCAAUGAGCAAUGCCACUGAGAAUGCGCUGGAGUUGAAGAAGAACCUUUCCAUUACUUAUAACAGGGAAAGGCAAGCUAAGAUCACAGGGGAGAUAUUGGAAAUUGUUGCUGGAGCAGAGGCACUUAUUUAGUUUGUUUCGGUUUGGGCUAUGCAAUCUUUCAUUGUAUGAUCUCUUCUAUGCUUCUAUCCCAAGCCUCUCAAUUCCAAAACCUUUGAAUCCGUUCAAUAUGCUUUUUUGGGCUUUGCAAUUCUCAGGAAUAGGACUGUACCUUCUAGAUUCAGUGUCUAUACUCUCUUGCUCAAGUUUGGCAUAUGAGUUGUGACACUACCAUUCCGGCUUGAAAUGAGAUUAUAGUUAGCCAUGAGGUAUUCUAUUUUUGAAUUUUAGAAUGCCAGACAAUAUCGACUUAAGACGCUUUUUCUAAAAAAAAAAAAAAUUACAAGUGAUGGGGUUAUUUGGUAUUUACGGUUACUUGUGGAAGUCGAAAUAAAAACAUGGCUACGGAUUUAAUUCCUUUUAUUUCACUACUUUAUUCGGCGGGGAUGUGGUGGACCGCUUUCUAACAGCAAUCAAUCGAUUAAGGACCAUGUUUUUUAAUGUGCUACAGGCGGGGUAGGACAGAGGGUUGCCAAAUUAAAUCCAUUUUUAGAUGUAAUUUGCCGUGUAAAAGGAGCAGAACCCCAAAUUCAUUGAGGAAGAAGUCCUAAAGGAGCAGAACUCUGCUCCAAAUCCAUUUCCUUAUUGGAAGAAGCCCUAAAGGGAGCAGGACUUGGUCGUGGUCAUGGACCCUAUAUAAAGGACAGGACCUACAUCGUUUUCACUACAGCACAGAGAGAGAAACACUGCUAGUCUAGAAUUGAACAUGGCGGAGGUAGUAAAAAGCAGACCAAUCCGCCAUUGUCCACCCCCUCCGAGUCUAUACCCUUGGCUUGUUUUCUUUCAUGGCAAAAAUUAUGGAAAAUCAAACCUUUUAUUGCAUGUCUCAGCCCAAUACUAAAUACGUUAGAUCAAUUCCUGAGUUGCAGAACAAGAGAUUUUGGCUGUCAUCCCACCGCUGGUUAGUUUUGUCGAAAAAACUCAGUUUCAUCUUUGGAAUCUAAAAAUCUUUGGAAUCAAUUUAUCUCCCUCCUUUGGAGUUUGGACCUGCAACCUAGACUACGUGUGGAAGGUAUCCUAUUAACAUCGUCUCCUGCAAAUCCCGGAAGCAUUCUAUUGUUAUUUUUGGCUAAUCCUCAGAGCAUUACGUUCUGUUGCAUCAAAGACCAAAGGUGGACUAUAAGAAGCUGCAGCAAAGAAGAGAUCAAGAUUAUAAGCGGGACCGACGAUGGUUGGCAUCAUUUUUGUUUGCCAAUUGUCUGCAAUGGUAGAAUAUAUGCUACUACCUGUUGCAGACGUGGUCUGGCAGAGAUUGAGAUUGUCAAACAAAGGCUUGUUAUAAGAUCUCUUCACUGUCAGCUACCUCUUUUUCAAUCCGUAUGUGAUCACGUAAAAAUGUACUUGGUGGAAUCCGAUGGGGAUCUCUUUGCGAUAAAUUUUGAGAUACACUCCAGGGAAGCAAUGAAUAUAUUGAUGUUUUCAAAUUGGAUUUCCCAACUAGGAAAUGGAACAGAGUGGACAGCUGCCCGGAUAGAGCUUUUUUCUUGAGCAAUGAUGAAGCAAUCUCAUGCCGAAUUAUGAUAACUGAUAUAGAACGAAUGGGAAGUCGGGUUUACUUCACACGUUACCAAGACAAGUCCCUAUACUCCUACCACAUUGAAGAUAAAACUAUCUCAAUGUCUUCACCUUGUCCAGAUCUGUCGACACCCUGGAGCACACCAAUUUGGGUGUUGCCUGACCCUGAGGGGACCGAGUACCAUCAUCAUCCAGGCGUAGAUCAAAAAGAGGAUGGAAAGGAGGAUAUACAAGUCGGAGCAAAUGGACAUUGUGAAACUCAGGAGAAACUUGAGGAAGCAAAUAGAACAAGUUUGAACGGGAGGAUCAGAAAAUGGAUCAGACAAUGGACGAGGAAGAGGAAGGAAGCUCAGACAAUGGAUGAGGAAGGAAUGGGAGUGCGAGUUGAACCACACUUGGAGAGAAGGAAGUGGGUGUUGUGCGGAUAGCCUGGCAGGCCACCUGAUGUUGUUAAGAAGUGCUUAAAUGAUGAUGCAAGGGGAGUUUGAAUGAUCUUGGUGGUGAUUUAAGUAUUGGCCAACUAUAAAUGUUGGCCAAGGGCCAAAAUAACCCAAGUAAAUCGUACUAAAACUGUACAUUAGCAUUGUGACAAGUAAUAAUGCAAAUUCAAAUAUUCAAUCUCCUUUGGCCAUUUCAACAUCUAAAUUGAAAGAAAAAAUGUCAACUCUUCUAGACACUUAUAAGUCUUUUAUAAGAAAAAAUGGAGAACAUGUUGCCCCCAGUCUCGUUGUCUCAUGUGGAGCAUUGCUGGGGUUUGGAACUGCUAUAGUAUGUAUGCAUGGUGAACGCAGUGGAACAGAAUGUUUCAUUUCGAGGGGUCCAAAAGAGACAGAUAAAUUGGACUUAAAACAGAAGACAUCUGCAAGUUUUUGGAUUCCUUGCUAGCUUCCAAGAAUUUGGAAUUUUGGAUGACUGACCAGUAUGAAUGAAGGUCCAGAAACUGAUUUUGCUUUGGCAUACGCAAAUUGCGAGCAGAGUUGGAGGACAACUUGCCUUCUUAUUAGUAAUUAAAUUAGCUGGCGGACAAACAUCAGAACAAGCCUGCAUGUGAAAAAAUUGACUGAAUUAGAGGGACAGAAUCGCCCUAACCUGUGGGACCCAUGGUUCGAAGUCUCGGCCGAGACCGAGACGACUCGACCGAGUCGUCACCGUCUCGGUCUCUACCGAUAUGAUACCAUGACGAAACGAUACCGAAAUACUUGACUCGCCGAGAAAUCGGCCGAGUCGUCACCGCGACGGAUUGACUCGACCGAGUCACACCGAGUCACUCCGAGUUAUCCCGAGUCAAGACGAGAAAUCAGCCGAGUCACACCGUGACGGAUUGACUUGACCGUUUCUUUUGCUAUUUUUUAAUUAUUUUUAUUUAGCAUACUUUUUUUAUAUUAUUAACAAUUUUUAGAAUAUUAAAUACUUUAAAAUUUGCGUCUCAUCGAGACCGCGACCGAUAUGCCGAGACCGAUAUGAAACGUUGUGGCCCGCGACCGCAACCGCGACCGUGACUUUGAACCAUGGUGGGACCUCGUACCGCCGUACUACUUUAGUUGAUGGCGGCUGCUAGUGAUUCCAGACGAGAUUUGGUAUUACGAGCAAAUGAAUCUACUGAAGAUACAUGAAUAUGUCCUCCUCUAUCACCAGAGAUACUCUUCUUCUAUUUGCAGAAAAGGGAGAGGUCGAAAUAGUUUAAAUUGGGAUUUUGUCAUGCUGGAAUGUCCAAAGCUGAAGGCAGCCGCAUUCAUUGAAUGGCGGCCAUGCCUCUUAUACGCCAAUGUAGAACAGCUAAUUUCGGGGGACUCAUUUCCAACGAGCAAGACAAAGAAACAUGCUGCAUUAUUAUUUUAUAAAGCAAAACCUUUGCUGGAAGAAUGAACUAUUUUACAAGAUUUAAUGCAAAAAGAGAAGUUAUCGUCCUAAAAGUUACAAGAUUUUUCUUAUGUCACGUUGAGCAUCAUGUUUAUCAGAUGUUCUUUUUUAUCAUUUUAAGCUAAGAUGAUUUGCCCACCAAAUUUGACCUCUCGCUGGAGUUAAAAUUUACGUACCUGUGGCUGUGGGUCUGGGAGUGGGGGUUAUUGUUGUUUGUGGAAUACACUGAUUGGAAGGAGAAAUACAGACAAAUAUUACUACUUCUAGCAGAGUCAUGAGAACACAUGGCAUCAUGAUUCUUUUCCUACUAUUAUGCAGAUAGUGAAGAGAAACAAGUUGGAUCCAAGUAUAUGCUUAGAUUUGGAUCGGAUAUCCAUUUCACUGAGUCAAUUGAUGUCAAGGGCUUAACCUGAUUAGUCGAAAAUGGUCUGGACCCAUCCUUCUAAUCAGUGGGAUACUGGAUGGAAACCUCCCUCCCCAUUCGUGAGGGGACCCUUUAAGGUAAAAAAACCAUAGAUCACUGGAAAGAAAUGCUUGAAGGAAAUUCCACGGCAAGUAACCAAAGCAGCCAUUCGUUCGGAGCAAAACAGCAGGCGGAUGAUGAAAUCAAGGUUUCAAUAUACAUAUGAUAAUAUUAGAUUGUGGAAAAACUACAUGUGCAUUGCACUCAGCAGCACCAUUAAAGGUGCUACUUGUCUUUCAGAAAGUAUAUCCGGGUUUUAGUCUUACAAAGUUCAAAUGAAGUCCAAAUCAGAGAAACAACCGGGAAAGGUUACUGAUGCUUGACUACAUAAUUUACUAUACCUUUAUGACGACAUUAACCACCUUCUUCAGGAGAUUAUAAAUCAAUAAUAUAAUUAUGGGUCUCCCUACUAUUAUUGGCAGAAUCACCUCCUCAUUUCUAAUUGAAUCUAUUUAUCAUAGGGUUGUGCAUUCUCCCCCGAGUCCGGAGCCACUAACUACUACAGAAUCAGAAAGUUAAUCCUCAUCUUGUGUGAACUUCCACUUCAUAGUCUUCCAAUGUUCUAUCCUUCAAACUUUUUGACACAUAUUGUCUUUCUUUUUGGCUGGGAGAGUCGAGGCUCUUGUCUUGAUAUAGGAUAUUUUUAAGCAUACAAAGGGGUCCGGUAGUCUUUGUUAGGUAGAUACAAAGUGAAACGCAUACAAAGUGAAAAUAAUACUUGCAGAUGUUAUUCUGACCUUUCACUAUCAAGAUUCAAGAGUGAGUCAUUUAAAACACAAGGGAAACGCAUGCACACACGUUAUUUAGAGAAUUUCUAGGAUUGGCCUUGUUCUGCCAUCUCUCUUGGUGGCUAUCUACUUUCAGCAGACUUCCCAGCUUCAUUUGAUCUUCUUAAACUGUAGGUGAGAAACUGGUUCUCUAAGCAGAAGCAAUGCUUUAAGCUUCUAAAUUUGCUAGCCGGUCCCUUAUGUUGCUCUCCCUUUCUUUCUCAGAGAUACACACACGCAUCACACAUCACAAUCUCGCUCGCGCAGCAUUUCCCUCCCGAUAGAUUGUUGAUAUCACUGUCUCAGAUUUAGAGCUGCAAUUUCUGAAUCAUGACUUCUUAACUCAGCGAACUGUGGAUUCUCUCUGAAAAAGACUUUUGAGUGCGCGGGAUUUGCCUAGUAAAAAAGAUAAUUCCACUCUCUUAAACUUUGGAUGCUUUCUGAGAUUGUUGGUUCUGAGGUGGGGAAGAAGCAACAAUGAGAGAUCCUCUCUUUUCUACUUGGAAUAGCAUGUAUGCACCUGUCUUUUUGGUUAAUGGAUUUAGCCAGUUGACUUAAUUGGAUUUUGUGUUUUCAGGGGGAUGUCAUCAGCUGAAGGCAAGUAUAGCUUGUACAGGCAAGGCAGCUCUGGUUGGUCAACCUUGAGGAAUGAAGAAUUUCAAGAACAAGAUGUCUGGGGUAUUCUCGGGCGAAGUAAAGAAUUGAAGAAGUCCAACUCUGAUUCCUACAGAGAAUCGUCCUCUAUGGUUUCGAGGCGCCGGCCGACUUCAUCGAGAAUGAUUCCAAAAGCCACCAGUAGUAAUUCUGGGACCGAACCCAAAAUUAUUCAACAGUCAGCCCCUGUUAACAUCCCUGAUUGGUCCAAGAUCUAUGGAAGCAGCUCCAAAAAACCAUCCAAUACUGAUUCACGGCUUGAUGAUCACGGCAAUAGCGAUGGCGUGAUGAACAACAGUUGGGACAGUGAUGAAGAAGAGGAAGAUGAUGGCAGUGUGGUUCCACCCCAUGAAUGGAUCGCCAGAAAGCUUGCAAGGAGUCAAAUAACCUCAUUUUCUGUGUGCGAAGGCGUUGGAAGAACACUCAAAGGUAGAGAUCUGAGCAAUGUCAGAAAUGCUGUGUUAACCAAAACAGGAUUUCUUGAGUAACUAUUUGUGAUGGACAUGAUUAACAUUGUCAUGAUGGUGAUUCUGUUUCAUCAAUAUGAUUGGUAAUGUAAUACUGCUAGUAAAUAUGGGUCCCUGUGAAAUCAUGCUGCUAUUAUCUUAUCGCAAUUCAAUUGUACAGGUUUGUCUGCCUGCUUCAGGAUUUCUGAUUAGACAAUUUGCCUUAUUUGGCAUAAGUAGACAAUAAUUGUGCAUCCUGUAUUUAGUACCAGUGUAUUUGCCUGUUAGGUUGGUGCUGCUGUGGGUAAGAGAUUAACUUCUUGCCCUUCAAAUUAAAAGUGAACUAAUAAAAUAAGUAGGUGAUGUUGAUAAAUUUUUCAUUUCUGUUUUUCUAUUUCUUCUUUUGGUUACCAAUGGGGGUUAACUGCAUGGAGAUCAAUCAAAACUUGUUCUUCGACCCAAAAAAAAAAAAGGGUUUCCAAUAUCCACUACCACUGGCGCUUUAUUCGAUGUUUAAACUACUUAAUGAUUCUUGCCUCUCCUUAAUGCAAAAUAGUUUGAUCAUUGCGAGUCUGAAUUUUGCAAGUUUACCUCUUUUUUUUUUUUUCCUGAUCAAUAAAUUUCACCUAAAGCACGUAUACGACUUUCAUACACGACAAUAAUAGAUACAACCAGACAAGGAGUACAAAGAGUAUUAUUGCUAGUACCUUUGUCCAACAGUGCCUUUACUCGUGUUCAUAAAGAAAAUACCCAAAUUUAGAAGGGGACAACGAAAAUGACAUUAUCGAAGAGUAAAAACAAGGUGGCAAUGGAAAAAAAAAAAAGUUGUGUAUUCUUAUAUUGUGAUAUAACAUUUAGUACAAAUAAAAUUGUGCAACCGUCGCCCUAUGGAGCGAAAAAAAAAAAAAAAAAAAAAGGCCCUCCCUCGUUUUUCUUGAUUUUUAUUGACUUGUUUUCAUUUCACCAUAUUAAGCUAUAAAAUUCCAAUUUGCUAGCUAGUUAGGUUUGACAGAUUUUAUAAGUUUUUUUUUUAAAAAAAAAAAAAAAAAAUAGAAGCCACCACCCUACGUAACUCGUCCUUGACAAUUCAAUUAUAACCAGAGAGAAAAAAGGGCACAUUUUUUAACAUGGUACCCACCAUUCUAUUCAAUGUACACUUAUUGCCCCGUUGAAAAUUGACAAGCCAUGGCCGUAACACACAAAAUCAGGCUUGGAAAUUUUGGAAUUAGGCGGCCGCAAAUAUAUCCAGAGAAGAAAAUAAUGUUUUCUGCGGCUGAAAAUAAUUUAAUGGCGUGUCUAAAGUCGCAGGAAGAGUAUCUAGUUGCUUUCUCAUAAUCAAAUAGCAGAAGAAGAUGUCACACAUGCAGCCAGACACAUUACAUCAUAUUUUGUCUUCACACUUCAUCUUUGAAAUUUCUUUUCUUUUGGUUUUGGUAACGACAUAUAUUUAUUACUAUCAUUUUUGAUAGGUACGUAGACUACGUAAAAUAUGAGGCCCUUAGACGAAGCUGAGUUCAGGCUGAACCAAGCUGGAAAUUGCCUCAAUUUCUCUCUUCUUGAAACUCUCCACUUCUUUCAGGGCCAAUGCUCUCAAAUUUUCCACCAUUUCUCGCACUCCCUUUUGAUUUCUUCCAAUCCCAUGUAGCAUUCCUUGUAUGGUUCCGGCAUAGAGUCCAUAGCUUCUCAACUUCUCGAUUUCUGCCUCGCUGCCGCCUCCUAAUAUGGCUCCACAAGCUGCAGCACAAGCAUGCAGUUCACCUUCUUUCUUCCUGCUCACAUACUCAAUCGAGCUCGCAUCGACCGCCCCUUCCUCGUCCGAUUGGCUGAUGAUGAAUUCCCUGAAUUGGCCAUCCACCAACCCCUGCGAUCCUGUGGCCCGGGCGAUUUCGGCCAUUACCCUCAACACCCGAUCCGGAUUGUUUUGGGCUGAAUCCAGCGAAUCAGCCAGCAGCUCGAACCCAAAUGGCACCAUUCCGUCCCCGGUCAGGAGCUCAAUAUUCGGGCCGAACCUACGUUCCGUUGCGGGCCUGGUCCUGUCGGUCAAGGGAAGCUGCUCGUGAGCAUACGCGGCUGCAUGCAUGAGCUGAACAGCAGACGCCGCAGCCAUGGCCUGGCUCCUGUCGCCGCCGACGAGUUCACAAGCAGCAAUGCACAGGGCGGGGGCUGUGGUUCUCGGCGCAGCAAAGGCUAGAUGAUGCAUGGGCUCGAAGACCGAGACCGGAUGCCGGAUUGGGAUGGCUUCCUUUAGAUGUGUUUCGACGUCCGCUUCGAUGUUCGCCCAGUAAGAGUAAGGUUGCUCUCGGGACAUUCUGACCACCAGAGGCCUGUAGCAUACUGACGCUGGGCUAAGAAGAUUUGAUGUGGAGGACCCGAAAAGAUUCGCCCUUCCAUUGCAACUUGAAAGAGCUCUAGCCAUCUUCUCUUCUCUUAGAUAGGAAGGAGUAUAUGGAAAUGAUAUAAUAGUAGCACUACUGCUGAUGACUCCAGAUCUUGCAGGCUAAUACUUUUUGCAGCUGGUGCGGGAGACUUAUAAUACUGGUAGUAGAUGAAGUCAAGAUUUCGUUUUUAUGGCCUACUCUUUUUUUUUUUGGGUGGUGGUGGUGGUGCAUGAGCACGCGGGGCACGGGUUUGUGAAGCUGGAGGUCUCUCUGUUUACGUAGCAAUUAUUGAUGCUUACUGCCUUAGGUCUCACGCUAUUUAAGUAAUGGUAAUGGAACCGCGUGAGACCGUUUGGUUGAUUGAUUGACAUUAUAGAAAGAAAGAAAGAGUACGCGGAAGUAAAUUGUAGUAGUAUUGCCUAAUAUGUUUUUCCUUUUAAACGUUUUUUUUAUGCAAGAGACAAUAGUCGGAGGAUCAAGAAGCAGACAUGCGUACAUCAAAACUUCUUUUCACUUGUUGUACUGGAUAUGUUGACAUACGGCGUACAAAUGAUUUUGAUUUCAGGGACCACAGAGAAAGAAGAUGUCUAGGUUUUGUAAUAGUACUACUACUAUACUCUACCAAACGGAGCUGAAGAAUUAUCUUCUUUAUAUUUAUCAUCAAAAAAAAAAAUUCUUCUUCUUGCCAUCCUUAAAUUACCCAUAGUUGCUAUUGACGGUUCGUUUGAUACUCGAGUAACUCGUUAAUAAAAGGUAUAUUUGUCAUUUUAGAAAUUAAAAUUAUAAAAAUUAUAAAUUAUAAAUUUUUAUUAAGGUUAAUUUGCAUGAGCUAAAACUCGAGCUCAUGAAACUCGACACGUUUGUGAUAAACGAGUCGAGCUCGAGUCACAUGUAUAUUUAACGAGUCGAAUUUGAACACAUUUUAAAACUUGUUUUCCUAAUGAGCUCGAGUCGAGCUCGACAGCCAAAUACUCGACUCGAUUAACAGCUCUAAAUUCCUGUGUGAAAUGUAUGUGGUUGAUUGAUGCACUAGAGCUAAACCGACAAAACUGAACGUCAGGACCAUCUGCAGUGGAAAAUCCAUUUAGACGUUUCCGGCACGUCUCUUAUCUUUCAGGGGGGGGAAAAAAUUAAAAAUACAAACCAGUCCCUCUCCCUGUCGUGGCCAAUAUCAUAACGAAAUAUACCUGAAUAAUGGCUUCUUUUUUUAUCUUACAUCCUCGUCACUAUUAAUGAUGAGUAUUUGGGAAUAUUUCCUCCAAGGGGGAAAAAAAAAUUACGCGCUGAAUAGCUAUGGGAGUAUAUUUAAAGGGUUAGCCAAGGAGUCAGUCCAUUCCUUCCCAAAAUUUACAUUGCUUCAGUGAUUAAUUUCACUUUUUAAUAGUGUAUAUGCCCUAUAACAAUUCUUAUAACGGUCUAGAGACAAGUCUAUGACUCAAUUCCACCUGACACCAUGGAGAGAUCAAUGAAUUUGGGACUAUUCCAGUCAAUAAUUACGUUAUUUUAAACUUGCUUUCAAUGCUUAUGACGUCAAGAUCUUGAGGCAUUAUUAUGACUCAAUUCCACUUGAAACCAUGAAGAACCACAUUCGAACAAAUUUGAUCGGCUCACCAAGUUGAUCGGUUGAACAGUCGAUUCGUCAACGGGUUUAUUAUUUAAAUGAUUCGAUUAAAGACUUAACUCGAUUUAGUUAUUGGUUCAUUGAAUUGAUCGGAUUAAAUCACCGGAUAGGAUCGGAUUGGGUUUAAUAACACUAAUGAAGAGGUCGAUGUUUUCCUUUCUUUUUUUUUAUAAAAAAAAAAUUGUCUACAUUUAUAUGACUACUAAAUUAAUCUAUAUUAAGGGAGAGCCUAAUUGAGGCAAAAGGAGCAAGAGGGAGAUAAACCAACCAAAGAAGUGUAUAAUCGGAAAUGUAAGGACACUUCCCUAAUCCGAGUUGAGGAUAAUAAUUACCAAGCCAAAAUACUCCAGCCAAUCAAAUCAAUCUUGUCGGCAUAUGGGCCUAACCCAUGUGCCUCGAUUGUCUCGUGCACGGAAAAUGUUAUGCAUAAACAGCGCUUGGUGCAUAUCCAUUUAGCUUUGGGACAGCUACGCCCAGAGCCCAUGUGUUCAAUGCAUUGUGACACCGUACUGGGGGCUUUACAGGAAAAAAGUAGAUUUAAAAAAGACAAAGUAGCACAAUGUACACGUCCCAAUUUGCGUUGGACGUGGGCUUCCUAGGCUCAGUUACGGGGCUCCACACCAGUAAGUUUGUCAACACUUGUGAUUCGCUUGCAGCCCAUUUUCCCCCACCAAACUUGCUGAACUAUAUGUGUGUGUAUAUAUAUAUAUAUAUAUAUCCUUAUACUAUAUAAGAAUGAGUUAUGAUCAAAGAAGGUUUAAAUUUCAAUUGCAUGGAUAGGAAUUUUUUGAGAAUGUGAAAUGUUAUGUAGUUUUUUAAAAUUUUUGGUACAACUGAGGGUAGCAUGUAUUUAGGUAUAUUUACUAAAAUGUCUUCAUUUAUUGAAAGUUUUGAUUUAUGAGACGUUUGAGUAUUUUUGAAAAAUGAAAUUAUUUUGCAACUGUUUUUGCAUCAAGUACAACUCAUAUAAGCUUAUGUAUUGGUAUAAUUACUGAAAUGGUAUUAUAGACACAUUUAAUUAAAGUGUGGAUUUUGUUGUGCAAUUAACACAAAGACAUAUUAACAUAUUGUGCAAUUAACAUGUUGCUAUAACUAGCUAUUGAAAAAUAUUCCUUUGUCUGAAACAACUUAUGUUUAUUUUUUGACGAUUUUCAACUGACAUCUGUAGGGAUCUUUGGGGAUAGUAAAAUCAUAAAAGUAUUGAUAAAUCAAAGUACACAAGUACGUGCUACAAUUAAAAUGUACUAUUAUUAGAUUUGUCAUAUUUGAUGACUAUUUUUUUUUCCAGAAUGUACUAUUAUUUGUCCAAUGAAAAAUUAUCUCUAAUCACAAGCACCAAACACCCGCGCACUCCCCUCCAUCUAGAUAUUGAAAUGUAGUUGCUGCUUAAACUUAUAUAUAUAUAUAUAUAUUCUACAUAUAUAACAAACGCAAUUUCAUUCCAAUAUUUACACUAAUGGCAGCAACUACAUUAAAUAUAGUAUUAAUGACAGUAAAUACAUCAAAUACGAUACAGAUAUAUAAAUCUAAAAAUUAAAUGAUAGAACAUUUUUUUAUUUGAUCUGAAAAAAAUUUAGAUUUGACUUCUAUAUUUGGUUUCUUAGAUCUAUCAAAUAUCUAAUCUCAUCCACUGAAAAAGAUAGAACAAAGACUGCUUCAAACCCAAAAAAUUUUGGCUUAUAAGAUUUACCAAAUCUCUAAUCUCGACCAUUAAAAAGAGAGAAGAUAGAAAAACAAAAAACACUUUCACAAGAAUAUCUUACCAGACAAUAAAACUUCCACUAGAAAAAUUUAACGGAGAAAAAUCUCUCGUCAGAAAAUUUUAGAAGAAAACAAUCUCUCACUAAACAGCUCUAAAAAAGAAUUUAUUCAUACAAAGGAAAUAAAUUUUGGGAAAGGGCAUCCUCUCAUGGAGAAAAACCGGAUUAUCUUGUCUAAUCUCUCUCCCAGAGGAGAGUCAAAUGAGAUUUUGGUUAGAGGAGUUUUAGAGAGAGAGAUAAGAGAAGAAAUUCUAACAGGAGAUGGAGUAUUCAAAUAUAGGACCUAAAAUACAAGCCUUUUAACGUAAUUAGUCACACAACACAACCACCAUUCACCAACUGCAGAAUUUCGACCUUUCGAUUGUCUGCAUUGUGAGGCUUAAUCAUCUGUUGCUCUACAUAAAUUCUUCAUUACAGGUGAAGUCAAUGAGGCGAAAUCCAGUUUUACUUGAUAUCGCAACAUAUUGCUUAACUUUUAAUGAGACAUAUAAAAUUUGAGCAGCUCUGGCAUGUAUACAAUCCCAUCUUAGACAAAAUCAUGUCCAUCUCAUCUACUCAUCAAUAAAUUAAAAAUGCUUUUGAAGCUGUUUGUGGGUUUCAUUUGGAGAGAUAAGAUAAUGCAUGUUAAUGGAAUACUUUUGUUUUUUUUUUUCGACACAGGAGUGUCCGGGUCAAUUCUUACGGAACCCGACUAAUCCCCUGCGACUUGGACCCGGCGCCCCAAUCCAGUCCGAACACGUUAAGUGCGCAGAGGAAUUCAGCGGAGCGGAGACUCAAACUUGUGACCUCAAGAUUCACUUGUGAGAGGCGCUGCCGCUGGACCAUUCACGUAGGGGCGCAUUUUAAUGGAAUACAUUGGGGUAAGAUUUUGCCGAGUAGUUGGCUACUGAGUCACUAUCCCACCAAAGAUUCUAGACGUGCCUGUUUCGGCACUACGAAGGCAAAAGGGCAAGGCAACGACCACCUCAACCUACAGGCCCCCCGGGAGAACAUUGACAAGAAAGCCCCCAUUAAUAUGUAAAGUUUGGUGCGGCUUAUGAAUCAAUCCUCUGCUUUUAGCUCUAGUACAACGAUAACGACAAGGGGAUGGAAACAGGACUGGCACUUGCAGAAAGUCACGACUCAGACUUUCUACCUAAUAUGUGUCCUCGAAUGUGUUCUCUCAAAAAUAAAAAACAUUCAUAUUUUCAAGAAGAAUCUCCUGGCCAUGGUGAUUCUCAUCGCACAUGAACUUUCAAAGUUGUGAGAUUAAAUGUGUCAGCAGAUGUUGGGAUCAGGUGAUUGCUCAUCGUAUCAAAAUCCCCCUACUAACCUUUCGAGCGUGUUCCCCACGGGGCUUAGUCCUCUCCGAACAAUCUUUCUGUGAUCACUGAUCAUGGAGCUUCGGACCUUGGACAAGGUGGUAUUUGGUUGGCUAUUUACGCUAGUAGUGACACAUCAUGAAGUUUCCUGCCUUUGUUUUUUAAUGGCAGCGCCAGCCACGUUAUUAUCACUUUCUGUCCUAUUUUUUAUUAUAUUACUAUUUCUCCUAAAUAAACAUCAUGUUUUAGUUCUUUUUUAUUUUCUUAAGAUCCAGUAACUAUUAAUUGAGUAAUACACAAAAUUUAACAAACUCAAAAAAUCAAAAUGCAUAAAAAUGAGAUUUUUUAUGAAAUUUCUGCUAUAUUUUUUAAUUUGCUAUUAUAUAUUGCUUUUUUUAAGAUGCUGUAUUUAUUUUUUACUCAAUUAAUAGUUAUUGGAUUUUAAGGAAAUAAAAAAGAACUAAAACAUGAUGUUUAUUUAGAAAAAAAUAGUAAUAUCUUAAAAAGUGGGAUAGAGAGUGGCACAGAAUGUAGGACAGAAGAUAGGGUCUUUAUAGUUAAAGCGUGUACCAACUGUGAAUCACAUUGGAUUGCAACUUGCAAGGCUCACAGGGAGCUUACUGAUAUUAGACAUAAUUUACAGGGUGUGUGGACUUUUUAGCAAAAAUGGAGUAACAGGUGCUUCAAAAAAAAAAAAAAAAAUGGAGUAACAGGGAACCAAGACUUUACUUCUUUAUCUCGGAAAUCCAUUUCUAUUUCUAGAUUGUUAGAAGAUGACUGAAGGGGUUUUUGCUAGCCUCAAUUUUGUAAACGCUAGCUGACUUUUGUGUGUGUGUGUGUAUAUAUAUAUCCUACCAAAAAGAGAAAACAUUGGACAAUAGGGUCAUCGAUUUGCUAAUCAUAUCCAUAGCGGAGUCCUUGUAGAUCGAGUACCCUACAAUGUGCAUGAUAUUACCAUCUCCAUUUCAACCCUUGUCCAGAGAAAUCGGAUAGUCAUUCCAUCGCAAUUGAGAGUGUAAACAAACAACAUCACUUUAGAAUAGAGGUCAACCCUUGCACAACUCAGAAUUUGAAGGGGUGUAAUUGAUUAAGUAAGGAUUAUGUCGUUGAGCAGAUGGACCAAACAGAACAAGGAAAAAGCAAUAGUAGCAAAUGAGUUUGGAGCCACCGCAGGGGUUAUUAGCGUUAGUAAUUACUGUGUAGUAUUCUGUCGCGGUUGCGAUGGCCUGUGUUUCCGUGUCUUCUGUGUACUGUACGUAACUGAAGAUGGCUUUUGACCCAUGGAAUGAAAUAGAGUGGCCAUGUUACUGGCCCUUGCAUCAUGUGUCCACAGCUCAUCAUUUUGUUAUUUGCGAUCUCCAACAAAAAUAGUCCGAAAUGAUUAGGUAACACAAAUCUGACUUGUACUAAAUUGGAAUGCCAAAAAUAUCAAAGGAAGUACCCGCUUCCUUCUCGAUGCUCCUUCCUUUUACGUGCGUUCUCUAGUCACUGUGCUCUCUCCGACCUCCUUAAUAACUCAUCUUUGUCUUGCCAGGAAGAAAAAAGCAGAAACAAAUCUCUUUCGUGCUAUCUGUUGCUCUCUCGCCCACAUAAGGAAAAUUUAUGGGAUAUUUAAGCGGUAAAUGCUUCAAAUUCUAAUAACUAGGGCACUGGCAAGAAAAUUCACCUACCUAUUGCGGCAGAUGAAAAAGGACAUUUCAGUAAUUCCAACCCAAAAUGGAGGCUGAAGCUGCUUUCCGACUCCUGUUACGAGUCAGCCACCGCUUCACCGACAUUUCUAUAGAAAACAAUUGUUGAAGCAGUGGAGUGAAAACAGAGACUAAUACCACUAGGAAAAAUCGAGACUUGAAUUCGGUGCAGUGUUUUUAAAGUUGGUUGGCUCCGUUCUACCAAAACUGUCCUUGAUUUCCACAACCCACCAGCCCCCUACCUUCUCCUCCUCCUCCACCUAGAAUGUGAGUUAGUACAGCUAGCAUAUUACCGGAAGUUUCCAACUUUGAUAUAUUCUAGACAUUUAUUAGAAAAAAAAAAAAUGUCACGCAAACAAACAAAUUAGUUGGUUAGUGCAUUGAAAAAAAGGCCAAUUCUUUUUGUCUGGUCCUGAUUUGGGAUUUUCUCUUCCAUUACAUUCCUCAAUCUUUUGCUCAGCGAAAGAGAGAAUUCAUUGGUUUUUGUCGAGCUGUGUGCACUAGAAACUGAACUGGGGCACAGUAGCUUGAACUUUGUGGUCCAAAGUUGAGGUUUUAGCAUAGUUCAGUUGAGAUUUGAAGUGGGUUUUUUAGGUAAACCAGUUUUUGAAUUGGGUAUAGCUUGAUUUCGGUGGUUUGUGGAAGUGGCUGAUUGGAAUUCCAGUUAAAGUCUUGAACUUUAUAAUCUAUUCUUGAGUUUCCUUCAGCUAAGUCAGCCGUGAGAUUUGAAUUGGGUUUCUGUCAAAUCUUACAUCGAAUUUGAUUAUGCAAGAAUAGCAUAAUGUCUGGGAAGAGCAGAGGAGGAGCAGAGUCCAGUUAUAAAAGUGUUGUCUCUCGAAGAUUAACAGUUUGGCUAUGUAUUGGAUGCUUCUGUGCCGGAAUGCUCUUCACCGACAGGUUUGUUUAUUUUAUCUUUCUUUACAUUUCUAGUGAUUCUCUUUCCCUUUAAAUGUGCAACAGAAUUACUUGAAUUGGUCGUUCUUGGAUCAAUCUUGUAAAUCUGGUAAUCUGAGUGGUAAAUUUUCAAUAGAAAAGAUUAUUCUUUGUUCCAAAGUCCCAUUUUUGGUUACUGAGUGUCUUGGUGAUAAAAAGUGUAUUAAUUUCGUCGGUUUUCUAGAGUUCGUAUCCAUAGUAUGUAUGGUUUAGUUGCUUUUCGGUGCAGAAAAUUCUCAUGGCCAGAGACACGAGAAUUUGUAUAACAGUUGUGCAUAUUGGUGUUAGGAUCUUGCCAUCGGUUUCAGUACAAUCGUCUUUAUUUGGAUGGUAAAUAAGGUUGUGGGUCAUCUUCCUUGUCAUUGUGCUAGUUCCUGAGUUCAACAUCUUCAGAUUAAUUAAUAAGUAAAUAAAAAGAAGAUAAAGUUCAACACCUGCAAGUGGAGUGCCUCAUGUUACAAACGGAGAAGACACACCCAUAGAGCAGGUUAAUCUGCAGCUGGCACAAAUGGCAAAAGUCCAGUUCUCUUCCAUCAGAUCAUUUCAUGUUUUGCUGGCUUAAAGCGUUCGAGUUGAUGAUUUCAGUUUAAGAAAGAAAGUUUGAUUUGGUGGUUUUAUUAAAACAUUUUCCCUUAAAAAGGAGUUUCAAGAACUUGAAGAUUGGACGAAAGUGACAUAAUUUGAUGUUCAGAAACUUGUGAAGUUCCAUUCAAUUCCACAAUAACUAUAUAAUUACACUGGUGAAAAAAUAUGGCCUGGGUUCGCACAUGGCAACUUCCUAUGUAGAGUUGCUUGUUUUGUUUGUGUCCCUAAUUAGAAUUUUUGUGAUGUUAGAAUGUGGACGGUCCCAGAAGCUAAAGGUAUAUCAAGGACAUCAUCAGUUGAAGACGAAAAACUAAAGCUAGUUGCGGAGGACUGUAAAAAUGUGAGUACUUAAAUAAUUUUGAGGACUGCAUUUUCUCAUUUUGAGCUUGGAGAUUGUCACUGAGUGCUAUAAUAAGCUCACAGUCAAUCCAUUUUCAUGUACGAUGUUGAGUUACUAGUCAUCAGUGACUUUGUAAAGAGGUUUGUGGGGACUAAGUUCUGCUUUCCUAUUCCUGUUUGCUACUAGAAUAUGAAAAGUAAGUCCAAUGAUAUUCCGGGAGAAGUGUCAAAGACGCAUCAUGGCAUACAGUAAGCUCCUUAUGCUUGUUUACCUUAGAUAUCAUUAAUUUGUAGACAUGCAACUUCAAAGUUUUGUACGGAUUUUCAGAACACUUGAUAAAACAAUUUCAAGUUUGGAGAUGGAAUUAGCUGCUGCAAGGGCUUUGCAAGAUUCCCUACUUACUGGUUCACCAGUGUCUGGGGACUUGAAGAUUCCAGAAUUGAUCAAGAGAAGGAAAUAUCUCAUGGUUGUAGGCAUUAACACAGCUUUUAGCAGCAGGAAAAGAAGAGACUCUGUUCGUGCUACCUGGAUGCCGCAAGGUUUCUGAAUAUUAAGACAGUUUGUGUUUGGGUUUUGAAUUCUUCUUCUAUUAAAUUGAAUGGGUGCGUGGAUGAAUUGCUAACACUGUAAAAACAGGUGACAGACGCAAGAAACUUGAAGAAGAAAAGGGCAUUAUAAUCCGCUUUGUAAUAGGUCACAGGUGAGAGAGAUUUUUUUGCUGGACGUUGUGUUGACCUGUUUCCACUAGUUUGUUCUCUUCCUAUGUUUCCACUUCAAAAACUUAUGUGAUAAUUUUGUUGAUGCUACUUGUUAGGAUAAUCAUGGAAGUACCUUUUAUUAUGAAAGAAUAAUGUGAAAAAAUACUACACAAUCAUUUGAAUUUCCCAAGAUGCAAUUCAUUUUUUGGCAAAUAAGGAUCACUGAAGUCUGAUUCUUACUCGCCUAUUCAACAGUGCUACAUCAGGUGGUAUUCUUGAUAGAGCUAUUGAAGCAGAAGAAAAAAAACACGGGGACAUCUUGAGGCUGGUAUCAUCAAUUUUCCUUAAUUAAGUUUUUGCUUGAUAUGCAUUGCUGUUCAGUAUUGGAUCAGAAUAUACUGUAGCCCAGCCUGCCUUGCAAUGACCUUAAUUUAAUUUGCUGCUUUGCGACUUUCAUAAAGUACAUGAACAUCUGAGAAGACAGCUCACUGAUGCUUCCAUUUUUAUGCUUUAAUAGGAACAUGUUGAGGGAUACCUUGAAUUGUCAGCAAAGACCAAGUCAUACUUCACUACUGCUGUUGCUCUGUGGGAUGCAGAUUUCUAUGUGAAAGUUGAUGAUGAUGUUCAUGUGAAUAUAGGUAAAAGAUAUGAUUUUUUUGGUUUAUCAUUUGGAAACUUGGGUGGCAAUGUAAAUUCUUCCUUUCUUGUUUAUAUGACCAAAAACUUUCUUUUGUCUUGUAUAUUCAAAAUGUUGUGUAUCAUUGCCAUUGUGGGAAACAUAUUCGAAAGACGUUAGUUUUCAAUUUACUUGAAUAACUAUGUUCUUGUGCACAAUUGCAGGAACCCUGGGAGCAACUCUAUCCAGACAUCUCUCCAAACCCAGGGUUUACAUAGGGUGCAUGAAGUCCGGGCCUGUUCUUGCUCAAAAGUAUGAUACUACCACAUAACUGCUCUUCCAAUUGAUGUUGAAAAUACAUUUAUGUUGAUAGUGGCCUGUUUUUUAACCUUUGUCUCCUCCAACAGGGGAGUGAGAUAUCACGAACCUGAGCAUUGGAAGUUUGGAGAAUAUGGAAACAAGUACUUCCGUCAUGCUACCGGUCAGCUAUAUGCUAUUUCAAAAGAUUUGGCUACUUAUAUCUCAAUAAACCAGUAAGCAUCUUAUUUCAUUAUAGUACUGCUGCAAUGGCAUCGCCUUGUAUGUGUUAACCUGAUUCUUUUAAUCGUGUAUAUUCAUUCAUAUAAGGCACGUGCUUCACAAAUAUGCCAAUGAGGACGUCUCACUAGGUUCUUGGUUCAUUGGUUUGGACGUGGAGCACAUAGAUGAUCGGCAAUUAUGUUGUGGAACUCCACCCGGUAAGGUUAUAUGAGUCUAUUUGUUGAAUAAUCAAUUUGUAGUCUGUUGGUUACAAUGCUCCAAUGACACGAGGCACACUGCAGUGGACUUUAACACAAUGACUAGACCUAUUUGAAAUAGGUCUUUUUUAGUGAAUGGCUUCCUGUAAAUUGAGUCUGAACUCUACGGAGUUCUACCAAUAUGUAAAUAUUUUGUUUAAAAACCCAGCUUGAUCAGCACCCUGCCCAUUCGAAAGGAGAAAAAAUGAGGAAGAAAAGAAUUGUGCUUGUUAAAAGUAAGAGUGUAAAGAACAAGAUCAGUUAAGUGGGUGCUACCCAGUGUCGGACAAGAGUUUGAACAAAGCUUUAAGACUCAAAUGGUUUGAUAUUUUUGCUAUUAAUGUUGACCCAGAUUGUGAGUGGAAGGCUCAGGCAGGCAACAUCUGUGUUGCUUCCUUCGAUUGGAGGUGCAGUGGGAUUUGCAAUUCUGUAGAGAGGAUUAAGGAGGUGCACCGGAGAUGUGGAGAAGGUGAGAAUGCUUUAUGGAAUGCAGUCUUUUGACAUGGAGCAUAUCAUCCAAAUUCUGGAGGAUGCAAAUUGAUCAUUGAGAAUUUUGUGUUGUAGAUAUUUGCCCUUUAGGUAAAUUGUAUGUUAUAUCGAUAUGUAAAGCAUGAGAGAUUUUUUUUUUUUACCAUUAUUUUUUUUCCUUUCUUCCUUAUUCUUUUUCUUCUGGGAAUUGGGGUUAAACUCGGCCUCAACCCAUUUUAUGGGAGAUCAACUCCUUUUUUUGUUCAGGAGUAAGAUCAUUUUGUUGCCAAGAGACAAAUUAAUUGUAGGCAACCAUUCUUUGGUGUCAAAAGAUGCACGAGUUCAGAUUGCAGCUCUUAAGACUGCUGAAACUCAAUAAACGUCUACGAUAAGCGAUCAUGCGAGCGUCUUGUUGCUUCAUAAGUGGAAAUGUGAUGCUCUCCAUCUACUUACCCGUUUCUCACAUUCUGAUCUGAUUCUGCAUUUGACAAUUCGCGUUUGGAUCGUGUCGAAAGAGACGAUUGAGGGUCGAUCUAAAUGUUCAAACAGCCAGAAGAGAAGUAAAAGGUUAGGACGCUGUCUUAUCCGAAAGGUUGUCGCAAACUAAUUGGCUGUUUUGGCCUCGAAGACUAACCAAAGUGCCUGGAGGCUUAAAGAGACUGGAAAGUAGUGUGGCGUAGUUUCCAUUUCGCCAAAGUAAUAGUACUAGAGGAGUAAUACUUCAAAAGUCAGAAAUACGCCUUGGUAAAAAGAUAAAAAGGAAUAAAGGAAUAGCGGAGAGGUCAGAAAUAAAUUUCUAGUAACUAGGACUGUGGCAGUAGUAGUUGUAAAUGCAAGGUUUGAAGCCGUGUGGAAUCAAUGAUGCCAUUUCUGCCAGAUAACAAAACCAACGACCCUUGGAUCAUCAUUCUUCUAGUGAAAAGGCUAUCCACUGCUUCUCUUUCUUCCCACUAGCAAAGUGAGCUCAACAAGCCUUGCUGCUGCUUGGCUUCUGUCCGUUCAAUCUCCAGAGAAAAUUAUUUACAUAUGUACAAGUGAUCAGGCAGUUGAUAUGUGUCUAUUGCUGGUUCAUACUCAAAGCUUCUACUUAUCUUCUGUUUAUCCUUUCCCUGAUAACACCACUCACUUCUUGUUUCCUUGAAGCUUAAGGGCUUAUUCAAUUUCUCUUGCUUUUGUCAUAAAAAAAAUGGGGAUUUUUGAGGAAAAUGUAUCCGGGCUCAAAGUCCUGGAUUGUGCUCUAAGGUUGUUUCUUGUUCCUUUUAGCAUUGCAGCUAUCUGGCUAACCCUCACCAACCACCAAGACAACAGCAGCUAUGGGGAAUUGGUCUCUAGCUACUUCAUGGGGCUCAAGUAAUUAGCAAUAUGACCAUAUAUCUUUCUCAAGUUCCUUGAUUCUGAUGAUUUUCGCGUGGUCAAUAUGUUAAAAAUCCAAGCUUUUCUGCAGGUACAUGGUUUACAUCAGCGCAGUAUCAGCUGGAUAUGCUCUUUUAGCUGCUGUUUCAUUGUGGGUCAGAUGUUUGGUUAGUAAAGCAUGGAUCUUCUUUGUAUCUGAUCAGGUAUGUCUCCACUUGGAAUCCUUAAGACAGAUUUCAACCAAUCACAUCAAACACUUGCUCUUAGCACUUGAAAUUGGAUACUAAGUAUAUAUGCUACUUAUGAAGGUUAUCAAGAUUCUGAGCUAAUGGGGCAUGGGUUAUUUAAUUGGCUUCUUCAAUUUAUUAGCAAAGGGGAAAUAGGUUUGGUGAAGUCCAAUUGCAACCUUAAAAGGUGUAACAAAGUAGUACUAAAACUCGAGAACAAAUUUGUUGUCCGACAGCAGUAAAUUCUGUGCAAUUGAUUCCCUUGAUAUGUUGUUGUGGCCUUGAGGAUCUGCCCAACUACUCCCAUAAUGUUGGAGCAAACGCAAUAAAUGCAUUGUUUUUAUCUUGCAUUGUCUAUUUGGUUCAUGGACACCGCAUUAAAUGGGGGUGAUAUGUAAAUGGAGCAGGUGGUUGCAUACUUGAUGGUUACAGCGAUGGCUGCAUUGGGGGAAAUUCUAUAUUUGUCAUAUAACGGUGACCAGAAAGUUACAUGGAGCGAAGCUUGUACUUCUUAUGGAAGGUUUUGCCACAGAAUGAAGCUGAUUUUGGGAUUCCAUGUUGUAGCCCUGUGGUGUUUUCUCCUCUUAGCUGUUAUUUCAGCUUAUAGGCUCUUCAGCAGAUUUGGUCCUCCUACCCUUUCUUCUAAAGAGCCCGAGGAAGAACGAACCUGAAAUCUUUUCUUUUUCUGGGUUCCAUCUCUUUUUGUUGUGUACAACUGUAGAUCAUGUCUUCUUGCCUUGUGAUCCAUAAACAAUCAAGCCAUGAUUAUCCCUCAAUUGAAUACCGGUUGUACUUUUGCUGGUGGAAUAGGAAAAUGGGAAAAUUACAUAGCCACUCUCUCGGCGACUGAUUUUCUGUUUAUCUCACCUCUUAUAUAUACGAAUGAGAAAUGCAUCCAAAGCGGACCAAAUUGGGAUAAUAUGAUGCUAUAGAAUUACUCGCUAGUUUUUUGAUUCUAUGUUGUAACUGCUAAGUAUGCUUCCUCCACCAAGUUUUGGAACGUAUUGCAAUCCAAGAAAAAAGAAGUGUUUCGUAAAACUGAAUUCAUCUGAAACAGGAAUUAAGACAAAUUUCUUGAAUUGCAGAGCUAUUUCAUCCUCUAAUCUCCCCUUGAUACGGUUAUAUUAUGCCAAUAAUCUACAUUACGUUUGAUUAUAAAAAUCAUUAAGAGAAUUAAUGGCAUAUUGUUGUAUCAAAGCACUGAAGGACUCGUUGUUGGCAAAUUAGGAGGUCCAUUUGAUCUCUCACAAUUGCCGUUUUCAGCGACCACCAAAACAACACUACCAUAUUGGCUGCUAUUUUUGAGAUUUCCACUCUAGUCGCUGAAUCAUUUACUCGAACAAUUCUUGAGAUUUCAAUCUUAGUCGCUAAACCAAAACCUCUCCUACCACAAUCUUCGUAUAUCUAACAUGCAAUUACUUCAUGUCUAAUGACAUAUGGAUGGAUAAAUAAUUUGCUAAGGAUUUGCAGCUCCUUUCCACAAUCGACUUAGCUGGAUGCUACUCCCACCUGCGGUGAUAGCAGCAGAAGGAAGGCGACAUUCAUUAUAGACCUUGCAUUCUCGGCAGAAUUCAUAUGCCAUCUGAUAGAAAAGCAGUACGGUGUCCUAGUUAGUUAAACUCGGACUGGACCUCCCGGAGGCCAAACUAACUCCGGCCACUAGAAGGUUGUUAAGGUUUUGCAUGUUGUCCUUCAUUAACUAAUGGGAAAAAAGUCUCAAUGGUCCUCCAACUCUUUCUCAAGUAAAGUUUUAGCCCUCCAACAAUUAACGGUAAAGUUUUGGCUCUCGAUCUAAUAAAAUAGCAUAUUUGUGACCCUUCUGUCAAAUCCAGUAGUUAAAAUUGACAGGAAGCAUCAUCUCACGAGACGCGCGACCAAAUAUCAAGAGUAUUAUAGUCUCUAAGCAAAGACAGAGCAAAAACACUUUUACUACUGAUUUUCCUUCUGGAAAUCGUAUUUGCCACUCCAUUUCUGCUUUUACAACUCCUCCUACGCUGGCAAUUAGUACUUUCGUUGCAGCAUUCGAAAAUCUUCAAAUGAACAUUCCGGCUAGACCCAAUUUCAACUCCUUGAGAAGCCCAUUGCCCAAUUUUUUCUAUUCUAUGUGCGAACUAGAUUUUCUCAAAGCCCCCAUAUAAGGAAAGGAAAUCAACGGAGUCCAUCCAUCCCAUCACACCGCCAGCGUGUUACUUCCACUGUCCUUGUCGGACCAUUAAGUUAAUAACAUAUGACCGAAGACGCAUAAGCUCUUCAUUUUCUCUCUCUCUGGAUAAUGGGUCAGUCUACUUCUAUACAUAUAUACUCACCGGGUAGGUCAAGCCCGACUUCCAGCCACUGCCGCUGCAUCACCGCUAAUCAAUCGAACGCCGUCUCUUCCACCGACGUCAUUGCUCAGCUUACUCUCCCUAUUUUCGGGGAUGGGCAAGAUUAUAGCUCCGAAAUUCCCGAUGAGUGCUUAGCUUUAAUCUUCCAAUCUCUCAGUUCUGGCGACCGAAAAAGCUGCUCUCUUGUUUCCAAGCGAUGGCUCAUUGUCAAAGGUUAGAGCUGCCACUAAUUAUCUCUCAACGCCACUGCCAAUAUAUACUCGCAAAUCCCUGUAAUAUUCUUCUGUAUUUGCCACUCCAUUUCUGCCUUUAUAACCUCUCCCACGCUGGCAAUUAGCACUUUCGCUGCAGCAUCUGGAUUGAGUUGUUUGAUUUUUUCGCACUAGGGUUUUAGAGCAAAAGGGAUGGAAAUUGUUGGAGGGAAAAUCGGUGAAAGUGUUUUUACUUUGUCUUUGCUUAGAGAUUAUAAUACCCUUGAUAUUUGGUCGCACGUCUCAUGAGAUGGAGCUUCCCGUCAAUUUUAACUGUUGGGUUUGACAGAAGAGCCACGAAUAUGCUAUUUUAUUAUAUCGAGAGCCAAAACUUUAUUGUUAAUUGUUGGAGGGCUAAAACAUUACCUGAGAAAGAGUUGGAGGGCUAUUGAGACUUUUUCCCUUAACUAAUCAAUGGUCAUACCAUAAAGUUGAUACUUCUAGGUGGAUAUCUCUAGUAUAAUGGUACUAGCAAUCAACAAAACUCAUAAUCCCCAAAAGGGAAGGGGAUAAAAUGAAAUUUAGUAUGAAUACCAGAUACUCUUAUUCUUUUAAAUCACCUUUGGAAUUUCCAUAUUAGUUUACUUUAUUUAUCCUUCUCAGUUUGUAUGCUCCAUAUUUUCUUCAACUUCAAUCAUCACCUACACCAUAGAUCAGCCCUCAUUGAGGGAUUAGGGCUCCUACAGUUACAAUUUUGAUUGUAGAGUGCAAUUAAUGAUAAAAAUGGAUUUAAUUUGAAAUUGGGUUGGAUGAGAUUGAUUACAGGAAACACAAUUUUUUUGAAGUGUCAAGAUUUAUUGUAGUUUUACGAAUUAUGGUGUCAUUAUCUAUACUUGUUAUAUUAGUGUGUACGUUUGAUAUAUGAUGGAUACCUACAUUGCAUUAUACAGUUGGGACAUUGUAAUUGUAUAUAUCGCUUAUCCAUCAUUGAGUAAUUGGACGACUAAUCAAUCUAUAUCAUCAUUCAAGAGCCAAACUGAAGCAAAAAUUAUGUAGUGAAAAAGGUCAAAUUGAUAUAUUUUUAGGUAGCUAAAAAUUGUUGGCUACUUAAAGGACCAACUUGUAAUUAUCGCACCCAAAAGAGAAUAAUGUAAAGGGAAAAUGACCAAUUUAGUCCAUAUACUUUUUUUUAUUGUCAAUUUAGUCCCUAUAUAUUAUUUGUAGCCAAUUUAAUCCUUAAACUUAUAUUUCGGUUCCAAUCAAGGAACUCAGCGGCGGCGCCACCACAUAAUUUUCAUUAUGCUCCUAAUCGAGAAACCCAAAAAGGAUAUUUUAGGAACUUCAAUGCAGGGCCGUAACCAGUCAAUGCUGGGACCGUUGAAAGAGGAGUAAUUUUUUUUCCAAUCCAAAUUCACACUAAUUGUUGCCGGAUAUUCCUUGUUUUGCCGGAUAUUCCUAUCGGUUGAGCCUGAUUUUCGGAGUCAUUGGAAAGCCAAUCAGUGAAGCUUUACUUUUCUGAUUCACAAAGCAUCCCACUGAUGGAUGGCUCAAGAUAGCCGGCAGUUGCACCCAACCUCCAUAAACAAUGCCCCUGCUUCUUAUCCUCUUUUCAAAUCCUUCAGGAAGCGCCUCUUCGACAGAUGUGGUCCUAAAUGGUGGCUUCCCUCCCCGAUCAGCAAUCAAUUAGUAGUCCAAAUCUUCAAGAAAACCAGCCGAUUCUACAUUUCACAUCCCUUCACAUUUAUCUACCUCAUCUCUCUUGUUUUCGCCUUCUGUUUCAACGUCGAGAAGGGGGCCCACUACCUCAUUUCUUCCGUCGACGGCGACCCUUCUCUCAAGUCCCUCAUCUCCCGUCUCAACCUAUUUGGCAACCAACAAUACCACCGCCGCCGCCACCCUUACCAUAUCCGCCGCCGGCGCCGUCACGCCUUUCUUCAUCUCUCUAGCAUCGAAACCUUUGACGAAAACUUCUUCUUGGGUGAUUUCGAUUAAGCCCGCUCCCUCUUCAACCCCACCACUAAAUUCCAACCCAAUGGGACCUUUGUGAUUCUCUCCAAUUUCAACCCCAGUCUGGGGUUUUUCGCCCGACCCCAUUGUGGACAAUGGCGCCUCUUUCGCAGUACGGUCUGGUGUGGUUGCCUUUAUAACCCUUUCAAAGCCAUUAGAAAUCCCUCAAGAAAGCACCUCGUUACAUCCUGAUGCUAAUGAUUCCACCAAGGAUUCAAAUGCUGUUGUUGAUUUACACUUCUUGCUAAGGGGUCUUGAAUUAGGCUGACGCGACACCAUGGCAUUGAUGUACUUUGUUUGGAUUUUAUCAACUGCAUAUGGGUACGUGAUCUUGGCAUUCUUGUUUACUUACAUCUGGGUCAAUGGAAUUGUAUUUUAUCAGGUUUCCAAUGAUUUGUUAGGGAAAUCCAAGAACUUUUUCAAGGCUAUUUGGGAUGGAUAAAAUUUGGGGAUAAGAAGGCUGUCUGGAUUUGUUUUAAUAAGGUGCCUGUAAAGGACUAAAUUUCUUGCAAGAUUUCAGUCGGUUUUUGCAAGAAAAAGUUGAGAUUUCAGGUGGGCUUUUCUCAGUGGUGAUAAAAGUGUGCCGGUCACUUUUGAUUUUGAUUUUUACUUUUGAAAAGGAACCCCAGCAGUGAAGUACCCGAAAUACCCUUGCUUAAGUGUUCAAUUAAAACGUUUGAUCGGAAUUACAAGGUAGCGCCGCCGCAGAGUUCCUCAAUUGGAAUCGAUAAAUAAGUUUAGGGAUUAAAUUGGCCAAAAAAAUUAUGUAAGGAUUAAAUUGACAAUAAAAAAAAGUAUAGGGACUAAAUUGGCCAUUUUCCCUAAUGUAAUUAAUCGAAUGAUGCAAAGCUACUAACGUCGACGUUUUGGAAAGCCUUAGCAAUAGAAGUUCUAACGCGAAACAAGACGCAAGGCCACACGGCAGCAACAAUAUUUAUGCGAUCAAAACCUCCCCAAUUUUCAGUUUGAGAGGACAGUUCUGUAAUUAUUCCUUUGAUCAGACAACUAAACCGCCGUCUGGAUCUCUCGAGGUAGAAUUUUUUUUUUGUUUUGUUUAACGCCUUUCUCAAUCUUUUACUUUUAAUUCGAUUAUUUCUUGGAAAGGGAAUAAAAAAAAGAUAAAGAUAAAGGGGAAAGCUCUAAUUUUUAACCCUAAAUUUUAGUUUUUUCAGGCCUUUCGAAUCGCAGUUAGCGAAACCCUAGAGGUAGCUUUGAUUUAUCGUCGAUUCGUCAUCAUGGCCAAAAGCUCCUUCAAGCUCGAGCACCCUCUCGGUAUCUUGAUUUGAUUUGAUUGGAUUAUACUUUUUGUUCAUAAUUAAGUGGCUUUUUAUUGGUGAUUUCCUAUUUGGGAUCGAUUGAGUUGGUGAUCCUUUUGUGCUUUUUAGCUUGUUGAUUGAUAGUCGCUGAGAUUGACAACUCUUUGUCUUAACGGGUUCUUGAUUUUCUUGCAGUUGAGAUUGUGCACAUAGUACAUAUUGCGUUUUUUUUGUUUUGAUAGUUAAAGGAAAAAAGAUUAGUAGUCAAUGAAUUAUGUCAAGAUAUUGCUGAAAUAGAUGAUGAAAAAGUUGAUCUUCUACAGUUUACGGACGAACAGAUUUUGUAUUAGUGUAUUUACAAGAAAUAUGAGAUGCUUUUUAUUGCCAUUAGGCCUAUGGUUAUUGUUUGUUUUGUUUUUUCUUUUACUGUUUAUUUAGUAAGUAAAACAUGUUCCUUCUCUGAUUUUUUCCCCACUUAUGAUUCUCUAGUUCAUAGUAUAUGAUAUGGUUAUAUGAUUUUCCAGAAAGGCGACAGGCUGAGGCAGCUCGAAUCAGGGAGAAGUACCCUGAUAGAAUUCCGGUACUGAAGAAAUCACUGUCUGAUGUACUCGCAAGAUUGUACCUUUCGCAAUAGCUGAUACUUGUAUUCUGUGUUAAUGUCGUUGCUUUGUUUUUGCUUUGCAGGUCAUUGUGGAAAAGGCUGAAAAGAGUGAUAUACCUGACAUUGACAAGAAAAAGUUAGUCACUUCAUAAUCUCACAUGUUUGCCUUCAUAUGAUGAGUUGGUAAUUGUAUCAAUGUGUCUAAUUUCUUACUUGGAGUAGCUAGCCUCUUCAGUGUUUGAAGUGCCUUUUGCUUGUAACAAGAAAAUAUUAAAUUGUUCCUACAAAUAUAAAGUUGGUUAUUCAUAAUCCUGUUUUCCUUACUGAAGAACAAGUGGAGGAAAUUAUUUUCUUCUGAUUAUGGCCAUCAUGAGUUCAGCUGAUUCUUCACCUUCAGCAUAUGAUUUCUCAUCUUUUACUCAUCAUGCUUCUGCAGCCUUCUUUCCCAGCUAUCGCACUUUUCUCUAACUCUGGUCAUCUGUAGGUAUUUGGUGCCUGCUGAUCUGACAGUUGGGCAAUUUGUCUAUGUUGUCCGCAAGAGGAUUAAGCUCAGUGCUGAGAAGGCCAUAUUCAUCUUUGUCAAGAACAUUCUCCCUCCAACUGGUAAAGAAGGAACUUGAGUUUUAUAUCUUCUCUAUUUUUAUGAGUCCUAAUAUGAUUAAGGAUUAAAAUACAUACUUGCAAUUUAGCCUUUCUUUUCUUGAUAUUUAUCUGUCUUCUUACUGCAGCUGCUAUGAUGUCUGCAAUUUAUGAGGAAAACAAAGAUGAAGAUGGUUUCCUAUAUAUGACUUACAGUGGAGAGAAUACUUUUGGAAGCCGCUGAAGUGCAAGUCAUCCUGAACUAUGUAUAUAGAUCUUAGAGGAACUUGUAAAUAUCUUUUAAUUUUGAUCUUGGUUGAAGAACUGCUUCUGGAAGAUCUGCCUUGUUUCUAUUGGACAUGUAAUAUUUACUUAUUCCAGGAAGAUUAUCUAUAUAUGCAUAUUCUGAUUCCCUUCGAAUUAUGUUGAUGCUACGAAAUGGGUUUUCUUGUUCAUUACAAGAUGCUUCUCCUUUUCACUUCCAAAAUUUUUUAAAUUGCUCCCUUCACGGAGCACCAGUACUAGAUCUGGUUGGCUUUUCUCUAUCUUCUCACAUGUUUGAAGUAAAGAUGAAGAUAUUUUGAUAACAUUUUCUGACCGCAAAUUGUGUUUGUACAUUCGGAAAUUGGAGGUUGGUUGUGGGCUGUCAAGCUGCACAUUGAAUCAUGGUGGAGAUUGUAGUUCCGGUAAUAAGCUUUGUGGUAUUGUCCAAGUUGACGCGUUCACAAGAAUAUCUCUAUUUCCUGCACUAGUUGUUGGGAAUUCAGGAAUGAUUCCAAAGUGAGGUGGAAGAAAGGGCUAAUGUGGUGUGUGGAUGAUACUGGCAUUUUAAUCCCAAAUCUGAAUUCUCUACGACCAGCUAGAUGCUGAAAAAAAAAAUGGAUAUCACGAAAUGCUAAGUAGGUUUUCUUUGGUGUGAGGCGGCUAUGAUCAGCACCGUUGCUGGUCUAUUUGGUGAGUGAGGAUUGGAGCUGAUGUAGGCUGGUAAAGAUCCAUUUUCCAUGCGGAAACUUUUGUCUGUGGAUUAUACUUCAGGGCAUAUAGUUGUUUCAGUUACAAGAAUCGAUUAGAUGUAAUCUUUUUCUUUGUUCUGCAUUUCACCAAUUUCAGCAACGCAUUCUGCGUCGAAGUGCUAUUGUGCGAGAAUACCAGUGUGCUAUAAUAGCUCACAAUAAAAAUUAAAAUCAUGGAUCGUUGUUGUCUCGCCGCGAAGGGCAUCUAAACUACUAGGAACAUUGGUGAAGAACUUCUAUUACACAUAGAGAAAGAAGACAAACUAAUUUCAUUGUUUACUGCAUAUUUCUAAACUAAACGAUGACAUUGUCACACUGGACGAGCUUGGAAGUGCUUCAGCUUGUUCUAAACUAAACAAUGACAUCCUCGCACUGGACGGAUUCAGCGUCAACCUUGGAAGUGCUUCAGCUUGUUUCAAAGCAACGUUAUCUACCCAAACUUGUCAGCAAACACUCUUGAUCAGCCAUAAGGAUAAGCUCUCCCGGAAGGUUAUGGUGGGGAAAAAAGAGGAAGAUGAUCAAGACUUAAAUUCGCCGUUGGUUCAAAUCAAAAGUACAUUGCCAGCGCUAAAGAAAUCUUGCUACAUACUAUAUUUGAUUUAUGAGUGUAGUUCACCCGUGCUCUAAACCCAACAAUCCUAAUUCAAGAGACACGCUUUUACCUAUUAAUUGAAACCAAAAUGUUUCUCACUGUUGAAUGUCUUUAACUGCUGAGUCAACAGUGAGAACAUUUGAGUUCAAAAUGUCUCGAGUUAACCUUAUGCAAGACUACUGCAGAAACCAAACUUUUACCUCAUUUAAGGUCCUAUCUCAUGAUAGGAUGAAGGUGAUACAUCUCAAGCCCAAAAGUGAUGUCCAUUAUGCUUGAAGUUUCACAACCAAUGUCAUGCCAAUCUGGUAAGGUGGUCGGGGAAAAUUCCAGCAAGCUGGAUAGUUCUUCAGGCAAGGGAUGGGGUUCCUCUAUCUCCUGCUUUAACUUUACUCCUGAAGGUUUAGGGGAACACAGCAAGUUAACAACAUGUAAAAGACCUGUAGCAUGGCCAACCAAUUAUAAAAAAGAAGUUACAAUUAAAAUGACACGGGCAAAAAUGGAAGUUGUAAAUCAGAUUAGGAGCUUUAUGAAUUGUUCUCCAAUUACUAAGUUGAGCUUAGAAGAAAAUAAGCCAUUGCAUCAGUUGCUUCUCAGCAUGGUAAAUUAUUGUCCAAGGCCAAAGAAGAAGGUAGUAUUCUGUAGACAAUAUGAUGAUGCAAAUAAACUAUAUUUAGACCCUAUAUCCAAUGGACAAGAUAAACCAAUUUCCAGGACUUGAGAAUACAAAAUCCACACCAAAUGCUUAUGGUAUUGAAUGGUGGGAAUGGAAUGAUUCAACCAUGAACAAAUUAUGGUAAGUUCUUAGUAUUCUUAGGUACUUUUCUGCCAUAUUCAUUCCCAUAUCAGGAAAUGAAAACAUUACUCACCUUCAUAGCACUGUGAAGAGCCAGCCUCACUAAAUUGAUCACGAGAUGUCAACAGGUGGGCUACAGUGGUUUGCCUAGGUGGUGAAACAAACUCACUUAAAGCCACCUCAUGCAAUCCAAUUACAUUUGCGCUUGAGCUUUCUCCAACAAAUAUAUCUCGUGAGCUUUGAUCCAGGGAAACUCCAUUUUUCAAGCUUCUGCUUGAUAAACCUUCUAUGCUUAGAGCUUCUUCCAUGAUACCACCUCCACAUUCUUGAGGAGUGUUCAGUUUACCAUCUGGAGUUGGUGAUCUCAACAAAUUGGCCGUGAUAUAUUGGUCAAGGUCCGAAAUUGAACCUCGUAGAAUUUCGUGCCAGUUUUGCGAAACCAACAUACCUUCUGUCAUAAAACCUCCACUGACAACUUGACCACCUUGGGACUGGUCCUCUAUAAAUUCUCCUUUGGGAGAGUCGGGACAUUUUUCCCUCGAGCUUUUAUCCAAGUGAUCACCUUCAUAGAAUUCACCACAUGUCGAUUUACCUCCCCCAUCAUAGCCAAAAUUAGACAAAACCAGCUCAGGCCUGUGGCUGAAUACAGGACCAAGUGUCUCAAUUUGAUGCUCUUGCAAUUGUGAAGCCAAUGGUGCACCUCCCCUCAAGAUCUCAUUACAAACUUCACCAGCAACAACUUGAGCAGAGCUUAAGUUCCAUUGCAAAUCAUCUGAUAUGAACUGUGUAGUCGUGUCUUUUGGGCUGUAAGAGAAACCAAAUGUGUCAGGAUUAGACGUUGACCUCGUUGGGCUAAUAUCAAGAAUAUCUUCUACCAAGUUUUGGUUCCGCAAACUUGUCAAGUUUUCAAAUAUGGACACACCUUCCUCUGAUUUUUGAACCACUGAACUUUUUCUUGCAGAGAUUUGACUCAAUGGAUCUUCAAUACUCAACCUUUCACCAAAUAGCUUUGUUGUCUUAGUGAGUCCGCCCAACUGCAGGUCCACAGUCUUUGAACUUCGUCUUGCUAAAACGUCUUGUGUCAAGUUGUUAUUCAUGAGUUCCUGCAACAAAAUUUGUUUCUUCUCACUUUCAACUAACAGAACUCCCGUCUUUGAUAUUUCACUUAAUAAACCUUGUCUUCUGGAUAUUUUCCCCAUUAAAAUUCCUGGUUUUAAGCAUUUAUCAUGCGAAACUUUUUUACAUGACCUUUUGUUUAUUAAAUCUUCAGUCUUUGGCGUUUCUCUUGUUGUAUUCUCUUGCUUCAAGCUUUGACCCAGCAAGUUUAUUGUUCUUGGCUUUUCGCAAGAGAAAUCUCUUUCGCUUGAGCUUUGAUAAAACACAUUGUCCCUGAUAGAUUCCGUCACCAAUAUCUUUCCUUGCAGGUCAUUGUUUAUCAGGUAUCCAUCAACAGACAGUUCUUCUGGUGAAUUCUUGUGCAAGGUGUCUGCCUUUGCUUGAGCUUCCUGCAAUGGAGCAUCCAAUACCGCAACACUUCUUUCACUGUCUUUCAUCUCAGGGGUAGGUCUCAAGGCAGAUGUUGGAGUUUGGACUGAAGGGGGCUCUGCUUUUGAUGCAUUCCAUGACUGAGAAGAUAACAGAAAUGGUGAUGCACAUCGAUUGUGUUGGAGAUGGGAAUCUAAUGGUAUUGAGCUUGUUAAGUUCAAACGGAGGGGAGAAUGUGGAGAUGCUAUCAUGGGAUCAUGUAUUUUGGGUGAGUUCAGAUUACUAGAAGAAAGAGCAGAAGGCAGGGAUGAAGUCUGCAGUGGGACAGAAGAUGCGGUAGGCAGUUGUACGGAUAGAUGCAGUUUAGGAGAAUUUAUUAGGGAUCCUGUUGCGGUUGAGCUAAAUUGAGAAGAAGUAACUGAAGAUGAAACGUCUAUCUUGGGGGAAGGUGCUGAAGAUCCUUUUGCUGAGAUAGAGCUCCCUUGUGCAGGAGCCGAAGAUUGAGUUACUGCAGUUGGUGAAGACUGCAGGCUGGAGCUUCCUCGAGAUCCCUUGAGAUAACCAACGUAAGGGGAUAGAACUGGUGGAGGUUUCAAAGGUGUGAAAGCAGGACCAGUAGGGGAGUUGGAUUGAUGUAUAGAUGAGCAGUCUGGUGGCAAUGAUAAAAGUGGAUUCUGGAGUGUUGUAUUAGGGGUUUCAGUUGAUUGGGAUCUUUGAAUUGAGUGGUAUUGAGUUUGGGAAGGUGUACUAAGGGGUGAUUGAGGAAUGUGAGUUGGAUAGCAUGCAGGGCUUGGGUAAUGUGAAGAUAAGAAGCCAUGCGGUGAUGGGAGUGGCUUCUCUUGUGGAGAGAGGAGCCGAGUUCGAGGCAGUGGAGUAAAGAAUGAAGCAGGGUUUUGAUUUAUUACAGGACUUGGUUGCUGUUCGAAGGGAACAGAAAGUGAUAGUGGGGGCUGAAAUUCAGGCAACGUAAUGGAGGGGAAUGAAGGAAUACUGUUAGUUCCAUUCUUGGCGCUGGAGUUAUGAUCAUUGUCAUUGAUAUUGUUCUUCCCAUCAGUAUCUAAGCUAUCUCCACGUGAUCCACCAUCCUCAAUGUCCUCUGGGUAGAUAGGUAGGAAUUUUCUACGACACCUUCGCACCCUUCCAUGCCAAAAAUUCUUGAUCUCGUUGUCUGUUCUCCCUGGUAGCUGCACAUACCCCUCAAAAGCGUCAAGAGUGAAUAAUCACACAGAAGACAACAUACAAAUUAAAGCGAGACAUAAUGGUUCACAUUUCAGAGUCAAGUAUGAAUCGCUAAAUGGAAGGAGAAUGAUUUGGCUAUAUCUAAAUUGUACCAAUAAGUUUCAAAAAGCAAUUCACUUGCAACUUUGACAUUGAUCUUGGGCCUAAAUCCAGAAAUGCAACGAAUCAAGUACCACAAAUUACAACACAAAAUGCACCAAAACCUAAUCCCAAGAUUACAAUGCACCGAACUAAUGCAUUUGCAAAGUACAAUUAAGACUCACUCGUCAGAAGAAUAAAGAGACAUCAACAGGGUGAAAGAGACAUUGUGUUUGAAACAAGAAGGACUGCAGGUAACCAUCUAAAAUAGUUGUAUAAAGAACAACACCAAACACAUAAAACAGAAGAUUGCACAUAUAUCACACAGUCAGCAUUUACAGAAAAUAAAUUGCAGCUAUACAUGUACGUACGCACAAUACUACGAUAGGAGGUACCUUGGAGGAUAUGUAUGACCAUUUGUUACCAUAUUUUUUGUGCAAUUUGACCACAAGUCUCUCUUCCUGUUUGGUAAACGAGCCCUUUUUAAGAUUUGGCCUUAGAUGAUUAGUCCACCGAAGUCUACAGCUCUUUGAUGUCCUACCCAACCCUGAAUACUUCUCUAUGGUUAUCCAGUUCCCUAUCCCGUGCUCUUCCACACACUUUUUCAGCCUCUCAUCCUCCUCAGCCGACCACGGCCCUUUUUUCACCACCAUCACGUCUCCCUCUUCCCCCGCAGCUGCUCUACCUCCCUUAUUUUCGAGAGGACCCUGGAUGUCAAGAUCGUCACCGUCUUCCAGCAUGCAAGGCUGGUCCUUUGACUUGGACUUCCCGCCGUCAAAUGGGCCGCCGGAGAGUACUUCCGGCGACCACCAAACCAGGUUGCAGCUGGUGGUUCCUAACAAGCAUCCUUCCACCCCAUUUUGUGUCAUCAAGAGUUUAACAGAUGUUGGAUUGCGAGACAAAUGCAGCUCUGGAAAGUCUACUUUUGCUUUUAUUCUGGGUUUUUCUUCAAGACUAAAUUUGUUCUGACAUGCAUAUAGAUUCCUCCUCCUUGCAAAACCCUUCAAGGAAACAGUUGAAUCCUUAAUGGGUUGUUCUUAGAAUAUGAAAUGUCAAUGCAAGUGAACGAAUUCUUUAAGAAAGGAACGGAAUUUUGAUCCAGAAAAAUCUGGCCUUAUUCUUGUAGUAAUUUGUGACAUUUUUGCUGAUUAAGAUCGUUAAUAGCUGUCAUUCACACCGAACUCGUGAUUUUUUUGAGGUAACGAAGUUCUGAAAGCAAGAGAGAGAUUAUGGUGGGAAAAGCCAGGGAUUUAGACAGGAUUUGCAUCUUUAUUUAGGCAAAGGCCAGAUCAGAAUUUUGCUAAAUUAUUUGCGCUUUUUUCUCAGACGUUUUGUGGAUGCUGUGAUAGGUCCCGAAAGAAAAUGCGGCCAGAUAAGUCCAGUUUCAAAACAAUGCAACAAGAUAUUUGAUUGGUUGCAGCGGCGGGGUUAGAUCGAGGUUAGGGAGGGUAAUCUAUUUUGUUUAAAUCUUACUUGACACCUCGCUCAUCUAACCCAAUCUUCCCUUUUAUAAUAGUGUUGAAACACCUACGUGAUAAUUACUUCUUUUUUUUUUUUUUACAAUAGACAGCAAAGUUUUUAGGCUCAUUUAUUAAAAUUCCUUUUUUUAAAAAAAAUUUUCAACUAAUAUUUGAUUUCCUUUCGGACAUGUCAUUAUUUUUAAAGUAAGUGAUAAUUGUAGACUUCAAGAACUUAGGGAGCAAAAUAAAAGAAUAUAGGAAAUUUUUUGAAAAGUGUAUGUAGUUUUUGGACAAUAUUAAAGCUAACAAUGAGAAUUCUUCAAAGUUGAGGAGGGGUAAGCGCUUAUCUUCAUUUGAAUCUGACUCCCCAGUGAUUGGCUGUAUAUUUAUGCUCUCAGCGUUACAUUAUGCAAGCAGGACAUAGAAAAGAAGUAAAAAGACUUGCACAAUUUAAAAUCAGUAAAAUAGAAUAGCGAUCUUCGCUCUUCCAACUUAAAUUUUGUUCAAAUUGACUAGUUUUUCAUUUGAGCAUGAAGUUGAUCAAAAUUUGGUAGUUUAAAUACUAAAUUGUGUUGCGGCAGAAAGUUUGAGAACUAAAUGUGUUUAUAGUCUAAAGUUUAGAGAUGAAAAUCGACAUUUUCCAACAAAAUGAAAGCUGGAAUGAGUAUAAUGGUAAGUAGGACAACAUUAUUGUAAUAAAGAAUUUAUUUUUAGGCACCAGCACUAAUUAAAACAAUUUAUUUAUUGUAUAAUGCAAAUGUUUACCUAUAUCAUAACAGGUCGAAACCAUAAAGUCGAUGUUGAAGACACGAAUUGUAAUACAUCUAACUCUAAGCAUACGAUAUGAAAUAACUAUAAAUCUUUAAGGGGACAAAAAUCUUAAAUUUAAAAAAAUUUCAAUUAUCUAUUUGAGACAAAACAAAUUAUCAAGAACUUGGGUCUCAAUCCUCCCAUCUAACCCUUAAUUGUCACCCUGAUACAUCAUCACCUUCUACAAAUCCAUUUUUUUUAAAAAAAAUUUCAAGUAUAUGUGACUUUUCUUCACUCUGGGUUUAAGGUUCAUGAGAGCAUCUUCCUAUCACCAAUUGGCUGGAUGGAUGUUUCUUGUGGGUCUCCCUUAAAUUGCCUUCGGGUCGCUCUUUUGGAUUACUCCAUUGUUUGUUCUAAUUGAGUGCAUGUGUGAGUUUCUUUCGGUUACUGGAAAAAAAGUAUACAUGACUUUUCAGCCUUUAUAUUUUUUACUUUUGGAUUCUAAGUUAUUUGAGAUAUUUUUACUGUAACACUUUUUGUGAUGUGAUAUAUGUGAGCUAAAAAGGUGUAUUGAAAAUUAUAAUGAUAAUAUAAGCAAAUAUAUUUGAAAAAAUAAUCCGCUGUCCAAACAAACGGUUUGACAUAUCUGAACAUAUUAUCACCGUGUAAAUCUAUCAAAUCAUUAAAAAUACCAGGCGCCGGUAAAUUUGUUAUCAGAUGAUUGCAAGUGUAGAUAAACAACCAGGCGCCGGUAAAUUUGUUGACUGCCAACCCAAGUUCCCAACCAACAUUUUUAUUAGGGCAAAUUAUCCAUUUGGCCCUUCAAUUUUUUGUCUAUGUAAAAUUAAGUCUCUUAACUAUUUUUGGCUGACUUUGAGCCCUCGAACUUGUAAAAUUGGGCACACAUGACCCUUUUGGUCAGUUUAUCCGAUUUUGUAACCGGAAGACCAAUCACACGAAUGCCGGUGUGCUUUGAAAAGGGGCAUUUUUUUCCGCAUAUUCUAAGCAAAAAUGGAACAACUUCUCCUUCUUCCCUUCAUUUUCCUAACCAUCCAUCAGCGACUGAACAAAAUCGAUCUCUUCACAAAAUCAUCCAUUAGCGACUGAACAAGCUUUAUAAGCUAUCUUCACUCAUGAUGCUUGGCUCAGGAGGAUCCAGUGUCGUGGGUCAAUCUUUUACUUGUUUAUCUUCGAUCUUUCUUCUUGAAGAUUUAUCUUCAUCUUUAUUUAUUUGGUUCAAUUUCCAAUUCGAAUCUACUAGGUGGAUGACUCGGUUGUUUUGUGUAUAUCUAUGUGCAUCACCUGAUGUGAGUUUUUUUUGGGUUUCAUUUCUUGUCAAACUUUCCUCGACUCUUUAAAUGAUUGAAUGGUGGAAUUUUGGUGAUUCCUUCUUCCUUUUUUUUGGGGAUAAAUAUCUUUUAUUUAUCUCUGCUUUAUUUGUCGUUCAUUUUUGAUCCGUUAGAGCUAUUAUUUGUUUCUUUCUUUCUUACUUUCCUGGUUUGUGGGUUUAGCAUCUCAGUUUGAUUGCUGCAAUAAGUUCGGUAAGUUGUGAAGGGUUUUUCGAGAUUUGGUGUUAUUGGCUUUAGUUUUUGGAUGUUCAUGCAAUUAAUUUUCAUAAAUAGGGGGUUUCUUUUCAUCGAAUUUAAGUUUUUUUUUUUGGCCAAUUGUUACUACAAAAUUGUAUUUCAUGUUUUUCUUUGGCCAUGAUAUUUGCAUUCCAAAAUAGCUCCUGGCACUCCAUUCUAAUCAUUCGUGUUAGGAAAAUGGAGGGAGGAAGAAGGAGUUGUUUCCUUUUUGUUUAAAAUAUGCGGACAAAAAUGCCCUUCUUCAAAGCACAGUGACAUUCGUGUGAAUUGGCCUUCCGGUUGUAAAAUCGGAUAAACUAGCCAAAAGGGUCACGGGUGCCCAAUGUUACAAGUUCGAGAGCUAAAAGUCAGAAAAAAAAUAGUUGAGGAGCUUAAUUUUACUUAGACAAAAAGUUGAAGGGUCAAAUGGAUAACUUGCCCUUUUUAUUAUUAUUAAAAGCCUUGGUCCAACAUUAAUAAAAUAUGACCAGUAUUGACCACUGGUUUAAAGCUAUUGUGCGUAAUUCGAUUCCAAAACACAUGGCCUAUUCUAGUAUUCUUCCACACGCACACACCCACCCGCCCCCCUCCCUCCAAAAAACACCAAAAAAAGGUGAAAAGAGGCUUAAUCGUAGAAUACUACUUUUUUUUUUUCAUUUGAUUUUUGCGACUCGCUCUAGUCUCCACCUACCAAUACUGAAACGAUUUUUUGUUCUCCAAGCUUUCCGCGAAGACGCGUAUAAAACAAAAAGAAAAACGUCAUGGGACACGACAAAAAAUAUGAAAAUAUCCAUUAUCCACUCGUAUUACUAGACCAGAAAGACACCAGCACAUCGCGUUAUUGUUUGUCAAUUAUUUCAGCUUUCUUCAUUUUCUCUGGGCUAUGUUCCCACUGAUUGAAUACGAUAGAAGGCAGUGGGUUUAAGCUCCGGUUCUAAUAAGAAAAGAAAAAGAACAACUAAUUACCAAAUGUAAUUAAUCGUCAAUUUUGUCCUAAAAAUUUUGAAAUAAAAUCGUCAAUUACUCGUUAACUCAUGCUGCACUGUCCCUUAAGUGCACGCAUGCAUGAGUAUUAAUCGAGUUUUAUAGACAGGAAUAAUAUAAUGACAAAAAUUUAGGGAUUAUUAGGUCUAUUUUAUGCUGGUCAGGGGCCACAAAGAAGACUCCAUCCACACUCAGUCCAGACGUGGCUUUGGACCUAUUUCUUCUGCACCAUUUGUUCAGCCCUAAAAAUCUGAAACAAGUCAUUGAUUGAUUAUAAUAUUCUCUUGUCAAAAUUGUCGACAAGAGCUGAUGUUAUGUUCCUUGGACCCCUCUUUAAGUUUGACCUCACUCCUGAUUUUGCCCGUGGCGACUUUUCUAUCACAUGGAACCAUUCAAUUUGCUGUUGCCGUUUCAUACUCGCCAUUCAUUCCUCUACACGUCCUAUAUAAAGCAUUCCAUGGGAUCUCAAGAACACAGCUGAGAGGCCAGACAUAUUACAACAAUCAUUUUAUCUGUUGAUUGUUUCUGAAUCUUCAUGUCUAUGGCUUUCUUGAAUUUCAUGAAUUGCUUCAGGGAGUCGUCAGAAGAGUCCAGGCGAUUUGUUUGUAAUGGCGAUGUUUGUAUCUUGCGUGAUCCCAAGGCUUCAUCAUCAUCUUCCCCGGGCCUCUUUCUUAAGAACAAGAAGCGACAAGAAGUCCCCCGUGGACGAGCUCGAGCUUCUGUUGCCCGGUUUUCUUUACGAAAAGAAAAGCACGAUUAGCUCAGUGUAAUGUUAUCGAUCUUUCUUCAUGUAAAAUUUUCAAUAAUGGCUCCUCACAAGCCUCCAGUAUUACUUUAUGUAUAGGACAGAACACCACCACCACCACAAGAAAAGAGAAAAGCUUUUUUUUUUCAUAGGUUUUUUCAAGAGCUUCUUACAAGAAACAAUCUGAAUAUGUAUUGCUAAUGCAGUAAUGCUUUGUUGCAACAAGGAUUCGUGCUGUCAUUUUCAGGACGGGGGAUCUGAUUGGAUUACCCCAGUCCUGUAAUUUCGUCCGUAAUAUUUUGUCUGGCUUUAAACCCUUUAGCGCGUAUAGCCUUUCGGCUUGGAUUGGAUGGCUAUUGAGAAGACUCUUUUUUUUUUUUUUUUUUUUUUGUCAAAAUUGUAGAAUUUUUAUAAGCUAAUCUAGUUUAAUCUAGAAGAGAGGAAGAGGAAGAGGAAGGAAAAGGGUGAUUCGAUGUAAGUAAAAACUCCAUCGAAAAAGAUCAAACGUGAUAAGACUCGUCCGAGGAGAAUGUUAGAUUGCGAAGGCAUUUAGAUGUCAAGCAAGAAUACAACAACAGCUCCUCUGACCAUUGAGCUAUUCCCGAUUUUUUUGAUGUAGAAAUGAAAUCGUUCCCUUGACUCUGUUAAAGCGAUCUCUUCUUUUCUCGUCCAUCCAUGCAGAUUAAUGUCUGAUUUAUGUCAUUAUUGAUCAAGAGUGCAUGGAAAUUAAAAUGACAUCACAAUCGGUGGCGGGUAAGAGAACCAAGGAAAGAACACACAUAUUAGACUUCAAAAUAGUGCGACUAAAAAAGAUCCUAAGAGAUUCCUAACAAUUAUAAUCAUCACGAAAUGACGCACUAAUAAAGAUGAAGUGCAAGUGCAAGAAUAAAUAGCUCUUUUUCAUUCCCCAAGGGUGAUUGUUUGCGAUGUACACAGCCAAACAGCCAACUCCGCAGAGGAUAAAGGUAUGCUACCACAAAAUAAUCAUGAUGCCCAAAUCACAAUAAUAACAGUAGUAAUCUUCCUUGAAGAAAGCCUGUACCAAAUUUACAAGAAACGACCUCAUUUUUCUGUGUCUAAAUCACUGAAUCGGGAUAUGACGAACAGUUAAUUAUUACAACCGACCUCUCCCUCCAGGCCUUCAGCUAGCCGAUAUCACAUAAAUACAGCCGUUGCAGAUCAACAAACCUCAAAUCAUAAAUUAUCGAGGCCGCUUAGACCAAUUUUUCCAAUGCAGUCGACCACCGUACUUAAUACCUACUCAUAAAACCUAAUCUAAUGCACCGAGGUCCUCCUCUCUUCCGAGCAAACAAGCCCAGUAGAAAAUCAUAUCAGAUAUCCUCCAUAUCCAUCUUAUACAUUUCAAUCCACCACAACAUUUUGGAAACUAAGCUUGCCAUGAUGUCAUCCAACUAACAAUUUGGUAUCCAAGUUUCAAGAAAGUACACCACCUCUUUUAGGAUCGUAAACCAACAUAAGUUCUGAAGUUUUCCUAUUGCUUCAAAAUUGUAUGCCAGCCUUAAAGCUGCAAUGCCAGGUCUGGCUGCUGAGAAUCAACCAGAACACUUGAAGCUGGUCUACCAGGAGACCCUGAUGACUGGAAACUAACAUUCAAGUCUGGAGGCAGUGAUUCCUGUUUCUGCAUUGGCUGCCAUUGUGGACUAAUAGGCUGCCAUGGAGACUGCACCUGGAACCUAGACAAGUCAGCAGUCACUAAUUGAGGAUAAACCAUUGGUUGAUUAUGGAACUGCACAUCACUGCCUAUUCUAGUAGGUUGAGGCACAAAGGGAUGAAAUGGAAAAUUGUUCUUGUCAGGCUGCAAAUGCAUCGCAUAUGGUAGAGGGUCCCCACGAAAUCUUGAAACCUGGGACUGAAGAUCACGAGCAGGGUUAUACAAUGAAUCAGCAGAUAUCUGGUUCUUAUGGAGGCCUGUGUUUUCCCCAGCUGGUCUAAAUCCUCCAGCCCCUAUAGACAUCCAUGCACGAGCAGCAGCUGCAGCAGCAUUGCCUGAAUCUUCUUUUCUCAAUGGAAGAGCCGGAGACAAAACUGGACCACUGUCAACUGGGGACUGAUUAGAUGACUUGUGUUGAUUUUGAGCCUUCUCAGUUAACAUUUUCAUCAACAGGACUGGAUCUGUUAAACCCUGAUCCUGUGCAUGAGGAAAAUAUGUCGCCCCUUUGGCCAAGUCAGAAGCCGAACUAGACUUUUUAUUGCUAUCUAUAUUAUUUACUUUUCCAUUGGGCAGUCCACCAACAGCCACUCCAUUAAGAUUUGAUUGUUUAAAAGAUCCAGAGGGCAAGAGACUUUUGUUCUUCAGAACCAUGUCCUUCGACCUUGAACCUGGUAUAUCAGAACUAUUCAAAAUCUGCCUCUCUACAACAAAAUCAGCAGCAGUUUGACUGCCUGAGGGUGGACCAUUCAGUUCAACCUCCUUCAGAAACCUUUUCUCAGGCUCAGUGAAAUUUCUUGGUUGUGAAUUUUGCUGCUGAAAACCAGAAGAAGCUGAAAAAGUAGUUUUGUUUGCAGGAGAACCAAAAAAAGAUCUCCCCUCCAAAACCCUAACAGCUUGCUCUUUAGCCGGAAGUGAGAUACUGGGGCUAGAACAGGCAGUUGGUUUAAUUACUGUAGGACCAAAAAAUGCUGAUUUCCUCUGCACAGUGGAGUCCUUGACAAGGCCGUCCUUGUAAGAAGGUGCUGCUUUCACCAAUUUGUCCACACAAGGUUCAGUAACAAUGUUCUCCCUGGAAGAAACAGGUUUGGUAGGCAUUUUCUCCUGCUUUCUAGUGACAACUGUCUGUUCAAUCUUGGUAAAAAAGGGUGGUUCCUUAAGAGUGCAAUUUUCAAGCAUUAGCACAGGUGUUGGAAGUGGCUCAUAUUCUCCAACCCACCCACGACCAAAUUUGGAUCCUGAAGGCAGAGCCUGCUCAAUUCUCUUGGAAGCGAUUCUCCAAGCAACAGGUCCAAGAGUUGCUGCAAAUCUGGCCAGGCUCCUAGCAUAAGAAUGAUCCGCAUAAAGACCCACCUGAAUCAGGAAAUCACUGAAUCCAUGAGCUAAAAGGUCAUCAGUAGAAUAAGAUGUCAAUUUACGCAACGUACAGAAACUAGCUGCUUGCUUUCUCCAUCAAAAGUUGAAAAUACAGAAUCAAAGCUGGCAACAGGCUGAGUAGACAAGUUAUAAGUUGCACGACGAUUCUCAUCAUUCAAUGAUUGUUUUCUCUCAAUCUUAGCCAGAGGUCGCUUCCCUGCAAAGACAAGUGAAGCAAUCAGGAAGGCUACCCACAAGCAAACUUGGUAGAGAAUAGAACUUCUUGUCCCAUAGAAGAAAAGAUUGACUAAUGAUUUUCACCUUGACAAACAAUCAAACUACACGACACUAAAUGAUUAGACAGAUAUAACAGUGUUCACUGCCAAUCCUUACUAUCAGAUCACUUGCCCAGAUUUUAAUGCCAAUGGAAUUUUAAAACAUAUAGAGAAAAGAGAAUUUGCUCGGAUACCCGGCAGCAAUUCUUCUGCUUUGUCUAUGCUGUUGUCAAUGACAGGUGGAACCUCAAGCCUAUCAACACUGCUAGCCCUCUCAGAUCCACCAACCUGAGCUGCACUUGAACCAUUUUGAAUAUCUCCAUUGGUUGCAAGUGUGGCACCAGAUGAGAAAUCAGACCCCACAGGGUCCUGCAAUGUCCGGCUGAUUGGCUUCCUUAUUUGCUUCUUAACAACAGAGCUUAAUCUUGUCUUCUGGUCUGAUUUGAGUUCGUCCGACCGUUCAAUGCCAAGUCUCAUUUUCUGAAAUUUCCUUUUUGCCAGCUCUUGGAUGGCACGAGCCUUUCAAAAAUAAAUAGGCAGUAUAUUAACGAAUUGCUCCCAGAAUGGAAAAAAAAGGGGGAUGGGGUUGCACAUGGUGCACAGAGAAGUGGCUAAAUAAAACCCAAAUUCCUAACCUGUUUAUGAUAUAUGGUAUCUGGUCCAUUGUAUUGCAUCGCAUUCGAGCUAAUAAGGAAAACAUCACUCUGCAGAGGAAAAAACAACUAAGAAACUGCAUAACAGUAAGAGGCAGCAGCUUAAAGGUUAAGUGGAGGAAAACAAGUCUAAAUGAAAAGAAUAUCAAAUUUUGUUCUUCCUUUUUGCAUUUUCAAUCAAAAUUGAGUGAAACAGGUGUCUCUAAUGCUUGAAGCUUGAAAAAAGAUACCCUGAUUCAACAACAAAAUUGUUUAAUAGUUACCAACAUUUUUUUAUUAAAAAAAAAGCAUGAUAUUCUAUCUUCCCCCAAGAAACCAGUUCAAAGAAUUCAUCCAGACAAGCAAGACAAAUUUAUCCCUAGCAUAUUAGAGCCAAGUGUUUCAAGCGCAGAACAACCCAACUCUCCAACCGGUAUAUUCCAGGGGGGCGAACCGAAUCUAUAAAAGACACCGCAGAGUCCAAAUGGGUAUUCCUUCAAAAGAAGUAAAGCUCAUCGCUGCAACAGGUUAUUGCAGCAUUAACCAAAAUGUCAUUCUAGAAGGUUAACUACUCUACAAAAUUGGAUGUUAAUGAUGCAAGCUGUGCAGCUUAGGAAUGCGGAUAACGUAAGCAAUAUCACAAAUAUUCUCUUGAGAUCUGAAAUGAGAGACUCUGACAAUCAGAAUCGCCACCAAGCAUCUAAGUGUCAAUCCCUGCAGAGGAUUUUUCCUAUACUUCACCUUAAACCUAUAGAAAACCUAGCUAGUAUAUUAAUGGCCAUAAUAUACUCUAGAAUCCCCAUAGAUGAUCAAAAAACUGAGACUUGAAUAUCUCAAAGAGUUAGAUCAUAAUACCAAUAACAUUAACCAAUUAUAUAUCGCAAUGCUUUAUACUGCUUUUUUUUUAUUAACUUGAUACUGCUUUUACGAAGAACAGUUAAAGAUUGAUUGUCCACCAGCCGGUUUCUUGGCAGAACAGAUAAAAAUUAAGAUCAUGUCUCCAUAACACCCUUUACUUCAUUGGAUCAGAAAGGUUUUACUAUUCAUUCUCAAGUCUGUAGUAGCACCUAUAUUCUUUAUGUCCUCUUAUAACAAUACCGUAUAGGCAGCAUCACUUGUGUGCCAAUUUGAUUGAUGAUCUAGCAGAAGUCAAACAUUUUAUGAUAUUUUUCAAUAUGAACAGAACAAUCUUAGCAUCUCACGGGCCAGUUGUAAUCAAUCCAAAAGCACCAGGUUCGGUUGCAUCAUCGAUUGAAAUGUCUUUCAGGUGCUAUACAGAAGCUAGUUGUUAUCCGUUCCCCACAAGUUGAAUUAGGGCAAUGAGCAUCCGUAUUUUGAGAUUUGGCAAUUCACCAAUGAGACAGAUACUAUUCACUCAAUUCAAAGCCCUAUAACGGCCGACGUUCCAACAUGAUACAACCACAAACAACUCUUCCCUAUUUCCAUUUACAUAUUAACCCCUUAUAUAACUGCCUGAGCUCAUGACGUCUCAUGUACGAAUUGGAGAGGUUAUGCUCAAAAGAAGAAGAAGAAGAAGAGUAGAAAAAAAUCUGAGCAGAAUUACGAAAAGCACCUCAAAUUGUUCCAAGUUUGCAUAUGAUCCAUUUCCCAGCUUGUUCCUCACGGUGGCAAAGUCCAUAGGAUGCUCAAUAACUUCAUGGUAAUCAGGUAACUAGAGGAGAAAAUAACAAACAAAAUAAGAAUCUUCAUCAUUUAAACACUGCCUAAGAUUACCAUAAGAGAACGCAUUCUGAAAACGGCCAACCUCCUCAGGAUCAGCAGGAUCUGCGUAAACACCAUAAAUGUCCUUCCUGGGAUCAUAAAAACAGAAACAAUUAAAGCCCAAAACAUCUUAUUACCACAAACCAACAAAAAUAACCGUCAAAACAGAAACAGAACAACAGAUUACACCUACUUUUGAAGCUUGUCAAGAAUUAAUUCCAACGUCUUCUUUUCUGGCAAUGGCAACCCAGAAGGAGCUUCAGUAGGCGUCCCUGAUUGAACAGAAGUAAUCAUUUCAUCAUCAAAUUUUUCACAGGGUGACACCAAAAAUCAUGCCUGACCCACGAAUCAAAAUUCAAAACCCACCUGGAGCAGAGUCCUCCACCCCUUUCGGCUUAUCAGCUUUUCCACGACCUUUAACAACCUGUCAAAAUCAAACAACAGAAACCCCUCAAACCACAAUAAAACAAAACAUCAACAGGCUCAAACAUAAAUAAAUGCUCCCUCUGCUCAAUACUACGAACCAAAAAGUCGGCGUCUUUCAGACGGGGACAGAAAACAAAGCAGCAGACAGACAGAGAGAGAAAAGGAAGUACGUACUAAUCCAUGUGUUUUUGUGUGCAAGAAAAAUUGUAUGGAAGCAAGAGAGAGAAAGACAAGUAGAUAUAGAAAGAGAGAGAGAAAGGUGGGAGCGUGAUCAGAUUCUGUGGGGGUUAGUUUUUGACAGUUGACCCGACCGUUACUCUUCCAACCCAAUCUCUCCCGACAUUGAUACUACUCACCUAUACAUACACAAUUUCACAUAUAUAUAUAAUUCUAGAGAGAGAGAAAGUAGUGAGCUGAUAGGAGUGGUUUACAAGUCUGGACCAAUUAGAAAAAUCUCAGCUGAACUUCCUCCCCACCUCAGCUGAGCUGGACAACCCUAUGCUCAUUUUCUCUCUCCCCAUGCAAAUUGCUUACAACAUCCAUCAUUGAACAUUCAUUCUAGCUUUGUUCUUCUACUUAGCUACAAUUUUUCUGAAUUUUGAUUUUUUUUUUGGCUGCAAUCAGAUCCACAUCGAUUUGAUUUUACAUUUUGUUUCCGGUUUUUCUAUACCUCAUCAUCCUCAACAUUUUCAUUAUCGUCAUCAUCCACGUCAUCAUUUUCAUCUUCCUCAUCUACCUCUGCCUCGGCUUCAGCUUCUUCAUUGACGCCUUGGCGGCUGCGGCCGCGAGCGAGGCUGUCGCUCAUUUUCCUCUUCUUCGACGGCUUAUUAUAACUCCCAUCACCGCCGAGGUCCGACGACGACUGAGAAGCUGCAGGCGCGUGUGACGCACGCCGAGUCUCACUCGGAGUCGACUCAGUGGUGGUGGUUUCUCUGCUAGUCUGGAGCUUAAGAAGGAGCUUGAGCUUCUUCUCCCGCCGCCGCUCGUCUUCCUCAUCAUCGAAGCCCUCGAAUAACUCGUCGUCGUCGAGGUAAUCAUCGAAAUCGAAGGUGUACCUCACGUUCCGUUGACGGUGACUUCUCCGAAGCUCACGCUCCGGCGCCGAUGCAUCCUCACCUACGCUGCGUCGUUUAGCGAGAUCUGCCUUGGAUGGUCUCCCUUUCUUCUUCCUCUUCACGAUCUGCCCCAUCUUUGUCAUGCGCCUGUUAGUCUCUCUCUAGAAAACACGCACUACCCACACUCACUCAGUGUCUUUCUCUCUCUUCCCUCUCUUCCUUUCUCUCUCUACUAUUUCUUUUCUCUCUCUUCUUUUACUCCAUUAUUUAUCUGGCGCUCUGCUUUGGCUUAUUUUCUUUGGAGGUCGCUUUUGAGCUCCGAGCCUAGCUCUGAAUCUCAGGCUCUGAGGCUCGGGGGUUUUGAAUAUAUGACAUGAUUGCCUCGGCUUUGUAGAGAGAGAAACGGCGUUACUGGGUGAGAAAGACGGCGUUAGGUACUGCCCGGUGUGCCCGAAGUGCUUGCGUGUCCACUGGUCUGCCCGUUAUUGCGUCAAUCUAGACUGUCAUUGCUAUAUUUCCGGAGAUACUUGUUGGCAGGGUGCAGCGCGUGCUGUCACGUCAGAGUAGUUCUCCUGGAAAUAUCCUGAGGCAACGGUGAUCAUUUGCGCGUGAACUUCAAUGUGUUAUUAAGACGCUGACUAUAAGUGAUUAGUAAUACAGAAAAUCUGCUUUUUUUUCUUUUAUUUUGUUUUUCUGCCGAACAACGCAGUACCUUCUUCACUGGGAUACGUCCAAAUAAGAAAAUGGAGACUACAGUAAAUUCUUUGACUUAUGGCCAUGAUAGAGUUUUACUCCAGAAAUAUUUUUUAAAAAGGGAAAAGAGUAAUUAUUCCCUCUGAGAUAUUAUUUAAGAAAUUUUUAUUGUAAUAUUUUUUAUGAUGUGAUGUAUGUGAAAUAAAAAAAUAAUUAAAAAAAAUGUAUUAAAAAUGGUAAUGAUGAUGUAAGCAAAAAAAUUUUGACAAAUAAUAUACUGUCCAAACACUACUAUUUACACAUUAUCUACACCUUAUUUAUAUUUACUUGUAUUAUCAACAAAUUUUUUCAAUUAUUUUUUUAUUUCACAUAUAUCAUCAAAAAAAUGUUAUAGUAUUUUCUUCACAAUAAUAUUUUGUGUGUUUGGACAGCCAAUUAUUUGGCCAAAUAUAUUUGCUGACAUCACCAUUACAAUUUCCAAUACACCUUUUUAUCUUCCCAAUUACCUUUUUAUCUCACAUACAUCAUAUCACAAAAAGUGCUACAGUAAAAAUAUUUCAAAUAACUUACAAUCCAAACACACUCAAUAUUAUUUCAAAUAAUCUACUGUCCAAACACCAUUUGGAAAGGUCGAGAACUGAGGUCCAAACUCGAAUCUCUUGUCUUGAAACUUCACGAUUCGGUACGAAAAAAGGUAACAUAAAAUAUGUGUUCUUCUAUAAUUUUGGAGCAUGAGCAUUUGCUAAUGUCGAAAAACAUUGGUUGGAUCAAAAACAUAUACUAAUUCCUUUUAAUAGUAGGGAAAUGGCAGGAUUUAUAAGCAUUAAUUGGAUUGAAAACAUAAGAGAAAGAUGAAAUUUAAGAAACUGAGAGAAUAUGGGAGAUUCAAAACCACAAAUGCUAAUUCUCGGAAUUUCAACUUUAGAAAAAUAAUUCAAGACGUCCAUAAAUUUCGUCAAAUGAAUUUUUUUCAUCAUUUACUUUUAAAUUUAUAACUUUACGUCCCUUACAAAAUCAAUAUAAUAAAAUUCAAUCCUAACUUAAGUUUCCAACUGCUUUUUAUUUUGAAUCCAUCGCGUGAUCCUAUACAUGAUCAUUUUUUAGUAGCAAAAAAUGUUGGAUUCCAUUUACAAUGAAAUAAAUGAUCCGAUCCAUAUUCAUCUUUAUCAUAAAAAAAUAAGAUGUAACUCGAAUCUUAUUUAUUUAUUUUUCUUAAAAAGUGAUAUCGAACCUAAUCUAUAUUCAUUUUUGUCAUAAAAAAAAUAGGAUUUGUCAUGUUUUUACAUCAAAAUGAUUGUAUAUUGGUCGCAUGGUGAUUUAAAGUUAAAAGGUGGUUAAAAACUUAUAUUGGAACCAAAUUUUAUUAAUUUAAAUUUAUAAAUGAUGUAAAAUUAAUGUUUUAAAAGUGAAUGACGAAAAAAUUUAUUUGAUGAAGUGCGAUGACGUUUUGAACAAUUUUUUCCAAAAUAUAAUGUUACAAUUAUUAAUAUUUCUUAUCUAAAACAGUUUAUUUUACUUAUGAUGCAUAUAAAUUGAAUUAUGCUUGUCAAAAGGCCAACUGCGUUUCACGUACUAUUUAUGCAUUUAGCGGUGUAUUAUCUUUGAGGUUCUUUCCACUCGACGAGUGAGGAUCAAAACUAUCAUUUGAGAUGUGCGUAGUUGGCGUUAAUUGUUGAUGCAAUAAUUUACAUGCAAUUCAUCGACGAGCGGUAGUAAUUCAUCAUCAUGAUUGUAAGUGGUAGUACGCCUACGUGUAAUGCGUUCAAUAAAUAUUAUUGUCACGAAAAAUUUAAAUCUACUUUUCAAGCUCUGCUAAAUCAUAUGGUACUACUACUAAACUGAUUGGCGGUGACAACUAAUGUGAUUGGUUACUCUCAAUUUCCAAAUCGACACAGUUUGUUUGGAUUGUGAAUUAUUAGAGAUAUUUGUAUUGUAGCACUUUUUAUGAUGUGAUGUAUGUAAGAUAAAAAGAUAAUUGAAAAGAUAAAAAAGUGUAUUGAAAAUUGUAAUGAUGACGUAAGCAAAUAUAUUUUGACGAAUAAAUCACAAUCCAAACAAACCAAAUAAUGGUUCAGUACAGAGUCUGUGGAAUCUACAUUUCAAACUGGAAAUACCUACAAUAAAUUUUUUUUUUAGCAACAAAAUACUUUUUCUCUAUUUUUUUUCCCUUCAACAACAAAGGGUGAAACUUAAGAAGUGGAGAUGAAAAGAUUUGAACCUCCUAAGGCCUGUAAUUUCUGGGUAUUAAAUUGGCAAAAAGUCUCUCUGCCCUGAAUCGUUCUUCUUCGGCUAAUAAGUAAGUGUUUUUGGCUAUUGUGGGAAUUCACCCAAAACAAAUAGAACCAGUUGGUGACUGUAUUUUUUUGUUUUUUGUUUUUUUUGUCAACCUUGUGAGUAUUCGGGAUCAUCCGACUAAUCCCACAACACCCAGACAGAGCGGGUCCGACCGAUACCUAUGAGGCCAACAAUUGGAUUGCGGACUAGAAUUGAAUCCAGGCAGACUUGGAGCGCAACGGAUCUUCUGUCCCAUACCCUAUGCCACUUUCUGUCACACUUUUUAUUAUAUUACUAUUUCUCAUUCAUAAACAUCAUGUUUUAAUUCUUUUUUACUUCCUUAAGAUCCAAUAACUAUUAAACCUCCACUAUCCGAACAACCCAGCGGGGGCGGCUGGUGACCAUACAGCUAUGCGAAUUUGCGAGUCCUUCCCAGUCAUACCAAACCAGCAAGACGAGUCAUUUAUUUCCUUUUUUAACUAUUUCGUCUUCAUUCAUUCAAGUCACUCGCAUGAUAACAUACUUUUUUGUUUGCUUCAUUUACUCCUGAGUCCUGAAAAAACGUUGUUGCAGUGGGUUUAAGAAGUAGUAUAUUCAUGUGUUUUAGCACUUUGCAGUAUUGUUUGAACAUCUGCUUUGGUCCCUGAUAAAAAAGAAGAAGAAGAAGAAGAAGAACAGCAACAACAAAUUCUAAUCAGGAUAAUGUGUCGUGUAUUGGAUUAUUUUAUGUGUUUGUUGCUGAUUACAAACUGGAAGGAAGAAUCAAGCAGUGUGGAUGACUCUGCAAUCUGCAUCUCCAGUACAACAUAUCUUACCUAUCUAUCCACAUCCUGUAGAUCAUAUUUCCUAGUUAUCAUCCAGAUGUUCAUUGUUAUACCUUCAUUUGUUAUUAGGAGUAUAAUUUACCAUCUCACUAUGGCCGCGAGUAUUUUCCAGGCAUGGUCGCCUUCCACGCCACUUAUCUUUUGAACAUAAAAACAAAAGCUUCUCCAUUCGAUUUCUGUAGUUUAUCUGUCAAGAGAAAAGUUAUAGCUAACAAAUUGAGCAAUGAUGCAACAAGAUCAUGUUCACCUAAUUUGAAUGGAGGAUCCUUAUGCAAUAUAGUAGUAGUUUUUUUUUUUUUUUUGCACUUAGGGUGUCCCGGCCUUUUUAUGGCUAGACUAAUCAUUCCAAAACCAGCAGAGCCCUGUCCAAAGAUGCCAGCAAUUUUAUCACAGCGAGAGUCGAACAUGGGACCUAACAGUAGAGCCCUGUCCAAAAAUGCCAGCAAUUUUAUCACAGCGAGAGUCGAACAUGGGACCUAACAGUAGAGACGGACUUACUAAUCCCCGCUGAGCUACCCGUGGGGGCCAAAAGUAGUUAAUAAGCGUUAUAACUUAUGGUACUAACUGCACAACUAGUACAUUUUUGCUAGCGUGCAAAUCUUAUCUGUAUCACCACCCAAGAAAAAAAAAAGUCAAGGAAAACAUUUAACCUAUAUCUGAUCUUUUGAUGAUAUCAAUCAUCAUAUACGAAUUAUUGAAUAAAGCCAAUAAACAGUGCAUAUGCAAAUUGAUUAAAAUUUGAGUAGCAGGCGGCUCACCUGUUGUUAAAAUAGGAAUGGCAACAGGACAAGGAUUGUCCAAACAUUCCCGCGGCUCCGCCUUCCCAACCCCACUUUCUCCCGCGGACUAACAGAGUAAAUGUAUAAUUAGUAAAAAGUGUAAUUAGUAAUUUAAUAUAAUUAUAUUAGUAUAAGUGAUCAAUAAUUUAUAUUAAUAUAAAUGUAUAACUAUUAAUAUAAUUAAUAGUAUUAAUUAUGUUAACUAUAUAUAAUCUGAUACUUAUAAUCAAUAAUAUAAUUAUUAUAACUAAUGAUAUUAAAUAUAUUAUAUACAUGUGACUAUAAUAUAUAUUUUUUUUUAAAUGGGUGACGGGGCAAGGGUAUGCUCCCCUGUCCCCCUAUUCCUGAGGGGAGAAAAUGAUUCCUGUCUCGCUCUAUUAACCCCGUCCUAAUUAUCAUUCUUAGUCAAAAAGCUUUAUGGCGAAAUAUUUAUCAACUUCUCAUCUUUUAAUCAUCUUUUUAACCCUCAAAUAUCUCAAAUUGGGCAAAAUUGUUAUACUAACUUCAUGAAUUUUAAAUCGAAAAGUAGGAUCUAAACUUUUUCGAGCUUGCCUAAAAAAAAGGAAACAGAAAUUAGGAUGAUUGAGGCAAAAAGGCUUUUUUUGGGGCACAAUACACUUUACCCCCUUGUGGGGUGUUAUUUAUUUCAAGAUCUAAACUAGAGGGGAGUUAUAUAAAAAAGAACUAAAUCAUAGGGGGGUAAAGUGUAAUUUAGUCAAAAAAUAGUUUUCCCAUUUUAAAUUCGAGUUGUCAGUGGAAGCAGUAAAUCUUCACUCUUCAGUCUCCAGUCCAAAAAUGGAGAAGCUGAGGAGACUGGUGAUUCAAAUAGCCAGCACUCCGCCAUCCCAGAGAUUCUCUGCUCUCUCUCCACUCCAGCUUUCUCUCAUUCCCCUACUCUCCAUCGCUUCGUCCAUCUACAACCUCGCUCUUCUCAUCCGACACCGCCUCUACUAUCUGGGAAUUUUCCACAAACGCAGGUAUUGAAAAAGAACCCCCGCCCGGGGGGGGGGAGGAAGAAAAAUCUUCUAAGCAAUGAAAGGAAGUUUUAGUCUGUACCCUUUUAACGUAAAGCAUUUUUCUCGAAGAGAAUCGCAAAAUCCUUGUGAUUUUUUAGGCAAAGUUUCAAUUUUUAUCAUCUUUUACCCUUGAUUCUCCCUUGAGAACCCUGAUAAUUGUACUAGGUGUUUUUUGUUGCUUCUUUACGGAACUUCUGAUUUCUUGAUACAGUUUUACUUUGUUGGUUGUGAACUUUAAGGUUGCCAGUGCCAGUUUUAAGUGUUGGAAAUUUGACAUGGGGAGGAAAUGGGAAGACUCCAAUGGUUGAGUUCGUUGCUCGGUGGUUGAUCGAUUCUGGGAUUUCACCGCUUAUUCUGACAAGGGUACUCAAUCGAUUUCCUUCUUUUUCUUUUUCUUUUUUAUUUUUGUGGCAAGAACGCAUUUGCAAGAUGGAAUUUUGAGUGAACUGAAGCUUUUCUGUUAUUUGUAUGUUGUUUUUUUCUCGGUCCUUUUGGUCUUGCUAUAUGAAAUUGUUGACUUGUAUGGAGUGGUAAAAAAUUUGAUGCUUCAGUUUUUUAAGGUUUAGAAAUUAGACAAGUACGCAAUAAUAGAAGUUGUUUUGGCUGUUGAGAGAUAAUAGACAAACGUUGUUUUGGAUGUUUUAGUCGUUUUCUACUUUGAUUUGGAGUUUUCUAGUUCUUACUUGACCAUCAUUUGCAACUACUGAUAUUAAACGUUUUCUGCAAAUAAACACACACACAAUUAGCUAGUGCUAGAUUGAGUGGGACCCAUAGAUUAACGUGAAAACUAGUGAUCCCUGACCAAUGUUGUAAGCGAAUUCCUUUGAAGUUAUUUUGUUUGUUAGGCGUUAUUCUAAAUAUUUCUUAUCUCAUCAUUUCUGGAUUUUAUGAUGUUCGAGGUUUCUUUUUCUUUUCUUUAUGAGCAUGCAUUUGCUGCUAUGGAAGUGGGAGGGAUCAGGGAUCAGUACUUUUUCUUGGCUAGUCCAUAGGUGUAAAUGUAAAUAAACAUGGAGUAAGGCUUGUUGAGAAGGAAUAACUUCCUGCCUGUGGAAUUUAAUUUUCUUGCUUACGUAUUUGCAUGAGGGUUCACUUUGCAGGGUUAUGGCGGUGGUGAUGAAGCCAAAAUGCUUCAACGACAUUUACAUGGGACAUCUGCUAAAGUUGGUGUUGGAGCUAACAGGGCUGCCACUGCUGCUAGUUUUCUUGAAAGACACGGAUAUCUGAACUUUUCUGAUAGUACAUGCUCCACAAAAGCUUUCUUGAGCAAGAAAGCAAGGACUGAUUCUUUUUCAGACAAAAUUGGAGUGGCAAUAUUAGAUGAUGGAAUGCAGGUAUGAUGGCCCAAAGGACCUUCAUUAUUUUAGAUUACAUUCGGCAGCACGCAAUGCAGUAUCAUUUCUGAGAUUACUUAGUCCAGAUUAUAGGCCUUCUGCCAUUUAUGCAUUUCCACAUGAAAAAAAUAGCUGUUUUCUAGUCACAAUUCUUGAAAUUGAAGUGGUGAUUAUCAGUUAGGACUUGUAUUUAUUGAUUGUUAAAUCGAACGAUUGAAAGGCAGCAUUUGCAGCUGUGGCGUGACCUAGAGAUUAUUAUGGUGAAUGGGAUGAUGCCAUGGGGAAAUCUGGAGUUGAUUCCACUUGGACCAUUAAGGGAACCUCUUGCUGCACUUGGGAGAGCAGAUGUUGUUGUAAUUCAUCAUGCAGACUUGGUACAAAUUGUUUCUUCUCUGUUUUUCUCUUGUUUAGACUAACAUCAAUUCGCUUGUAAUUGUUCGAUGGCCACUUAGUGUAUGUUAUAGGAUAACAUACAUAAAUGAGUCUAAUGCAGGGGACUCAUACAGGUGGCUGAACAAAAUAUUGAAGCCAUUGAAUCAACAGUUUGGAAAGUCAGUGACUCUAUCCCCAUAUUCCUGACACAAAUGGCACCUUCAUACUUCCUAAAAGCUGGCAACACUUCCUGUGUUUUAUCCCUGAGGGCAAUAUAUGAUAUGAUUGUCCUGUGUGUUUCUGCUAUUGGUUUUCCUGAGUCCUUUGUGCAGACAAUUCUGAAGGUAGUGUUUUUUUCAUGUCUUCUUUUUCAUUGUGAGUUCAAGAUCUUGUCAUAAUUAACUUUUAGCUUAUGUUAAUAUGCUUGUAUUAUAACAGAAGUUGAGGUCUACAUGAUUCCUUCAUUUUAUUAGUCCACCUGCAUUCCAGUUUCAAAUCUGAGAGGUGGUUUUGGUAUUGACAAUGGCAGAUGGGACCAAAGCAUGUUGAUCGAUUAGAUUUCAGUGAUCAUCAUUUGUUCCAGGCUAAGGUAAAUCUCCUUUUUGAAUUUUUCUUUUUCACUUGGUUUGACUAUCAUUGUCAAUUUUUUGGAGGACAAGAAUGAAAUUUCCUUACCUUUGCUAUCCAGUUUCAAGAAAAGUUCUUGUUGUUUUUUUAGUUCCUGAAGUUGAAUCAAAGAAUAUCUUCUCUCAUACUCACAAACUAUUUGAAUCAAAGAACAUCUUCUCUCAUGCUCGUAAACUAAACAAAGGGUCACAUAGUGAUCUCUUUUCAUUUUUCUCUCUCCUCUCUCUCUCUCUCUCUCUCUCUCUCUCUAAAAGUGGAAUUUGUCCUUAUUCUUUAAUUCUUUUCAUAGUAUAAGUUUGACUGUUGUUGCUUACCUCCUGGUUCUCUAUUGCUGUAGGAUAUUACUAUCAUUAGAAGGAGACUUAAAGAACUUGAAUCUGCAUAUGGCAUGCAGCCAAUUGUUGUUGUGACUGAAAAGGUAAGCAGAUCUUUCAAAGCACAUUGUCUAUAGAGCCUAGUCUAUUGCUAAUUAUUUUAACAAACAUCAUAGAUCAAAGAAGCUGUCUUUGGAACAUUUCCUCCAUCUUUUCUUUUGCCUAGAGCUAGUAACUUGACAUUAAUCUUCACCCACUCUUUCUUGUUUACAUUAGGCUUUGAAGAAAUGAAAGUAAUUUUGUGAACUUAACUGUGAUUUAGCAUAUCUGAACCAUGAAAUGGCUUCUUUUAACCCAUCAAACUGAUAUAUUGACCCUUUUGGAAUGAGCUUUCUUUUAACUUGCUACUUUUGAUGUUUGAUGUAAAUUGAAUAAGUUUCACUGAAUGGCUGUACUUUUCCUUUUCAAUUCUCUCCUUGGCAUAGGAUUAUGAUCGUGCUCCAGAUGUUCUGAAUCAUGUGAAUCCUUAUCAAGCAUUGGUGCUCUGUUCUAGCAUGCAAAUCCUACCUCGUGAAGGACGCACAGAAGAUAAUUUCAAGAAGUUCCUACGAGAGCGCCUUAAAUCAUUGUCGGACUCGAAGAUUACUUGAAGUCUUGAACUUACAAGAAGGAGGGCCCAGGAGAGGCCCGUUGAUUAUUUUCGGACUCGAAGAUCACUUGGAAGUUGGAAGUCUUGAGCUUGUAACAUCGAGGGAGAAUAAUUUUGUUUGGUCAUGAGAUUUUUUCUCGCAUACGAUUCAUGGUUCUUAUUCCUACAUGAGAUUCUUGAUCAGGCGUACGAUGUGGAUCUUGGGCUUUACUUCCUUCAGUUAUUACAUAUUAGGAACAAUAAUCGGAUGAAACUAUAAGCUACUCCGCUUUCUGUUCUUUUUUUUUUUUUUUUUUUUUCAGAAACGAUAACUGUUAUAUAAUCCAAUCUAUCCUAUACAAGGAGGAGGGGACGGAUCUAAGGAGAUUCAGGGGUAAUCUGGAAGAAAUUGAAAAUCAUCAUCAGAUUAAAUGGGUGUAUUACAUAUCUGUCUGAAUUUUUUUUAAACAAAGUCACUUUUAAUGUGUUCUACCAAACUUUAAUACUUUGGUGGUGGCCAUCCGUUCAAAGGCCGGUGAUUCUCGGCUUUCUGUUCUAAAUAGACAAAACAAAUUUUUUGUCUUACUUACAGCGCCUGCCGACUCCUAGGGAGAAUAUUGAGCCUACAUAGCCGACUGUUACAGAGCUUUCUUUUUUUCCAGCUCAAGUUUUGCAGCCAAAUUGAAGCUACGGAAUGUGAAAGUCCGAAGUCAGAAGACAAAGCCAGCUUUGUUUUUCAGUUUUCACCGACCUAAUGGAGCAGCGAUAUAUGUAUGUAACAAGUCUUGAUUGAGUUGUCCCGAUUGUAGUGUGUAGAAAGAAUUAUAAUUUUGACAGCGUUCAGAUUCUUCUGAGACGUAUUGGGGCCAUGGACAUGGACAGAUGGUGCAGGUGCAUGGACCCCCGGCAGCUGCCUAUUUCCCCGUCGUGCAGAAACGGGUUCAAACUUCAAACUGGGGCACUUGGAUGACAUCCUUUUCAGUUUGAAGCACAAUUACUUAAUGGUUGACCCGUACAAGGAAAUUAUUAAUACAGUGUAGAAGCGAAUCAGUGAUCACCUAGGCAAAAAUUUACCGUGCGAGACACACUUAUUUUUAUUUUUUCGGUAUCAAGAAAAGGAAAUUCAAUUGCAUAUAGUAUUAAAGUUGCAUUAUACUCAUCCCUGGAUAAACAAAACAACAGCUCUCAAAUCAUUCGUUGCAAAGUUGAUCAUAAAUUCAGGGAUAUCAUCGAAACAAAAGAAAAUCAUGUUCUUGAUCUGAUCCAUCCUUUGCCAAUGCAUCUCCAAGAAAAGUUUGCUUCUGAGUACAGGUGGGUGAUUGCAGCACACUAACGAACCUGUUCCUUAGCUCCAUCUCCAUGCAAUGGAUGCGGGUGAUGUUGGCUGGUGACUUGGUAAUUAAAUAAAUUAUCAGCAGCCAUGAAAGUCCCAAGUUCAGUUUGCAGAUGCUGAAUGCCCACAUCCAAGGCCAAAUUGCAAACCAUUUCCAUCCGUCGCAUGGCAGAUGGCGUAGGUUUCUUCCAAGUCCAGCAACCGGAUAAGAGCCAGCUUUUCCGGAAUCGUGAGGAAAGCUCUGUCAUAGCUCCAUUUCUUUCUAAGGUUGAUUGUCAUUUGAGAACUACAAACUACUAAUCGAAGACAAAAUAGAGAAGUUGUGCUUCCGUGGAAUGUGAAACAAAAGAUAGCACUAGUAAACAAGAUGUUGUGGAUCAAAUUUUGUUUACAAGUUGAAAAUAAAUCACACUCUGAUAACUAUAGGCUACGUUUGGAUAGCAAAUUUUUUCAAAAAAAAAUUUCGCUUGUAUCGGAAACACAUUUUUCAAUUCAGCUUUUUAUAUUUCCAACCACCUUUUUAUCUCAUAUACAUCGUAUCAUGUAAAAAGUGUUACAGUAAUUAUUUCAAAUAAUUAUUUGAAGUAAUGCUGUAUCGAAACAAAGCCUAUAGUUCUGAUCCCAACAGUGUGUGAAGUCUACUUGCCGGUUCUGGGAUGAGAAAAACGAAACGUUACGCUAAUGGUUAAGCUAAAAAGGUGAUUAUCUUGGUUGAAUUCAAGGAUGUUUCUUUUUGAAUAUGCGUCAUAGUCUCAUUAUUGCUGCCUUUGAAGAAAUAUUUUAUCAGUCAGCAGACUCAGCACUCAGGCAGGGGUUGUCAAAAGUCUUUAUCCUCCUCUGCAAUCAUGUUUUGUGGCCUGCCUGCUUUGACAACCAACUUAAAUAAGAUUCACAUUAUCAAGAGAAAUUUUGCCAAAGUCGAACAGGAAAUUCAGGAACAAAAAUUGGAGUUUACAAGUGUAAACCUAUCGACUUGUUGCGUCGAAAAACAUGAAUUUCAGCAGUUGCCUCCCUCAGCAAAAAGCAAGAAAAGACUUCUCUGACUUUGUUUUGUUUCGGUACCUCAGCCACAAAUGUAGAGAAAAAAAAACUAAAUGGCAAUAACACAUGUUCGACGGCAACAAACCUGUACCAAGUUAAGAGCUGAGAUUCGAUUUGAGAAGGGAAGAACUAACCAAGAAGGCUAUGUAGUGGGUUGGCUGGUGUGAAUUGUGAUGGGACGGUGGAAAAUAGCGGUGGUGCCGAGUCUGUUUUCAUUUGAAAGUUGUAGGCUAAUUUUCAUUGGAACAUUUUGACAUGUACCCAUUUCUGUUCUGUUAUCUAAGGUAUUAUCAAUUUGAUCAAAAUUUUGAGAGCUAACUUUAUCUAGAAAAUUCAGUGACAUUUAAUUAAUUUAGAUAAUUAAUUUUUGUUAUCAAACGGUUUGAAUAUAUUAAAAUUUUAAAUAUUAAAUUGAAUUAUCAAACAGCGCCUUAAUCAUCAUCAGACAAUAAGCAUUAUUAGCAGCGACGCGAAGGAGCAAAAGUGGGAGAAAAAAACCAAGUGCACAUUACCAGGGAUUGAUAUACUAUCAUAUAUAGAGCCCCCGCGUGAAUGGUCCAGCGGCAACGCCUCUUACCAGUGAACCUUGAGGUCACAAGUUCGAGUCUCCACUCCGUUGAAUUUCUCCGGGCACUUAACGUGUUCGGGCCGCGUUGGGGCGGCGAGCCCGGGUCACAUGGGAUUAGUCGGGCCCCGUAAGGAUUGACUUAGGAGAGUCAAUCUCCGAUGGUAUAUAUAAUGUAGUAAUAAUGAAUUAAAUCAAAUAAAAAUCUAUGUAAAACAUACACAUUUUCGGCUUAUCACCGAGAACCCGGUCGAAUCACGAAAAAUUCGGCGGAGAAGUUUCUAAUACUGAUAGUCUCGGUCGAGUCAAUUCACAAAUUUAUAUUUUACAGAUUUCUUUUGCUAAUUUUUUAAUUAUUUUUUGUUUAAUAUAUUUUUUAAUAUUAUUCACAAUUUUUAGAAUACUUCAAAAUUUACGUCUCACAGAUAUCGUGACCGAUAUGUUGAAAUCAAUGUGAGACGGUUCGAACCGCGAUUGCGACCGCGACCGCGACUUUGAACCUUUGAACCAUACUCUAGAGAGAGAGACUCGUCUCGUUCUAAGAAACGGAGGCACGAGCCCAUGAAUUUGACAGGCACGUGAAACUUAAUCCCUCUCUUUCUAUCAUAAAUUUGACUGCUUGAGGUCCAUGAAUGAGAAUAAUGAGAAUUUAGAGAACAAACUUUAGGACCAUUAUUAAGUAAUAAAAAGUUUUCGUAGCACGUCAACUUCUUUUUCCUACUGCAUGCAUUAAUGAUUAAUUAAUUAAUGCUAUGUGUAUCUUCUUCUACUUUCGAAGGACUUUUAAUUUGGAUUUAGUUAAGAUGGACACAGAAUUCCGAACCAUUAAUUUCGUUUUCCGGCCAUCGUAGUGUAUAUCCAGACUACAUGUCAAAACAGACUUUGGCGUUAAUGCCAUACAUCUAUACAUCGACACGGCUUGUUGAUCGAGUAAAUGGUGUCCAUCAAAGCCACCAAAAAAAAAAAAAAAAAAGUCUCAAAUCUUCUACUCGUUCACAUUACCGGGGUUGCACUCCUCCUCCACUGCCUCUUAGGAUGUCCCUAUAAAACCCAUCCAUCCGUUCCCCAACUUUAGUGGAGAUACUCAUACAAGUCGAGGAUCGAGAAGCCUUUGAAAAGGUAUCUGGAGCCUUAUUGAUGAUAUGGCUUGUCUCAGGUCCUCCUCCACAAUAGCCAGCUCUGGGUUUUUCGCCUUCAGAAACAUGUCCCUAUUCUUCUUCUUUGCUCUCAUCAGUUUCUCAGAAGGACAAACAGUUCCGGCCGUGUAUGUUUUCGGUGACUCCCUUGUUGAUGUUGGCAACAACAACUACAUUAAAGACUCGCUUCUCAAGGCAAAUUACCCUUACAACGGCAUUGAUUACCCUGGUGGAAAACCAACCGGAAGAUUCUGCAAUGGCAAAAACGCUGCAGAUUUUAUCGGUACAUUAUUUAUUGUCAAAAAAUUUACUCCAUCACAGAAAAGACUUUGCCCUUUUGUAUCUUGAUGACUCUUGCAUUUACUGCAUGACUGACGAUCAAGUUAGUUACUGGGGUCUAUUUUGGCACCAACCACUUCCUAACCUUGCAAUUUGCAUGCAUGUUUUGGCCAUUAAUUCAGUUGCAAUUUUGAUUGAACGAUGAAUUGAAAUACUCUGCGAGGCCAGAACGAUUGACUCAGUCAGUAUACAUGUUUUUUACGACCUUCUAUCCCCAACUCCGAAGAAGCAAAAGAAGGAGAUCGAGGGGGAUGGACUUCAGAAAGCGUAUGAAAAGAAUUUGAGUAUGAUGAUGACAUCAUGCCUUCUGUUAUUAUUAUUAUUAUUUAUUUGAAGAUGACAACUUAAGUGCACUGACAAAGACGUCAGCCACAAAAGUGUCCGAUCAUUUCUUUCCUCCUUUUGUCCUUUUGUUUACUUACUGAUAUUUUAAAUUCUGAAGCUACGUACGGCUGCGCAAAUGAAUACAUUCUUCAAUAUUACUGUAAUUUUUUUUGACGAGUGACAGAGAGAUUUUCUGAUACAUAUAUAUAUGUGGCAGCUGAAAAGGUGGGAUUGCCAACUUCCCCUCCAUAUUUGUCCGAUACAAGUGAUGUUUUCCUCAAGGGAGUAAGUUUUGCAUCUGGAGGAUCAGGACUCUUCAACACCACCGGCCAAGGCUUCCUCGUAAGUACAUUUUUUUUUUUUUUGGGGUUAAUUAAUCCUUGCAAGAAUCAUAGGAUAGCAGGAUUCCUUUCCCAUUUGCGUGUAUUCAAACAACCAAAGCGAUUGCUUAUCAAUUGAAUCUAGAGAAGAGGUAUUUCCCAGAGAAUUUCCCAAAAAUUUGAUGACAAGGGGGACUGUUAAUCUACAAGGCUUGAUUCUUGUUUGGUGUGGUUCCGUGCAUUUGUUUUGGCAUGAGGCCCACCUCUAUAAACUUGACUUCACUCCGAGACAAAGCCCUCUCUCAAGCGUAAAAGGCUAUCUUUUCCAUCCGGUACUCGAGUCCAACAGCACUUCUAUCAAACUUAACCUUGGGCUAGCCCAAAAAAGCCCCACCAUCCAAACGUUUGGAAAAGAUUCAAAAAGCCAUGCGGUGAGCGUGGAUCGAACACGCGACCUUCAGAUCUUCAGUCUGACGCUCUCCCAACUGAGCUAUCCCCGCGGUGAUGGUGAAGAAGUUUUAUGAACUGACUCUCUCUGACUCUUUUGUUUACAGCGCAAGACGCUCUCUCUGGCCCAACAAGUGGAUUAUUUCACUGCGCUGCACGACAGACUAGUGAAACAGCUUGGGCCUGCUGCAGCACAGCAGCGUUUAUCAAAAUCUCUGUUUCUUGUGGUGAUUGGAAGCAAUGAUGCUUUCGCUUAUUUCGAGUCUUUAAACAACAGAAAAGUUAUGAAGGUUACUCCAGAUCAGUACGUUGAUCAGAUGAUUUCCAUACUCCAAGGAUUGUUGAAGGUACAUCAUCCACAUCCCACAGAAGUUAUAUGCACUAUCGACUUGUGUAAGCUUCUGAUGAUCUUUACUGAAUUUGGCCAGCAAAUCCAUAGUUUGGGGGCUCGCAAGUUUGUUGUGGUUGGACUAGGAUCACUUGGGUGCUGUCCAGGGCAAAGACAUGACACCGGCAAUGAACAAUGCAAUCAAGAUAUCAACUCUUUGGCGAUCAAAUACAACCAAGGACUUGCAUCAAUGUUGGCGGGACUGAAGUCGGUUUUGAACGACUUCAGCUACUCCUUAUUUGAUACUUAUACAGUCCUCCUCGACAUCAUUGACAACGCAGCAACUUAUGGUAAUCUCCACUCGCGUUUUCUUGAACUACGACGACGUCAGGUAGUCUUGUUUUAAUUAAACUCAUGACCAACCAAGUUUUGAUGUGAAUCAUUCUGUUUUCGACGUUUAUUAGGUUUUACCGAGGCAAAGGCAGCUUGUUGUGGAUUUGGAAAACUGAAUGCCGACGUGUUUUGCACGCCCCUGGCCGUGUACUGCUCCAAUAGAACCGAUCACGUCUUCUGGGAUAAAGUCCAUCCCACACAAGCAACGGAUAAAAUUAUGGUCGAUACCAUCUACUCUGGUUCACAGCCAUACGUGUCUCCCAUCAAUGUCAAGCAGCUGGUUGCUCUAUAAAAUCGCACUACAGAGAUCAAGAAGUUGUACUGUAUUCUUCCCUUUUUAUUUGUGCGCGCCGGAGCAAAAACUAAGAGGAUACCGUCAUUGUUGUGUCGCCUGGAUAUACUCAACAUGUUGCAUACCAAAUUAACAAUAAAUGUUUAUUUCAUCAUCCAUAUGUGGCUAUACUUACAAGAUAAUGAGACAAUUUCAUCAGUGAGUUGAGCGCAACGACAACAAUAAAAUGACCUUCAACUCGAAAAAGAACAGAUUAUCCUCGAAGUUAAAUGAGGAUAUUUGUGAGAAGCAUUUUUGAACAGACAUAGAAUGCUACACUAAUAUUUGGUUCUCCGCUUAUAACUCCUACAGAAGCAUAUGCCCAAGUUCCCGUUAUUCAAAACAAAUAUCUGCUGAAUAACAAUCCGAAAAGAACAGAAUUCACAGCAAUGCAGCCAUAGAAUGCGCACGAUCCAGAAAAGCAUUAGGAAUUAUGUUGCGCUUAAGGAAAAACGUCUUGAAAGAAGACAGAUAGAUCGUCCUUGAGGGCAUCAAGAGCUAACACUUUGUCCACUGCAUUCUGCAUUUGCUCGGUACGAGGAGAUAAUAAAGUUAGACACACUAAAAGCAAAAAAUAUACAGCUUAAAGUUAGAUACACAAAACUCAUUCAGUUUAUAUCCGUGUAUAUUAACACCUUGUAUUGCUGAUCCUGAGCAGAUAUAUUCUCAUUGCUUAGUCGCUCAAUGUGCUUGUUGUCUUGAAUAGCAUCCAACACAAGAGAUGCUCUUUUUAUGACUCCCUCGAAUACUCCUAGCAUGAUUGGAUACAGUUAAUACCUACAAGUAGCCUCUCUAUGCACCAAACCAUGUCAGGUUGCAUAUUUUUACCCAUCCCAAACCCACAAUUAUAAGAACUUGUUCACUGGUUAUGACAUCGAUUUCUAAGAUGCUAUGCAUGUCCGUCACUUUCUUAAAUUGAGAGAAAGUAACAACAAAAUUGAUCAAUUCUCUGAGGAAACAGGAAAGCAUUAUAAUUGAAACAUACCAGCAAGAAGUGCACAAUGUAGACCUUCAAAUAAACAGACGAAAAUCAAUUCAGCCGUUGUCAGUAAAUCUUCUGGCAUGCAUGUUGCAGGUGCAUUAAAAUGUUUAAAUCUUACCAUAGCUAAGAGCUGCACGUCCAGGAACCAACCUGCCAAAGUACAAGAGUUAGAACAACCAUGAUAGAGAACUGAUACCAAUAUGAGAUAAGGUUUAUCUGGCCAUGAUCUGAAAGAGAGCUUCAAGCUCCACAGAUGCAACUCAUACUGGACCAAUAAACACAAUGAAAUUUUAGUUAAGUGUUUGAGGUGAGCCAUCAACAAGAAUAUGAGAAAAUGCAUUGACCUUAUUCCUGGAAGAAUUCUUCAGAACUUUGGAAAGAAUUUAUACUCAGAAGCCAAGCAAUAAUUUCGUACCUAUACAAAAACACUAUAUCUUCAAUAUCAUUCUCUUUAUUGUCUGGAUUCAGCACGCUCAUGGUGUAAUACUUGACCUUGUCACACUGAAAGUUGUCAAGCUACAAGAUUGUAACUCAACCAGUAUAGAUAACAUUCAGAAUUUGAAUACACAAGUCCUAUCAAGCACUCCUAAAUGCUCUACCUCCAGUAAACAGCUAUUGUCAAAUAGCUCAGUCAAAUGAGUACAGAUAAAAACCUGCAAGCAUACUCAGUGAUCAAAAGGCAUAUCUCAACAAUGUAAAAAGCACAUAUAACGCACAAGAAACUGUAGGGUUUUACAUUUCUUUAGCAUAUUUGGAAGAUUUGCACCAUCACAAAAUAACUAUCUGAGUUUGACUAGGGAGAGUGUUAAUUAAGAGUUGAAAAUAUUUAAAAGAAACAAACAUUUGGGGAAUACAGAUAAUAUGUGUCAACUACCAGCAGGGAGAGGAAAACAGUUUUCCUUUCUUAUAUAAGUUUUAAAAAUGCCAGACGUGUUCAAAUAGAGAAUCAACUUGAACAACAAAAAUUUAUCAGGUUGCUAGAGUCUCUUCACUUUCUUGUUGGAAGUAGUUCAAGGAUCAGGUGAAAAGAGAGCUCUCAGUAAAGGUGGUAUUAUUGACUGCAUGAGAGACCAUGAUAUAGGCCAUCCUUUUUUACUAUCCCCCUUCAUGCAUUUCUAAUUUGUUUCUACGCAUAACAAUUCUUCGAGAUGAACACUGUGAUUUUGAUUUUACUUCUUUUGAGAAAUCUGCUCCUGUUGAGGAACCUAGAAACUGGCAAGUACUGAACUCCUUUAUUGUGAUGUGAUGGGGAUCUCCUUUUAGCAGAGUGAAUUACUGCUUUUCCUACAAAGCUGCACCUAUAACAUGAUUGAUGCACAAAUAGGUAAUGCCAACAACACCUUAGGAGGAUCAUAGCACGAGACAAAAUGGUUUAUAGUUCCACCGAGAAGACCAACGCCAUCUGAAAUAAAUUGUGUCAUUUCUAAAUAACAACGUUAGAAAAGUUGAAACUUCUAAGAGCUUAACAGUCAACAAUUGCUGAAGAAACUGACCUACUGUAAGCGUGCCUUUCCCAAAUUCAUCUAACAAGCACAAUGAUCGAGAAGUUGCAUGCCUAGAAGGAUGUAAAAACUGAGUCAUGGGACUCCAGAAGAAAGUAAAACAAAACAAGGUACUUCUGAGAAUCUAUAUAUGACUGUAUGAGCACUCUUAGCCACACAUUAGUGGACUAAUUACACUUUUACAUAUACCUUAGCAUCACUCCCACUUGAUGCAAAUCAAUCAUGAAUGUUGAUUGUUCAGCUGUCAUGAAUUUGCUCCCAGUUGCACAAAAUAUCCUACAAUAUAAAGUUCCCGUCAAGGUUGAUAAAGUAAAUGACAUAGUUUAUAAUUAGGGUGACCAAAAAGUGAAACCUAUCCGUCAAGCCCACAAUAGCAGCAUCAGCAGGUACAAAACUCCCAAUAUGUGAAAGGAAAACUAUCAAUGCGACCUGAAAAAAGUAUAUACUUUAUAUGAAACUGGGGCAUCAAAAUUUCAAAAGUGAAUUCAGUUCAGUGUCUGAAGGACUAAAACAAACAAAACCAUCAAUUUGAAAUUUUCCUCCUUACUUGGACUAUGAGAAUCUGAUAUAAAAUUUGGCUUUCCAAACAAUGGUAAAUCAUUGAAUGUGUUGCUUUUAUACAGAAAAUUCAGAAACACAGCAAAUUGUGACGCUAGCUUUUCGAGAAGCAUUUAGCAGAUCAAGAAAUAAAAAGCAGAUGAGAACGCAUGUUGACAGAUAGAGGACUUUAAUGCAGUUUCCAACUCUAAUUUUGCUAGUAAAUGAUUAGACAAGUUGAAAAGUAGAACAACCAACACAUCAGCUUAUAAUAGGAGAAUUAAAUUGCAUGAUAUACACCAUGCAAGAUCCAUGGACACAACGAGGUACUUAAGCUCAUGGGAUGCAUUUGUGGCCGAGAAACAACACAAAAUUGGAACAAUGAAGAAACAUCUACUGCUGUUCAUCAGAUAUAUAUACAUGCAUCUAUAACACACAUACAUAUACAUAUAAAUAUAUAAAAAUAUAUAUGUAUAGAGAUAUAUGUAUAUAUAUGUGUAUAUGUAUAUGCUGUUAUUCACCUGCUUUAUGUAGAUGCUUUUUCCUGAAUAAUUAGGGCCAGUGAUGAUAUUAACCCUUCCUGAAACAUGAAAGACACGCAAUUUUUAACGUAAUAAUCAUGCAGAUGAGGAUAAAUCAAUCCAAAACUUAAAUCCAUAAAGAGGCGUGUAUAGUUUCCUAACCGUCAUGCAGAAUCUUUGUAUCAUUGGGUAUGAAUGUGUCUACUGUCAUUUCUUGAAGUACAUGUCUGUCAAACAGAAAAUAUUCUGUUACCGCCUUAUCAAAUUUAAUAAGUAAUAGUUGCUGGUUAUUCACAAGGAAAACAGAAUUAAUAAAAUCAGUGCAUGUUCUCUAAAUUGGACAGGAUAGCGCUAACCUUCCGUUUAGUAUAUCAAGCAAAUUUUCAACAGUCACAAUGGGCCUCACAUAAUUGUUCUGACGAGCAACCAAUGCUAAAGACAAGAAACUUGGAUAUAACACAAAUAAUUGUCAGGAAACUUGUCAUGCAAGAGAGUCAGAACUUUUGCACUAGAGAGAAAAGGUAGUCAUCACUAUGAUGCUUACCAAUCAAGCUCAGCAACAAAAUUAACAGCUUGUUUUAAAUGUGAAGAGAACUGAAGAAUCCGAGAAACUAAGUCCCCAAUGAUUGCUCUCUCCAUGUCUUUGAAGGAAGUAGAUUAAAUUCAUAAGAUAACGGGAAGAUGGAAAAAUCAAACCUAGUUCUAACUUUAAACUUGCCAAUUGGCUGUGGAUUAUAUGAAGUUGCACAUUAUACAGAAAUUGUAUCACAUUCUACGUUCUUAAUAGAAACAGAUACCAUUUCAAGCUAAUGGAAAAUAUUAUCAGAAAGAGUUCACAAUCUUCACUGCAUACCCAAUAUUUUAUGAUAUAGAUCUCCAAGAAGGCUAUCCAAUUCCCGUGUCUUUGCAGUGCGAUAAAAAAAUUUCUUAGUAUUCUCAUCCUCAUCGGAGAACUGUAUAUUCCAAACCCAAUUUCCAAGGCAGGUAAAGAAAUGUUCACUAACAGCAAAUUAAUGUUAACUAAAAACAAGGUUAUGCAUUUCACAUAACAAGUCAAAUGCGUACAGCAAAUUCAUAAUCUUCAAGUUUUUCCAGCAUGCUUUUGUCAAGAUUUUCUUGGAAAAUGCACAUCAAGUACCCUGCAGAUGAAUUACAAACAAAUGUCAUUAUUAGACCCAAUAAAGCUAAACCAGAUAAAAUCUUCUGCAAUGUGCCAUCUAUGUAUCUGUUAAGAGAUUAUUUGCACUUAUUUCCCAACUGGGAACAAGUAGAAAUGCAUCUAUGCUCCUUAGGACAUGAGAAGUAUAAACAGUUGUUGCAGCGUACAUAAUGUCACAGGUAGAUGCACCACUCUUCCCAAGUUUUCUGAACAGGAUCCACUUAAGGAAAUUGGUAUUUAAAAUCAUUUCUUGUUCAAAGUGAAAAAAUCCAUAUGGUUCAUGAUGCGAAGAAACUAAUAUGUACUUCUGAUAAACUUUCUCAUACUUCCAACAUCAUCAUCAGUCAUUUGACGCCCAUGGCGUGACCUUCAGUUUAGUGAACAUAUUUGUAGAAUUUAAAAUAAAAAUUCCAUUGAACUGCAAAGGAUUUUGAAGAUUAAUGCUGCAUAACCAACAAAAUUGAAUCGAUUGACUACAAUGAUGAUUUUAACACCGUAAUAUCUGUAUACAAUUAAAGUGUUUGUGGUCUUUACAUAAGAAAAAGAAACAAUACAACCAAAAAAAGACACUGAAAGGAUCCAAAUACGCAUAGUAGUUAGAUGUAAGUGAUAAUUUUAUAUCCUGACAAACUUUUGCAAGGUAAAUCUGAGCAGAAAAAUUGCAAAUAGUACCUAUCUGAUGGAUAUACACAAUACAAGGAAUGAACUUGUCUCCAGACAUGUAAGGCAGCCGUGUGAGUUCCACUGAUGAAACCUGCAAAAAAGUGGUAACAUCAAUUUAGACAAUGUGUAGACACAAUAACCUUCAUGCCAUUCAUGCAUGCAUUUAAAAAAAUAAAAGCUAAAAGCUAGCACCUCUUCCAAAAACUCUGGCAACUCCUCAUAUAUUUGCCUCAGCUCAUCCAACUACAUAUGAAGAAGGAAGCUUGUCAGAAAAGCACAAAAGAGAAAUUAGAAGUUAAAUACUCUAGUCACCAGAGCCUAAGAACCUUAGAAAUACCACUUAGAGAAGUCACACCUCAUCGCAAAAACCAUCUUUAACAAUAGUCUCAUAACCUUUAUCCUUACUUCGAUUCACAUCAACAACGCCAACAACCUACACCAGCAAUCAGCCUCAACAAAAUCAACUAAACAGAAGCAACAACUGUCUGACAAGGCAAUUGCACGUUAUGGAUCAUAUCGACUUGGCACUUAGCUACCAGAAAGAAAGAAAGUAUAGAUGGUUGUCCACUAUACAAACCAUUGUCCAUUACUUGUAUAUAAGCUAAACUAGAAUCCAGAUAAGCAAGCAUAAUGAUCUUCAGCAAGUACAACAACAUAUGCAAAACUCCCUGCUGAUUAAAAAUUCCCAAUAUCCCCUCUCGUAAAAUGCUAAUAAAUGCGACAACACGGGCAAAGAAAGCAUAAACCAAAGCCACAAGUGAGGAGCACAUCAUGAAAUCAAAACUGACCUCAAAAAUAGAUGCAGACAAGAUCUCCUUAAAUGCAAAUUUCAUAAGAACAAAAACUGAACUUUUUGGAUAAUUUGGCUUCUCAAAAGCUGCAAAUGAUGACAAAGGUUCCAUGCUUCUUUUCAUUAUUAUUGCUUCUCUUCUGACAAUUAAAGGACGUUCUAUUUGCAAGUGAAAGACCUAUGCAAUCCAGAAAAUAUGAGAUAAUAGAAGUAAAAGUUGUUCAGAAGAAACAUCUGACCAAUUCAUAGACAUAUGCCAGAUCCGCAGAUAGGUAAAAUUCAACCUGCGACAAACUCAAAGAUGAUUUUAAAAAAGCCACAACUUCAUAAAGGGCAAGAUUCAAAUUCAAACAUUCAAGUUAAAAUGUUAAUUCGACCUGUUCAACAAUGUCCAAGUUCAAAUACUUCAAUUCUUCUUGAAGAUUUUCUGAAAUGCCAACUUCAAAUAUUUUGUUUAUGUGCAAGAGAGAACAAAUGCUCUACAAAAGAAAAGCAUAUGAAACAAAAUUAGGCACAAUAAUAACACAGUACAAGGUUAAAAUUAAUGGCAGUAGUAGCACCAGCUAUAAGGGAUGAUGACAUCUCCUAUCCGGUAAAUACUUCCCUAUCAGAAUUGUAAUGUAUAGCAUUAGACAAUAACAACCUCAAUGCUCAGGAGUGGACAAAUACCUACAAAUAACAGCAUAAAGAACUCAUUACAACAAAAACCAAUGCAGUUAUUGUCUUUUUUUAAGCCGUACUUUUACUUAGAAAGACAUCAGAAGUGUAGCCACCCUGAACCUAAUGCAGAUGUGAAAGAACAUGUUGCUUCAACCUAAUAGUUGAUGGCAGAUGCCAUUUCUGACCAUUGCAAUAUCAAUAUAGGCUUGUCCAAAAAAAUUUAUUGAGAGCUCCAUCAACCAGAGGUUUAUUUCCUAAAUUUCUAUAGCAAUCUCCAUGACAAAACUUAUUCAGAAAGUGAUAUAUGCUUAAUAAACAAAGGUUUUAGUAAACUUAAGCAAAUUUUUUUUUAUGCAAACUUGAGCAAAUAUGAUAUACUUUAGCUAUUAUUUUAGCUCAAAUUAAAUAACCAGAUGAUCACAAUGAAGCAGAAAAAGCCUACCUUUACAAAAGCUUUCCAGUCGCUACUUGUGCACAAAGAACUUGGAGAAUUGAACUUCUUUAAAGACAAAGAAAACACACCAUGUUAAACUACUAAGAACAACUCUUUACAGGAACAUCAAUGAUUUGGUUGUGCUGGACAAAUCCGAAUAAAGAAGUGCUCGAAGGGCAUAUUUGGUGAAACAAAGAGAAUAUGGAUGCACCUUGAGUAUGUGAGGAAUAUCUUUUAUGGACUGCAGUGUUUCACGCAGAGAGGCCAAAAGUUCUUCAGCAGAAUGGAAGAAUGUUAUCUUGAUUUGUCAAAGAAUAAACCUAAUAUGAACUGGUAUUCCACACAUCCCUGCAGCCAUCUGCAUUACAUAGUCUCAAAGUAUGUAAACCUUCAACUCUGGGCAUAAAUUCUUUAGCAACAUUUCAUCAAAGAUUUCAUUCAAAUACGACCAAAUCUCAUUUUCCAUCACUUCAAAUAAAUAGUAACUCCAAUAGCACUGGUAUGGUGCUACUUCAAAAUAGAAGGAUACAGCAUCAAAACGCUUGUUCAGUUUCUCAAUGUCCAGUAUAGGCCUCAAAAACCAGUUCCUAGUUGACAAUUGAGUUAAUUGGUCAGAGGAUUGAGGUAGCACUGACAGAUCAAUAGUAACAAUGUCGAUUCUUGAUUGUCAACUAACCUCAAAAGACGUCUGCCCAUUGGUGUUACACACUGGCACAGUCAGAAAUUAUCUAUCCAGUCAGCAAUUGCAAAUUAAGACUAGAACAGGCUAUUAAAACCUAACAGCAGCUGCUGACCUUAUUCAUCAUUCCAAAUAAAGAGAACCUGCACUUGAAGGUAUUAUUCAAUAGUUAUUUUCAAGUUAAUAAACUCAGAACCCCAACUAUGGUUCAUAAUUUACCCUUCUUUUGCCCUGCCAAUCCCCAUGUGGCUUGGAUGUUUGUCAAUUUGGAAUAUUUGCAAUGCCUCAUGUGCAGCCGAGUCAACUUUGAGAAACUUGUUUCUGCGGUUUUUGUUAAUUAGAGCAUUGCACUAAACUUUUGGAUGAAAUAUAACAAGAAAAUAAGAUCAUAUGAAUCAAAAAUUGGAGAACUUAGUAUUCAAGUUCGUUAAGAUACAGUGAGAUUUCAAUGACUGAGUCAACAGCAAUGGAUGCACUUCCACACUCCUUCUGUUCAAGGGUGCCUAUAAUCCUUUCAUUCUCUAGAACCGCAAGAAGCCCUCCAGUUGCACGAACUUGGACCUCACUUUGAAUGUCCAUCAUGGAGUUCAGCUAAAAUUAUGAAAAGAAACCGGUUAGAUACGAUGUGAGUGAUUGGAUACAGUUGAUCUUUCAUUUUCAGUAACACUACAAUACUCAGAUUUUCUUUACUUCAAGACAUUGGCAAAUAUAUGGGAACAUGAGUUCUCUUAUAAAUUCUCCCUUAACCACCAACUAGUUCUAUCUCAACUUUGCAGAUUUUCCAGAGUCUAUUCUUGUAGAAAGCAUGAGGAAAGAGCAUCAAGCAUCUUUUUGAACGAAAAGCCUGUGGAGUAGCCCAUAGUAUUGAACAGUCAAUUUGAGCUAAACAAAGUGCUUAUAAUAAGAGGCAUGACAGAUCAAUCUACCACUGAAACGAGAAAUUAUCUGUACUUACAAAAGACAUUCUUUCCUUUAUGUUCAACCCAUCAUCCAUCCCUGUGACCCGAAGGUACAUUAAUCUGGACAAGAACAGAAAAACAAACAAGAAUAUAUGUGAAACAUACCACUCUAUUAAAUGAUACCAUUUGGGUAGAAUUGAUUUAACUAAAGAAUCUAGCAACGAACUACUGGUGGAAUGAUAAAAUUCUCUGUGAGAACAAAGCUAAUGAAAUAUUUGAUGACAGCAUCACCAGAAGAACUCAUGAAAGUAAUGCAUAAAAGAACUUGGAAGUUCAGGAUUGCUCCAAAUGAAAGGAAAUGAAAUCAUAGGCAUACUCUGCCACAUUGAUUCUGCAUCAUAGCGGCCCAACAAGAAACAGAAGAAAGUAGCAAUCUGCUAAUUCCUUAUUUUCUCAUAUUUGUGAAGUACUUUAGUGGCCAACUAAUGGUUAUAAGGAACACAUAUCCUCAUUUUACAGAAAAAAGAGAAAGUUGCAAACAUUCAAAUACUGCAAUGAAACUGUAAGCAAGGACAAUUUACUGGUGAAAGAGAGAAUAAGUUGAAGUAUAGGGCAGUUUCAAGUUAUAUUCAUUUCAGUGGAAAUUCACUUCAUUUUUUAGACUGAACAGAACUGUGCAAGGGGAUGUAAUAGUGCAACAUCCUACUGUAUCUUCCAUACCUAUGCCAUGCUUGCUCGUAGCUGAAUAAUGAACUCUUGACAAGCUUUACAGUAGCUGCAUUACUUGUUCCGUCUGCAAUAUUUAAACAGGUUACAGUGAUUUGACAUGCAGGAAAUUUUUGCUAGCCACUUUAAGAGUGAGAAAGAUACCAUUUUUUUGUAAAGCAGCCAAGAACAGCUCCUCACUUUUUGUGCUUGUGUAAAUGAUGGAUGGUUUGGCUUGAUAUAUUACUGGAGUAGAGUAACAGGAUUUUAUAAGAUGCAUGAAGAAGAAACAAAACAUCCCAAGCCAAUUUGUCUUUUUCUCAAAUUUCAGAUGGGAUCUCCAAAACCAAACUAUCAUUAAAUCAAAAGACACUUGGGAAUGUUACCAAUCAAUCCCAUUCAGAAAACCAUAAAGCUGGAAAAGCAAUUUUAUGCUCUACUGGGGGAAGAAUUCAUACUCAUAUCUACCAACGGGAAAUCUUCACUUCCAUCUUCCCAGAACUCAAGCACGUACAGCUGUCGGAUACUGGAAUCAUAGUAUGAAACUCCAAUUCUGAAAAUGCAAUUUCAUUUAUCACAAAACUCUUCUGAGAUUAAAAGUUAAUGUACAAACCCAAACAUUAUGUUAACAUCUAAUUACACUCUAAACAUUAGAGUGCAAUAUAAAAGAGAGCGCACCUAUGACCUUGCAUGAUACAAGCCAUAUAGACCUGCAAUAAAAGGCACAUUUUAGGAAAAUCGUCAACAGCGCACAAAAACCACUCAAAAAUGUUCUACAUCAGAAGGCAGUACUCUCUACUUCUUAUCUUUUGGUUGAGAAUUAAUGCACAAGCCGACAUGUAAGAGACAAGAAACCAUUAAAUUUGGCUAAAAGUAUCCAACAUCUUUUGCAAUUUGCAGCAUACAGUGACCGAGUCACAUAUAGAAAUUGAUCUUCUACUAAAACACUAUACCGCUUUCAGUUCAAAGCUCGAAUUCAUGUAGCAGGUGUCAAUUAAAAAACUUCAAAAUUCCGUAGAAGAGAUUAGAAAAAGUGAAGACAUGGAUUCUAACUGCUGAAGAGCUCGAAAUGAGGUGUGAAUUGAAACCAUACAUCGCACGACGAUUAGCUGAAUCUCCUCGGCUUAUGAUUUACAGACUCGAGAUUCACAAAAUUUGAUCUUCUUUAAUACACUCUUUAGUUCGUCCACAUCAAAUUCUUCCAUAUUAAUCCAAACAUAAGAACAUAUCCAUCCUUCAAAUUCUCUCGGGAAAAUCCUGAGGCCUACUUGUUAUUUUGCAGUGAUCCUCAAAUAAGCAAACUACCUCAGCUGAAAUAUUUUGGAAUUGAAAUGGCAGAACAAACAUUGAUUAUUUUAUCGAAAUUGAUUAGACUUGUAAUGCGGAUUGAAUUACCUGAGGUGUGGCCUCUGUUUCGUCAACUUCUUCCAUUAUCCCAUAGGCUGAAUUUGUGGUUACAGGGAAAAACAGAGGAAGAGCGCGAAAAACUGAAAUUUAAAAUUGAUUCUGUGUUUUAGGCUUCAACUUAUGACAGGAAGGGGAAGCCAAUGUGUUUGUCCAGAAAUAAUCAGUCGGACUUUGCUGCUGCUCCAAACGUGAUGCCUUUGCAGAUGAGAGACGAAGGCGUGGUGGAUUAAAGUUGUCAAAUACGCCUUUGAUAAUCAAGGGCUUCUGAUUUUGAAGACGUGGGCUUAAGACGGCAGUAAACAACUGAAGGCGCUAUAAAGGUACGAUUUUAUUUAUUGUGAUUUUGAAGUCCUUUUUUAAUAGAAGGGAUGAACUUAGAAACUUUCCCUGUGGCUAAUUAUCACUCGUUAACAUCCCUGCCCUCCCUUACUUCUUUUUUUCUUUUUUGUUUUAGGGUCUGUUUGUUUGGAAGAAAAUUUUUUUCCAAAAAAAUAUUUUUCAUAUUUUCGAUUGUUUGGUUGUCAAUUAAUUUGAAAAAAUAAUUUCUGACAGAAAAUAAGUUACACCAGUCGGAGGAAAAUAACUUCACACCCGAAAUAGAGGAUUACCCUCUCCCUCCUCGUUUCAAGCUGCCAACUAUAGAUUCCUAUCAUCUGUCUACUCUGUCUUGAGUAGUAAUUUACUAAUGCCAUAUAGUCUGUCUUUUUUUUGGAAGAAAUAUAGCACCUCCCUUGAGCUCUAUUAACUCUCUAUAGUCUCUUAGGUUUCAUUUGGAUAGGGAGAAAAGGACAGAAAAGAAAGUAUUCAGAGAGAAAGAACGGUCAUUUCUUUCAUUUGGGAGUUUAACAAGACAGAAGAGAAGUGAAAUGAAUGGAUAAAAGUCUCCCUCCAAUCCAAUUGUUGAAAAUGUUUCCGCCCAAAAGUGGAAAAAAAAGGACGAAAACUUGUUGGGCUCCAAAAGACAUUUUUAAUAUGUCAAGUUUGUCCUUUAAAAGUUGAUACAAAAAUUUAUUAUUCCCAAUAUAUCCUAAAAUUGAUUUCUAUAAAAGCACCGCAAAGGUUUCUCGGUCAUGUGUCCUGUACUUUCAAUACUUCCGGCGAAAACUUGGCUUUCUUCCAUUUUUCACCCAUAAUUCACCAAACAAAAGGUAUUUCUUUAAUUCACCAAACAAAAGGUAUUUCGUGUAAUAGAAGAAACCCAUAAAGAGCUGAUAUGCUAUGGGUAAUUUCUUUUUGUUUUUUUACUUUCACGUAUUUAAUUUAUGUUAAAUAUAAAAUCUACUAGUUUUCAUUUCGUAAUAAUAUUAGUGUAACACUUUUUGAACUUGGCUUAAUUAAAUUUAUGUAUUUAAUAUAAAUUAAAUGAUUUAAAGUAAAAUGCUCAUAAAUAACUAGUAUUUUAUUCAUAUAAUGAAAGAAACUCGUAAAGAACUGGUAUGUUAUGGACAAAUUUUUUUUUACUUUCAAAUACUUCAUUUAUAUUAAAUACAAAACAUGCUAGUUUUCCUUUCGUAAAAAUAUUUGUGUAACGGCUUUUGAAUUUUAUUUGCAAAUAUUUAUGUAUUUAACAUAAAUUAAAUGAUUCAGAAUAAAAUAUCCAUAAAAACCUGGUACUUGACUCAUAUAAUAGAGAAAAGCCAUAAAGAGCUAGUACUUUAUGGGAUAUUUCUUUUUUAAAAAAUAUUUAAUUUAUAUUAAAUAGAUAACCUACUAGGCAUUUCCGGCCAAUAUCAAAAAUCAUAUAUCAAGAUUACCUAAAAGAUACUACAAGGACUUGAGGCGAUUUAUAUGCAUGCAAGAGAAUCGAAGUCCACCAAGAAAUUUGUUUUAUUAUUCACCUUGUGGGAAUGCAGAUGUAAUUAUUUUAGAAAUUUAUCUUGUUCAAAUAUUCUAUUUAUGGGAACAAGAAAGCUAAUUUUUGGACUUUGAUUUACAAAUUGAAAGGGUAAAUAUGUAAAGUUGUAUUCUCAUAAAAUCCUUUCUUUCCAUAUCUCUCCAACUCUCAAAUAAGAGAAAAAUAUUUCUUUUCUUUUCUUUCAUUAAACUCCCAAACGUAAUAUGCAUCUUUCCCCUUCUCUUCCUUUCUUUCCUAAGCUAUCUUUUCUUUUCUGUUUUGACCACUCCCCUAGUCUUUUCUAUUUUUUAAGAUUUGCCUCUAGUUGUUUGUUUUAAAAGUUUUCAUUAAUAGCUAGUUUGGGAGAUGAGAUUUGAACAGAAAAGAAAGGAAUAGAAGAGAAAGACUGCAUCUCCCACGUUUGAGAGCUUUAAGUGGAAGGAAAGGAAAAGAAAUCGACGGAAUUGAAAGGAGGAAAAAGUAGCUACAGUUUAAAAAAAAUUUCCGGCCCAAAUCGGGCAGAAAGCAAAGGAAAGCACGGAAAGGCAGCAAAAAGUUUUUUAAAUUGCCCAUUCUACCCCCAAAAAGCUAUUGAAUGAAAUAUUUAUUUACUUAUGUAUCCAAAAUCACUUCUUUUCUUUCAUAAACUCCCAAACAACAUUAAAACCCUUUCCCUUCUUUUCUUAUCUUUUCUUUUCUCUCAUAACUUAAUCUUUCUCUUCCUUUCUUUUCUAUCCUCAACUCACAAACUAGCUAUAAGUUUCGAACUGAAAAAUGUUAAUUGUCUAGCUUAAUAAUCUUCUUGUUUAGUUGAGUUGUAAUUGGCUUUAAUUGGUUCCCUCUCAGCGAUGGAUGUCUUGCAAAAAAGCAGUGAAAGAAUCCCUUUGAGUCAGAGGCCUGAAUAUGCCGAUGUGAAGCCUGUCGCCCAGGAUGACGGUCCAAAUCCCAUUGUCCCUAUCUCCUAUACUGAUGAAUUUAGAGAGACAAUGGACUAUUUUAGAGCAAUAUAUGUAACCGAUGAGCGGUCUCUUCGAGCUCUUCAACUCACCGCCGAAGCCAUCAAACUUAACGCUGGAAAUUACACUGUUAGUUCUUGUUUUGUGUUGAUGCAUGCUUAUAUGUUUAGUACCGGGAGUGAGAAAUUUUUGAUGCAAGAGCCUAUUGUUUUUGCUGUUUAGGGAAUUUUGCAGUAAAUAUUUUAUGAUAAACAACACAGAAGAGUCUAAAUUUUGACCUUUUUCUGCUAUUUUAAAUUCUCACAACAAGACCCCUUUUGUUAAAGUGAUUUUUUGAAUAAUCAUGACAUGCGUGUUUGCUAUCUUGUUCAUGAGUUCUUGAUGUUAUUAGAUGGGCCCUUUAGGCUCUUGAAGCUUCGGAAAAAAGAAGAAAAUAUGGAGGGGAAUUAUUUUGUGAAGAAUUAUGUGUAUUAGGCAUUUAUUUUGUGUGUCUGUUGAUUUAGGUAUGGCAAUUUAGGCGGCUAGUACUCAAGGCGCUUAAUGCUGACAUGAACAAGGAAUUGGACUUUGUGGAUGGCAUUGUGGAAAGAAACUCUAAGAAUUAUCAGAUAUGGUAUAGCUACUUUUUUCUUCUGCAUUUGGACCCUUAAGUAGAUAAUUGCAGUUUUGUUGUUUAUUGUACCUGGUGCAAUUGAUCAAGGACAAAGUCUAGGUGCCUGCAGACUGAAUUGGUGAGGUCAUCCUUUUGACAAAUAGUUUUCUUGUUUUAUCUGCCUGUCCUCUUAUUUUCUCCUCGACUCUUAAGCUUUUAACAAUCAUAUUUGUGUGGAAGCUUUGUUUCAUUUAACUUCUCGGGUUUGCUUGAAUUCUUUUUGUUGCUAAGGAACUUUUCUAUGCUGGGACAUUAUUCAUUUCCAAAUCUAAAAAUACUUAAUACAUAACGGGAAAAAAAGGAUUAUCUUUGUACUAGUAGUAUUUGGAAAGUUAUCAGCAUCCUUUGCAAUACCUAUAUCCUGUCAAUUCGUAUCAUGUCAGUUAUAGUUCUUUGGUUGGUAAAAUAAAGUGUCAUAAUAAGAUGCAUAGUUGAAUGGAACAUAAUCUGACAUGUAGUUCAAACAUACAAGAGUAAGCUACUAAAUUUGAACAUAGAACUAUUGGCUUGGGAUAUUAUCACACGGACAAGCUAUUUUGAUAUUGAAUUUUGCUUAAUUGAAUGGGAGGCCCUAUGGAGUCGGUGAGGGUUUAAAAUCAUAACCUGACAUGUAAUUUCAAAAAAAGACCAGUGUCCAUCUGGAAACCAGCGAAAGCUGGAUUGGAUUGCUUGCUUGAAAAAAAAAAAAGAAUGGUUUUUUUUUAUUCUUUUAAUACAUACAUUUGGCACAAGCAUGCAUUCAAAACUUUCCUUUUUAUGUUGUUUCAUCCAGUUCUAUUGUUGGUUAGUUUCAAAUCAUUCUGUUUUUAGGGACUUGAAACUAAUUAGAAAAAUGACUUUCCAGGCACCAUAGGCGUUGGGUGGCUGAAAAUUUGGGAACUGAUCUUUCCACUAGGGAGCUUGAGUUCACAAAGAAAAUUCUUUCUAAGGAUGCAAAACAUUAUCAUGCCUGGUCUCAUAGACAGGUAAUUUUGAUUUAGUAUUAUUCUUUAUUCUGUUCCAUUCUUUGAGGUGGAAGAGUUCUCAAUUGCCUUAAAUGACAAUCACCAUGUUUGCUCUGGUAAAGGAGGUGUAAAGGGACUUUUUGUUUGGUAUGUGUACAUGAAGAGACUGAAUAUCUAAAUCUCUUGUGCAGUGGGUCCUUCAGGCACUUGGCGGAUGGAAAGAUGAGCUAGCCUAUUGUGAACUACUCCUCAAAGAUGACAUUUUCAAUAAUUCUGCUUGGAAUCAGGUAAAGAAUGAUGCUUUGGUUUGGAUUAGAUCCUAAAUGUCAUGAUGCCUAUCUCCAAAUGUCAUCGGUAAAUAGGCCCCUUUUAUGUUUUGGUCUACCAGUAUACAUUGAGUAAUACAAGAUGGUGUUGGCUUGAAAAUAAAAAUUACCAGGUAAAUAAGGUACGAGAUCAAGAAAAGCAAUUUAUGCAAGUCCGUGAAGCCAGUUACUGUAGAAAAAUCAAAGAGAGCCAUGGCUCUCUGGCCAGUCUUGACGUCACUUUAAAUAUUCCUCCAGUUUUGAUAUAUAUUUUGCUCCUGUUUUCUCCAUAAAACCUCCACUUGUGCUAGAUGCCUAGAACAGGCCCAAAGCCACUCCAAAUCCUCUCCUCUUUUCUAAUCGUGUCAGGUGGACUAUCUAGAGUUUUCUUUUUUGUGUCAGCAUUGUUAUUAGUAAAAUCUCGCAUUUCAUCUCACAUGAUGACUCAUUAUGCAACUUCGUGACCAACUUCAUGUAAAACCUUCAUUGUUUUAAUGUAAAACUAAUUUAAAUUUCCAAGUUCAUGACUAGAUGUUCUUGAAAAUUCUUGAAAACAGGGAAAGAAAAAUUCUGACUAAUCUGAUUAACAACGUUAAUGUUUUCGACCCAAUUUGUGCUAGAUUGAAUAUUCGAAAUCUUUUCCUAGUUGAACUGAUUAAAUCUUAGGUAUUUCCAGGUAAACCAAACUAAUUAGUUAGAAGCUUAUCAACUCAAACCCUCUGAUCUUAUGCAACACAAUUGUAUUGUGCUUAUAUGCCUAUUUUGAUAUCUUGUUCACAAAAUCAUCUGUUAUUUGUUCUGUACUGAUAGAUAAAUAUGUAAAGUAUUCAAUGUGUGUCGGUGAACGUAUAAAACCCGAGAUUUCAAAUUCAGCUGUUUAUGAUCCAUAAACAGCUGAUAUGCUAUGAGGAGGUCAUGUUUUACUUGUCCUUGCAUGAUCUCUUGUCACAGUGUUGUACCUUUGUAGAUUUCUACAUCUGAGAAAUCCCAUGUUGAAUUAUUGGUUGCAGAGAUAUUUUGUUGUAACAAGAUCUCCUCUCCUUGGAGGCCUGGGGGCAAUGCGGGAGUCAGAAGUAACUUGUACAGUUAAUGCAAUUAUGGAGCAUCCUGAAAAUGAAAGUCCUUGGAGGUACCUUCGAGGCUUAUACAGAAAUGAUACACAGGCUCUAGUUAAAGACCCUCAAGUAGCGUCAGUUUGCUUAAAGAUUUUGACUGCCAAAAACAAUUACGUGCACGCCCUCAGCAUGCUUUUGGACCUUCUCUGCCAUGGUUUCCAGGCUAGCCUGGAGAUAAGAAAUGCUGUCUAUGGUCUUUCUGACUCAGGUGCCCAAGGUUCUGAUUUGGUGAAAGUGGUCUGUUCCAUCCUAGAACUUGUAGAUCCAAUGAGAGCAAACUAUUGGAAGUGGCGGAGGAACAUGGCGCCUGCUCAAGCAGCUCAAUGCUUGAAAGAUGAUGGAUUGACUGGUUUGAGUUUAUAAAGGUGCCCAUAGAUCUUUCGUCUUAUCUUACCUUAUUUCUCUACUCGUUGGUAUAUUAUCAGAGGAGAGAGAUCCUACAUAGAAAAGAACUUCUUAUGUGAAAAGUCCUUGUGUUGCUCUUGACACCGCCAUAUUGAACUAUCCUUUUGUUGUAACACCACCAUAUUGAACUACCCACUGUAGCUGAACCUGUAAUUUACUCGAUUUGAGUACCGGAUAAAGGAUGCAAUCGAAACAUAUAUAAGCUAUGCAACUUGGUUUCUUCUGUCUUUCUAUUUACACGAUAUUGACGUGUUUUUUUUUUUUUCAUAAUGUAGCGUCCUCCUCCAUAAGAUUUGCAGAAACUGAGUUUUAUGACAAUGGGAUGCUCCCCACCUAUUCCAUUCUCACCCUUUUUGGGCUCUAGACCGCAAGUUUCUGGUAACUAUAGGCGUUUCAAUGUCACUACUGACAAGCAUUCUAGGAGAAAUUAAACUAGUGUUGGACUUUGUCGGUUUAUAUUCCUAUAUCACUUGUUUGCAAGUAACCUUGUCAGUUUGUCUCAGUGGUUCACUAAUUUAUGAAAUGUUAGAGAUGAAUUUGUUAAUGUUUCAGUUGAUGUCUUCGCUGUGUGGUUGUGAUUAUACUAAGCUGACUUGAACCUUGCACAGUGACCAUUCAUCGGAUAUGAGAUUGUAAGCAAACUUGUAUAACCAAAACAAAAUAGCAAUUUGUAUAAUACAAAGAUUUGGUUAAAAAAAUUAUAUAAUAUGUAUCAUCAAGGUUGUUUCGCAUGACAAAAAACGUUAGCAUUUAAAUCUGAGCAAUUCAGGCAAUCCAAUUAGCACGCUAUGUUAGUAUGCUUUAACUCUCCAAACUGCAAACGGAACAAUGCUGGGAGUUCGUCUCAAAGUAUUCUUUUCCCUAAAAUAUGUUAAUGGAGAAGGUAAUGUCGGGUUUAAAAAAAAAAAAAUUGCAUUGUACGACGGGAAGAAAAGGUAUUGCAGUAGGCCAGAGUCAAGGCAUUACCGCAUUGCCUCCAACUUUUCCAGUAGAUUAUAUAUCAAAUUAGAAGAGACUUACAGUGAUAAAGAAAUAAAUAAUGAAAUUGAUUAUUGAAAUAGGAAAAAAAACUAAAUAUGCAAAAUUUGUCAUAUUUUAUUUGUUGUUAAGAAAAACUUUUAUAUUACAUGAUAAUUUCUUUUAUUGGAUUAGAAAUUUUUUAUUAUGAUUUUAUUGUGGAAGUAGAAUUUAUUCUCUAUAUUUGAGAUAUUAAUAUUUUUAUGGUCAUAGGAGAAUUGUAAUGGUGGUUCUAAAUCAAAUUAACUUACAUUGAAAAAGUAUUUGAACAUUGAUAUUUAAUUUGGAGGUAUAAAAUUAGCUAUCAAUGGGAUUUUGUAUGUGUAUUUUUUUUUAAUUUUGACAAGUAUUGAUACUGUGUAUGAAAGUUGGGAUUUUGUGGAUGCCCACUUGUCACGAGUUGCUUAAAUUUCUAUAAAUCAACACACCAUGCGGUACUAGUGAUCAUUUAAAACUUGAGUUAUGAACGGUUUACUGUGAGGACCCGCAAAUUUCUUAUGUUUUUCCUCAAAAAUGCCUUUUAUUUGAAAAUUAUUAUUUAUUAAAGCCUCCUACCCAAUUAUUCCACAAUAAGUGCAGAUAAACCUAAAAAGUAGGGUUUCACUCUUCGUUUUCAAGAUUGGAGCAAAAUUAGGGUUUUCGCAAUUUUUCCGCCGGAUGAAUUUUCGGUAUGGAGCAAGGAUCAAAUUUGGUGAUUAAAAGUGACUUUUAAGUGGACAAUAAUAUGUGAUUAGGAGCAAUGAUAUAAAGUUAGUGAAUGGGAAGUAAAAACCCUAAUACGUGUGUUUUUAAGAAAAACGGCGCGAACCGGCGGGUCCCGCGCACUACCGAUUGAACGCACUAAUUGACCACCACUUUCUUAUCAUACAAGUUUAUUGAUAUUUGAGCAAAAUAACCUCUUAAUUGUCAGCUUGUUUGACCGAAAAUUAGAGGCUAGAAAUAGCAAGGAAAGAAAGAGAAAAAUGAAAGGUGGAGGUGGCGACACUUGUCGCCAUCCUAGAGUUUCUUGGCCAAGUGAGUAACUAACCUUCUUAAACCAAUUUUCUGCACUUUCCCUUCAUCAUUUCUGCUCCAUAGCUGACCAAAGAGAGAGAGGAAAGAGAGAACAAGAACAACUUUCUUCUUCUUGAAUCUUAGCAAUCCAAGUGACAAAUCAAAUUUCCAAACCGGUUAAAGUGCUAAUUGUGAGUUGGGAAGCUUGAGGAACCAAGAAAUAUCAAAGGGGGUGAAGGAUCACUCUACCAAGCCUUGCUUUUGAGGUACCAACAUUUGAUCAUGAUCUUUGUUGCUUUGAAUCUUGCUUUAAAAUGUUAUUUAGCUUAAGUUUUGGCUUGAUUUCAAGAUGUGCAAGUAGUUGUGAUGAUUAUUGGAUGAGAUAUGCAAGUUAGGGUUUAAUAAUUUUCUGCCUAAACUUGUUGUAUAGUUAGUAUAUGUUGUAUAUAAGAUUAUAUAAGGGGCUUUGGUAGUGAUUGGAACAAGAAAUUUGAGAAAGUUUCAUUGAAGACCAAAAAUUCCAGAAUCUGGAAAAUUUGUUCCCCUUUCUGUCCGGUUUUGUAGCCCUAUGUUAGAGGUCGAAUUGGCCUUGGUUUAAAACAUGAAAGUUGUAGGGAAUGACAUUUUAGAGGUGCCUGCAAAAUUUCAGGUCAAUCGGAGUAACGUAGAAUGAGAAAAGACGGAUUUACCCUUGCUGUCCUGUUUCUACCCGAACCUGAGAAUUGCGAUUGUAAUUGGUUAUUUUGGUUUGGAAUGCUUCAGAAUUGGUUGUUCUGGUCUUCUAAUGAAAUGUAGCCCUAUUUCUAAGUUUUCAUAUGGCUUUGGAAUUUCUGGAUUUGGACUUAUGUAGGCUGUUUUAUGAUGUUUGUACUAGAAUACGGUUUGUGAACCUGUUUUGCGAUUCUGGUGUAGUAUGUUACAUUUUUGACAUAGUUACACUCGAAAUUGGACUAAGUGGCCUUCUUCAACAUUGUAGACCCUUAAGUCCUGAAUAUUCCUGUAAAAUUUCAGGUCAAACGGAUUAUGGUAUCAUGAGUUAUAGAUGAAAUACUCAAGCCUGUUUUGAACAUCAGGUUCUGUGCGUUUUUAGUUUAGCUUCUGCCCGUGACUUUUUCAGUUUUGAUACCGUACGAUCUGGGUGGUGACUCUUUCAUAAGAAAUGUAGAUCUUGGUUUUGGCUUCGAAACGGUAUAAAGUGCGUCGAAAUCCAAGUUCCGUAGCUUCCGUUAUGACCCAAACAAGAUCGAUCGUCAGAACUGCCUUGUAUCUGGACAGUUCUGAUGGGUAGUAUGACACUCAAUUUUCGUUCUGUUCUGAGUUGAUUCAGGUCUUGGCCAAAACAUCAAAGUUUUAGUCUUAGGUCUCAGCUUUCUAAUGCCUUUGAAAUUUCCUGAUUUGGAUUUGUGAGCUGGGAGUUAUGGUCCAGCAAACAACCCUAUUCGUCACCCUAAGACGUAAAUUUCUGGUAUUGUUUUCUACAAUUUUGACCUGCUUCCAUUCAGAUCUAGAUUAAAGUUUCUUCAGGAGAUUUGUAGCCCUUUCUCAUAGCUUCAAAACAGUAUCUCGUUCACUUUGAUCCGACUUUCCUAGCCUAAUCUUUGAUCAAAACGGUUUGAGAUGGCAGAUUUGACCGUUUCCUUUUGCCGUUCCGCGCACUUGCAUGUGCCAAUUUUGCCGUUUCCGUACUUGAGUGUGUCGGCUUUUGCCGUUUUGCUUGUUUUAAGUAUGUUAGUAGCCGUUUGUGAUAUAUUGUGAUACAAUCUUCUAUUUCAGACGGUGGUGAGUUAGGUAGAGCCGGUGGGGCCUACUAGCUACUUUUUGCGACGUGAAUUUUGUCCUUUUGUUAUCCUUGUUCGUUGAGUAAGUAUUCAGGCCGCUCUUACACGUUAGUUGUUUAUGUGUUUCGAUAUGUAUGAAAAGGGUACCUAGGCGAGGGUGUACUUUAUCGCACUCGACCUAAACCCUAAUUUGCGCACAUAUUUGUACAUGACAUAUGUAUAUGAAUCAUUUUGGAACUAAACCCCUUGAGCUUGUGGCUCGGGGUGACUUUCGAAUAAAUUUUGUGAAGUUUGUGAGUUUGGGGCCCGAUCUCAAUACCUAGAUGGACUAUUCGAGCUGGUUAGGGUUUGGUCGAAGUCAGUCCAACUUGGUUUGAGGUCACCAAGUUUGUGAACCCGGUUCACUGAGUAUGUGGAUCAAGUUUGUGACCCGAGCUUGUGAUUCAAGCUCAAGUUUGUGAUUUCGUUCGCCUGGGCAAGUUUGUGAGAUGACUGGCCAGUGAGGGUGAUAAGGUGUUCGGUGGGUGUACAAGUGGAGCUCUACGGACCUUAUUUGUGGUCGACGGAGUGUCGGCAGGAGAUCAUAUACGGCACAUGAAUUGGCUUUGGAGCCACCCGUAUCCUUAUUAUGUAAUGUUACUUUUCUGCUUUUGCUUUACUCUUACUGAGUAACUGUUGUUACGUGAAAUUUAUGCUUUUACCCCUGUUUACUUACUAAACAUAUACCUUACCUCUUUCCUUUUGUUUUCCUUAGCAGGGGGCCGACGCGGGGAUCGCUCGGGAAGGUGUUUAGUGUUUCGAUUAUAGACGAGUGAACUUGUACUUGUUUUAGUUGACUAGUAAGAUGUGUAUUUGAGUUUUAUCCUGUAAUUUAUUUGAGAACUGUAGUGCUUGAGUGAGUCCCGACGAGAGUUGGGCAGGCGGUCCGCCGAACCCUCUGGUUCGCCUUAGGGGAAGGCAGGGCCGUCACAUUUACUAGUUCAACUUUACAUCCAAAUGUGCGAAAAUGUGCAGAAUUAAAGUAGUAAGCAAAGAAGAAAAACGUUGAAAACUAAGAAAAAUUUGUAUUGCUCUUAUGAACACUUACAUAAAAUUGUUUACAAAUGAGGAGGUUUCACCUAUUUAUAGGUAAGUUCAAAAAGUUAUAUAAGUUUUUUAGAGAAUUUUACACUAAAUCCUAUUUCUAGAACUUUUUAUAGAAGACAACUCUUAUGUAUAAAACUUUAGGCUAUUCUUGAACAAUCUAGAAUGUUUCGGAAGUCUGUAUGGCUUACUAACUACUUUUAGAUCUUAUACUUGAAUGAUUGUUAUUCGUUGAUUUAUACAAAGUGUGGAAGAAAAUGAUUGAGUAUACUAUAUUUUUCUUUCUUAACUUUAUACAAAAGGAAUAAGGAUAAAGUGAAGCUUCAAGAUAUGGAGAGUGGACAAGGUAGGGAAAGAAAAGAAUGUAAAGCUCACCAAUGGUGAGAGAGGCCCGAGAACAAGAAAUAGAAGAGAAGCGGAUCAGAAAUAUCAUCUAGCCAUGCGAGUUGGUUCCACGUAGAGGUGUUAAAAUGGGUGAUUUGGACGGAUUUGGGUUAGGUAAAAUGGGUAAUGAGUAUAAAUGAGUCAAUCCAUUUAUACUCAUUUAAUUAGAUGGGUAUAAAUUGGUAAGUCAAAAAAUGAAUUGGGUAACCCAAUUACCCAUUUAUAACCCAUUUAUUUUAAUUUUUUGUAAACUCAUUUAAAUUUAUUUUUACAAACUAAGUUAUCAAUUUAUACCGCUCUUUGUACCCAUUAUUAAUUUUAAAUAUUUACUUAUAAUGUUCAAUAAGUUUAAUUACCAAUUUUUUUCAUUUAUACUCUCUGUCGCAAAAUUAUAUAUUAUUUAAUAAUUGAAUAAUAAGAAUAAAAAAAUUUGAACUAAGUACUAUAAAAGUUAAUAUAAAAUUUUAAUUCAAAAAUUUUGAACCCCUAAUAUUUUUUUUCAUAUAUAAAUUUAAAAUUUCAUUGUAGAAAGAUAAGAAAAUAGUCUAAAACUUAUCAUAAAUUGGUAAUAUUAAAAAAUGAGUAAGUUAACAAAUUAAGAGAAAAUAAAAUAAUAAAAUAAAAUCAACAAAUAAUAAUAAUAAUGAAACAAAAGUAGUUAACAUCAUGACAAAAUGAAAAUUUUGAAAAAAAAAUGGGUGGAGGAAGAGAAGAGACUUGGAGGAAGAUAAUUCUAAAUGAGUUAAUUAGAUUUGAUGAGUUACCCAAUAAUAUCCAUUUAAUAAAGUGAGUAUUAUUGAAUAACCCAUUUAUAUCCAUCUACAAAAAUUUAAGAUACCCAUACCCAUCUAUUCAUGGGCGAGUAUGGGUAAAUUUAAUUAAGUGGGUUAGUUUGUCACCUAUAACUAAACAGUAGGGGCUCCACUUACUGAACACAGGUGAAACUUUCUUUUUCAGAGGGUAGCGAGGGCCUCUAAUCUGUCCUGCUGCAAUCUCUUUCCCAUUGAUUUCGAAAAAUCUUAAGAUCCAAGCGGUCAGGUACGAAAGAAUUUCUCUCUCUCGAUCUCCUAUUAUGCGUUCGAUUUUGUUGUCUCUCCUACUGAUCAUGCGAAUUCUUUUAUCGAUCAAAUUAAUUUCCUAUCAUCUUGAAAUUUCUGCCUACGACGAUUUAAGAUAUAUUUGUAUUUCUUUUGCUUGGUGAUUUUCCGGAUCAAAAAUUUCUUUUAAUUGCUAUUUGCAGAUCUUAAAUCAUAAGUUCUUGCUAAUGAAUUUGUAACCUAAAUUCUGCUUGCGAUUUUGUCGUCUCUCCUAUGAAUCAUGUGAAUUCUUUUAUUUGAAUUCUUUUAUCGAUCAGAUUAAUUUCCUAUCAUCUUGAAAUUUCUGCCUAUGACGGUUUAAGAUAUAUUUGUCUUUUUUUUGCUUGGUGAUUUCUCUUAAUGUACAUUUUUUUUGGCCUGUGCAGAAGUCAUGGCAGGAAGCACAGACAAGAAUAAAGAAAAUGGGCCGUAGCGCUGCAACAAUCACCAACAAUGCAAGAAAAGUUUUCAGUCUCUCUAGUUGCUCUCUAAACACAACACCAAAGUCCACAGUCUCUCUCUUAAAACUGCUAAAAAGAUCUAUGCUCCCAACAAGUCGUUGAAAAAGAGUAAGCUGAAAUUCAAAACACACCUAAAAAUUCAAUUACUUGUGGAUGGAACUUCCACGUUCAUGACUUCUUAAAGUGUCUCCACUCAUUUUGUGAACUCAUUUUCUUUUUCUUUUCAACAACAACAGAAAAUUAAUUGCUCUAUUAACAUCAUGAGAUCUAACACCAUCAGAAGAUAAAAGUAAAAUGGAUAGCAAUCCACAUUGAAAUUCUAGUUUAGAUUAAAGAAAUCAAAUUAUGGAUACCUUUUUUGUCAAGAUAGAAUUUUGAUAAAUUGAUUAAAUUGAACUUAAACAGCAUUGUUUGUUUAGCACAAUAUGAGAAUACGAUUUCCAAGACAUACACUCACACGCGUUGGUGAUGUUUUUUAUUGCAAUGCCUUCUGGAAAGAACUCAAAAUUCGAGAGCAUUUCAAGAAUUAUAAUCCAAAACUCAAAUUCUAUUUCCAUGCAACAUUUUAGCUAACACCUUGAUUGCAUUUACAGGAUCACAAAUUCUCCAUCCUAACCCAAUAUAGGCAAACCCAAAACUUGCUCAUAUGAAUUCAGCACAACAACAACAGUACCAAUUCAAUACCAAAUCUCAACUAAAAGUCACAGACCAGCAAAAUAGUUCGACUAAAAUACUUCAAUAAAGAAUCUAAACUGUCGACAAAAUUAUAUGCAUAAGAAAGAAACAGAAGUUACAGCUUUUGGAGUUACAGGUAGAACGGGAUUUACACUAUUUUUUUUCUGAUGAUAUUUGACACAGUAAUGGUGGAUGAUUCCGGCAAAACGAUGAUUUCUUUGCCUCAUUUGUUCCUCAGAUUUGGUCUGCUUUUACUAUUUUUUCCCUUGAAUUUUGACUCACUGUUUCAUUCAUUCUUUUUUCAUCCCCUCAGCUUUAAGGGUUUUGGUUUUGAAACCUGAGAAGGGUUUUCGAAGCUGUAGGCUUCUUACUGCUGAUAAUUCAAAUGCUCGAAGGAAAAAGAAUCGAAAUAGAUUGUUAGACAAGUGAGGGUCAUGAGAUUCCGUUCCGUUUGAGGUUCCGUUAAUCUGAAAUUUGAAUAGUGAAACAUAAUUUGUCGAAUUUUAAGUACUGAAACAAAUAUAUAAAUCUCUAAAUCUUAGGUUGUGCUUGAUAAAACAGGAGUUUAAAAAUUGAAGUAUGAAAAUUUGAAUCUAUUAAAUUAAGGAAUUGUUAAGUACUAAAAUUUGAUACAUUUGAGUGUAUAUUAAAACAAGGGAUAAGUGAAUAGUUUAUCACUUACUUUUGAAGCAAAUUUUGUCUAAUAAAUUAGGAUAAUUUCAGAAACCUCUCAUGGGAUUUUUAACAAUUGCAGAGAGCUCCCCUCAAAUUUAUUAAAUUACACCCACCUCUCUUGCUUUUACUGUUUUAUAACAAUAUAGAUCCAAAAGACUAUUUUUUUUUCUCAAAAAUCCUAAACUACCCUUUUUGUACAAAAAUUUAAAAAAAAAUUAUUUUGCCAAUUGCUUUCUUCCGUAUUUCAACCAAAUCCACUAUACUAACAAAUUAGCCUAACAAAUAGUCUAAUUUCAAAUGCUAAACCCAAGUAAUUCCAUCAUCAUAAUCAUAGAAUUGCUUCUCUCAAAGCAUGCAUUCAAUUUUGAAGAUUCGUUUCAUCUUUCAUAAAUAUUCUUAUCAUAUGAUUCCAUGAAAUAGUCAAACUCACAAUCAACUGUCAUUAUAUUUGCAUAAUUUUCAACAUAAGAUACCAUGGUUUGAUUCCAUAUAAGUGGUUCAACUCUUACUAUAUGAGCCACAUUAUGGCUUUGAAGAAAAUCCUUAGGGGAGAUUUAGGUAUGGAUGGAAUUAAUCAAAUUUAAAAGAAGAAAGGCAGCAUUAUGACUAUAGAGAUUUUCAAGAAAUUUAUUUUGCCAAAAAUUAAAACUUUAUUUACAACUAAUCACACCAUAACUUCAAGCCUAAUGCUUACACCUUCUCAAAACAAAUUAAUCUAGUCUACCAUCAAAUCUUCAAACAUGUUAACAUCUUAAAUACAGAGAAGAAACUCUAUUUCUGUAGCAAAACUAUAAUCAACAAUUGUCAAUCAUCAAAAGAAAUAUAAAUGUACUUAUUAACAUCUUAAAAAGUUUUUUGGAUGGAUGAUAGACAAAUUAGCAAAUUUACCAAUUUCAGUCCCUUUUCUUCUUUUGGCCAAUGAUUGCAUUAUUUGUUCCAUUAUUAUUGUGUGCCUCUUCAUCUCUUUUUAGUUUGAUCCUAAAAUCAUAUUUUACUUCAACCAUCAAAUCUAAUCUAUCAAAUCUAAUCUCUUAACUAAACUUGUGAUUUGACAAUUUCAAAAAAAAGAAAGGAGGAAUAGAAAUAUUUAGUAGAAUUUGGGGGAUCACUUAUAGUGUGAUUGGCUGCAGUUAUAGGCAAUGGUUGGUGAUAAUUUGAGAGCAAGUUAUAGGAUGAAGGGGUUGAUAGAUGAUAACGAAAUGACAGUACGUGAGAGAGAAUCGUCGUUGGCUGUAAUUUAUAAACAAGAUAGCCAUUAUACUGUGAAUUAUUUAUUAAGUGAAGGUCAUUGUAGUCAUUUUAUUGUAACAAAUGAGGUUAUUGUAAUUUAUAAAACUUAAGGUGAGGCUAGUAAAAUUGUCACCCAACUUUCCAUACUUUUUUUCAUACUGGUUACCUUUUAAAGAGUGUUAAUCACACAGUGAUUACUCUUAUUCCCAAAGUACUAAACCCUACAUCCUUGAAGCAGUUUAGACCCAUUAGUCUCUGUACUACUAUGUACAAGAUCAUAGCUAAAAUCUUAGCCAAUAGGAUUAAAAGUGUCUUGCAUUGUUGCAUUUGCAAAAAUCAAUAUGCUUUCAUUUCUGGUAGGCAAAUUCUUGACAACAUUAUGGUUUCUCAUGAAUAUUUGUAUUAUUUAAAAAACAUGCGACAUGGCAAGGAGGGGUUUAUGGCAGUUAAGCUUGACAUGUCUAAAGCCUACGACCGCGUGGAGUGGAGUUUUUUGGAAGCAAUGAUGCAUAAGAUGGGAUUUCACAGUACAUGGAUAAAUUGGAUAAUGCAGUGCCUAAAUUCUGUUUCCUUCUCUUUUAAUAUUAAUGGGGAGGUUAAAGGGUAUGUCAUCCCUAAGAGAGGAAUUAGACAAGGGACCCUCUAUCCCCUUAUCUAUUUCUAAUUUGUUUAGAGGGAUUAUCCAACCUGCUUAGGAAGGCUAAGGCUAAUAGGAUGUUGUCAGGGAUGAAUAUAAGUAGAAGGGGACCUAGUAUAACUCACAUUUUCUUUGCGGAUGAUUCCUUAAUUUUUUGCAAAGCAAAUCAGGAUCAAACAAAGGAGUUAAUGAGAGUACUAGAUGUCUAUGGCUUGGCGUCUGGUCAAGUGAUUAACCUGGAAAAGUCUUCCAUUCUAUUCAGCAAGAACGUGCAACCAGGUUUGAUGCUUCAGAUUUGCCGAACCAUGGGGAAUAUGCAAAGAGUCUGUCAAGGCAAGUACCUUGAAUUGCCAAUGGUAGUUUCGAGAACAAAACAACAGCUUUUUGGUUUUGUUAAGUCGAACAUACAACAGAGAGUGCUCUAGUGGAAGAACAAGUUUCUAAGUACGGCAGGCAAGGAAAUAUUACUUAAAUCAGUGGCUCAAGCUAUGCCUACUUAUACUAUGUCAUGCUUCAAGGUGCCGGCCAGAUUGUGCAAGGAAAUCAGCUCACUCAUGUCAAACUUUUGGCGAGGAGACAUCAAUGGAAAUAAUAAAAUUCAUUAGUGUUCCUGGAGAAAGAUCACUCAGGAGAAGGACAAGGGGGGUUAGGAUUCAAGGAUUUAGAGGCCUUUAACACUGCACUACUGGGUAAACAGGUAUGACGUUUGAUUACUCAACCCAACCUGUUAGUUAGCCAAGUAAUGCGGGCUAAGUACUACUCCAGAACUUCAAUAUUCAGGUGUAAAGUCCCCAAUAAUGCCUCAUGGUUAUGGAGAAGUCUGAUGAGUGCAAGACACGUGGUGGAACAAGGCACUAGAAGACGGAUUGGUAAUGGAAAGAAUACACAUAUCUGGGAAGAUAGCUGGCUUCCGGACACAAUAAAUGGGAGAGUAACUACUUGCAGAGCUAUGGAUGGUGGACUGCAGAAAGAAGCAGAUUUGAUUUGCCAAAGAAGAUGGAACCGCAAUUUGGUUUUCCAAACUUUUAACACCAAAGACGCGGACAGAAUUUUGAGUAUCCCAAUCAGUCUAGCUGGCAGGGAAGAUUCUCAUUUUUGGUUACAUGGUGUGGAUGGGAAUUACUCUGUCAAUUCAGGGUAUAAGGUGCCGAUGGCUAGCAAGGAAACCAAGCAGAAAACAAAUCAGAAUGACAGCACUACUAGUUGGGAGCAUCAGUCUAAGAAGAUUUGGAAGCAAUUGUGGAGCUUAAAGAUUAAGCAUAAACAGAAAAUAUUUCUCUGGAAAUGUCUAAACAAUGCUCUCCCGGUCAGAGAUAUCAUCUAUGGUAGAAUCAAAGCUGGAGACCCUAUUUGCAUGCGAUGUGGAGAGGAAAGGGAGACGAUUGAACAUACAUUUUUGAAUUGUGUGGAUGCAAAAAUGACAUGAAAGUUAGCCCCAAUCCAAUGGGAAGGCAUAUUGGAACAACAUGGCUGUUUUAGAAGAUGGUGGACAUCCAUCAUUGAAGCUAGACAUGGACCACAAAGUUGGCAACAUAUUGCUCUAUCGGUCCAUAUACUCUGGCAAAUAUGGAAAGGGAGGAAUGGGGCAGAAUUCAAUGGCAAGAAAUACAUGCCAUGGACGGCUAUUCAGAAGGCAUUAAAGGAAUGGUUAGAAUUGGGAGAAGUAGAUAGACUGGAAACUAGGAUGAGUACGACCGAAACAGAAGCUCUACUACAUCUGCAACAUCCACAGCUUUGUUCACAACAUGGUGUCCUGCAAUUCAGCAUUGCAAUUACAAGGGACAAGCACGAACCAUGGGUAGGCAUUGGAAUCUGUCUAAUAGGAGGAGCUCAGAGAACACACACAGGCUGGGCAAUGCGUGAAACCAGUUCAGGAUCUUUCUUGCUGGAUGAAGCAUUAACUCUAAAAUUGGCAAUGUGUAAAGUUGCUGAAAUGCAACACAGGGUGGUCCAAUUCCAAGUGCAGAAUCAGCAGCUCCUCAACCUUAUUCAAUCCAAACAAGCACGGGAUAUCAGAUUAGCAACUGUGGUGGAGGAUAUUGUUCAACUCAGACUUUUGUUUCAUAUGUGCUCCUUUUGUCUAGUUCAAAAUGAUAACUAUCAUCUAAGCUCCAAGCUUAGUUCUUAUGCUUUAGGCAUUACUUUUGAUGAGGAAUUUAUGUUUUCUUAGUGGUUAAAUGACCGCUUGUGUAGUUUCAUUGAGUCUUUGUUUGUACUUGUAUAUUUUUUGAAAAGGAAUUGUUUCGAAAAAAAAAAAAAAUAAAACUGUACAUUAGGAUUCUGACAAGUGAUAAUGCAAAUUCAAAUAUUCAAUCUUCUUUGGGUUCCAUUGGCAUUGGGACAAGCAAUAACGCCAAUUCGAAUAUCCUCAAUCUUCUUUGGACCAUCUCAACAUCUCAAUUGAAAGAAAAAAGUCAAUUCCUCCUUCCGCCGCUGCAUUAUUUUUUCCCGUGGACUUAUAGCCAUUGAGGGAGAGGUCAAACUUAAACGUCGAAGGCUGGAAUCCGUAGUCCAAGUCCAUACUCCAUAGCUGUCCUGUGAGAGUGUGAGCUCCCUCGGCUUUGUUUCUCAUUCCCUCCUUGAUUUUCCCCACUUGAAAAUUAGUUCGACGAUGCCUUCACAAUUUACAGCCUAUCAUCAUUUCUUAGCUUAACCUACGCAGUCCCGACCCACCAAAAUGGAGGCCUCUUUCGUGUCCAAAGCUAGGACUGCCUUUCAUUCAGCUGCUGCUAAAGCGGAAAAAGUCUUUGCGGACAUCAAAAAAUCUGAUUCCGUUGCCGAUCGAGGUACAUAAAUUAGUUAAUUCCCCAAUCCAACUAUUUUGUGUAUUUUAUUUUUCUGUAAUGAAUUGCAGUUUACUAUUUUUAGACUCCAUAACUCGCGGCCUUUUCACUAUUAUUUAAUCAAUUAUUUUCUGGUCAAAACACGAUCGCAAAACUUGAAGCAGGGGAAGAUUCCGAUAGACAAUCGCCGAUUGCUUCGACGCCGGAUUCUGUGAGUAGCAAGGACGAAUCAAAGGUAUUGCAUUUCUUCUUUUAUUGGUUUAUUCAAUUUGUUUCGCAUUAUAAUUGAUUUUGGAAAUUUUUUGAAUUUUGAAAUUUAUUGAAACUAUCGUAAUCUGUUACACUCCCCUGGUUUGGGUGGUUUUGAGGUUAAAAAAAUGGGAAAAUUCAGGUUCUGUUUGAUUGCUGAUGGGAAUAAGAGAAGAUUAAAGAAACCAUAACCUAAAUUUGAGCUUCAAAAUUCCCUUUGAUCGAACUGAAAGGGCAGUCAACUUGGCCAUGGCUUGUCAAAUUUGCCCAAAAUCCAUUUGAUUGUUCUGUCCUUAGGUCCCAAUUAAUAUGGUAAAUGUGGGUAAUCUUAGAAUUAUUUGGCUUUGGUUGUUUUGUGUUGUAAUGAAAGAACUGUCAACUCAACCAGGCAUUUUGCAUUUUCUGAAUCUGUUACUGGAAUGAUACAGAACAGCAGUGAUGCAAGGAAUUCGAGGAGGAGACCGGCUCCGAUAAAGACAAAGCACGACUGGCAGGAGAGGUUUAGAAACUUAAGGAUAGGAAGAAGAGGUGCUGAGGAAGCUGACAAAGCUGAAAAUCCAACAAUGGCCUAUGCACUUUUUGAUGAGAAUAUAUGCUUCGCAAGUGAGAGAGAAGUGAAGGUAUGUAAACUUUGUCACUUGUCUACUUGAUGUUGAAGAUUUUGAAGUUUUGAGGUUUUGACUGUACAAACAUUGACAUCCGUAGCUGGGAAUGUCACAAAGUUCAUUGGCUACCAUACCUGGACUUUUCACUUUCCCUGCUGUACCCACGUCCGACUGUUCAUUUUGCGCUAGAGUAGCCGUAUUGGCGGGACCCAUUCCCGAGUCCAGCUAUCAUAGUUUGUGGCUCUGACAUGCAAUUUGGAGAGCUUGUUAUUCAUUCACUUGGUUUACUUGUAGAUGCUAAAAGAAUCUUAAUAUUCUUAUAUUGCUGCUCAACAUCUGAAUUUGUCUCCUCAUGAUCAACAGUUCAAAAGCAUUGAAGGCUUAGAUGUCAGUCUUCUAUAAGCUAAAAGCUCUAUAAGUGUAGGCCAGUGCCACUGCUACAUGUUGAAAACAUAACAAGUUACGCGACGUGUUUAUACUGUCACCAAUGGCAUUGUAUCUUAACUUUAGCAUCAGACAGGAUGGAGAUUUUAAUUAUUCAAUUGCCUUAUGAAACCCCAAAGAUGGGUGGACUGCAAUGAAUCAAUUAAGUAAACUUGGUAAUAAAUAAUGUCAAGAUGCAAAUGACUACAUUCUUGUUUUAUUUGAAAAGAUUGGAUUAUUACAGUAUUUUUGGAUAAGUUGGAAUUAUCUGGGCCUUCCCUUAGCUGUUGCCAAAACACUGGAGUUUUGGCCACGACCAGGUCAUUUAUGUAUCAGUCUGUAUUUUCAGGACUCAAAGAUGAAUUCAUUGGCUGAAGAUUCGAAUAUCUCAAAUGAAGACAUUAUUCCUGCUACAGCUAUUAUGAGACAGCUUGCAGUAGCUGUUGAGUAAGAUUUCACUUCACCACUUUUGCUGUACUUUCAGUUUUGAGUAUUUUGUUUCACCGGUUUUGAAGUUUGAUUUUAGUACUACUGUACUAGGAUUGCAAAACAAGGAAAGCUCUACUUGUUAUAUCAGCACCUCUUAUUCAUACAGGUGCUUGGUCCUUGUAAUUUGAUAUAGCUACUGAGGUUGGGAUGUGAAUUCUUAAUGUGCAUAACAAACCAUGGAAUAUAUUUUCUUAUACACUUAAGUCCUGGACAGGACAAAUACUGGACUGCCUGUUAUCUUUGCUUCUUUGGCUUUUCCUCAUUUUGUAUGCGAAAAGGAGGAUACUCUUCCGACUUCUUGAUGCAAACUUGGCACACCUUGAUUAAGUCAAUAGACAAACAAAUGAUAAUGUUAUUGGACCUAAAAGUGUUAUAACGUUUUAAUUUCUUUGGCACUUCUUUUCCAGGGCCGCUAAGAAAUAUAAUUCAUUGAAGGAUCUCCAGGCUUCAUCAAGAGACUCUUCACCUGUGAGAGAGAGGGCUGCGUUGGGCUUCUCAGCAAUGAAGUCUUUAGUACUACGGGAAAAGGAUGAUAAGUUCAUCAAUGAGUUUGGGUCGGAUGAGAAAGUAGUCUCUCUGAUCAAGUCACUACUAGAUGCAGGUAGAUGACUGCUUUGCUGAUUUAUCAGUUUGUCUUGCCUUAGCAUUUUCUAGUCUUUGUAUUCAGCUUUUGCAUUGCUGUGUAACAUUUUUUAUUUCCAUCAUAAUAUUUGCAUGAUACCCACAGAAGGACAUUUUCCUGGGAGGAAAGGUGACCUUGGCGAAGGAGAAUUUAUCACUGUCUCAUCUCUGACUAGAGAUAUUCAUGGUGCUCCAGCUGAAAGUUUUGUUGUUAAGCUCUCUGAAGCAAUUGGAAGCUUGAAAACCCUGCGGAAAAUGUCAUCCUUUUGGUGUAGAGUUGUCGCUGAAGUAAGUGGACGGUAUUGAACCUGAACUCAAGAUAUUUGGACUUGUUCUAUUGGGGAAACUUAAAUUCUCUGUCUAUUUCUUUUUUGGCUUUUCCUGCAUCGAAGGACAUGCUUGACAUGUUGCUACAGCUCCUGUCGUAGUGACACCCUUAUCUAAAUGCUACCACGCGAGAAUGAGCAGAGCCCAAGCUUGAACUAAUGUGUACAUCCUGACAUGGAUUACGUUAUUGCCGACCUUUUAAGCCCUCUUUUAUUGUGUGCUAAACGCUCUUUUCUUUGAAGUUGUGGCCCCUACGCGUCUACUGUUUGCCUGAAUAACAUGAAAUAAUUCUGACAUUAUGUUUUGUAUAACGACUUUUAGUACAAGUUGAGUUUUUUACUUAGUUUCAAAGUUGUAGUUGAUUGACAUGAAAAAAUCCUUCUCGCAUCACAGUUAAGAUGGUCACUCUUCUACAGUCAUUUUAUGAGGCAAUUCAACAAAUCAUUGACGUUCCUCCUCCUUGAGGAACAAGGCGAUGGAGUUAAACUGUCUUUUAAAGGGUGUCAACCAUGAUUGGUUUUUACUGCCUAGUUUUUUUUUUUGGUAAGCGAAGGGUUUGAACCCGAGAGGGUUUUUACUGCCUAGUUUUACUCCCUCCCCCCCCCUCCCCCUCUACUGCUUAGUUGAUCAUCUUAAAGCUUACAUACAUGACGACCUUUGCUUGAUGUGGACUCCAAAUAUUCCCUCCUCUAGUAAUAAGUGUUGACCUUUUAUUUUCUUGCAUUUAAAAUCAAGUUUGAGUUGUGGUUAGUUAUGCUCCCCAGUUGAUGGAGUUCCUUUUUUAAGCUUUUAGAUCUGUUCAAUCAAGUGAUUAUCAGUUAUUGUUAUCAAAUACAAAUUACCAUGGUGAUUUUGCACAGCACACUUCUUUUUGUGGUUCAGCAAGAAGUAAUUUAUGACCUUUUGACUUUAUUUCUCAAAUGCCUUUGUUUCUUGAGAAGUGAUCCUUACUGCAUUACUGCAUGAAACCUCAUUGACUUUUGGAAAUUAUUGAUACAGUUCCUGAGUACAUUCUCAAUUAACUGAGCAAUAUAUAUUUUAUUUGUUAUGCAGCUUAGAAGACUUUGGUCUGAAGGGCAGUAUAUUCCUGGCAUUCCACCAGAUGAAGUCCCAGACUUGAAUUCAUGUCUUUUGUAUCAGCAGUUACAGGUCAUCAACUGUUGUAUUUCCAGAAAAAGACGUCGUGCUAUUGCAACUGAAUCAUUAGAUUCAGUCUUAAGACAAGCUAGCCCAACUAUCGACAAGUCUUCUGAUUCUGAAAGCUUAAAUGCUUUAAAUUCUGUCUUAUAUGCAAGAACUAGCACUGAGGAACUUGUUCUUCGAUUAGGGGCUGAUAAAAAAUUUGAUAACUUGACAAUGCUGGAAACUGGUGAACCUGUUUUUACACCUGUCACCCAGGUUCUGUUGAUAUCUGAUGCUUAGAGUUUUCAUUACUGUCUUCUAGAAACUCUAACCUUUCACUGAGUUUGUAUGCAUGCAUAUGUAGGAGGCACCUUUGCUAACGGAAGAUCUUAUCAAAGAAACAGAAGAGUUUGUGCUGCGAACUGGAAGGUUGGUCGACUAAUUCAGCAUUUUUUUCCUGCUCUUUUUUUUCCCCUUGACCGCAAGAUUGGUUUUGAUUUCUGAAUUACAAUGUCUCUUUACUUAGAUUUGUCGUAACCUAGUCACAUUUUUGCUGAAAUUUUUGGUACAUCGUGGAGUUUUAGAAAUGGGAGAAUGGCUUUCUAUGUAAAAAUUGAAAGCACCAAUAGGGGCAGCUUAUAGUAAAAGAAUUGGAGAAAUGCUGGUGAUGGGUAGUAUAACAUUGUAAGAGCUGAAGUAUGAUAAAUGUAUAAGUUCUAUGUGAGUAAUUAUGGUGAAGUCUGUCAAUUGAUCAAUAUUGUUAUUUUUUAUGCUAAAUGUAGUAUACUGAAAGUGCUCAAAUCUGUAUACCUGAUAGUGUAUCUCUUUGCCAACCCAAUUGUGCUGAAUUAUGAAUGCUCAGUGAAUCUUCCAGUUUUUUUUAUUACUCCUAAAUCUAAGUGGCCAAUCUCUUAAUGUCUGUGUUCCCUUGUUGAAAUGUGAAGCCAAUUGCCUUGUUCCAAAAACUAUCCUGGAGAGGGAGUUAAUUACUUGGACUAUAAUUAUAAUCAGAAUAUUUAUUUUUUUGGAGCAAAGAAGAAUAUCUUGGGUUGAAAGAAUGGUUUGACGAAUCACAUGAAUUCUAUGCUUUCUCUGCUUCUUUAGAUGGCUUAACAGACACAAGGUAGACUUCAUCCAGUUUCCUGAGAAAUCAGGCUGGUGUUUACCCUAUUCUUGGAACCGUAAGUCGGAUUAAAUAUUAUGUGUUGUGGACUAUGGUAUGCAAUGAUUAGUUUGUGAAAAUAUCCUGGGUGAAAGACUACUGUUGGUUGAAGGACUGGAGAAUAAUGCAGGCAUUGAGGGUAAGAAAUUUUUAAAUCCACUUAAAUGGGGUCAUUGACAGGUCAUGUUCAAAAUGGUAUCUUUCCAAGGACCCCUUUUUGUAAGCCAAAAAGUGGAAGCAAAAAAAAGAAAAAAAGGGUCAUGCGUGCUUAAGAAUCUUAUCUUUCUCUUGACACUGGAAAUGAAGCAAAGGUUAAUAAGCAUUUCAAAAUAUUAGAAAUAAUUGAACCUCCCAUUCUUGAACCUUGUGAAAAUCUGCCUUGCAGGGGUAAGGAACCUUCCUCCAUUUGCUUCCACCUCUCUUUAGUUUGGUAGGGAUUGCCCAUUACUUCUCGUGUUACUUGACUAUUUUUUCAUCAUUCACACAUAGCAGGAGCAUGGUGAUGCUUAUAAUUGAACUAUUGGGGAUUUAUUUGAAGAAUGUGAAGGUUUUUCUAUUGCAUGUCUCUCAUAUACUGACAUCCCUAGAUUUCGUCUCCCAUUUUAUUUUAGUUCUUCAAGGAGACGAUUAGUUUCCAUGAUAUAUGUAUGCUUUAUGGUUUGGAAACAUUGAAGGGAACGCAUUUUUUUUCCACAUUAAUUGGUAUGGAUAUGUUAGGCUUGGGAAUUUGUUGUGGUGGAAUAGUUUUUUCUAUGUACGGACUGCUAUAAUUGUGGCUAUAACUUCAAUAUCACCUGAGUCAUUAUACUCUUCAACCUUUGUCCAUGCUGUAGCUUUUUUGUGUUGUUUACUUGCAUAUUCUUUAGAAAUUUAACAGAUAGGUGAAAAUUUGGAAUUACUGUGAUUUAUAUGCAUCAACUGUAUCUUGAAUUUUUGUAAUUUAAGGCACAGUGUGACAUGCUGCGUUGUCCUGUUGUGUUCAGUGUUGGUGCUGGUUGUUCGCAACUUCUGUCUGACAUGCAGGCUUUCAAGGUGACCCUCUGCAGUAAAUAACUGUCUUUUCAAGAUUCUUCUGGGGCCUUUUACUAUAGCAGAAAUUUGUGGAUUUUUUUGUUUUAUUUAUUUUUGUCGAACAGCAUUGUGAGAAAUUUGCACAUUAUGAUUCACACACCUAAGCUCCAAUGUUUUCUGUUAGGCAGCAAAUCCAGGUUGUAUAUUAGAAGAUUUCGUAAGGUGGCAUUCACCCCCCGAUUGGAUGGAAGGUGACAUUAACGAUGAAGCUGAUGAAACAUCUGAUGGUGGUGAUUUGUUGUCAACGAGAGGUCAACUUAGUAGGAGGAUGCAAAAAGAAGGUUACUUCUUUUGUUACAUUAGUUAACCUGGAACAUUGUCAUAACUAAUUGGAUAUCAACUAUUUUACCUGAAAGGAGCAAAGCCAAACAUGAAAGAGAGAAAACAACUGGUUUUAAUUCCAGCAGAUCAUUUGCCUCUUUUGUUCUCUUUCUGGUAUGUCUUGUUUAGGAAAUCAAAUGUGAUUUGCACAAUUUUAUGUUUCUUAUGUGAAAAAUAUUAAAAUAGAUUAGUCACUUGUUUGUUAUUCUGGGUGUUCUUAGCUUGAUAUUCAUCUGUAUUCACCAAUUUAUUGACUCUUGUGCUAAUUAUGGUGGAAUUAGCUGACUGAUAGAAUGGCUGUUGAUUUACAUCUAGGUAAUUUAUGGCGGGAACUGUGGGAAACUGCAAAACCAAUACCUGCAAUGAGACAGACUCCCCUCUUUGACGAGGAUCUUGCUGUGUAAGUUGCAAGACAUAAACAAUCUUACUGUACAAAGACAUUAUUUUCUGAUGAUUUUCUGCUCCCAUUGCUGUGUAGGGAAGGUAUUCUUAAUAUCUUGGAGGACAUCUCACCUUCUGAGCUUUUUGAACAGCUGUUUAUUUCUCUUGUAAGUAUUAUGUACUUGGAUUUGGGAAUUACCAAACCAUUUGGCUGGAAUUAAUAUGUUCAGCUGUUCCAGUCCGCAAUACUGUUAAGAUUUCAUGCUUGGUACAAACUGGCACUGAUGAUCUAAGUUUGUCAGCUGGGUUCAGGGCUUGUAAUCGCUGAGUCUACCCUCUCAACAAAUUUAGAUCUGUCAAAGCUAUUUAAUGAAUGCAAGGACUAUAUUGUUGCCACUUGUCAAAGCGGCAGCUGGCUUGAAAAAAUUGAUGAUAUAUGCCAGGUAUGUCAUAUUUAGCUGAACGAGGAACUGUGUGGUUAUUGACUGAUUUAUAUUUGCUAACAAUUUGAUAUGGUAUUCCAGAAUUCUCUCUUGCCUGUUAAAUACGUAGGGUUUCAGAAUUGGGACUUCAUUAUUUCCUCCACUUGUUUACUGCUUUCAAUACAGCAAUAUUCAUUUCCCAGGGGGGCUGAACUUCUUCAAAAUGUCGUCGAACUGACUCUUGUCCUGCAGCAUGAUGACCAUUUUCCCUACACUUCGUGAAGUUAAAGAAAAAGAAACUUGAAAGGGAAAAUAAAAAUAGAAGCUUCUGUUGCUUUUUGUUCUGUUACAUUGGCAGUAGCACAAAUGGUAUUGGCCAUAUUGGAAUAAUAGAUGGAACUGAUCUUCUUGUCAACAGCUUAAGAUCAGCUGAUUAUAGUUUUUCUAUUCUUGACUUGUUAAGCUAAAAGCUGCAAUAAGGAGACGGAUCUGCAUGUUGACCAUGCUUAACAUGAAUAUAGUCAGACUUAGAGAGUGGAUUAUCCUUAGAUUAGCAUACAUUAUUCACAGGAUUGCAUAUUCACCUACUAAUAUUCCUACUCGUCAAAUCUCCUUUGCAGGUGUAUGAAACAGUCGAGGCAAUGUUGCUAAAUCCACAUGAAGCUACAAAAAGUACAGUUCCACCCGAAGAAACAACACCUGCGGGUGAACUGAAAAACCAGUUCAAAAGGCUUAACUUCAUCUUUGGUAGCAAAGAUAGGCAGUCACAAAAAGACAAGAAGAAUAUGGAGGAUAACCCAACCCGCCAACCAUUCUCAUCAAUAUUCUCAAAGAAGCCUCCUAAGCCAAGUAAUGGAUCGUCAGCUGACAAAGCUGCUGGUUCUGUAGAUAAUGACUGGACAAUUGUGUAAAUUGUAUAUAUUUUUGGGAAUUGGCUAAAAGCAAUGCCCAGAUGCCAUCUUUACUGAUUUUUUCAAGGGAUUAGAAAUGGAAAACGUAGGAGUUAGAUAUGACAAAUUUUUCGCAGAAAACAGACAUUGCAAACAUCUACUCCGAUAGCAUCUUUUGGGAGGAGCUCCGUUGAUCAAGAGGACUGGCAAAGAGAUUUUGUUCCACAAAGAAGGAUAAUACGUAAACUAACAAGUUCCAAUGUCUUAGAUGCAAGAAUGUCAACUGCUGACGAAACAAGAAUGGAUAAAUCUCUUAACAUCCUCUGCUGUCAUUGCAUCGUGCCGUAAAAGCCGCUUCUUUUCUGGCCAGAACUCCCUUACCGGUUGUCUGAAGAAUUUUCUUUGUCUCGCUUCCUCUCGUCAUUUGUUUUGUCAACUUCAAGAUCUUUUAGAACCCACCCUGGCACAACGAAAUUUGCAAUCCAGUACAUCAAAAGCAUCACUGCACUGUUAGCCACGUAAAAAAGGUUAUGCCAUGGAAGCAAUGUUACUAACAUAUUUGAAGUUUGUUAACUGGCCUCCCCAGUGACAAACUGAUACUGUCAAUAUGGGCAUCAAAAGAUGUCUUUGCUUCAAGUCCUAAAAUUGUUCAAGCAUUAACUCGUAACUAUUACCAAUAGAGUAUGAUGGCAUGUAUCGACCUGGAGAACUUUUAUGAGAUCGAGAGAAGGAUGAAUUCCAUCUCAAAAUGGGAGUUAGUUAGGAAGAAAUAGACCUUGUUUGAAACAGGACUGAGAAGUCUCCUGAAUUGGGCGGCGGCAAAGUGGCGGCUAGAAAAAGAGGAGCGGAGGUAACUCUGGUCGGAAACCAAAAUACUCUGUUCCGCUUAUGCAUACAGAGAAACCCACAAGUAGCAGGUUCAUUUUUACUGAAUUUGGAGAGCCACAGCAGCUUAGUUGAGCUGAUCGGGGGCUUCAAGUCAUUGUAUGGAAAUAUAGAAAUGGAAGGGCACUGAGAGCCGAUGCCAUUCAUCUUGCAAGCUUCCGGUUCAAAUUGAACGAGUGAACGUAGAUGACUUGAAGGGAGCAAUGGAUAAUCACACGUUCCUUUCUAUAGGAGGUGGACCACACUCACUAGGGAGUUUGAGAUAUUGUUCUAAUUACUUUCACGAAAUUUUGUGUCAGGUGCAAAUAAUGAUGGUAUUCUAUGUAAUUAUAUGGUACCAAUAACUUUUACCAGAACUUUGUGCUGAACGUACACACCGGAUAUGCUGGUCUAAUUUUUGUCAGCCCAUGUGUCUACUGGUAAAUUGUUAAUGCAUGCUGCUCAAUUAAACUCCAAAAUGUAUAUUGCAGAUUGGUUCAAUAUCUCUUGCAAAAACCUUUCAGAAGUCCAAGAAUUUCACCAUGCCAAAUGUUCCAAAUAGAUGGUCCUGUUGGUUAGUGGUAUUGUAACCCUGGUUGGCUCGUGGCCCACUAGGCUACACUCAAAUGGCCAAUUGGGGCCUUGCUUGUUGUUUGUCUGGGUACAUCACGGACCCUAAAUAUCCCAUUAUUUCGAAUUCAUUGUCAUUGGCCGGAGAAAACUGUCUUCCAAGUGACAAGACAAAAAACAACACAAAUGUAGCAGCCCAUGCCCCAUCAUGAAUGUAUUUAAGGGCCCAGAACUAUGAGUCAUCAUAUGAGGCUUUUUUUUUUUUUUUUAAUUAUUAUUGAUAAGAUCAGAUUUUCUCUGCAAAUUUCAUGCAUUACCAUCUCCUAAUGUCUUACUAGAUCUCAAUUAAAAAUAAUUAAACAUGUCACCAAGACCCAUCGGCCAUCACACUUAAUAGUGAAAUACUUCAUUAGACUGUUAAAUUCUCCUCAUUAUGAAAUUGCCUUUGCAGAAGCUAUAUGAAUGAAUAUUAUUACAAUAAAAUCGUGGAUAACCUCAUAAACAAACAAAAAAAAAAAGACAAAAGUUGAAAUCAGAGAAUUCUCUCAAUAAAAUCCUUCUGAAGAAAUUUUUUUUUUAAAAAAUUGUUAUUUGCACUCCAUUGUGCUAUUUAUACUCCCAUUAUUUAUUUUAUUAUAUAAUUUUAUAAAAAAAAUUAUAUGAUUAAAAUGGUAAUGAAAGUGUGGUUAAUAAAAAUGGAGAUGCAAAUAAUAUUUUCUUUUUUAAUGAAAAAUAUAAAGGCUGCUAGACCAGGAACAAUUAUUUCACUUCCGACAACUCAUAUUAUGCCACGUUAUGAAAGUCACAAUUUGACUUCUGACUUGGAAGAGCCACAAUCUCGGCAAAAAAUAAUAAUCGUCGGCCUGUAUAUCAAUUACCAAAAGAAAAAGCUAAAAGGGCAAAAAAAAUGAGAGAAGGUUGAGUAACAGAAGGAACAGAAUAUUGCAGAAGGGAAAGAGAGGAGGACGACCACCAAAGGGUGCAAAAACGCCGCCGUCAAGCCUAUACAAGAAUAACGAACCAGAAGCUCCGGAUUUUUGUUAGCUUACGCUGUUUAUAUCAGUUCGCCGUCGUUUGUUAGCCUUUUCUGUUCAUUGUCUUCGUCGAGGUAUUUCCUAUUAUUUACAAAAAAAAAAAAAAGAGAAGAAAGUGAACAAAGGAAUAUGGACUUUGCUCUGGAAAGUUGGAUAUUAAUUUGCGAAAUGUUUUUGUUUUUUCUUCUAAAUUUCCUUAGCAGAUCGCAAUCAUUUUGCUUAUUGGUUUAUUUACUCUGCGAUUUGCCUUGUUCAUAAUUUUGAUUAUUGUUUUUAAAUUUGUUUUCUUAAGAUUGAUGAAUUUCGGUAUUUUAAAUUGUCUAAAACAGCCUUAGGAGAUCAAAGUCAAUGAUGCUGGGCGUUGUAAGGCGAAAAGUGGCUUCUGAUGCUUCUUCUGCUUUGGUAUUUAAACUUCAAGUUUUGCAUGUGUGUUUAGAUAUGCAUUCAUAUGUGCAUGAAGGCAGAUUUAUUUUUUAUAGUAAAAUUUAGUUGUGUUUUUGUAAGAAUACCGAUCUCCUUUGUGUUUGCGGGCCAGAUUAAAAGGAAAUCAUGGCAUUGGAGUCGGCCUGUGGUUUCUACGCCUAGAGUUUCUACUGCUGUAGCUGAAGAGGUAACUCGCUGCUUUCUUUUCCAAUUCAGCGUUGAUACUGCUUAGUGGUGAUAAUAGUUUGACGUGCGAAGAGGCAUGGUGAAUCAAAUGAUGUUCCUGAUAUGAAAAUGAUAUUGUAGACAAACAAGUUGUUUAUACUUUUCAAGGAUGUAAUGUUGUAAUUUCAUUGAGGUUUGGUUAAAAUUGCUUGAGUUUAGAUUAGUUUUUCUUUUCUAGGCAAAUAAAAUCAUUUUAUUAGUCAAGAUAAGAAAACGUUUCUAACUCAUUAAGACGAGUUUAGAUUAGUUAAAUGUGAUUUAGCCUUGUAUAGUACAGAAUUUACUGCAUAGUUUAACAAGCUGGGGAAUUAUAUGGAAAUUGGGUAAGAGUUAAGUUAUAGAGGUUGAGUUGAGGUGGCUGUCUUUCUUGGAAACUCAGAAAACUCUGUUCCAUUUUCUGGUGUUGGCUUGUGAAGAUAGCAUAUGUGACAUUGCUUUGCUAUCCAGUUUUAGUUUUGUCUGGAGUUCGGUUAGGUUACAAUUCUCAAAAGCAGUAUUGAGAACAUGUAUUUACUGUGUCUCUAAGAUGUUAUUCAACUACGAGUUUAUGAUCAAAUAAUAUUAUUUACCGUUUCUGUCUCUUGAAGUUUCAGUUUCAGUUGUUUUCUUCCUUUUUGUUUCUCUUUCUACGUUUGGCCAUCAAAGCUUAUGUUUGCUGUUAGUUCUUCAUGUGCAAUUGUUCUUAACUGUUUGUUUUUGCUUUCUGAACAGAUCUUCUUGCACCCAGGAUGCACUCGCAGUUUCUCUGACUUCACUUUCUCUGGUAAUCUUGGGUGUCUAUGUUAGUCAAUGCCACGUGUGUGUGUGUUUUUUCCUUUUUGGCCCCCUCCAUCCUGUCUGUGUUUGAACUAUUUUCUAUUUUCUUUCGGUAUAGGAUCUUUGGACUUGACAUCGUCAAGGUCAGUGAUAUCUUUUCUUGUUUAAUCUCCUCUUGAUAAUUGCUAUUAACUUGUACGCUAUCGGUCAUUGAGGAAUACUUAGGCUUAGAGAGGGUGGUCCCCCUUUCUGACAUAAAAGCAAUCAGAAUUCGAACACGCCGCGUUUUACUGGGAAGGAUCGACCCAUGGGAACGAAUCUACCGGGCUGUCACCUUCUUUGGCCAGAUCUUCCAAUCUUUUCGCGAUUACAGUUCACUGCACUUUCUUUACUAGAAUGUUUUGAAUUUUAAUAUUCUUGUUCAGAGGACAUUAUCACUCCAAGAAAAGUCAUUAUUUAAGAGCUUAGCACAGUACUCUAUCUUUUAAUUAUCAUUUUGCACAACUAUUUCCAAUGUGGGCAAGGCAUAGUGGAUUUAAUUGUAAACCAAAUUCUGCUUUGUAAAAUAAGUUCAAUUAGGUACUGCAUUUCAUGUGGUUUUCUGUCAGUGGUAAGAGAUGUAAUUACUAUGAGUAUUGGGAGUGCUUUUCAUAUUUAGUUUGAUACAGCAUUAUUUGGCAUUGUGUUAGCUGGCCUUAUUCAAGGUGACUGAGACAGUUCCACCCAGAGUCGUUCAAUCUGGUUUGAUUUUACCUAACCCGUGGUAUAAACCAAAGAAAAGUUUGUCUGUAAAUUGUGUUUUUGUGAUUAGACUCCCGCAAGGGUAAUAACACUUGGACUUAUACAAUAGAUGUUUUUGGUAUGUGGAAUAGCUAGCUUCAAAAAAUCCAAGGUAUAUAAACUCACAUUAAGUCAGACGGUAUAGUUGGCAGAUAAUGCUAUCAUUCAUGGUUGGCUGUUUUAUUUGCAGGGGAAUCAAAGACAAUUUUCUGCCUCAAUUCACCAUGCAUACAUGGAAAAGGCCAUUUUGUUCUAAUAGUGGUAUAGCACGGCACUUUGUUUUCCAUUCUUUGCUUUUCUGGCAAUACAGUUGUAUUUGAAAAAUGACAGUUCUGAAUUUGAUGCUCUUGGAAGAUUUUAGGCACUUUUAUAGGAAAAUUUUGAACCCUUCCUUUAGUAGUUUCUGUCACGUGCCCGUACUUUUGAUGGUUUAUAAAUGUUGUUUUCCUGUCUACUUCUAGAUGUGUUGUAAGUUUGAUUGGUUUUACACCGUAACCCAGCCUUUAAUGGAAACCAAAAACUUCUAAAGCUUUUUAAGUGAAUUGCGUACAGUUCUGACAACCUGUUAGUAUAGUUUUCAUUUAUUAUUUCUAGUGGCCAAGUCCAGUAUUUUCAUACUGAUAUAUUUAGUAUAAUUUCAAUUUCAAUGAAGCAAUAGGUGUGGAAUCUUAAUAUGGAUGUGGAUUCAUGUAAUGGCUUUCAUUUGCUAACUAAUGUUUUUAUUCUUUCUCUUUGCCACCUCCUAUGCUCAAGGUGAUCUGGUUGAUGCUGUUGUUCCUUUUAUGGGGGAAUCAAUAUCCGAUGGCACAUUGGCAACGCUCUUGAAGAGUAUGCUUCCCUUAAAUCGAUAUUCCAAUUAUGCCUUUAUUAAAGACAGUUUUGGUUCUCAAUUUCAUUACUGCCCUCAAUGUAUUUCUGGUUUUGCUUUCUCGGUUCCUCUGAUGGAUCAUACAAUUUUGUUCCCCAGAACCUGGUGACAAAGUAGAAGUUGAUGAGCCUAUUGCUCAGAUUGAAACAGACAAGGUACUUUCCAUAGUUUAGUUCUUACUUGUUGCUUUAAAAUGUUUGUAGUUCUAAAUGGAGUGAAUGUUUCAAUUUUCUUUGUUUCCAUUAGGUGACAAUUGAUGUUGCUAGUCCUGAAGCAGGCGUAAUCCAAAAGGUAAACAAUCAAGGGUUUUGGAAUAGUUAAUUAUGGUUCAUUAUUUUUAUUUUUAUGCUUUCUUGCUUCUUUCCGAAUUGCUUAAUCCUGAUACUUUAUGUGAUUUGCAAUAGUUCGUAGCCAAGGAAGGGGAUACUGUAGAACCUGGCACUAAAAUUGCUGUGAUUUCAAAAUCUGGUGAUGGUGUAACUCACGUUGCUCCGUCUGAGAAGCCCGCCGAAAAAGCUACUCCUGAGAAAAAGGUGGAGCAACCAAAACAGAAAGUUGAAUCUGCUGCUGCAGAAGUAAAGAAAGCUGAGAAGCCAAAAACUGAAGCCAAGGCUUCUCCACCUCCUCCUAAAGUAACUGCCACAGAACCCCAGCUUCCCCCAAAAGAAAGGGAAAGACGAGUAAGCCCAUGAUAUUUAUAUCGCACUACAUCUUGAGGUUUAUCUGGAUUUUAGUGAUCUUACAAUAUGUUUUUCGACAUUCUUUUUCCUCCUAUAAUGCAUUUGAAUGUGUCCUUGUAACAGGUUCCUAUGACAAGGCUCAGAAAACGAGUUGCCACACGCUUGAAAGAUUCUCAAAACACUUUUGCAUUGUUGACAACUUUCAAUGAAGUUGAUAUGUAAGCUUAGUUACAUUUCAUAGAAUUUAAGAAGACCAGUAUGUUUGAGAAUGGUGAAAUAUGCCAAAGGCUUAUUCCUAUAAGUUUGGCUUUUUUUUUUUUCAAAAGAACUUCUAGAUGAUCUUUAGUGGGUUGAUUCUUUAAAAUCCCGAGUUUACCAUCCUAAAAAAUAUCCUUUUUUGGGUGCAAGCUUCGCAUGUACCAUUCUAUUUCCCAUGCUUGGUUCUGUUUAAUUGUUGCUUUUUGCAGGACUAACCUGAUGAAACUUCGUUCCGAUUACAAGGAUGCCUUUGUUGAAAAGCACGGUGUGAAGCUAGGUCUUAUGUCUGGGUUUGUAAAAGUAUGUAACCAAUCAUGAAGUAUGUUUUGUUAUUUUCUCUACGGCCAGUCUCCUUUUUUUUGAAAUCCUGUCUCCUUCCAUGCCACUCUUUCAGGCUGCUGUUAGCGGACUCCAGAAUCAGCCCAUAAUAAAUGCUGUCAUUGAUGGUGAUGAUAUCAUUUAUAGAGACUAUAUAGACAUCAGUAUAGCUGUUGGCACGCCAAAGGUAAUCUGAGACAUUCUGCUUGCAAGAAAUAGUAUAAAUUUCUAAUAGACUGAGAUAGAACCAAAGAAGCUUGAACUACUUGAACUUAUACUUUUAUCUGCUUAAGAAGAAUGCUACUGUUGAUCAAACUUGAGUAUGCAUGUAAGUUGGAUGGCUAGUUAUCACGUGUUAGCAGCUUUUUGCUUCUGCAUGUGGAGAUCUCCAAUAAAUUGUGUUAUUUUGACACUUUAUCGUUGUGAGUGGUUCCCCUCUUACCUGUGGAUUGCUUUGUUUAACGAUCAUAUUUAAAAUUUAAUAUAAUCAGACAUGCUUAGGUAAUAUCUGUAUCGCUGAUUCCCAGAUAACAACUGUCUGUGUAUUUUCAUUGAUUUACCAACUUGUAAGGUGUGGGAUACAAAAUAUGCACCUAAUAUGAAAUUGUAACCUUUUGACGGUCUGUAUUCAUGAUUUAGGGCCUUGUCGUUCCUGUUAUCCGCAAUGCUGAUAAGAUGAACUUUGCUGAGAUUGAGAAGGAGAUCAACACGUUGGCUAAGAAGGCAAGUGAUGGAAGUAUAUCAAUCGAUGAGAUGGCAGGAGGGUCAUUCACAAUAUCCAAUGGUGGUGUUUAUGGAAGCCUCUUGAGCACUCCAAUAAUCAAUCCCCCUCAGGUGUGGCUCUUUGAAAGUCCUUGUUUUGAUUGCGUGCUAUUUUCUUUGUCGCUAUCAACAAUAAAAUUUGCAAUUCGUUUGUGCCAUUUUCCAGUCGGCAAUUCUGGGUAUGCACUCAAUAGUCAACCGUCCGAUGGUUGUUGGAGGUAACAUAAUUCCCAGACCUAUGAUGUAUGUUGCACUGACCUAUGACCACAGGCUGAUUGAUGGGAGAGAGGCAGUGCUCUUUUUGAGGAGAAUCAAAGAUGUGGUUGAAGAUCCACGUCGCUUGCUCCUUGAUGUAUGAAGAAUUGGUCAUUUGGGGUUUGAUUUUAUAGAUAUUCUUAAUAUACUGCAGUUAAAAGCACACUUCGGCUAAACGAAUAAAUGUUUAGCACUUCAGUUGCGGCCAGCCACGUUUUAAUUUCAAAUGAGAAGGUUUUUUUUAGACACUAGUUUAAGUGUGCUAAACUUGUGUUUAGUGCUUUUUAUUUUGGGCAUGAUGGAAUUUGUUGGAAUUUGUGCUAAACUUGAAGACCCCUUAGUUGGCAGCAUUAUUUCUCUGUUUCAAAAGUUAUUGGAUAAUAAACUCAAUGAAGCGAGUUCGCCUGGAGCUUUAACCCAUCUGUUUUAACUCUGCUCCUGGAUUUUUGUGGUGUCUUGAUGCAUGAACAUGAAAGAGGACCUGGAGGAAUUCAGUUUAAGAACUUACAGAGUAGUAGAUAUAAUCAAAAUUAGAGGGGGGUCAAACUUCUUGCAAACUUCUUGAAUGAUGAAACAAUACAAUUAAAAUAAAAUGAUUUAAAAUAAUUGGAAUCGCCCUUAGGAGAGUAUCUAAUUUUAUUAAUUUAAUAGUGUGUGGACAUAUUAUAUAUCAAGAAUGGAAAGUGCAGAUAUGGUCGAAUGGUAAAAUAGCUUCGAAUGGUAAAAUAGCUUGCAUCCCAAUGCAAGAUGCGAAAAGUAGAAGCACAAAAUGGAAAACCACCAUGUUGCUCGUUAUACAAGAUUUUACUUAAAGUUAUACAUAGAAAAUGAAGUCAAAAAGUCGAAUUGGAACACAAACUUUGCGUACGGGUUUAGGGGCAUUUUGCCGAGUUACAUGAGUCGGGUAAUUCCCAUGCUAGCGCAUUUAAAAUUACCGCAUCUCCAGCUGGUAUGGCAUAAUCCACCUAAAUUCUAACCUCAAUCCCUGCUUCGCUUAGAUGCUCUUUAACAGACUGAAUAGACACCUGAAAAUGAAUAUGUUCAUACCGAGACUUUAUCCAAUAAUUUGUAUACAGAAAAAGGAUCUGAAGAAAUUUCUCAAAAUGCAUAAUAGAAAUUUAGAACAGUCGAAAUCUAUAGAAACCACCGAUAUUAGAAUCCAUGCGUUCAAAAGUUUGUCUAAUAUUUAUUGGUAUCUGCAGAAAACAAUGAGUCAAAAUUCAUCCCUGAUGCAUCAGAGAUUGUUUCACCAGGUGAUGUAUACGUGUCCAAAUGCAAGAAAUUCUGCUGAUAAUGAGGAAGCAAAUCCAGUUCUCAAGUACCAGUUAAAGAAACCAAAGGAAAAAAGCAAGAGUACAAGGUGGACUUCGCACAUCUUUUACAAAAUUAAUACCUCUUUUCUGUGGAAAAUGCCAGCAGCAAGCGCAGCAGAUGCAUUUGUCUGGUUAAAAACUUCUGAAAAGUGUUCUGCUGCUCCAGCCCCACUGCUUGCAAUCACUGGGAUGCUAACAGCAUCUGAGAUUAACUUCACCAGGUCUAUAUCGAAUCCUUUCCCUUGACCUAGAAGGGCAUCAUUUGCAUUUGAAAGGCUUUAGAUUCAUCAUUACUAUUAAAUAAAAGAUCAAUGAAAGUUUUGACAUACUCAUAAAACUUGGCAGAGAUGUUAGAAGAUGAAUAUUUUUACAGCAAAAGCAUGAAUCAACUAUCCAGGUUUGUUCAAAGUAAAUAGCUCCCGAUUUAGUCAUUCAAAAUGUUACCACCACUGCUAUAUGCAUUCCCCUGGGAUUUCAUUAACUAAAUAUCCUAUUGUCAGUGGCAUUUGGUAACAGAUUCAUCAUGCAUACCAUACAUUUAAAUGAUUAUUAGUGCCAGUUACUGGCAAUAGAAUCACACUUACCAUCACAGUCAAUACAAUUUAAUAGGAUUUCCCCAGCUCCAAGUUCCUCGAUGGCUUUAGCAAGCUCAUAUGCCCCAAUCGGUCGACCUUCACGACCACCAUUGACCUUAAGGAUAAUAACAAGGUUAUUCUAGAAUAUUACAAACAAUGGAAUUUAAUGCCAUGGGAUGGACCAAUAUGCACAUUGAGUAUGCAAGAAGCACAAAACAAGUUGAUAUAAGAAUGUAGAAAACUUUAGAUAAGAGAAUCCGCAGAAAUGUAAAACUCACUUCUACCUAAGUCCUCAGCACUCUUCCCCAAUAAAGAUGAAGAAAUGCCAAAAGAAUUUAAGAAUAGCUGCCUUAUAUUUAAUGGACAAAACAGCACUAUAUAGUGAAAGUCGGUUAAAUUUUACAUCAGACCAGUUCCUGAAUUAUAGCCUCAUGAUGCAUCUCAGUACAAGAACCUACUACUAUUUUCACAUGCAAUAGAAUAGCAAAUGUCAACAAUAACUGCUGCUGAAUGCAACUCUCUAUCCUUCGAUUGUUUUAUAGCUGACGACAUGAUGAAGGUCUACAAGUAAUAUGAUUACUUACCGUGCAUUGAUACCAGGCAUAUUUUUCUCCAUUUGGACCUGAAAGUAAUCAGUAUGUCAGUCAAUAAGCCCCCCAACAAGGCAAAAAAACCAUUUCUUUACUUUCUAGUCUAUUUUAAAUGGGAAAACUUGUACCACACACAUGAAGUGUCUCUGCGUCCACCAGCUCAAGUCAUGUGGCAACAAAAAAUGGUUUUUUCAUCCUCUAUUUCCCACUCCCCCACCCCCCCCCCCCCCCCCAAUCCUCAGGGGUCUCUGCACUGCCAAAAGGUUAAAGAAACAAAGGAAAAAUUUAAACUGGAAAAUUCUCCUCGAAAGAUCCUGGUGAAUGGAGGGUAGCUUUGGUAUAUAUGAUCAACGUCACACUUGCAUUCUUGGAAUCUCCCCGAGUCAAAAUUUGCUAUUUUCAUCAAUUUUAGUCACAUAUUAUGUUCCACAUUGUCCAACCAGGAGUCUUUUACACAAUAAGAAGAUCAUAAAAUAAAUACCCAGAAGGAACCUACAGGAUAAUAUCACUGCAACUGCAAUGAGAUAUCCUACCUGGGUAUCUAACUGGGAUGGUCUUGAAUUUCACAGUAUCUGGAUCCUUCACGUAGACCCUCCGAGGAUCAAUGCUAACAACCACAGCCUACAAGAUCAACAUUAAAUGACAUAUAAAACAACAGCCUACCAUACAAGUACCCAUAAAUAUAAAACAAGACAUAUAAACGACAUAUUAACAGGAGAGAAUCAAGGAACUGCUAGCUAUUACUUUUGGCAUACAGGAAAAUACAAUGAUAAAAGUUGAAAAAAGCUCAGAAAACAACAUUUGGAUGAACCUAUUAUGCAAUUAGAGUGACAGAGAAAAUGAAAUCAAAAGUGACUACAAAAGCAAAGAGAUAUUGUAUUGCAACAAAACAAACAACCGUUCAACCUAAUGUAGCAUAGAAAGAGGUUGGCCAUCAGCAAGUUUCUGUACAACUUGUUCGAAGAAGUGCUUCUUCUCUACUACAUGAUAAUUUGUAAUGCCGAUGUUUUGAUAUGAAUAGCUAUGGUUUGAAAAAGAAAACGCUGGAACAUAUCACUAUCGUCUACACAGGACAAGCACAAAACGAACAAUCUUCAAAAUGAAUAGUCAAUCUUGAUUCUCCAGCCAAUAUUCUAAUAUAAGCACAUUUUUGUGCAAUGGGACAUAAUAUAGAACACGUGUGAUGAAUUUACCUGAUUACCAUAAACCCUUGAGAUCUGCUCUAGACUGCUCUUCCCAGUUUUUUCCUUGAGAAAGCGGUUCAAGAAAUGUUGUUAGCAAAAUAAAAAAACGUAAGGCAAAAAAAAAAGAAUUAAUAAGCAGGUAUAUUAUUUGCAACAUGCUGCAAGUAUCACAUACUCCAGUUUUCAGAAAUUCCUCGGCAGCAUAAACUGCAUCACUUCCAAUUGAAAUCUUAUCUGCCCCUGAUCUAAAAUAUUCUGAAGCAACCUCCAAACUGGAAUAGUAUCUGAGGAAUGAGAAGCCAGAGUGUUAAGUCUUUCAACCUCAGAAAUCACCUGCUACUCUCCUGAAGCAUGUGCAAGCACUAGAGCAGUACAAGGAAAUCAAGUACUAAAGUGUAAUGACUCCCCUCCCUUCUUCUCUAAAGAGGUGUAAAACAAUUGGCUACAACUAUAUGUUUUACCUUCCAUUUCCAUCAGUAAAAUCACGAAUGCCUCCACCAACUGUUAGUGGUACAAAAACAUUCUCUGAUGUAUAUCUCAGUACCUACAACACAAAAAAAAAAAGAUAACGGGAUAUGAUAAGUUUAAGAUAGAGGAGAAUGGAAAGUAAAAAUGAUGACACACUGAUAUUUAAAUCAGUUGCAUACAUACCUGCAACAUUGGCAAAUCGCCAAGAGGGAAGUCACGGAAACCUGUAAUGUUUAAAAAGCUAACCUGAAAUACAGAAAAUUUAAUUAGCUUAUGGCGCACAUGAAUAAGGAAAAGCUGUAGUGCUCUUAGAAUUAAUACAUACCUCAUCAGCUCCAUCUUUGUAAUACUGCCCAGCAAGUUCUACCGGCUUUCCAAGAUUUCGCACCUUUAAGAAUGAUAAAGAUACAAUAAAUUUAACAUUUUGCUCACUAUCUUUACUGAUAGCUUUGAUCUCCGAUUCAAGAUUCUGAUAUGGUCAAGUAAAAUAGCAAGACCACCAUUAUGUCUGUAAAGCGAAGAAAUUUACGAAAUGCAAAUAUUGCAUAGCCUGACCUCAUUGUCCUCUGUGUGCUCUCUUACAUCAUAUUGGUCACCUUUGGUCACAACGAGAUCACCUUUGUCAUUAGUCCUCACAUCAAGGCAUGCAAUAACCUGAAAGUUGGAAAACCAAUCAUAGAAAGUAUCCCCUCAUAGCUAGAUCACAAAAAUCAAAUAAAUAUAACCUCAAUGAAUAAAGGAUAAAAAAGUGACAUGAACAAUUGGAUCAAGUCCUCACCCUCUUUGCAAGUUUAGAGGCCUUCCCUUGGACUGGCCUCUGUCUUCACAUGAAGCUUUCAGGUCUUAGAUGCCUUUGGCAAUAACAUUUGAGAGUCACACAACAAUUUAGAGGGGAGAUCGGUACCUUUGUCAACUCGUUAUUUGGAUAUAAGAACCUUCUCAGGAUGGAAAGGCCAACAGCUGGAUUAUUUUUAAGAACAAAAUGACAAUUAAGAGAUUUUUUCUACAAUUCAUGAUGGUAAUCAUGCUACUUGAGUGCUCAAGCAAAAGCAGCAAAAAUAGGCAGGAGAUUCUAGAUUCAUGACAAUAACUGCAAGUGCAGAAUAGGAAACAACAAAAACAAGGGUAGACAGGAUAAUUCAACUUCAUUACGAGAGACAUCUUUCAAAGAUUGUAAAACAGAAAAACAAAAAAAAAAAAAAGAGAAAGAAAUGAGCAAAAACUUCUUUCCACUUGAUUACAUGAUAAUAAUUAUUAUCAUAUCCAAUCAUACCUCCACUCUUCUCUGGGUGAAAUUGGACAGCAUGAACAUUUCCUCUUUUUACUGAUGCAAUGAACUUGUCGCCAUAAUUGCAGGUAGAAGAUAUCCAAUCUUUGUUAUCAUCUGACUAAAAGAGUAAAAGAAGCAAAACAUUACGGCCAGAGACCUUGUAAAAAAAAAAAGACAAUGAUGUGUGACAAUGAAAUGAGAAAAUGCUGCAAAAGGCAGAUGUGAAUUGCACUGGCAAAUAGGAUACCAUACCGGCAUUGCACGGUAAGAAUGCACAAAAUACACAUGUCGAUUUCCUAUAUCAUCCAAAAUGUCAGAGUCUUCUGUUAUUUGAAGAGCAUUCCAGCCAAUAUGAGGUACAUUAUAACCUUUUGAUGAGUCAAAUCUUCCAACUAUGCCAGGAAUCAAGCCAAGGCCUUUCACUAAGAGAGAUGAGCAAUUGUCAGGUCAUCCACAAAGCUACAGAUCCAUAAUUCGUGACGAGAGAAUAUUUAAGCUACAACAGCAAGUCUUGUGGUCUGACAUUUAACCUGAAUGGUUCACCACCUCCAGAGCACGAAUCAUACAAAUUGCAAAAUACACCAUUACUAGCACCUAAAAUAGCAUGAGGCUAAAAAUGUUGAAACAAGUAAACUCACAUAUAAUUAUAUGACUACACAACUCAAUUCACAAGUGUAUUUUCAGGCUGAGGUUCAUCACAACCCACCUCCAAAUCUGGAAGAACUCAACUAAAAUAUGUUUUCUAUUUUAGCUGGGAUAAACUUGACGAAUCCUUUUCCUUCACCCGCAAAGUCACAACAAAGCUUGAGAUUUACAUAUUGAAACACUUGAUUGAUUCUUAAGCUCAAAAAAAGCUGUUAUCUGCCUUACCCGGUCCAUUCUCCUCACUUGACUCAAAGAGUAGCUGAAGUCCAAGACAAAUGCCUAAGAAUGGGCGAUCUUGCUCAAUGUAACUGCAAAGAGCCUCAGCCAUCCUACAGAAGAAUGCACUCCUUGAGUUCUGAAACUAGUUUGAUUGACUAACACAAAGGAAUCCACAUUUGUGAAACCAAAAAAAAAUGGUAGAAGUGUGUUAUAUUUCUGGAUGUGUAUAUGUGGAGAUACAGAAGAAGAAACAGACAGAGACACAGGUCCAGACAAACACAAAUAGAAGUUUAUUAUAGAUUGCCACUUUUGCUUCAAAGUUAUCUUUCUUUCUAGUCAACUCAGUCCAUGAUUUUUGUCCGACUUCAUAUAAUUGCAGUAUAGAGGACUUGAUUGCUUAAUAGUGCUAUAUAUAUAAAUUAAUAUAAUUGCAGUAUUCGGGACUUUUUUUAAUAAGUUCCUUCAAUUUACUGAUGUCCAGGAACUACAACAUCCAAGAUGGACUUUGUUAUCUUUAAAUCUCAAUUGUUUUUCACUUCUAUCCAAAACAUUUGGAACUGAUCAUUUAGGAAGUAAAAAAGGUGUGUUCCACUGGAUCAGAAAAAAAAAAUGUAGAUAUUAGUUUUCUUAAAUGAUGAACAUUAUUAAGCAUUAUCUACAGACAAAAUUGAUGUAGUAAGACUGACAUUUCACAGGACAAAUGCAGAACUGGAUAAAGAGUUACCCUCUUCGGUUCAACACAUCCAUGGCAGCAGCAAAUGCACCUACACCAGGAAAUAUAAGGCGUCUUGCAUUCAUGAUGUCCUCUGGAGUCUGAACCUAAAAGUUUUCCGGACAGAGUGUUGAAAUUAAUAGAAGCACAAUUCUCAACACAGAGUCAAAUGAUUAAUUUUUGUCUAGUCUCUAGGAUCCCCAGUUCAUUUUCAGAAACAAUUCUGCUUAUAGCUUGUUGAAUGAAUCUAUGCCUACCCUCCGUUUUCUCUCCUCGAAAACCACCUAGUCCACCCCCACACCUACCCCGAAUUCCCACCCCUGGAAUCAAGGAAAGAAGAAAGAAUGAAGGUCACUUAUUUUAGACUUAAGAAGUCGCAUUUUAAGUAGAAUGUUUUGGCACAGUAUAUAACUUCGACAGAUAAAGUUCUCCAUGAAGCUUCAGAAUCUAAUUUUCUACCGUAGAUAAAGUAAUUCACUAGAUAAUUAACAGUUACAUACUUCCUCGAUCAUCUCACUUUCUAGACCUCAAAAACGAAAAGGAAAAAAGAAACACACACACACCAACAAUCCUUUCAGAACGGCUUAAAAAAAAAAAACUCAAAUUUCAAAUCUUGUAAAUCAAAAAGAGCCAGCGAUAUAUCUAUUGAUUUCUUAGUAAAUAACGUCAAUAAGCCAAUAUGCGUCGGUAAUCAGAAGCUGAAACAAAGUUGAUAACCUAAAAGCAGAAGUCCUAAUGAGUCUUAUUUAUAGCUUAUUGUUUACAUUGUUUUUACUUUAAAAAAUUUGAGAAAACAAGCAAAUGAAAUUAAGUUUCAUUCACCAAGAUAAUAACUAAGUCGGAAAAAUCAUAACAGCAGCAUGGUGUUGAAAAACCUUACAUCUUUAAUAUUAAAGCCGAGGUAGCGAAUUGCAUUUCUCACGCUCCGGACAUUCCCGGCACCGUAAUCAAGCAGAGUGACCACUGAAAUAUUGAAUAGACGAAUGUUAAACUCAAAACCGACAAUAUCACCUAUUUAUAUUCAAACAAUUCCACAUCGAGUAAUAAUGCCAUAUACAGUUAAAACGCCAUACAUAUACACAGAGAGAGAGAGAGAGAGAGAGAGCGUGACAUUACCUCCGUCGCCGGAAGCGGAGGCGCGGACGGAGAAGCUUCUGGAAGUUUCAAAUUUGAGAGCUUCUCCGGCAGGCUUAGAGCGUAGAAAAUGGAGAGAGUAAGAAGCAGAGGGAAUGGGGAAAAGAGACGACGAAUUUGAACGAGAUUUUAGCGUUAGCAUCCGCGACGUAGCUGAAGGAAAAGUCGCCGCCUCCAUGGCUCCUUUGUCACUGCAGUUUCAGAGUUGAAUGGAGUGUUGUAACAGUAGAGCACUCAAAAGCCUCAGCGGUCGUUGACAUUUCGUAUAACCUUUCCAAAACUUGCGUAUUUAUACUUGUCUUUUGGUUCGGUUGAUAAAGGAUCGUGGGCGCCAUUAGAAUCUUUGAGCUCAAUGCCACUAUGGACUUCUAUCAACGCCCAAUGAAGUCCGAAAAGCAUAGUGGGCUAAUUUAUUUCAUUUGCAGGCCAGCUAUAGAUAUCACGGAUUGGUGAUGGAGUUAAUGGAUGUACUCCCAAUAACAUGUGGAUUGUGGAAGCCAUUUUGAGGGCGAAGAGGUGCGGGAGACCAUUUGAGUCUUAAUGUGGUGUCGACUUCAAAGAAAUCGCACUUCUGUAUUUCGCUAAUUUUCAAAAUUAUGGGAACGUCAAAGUGAACGAAACGGGCGAAAGCUCUUCCGAAAGGUCGCAUUCUAAUUGUAGUUUUUUGCAUAAGGAUUUGUUUGGAAGGUUGUUUUUUGUACAAUUUUAUUUAUUUAAAUCAUAAAUAUAUUUUUAAUUUCUUUUUUAUCCCACGUACGUUACAACAAAUUAUCCCUUGUUCCUUCAAGGGCCUUUUCCUAUCCAAGAACGCGUUCGCUAAAAUAUGCAGCAAUGCCAGUCUUUUGCAUAUGCAUCUUGUUUUGCUUAGGAAACACUUGAAAACAGGCAAACGAGCUCAGGAAUACGCAAAGGGAAAAACGAAAAUUUUGAAUUUCGACCCACUGCUCAAAUCGGUGACAAUAUAUUGUCAAAACCUGUGGUAAAUUACGAGUGUACAGCUUUCUGUUUCAUAGAGAGAGAGAAGACACGGCUACUUUUGUCCAUGUCUCUUACUUCCCCGUCCUCCUCUAUUUUUCCCGUUGUUCAAUCAAUGCUGAAAGCACUUUUACCUAGUUGUCAUCAGCAUUGCACGUAUCUUGGCCCUGAGAUCAUCAGAGAUUUGGGUUGUCUCAGAGGGUUGAGAAGAAGCCCUCGAAUAUGUACUUGCCAUGUCUACAGAAGUUUCACGGCUAUGAUGACCACCCGCAACCCUAGAAUGAUCAGAGAAUUUAGGACUGAUCUCGCCUUCCUCCAAUUCAUCUUUUUCUGAGUAGGAUCUCUUUCUGUCUCCAACAUAUCUAUCAUAAUGCUCAUUCUCGGGACUAGAAGAGCAGUCACGCUUUUUUAGUUGAAUGUCUCCAUCCUCAGAUGAAUAAACUUUCUGGCGCUUAGGACUGCCUCCACUUCGAUGUGAAGAACGAUAAGACUGGUGCUUCUUUCUACAGUGCUUGUGAUCCUUUUUAUCCUCUUUUUCAUGUGAAGAUCGACGAGAUGAAUGCUUCUUGCUCGACUGUUUAUGAUAACUUGUAUCAGUAUCUUUUUCUCCAUCAUCAUCUUCAUGAGAAGAACGAUGAGAUCGGUGCCUCUUUCUGGAUCGCCUAUGCGACUUUUCCUUCUUGUAAUCGUCAUCAUAAUCCUUUUCACGGGAAGAAUGAUGCGAGUGAUGCUUCUUUCUGGAGUGCUUGUGAUUCUUUCUCUCUUCAUCUUGUCCUCCUUCAUGCUCCUCCUUAGAGUUAUCCUGUUCCAAUUCUUCCUCAUCAUUAUUUUCAUCAUCAUUUUCUUCACAUCUCUCAGGUCUUGAUCGGUAAUUCCUCUUUGAUCUCCGUUCAUCACUCAAACUGUUUCUCUCAGGAUUUUCAUUUUUCUCCAACAUAAUAAUAUCUGUAGGGGCUGAGCUGCAUUCUCUUUCUUUAAUACCAUCAUUAACUUCAGCAGGGGAUCCUGAAAGCCCUGGUUCCGAAGGUUCUACUGACAAAGCACGCAAGGGCUCAGUUUUUGAGGGCACAGCUCCACUUUUUAACAUGGCCACAAACAUCUUAGCCUUUUUCAGUCUUUCAGCUUUCAGCUUCUGCUCUCUGGUCAAGUGUGCUUCAGAGUCAGCCCCACCGGUAGUUUCAAAAACGGCAGCUUUUUCCUCUGCCUUAUAGCCCAAAGAAUUGGACCCAAAGCCUGAGGCCUGUCCAACGUCCUUGUCAUGGCCCCCACUGUUAUCACUACGAGCUGUGCUCGAACAGACGCUAUUUGGAAUUCUGAAGCCCCUUGUGGCAGCCUGAAGAAUAGCUGCAGCAGCUUCUGCAUCUACACUUACUCCACACUCUUGCUGGGUUGCUUUAGAAGGUGGGUCCUGUAGAUCCUUUCUUGAUUUACCAAUUAUCAUUUUAAAUUUCUCCUUCCUGUCAGAUUCAUCUGGAAUAUCAGAACAAAGAUAUUUGGACGACAUAUACUCAUUCUUGUCUAGGCCAAGUCUUGCUGAAUCAUCCUCCCCAUAGGUGUUCUUGGCACUCACUUUUGACUGCAAAAAAGUAAAGGAAAGUCAGCAAAGAAAUGGAGUCAAAUAAGUGGCUGUAUACAUAAUCUAUCAGAGGAAACAAAUACGACGCAUGUUCGAUAUGAGAAUAAGAAAUACAUUCCAAAACUGACAAACAAUGGGUAUAGCAGGUAUAGAGAGAGAGAGAGAGAGAGAGAGAGAGCCCAAAUUUGAAGGUAUACAAUGUCAAAUAGAACACCACCCAUAUACAUUCACAAACAGCACCAUAGACAAAGGUAAAGGGCACACCUCCUGAGCUUUUUGGAGGCUUUUUAGGUAGUAUGGAUGAUACUGGUCAGACAGCACAAGAAACGGGAACCUCCCCUGUUUACUGUCCUGCUCACGGAGUGCAGCCUCAAACUGCUUUCCAUUCUUCAGAACAAAAUCAACAACCUUGUCAAUCAAUCUCUUCAGAUCAGAAGGAGGCUCUAAAAAUAAAGGUUCCUUUAACUUCUCUGAAGAAGCCAAAUAUGAGCCUGAGACAUGAUCCUUUUUAACAUUAGUUGUUCUUCCAGGCUUAGAUGCUGCAAUUGAAGGAUUUUUCUUCAGAGCAGAAAGCUUGUCAUUAGUAUGAACUGGACGCUUUGCAAGAGGUUCCUUUUUCUCAGGCGCAUUUGAACUAGAAUCUGUCUUUUCUGAACCAUGAGAAACAACUGAACUGGCUGUAUUCAUGACUUUGUCUGGAACACCAUUUCCAGUUUCGUUUGCAUCCUCCUCAUCCUCUCCAGACCCAUAUACAGAACCUAGCAAAGACAAAGCGCCUCCAACACCCGCCUUAUUCUGGUUAGUAUCAGCAGUUUCAUCUAAAGAUUGAGUUUUGCCAUCACUAUCUGACUGCAAUAAUUCUUGGUGAUCGACAAGAAACCUGAAGUAUGCGUGAAGAUUAUGGUCAGGCAUCAAGAACCCAAAUGUUGGAUUGUCUCCUUGUUUCACCCUCAAAACAAUUUCUGACUGCCCACCAUGUUUGCUGACAAAUUUAGCAGUCCUUGCAAUAAUCUGAUGUACUUUCUCUGAUGGAGGCUGGAAAAACAGACAAAAGCAAGAAGAUCACCAAAGGUCUGUCAGAAUUUGAAAUUCAAAAUUGCAAAUCCAAAGCAUAGUAGCUUAAAAUCUCACAUUCCAAAGAUACAUCAAGAUAGUCUGACAUAAACAAGUAUUUUAAUAACAUAUACCCACAUUGAAAAGCUGUACGAAAUAUUUCUUAUGCAGUUGCCUUCAAGAAGUAAAUGCUACUCCGUACAAUGAAAAUAUGUACAAUCCUAAUCCCACCUGCACUGCAACUUGGUCAUGACAUCAAAACGACACAAGGUUCCAGUGAAUGGCAACCUUAGAUCACAAUAACUCCAUUCCUGCUCCGAGCAUCUGAAAACUUAGACAGGGUGAGCCUUAGAAUAGCAUGCACAUUACUGGGGUUACUAUUGGCCACAUUUGCAGUCAAGUUAGAGCAAGUAAAUAAACAACCCUGAAAAUCAAAAUGGAAAUGUCCAAUGAAGCAUGUUCACGAUAAUGAACUUACCAAGCUAUGAAGAAGGCUCUCAGGCACAGGGAACGGAGGAAGGAAUCUAGCACAUUCUAGCCCCCCAUCUGCGUCAUUCUGGUCAGCUGAGCCAUUGGUGUUUUCAUAAGAAAAGGCCACAGCACGAUAACCCCCAGCAUCCCCAGGCUUUUCAGCCUCUUCUGCUUCUAGGCAAAACAGAUAUUAGAAUUACCCAAGUCAGUAUGUUCAUAAAAAAAAUGAAAAAAUCAAUAUGCAAAUCCAUAAGAACUAAUCCUAACGGGGCUGUAAGAAAAGGAAAUUCACCAUUGAUAAGUCAAAUUUCAACUUUUUCAGAAUUUGUGGACCUCAAUUAAGUAAAAGCAGCACAAAAGUUUACGAAAUCUAAAAAGAAAAAUGUUAAAAGUGGAGAAGGAGAACAAAAAUUAUCUUACCUGGUUCAUCGGAAGGGGGAGGAAGGUCGAGGUAGCGUUCGUGAUCGAGCUCAGAAUUAUGUGACGAUUCGAUGAGAUGAGGAGUAGUUUGAGGAUUGCGCCGCCUGCGGGGAGGCAGUGGACCGGGGAGGAGGUGGCGGACGUCGUAGCGGUCGAUUAGUAGGGAAUUCCACUCGACGAGCGCGUCACCGGAGUUCACAAACGACGCCAUGGCAUCGUCGUCGAACAGCAGGGCAUGGCGGCCCACCACCUCUAGAUCCAUCAUCGUCUAUAGCAAUUUAUCGGGAUGCAAUUGAAAUGAAACCCUAGCUUACAUGUUAUAUUUAAUGCCACUGUCAGGGAUUAGGAUUUUGUAUUGCAGUAUUACUGUCUAUUGUCUGUAUGUACGUACGUAAUUUUGAUGAUUGCGGGAGGUGGCCGGUUUUGGGCCUAUAAAUGGCCUAUAAAUUGUUCACCUGCGGACACCCUGCUCUUGGGCUUUAUGGGCUUUUGAAUGACUUCCAUGCACUUGGGCCAACAUGCCACCAAGAUGGUUUAUUGGCAUGGUGAUUGACGAACAACAAUAUCAGAGGUUCAAGCCAUUCUCAUUGCAAAUUCACGUACAUUAGUAAUUUUAAUCUUCCAAGUCAUUGCAAAUUCAGCAAAUCACGCAACACAAGGUUAACACUUCUAGUCAAUAUCCUUCUUAAUUGAGUUGGGUCUUAGAGAUAAAUCUUAAUGAAAGAUGCGGCAUCUCUCUUUGCUCAAAAUUUGAAAAAUUUCAUGCAGGCACAACUAGAAUUUUCCUUUAUACAGCACAUGGAUAUUAGUCCAUACAAGGCACGAAAAUUUUCAGCAUCAAGAAGCCCAUUCUCAAUGGCUCCAAGGCCACCAUGUACAAACCACACCCCCCGCCCCCAAGAAAAAAGUAAAAGAAAGGCGAAGUAUUUAUCUGCCCCCAAGAGGGAUGAAAGACUAGAAAAACAGGGGGGAAGAAAGUGCAGAAACAAAUGGAGAUUUUCUUCCCCCGAAGUCGAGCAUUUACAGCCAGAACAACCCUAGUAAAUAAAUGUCAUGAGCUAACUACUGCUAAGGCUAUUUCCUUCAGAAAACCUACUGCUAAGGCUACAACAUUCUCCUAUACCACGAAACUCUGAUAACUGAAACAAGAACUCACUCUUUCAAUGUGAAAGAGAAAUCUAUGAUUCUGGAAGAUGAUACUUACAACAAAGACACUAUACAAAACUACACAAACCAACUUUUGCACCAAAAAGUCUAACCAGUCAUGCUUUCUGAAUUCUGCAAAUGUCCAUCCUCCUGACAACAAAGUUGGCACGUAUUUACAAAGUUUUUGGUAGACACCAAAUAUCUAUCAUCAGAACUCAGGCUUAACUCGGCUAUUUCCAACAGUCUGGAGCAGAUUGUGAGUAUGUCUGUGCGUACCUGUUCGAAUAAGCAGAGCAGGCUCAGAAACAUAAAAGAUGAAAGCAAGAACCACUUACAACAAUGAGAUAUCAAAAUAACCAGCAGACAACACCAAAGAGCAACAUGAUUGAAAUUAAACAUGACACUAAUCAGUGUAACUGAAACAACAUUCGUCCACUUAAAAAUCAAAGCAUUGUAUUCUGGCAAUCAAAUUCUUUUCAUGCUAAAAUGUAAUAAGCCCUCAAGUAGGAAAAUAGUUAUUAUAUCAACUCAAAUAUUUAUAUAGCCACAGAAGACUUGUGACAAGAGACAUCUCUGAGUUGAGGAAGAUGAAAUGCUAGGGUAAGACAAGAUUCUACCUCAUUUUCUCUCUUCCAAUAAUUUUGAGUUAAAAAGAGAAAAAAAUUGGAACAAGGAAAACAAGAUACUGUACUAAGAGAAUAUUCUUCAGCAACUCUAAUGUUGUGCAGAUCCUUGCCCUUUUCUAUCAAUUCCCCCUCAUUACAACUACUGAAGUAACUUAGAAUAUCUCGUAUCAAAUGGUUUGUUUGUCACACAGAAACCAGCAAAUGAUGCUCGACUUACUCUAAAUGAUGAAGCUAUGGAGCUGCAACCUUCAAGUGCAAGAUUUCCACUAGUAGCCUAAAACAAAGAAUAAAGAGUUACAAGAUGAGAAUGGUUGUGAUGGAUCAAAUAACAUCUCCAUGGACUUUCCUUACUAAUUACAAGCAAAAUGGAAGGAAGAAACAACCAGAAAGCAGAGAGGAAGUAUAAAGGGAGGGAAGAUGUCAAGUUACCUGUGAAGGCUCUUGUAAGACAAUAUCCACAAUUUUCUGAAUAAUAGCACGAGAAAAUGACAAAAUUUCUUCUGAACAAGUUGGAUCACCAUAAAUUAACUCAUGAUUGCCUAUUACCUGGUUGUAUAAUAAAUCACGAUUAGCUCAGACCACAGUGUAAAGCAUAUGCAUAUAACACAUAAAUCAAUCAAAUAAAAAGAAGGAACUCGAAUGCAAAAUCAUAUGGGCAUGUUUUGGUGAACUCCAUUAGGUGAUAUCAAAGUUGUGACUUUAAAGACAUAAUUGGAACUGCAGAUUGCAAGUUUUGAGACAUAAUUGGAACUGCAGAUUGCAAGUUUUGAGACAUAAUUGGAACUGGCUUUAAUAUUUCAAUCUCAACCCAACUAUUUCUACACAAAUGCAAAACUAAAUAACAAUAGCAGAGCUCAAUUUACAUUUUAAGGUGUUAUCCUCAACCAUUUCAGUUUCAAUUUGACAUGAACAUAGGGCAGAAAGAGUAACAAUAGUUUGAGUAAAGUAACAAAAUACCUUCCCAGGUAUUAAUUGCAAGGGUAUUGCAUUUUGGGAAAAUGCUGCUAAAAUUGAAAUAAGAGCGCACAUCCCCUUGAUCUUUAAUUUUGAGGUCAUCCUGCAAUAAUAGGACAGAGCAGUAAUGAAAUGUCCACACUGUACAUAAGUAUACAAGACAGUUGGAAGCCCUUACCAUGGUUGGGAAUCGAGGAAAGAAAAUAUUUUCUUGGGGCCAUCCAAGAAUCCUUGUUCAACAUUACCUGAAAAAAUAUUAAUAGAACCAAGUAAAAAUACCAAAAAAAACACGAGACAAAAUCAGAAGUCUUCCUCUCUCAUCAUUUCAACAUAUGAAGUGCUCCACUCACAUACUACAAAUUCUUCCAGCUAUUACUGUAAAACAGAAUCAGCUAAUUUCCCUUUAACAUACAUUCACAUAUGUAAACAUUCAGUGGUCAUGGACCUAUCAUUCUAAACAAUGAAGAAAAGUUAGAAAACAAAAUUUUAGAUGAAAACUAACAGGUACAAUAGCUUAAAAUUGUUAGUGUAAAUAAAAAAUAUAUUCAAUUUUAACAAGGUAAUCAGCUCAAAACACUUCCUGUUCUUUGAGAUGUGCAGGUAACAGUGGUAGGAAGAAGGCCCCACCAUGACAUGUGAUGGCAUGGGAGAAAAGCAUGAGAUCUUAAGUCUAAGUAUAGUAGGUGCCUUCCUCCCUCCACCAAAGAGGAUAAGCACUAAAUUUUAGAUGUCACCCCCUUAUUUAAUCACACUCACUGUACUUAUAUUCAGUGACCAUUCAUGCAUUUAGUGGCAUCAACUUGUAAAUACACCAACCAAAUAAAGCAAAAAAAGCCUAGGCAGAUUCAGUAGACAACAAAUAGAUUUCUGUAAGAAGAAAAUUCAUAAGGUAAAUCAACCUGGGACCACAAUCAUGAGAUUGCAUAGCUUGCAUAUCAGGGAAAGAUUUGCUUCGGUAUCGUUAGUUGUCCGCAAACCUACAAGAAGAGUUGCGCAGAUUUAAUAUGGAUAUCUAAUCUUAUAAAAGCAAAAAACAUAUAUCAGGGAAAAAACAUGAUAAACAGAAUAAAUUCCAAAUAAUUGGUAGAUAAGUCUUUAUACCUUAACCAAGUAACUCAGCUAUGCAUUGCACAAACACAAACCACCAAGAAACAGAGAGAGAAACGACCAAUGAAAAUAAAUUUUCUAUCCUUUUACCAUCUAUAAAUCUAUCAUUUAGAGCUGUCGGGCCAAAUAAGAAAAGACCAAAAAUAGUAAAGGGGAAAAAAAGUAGACUUCCCUGCAAUUAUUUCAAUGAUACAUUCAACCAGUACAAUUAAAAGAAUGAACUAACCAUCCACUAAAUCAAAGUCCUGCAAAUAGCAGAGCGCUGAAUCUAUAAGUCCAUCUGCAUGAGAAACUAAUCCACCCAUCAAAGCAACCUGAUAGAUACAGAAGGCAAUGUACACCAAAUGAUAUAUGCAUCUGCCAAUAAUAUUACCUUAACUAGAAAGAAAGACCCAAAUCAGUACCUCUGCUGUUUCAAGAUAGAGACUGAACCGCCUAAAGUGAUCAGGAAUAGCAGCUAUUGUAACUUCACUAAAUGUUAGGCAAGAUUUGGCAAAAGCGAAAAGAUUACUGCUCUCUUUCAUAAGCUUAAUGGAUAAAAGAUUGCUGGAGUGAACAAGCGUCUCCUGCAAGUCAACCAAGGAAUCUUACAUGUAAUUUCAUAUCUUACAGGCCACUACUUAGACUUGUACCAAGCAAUUCUACAUCAUACACCAAUUACCAAAAAGGGAAUACAUAAUGAACAUAUGCUGUUUCAUAUGCAUUCAAAGAGGAAAAGCACAUAUAAUCAGCACAUAAAGUACACAAACACAAAACUGGUGGCAGAUGCCAUUGGAUUGUCCAGUCCAACCACUGUAUGUAUAAUUUUUUCUCUGACAGCAUGUUUCCACGAACACAAAAAAUAGAAAAUUAAUAGAGAGAGAGAGAGAGAGGAGAGGACAAAAGAGACAAAUUAAUGAUGAGCGCCACUUCAGUGUGCUAAUUUUUGCUAGACUUCUGUUCACUGAAUUUCAGGUUGAGCAAAAUGCCAAAUCCAAGCAGUGGAAGUGAAACUAAUCUUUUCCAAACACUCGCAUCAUAAACAUAAAUAGCACAAUCUCUUAAUCAUCUUCUUUUCCUUUUUGGCAAACAUAAGUGGAUAGAGAACCUUGAGUUCAAUCAUGUCACCAAAGGCUCCGCGGCAAUCAACCAGAAAUGACAAAUUGCGUUCAAAAUCUCGCCCAUAAUCAACCUGAAAGUGUAAAACAUCUCUAUAUUAAAAUAUUACUUGGCAGGAGUCUGAGAAGAAUUUAUCCUACCAUGUUCACAAAACGAGAAAUUAGGCGUGCUGAAUGUUGAUUUUCAUUAUUUCUUAUGUUUGAGAAGUCUGUCCCAUCAUGCAACACCUGAGAAACUUCAAACAGAAAAUGAAUGAUAGUUGGAUCGUCAAUGCAAGUGUUCCUGCCACAUAUACAAAAGGUACCGAGUCAGCAGAUUUCCAGAAUAAGAAGCAAUAGUAACACUACGCUUUCUUCUCUCUCAAAUUUUAGAAGAAGACAUUUCCAAAUUGAUCUUGAGGCUUCUUUUCAGAUACAAAAGAAAUAUGCUCAGCUCUGUUUGACAUUAUGUCAAAAUUAGGAUGUAGUAGGUUUUCAACUAAACAAGUGAAUCUCCCAAUCAACCUAUGCCAGCAAACUCCAAAAGUGAAUGUCCCAUUCAACUUGGGCAGUAGUUGGAAACUUUAGUCACCACAUCUUACGCAUGAAGACCAGUAAAUUCUUUUAAGCAGCAAUAAGCACCGGAAGUUACAAAAUUUUAAAAAGUCACCGCAUUAUAUAGCACACAUGGCACCCAUUGACCAGAUGAAGAGGUUAAGUACUUCAGUAUGCUAAGGGCUGGCGAUAUUGCCAGCGCAAAAAUUUUUUUCCCAGAGCAAUGUUGACCUGAAUACCUAGACUAUCCCUUUGAAGGAAAACCAGUGCUCAUGGCUCAGCAUCACAUUCUUCUCUCUCUCUCUUACUCUCUCUCCAUUGAAUUCCAACUUCCAUGUCCUCCUUGUCCAUGGUAGCUUUUUGCUGUCUUCCCCUCUACCUCAUCUAUGCCUGAGACUUUUGCACCCAAUCCCUCUAAUUUCUCAGUGGCUCCUUCACCAAGCACCCUCUGGUCUAACCCCUUCACCCCUCAAAGAAAGGUCACUCCAUGUCUCAAACAGGUUACAAUCUCUUAGCCACCUUAUCCCUCCCUUUAAUCCACCUAUUUCCUAGCACUAUAAACUCCCUUUUUCCAAUCUCUCUCCUCAAUAUCACUGUCACCCCAAACCAGAACUUUUAAAAGCUCUUUGUCUGAUAUAAUUGAAGAUUAAAAAGUUAGGAGUAGACACAUUCUAAAAACAAAAUUUUGUCAUCAAAUUUUUUGUUUUGUUUCCAGGUGAAAACUGGAGUACCACAGUGGUGUUGUGGUUGUUGGUGGCUCUGUUGAGUGGCUUUUUAACUGCAAUUAGGUGGUUUUAUUAAGCAUAGAAAUUCAAGAAUGGAAUGGGUAAGAAAAGGAGAAGACAGCUUUGUCAGGUCUGCAAAAUUCAGCAAGCUGUUGUUGACUUUUAUAGGGGUAUUUCUAGCAUUUAGAUGAAAAUUACUCUGGCAGGAAAGGUUUUGCUCUGGCAAUAAUGCCAGCCUAUGCUAAACUUUUAAAGAAAAAGAAUCCAACUUACUUUCCCAUGAAACCGAGAGAAUAUUGGUGGCUGGCUUGAAAGAGUGCCCACAACAUUUUGAAGAAAGUUCAAUUUUAAUGUGACUGACAUAAACCAAUACCUUGUUGCCAUUCUAAGGAUGCUAAUGUUGAUGAUGUUCCUUGAGCUUCCGUGCAUCACGUCUAAGAUGUCAACAAAAUGGCUCUGCAAAUUUAUUAUAUCUGAGUCAAUUAUAGAUAUUUAACAAUCCACAGCAACUGUGAAACAGGCAAUCUUGCCAAUUAUUUACUAGUUUUUAAUUAGUAGCCACUUCUUAAUCAAAAUCAAAUUGAAGCUGAUGGGCAGAGUGAGGGAGCAGAAGCAGAAGUUUAAUGAGCAAUAUACCAGUGAUAAUAUAUCUUCCAAAUGAUCAAAAUGAGUAACGAGCUUCAAAAGGAAAGACUGCAAGCCUGAUAGAGCAUUCUUAUCAAUCCCUUUAGCACAUAAUCGCUCAAAUAUUUCAUUCAAUAUUCUGUUCAAAUAAAUGUGCUGCAACAUCAAGAAAGACAAGGUCAACUACAGCAAAGUCUCUUCAGUCUGCUUAAAAGGUAAUAUACAUGCUCAAAUUUUUACUUUUAGUGCAAACCUUAAGUUACAGGACAGUGAGUAUUUCAUAUAAUCCACAAUUAGAACACAUGCUUGAAAUUUGUCUUUAAACAUUUGAAUAGUUAUAAACAAUGAGAGGCUCAACAUGUAAAAAAUAAAUAAAUAAUUUGGUGAUGUAAGUGUAUUGGCUCUAUCCAUUAGCCUCCAACAGUUACUUGAUUGGCAUUCCACUUUGGACAUUAGUGUUGGUAUCAGAGCAGGCUCUGGAGGUAAUCUAUGUGUGACAAACUAAGUGCACUAGACUGGUCUCUACCAGGACAGUAUACCAUUACAAACUUAGACUUGAGGAUUUAAGACCAGGAAGAGUACAUCACUAGGUUACUUCACAUGUACCUAUAGCACUGUAUGGGAGAUCCUCACACACUCUAUAUUCAAAUCUUCAAGAUCCAUAAACAUAAGCAAACUUAAAACUAUGGAGCAAAAUAAAUGCACCUCUUGUCAGGCCAUGAGUAAACCAAUUAGAAAUAUAAGCAAGAAAAAUUUUGCAAUGUCAACAUGCUGAACUGCAAUACAGGCAACUUACCAUUUGAUUAUGCAGAACAAUAUCCACAUAAGCAUCUAAAACCUCCAAAUAUUCAUGUAGUCUAUCAUAGCAAGAAAUGACCUGAAGACAUAACAAACAAAUCAUGAACAGUGAACAUUAAGGAAAUUUCUUCAUAAAAAUUUACAAUUUUCAUACAUAACAUGUAAUGAGAUAUUGCUUUGAGAAUACAUCUAGAUUUCUGCACUCAUCCUGAUUGUGGAUAUUUGAAGGUUGGUAAGAUUCUAGAUCCCUUCAUGCGUAUCAUUUUGUAGAAUCUAGACACAUCGAAUGAAGUUUCUUCUGCAUCUCUAUACUUUUUUUUCGAAUUGCCAAAAAACCAAUCAAACCUAGUAUGCAAAUUAAAAUUUGAAAGCAGCCUCAGGACUUUUUUAGUUAUAACAGGAACCACAUUAAUGAGUUGAAAUUUCCAAUUUGCCAUGUAAUAUGCUUAACGUCUAAUAAUAACCUUUUCUAGAUGACCUAGGGAGCAAGAUAGCAUGUGAUGCAAAAUAUGAAGUUCUGGUAAAAUGUAAACAAUAAAAAUCAAAAGAAAGUACCUGAAUGACCUUAUCCACUAAAGCCAUGGCCUCAUUCACUCGAGAAAUGUUUUCACACAGCCUGAGUCCAAGCAACUUGUAAUUCAAAUACUGCAUUCAAAGUGUGAAAAUUUUGCACUAGGAUAAGUGUCAUAAAUGACAGUAGAGAUAUGUAACUUGAACACUAGAUAUGUAGAAAUUGUGCAAGAAUAAAAUAUUAGCUACCUGAUCAUAUGAAAAAUCAAUAUUGCACUCAAUCAGAUGAAGAAUACUCAUGGCAUUAGCACAGAUUAGUCCAGUAGGGAGCUCCUUUAGUAAAUGAUGAAGAAUAACUGAAAUGCAUGAACAGUCUCCAAAUAAAUGUGACUUGUCCUUUCCAAGUCCAAGCCCCACAAUUACAUCACGAACUUGAACCUUUUAACAUAAGAGUGAUACUCUCGGUCAGAUCAUUGCCAGGACAGUUCAUAAAAAAUUACUACCAAAAAAUGCAAUAUAUUGUUUCCACAUGAGAACAAUAGUAAAUAUACACCAUUCUCUGUAAAACAGUAUUACACAAGAUGACUGACACCUAAUUUCUACUCCCAAAUCCAAGUUGCUCAUUCUAACCAGCAUAUUAAAGCAAUAUUGGUCCUAGUAAUACCAGAAAGAUUUUUAUCCCCCAAAAAUUACUGUAAAACCAGCAAACAAGUAUGCAUAUAUGUACUAUGCAAUCAUACCUGAUUUAAAUCCUUAUAUAUGCAUCUCAUCAUAUACUCAAUAGCAGGUUCCAUGAGGCUCAAAAGCAACCUUCUAUCUGCUAGAGAGAUUAUGCAAGUUGUUUCUUGCAGUGAAAGAAUGCGCAUCAUUACAAAUUUCAAGUCAUUGAUGCCAGUGACAAGGUAUCCUGUUGGAGACCAAAACGCGCAGUUUAAAUUGGGAGAAAUAAAUCAAAGAUGGUAAGAGCCUAAGAGUAAACUUGAUAUACCUCAUCAAACAUAUCUAAUUUCAAAUAGAAACACACAUGGCCAGAAUGAAGCCAAGUCCAGAAAUUUUUUUUAAGAUUGUAAAUUGAUUUGUUCCAAGUUCGGAAAACAAUCCAUAUAAACAGCCAAAGAUAGGCUAAAUAAGUUUUUCAACCUUAAGCAGUCCUAAUUUUUUUCCCUUAAGCUUUAUGCUUUGCCAGAAAAGUUUCCAAGUACAAGGUUCCAAAGGGAAAAUGAAGCAAAAAUUAGCUUCAAGCUUUUCAAUAAGCAGCAUCUAACAUGCUUGGCAAUAAAACUGCAAUUUCGAUAGAUAUCCCAUGGACUUAAGCAGUAAAAUUAACAGGUUUUCUUAUUAUCCUCCAUUAAAGAACCAAGUUGAAGGGAAUUGGCACUGAACACCAAAAAUUUUAGAUGUGCAGAGAUUAAAAAUGAGAACAAUACAUGUAAAAGUAUACAUAUGAAUGUUCAAACAGUAAUGACUAUCUAUGUUGUAUAAUAAAUUACUAGCAUGAACAAUCUAUUCAAAUAAUUUUGAGUCAGAUCCAGAGUACUAAUCGCAUUCUAGUAUAACUCCAUAUAUAUGCCACAAGUCAUACUAUUCAUACACUAUAUACUCAUAUGCAGAGGAUUUUGAUCAACUCUGAAAACAUUAAGAUUUCGGCUUAAGAAAAUUGUAUACUGAAAAGACGUAUAAUGUAUAUUUUGCUAGUUUAAAGCUUAUUUUCUCUAUUUGGGAAAUUUACGUACUUUCAAACCUUAAGUAAAAAGAACGUGCACCAUUAAAAAUAGUUUUUGGAUAAAAGUAGUUAUACCUAAAUCGUGUUGAGGUAGUUUUUGAGCUCGGUGAACCAUAUAUAAGUGGCAGUAGGCCAAGGCUAUUGGAUCUGCAAUGCCUCUUGUCAUCAUGGCCAAGCGCUGGAGGCUACUCAUAGGAUUGUCAACAAGGAAACGCCAGCAUGGCAGUACGGCCAGUUCCAGAUAGCUGAUGAGGACGAUGAAAGCUGUUAGCACAUAUGAUUACAAACCAACAUGCAAAAAACAGAUCACUAAAAUUAUUAACUUUUACUUUCGUAACUCUUCCCACCAACACCCCCUAAGGUUUUUUUUCCCCUGAAUUUACAUUCAACUUCUCUUGGAAAGUCGUGUUAAAAGUUAUUCACAAGCAUCAAAUUUAACUCUUUUACAUGACUAACCAAAGCAAGUUGAGUGCAGAUUUUCCAGAAGGGAUUUACAAUAAAGGCACUGAGAUAACCUCUAUACAAUAAAGACACUGAGAUGAUCUCUAUGGUAAUUUUCAUCAUUGUACUUCAGGGAUUUAUCACAAUUCCUCAUCAGUUUAACAAUUUAAUUUUGCAAAAAAAUAAGAAACAAAAAUUCAGAUUUAAGGUGCAACCAGCAUAAAAAAAUCAGGUUCCCUAAUUUUGUAACUAUUAAGAUGUAUUAGAUAAUUCAAACAGAGUAAAGUUAUGUACUUUUAGACUCCAUUACCUUCACCAUCCCCAUAAUUUUAUUUGUUUUAUUGUUUGUUCUUUUUUCUUGUGGGGGAGGGAGAAAAGACAUUUACCAGGAUAAUUUUUUCUUUUUUUUUUUUGAAUUUGGGUGCUUAAAAAGGAGAAUUAAAACCAAUGGUGCACUGAGGUGUAUAUAUUUAAGUAAUAUCAAGGACAUGAAAUAUAAAAUUGGGGCUUAAACAAGUUAGCAUAUGGCUUGUAAUUGACAGUAAAGAAGCUUGGGUUGUUUGAAACACACAGGUGCAUAGAAAAGGUGAAGGGGCAUCUUGCUAGAAAUUUUCGAAAUUUCUCUUGCACGAUAACCUAAUCUCUAUUUCAAGAGGUACACUUAAAGUGCUACUUUUGCAAGAUUGAUUUUCAAAUAAGACGGAGAACCUAAUGAGAGAGCUCCUUGAUGGAGUGGACAAUGACAGUAAGCAAAGGAUAUUGGUAGAAGACUACCAGCCAAUGAUGGACCUAGGCUUACUUCUGCCAAGUAGUCUAUGAAAGUCUCAAAUUGAGUACUGAAGUCAAACUACUUGUCCUCCCCAAAAGAGCAGCUGAAAUCAACCCAUGGCAAAGUAGCAUAUCUGUUUAUUGAGCAUAGUCGCCCGACUAAGGUUUUGGGACAAGAAGAGAGGCAGUUCCAAGUGUUCGUGUGCCAAUUCCAAUUGAGGUAAUGCUGGUUGAUCCUCCGCAGUUAAUGAACCUCUUUCAAGGAUCAAAGAAAUCAUAUUUGGGUUCCAUCAUUCUUCCCAUGUAUUCAGAUUGGGAGAAUAAGACUAUAGUUUACUACACCAGUACAUCUUCUAAGUGGAAAAUCCUAAAAUUUGAUAAUGUGCAGGAUUAGCAACUCAUUCAAUGACAACAAUAUGUUAAUACUGAGAAGGCAGUUUAAAGACGUCACAUGCGCGGAAGAAGCUCACGGAUGGAACCGAUUUUGGAGAACCAGUUGUUGCAAGUUUCUUUAGCAUCAUCAGAAAUACUAUUGGCUUCAAAAUCAUCUGCCACAAGUUACACACAAGUUGAUGCAAAUAUCAUAAUGAAUCUCUUAAAAAUUUCAAUAUCCAAAUAAGAAAUUACAUGAAUCAUCUGCAGUAUAUAAAAGUACAGAGAUUUAGACUUAAGCUUCAGAAAGAGGGUGUAAAUCUGCAAGAGAAGAAGAGACAGGAUUCUAAGUGUCAUGGUUAAACCUGGCAAAGAAGAAACGAAUUUUCUAUCUUCCGUGUGCUCAGCUUUCUGUCUAAUUCGUUGCCAUACCAUAUCACCCAGCAUAUCCAUCACAUCUGUGGCUAGAACGAAUAGUGUUGGAUAAAAUUGUACAACAGAUGUGUCCAUCAGAAGUCUGGCAACCUGGAAAGAAGAGAUACUAUUUCAAAAGGCAACAGCUAACAAUAUCUCUCCUAUUAUCCACUUCUUGACUGUUUUUGUUGAUGCCAAAGUAAACAUGGCGCAAAAUCAUCUAAGCGAAGCAGAGGCCAAAAACGCUCUUUGAUCUCAAGGAAGUUUCGGAUCUUAGUUCAUUACAAGUUAACAGCAAUUUAGUCAUAACUCUACAUGUUAAUAUGUUGCAGUACAGGUUAAAAUUACUUAUCAAGUGCCAGAGACAUUAGCAAAAAAAAAAAAAAAAGGACAGGUAUCCUCAUUUAACAAGUGCCCAAAGAAAGUUUCUCGAAGAAAGGUGAGCAAAUAAUCUUUACUUUCAGGAAAGUAGUUUUGUUACUAUAAAGCUUCAGCUUUGUUUCCCUUGUUCCAGCUGUUUUUGUCAGCCCCAAUAAGAAAAGGCUAGCAUAAACAGAGGAUAUAAACCACACCCAUUUACUGAAGCAACUGUAGUCUGAGUUCUCGAAUGACAGGACAAAAGACUUCCUCAAUGUUGUUAUAAAAACUUCCACUACUUCGUAUAGUUUUAUGAUAAUAGUUGACAAAAAUUAGCAUCAAAUACGGCUAAAACGAUUUGCAAAACAAUAAAGCUCACCCUGAUGCACAAUUUCAAAGAUGUCACAUGCUCCUUUUUACUCCAAGAAAGCGCAAUCUCAUCUUUGAGUUCAUAUAAACGUAAAACAUAUUCCCUCUGACUUAUAACUUUAAGACCUUCUUCUGUAAAUUUUUGAGGAUCAUCCAGUUCUUCCAAAUGUGAAUCCACAGGUGAUUUGUCAGUUACUGCAAAAUAUUUAUACACCACAAAGUUUAAAAGAAAUUUGAAUGCUAAUAAAGAUAAGCUACCUUGCCAUUACAAUCCAAAGGUCCUUCAGGAACAAUAAAGACACUUAAGCUCCAGCAAAAGAAAAGGAAGGGGUAGAAAACUGAUUACCAAGCAAUUGCAACUCCUAUAAAUGCAGGGUCUUGGAAGAAUUAGGUUUUGUACAGCCUUACCCCUGGGAGCAAUAAGCUUAUUCUAGGUACAGAAUAAAAAAGCCAAUACAAGAUGCAUCAUACCCUUUCCAGUCUUCAUAAUUGCAUUUGAAAUCUGCAAAAUGUGGCCGGUAAACAUUUACCAAUUGAAAUAGAACUCUUAUGCAGAAGAUCAAAAUGGCAUCAUGCUUGUUAAGAUGACAUGGGAGUGGCGGAGUAGGGGACUGGCAAUAUUCCUCUUUUUUAACUAAGUUAAUAUUCUUCAUUUAAAUUACACAAAUUGUACCUAAGCUGUAGAUGAGACUACAUCUGCCAUUCUUUUAGAAGGGUAUAACAGCCCUGCAAACAAAACUUAUGUCUCAUAGGUCUUGAGGAUAGCAAGAUAUGAUGUUUAUAACUCAUCCAGCAUUUCGAAAGACUAAUUAAGUCGCAGAUGUCUAAUAAUGCAAAACCUGUGAGGUUUGUAUGCAGUUGUUUCACCAUAGACAAAUGCAUGAAAAUCCAAGCAUGUCAUACUGAGUUUGCAAACAUAAGAUCCUAAUAAAAAAAGAUCCGGGUUAUUUCUUGCCGAGCUUCCAACACUACAAUGAGUUGUGGAGAGUUACCUUUCUUAUAGACAAUAAUUUAUAGAACUAGUCCCUAAAUAAUACAAAUACCACGGGAAAACAUGAACAAACAUACAAAAAUUACAUUCUUAAUUAAAGCUUAAAAAGCCCCAAAAAAAAGACUUACUGAAGAUAACGGGAUAUUCUUAGAUGCAGAAAAUCUCUGCAUCAAGAUUUUCUUAAAAGAAGUCCAUUCCUUGGAAGAAGACUGGACAGAAGCUUCAUUGGACGGUCCUCCUGUAAUCUCUUCAUCUUGAAAAUCCUCAAAAGAAACUUCCUUUUUCUCAUUGAUCUUCCUAAGUGGAUCAAAAAAAUCAUUUUCUUCCUUCUCCUUAUGCACCAAAUCAACCUUUAACAGAUUCCUAAGUACCAUCAGCAUAUUUUAUACGAAGGAUCAAACAAAUGUUAAGAAGAUUUGGUUAGAACAAGAAAAAAAAAGACAACAUUCCUCAUUGAAGACGUGAAAUUGACAAGCUGUUGAACUUAAGCAUAGCUUAUACUUUAUGCACUGAUUAUGGAUCAUAUUGAUGGGGAUUAUUUACCAAAAGCCAUUAUCUAAUCUUUCUUUGACUGUAAUCCAACUUGAUUUGUGCAUCACCACCUAUCCUAGCGAGACGUAAAAACUCUCAAAGGUGGCAAAUCCCAUCCCUUUAAUUCUAUCACACAAGGUGGCAAAUCCGAUCGUUUUAAUUCUAUCCCACAAAAUUUCAACUAAAAUGUUCAAUUGUUUCUUCGAUAAUUACCAACAAGAAGUCGCGCUCUAUGAUUAAUUCAUAGAGCUUCCCGUUUCUCUCCAAAUCGUCUUCCAUUUUAUCAUUCACACUUAAAUAACAUAACAAAACAAAACAAGAGAACCUAAAAACCAUAUUCCGACUUGCACAUUGAAGUAGACAACCUCAAAAACAAUCAGAAAACAUAGGGAGAUUAAGCGUUUUGGGCACAGGCAUUCAAUGAAGUCCACCAGAAACUCACUUUUUGAGUCCAAGCAAGCAAAGUUGUCAUAUCGUAGCCAGAUAAAUUUAGUUAAGAGUACAUAAAAGAUUCAAUUUUGGACCAUAAUUCUAGCAGAUUCUUCUUAUUUCAAUUCAAGAUUUUUCAAACUUUAAGAUGGGGAAGAUAAAAAUGUUUAAAAGACCUGCUGAAGCGUUUCAGGGGAAGUGGACAGAGGAUGAGUUCCUGCAGGUAGACGAGGGAGAGAGUAAGCCUUUUCCUCUGUUAUAUAAUCUCUAUGUCUGAACUCGAGCUCCAUCCAGGAAAUUUAGCGCGCAAGACACUAGCGAGUGUGUGAAUCCGAGAGUUCUUGGCGUUCCAACUCCGGUUCUGGGUUUUACCGUCAAGGAAGGGAAGUGAAGAGUUUUGACUCCGUUUGGUUGACGGGAAGACGUAGAAAUGAAGGGAUAAAUCCCCUUGAUAUGCUACUAGGAGAGGUUCGCCGCGCGAAUGCGCGGUGGAUAAACGCCCCAUUAUACCCACUUAAUUUUCAAAUUAUUAUGUAACAGAUGUAAAUGAUAAACAAAAUAUUUAGAGUUGUAUUCUUAGAAAUUAUAUAUAAUUAGUUCAAAAUUGUAAAAAUAUGAAAUUCAAGAGAUGAAAAUUAUUAUACAAUACCUUUUAAAAAAAGGCAAGAAAAACAUGAUUAGAACAUACACAACUGGCCAUUGACCCAACAUACAAAUUAUAUUGUGCUGUCCUCAAAAUUUACGAAUGAAAUCUCAUUCUAAAAAAGCAUCAACAGUCACAUAUAUGCAUCAAUUAACAUAAUUAAAAACUCUUUCUCAACAUAUCUUGUCUUUUGAGUUUUUGAGGAAGGCGACCUCACAAUUUUUGCACAGCUUUGAUGCUAAAGAGGUUUUACAGCAUUAUGGGAUAAAGCCAAUCAAAAGAACAAUAAAAUCCUCCAAAAAGUAUCAAGGAUAUACAUCAUAAAGAAACCUCAUUUUUUUUUCUUUUUCUUUUUCUUUUUUGGGUACAUUGGAAGAGGUCAUAAUCUCUUAAAUAGAAACAAAAUGAGAAUAAGCAACUGCUAACACAUACGCUUCCAACAAAUCUGGCAUCUCUGCAGGGAUGUCAUCAAGAACUUGUAAACCUAAUGGACCAUAAAUGCUGCACUUGGCCAAUCAAUUUGUAUAUUGAUUGCAUUCCCUCCAAAUAUGACUCAGCUAACAGUCCCAGCUCCUUUGCUUUAACUCUCAUAUCUGAAUAAGAAGAUUAUGAUCCGAUGAGUUCUGAUACCUAAAUUUUUAACUAAAACUGCAUGCAAGAAAAAGACCAAUCAAAUGGAUCUACAUAUACCGUGCAAUAGCAAGGGCAUAGAUGACUGCUAAUAUAUCCUUCACAUCAUGCAAGUCAAUCUCACAAGUCACAACUAUCAUUUGGAGUAGUCUCAUGCUGUUUCAAAAGAUGCAAGCUAAAUUGCUAAAUGAAAAUAAGAGGUUUGCCACAUGCAAAAAACUCGUGAAUGGUUUCCAAGCAAAAUUUACUCUCAGUUUCGACGUUAUGUACAACUAAAACCUAACUAAAUUUAAGUGCAAACAUCUGCUCCAAAAUCUAACUUGGCAAGUUUUCGUAUAGGAGAGCAAAAGAAUCAAGAAGAUUUCUCAAUAAAGCAGGACAAAAGGAAGUUUCUAAAAAUUUUCAACUUAACUUUGAUGCUCUUAGCCCAAGGACAACAAAAAAUUAGAACAACCCACUAAAAUAAAGUAUAGGAGAAACUUUUCAUGAAAGGGAGAGGAAGGAGAGAAAAUAUGAUUGGCAUUCAGAGGAGGAAGGGAGAAAAGAAUAUAGCAACAGAACAAAGAAUGAAGUAGAAGGGGAGACAACAUUGGAAAAAAAAAAAAAAGAACUGUCUAGAGCAAGCUGUAACCUUGUAAGCAACUCAAAAACAAAGAUAAGAUAUGAAAUAAUUUUCUUUUAUACUGCACAUUGGCCAAUAUUUACAGCCUCAAAACCAGCUAGAAUUCCUCAAAUUCAAACAAGUCGGUAUCUUAUUAUUUUCUUUAUUAGUAAAAAGAAAAGAAAUAAUAUUAUACUUUUCCAUUCCAAACAAAUUAAUACAAGGUAGACCAUAAAACUGCCAAGUAGUCUGAAUUUUCAUUAUAAACUAUGCAGCCAAUAUCGAAUAGUAAAGCUACAAGUCAAAACACAACUACAUAAGCAAAUGCCAUGAUGAGCUUCAAGAGAAACAGGAAAAGACUCACAUGAGAAAUUUACGAAGCACUGACAAUUAUUAGGUUGAUACAAUUUUGGAGAAAGUCAAGGAAUGAAAUUUGUGAAAUCCUUGUUAUCAAUACAUUUUUAAGGAAUCCAAUCAGACACAUAAUAUUAUGCAGUAAUAAUUAGCCUUUGAAUUGCAGUAGCAUUUUUAAGGGAAAACAUGGCUAACAAAUUACCCUUUGAAUUGCAGUAAUAAUUAUAAUAGUAAUAACUACUCUAUGCUCAAUCGAAAAUACAUUUUAAGCAUCCAAUCAAACUGUUAGUCCUCUUUUACAUCAUUCAUUUAGCAAAAUAUUUGAUCUAAAAGCCUAGAGAAUCAGCAAAAACUACAAGGUGAGAAAACAUAUAUAUGUCUAGAAAAAAUGAAGCAAUAUUGAUUGAUCUCUUUCAACUAUUUCUUCCUUUAGAUAAUUGUUUGCCUUUUCUUCAACAUCCACAGCUUCUAGAAGAAUAACCUACAUUAUUUUAAAAAAAACCCUCAAUAUAUGGCUAUCAAAGACUAUAUUAGAAUGAUUGAUAAAUUCAGCAUGGCAAAUGAUAGAACACGAGUAUAAUGCAUAACAAUUAUGAGAAAAGAUAUCCACCUCAAGAGUACAUCAAACUGAACCUCCCAACUUCAUAUAUGAUUCAGAUGCAUAACAAUUCAUCUUGAGAAGGCAAUAGUUUAAAAAAAAAAGAAUUGGUAAAAUUAACAAUUUCAACACCCACCAGACACUUCGUGAAAACCACUAAAUAGCACAAAAAUCAGAAAUUUGAAAUUCAAAGUUAAGGUAAUCUAGAAAGAUGACCACAAAAUAAAAAGAAAAGACGAUAACCUGAAAAGCUAAAUCUUUUUCUCCUCCCUUUAGUAUUUCCUUGUGAUUUUCCUCAAUCUAUCAAAUAGGCAGCAAUCUAAGAUUAUGAGGAGCAGCAAAACUAAAGAAGCAAGCAAGAAAUUAAAAACUUCAGAAGUGAAAAGGAAGCAGAAACUUGAAGGUCCAAUCUAGUGUAAAAUUGGAAAAAUGACAGGGAAAUAAAUCAAAAAAAAUUCACAACCUGAAAAGUUAAAAUUUUUUCUCCUUUCAGUAGAUAUUCCUUCCAUUUUUUCAAACUGUUUUCACAUUUGAAUACUAUAACAUUGAGAUACCAAGAACUAUAUAUUACAUACACAGAAAAAAUAACUUCACCAAUAAUGAGUAACCAUAGAAAAAGGGCUUUAAAAAUCUCAUUUGGCAAAUUCACAUACGAAAUAAAAGCUCAAGUAAGAUAUUGUCAAUAAUAUUAAAAAAACCCAUAAAAGUAUAAACAAACAAUUAUUAGAUCAAACUUGGCUGUUUGGUCUUACAAUUACUACGGGCAGAAUAGACUGCUAUUGUAGGCAAUGAACCACAUAGUUCAAUCGUCAACUCUGCUUUACCCAACUUGCUCACAAACACUUCUAGAACAAAGCCAUGUAAUUAAAUGAUAAUGCUCAAAAUGUAAAAGCAUUUGCUAAAAAAUUGAUCUUCUAGUUUUUGAAACAUUAAUGAGGUGUUAUCAAGAUUAAAAUGCAAAGACGAAAAGUAAGUUUGUAAAAUCUACCCAUUAAAUUGGCGAAACAAAUUGUGUAACCUAACCAUGCUAUGAUAAUAACCAAAGUAAUAGGCUCUUUGAAGAGCUAAGAGAGCCGGGAAAAAAAAAGGAAGAACAGGCCAGAAAAGAAAUUGCCCCAGUCCAACUCAUCAUUCAAGAGUAGAAAGGCAAAGAAAAUUACAAGCCACAACUAUUCAAUAUGUCAUUUUUAACUUUCACAAGCAAAUGUACAUGUAUCAACCCCCUGGGAGUUUCUAUUCCAGCUUCGUAACCUUCAAUUGUUGAGGGAAACUAUCUAUCAAAUAAACAAAAGAACGCAAUUAGGAGAUAAUCUAAAUCCUAUCAGCAUAUACAUUUAAGAAUCUAGGGAAGGGAAAAAUUUCUCUUAUUCAGGGGGAAAAACCCUGAAGAAUACAAAAUCAGUCUGUUUACCACCAUGCGUGCAUUAUCUUCAAUGAAUGCCGCACUGGUAGCUAUUAAGUGGUGAUUUUUUUUUUUUUGCAUUGAUAAUAAAGAAAUUGCACAUGAGCCACUGUAAAUGAAUCAUUCUUUUCCGCAGGACCAAUAAUUACAAUACUAAAGCAAACUAUGAACCAAAAGGUAAAUACAUCAAUACAUUGAAACUGCAUAUAAGCAAGCUAACAAAUGAAUUUCAAAUCAAAUAUUAAAUAAUCUGCAAUAAAUGAAAAUUUCUUACUAAAAAAUUCAGAGACUACAAAAUUACAAGGAUCUCAUGGUAAAAAAAACAUUAAGUAAACAACAAUACAUCAAAUGACUAAACAUACCUAAUUAAGUAGAAAAAGGCUAAACAUAGAACAAACUUAAGUAGCCUUAAAGCUAGUGAGAAUAAUAUAAGCAGCUUCCCUCCUAUCACUACCAGCAAUCAGCUUAACACAAAAUACCUAUUAAAAACACCAGAUCAGUUUUGGAUACUCAAAAAAACCCAAAAAGAAAAAAGAAAAAAAAUUGCAAUCAUGGGCUCUGAACCAAGUAUAAUCCCUCCAUACAUAAAAAUCUUUCCUUCUUGUACCGGAUGAUGGCACAUAAACAUUAAGAAACAAUAUGAUUUUCCAUUGAAUGCCUUCUUCACAGAAUGUUUGAGACAAAUAAAUGGAGGAAAAAGUAUAAAUCUGGAACCCAUACAACAAAUUGAACAAAAGGUGAGAUGGCCCAAAAAAAUAAUCACAGUUAAGAGUAUGGCCAAAUAUACACACUUUUGGCAAUCACUUUUUCCUCAUUGUGUAACAGAAUUUCUUGCACUGCACAAAUGUAAUUUAAGAGCAAGGACUUUUUGGAAUUUGAUACACCAGACAUGGUAAGUUCAACCAAAAACUCAAUAUUGGACUGAAGCAAAUUACAACAUAAAAACUUUUGGUUCCGCUGCAAAACUCAGACACCCAUAAGGCAUUUUAGCAAUAAGUGUUAACCACACUUGUAAAUGCAACUACACCACUCUAUGCAUACUCUAAAUACAAAGUCACAACUACUGCAAUGGAAAAGUAAUGACAAAGACAUCUAUUCCAAGCACAAUUCAAACAGGAUCUCCCAAUACCAUGUAUAACUUGGAUGCAUAACCAUCCGUGUUAAGAAGGCAAUAGUAAAGAUAAAAGGCAAAACUACGAAAUAAUACCUAUAGCUACUUUGUGAAAACCAAUGAAUAGAAUAUAACUUGAAAGCUGAAUUUCAGGUGAGCUGCAAAGAUAAUUGGGGAGAAAAAAAGAACUGAGCCUAAAAAGUUAAAUCUAUCUCUUCUUGUGGAUUUUUCUUGCAUUUUUCCUCAAUCUACUAAACAAAAAUCAAAAUAUGACAUAAAUGGAAAAUAAGACUAUUAGCAGCAGCAAAACUAAAUAACUAAACAAGAAAUUAAAACAUAUAAUCUUCAGUUGAAGAGAAGGUUAAGAUCUCUGUGUCAAAGAAGCGUCAGAAGAAGAGGAAAAAGUCAGAUAUAAAGAAGCAGGUGGUGCCUCUGGGUGCUUAAAUAUUCAAGUUUCUUCAUCAUUUGUAGUUCAUUUUAACUUUGAUCAUUGUUACUUUUAAAGAACUUAAAGGACUCUAUAGAUGGAAAGAUGAAAAGACCCUAAAAAAAAGGAUGAAACAAUGACCUUGAGUAAAUUCAGCUUUUGGUGAUUUUUUGGAGUCUAUUAGAGGAGAACAAUCAAGACUACAGAGCUCAAAUACUAUUGCAAAGUGAGCUAAUACUAAUGCUUUCCCUUUAAAAGUCAUGCAUAGAUCAGGUGGCUGAGAAAGUUAACCACCAAGCAGAUGUUGUGUAGUUCUGUGGAAUGAGAUAGAUAUUUUAGUACUUAUAGCAUUUUCAGCGAAACUAUGUGUAUCAAAUAAGCUGUAUCAUUAGUACAAAAACACAAAAAAAAAAGGGUAAAAAAUUAUAUAUAUAACUACAGGAGCUGCAGAAAAAGUACCUAGAUAUUCACCGACGAAGAGCAGAACCUGCAGACAAAAAACAAAAUAGCCAAUGAUGAUGAAUAUAACAGCACCAUUAGUAUGAGAACACAAAGACAAAACUGAAAUACGAAAUCAUCCAUGCAUGUGCCAAUUGCCUCAUGCUGAAGUUAUUCUUAAUGCUUAUAAUUCCAAUGACCUGUGAGAAGAAUAGAACUAUUAAAUCAAUUUAAACAAGCUUACAACUUACAUGACACGGCUUUGGAAACUACAGAUUCAGCAGGCACAUCAUUAAGCAAAAAAACUAAGACCAUGCAUGCAACAGAUCCAGCAUUAGAUGAUAGGCGACACACUACACUCUAAAGCAAAACCCAAAACCAGAAUUUGAGAGGACACCUCUUGGCUACUGUGAAUUUUUUUUUUUUUAGAGGACAAUAGCAAAUUAGCAAUGCAAACGAGGCAAAUACUUAAACAACUAACUCCAAAAGCAGAAAAAAAGAGAGAAAAAUAUCCAAUUCUUGGAACCUUAGUAAUCACUAAAACACAUGGAACUUUGCGCACAAUGGAGAUAAACAAUUAUGUAUCAGAUCCUAAAUUUCUAACCACACAAAGCAUUAGACAUCAAAGAAAAAUUCCAUUGGGCAAGAUAUGAGAAUGACAUUCCAAAAAAAUACUCUAAACAACGGAGUGAGUAGUCAAGAAAGAAACGGAAAGGAAGGGAAAAAAAUAGAACGCAUUAAUUCUUUCGUAUACUUACCAGUUACCAUGAAGCAAGCACUUGUACAACCAAAAAACCUGAAAAAAAAAGAAAGAAAAUAUUCGAUAACUACCAGAUAAAAUCAGAAGAAUAAAAACUGAUCUUAAAAAAAAUAAACAUAUAAAGAAAAGCAAAAUCUACCUAAAGGCUGUCCUAGCAAUUGUUUCCCCUUUUCAUCUCAGUGGCAGCUAUCAGGACAAAAAAAUAAAUUUUAUGUAUAGCUAAGAAAGAAAAAUAUGGAAAUUGGGCACAACAUGGAAAAAAAAGAGGAAAUUUUCACCUCAGCUAACUCCUUUGAACUUCAUUUGGUUUUUAUUGGUUUCAUCCGCGCAAAGUGUAGAGUAGUUCAAGCAUACAUUAAUGUGAAAGUUCCCAACAAGAUUAAGAUCCAUAGAAUAAUAGGUGGAAGCAAUCUUGUUUGUUCAAUCAAUAUUUAAAAAAAAAAAAAAAAAGAAAAAAAUGGCGGGGAAGGAAGAUGCGGAUGAUCAAGAGGAAGAAAGGCCAAUGAAGAAGAAGAUGAGGGAGAGAUACAGGGACGGUGGAAAGUUGUUCUUUGUCAGGCGUGUACAGGGACGGUGGAGUCUAUUUUACACUCACAGGGCAUUCAAAAGAAAGAUUCUUUUGAAUAGAGUUUGUAAAAUUUGAGGAGCAAUAAGGGUAAAAUUAUAAUUUCACUGGCCAUCAUUGAGCCCAGCACCAACCCUUGUCAUUCAACCUGACGAAUCACACGCACACCUGCUGCAACGCGGGCCAGCCGGACUCCCGUUUCUUCUCCUCUUUCUUCGGCUUGUAAUCUUCUUUAGUCUUCUAGUCUAGUGUAGUUAGAAAGAAAGAAUGAAUGGAAAAGAAAACCAAAUGGGAAUAUAAGAAAGGUAAGCUACCAAGUUGGACGAACACUCUUUAGCCAACCACAUUUUGCCACAUCAGCAACACAAACAUCACUUUGAGGCAUGGCAUUCCCUCUUUUAUAUAUAUGUUAAUGACCGCAAUAAGUUAGAUUUCACACAUGAUUUGAGUGUAUGAUUUUGUUUAGAUUACAAAUUUUCGUAACAUAUUUUUCAAUCACUUCCACUUCCAUGCCUCGUAUACAUCAUGUCCCCAUAAUAUAUUUUUUUCCAAAAACACUAUAAAUUUCUUGCUUUAUUGACGAAAUCAAUGGCUACCAAUUCCGUCAUUCGCAGUUAAAACGGACGCAAUGAUACUUGGAGUAGAGCAUAAUAGGUACAAAUUCAAGCAAUCAAAAUAAACUUCUGCAUGAUUUUCACUCGGGACCACUAAUUCAUCUAUACUCAAAUCACAAGCUGCUCAGCUUAAUUGAGUUUCAUAUAUUUUAGAUUUGUUCACACAUAUUAUCGUGUGUGCAUUGAAUAAACCUAUCUACAUUGAACAGUAGCUUAAACUGGUCAAGUUUAAUAAAACUUCACACCAAUAUUACAUCUUUAAUCUGCAUAUCGAUUUAAUUGUAUCCGUAAUAUCCAACUCUAAACUAAAAUUGCAUUUGAGCCAAAAACAAAAAAUUAGAGUCGAAUUUUAAUUAAGCUCUGAGCCAUAUAAAACAUUUCACUCGUGCUCGAAUCGACUGGAUUCCAUCGACCACGUGACCAGUUCUGUCCAGAGUCCAAUUGUGUAAACUAAUAGAAUUUUAAUAUUGUAUAUUGGUAUAAUUUUGGUCUAAAUGUGAGUUAUAAUUAAAUUGAUGUAAAACUCAUAAUUGUACCGAACAUAUGUUAGUUUAUAUUGAAAUUAUACCAUUUUACGCAGCUAGGCAAAAUUAGAUAGAAGUCAUAGAACCUCAACUAGAGAAAGAAGCACCGAAUCCCGCUUGAUACCAUCUUAUUGAGUGAGUAGCUACUUAAAAUUAAAUGUUUACUGACAGUCAUUUUUUCCUAUAAUAAGGUUAUUGACAUUGACAUCAUUCGAGAAUGGCUGAUGGGUCGAAAAAAUCAUUCAAAAAGAUAGCAAAAAUUAUCAAAAUAGUCCCUCAUAUUUCAAUAAAAUUCUCUUUUUGUUCCUUACAUAUAAAACCUUGGAAAAUGGUUCUUCACAUAUAACAAAUAUCAAUUUGAUCCUAGAACAUAUUUCCUACCAAAUUUAUAGCCAAAAGAUACAUGUCCAAUACUUUCAACCGCAAAAUAAAAACAAGAAUAAUAUUUUCUACUAAUUAUUUAACAAUUUUAACUAUAAGAACUUUUAAAAACUCCUCAACAUUUUUAAAAUACACACCUUAAAAUAUAAAAAAAAAACCCACACAAAUUAUUCUUCUUCUUACUAAAAGUAUGAAUACGUGACUCAAGUUUGCAUUUUUUGACUAGAAAUUUGGGCAGAAAUAGAUUUCGAAACCAAUUUUAAGUAUUUAUUAUUAUAUGUAAGGGACUUAAAAAGUUUUUUUUUUUUUAAAUGUGGUAGACUCUUUUGAUCAUUUUCCCCAAAAAAUUUUGCUAAAAAAAUUCCGAUCUUGUUGCAACAUGGUUGAAAAAAGAAGGAAUUAAAAAAGUGUAUCUUAAUUUUCUCCCAUAAUUUCUGAUAUGUAAUCAAUAUUAAAACUGACUAUCUAAAACUUACGGUUUUUUUUUGUUUUUAUUUUUUAUUUUUGCUUCUGAAUCUUAUUAAAACUUGAAUUACCCUCCUCUAUGAUUAUUGGAUAAAGAUAAAGAGGCAAAACAUGAAAUUGUACACCUGCUAAAGACUAGAGUUCCGAGUAACCGGCAUUUCUAGAUUUCCAGUAGACUAUUACAGUUAGUUUUACACUGACGGCGGUAAUUGACGCUGAACCAGAAAGAUUCAACCUGCUAAGUUACAUGCACACUAAUCUAGAUGGGUUAAAAUGGCUGCCACCCCGACGUAUAAGGAUGAGAUGGUUCUUUAGUUUUUUUCAACUCCAGUAUAUGACUUUUGUUGAAAUAAUUAAUCCUGAUCUCAGAUUAACCUCCAAAAUCAGCAACUUUUGAAAGCAAUCCAGUGAUUUAACUACUCAACCCAAGCCCCUCCCAAAAUCGACGUGGUGGGACUACUAAAUUAGGACUACUAAACUGGAAAAUAGUUCUUUAGUUGACAUUCAUUUUUUCAUGUUAAAGGAAAAAAAGAAAACUUUUGACUUAAAUUUCUUUAUCUGUGGUCAACCCAACUUGCACUUCAUCGGUGCCCUUGGAAUAUAUAUACAUACAUACAUACAUAUAUAUAUAUAUAUAUAAAGAAUUUGACGUUAUUAACUUAAAUUAGCAUCAUGGUUAUGGUCAAUACACGUUAAACUCUGCUAGAGUCAGAUGAAAGGAAGCUAAAUAGCCCGUGAUGUUACAGUGUUUUACGCAAAAGUCAAAAGACCAAAUCACCUGGUGGUGGUCAAAUACAAAAUGAAAAAAUGCAGAAAAAGAUAAAAUACGAAGAUGGGAUUUCAUUGACUUAUGGUACACAAUGGGAUCCUGGUUCGAAAAUUUUCUGCCCGAAUUUAGUGGUCGUGACAAUUAAUGAAUAUUCAUUACCAAUUCUCCUCUUCCAAAUCCCAAAAGAAAAUAAACUUUUUGACACCAGUUGAGUUAGAAGAUUCAAACCAUAGACAAAGCAAAGAGAAAACAGUAGAGAUCCAAUAUUGGUAACUUGAGCAGAAUGAGAGCAAUAUGACCAGUUGCAAAUGGAUGGUCGCAAAAUUUUAGGUGGAUGAGACAGGAAUAUGAUGCAUAAUUCCUCGUUGCUCAAUAUAUAUACGUGCAAGCAGUUCCUGUCUCAGAGAUAUUCUGAUUGUUGGUUGACUUCUUCGGCCAUAUGAUUCUUGAAUCUGAAUUGUAAUCUGAACCCUCUGAAUCUUGCGGAAAACCCAAAGCCAACUUCCAGCUAAAGUUUUGGUCUGCAAAUGCACUCUAUUGAUCAGCACGAUGUUUUCCGCCUCAUGAAAUGCUUUUGAACUUUUUCCAUUUCAUAAUUUCCCUUUGCUUCGUCCAGCAGGCAUUUACCAGUUUUCUUCUUGCCUCCUCUCUAUUUCUGAUAAAUGUUCACUGCAUCAUUGCAUGUUGCCCCAGUGCUAACAUGCAGAUAAAAUUUCAGUUCUACCCCUUUUAAGAAUAAACAAAACUGACUAGUGUGAAUCUCCAGCGAUUGAGCUUGCUUCUCGUCUUGUUAUCCAAAAAGCUUGCCUCUAAUUAAAUUCCUUUUCGUGUUCAAAACUAAUCUUUUUCUAGUGCCCCUUUUAGCAUUUAUCUUUUCUUUUCUUUUUAAAUUUUUAUUUUAAAAUAAUUAAGAAUACUUUUUGUAAUAAAAAAGAGAACAGAUAUUUUAAUUGGAGGCAAAAGGGUCUUGACGUAACAAAAGAGCUGCCAAAUAAAAAAAUUGUGGCAGCCCCAAAAUCACUGGCGGCAUAUCUUGAGAGAUAGAAAAUAGAAAUAUUCCUAGAAUUCGACCAUACUCUUUGCAGCAAAUCCCUUGCUACUUUUACCACAUUUUCCGCGUCAACUGCACCCCUCUACAUAUCACCCCCAUGAACGCUCAGUCUUCCCAACAAGUUCACUCAAGAAUUCCUCUCCCAAACGAGGAAUUAACAACCGCGAAGACCUCCACACUCCUUCCCUGCCCUCCCUUCUACCUCACGGCCUGCACGGACCAUGAAGGCGAUCGGGCUCAUUUUCACGGUCGCCCUAGCCAUGGCACUAGCCAUAACUCUAGUCACCAUGAAAAACACUGCCGAAGAAUCAGUAAUGAAGAACGACAAGAACUCGGAUUCCGAACGGGGGAAGAUAUUGAUGCCGUCCAAAAGGUUAAGCCGUUUCCUAGCUCAAAAACCGAAGCCAAAGAAUCCCAGAGCAGCUGAUCAUUGCAAGAAACAUAAUGACAUUUGUGGCAACAUCCCGGGUGAAGAAGGGAGAAAUUCUACAUGCUGCAACAACAAAUGCGUGGAUUUGGUGUACGAUGCUUACAAUUGUGGAGCAUGCAAAAACAAGUGUUUGCCGUUUGAAGCUUGCUGCAACGGGCGAUGCGUUAAUCUUUCGUUUGAUAAGAGGCACUGUGGAUUUUGAAACAAAAAGUGCAUGCCGGGUGGAUAUUGUAUAUACGGCAUCUGCGAUUAUGCUUAAUACACAGCUCUCUCUCUCUCUCUCUCUCUACCUCCAUUUAUUUGGUAAUAUUACAGCACCAUUAAUUGUUGCUAUACGGUUUGUCAUUUGUUAGACAUAACAAUAAAAGGCCGCAUCUAGUAUGGUGGUUCUCUCAGAUACUGAUGAAAUACGUACAAGUCGUCAAUAGUGUCUUCCUACUCUAUACGUCAAGAAAUCCUCAAGGAUUACUUUAUGCCUAAGCGUGUAAUUAAUUCUAAUAAUCUGUAUGAAAGCCCCCCAUGUAUCAUGAGCAAUUAUUGAUACUCAGCUAACUUUUUUGCUAGCCAAAGAGAUAGGCAGGAUUAUGCAACAAAGAAAUUUUCUUGGUUCCUUCAAUAAAUAUUUGUUUUGAUGGAGUUACGUACUAUGACAAUAAAAAGUUAGCAUCUGGCAUAUUUUCUUUUGUUUGAUUAUAAUUGUUUUCCUCAAUAAUUCUUAUGACAAUAAUUGUUUUCCUCAAUUGUUGGCACCAGCACACAGUGCUGGGUAUUUACGACCGACUAAUAUGUGUAUUGCAUGAUACAUAUUUCAUGUUGAUCUUGUGUCACUUUGUUGAUCUAUUCCAAUAUCAUCCAUUUGUAGAAUGCAAAAUUGUAGAUUCAAAACACACAAGUUUCGUUGAAGAACACUAACCUGAAUGAAAGGAUCCUUUAAACCAAGAAAAAUUAUAUGUUAUCACAAGGGGAUUGUGGAUUUUGAUGCUUAAGCUUUAGUUAUUUUUGUGAUAUCUUAAUCUUAAUUAUGAGCAAAUUAUUUAGCGCUAUCUUAAAGUAGUUGAAACGAAGUAAUUUUCCAGAGAUCUGAUGGUGGAAUUAAUGGUAGCUCUAGCAUGCAAGCCAGAAAUAUAUAACACAUAUAUGCACAUUCUCUAUAUCUUUCUCCUCCUCUUUUUUUUUUUUCUUUUUUUAGUGUUUUGUUUUGGGUAGGAUAGAUAUGUUCAGUUUUUCUUGCCAGAAUGAACAAUAAAGAAAUAUACCGUUGUUAUUUCAGCAAGUAUACAUGCAUGCAGCGUAAAUGUUAGUAUUCUCAUCGGUCAAUUGUUUAAUUAACCAGCAAGCCAAAAUCUUAUCGUGUAGUCGUCAUAGUUAAUUGAUCCCGGAGUACAUCGCGCAAAUUCUUCAUGGAAGUAUAAUGAAACUCUCAAGGAGCCGAAGAAUUAAGCAACAACCGUGCAAGAAAAUCUUGUAUUCCACAUGCCUUUCCCUUGCAGGACACCCCAUCACUGGUCAUCCCCCGGCCACUUGGCUUCCUAGAUCACAUGCCAUCGUUAAUUGUGAAGAUGACUGAUUUCCCAAACGUACAACAUUCUUUAAUUGAAUUGGACCGAAGACAUGACCGAUUUGCGAUUCAACCAAUCGAAUCGGCUGAUACAGUCCGAUUUUCAAACAUUGUUUAGGUGAGGUGUUUCGACCUGUAUUUUAAAAUUAGGAUUGGAUAAUAGGCUGACACUAAGAGUUAAGAAGUUUGACCGGCUGAACCAAUAAUUAGAAACCAAAAAUGGCAUUACAAAAUUAUUCACUACCAAAUAGCUAAAUUACAUGAAAAAGUACAACAAAAAAAAGAAAAUUGAGAAAAAUGAUUUUUUUCUCUAAUUUUUUUUUUUUUUUUGGGUUUCUCUCAAUCAACACACAAUUUUGCAAAAACGAACAAAACCGAGUCGAUUGCCUGCUUAGUUUAAGUUACGCCGUUCCUCUCUUUCAAUCAUUCCAAUCGGACCGUCCUUUCCAAAUUCAAACCACUGAUACGAAUUGCAUUUUAAACGUAAAAGGAAAAUUCAAAAUGAAGAGUCAAGAAUGGUUUGUAAACUUGAAACCAUGUCCUCUUGUUUUCCUUGACUGGAAGUGUGCCUAAUUUGAGCUUUCACUUCAAGUCGAGGGCGAGGAGUCUUGACAAUUUCACCUCCAAAUCCAAUCUUAAAAGAUAAGAAACAAUUUGCAUUCCACUGGAUUUGUAGAAAAAUCAGAAGGAAGAGUCAGGAACAGUAAGUAAUUUUGAAAAUUUUGACAGAAGAUCAGUUGAUUGGUUGUGUACUUCCAAUUUAAAACAUCGGUGCGUUAUGCAGGGAUUACAAUAAGAAUAGCUGCAUGAUGUAUUGGGACCCUGGUGUGAUGCCAAUCAAUCGCUUUAUGGAAGCAGUAUCCAAAAAAAAAAAAAAAUCCCAAUUGCUGGUAGCUUAAAGCCAAAAAUCAAAGGUCUCUCAGCUAUUGUUCUAGUCCUCCUUAUCAAAGCUAAAAAGACAUUCGAUGGAAUUCUUCGUGCUUUAUGUCAUGCAGAAGAAACAACGUGAAAAACGGCCACACCUUUUGCAUCCCAACUUAACAUCGAAUUAAAUGUUAAUCUCCCUCUCGGAGUGAUAUUAUCCUCGGAGAUUCAUUAAUUUAGAGAGCUAAGACACCCUUUUUUUCCUAAUCAGUAAGUGAAAAAAAAAUGGUGAUUUAUUCUUUGCCCCAACACUAGUAAACAAGAAAAGGAUGUGUCCACCACGUACCACAACAUAACACAGCUCCCAAAAGAAGAGCACAAAGAAAAGAAUAAUAUUUUAUAUAGCGUGCUCUUAAAUCCAGUAGUGGUAAUUGGUAGUAAUCGAAUAACAUCUUCUCCUGAUACAAGUCUCUCUCUGGCUCUUGUCACUAGCUGCUAAAUCCCACGCACUUACCAUGAUAUAGUAAAGCAGCAUCACUCCAGCAAAUAAGGAAAAGAAUAUGUCCCCUGAUAAUCGUUUCAGGGUAGCCUUCGUGUUAUCUCUGUUGCUCCCUGUAUUUGCAGAUGUCCAGGACUGUAGUGAGGAGUUUCGAGAAGAAGCUGCCAAGAAAAUAAACAUAACAAGUUGCAGGAAGCAAAGUUUGGGAGCUGAAUUUGCUUGGAAUUACAACAAUGGUGCAAGGAGACUUGAGAUUCUAUUCGGGGCAAAGUUACACGGUGGCAUGGGGUGGCUGGCCUGGGGUUUGAACCCUGGGAAACAUGCAGGGAUGGUAGGCACCCAAGCCCUUAUAGGUAUCAAAUUAAGCAAUGGAACCUCAUCGCAUGAUACAUACAGCAUUACUGAUUCUACCAAGUUAGGUUGCAAACUCCUACCAUCCAAGAUCGAUUUGGAAGUUGGGGAUUUUAGCUUUUCUUUCCCGGAAGCUGACUUCGCCGUGAUCCAAGCUACAAUAGUUCUUCCUCGAGAAUACAAUGAUUCAAGUACAAAUGUCGUCUGGCAAGUUGGCAAUUUUGCAGAUGGAAAACAGCCCUUCAUGCAUCCCAAGAAUAUCUGGCAUCUUAGUUCCAAAGAGACAAUAAAUUUGAUUUCAGGGAGUGUUCGAGGUGACGGAGCUCAUAAACUGCAGAAGUUGAGAAAAGUAAGUUAAUACCAACACAAAAUGGAAUUACUUGUAAUCUCGGAUAGCUUUUCUUUUUGAUAAUCACCUAACCUAUUGAAAUGCAGCUUGAUUUGAGCUACACAAUUCCAUUUAUUAUAAAGUACCAAAGACAGCGCUGAAAAGUUAUUAUGGAACUCUUAUCAUUGUCACUGAAUUCUUGCAGGUUCAUGGGAUAUUGAACAUUGUGGGUUGGGGAACAUUUCUUCCAGUGGGUGCAAUUAUUGCGAGGUAUUUCAGAAAAUUUCCCGUGGAAUGGUCCCAAUGGUUUCGUCUUCAUGUUUCAUGCCAAAUUCUUGGAUAUCUACUCGGCACAUCUGGCUGGAUCAUUGGAUUAUGGCUCGGAAACGCUUCCAAAUACUAUGGUUAUCAUACUCAUCGAGUUUUAGGAAUAGUUAUCUUUACAUUUACGACACUACAAGUAAGUUUAUCCAAUGCAGCACUUCAUAUAUCCCCUCCCCGUUGAUUUUCUCUGUCUCUGCAAUGGCAGCAAAGAGCAUAACGUUAUAUUUAUCUGCAGAUGUUCGCAUUGCGACUAAAACCAAAGCGUAACGAUGAUUAUCGUGUGUACUGGAACAUGUAUCAUCAUUUUCUGGGCUAUUCAUUACUGGCCAUUAUCUCAGUUAACAUAUUUCAUGGGAUUUCCAUCUUAAACGUAGAUCAUACCUGGAAAUGGGCUUAUAUUGGAUUGCUUUGCCUGUUAGGAUCGAUUGCUGUAGUACUUGAAAUUUACACUUGGAUUAAGUUUUGGAAACGAGAAUCGCCAGGCAUUCACAAAACUCAAGAUCAGGACCAAAAAGACUUGCACAGAGGUAACAAAAACGAUUCAGGUGCAAGCACAGCAUCCCAUUCCUAGGCCCUAGCACCGUACCAAGUUCAAGACUUCAAGAUACAUGAACUCAUCAACCAAGUUGUGAAAAAAAAUUCAGGUGGAACCAAAGACCAAAAUGCAGCCAUAACUAUGAAAAGGCUGGGAGGCCAGAGUGCUAAAAUUCAAGAAAUUGUUUCUGCAUUUCACACCUUAAAGUAGAGAAGCUAUGACUAGUUUCAGGUUGGGUUUUGGGACUUAUGUACUAGAUUUUUUUUUUUUUUUUAAUUGUUGGUUCUUUGUAUACUUGUCAUUUCCUAAGUGAAUCGUGUUUUUAUAAUAAUCGCAUUACUUGGUCUACAUACUCUGAUAUGAGCAGAUUUGUCCAAGCAAAGAAUGGUCUUUUAAGUCCAGACAUAAACCACGCAAUAAAAGCAGAGCCUCCCAUAAUUUGAUUGUCGUUUAUGAAUCACCAAUUAACCUUACAACAAUGGUAAUCUUGGUAAGGCAUGCCAUUUCUUUCUUUUUGUUCUACGAGUUUCAUAAUGGAGACAAAAAAAUCUAGAGACACCACGAAAGUUGCUAGCUUAUGAGCAUUUUACCUACCUUGCCUACGGUAAUAUUCAGUUAUUUGCAAUGGUAAAUUGACAUACUUUUCAUUGGUGAACCCACAAAAUUGGUAACUUGCCUACAGUAAUAUUCAGUUAUUUGCAAUGGUAACUUGACAUACAUUUCAUUGGUGAACCCACAAAUUAAAAUAUUAAAUUGAACUUAACUGUUGGUACAAAAGUUUACAAUUUUGUUACAGAAAAAAAGGGCCAUAAAAAAAAUUUAGUAGUCCGAAAAAAAAUUAACUUUUCAUUUUGCUAUUCCAUUGGUAUUUGGUAGGGGAGCUUCAGCCUCAUGUUAUCAUGAGGCUUCAAUUUCACCAGAAAAUGAGAUUCAGAAAUUAAUCUGCUCAGAAAAAAAAGAACUUAUUGAUAAUAUGAUAGACAGAAAAAGAACCUGGGACAGACUUUGGUCAUGUCUGCUACAGUUGUAGAGGGCGUAGCUGCCACGGCCCUCAGGUCAGUUCUCCACCGUGUACGGCAAGCUGCCGAGCAAUCCGGUCGCCAUGCUGAAGAUGUCAGGGUAGUAGCUGUAGGCAAAACAAAGCCAGUCUCUCUUAUUCAGGAAAUCUAUGACGCAGGUCAUAGGUGCUUUGGCGAGAAUUAUGUUCAAGAAAUCAUUGAUAAAGCUCCGCAGGUGCCUUUUUCCCUCUCUCCCUAUCUGGGAUUUGUUUCGUCUGAAGAGUUUCUUAUUAAUGAUUGGUGGAUCAUUAAAUAAAUUCAACCAUUAUUAGAUUAGAUCAUUGGGUUCUUGAUGAGUAAAGGUUUGUUAAUUGGACCAUAAAUAAAAGUUUUUUUUGGGUGUAAGAAUUGCAGCUUCCUGAUGACAUUAGGUGGCAUUUCAUUGGGCAUCUGCAGAGCAAUAAAGUGAAGUCACUUCUUGGUAUGCUGUAAUUGAUGUUUGAACCAUGUGGUUUUACUAAACUCAUAUAUCUUGUGUUCUUGAACAUUUGAACUAUUGAAGAUUAGACCUUUUCUUCAACUGAGAAGUUGGCACAUUUCCUUCUAAUUUGUCAUUUAUUAGGUUGUACUAGUAACGGAAUGUUCAUUUUACGGUUCGUUAUUGCUAACAGCUCAACUGAAUUCUACCUUUUCCUUGUUGCCAGAGACAUUGUUAUUGAAAAUUAUAUCUGUUUCGGAGACAAAAAUCCUUGUAAUCAAGAUGUUUUACUUAUUAAAGAUGAUAUUCUGAACUCCAAAAAUCUAAAACUCUAGGCAUGUCGCCCGUAUUUUUUAAGGCAUCACACGGUACUUAGAAACUUAAGCUGUACAGUUAUAUAAUCGGGGCCUAUGGAUUUCAUCCCAAGUCUCUAGCAAAACACCUUUGUUCAAAAGCCAUCAAACUGGGCAUGAUACUCAUUUUGUUUUGGUGUGUGGUUGCCAAAUUGGAAUAUAAGUGAGAUUGUGAUACAUGUUAAGGCUGAUCUCUACCGCAUGCAGCUGCCAUUCCUAAUCUAGCAACAGUUGAGGGUGUAGACAACACAAAGGCAAGUAUUUGAUUUGAAGUGAAUUUUGGAAUUGCAAGAUUAGAGCUCAAAUGAAAUCCAGAUGCUUAUGACAGAUGUUCUAGGCUAUAACUCACAAGGAUAGUUGUAAAUAUGCCUUUCUCCAAUUCACAUAUAGGUUGCAAAUUAUCUAGAUCGUGAAGUUUCAAGGCUUGGGCGUCCACCUUUGAAGGUGUUUGUCCAAGUGAAUACGAGUGGAGAAGCAUGUAAGUGCUCACAUUUUGAUUCUACAGCAAAGUCUAUCUAGUCAGAUUGUUUGAGCUUGACAAUUGAUAACUAAUGCAGCACCAGAGCUAAUAUAUUUACUUCAGAACUAUCCUGAGUCUUGUUAUCUUUAAAAGAACAUUUUUUAGUUAUUCUUCUUGGUUGGCAGUAUGAUACCAAGAGCUGCACAGCAACAUUGGGAUAUUUUUGAGUUAUUUUAGUAAAUUAUGUUAAUCAGUCAAGUCAGCUGUAGUUGUACUGUGGAAGCAUGUUUUAUCACUUUGGAUCAUUAUAAAUGGGGAAAAAAACUUUGUUCUUAUUUUCUUGCAAAAACAACAUUUUGUCAUGAUUCUUACUCUGUAGUGACUAGAGCUGCAUUAGUAUUGCCUUAUCUUGAUUUCAUUAAGGUUCAUUAGUCAACAGUUAAAUUGGUGAUUACAUGCAGCAAAAUCUGGUGUAGAGCCAUCAGAUAGCAUAGAGCUUGCAAAGCAUGUCAGGCUGGGUUGUCCAAAUCUUGAGUUCUCUGGUUUAAUGACCAUAGGCAUGCCAGAUUACUCCUCAACUCCAGAAAACUUCAAGGUAAGUUCCUAACCUUCUUAGGCGUGAUUGAAGACUGUAAUGGCUUCACUUCUUUGCGCUUUUGCAGAGGUAUGAUAUAGCUAUAUAAUCCACGCAAGAAGCAGUGGGUCACAGGGUUAGCAUUCAUGUUAUUGUUGCCUCUUUGUGUGUCUUUUGCUUAACAGCAAAAGUUAUUUCUUUUCUAUUUUCUUUUGAAUAUUCUUUUGUUUGAGCAAUGAGAUAUGAACUUAAUUUUUAUGGCUUCUUCGUAUGUGAAACUGUAUGCUAAAUAUAUCUGUGUGAAGUGCCAGUUUGUAAAUGUAAAAUUUUGAACAGAAGCUGAAUUCUGGCAGAUCAUUUUUCACUUGCUAACCACAUACGCAUCCACUUUAUUUGUAUGGCUUUAUUACAGACUCUAUUCAAGUGUAGAACUGAGGUCUGCAAGGUGCUAGGGAUGGCUGAGUUCCAGUGCGAGUUGUCAAUGGGCAUGUCUAAUGACUUUGAACAAGCAGUAAGCCUGGAUUCUUGAUGCCUAGAUUUUAAGAGUUGAAUUUUUAUUGUUGAUUGAGUUCUGUGUAAUUUCUAUUUACCUCCUGUUCAAUUUAUGAAGGCUUACAUCUGAACGAAUACGUGCUACAACUGAUUCCCCAGUAUUAUGUAACUUUGGGGUUUGGUUUGUUUGAAAACUGGGACUGUCUUGCAAAUCUUUCACCAACAGUUUUUCGCCAUUCCUUUGAUCUUAGAAUUUGAACUUGUCGUUAGGCUAAAGUAGUCUCUUACUUUCCUUUAGGCUGGACUUUUGUAAUUUCUUUGUUGCUUCUAUUUAUGGUCUGUGUGCAAAGUUUGAACUUUGCUUCAAUUGAAAUCUUAGAAGAUUAAUGGUGUUUCUGAAGCUGUUAUGAUACAUAACCAUGAGCUCAAUUUUGCUGAUAAUUACAAUUAUAUUUAUGUGUGUAUGCACACACACACACACGUAUAUUAGAUAUAAAAUCAUAACCACAAUGUUUGUCUAAGAUUAGAAUCUUGAUUGUAUGCUGAAAUUCUCAAUCUGAAGAUUUGCAUUUAUCUGUUGGAAAUGAUGAUUAUUCUCCUUCACGUAAAAAGAUUAUGCUAGUUUUCGCAGCAAGUCUCACUCACUAUCCAUCUUAAACAAUGAAUCUAGAUCGUUUGAGGCUAGAGCUUGGAUAGGUGUUUGUGAACUCUGACUGUGCUUUCCCAUACAUGCAGAUCAAGAUGGGCAGCACCAACGUGAGAAUUGGAUCAACAAUAUUUGGACCAAGAGAAUAUCCAAAGGGUCAAUAGAUUUACAACUAAUAGUAUCUUUGCUGCAUCACUUUUGUCAUGCUAUAUUUAUUAGCUUUCUGAUAGAUCCAACAUGUUCAUUGACCUGCAAUCAGUUAAUUCAAUUGAAUUAUCCUGCGAAGACCAGAUGCUUAUGGAUGUGUUGGUACUUGGUACUGGUGUGGUCACACGACUGUUUGUGUUGGUGCUUAACUACUGCAGUUAUGCCACGUCUGGCGUUUACUUUCAGGCAUAGAAAUUCUUGUUGAACCUGGACAAAAUUUCUUGAACAUUUUGACAUCUGCUCCCCUCAGAUAACCAAGCGUAAAUGCACGCCGCAUGGGACAAUUCUUCAAUCACUUCUCUUGCUUUGGUGGUAAAGCAUAUUGAAAAUUACUUCUAUGCCUGCAAAUAAGCAUUGAGUAGCUACCAGUCCAUUGUUAACAAAGAGAUUACAAUCAUGAGAAUAAAGUCGUUAAAUUAAGUUGAAGGAUACUAAGAAUAAUGUGACGUCUAUGCUUAGAAGUGAGACUCGGAUAAAUACGAGAGCAACUUUAAAUUAAAGAUCAGCUUAUAGCUAUAUCAGCCAAAGCCGAUCAGAUUCAGAGCCAUCCCAUCAAAGCUUAUUAUUCCAGGAUCAUUAUGCACAUCUUCAGCAAAGCUGAACGAUCAAGCUCCUGAUAAACGUACUAUGGCUUGCUGAGUAUAUUGAGACCCAUAAAUGUCAUCGUGACAGAUGUAAUCGAAUCGAGUCGAGCUCAAGUAUUACCAUACUCAAGAUUGACUCGACAUGCAGGAAAGAUACUUAAGCUCGAGUGAGUAGCAUUACUGGAACUUGAGCUCGAGCUCGACUUGUAUGGGCUCGAGUCAAUGCGAAUCUUAUCAAAUUCGAGUUAGAAAGAUUUGCGGAUUUUAUUUUUCUUGACAAUGUUUGAGCGAAAAGACAUUAUUGACCUUUAAAAAAUUUCAUAUGACCUAAAGCAUUUCGUAAAUUCAACCAUUCUUUUGGGUAUAAGGGUAAUUUAAUAAUAAUAAUAUAUUAAAGAAUUAAAAUUAAAAAACUCGAUAAGGUUUGACAAGCCUUCAAAUCUUACUAUUGGAUAUUCGAACUCGACUUAUCGAGCUACUCGAAUUUGAUUCGAACUUGAUCAAUUCGAAUUCGAAUUGAGUUUUUGACCAAUUUACUUGCAAACAGUUUGAUUCGAUUACAGCCCUUGUUAUCGUAUUUCCUAAUUGCUUUACAAUUAUUCUGGAGGGAACAAGAACUCAAGCGUCCCUCCAAAAAAAAAAUAAAAUCAAGUGUCCAUAUUCCUUUGGCAGAAUAUUCCUUUGGCAGAAGGAAGGAAUUCGAAAAUUUUGCUGAUCCAAGACCAUUGAUGCCGCAUUCCAUCAUCUCUCAAGAUUUCAAUGGGCUCCUAAUUCAUAAUGAUGUUGGUGGAAAAGGGGAUUUAAAUAAGAACGGGGCAAAGGGAAGCGUAGAGUCCUAGACAAAAGCAUCAAAUUUGGCCUUGGAAAGUUCAUAAUGUAAAUGCUAUACAGUAAUACAGAAAUGUAUCAAACUAACAGGGGGUUUUAUAAGAUGUCUCGUUUUUUCUGUUCAACUCACAAAGAACUGGAUGGAUAUUACGAUCACUUCCCUUCUAUUAAUUUCUUUCCUACUUCUAAGAUUUUCCUUUUUUCUUGGGUUGGAGGCAUUUUUGUCCUCAAGGUACAACCCAGCAGGUAGUACUAUAUAACAGUCUGCGCUACCCGCCUGUCAUCAAUUUCAACUACGCAAGCUCCUCUCUACUAGUGUCUGCGGAAGCCUCCGCUCUAUACUUGCCAGCAGCGGCAAAAAUUUAGCAGCAGCGAUUAUGAUGGUACCAUUGACAAGCUCAACCAAAAUUGCAUUACUUUCCACCAAUACCAACGGAUAUCCUCCUCUCAAAUUCCCCUUCCAAAUCGGCAAAAAGAACACUUUCCGGAAAUGCAACAGUUUCGGAUUUCGGUCCCCAAAGAAACAAAGUUGGAGCUGCUCUGCAUCCGAGCAACCCCAACCCCUAAACCCACCUCAACAAAACGAGAAAAGACAACCCAAAUUCAAGAAAAAGCAAACCAAACAUGCUGAUAAAGGGGUCGACCCAGUUGGGUUCCUCACCAAACAUGGCAUUUCACAUAAAGCCUUCGCCUUUUUCCUUCGUGAAAGGUAGUAUUGUUUGUCCCUUAGCUCUUCUUCUUUUCCUCGUAAUUAUGAAAAUUAUGGUUUCUAUUGGACCUUUUAUUGGAAGAGGUACCUAGUUUGGUUUUUACUUUAUGCCAAGGUACAAAGCGUUGAAGGACUUGCGGGAUGAGAUUUUUAAUCGUUACCUCAACCUAAAGGAGCUGGCUUCUGGGUUAGUGCUUUCUUUCUCUUUCACAUAUUAAUAUUGGGCUAUCUUAUACUGUUAUUUAAAGUGCUAGUUUCUCAUGUUUUUGAAAGUUACUGACUUUCUGAGAGUUGUUUUUGAUAUCUAAGUGUUUGUCAGAAUUGUUAGCUGAACUCUCUCUCCCUCUCUCUCUCUCUCUCCGUAAUUAGCAAUUAUACCAUAUGUGUUACCAGUGAUGCCUAUGUUUCUUAUUACUAGACGUGAACUACUAGAGUGAUGCCUGUGUUUUUUAUUUCUAGAUAUGAACUACUGGGAAUGCAACGAAAUGCGCAGCAUCGGGUGGAUUUCUUGGAGUGGGCUCCAGGUUUGACACCAUCUCUGAGGAUAUUUUUUUCUUGUAGAAGGGCAAGCGUCAUUUCUUGCUUAGUUCAAAUUCGAGCUCAUCAGUGGGCAUGUCUGGAAGCUUAAGUAUCUAAGAGAAGUUUUAGUUACAUGCUAUCAGUCUCAAAAUGUGUCUAUAGAUGUUAGUUUAGGAUUAGGAUUUAGCAGCUCCACUUUAAGUUCAGACUUGUGUUGUUUCUGAAUGCAAUUACCAUUGCUCGUGUAGCUCACAUGUGAAGCUGAAAAUCUUGACAUUAGGUGCUCGUUAUUGUGCUAUUGUUGGAGAUUUUAAUGGCUGGUCACCCACAGAAAAUUGUGCCAGGGAGGGUCAUUUUGGCCAUGAUGACUAUGGUUACUGGUUUAUUAUUCUUGAAGACAAAUUACGGGAAGGUGAAGAACCAGAUGAAUUCUACUUUCAACAGUACAAUUACGUGGAUGAUUACGAUAAAGGUGACAGUGGUGUUACAGUUGAAGAGAUGUUUAAGAAAGCAAAUGAUGAAUAUUGGGAACCUGGUGAAGACCGCUUCAUUAAGUCACGUUAUGAAGCGGUAGCUAAGCUGUAUGAGCAGAUAUUUGGCCCUAAUGGGCCUCAAACGGAAGAGGAGCUGGAAGAGAUAGCUGAUCCAGAAACUAGGUACAAGGCCUGGAAAGCGCAGCAUAGAGAUGAUCCACCAAGCAACUUACCUUCUACUCAUGUGAUAGAUACUGGAAUGAAAGAGUAUGAUGUUUUCAACAUCAUAGACGAUCCUGUAUGGCUAGAGAAAUUCCGUGCUAAGAGUCCUCCCAUUGCCUACUGGUUGGAGACACGUAAAGGAAGGAAAGCGUGGUUGAAAAAGUAUAUGCCUGGUAUCCCCCAUGGGAGCAAAUAUAGAGUAUAUUUUAAUACUCCAACAGGGCCUCUGGAAAGGGUUCCUGCCUGGGCCACUUAUGUAGUCCCAGGUAUCCAGUGGUUGCUAGCAUCUCUUAUCUGUUCACGUAGUUUGCAUAGCGAUGCUUAAAUAGUAUAAUUUGAUGCUCACACUAUCAUACGCCACUUUACUUGUAAAAAGUAAUCAUUUUCAUGCUUUGAAUGUGUGAUCUGUUAAUUUUUUUUGUUUUUAAGAGGUCCAUUGCUAAUCAUGUAUUCCUUUUAUUUUUUUAGGUAACUGUACUUGUUUACAUUAAUUAAUCUGCUUAGCUUGGAUUUUGGUCUCAGAAAUGAACUUUUCGGGUACAUAUUCUUGUGUCAGUAUCGGUAUUGUUCUUUUAAUGGUAGUAAAACAAGUUUCGUGAGAAAAAGAAAUACUACUUAAUUUUUUUUGUAUUCCUACAAAGAUAGAGCAAAUACAAAGUUUAGACAUUCAUGCUGCACUGAUGUCAGAGUUAAAUGAAGAAUCUAUCUUUACCUCUACUUGACUUCCCAUCAUUGUCGCACACGUUUUCUGUUUAUUGAGUUUGCAUAUCUUUUGUUUCUAUACUGUCUUCCUGUAACAGUUCGAUAUUGAAUGCUAUUUGAACAUGCAGAUGCAGAUGGCAAGCAAGCUUUUGCAAUCCACUGGGAACCACCUCCUGAAUCUAAAUAUAAAUGGAAGCACAAGCAUCCACCAAAGCCAAAGACUUUACGCAUAUAUGAAUGUCAUGUUGGAAUCAGUGGACAAGACCCAAAAGUUGCAUCUUUUGAUGUUUUCAUUCAAAAGGCAAUUCUUCAAGUUAUUUUACAUUUGUUUUCCCUUUUGUUGUCCUUAUUUCCUGUUAUAUUCUGUCCUUCAAUUGCAACUUCCUUCAUCUUUAUAGGUCCUGCCUCACGUAAAAGAAGCUGGUUACAAUGCAAUCCAAUUGAUUGGACUUGUUGAGCACAAAGACUACUUUACGGUUGGGUAUAGAGUGAGUUCAGAAUUAGAUGUUCCUUAUCCAUAUGAAGUAAUGAUUAAGUGUUGAAAUACAAUCUUUUAAUGUACCAUGACAUGAAUUCUUGAAUUUAGUAAUUAGCACCAUAUUGUUUUACUUGCAUAAAUCUUCCUGUGGAAUUAGGAUUUGAAAAGGCUGCAAGAUAGGACUAUCAAAUUGGAAGUAUGCUUGUGAACUAUUUAUAUUUUGGAUAAAAUAUUUGUUUAAGGGUCCUCAUGUAUUCUGUAUAAUAUGGGGAACUCCUGGACCGAAUGCGGACUAACAAAGAAAGUUAUGCUUCCUGCUUUUUACUGUGGAGAGAAUCUCAACUGCGCUAGAAUGCAUCCUCUAAUAUUUCUAGCCACUGAGUGUCCUAAGAGAUGUACAUGCUCAGUUUGAAAAUAUUUUCACCCAUGCAACCUGGUUAUCCAAUGGAUUUUCUAGUUCAGUAAAAGCUAACCUGCUGUCAAAUUACCUUUCAGUAGCAUAAUAUUUUAGUUCUUCUACAGGUGACUAAUUUUUAUGCUGUUAUCAGCCGUUAUGGUACACCAGAGGACUUUAAGCGCUUGGUUGAUGUAGCACAUGGUAAUUCUUGAAAAUUGACUUAUAAUUCAUAGCAAAAUGGAUAUGCUUCUAUUCUUUUCUCUUAUGACCUCUAAUUUCCAUCUUUGUUCAUUUGUGUGCCAAAAUUUAAUCUGUACCAUUGACAUCAUACUUGGAAGAAUUAGUGGAUUUCAGGUAUAGUGAAAUUUGUCAUCUGAAAUCAGUUUUCUUGCUACUUAUCAGAAUUAGGAAAUGAAUUGGAGGUCUUAAUUUUUCAGUAAAACAAUAUUAACUUGCUGUAAGAUUUUAGAAGAAAAUAUUGAAGCCAUUCUCCCCUUUAAGCGUGGGAGUGAAUUUUAUGUAUUCUUGUUGAGAAAUGUUCUUCACAAACAAUUUAGUUUUGUUUCAACCCAAAAGACUAGAAAUAGUCGAUGACAAAUUUGAGCUGUCCUUGUGCUACCCUUUUAAAAAGCCUUAAAACAAACAAAUGAUUGAUUGGAGAGAGGAGAAGAAGAAUAACAGAAUUAUAAGUCUAAGAUAUUGGUUUUUUCGCUGUUUCUUGUGAACCAUGUGUACUCAAUGAGGAAGUUUGGCCUACAUUUUCCAUAUAGAUUUUACUUGACAUGCAAAAGUCAAUUGUUACUUCUUUGAAUUGAGUGUCUUUGUAUAACUGACUCAGACACGUACGUCUCUCUGUUGCUAUUAACCUGUUUCUGGAGCAGUGUUCUUUCUUUCAACCUCGUAAACCAAUUAAUUUCUUUCUGGCUACAAUGCCUUAUUAGCUGUCAUUGUCGUGAUAAUUUGUACAUCUGUUUUUUUCAAGUGGUUUCUAAUUGCAUGCUCAUGUCAUAAUGAAUUUUACCCCUUGAGCUCCAUUUGUUUUUUGCAGGACUUGGGUUACUAGUCUUCUUAGACAUUGUCCACUCAUAUGCAGCAGCUGACGAAAUGGUUGGUUUAUCACUUUUUGACGGAUCAAAUGAUUGCUACUUCCAUUCUGGUAAACUGUUUUUGGCAAGAAAAAAUGAAACUACUGUAGAUGACCAUUGACUAUAUUUCCAGAUUGAUCCUAUUGUUGUCUUGCCCGGCUACUACUUCAUGUCCUUUUGAGUACUGUUGCGUGGUCCCGUCUCAUCUUAGGAAAUUAUUCAAAGUAAUAUUAAUUCGCAUGUUCAUUCAGUAACUUUGCAAGUCAUAGGGUGUUAGAAUUGUAUGUCAGCUUCAGUGGAAACCGGGCUCUCUAGUUUAGCACUGUGAUGUUGAUCAAGAUUCUUACUGACAGUAUGCUGAUAUUGUUUUCUUGUUGGUCUAGACUUUACAUACUAGAAAUAGAAGUUAUAGGGAAUAGCAAGAAAAAAAAGAAAGAAAUGUACUUUAAGCUGGUCGUAAGUUAUGCUCCUUUCUAUUCCAUCACAGAAAAGUUUUUGACCGUGCCAUAUGAGCUUCUGGCUUUUGGAAGUUUUUGUCAUUGUAUCAGUUUUUUUAUGGGAAGCUAGGAAAUUAUAUAUUUUUUGGUUCAUUAAACUUUUGAAGUCCAUUUUUUUUUUCCAUUUUUAGUCAAUCUCUUUUUCUCUCUCUCUGGCAGACACACAUAUGCAGACGUACAUACACACAGACACUCUCUAAUAUGGUGCACAAGGAGCAUAAUUUUAUGUUUGUCCAACUCAUUUUGCACUGAUAGGUAAACGAGGCAAUCACAAAUUCUGGGGUACAAGAAUGUUCAACUAUGCAGAUCAAGAUGUGCUGCACUUUCUUCUUUCAAAUCUGAAUUGGUGAGUAUAGCAUACCUACCUUGCUCAAAAAGUUUUUCUUUUCUGACCCUUGAUCAGAGAAAUGUGGGAUUUCUGAUUGAUAUUUUCUUAUCACCUAUCUCCUCCUUCGUUUCCUAGAAAUGUGUAGCCAAUUAUUCCAUUUGUGUUGAGUAUCUUUCCAUUCUUAUACCAAUUGCAAAAGUUUGCAUUUUAUUCAUUGCUCAUGGAAUGGUGUUUGUCAGGUGGGUGGAGGAGUAUCAAGUUGAUGGUUUCCAUUUUCAUUCCCUUGGAUCAAUGAUGUAUACACACAAUGGAUUUGCUACAUUUACGGGUGACCUGGAGGAGUGAGGCUUCUGAAAUCUUAUUGAUCUACUUGACAUCUUUUUGUUUUGAUUUUCUCUCUUUUACUAAUGCUUUAAAUUUCUAUGAAGCAUAUUAUUUUCCCAUGGCUUGUAAGACCAUUUAUUUCUUUGUAAGUUUGGUCACCUCCGGAAUCUGUAUUUGGUCUUAAAAUGCAUAUACAACCUCUGCAGUAGCAGCUAAUACUUUUCUGUUGCAAAUAGAUUUGUGUAUCUUAUUUAGCUUUCAGUGCACCAAAUUUAUGUCUAUACAUAGUAGUAUGGUUGCAGAUGUUGCAUUUUUGCCUAGAAGGUAAUUUUAUUUUUUCUUCUUGCAGGUAUUGCAAUCAAUAUGUUGACAAGGAUGCAUUGUUAUACCUAAUUUUGGCAAAUGAUAUACUACAUGCUCUUCAUCCUAAUAUUAUCACCAUUUCUGAAGAUGUGAGUAAUCUUGUAUUAUUUGUCCUCACUAAAACUUUCUCACAGUUUUAUGUUGUUUGGUCAAAUAUGGUCUUGCAAUUUAAACAUUAUGCCUUGAUCAAUAGACAUGAAUACGAAGCUCAGUGCAUUGUUUACAUACUCAAUAGAACUGUAACUUUGGGAUGGGAAUUAAUUUGGUUUUGUGUGUGUAAAUUUCAUUAGAGCUCCACAUUUGGGUUCUGUGGUUAUUAGAAGGAAUCAAGACAGCUAGUGAAAUUGGUUGGCAUUAAAGUAUAUAGAACUUGGAAAUAUCAGUUACUGUAAUGGAGAAUGAAGAUGAUUGUAUGGUAAAAGUAAAACACUAAGGAGUUGGAUGUUUUCCCAGCGUUAAAAUCCUGGCUUCUCUCUUUUUAUAAGAUUCCUUGAAUGUUUAUCAUUCCCUUUAGCUUUGAAGCCUUCUCCACCCGUUUUCAAAGAAAGCCUUCUCCACCCAUUACAAACCCUGUGACUUUGAGCUUGUCCUUUCAUGGCAAAGGUCAGUAAUUUCUUUCACUUCUCAGGCAACACUUUAUCCUGGACUAUGCGAGCUGACUUCCCAGGGUGGAUUAGGAUUUGAUUAUUUUGUCAAUCUUUCUGCACCGGAGAUGUGGUCAUCAUUCCUUGAGAACACCCCUGAUCAUGAAUGGAGCAUGAGUAAGGUUGUUCCAUGCUACUGCCUUAGGAUACUUGACAAUUGUUUGUGCAGAAUUGAUUUUCCAAAUUUUUUGUCCUCUGAUGAGUACUUAUAUUUCAAAAGCUUUUUGUUUAGGAGAAUAGUUUAUCUCUUGGUCACUUAUUCAUUUCUAUUCUUCAAGAUUGUGAGCACCUUAGUAGGCAACCAACAAAAUACAGAAAAGAUGCUCUUGUACGCUGAAAACCACAACCAGGUAUCUUGUUAUUUGCCUGCCUGUUCCUCUUGUAAACGUUUUACCACUUUUGGCAACUUUAUUAAUCCUAUCAUUAAGUUGUAUGUCUAAUCUAACAAUUGAUUCGUUUACAGUUUUGAAAUUAUCUUGCUAAUCACUGGUUCUUUGCUUUCCAGUCCAUAUCUGGAGGGCAGUCCUUUGCAGAAGUAUUGUUUGGUGAUACAAUUGGCUGCUCUUCUGUUACGGAGGAGUCAUUGCUUAGAGGUUCUUCGCUGCACAAGGUAACCUUUUUGAUCAUUGCAGAUCAUACUGUGAAAAACUAUAAAAUUUCUAUGAUUUGGUCAGUUGUUCACUAGCUUCAUCAGCUAGAAGACAGAAUACUUCUCAUAAUCUCUCUCUGUCUCUCUCUAUAUAUAUAUCUAUGUAUUUACAUUUUGUAAUUGUUAUGCUUUUAAGAGAAUUUUAGUUCUUGAAGAAUCUCAUGCUACAUGGAGUAGAUAGAAUCAUUUUUAUGAAUGAAGUUGGUUUAGAUUCUUACAUGGAUUACACAGAAAAUAUUCAGAUUUUGAAUAGUUUCCAAUCACAUUGUUUGUGAUCUACCUGGAGAGGCACUUCAAACAAUAUUUCUCAAAUGGUUGAGUUCUUCAAUUUUUUAAAUCAUUUUAAUCAAAUUUAGUUUCUUCAAAUUUUAUAUCUCAACAAUAUUACUCUCUAUUUUUGUAUCUCAACUAGUGUAAGUUCAUUUUUUUUUACCCUCAGUUUGUACAGCAUUGUCUAUUUACUCUCUAAAAAUUUUCUUACUUUUGUACUUAUUGUCAAUUCAAGGUGACUGUGUGCUUGUUAUUUCUCGGUUUAACUUGGGGUGUUCUUUAACAAGAUGAUCAGGUUGAUUACAUUUACAAUUGGUGGUUCAGCAUAUCUCAACUUCAUGGGUAAUGAAUUUGGGCACCCAAAGGUGAAGCCUAUAACCUAACUGUGUUCUUUACUGUACAUCUAUCCACAGCUAUGUCCUCUAAAUAUAUUACAUAAUUUUGGUUUGCUAGAGAGUUGAAUUCCCUAUGGUGAGCAACAAUUAUUCAUAUGCACUUGCUAAUCGUCAAUGGGACCUCUUGUUGAAGGAAGGAGUGCACAAUCAGUUGUUUACUUUUGAUAAGGUGAUGAUUAUGGUAUUGUGCUUUUAGUAUUUUGUCUUCCUUUUAGGCUUUCUAGCCAAAAACCACCUGACUUUUAACAUUUGGCAUUUCUUGAAAUAUGUGUUUUCUGUUCUGAAUUAUAUAUUCUGAUAACGAUCUGCGUUCAAAACCAAUAAUGUUCCUCAUCUAUGAAUUGCUAAUAGAUUAUAGGUUACAAAUAAGAUGGGCCUAAUUGAUGAAGUUAGAAACAUAAAAAAUCUGAUCCAACACAUGUUGGGUACAUCAAAAAAUGUAACUGCUACGUAAUCACCAAAGAUGGAAUUAUUACUCUAAUAUCAUCUUCUUCCUAACCAGGAUAUGAUGCACCUGGAUGAAGUUGAAGGAAUUCUUUCAAAAGGUUCAGGAGGUCAUUCCAACAUUCAUCACGUUAAUGAUCCUCCUAUGGUAAAUGAGUAACUUUCACAUUUACAUCUGUUUUCACAUGCUUUUGCUUGUGCUUUUGUUUGUAUGUGUUCUUUUUUCAUUGCAAUUCAGUUGCAGGAAAUGAAGAUGCAACAUCUUAACUCAAAAGUGGGCACCUCCACGUUACCAUGAGGAAAUUUAUGGUUCCCUUAUUCAGAAUAAAUGCUAUAGUUCUUUUGACGUUCUAGUAGUUGUCAUAUUAUCUAGCAGUCAACGUAUAUUCCUAUUACUUGAAUAUAUGAAAUGCAAUUUACUAGUUGUCUCCAUUUUUUUUUCUGAUUUUUGAUCUCCAGCAUGGGUUACUAAAAUUCUUAUUUUGUGGUGUUAGAAGAGAUGCUACCGGAAAGUAGAUGGUCAAUGCCUUUAGAUUUUUUUUUCUCUUGUUUGGCAGCCUUUGCUUUUAUCAUUAUUAGUCUGUAUGGCUGAUGCAGAUAAUAAAUUAAUCAUAACAUGCGUAGCAAUUUUGCAUAUGCGCUUAUAGUUGCUUUCCAACUCAUUUCAUUCUAUGGACAAAUUUAAGCAUAUUUAUCUCAUCAUUUUUAUCAUGGCUGAACAUGAAAGUCCCUUAUGGAACAGGUUAUUGCCUAUAUUAGAGGUCCUUUCCUCUUUGUGUUCAAUUUUCAUCCCACAAAUUCAUAUCACAGAUACAGCAUUGGUGUGGAGGAAGCUGGAGAGUAUCAUGUAAGUGAUUUUAUGCCGUGGUAUCAUCUGACAUUCUAACUAAAUCAUAAUUUCCAACUCCAUGUUGGUUUGUUCUCUAAGAUCUAAGUGAGGGCAUAGUUCGAAAUGAACUGAGGACAUAAUUUCUUCUCGAUACACUUUGGCCAAUUGGUUAAUAGAAGCAUCUAGCAACGCCCAUUGGUAACUUUCCUCAUUGCACCUGCACCUAGAAAUUACUCUAGAAAUACUUGAUUCUUACUGACAGUUAGUUCCUAGUAGGCAGAAUAUGGUUCUUUCCCCUGGGCCACCCUUCUUGAAAUUUGAGAACUAUACAAAACUUUUCAAGGGAAUAACAUUUGCAAAUAGUAAUUUAAUUUUGCAAUUAGUAGACUUCCCGUCGAUAAAGAAAUUGGAACUCUUGGUUCUUCAUUCAUCCUUUGUUUCAAUCUAAGCCUGAGCUAGAUGUGCCGUGUUUUUUUAACUAGUCUAAAAACUGGUGAAAUUUAUGAAAUUGAGAAAGUUUGAUAUUGAUCAAUGGUUAUUUCACUUGGUGGUCCAACAAAACCACAAAAUGACCAGCUAUUGUGGUGACAAUCAUUUGAGAAUUUUGAUAUAAAAGCAUUUCCCCCAUUCACAGGGAGAUAUCUGAUUCUCUAUUAUGGCUCAAUUUUGAGUGUGAUAUUCUUAUAUUUAUUCCAAUGGCAAGUUUAAUCUUCCUGUUUUACAUAAUAAGGGAAGUUAUGAAUCUCUUCUUCAGAUUAUUCUUAAUACAGACGAAAAGAAAUACGGCGGUCAAGGAUCUUUUGAGCAUGACCAGUAUGUUCAAAGAACUAUCAAUAGAAGGUUAGUAGUGGCUCAAGUUAUCUUUGCUGGUCUUCCUCAGUUUGACAAGCUGUCUUUGAUAAGGAACCACCAAAAUUUGUUGUUAACAAGCAUGAUCUCUUCUGCAGAGUUGAUGGAUUGCAUACUUGCUUAGAAGUGUUUCUUCCAAGUAGAACUGCUCAGGUUUGUGUUUCUACAGUGUUUUUUUCCCUUUUUAUUUUUCUGUUAACAGAAUGACAAUAAGGGGGGGAAUAAAGGAUCAUAAUUUGUGUUGUCGCAUGUGUUUCAAGCCUUUUUAUAAAAUGGGCACUUCUGCAAAUGCACCAUCUCUGGCCUAGGGGUGUAUGGACUUGUCCAACUGUUUCUAGCAAGAGCUAGGGACAAAAUCAUUGGAAUCUGAAUCUAAGUAGUUUGAUCUAUCAAGUUCUCUUGAGUAUUUUAAUUCAAGGUCAUCGAAGCAUGUAGAAAAUCAUAAUAGGUACUCCUUUUGGCAAAUUGCUUCAGGAGUAGUUAUACUGUUACACUUUUGGAACACAGAAAACAGAAAUUGCUUUCCUGUUCAAUUGUAUUAUUUCUUCAUUAUCAUCGGAGAAUUGUUAUGGUAUGGUGCUAGAUUAAUAAUUUUGAGAGAGAGCUGCAACAAAAUUAUUUUACUUUCAUGACCAUUCUUGGUUUUCUGGUGGCUAACUUGGGUAGAUUUUUUGAAAAUUUGGAUUCUCCAAAUCAUAUGCAUUCUCUAUAUGUGACUAUGUGAGCAUCAGUUUGACUCUAGGAUGCCUAUGUGAUCUGCUUUCACUUUGGAUCCUAGAUUUGCCUUCCAGAUAGCACAACUUAAGCACUUGUUUGGUGUCACUGUUUCAAUCUCUGCUCUGUGCGAAGUUCAGUGUCCCCAUGAUUGAGGAUCAGUUGCAUCUGUCAUUGCAGGUCUACAAGUUAACGAGGAUACUAAGAGUAUGAACUCUUUGCUGUAAGAACCCCAAAUAUCUUCAUAUAUUUAGAGCGGAUCAGGAAGCGUAAAUUCAGGAUUCAAGCUUGAUGAUUUCAUUGGCCCAGUCCUAGAACCUUCAAUAAUGUGUCCAUGACCAUGUCAUCCAUUUGUGGUUCGUUGGUUGUUGGUCAUUGUCCAUGGUUCUUGAUCCUAAGGUUCUCCAACUACUCGCCCGCCCUGAAUCAGGACUCCCAUCUGGAAAUUGUUCAUCUUGUCGGGCAGGUUUUGGAUAUAGAACCACUGGCUUUGCCUUUUCGAUUCAAAGAAAUGGGAGAGAGUUUUGGACUCUCGAUGUUCUUGGAUUCAUGGUACUUUGCUUCCCCGUAAUUAUCAUUCAAUAUACAGAUGUAGCUCAAUCUUUUUUUGGAGCCAUCUCUGUAUACGUACUCCAGUGUAGUACAGAUAUACAACGAAAUGAUGGCAUAGAAACGCGUUGAAAGCUCUCUAAUUGGAAGCAACAGCCUUCGACAUCGUAGCAGCAGAUUCUCAAUGUAGUAGACUUGUAAAGUUCAUUUUUGGAUUUUUUAUGACUUGUUCAAUUGAAGCUUGACAGUUUAUCUGCAAAAGUGAACACGAUAAUAUUUUAAACUGCAUUUGCUCAGAGCCUUGUAGAAUGUGGAUUCUUUUCAACAAUGGCAUAAAAUUUACAGUACGCAGUUCGACUGGUGCAAGAAGCGGUUGAUGAGAGGAUAGAUUUUCCUGAUUCAAGUUCGUUCACAUCAGAGUACGUGAAAGUUGAUUAUUUACUUAUUUAUACACACAAAAAAAAAAAAAAAAAAAUUUGCACAAUUGUAGCUUAAGUGGAUUACAUAUUUAUUGGACAAGUUAGGAUUAAACCCGGUGUCUAAACACCAGAAGCAAUGGCAAGCUGGCAUCAUGAAUAGGCUAACGUAAAGGAUAUAUGGCUUUCGAAUUUUAUGCUUUUAAUAAUUCAAACUAAGCUCCGCGAUGCAUAUCACUUAAUAAUUAGCUCAAACACUUUGAUUCAUUUAUUUCCGUGAACUUCUAAUAACCAUGAUUGUUCUUCUUUUCAAUAAAAAAAAAAAUUUUUAGAAGUCGAAAGGAGGGAAUUGAGUCCUAAAAGUUGAAUAAGGGAUCUCAUGAUCAUCUAGUAACCUGGUGGUUCAGUGCUAAGAAAGAAGCAAAUUCUUUGUCACAAAAAUGACUAAUACACCCCUAAAUACGCUUCUCAAAUAAGUUGGAGUAACUAUUAUACUAUUUAACAUAUCAGUCCACCUAGUUACCUAAUCAGUGUAUACGCUAAUAUAUAUUAGUUUACACCGAGAAAAAAGAUAUACAAAAUCUUAUUAAAUUUAGAGUAUAAUAAAAGUGUAACACACAAAUGUACAUUUUUUGAAAAAAAAAAAAAAAAAAACCCGCAUGAACGAUACAUUUGUAACAAAAGACCCGGAGCAAUGGCUGUAUCGGGUGAGCUGGUCUUGAGACCAACAACUCGGUUUUUGUCUGUGUCAUGCUCGCUACUCUAUUAUUGGGCCCUUUUGCUAGCAAUUGGGCAAGUCCAUUUCACCAAAGAGCACAUACUUACAUUGCAAUCCAGCAGUCCAGGCAACAACAUUAAAACCCAACAUAAGACAACCUUCUCCGACAUCCAGAGUCCAAAAACAACGUUGUUUUGGCAUGGGCUGCACGUGUAAGCUAACUUAAAAGGCUUCAAUGGAAAACCACCAAAACGGAUGACGAAAUCCAACCAAGCGCUACUCCCUCAGCCUCGGUUCCUCUUCCAAUUUAUGGAAAUACAGUACCACUUUCUUCUUCAGCUGUCUUUUCUUUACUGCUUACCUUAAUUUCUUCAUCGAAGAUUUCUCCAAUUUCCACCUAUAAUUAUCCCUCACUUAUAGAUAGAAAAUAGGUUUCCCCAAGACGAGAGAGAGGGGGGAAAAAAGGGAAGAAUAAAAAAAAAAAAAAAAAGCUUUUUGAUUGAGCGGACGACUGGUAAUGGCGAACUUACCUCAGUCCUUGUCGAUGAACGCCGCCGCCGCUUUUGGUGGUCCAGGCUCGUCGUCGGCUAGCCCUUCCGCCGCUGGAACUCAAGGCAAUAAGGAUCGAAAAAUGAUGUCUGCCGAGCAGCUUGUACUUGAACUUAGCAACCCUGAUCUCCGAGAAAAUGCCCUUCUCGAACUCUCCAAGGUUUAUAUAUCAAUUUAUGACAAUUUUACAAUUACAUUAAUGAUUAGGAGAAUUGCCAUGUAUUUUUACAUUCUUUUUGGAGCAUUUACUGGAGAACCUUUUUUCUUUUUUUUCUUUUUUUUGGGCUUCGCUGAUUUAGUGGAUUAGUCUUUUGCACUUUCUGAUUUGUAGGGAAUUGUCUGUUCUUUUCUUGAAAUUGGAAUUUUGGGUAGUUUGGUAGUUAAAAUUUCAGUAUGAUUUGUUAAAACUGGCGAUAAAUGAGAAGGUGCGAUCCUUCAUUGUUUUUCCAUUUUUCAUUUUCGCACCCUCAGUUCGAUAUGGUUAUCAUUUGGUAAAAUAAUUUUUUUUUGGAGUCUGUUGGAAUAAGACAAUAUUGACAAAUUGCUAUCAGCAGUGAAUCAACUGAUCAUUUGCUUAAAAUAUGUGAUUUUUUCCUAUAAUUGUUAAUUUGGUGCAAAGUUGACUUAAUUCUCGAUAUUUUUUUGGGAUAAGAGGCUGAAAAAAUUUGGGAUUUUUUUCUAGCUUAUAGUAGUUGGAUUUUCCACAUUCAAACUGCCACACGAUGUUGAAGUAUGGGCAAUCUCAUGAUAUCCAACUACAAUUGGUCCAAGGAAGCACUGAAUGGCCAGAGGAGAUUUGUUUAACAUACCGCUUUGUGUUCGAUGAUACUGCAAUAAUGUGAUCGUUAAUGGAUUGGAAUCAGAAACAAUUAGUCAGUAUACGAAAAAGUUCUUAGACACUACUUUAAAUGUUUAAAGCUCACUUUAAGAGACUCAGAAAUGAUGAGGGGAUACAUUAUUGCAAGACUUUGAAUUACAUAUCAAAAGGAUCUGUUUUGUUCUCUGCCAAUGGUUGCUGUCAGAAUAACUCUGUGGAUGUAUAAAAAGUUUCAUCGCCAUAUAAAUCAGUUAUUUAAGGGUGCAUUAUUGCUUAAAUGAUUCUUAUGAAUUAAUGCUCUAACUCUUUGGUGUAUUUUACAGGCAUGGAAAGCACUAUACCUUUCUUCCUUGAGAAAAUUACUUCUUGUUCUGCAUAUUUUAGCUCAUAGAUAUUAUGCAUAAUCGUGGCUUUCAAAUUUAUUGAAUAACUGAUUGUAUCUUCUUCCUUUUUUGUUCAUAAUUGUAGAAGAGGGAAAUCUUUCAAGAUUUGGCUCCAUUACUUUGGAAUUCUUUUGGGACUAUUGCUGCACUCCUGCAGGUAUUUAGUAUGAAAGUAUUCUGUUUUUAUUUUUUUCUCAGUAUUUAUAUUGUCAUAAGAUGCCAAUUAAAGUGUUAGUUGAUUCAUGAAUAUUGUACUGAUUAACUGUUUUUUUUUUUUUUGAAAAGAACAACUUCGCCAAUUCGUAUAUUGGUUAUACUCUUUGACUGUUGUACUUUUUGUGGAUAUAUGUUUUAUGAUGUAAUUUGACAAUAUGAACUCAAUAAAUUGUCUUUGUGUAUGUGCAUGAGACAUUGAUGGUGAGGAAAGGGAAACUACAUUGAUAAUGGAAAAACAAUGUGUAGUGUAUUUGAUGCAUUUCUUGUCAUAAAGACAGUUUGCUGACUGGAUUGGUGUUCUUUUUUGGGAGCAUGCAGGAAAUAGUUUCUAUCUACCCUGUUUUAUCUCCACCAAACCUGACUCCUGCACAGUCAAAUAGAGUUUGCAAUGCACUUGCUCUUCUGCAGGUACUACUUAUUCUUUUCUUUGACUCUUUCAUGAAAAGAUGAUGGAAGAAUUUCGUAUCACAUUUUUGUGAGUCAGGUCAUGCAUGUACAUCCUAAAGAAACUCAGCAUAUUUGAGAUUUUGUAACAGUGGAUUCAUUAACCAUCUUACAACUUUGUUCCUCAUGUUUUUGACUCUUGCCUUUUUUGGCACUGACAAAAAAAUGACUUUAGACCUGCUUAUUCAUGAUAACUUUAUCAAAAUAAAGUAUUUGGAAUCUUUCCCUUCCUUUUUUAUUUUUUGUUGGUGAUGCUGCCAUAAAUGGCCCAAAUCUAAUUCGUCUGCUCUGAAGUGAUUUUGCUCCACCUCAAAGAUUAUCUGUUUGUGAAAAUCAUUUGCUUUUGAUGAAUUUGUUGGUUUGCCUUUUGCAGUGCGUGGCUUCUCAUCCUGACACUAGAAUGUUGUUCCUUAAUGGUAAUUUACUCUUUCUUCAUGAUUAGGAUUUUUACAUGGAUCUGCCUGAAGUUUCAAAUAUCUAAUGGGCAAAAUCUGUAGACAAAGAAGAACCCUUAGUUUAGGGAGCCUCAAUAGCUGUGUAUUAUAAUGCAGCAUCUACCUUCAACCUCCCAGUGUGCCUGUGGAAAAAAUAUGUAAUUACAUGAAAAUUUGUGGAGUUUUUUUUGAACACUAGCCAGUUAUUUGAAUUGAUACUGUUCCUCUCUGCUUUAAAUAAUAUCUUAGGUUUGAAACUGAAUGGACAUGUUCCUGUUUGAGUUUCUUGGAGACUAAAUAAGUCAGUAAUCAUACCUGCUUUCUGAACUAAAAUAUCUGGUUCCUUUUGUUGCACAUAAACUAUUGUAGCAGUAGUGCAACCUCUAUUCAGCUGUGGAUCUUUUCCUUGUGCUUUUCAUCUCAAGAGCAAGACAAGUUGCAAAACCAUUGGGUUAUUCUUUAUUUAGCUGAAUAUUGUUUUGCUGUCAUUGCAGUUGAUUCUUAGUGUUGCUUUUCUUCUUUGCAGCCCAUAUACCACUGUAUUUGUAUCCAUUUCUCAAUACAACAAGCAAAUCAAGGCCUUUUGAAUACCUGAGGCUUACCAGUCUGGGUGUCAUUGGUGCACUGGUGAAGGUAUUAAAUCAUCCUAAGUUCAUAUUUUCUAUUGUCCCUUCACCUCUCGUCCCCAUAUAUCAUGAACCAUCUCCUUGCCAGUUUUGGCGUUCCUAGGUUAAACAAUCUUCAAUAGCAGCCAUGGUGUUUUCAGCAAAACACAUAUCUUCUGGUUGGGAAAAAAAAAGAAAAGGAAUACAUAGAACAAUGAUUAAUGGACUUUGAGUGCUUGUAUCCGAAUAGAGCAAUACAUAUUGUAAAGUUGCACAUCUGGAGAGAAAUAUCUAGUUUCUGCAACCUUAUGAGAUAUUAUCUUGUUUCACCCUACUCUGAGUGAAGCUCCAGUUGAGGCCGUAUCUAUGGUUCUGCCUAUCUUAAGUGCUGCUUUUGUUAUGUGUUUUUAAAUUGCUAUCUCCCAUAAGAUAUAACUGAACAACUUCAAGGGUUGAUUUCUAUCUGAUUCCUUCAACUUUUCUUCUUUUUCUUGAAGUGUUAUAUAUGUUCACCCAGGGUGAAGCAUAUGAAACUUACUAAUUAUAGUCGCAACUUUAAUGUAACUAUCCUCAUUUCUUCGAUUUGUUAUUGUGUUGAAUGAAAUAUGGCAUCCUUGAAAUGCAUUAUUUGAGCUACUUUUGGAAGUUCACUUGUAUCAUGUUUAUAUUACUUGGAUUGUGCUAGCUAUAAUUUUCUGGUUGCCUUUGCUCCUUUUCAGGUUGAUGACACUGAGGUUAUUAGUUUCCUCCUCUCAACAGAGAUAAUUCCCCUGUGCCUUCGCACAAUGGAGAUGGGUAGUGAAUUAUCAAAAACAGUUGAGUGGCUCCUUAUGUUAUGUUUUACCAUGUUCUCUGAUGUUUUAGUACAAACGUCUCCUCAGUUCUGCAUUCCAAGUAUAGUUUGCCCUACAACAACUGUUACUAGAUGAUGUAUCAGACUCUGUGUGAUUGAUUCACUUUAAUCUUUGAGAAUGGGAAUUGGAAUUUCCUUCUUGAAGUAAAUGCUUUUCCGGCAGUUAGUGUAGCAACAUUUGAUGAACGUCAACAGUCAAAGGUGCAGUAUGUAGAUACGAAAAUGAUUCUUAUCUGCUCUAAUGAUUGUUGUCAUUUAGUGGCUGCUGGGGCUGUGGGGUUUGUCAGUUACUGCCACCCUUUUGAUUAAACUGGAGACUUCCACAUUGUACUACUAACUAGCCAUUAAGAGACCAAUUUUGGAAUGUCACAUUUGCUCAUUUGAAGGUUGUUCUUGCACAAUUUAGACAUUUUUUUUGUGCAGUCACAAUUUCACUAUCUUUCCUUAUGGAACUUUAUUUUUAUUGUGUCUGCUGGCAGGUUGCCACAUUUAUUGUACAAAAGAUUCUGCUGGACGAUGUGGGCCUGGAUUACAUAUGCACCACAGCAGAGCGGUUUUUCGCUGUAGGUCGAGUCCUGGGAAAUAUGGUGGCUGCACUUGCUGAGCAGCCAUCAUCGCGACUGCUAAAGCACAUUAUUAGGUGCUACCUUAGGUUGUCAGAUAAUCCAAGGUGAUGCUUCAAGAACAAUACCUCAUUGCAUAUUGUUUCUUUCCUUCUCUCUCCUCUUUCUGUGCAUACUGACGAGGUCCCUCCAUUUACAUGUUCAAUUUGUGUACGUGCGGGUGUCUGUGUUCAUAUGCAUCACAUGUUUCAGUAUGAAAAACAUUAAGGUUUUACAACCUUGUCUUGUGUAGGGCUUGUGAUGCACUUCGGAGCUGCCUUCCUGACAUGCUUAGAGACGCCACCUUCAGCAGUUGCCUUCGUGUAUGUAUACACUAAUAUGUAACUUGAGCAGAUUUUAGCUUAUAAUCUUGUUUUCUGAUUGUGGAUAUGCUGGAAAUAUAAAUGUUUCAACACCUAUUAAGCAACUUCAGCUUCAUCUUUCAUGUUUUUCAUGUUGCCAGGAAGAUCCAACAACGAGACGAUGGCUCCAACAGUUGCUUCACAAUGUCCAAGGGCCUCGGGUUGCACUGCAAGCUGGGACAGGGUUCGACCAUAUGCUAGUGAACUGACUGGAGGCCAGCCCCUUUUUGUUUGCCGUUACUGCUGAUGAUUAAAGCUUGCAUUUUCAAGUGCAUGCUGCUUUAGUUGCUUGGUUAAAAGGUCAUUUGUAGAUUAGGUAUUUAUACAACUCUAGUAACUUGUCGUAGGGGGCUUAAAAGGCCUCGACUUGAAUACGAGGUCGUUUUGUAAAUGAAUUUGAUGUUAUUAUAGAGGUUUUUUUUCAGUAGCUGGACACUUGAUAGUGUUCUUAAUUGGUCCACCCCGACCUGACCUCUUUAGCUGGUGGAGGUUAAAUGACACCGUAGGCCUCAACAAUUGUUUCUCAUAAUUUUAGUCUACAGUUGAUGGAUUAAGUGUAUAACAAUCACAAUUGACUUUUGGAUUAAAGGUUUAGGUGUAAAACAAUAACUUUUGGCACACAACUCCUAAAGAGCAUGUAAGAAAUUAUUGUUGUUGUGAUUUUAUUUAUUGGGAUAAUUGCAGAAACCUCCCCUGAGGUUUCUGGCAUUUGCACUGACCUCCCCUAUGAUUUGAAAAAUUACACUGACCUCCCCUGAGGUUACUAAUCCUUUGCAAAUUUAGUCCAAACAAUUAAAAUAUUAUUUUAGGGAGUGAAGUUUGAAUUUUGUACCAUAUUUGUCCUUUGUUCUACAUAUUCAAUGAAUGACAAAAUAUUAUAAAUCAAUUAACAAUUAAUAAAUUUUAAGGAGUAUAAUUUACGGGCAAACACCCAUUACUCAUUUAAAAUAUCAGCUUUUUACGAGUAUUUUACUUUUAAAUAUUUAAUUUAUGAUAAAUAUAUCAAUAUUUGUAAGUAAAAUUCAAAAAUUGUUAUAGUAAUAUUCUUGCAAAAAAGAAAUCAAUAGGUUAUUUAUUUAAUAUAAAUUAAAUAUUUUUUUAAAAAAAAUGGUCCAUAAAGUGUUAAUUUUUAUGGCUUUCAUCCAUUAUACUAGUAAAGUAUUCGCUCUUCAUGUGCAUUUUAUUCUGAAUCAUUUAAUUUAUGUUAAAUACAUAAAUGUUUGUAACUAAAAUUGAAAAAGUGUUAUAUUAAUAUUUUUACAAAAGAGAGAUUGGUAAGUUUUGUAUUUAACAAAAAUUAAAUAUUUGAAAGUAAAUACAAAUCUGUAUUUGAGCGUAAAUAUUUGUAUUAAAUUAAAUGUUUGAAAGUAAAAUACCCUUAAAGAGCCGGUACUUUAAAUAGUUACCGACUUUUUAUAGGCAAACACGCAUUACUUAUUUAAAGUAUUUUUAGGAAUAUUUUACUUUCAAACAUUUAAUUUAUGAUAAAUAUAUCAAUAUUUGUUAGUAAAAUUUAAAAAGUAUUACAGUAAUAUUCUUGUAAAAAGGAAAUCGGUAGGUUAUUUAUUUAAUAUAAAUUAAAUAUUUUUUUUUUAAAUGACCCAUAAAGUAUUAAUUAUUUAUGGCUUUCAUCCAUUAUAUGAGUAAAUUAUUGGCUUUUAUGGGUAUUUUAUUUAGAAUCAUUUAAUUUAUGUUAAAUACAUAAAUAUUUGUAACUAAAAUUGAAAAAGUGUUAUAUUAAUAUUUUUACAGAAGAGAGAUUGGUAGUUUUUGUAUUUAACAAAAAUUAAAUAUUUGAAAGUAAAUACAAAUAUGUAUUUGAGCGUAAAUAUUUGUAUUAAAUUAAAUGUUUGAAAGUAAAAUACCCAUAAAAAGCCGGUACUUUAAAUAGGUAAUGCAUAUUUGCCUAUAAACUAUACUCCUUAAAGUUUAUUAAUUGUUAAUUGAUUUGUAGUAUUUUGUCAUUCAUUGGAUAUGUAGUACAAAGGACAAAUUUGAUAAAAAAUUCUAAUUUCACUCCAUAGAACAAUAUUUUAAUCGUUUGGACUGAAUUUGCAAAGGAUUAGUAACCUCAAGGGAGGUCAGUGUAAUUUUUCAAACUACAGGGGAGGUCAGUGCAAAUGUCAGAAACCUCAAGGGAGGUUUCUGCAAUUAUCCCUUAUUUAUUUAUUAGUUCAACUUCAUAGAUUUGAUAUCUUAGAAAUGAACUUGUACAUGGUUGACGAGGUGAACCUGCACAUUGUGAGUAUACACUUGCCUGCUUGGACAUAUAAUGUAUAUAAGACCAUAAAAAGUUGUUAGAAAAAUAAAAAAGUUAAUUUGAAAAUAUGUUUAUAAUGCAAGCGAAUAAUAUUUUAAAUGAAUAGAUAUCAAGAAUAAUAUUUUAAAUGAAUAGAUAUCAAGAUACAUUCGUUAAUCAAUUACAUCACUUAUAGGCGUGGAUUAUGUAAUUUUACAUGGUGUUACUUUCUCCACUUUUUGGCUUGGAUUGACAUGCAUUACAUUAGAUAAUACAUACAAAUUAUUUGAAUACUGGUUAAUGUGCAAUAUGUUUUCCUAUAUUUCUUUAUCAACACCUAAGUUGGUUUACGUCUAAAAUUUAUAAAACCUUUUUAAAAAUUAGAUUUUUCUAGCAGAUGCAGAAUGGGCAUUCAUUAAGAUACCUAAAAUGCACGUAAGUUAUUUUUUCUUUUUCUUUUUUUGUUAUUUCAUGGAAGGUAAUAUGUACAUAGACACAUUUACAUUUUAUUGUACCUCCUGAAUUAAUUACAAUUUGCUUAAAAAACUAAUACCCAAAUCCUACUCUUAUCCGGUGCUUAAUAGGCACCUGUUAGCCAAACUAUGAAAAUUGAAAAGUAAGUUGCACCCCUGAAGUUCCAUCUAAUCUAGUCGCGACUCUGAUAUGGCACAGGAAAUGACAUAAAAGUAACUGGAUUAAAGGUACAAAGUAUCCCGGCAUCAGCAAGGCAUGGAUUCAGUACAUCUUUAAGUAUAAACAGUAUCCAGCAAUUUAACUUACGUUAAAUCCGAAGAGAAGCUUGGACAGAGUGGGGUUAAUUUUAGAAACCUUCCCAAUUUCUGACAAUUUUACCUGACACUUUUCAGAUUUACAAUACUAAAAUUACCUCCCCUAUUAUACUACAUUUACUUUCCACUACUAUAACCACUGUUUCUACCCCUCAACUAGGGGUGAGCGCGGAUUCGGUACCGUCCCAUUCACCAUUUGGCUGACCCGACCCGCACCUUACAGGUCAAUUAUUUUCUGACCCUUACCCGUCCUGAGAUAGGGUCGGAUCAGCGGGUACCCGUCCCGCCCCGUUUAUCAUUUAAUUUUUUUAAAAAAAAUUAUUUAUACCAAUUUAAUUUUAUAUUUUACACAUUCAUCUAAGAUUUAAUAAUUUUUUUUUCUAAAAAAAGAUUUCCCACCAAAAAACAAGCAUAUGAAGAGAAUAUAAGAUAAAGGAAAAAAAAUUAAAAGAAUUCAAAAUCAAUAAAAGUUUGAAAUAAGUAGCAUAAUUUUUAAUAUAUAUGUUCCACAUUAAUUAAACUUUUUUCUAUGAAAUAUAAGAUCAUGGCCUUUACAAAUGAAUCUUAUAAAUAAACUAUAGUCUCUCAUAUUUGUAAUGCAAUUUGUUCAAUAAAAUUACUUAUUUAGUUCUAACUUAUUAUUUUAUAGUGUAUGUAUAAAAAUAAUAUAUAUAUAUAUAUAUAUAUAUAUAUAUAUAUAUAUAUAUAUAUAUAUAUAUAUGCGGGGCGGAUCGGAUACUCACGGGUUUUUAAUUAUAUAACCCUAACCUGUCCGCAUCUUAGCGGAUACCCAACCCUUUUUUGAGCCGAUCAAAUAAUAAAAAUCGGAUAUCCUAAUUUUUAGAUUAGAUCGGAUCGGAUAUGACGGAUUUUCAGGUUAGCGGAUAAUUUUGCCCACCCCUACCCUCAACAGAUUUGCACUACAAGUUCAUACAUACUGAUGUAUUGCUCUUCAAAAUAACAUCCUAGAUAUCCAAAAAAAAAAAAAACUUACAAGAUUACAAAAUUUUUAUCUUUUCUUUCUUCGAAUUCAUUUUUUACACAAAAACAAGAUGACUGGUGGCAUAUAAUACUUUUGGUGAUGUUGUUCUUUAAUGUAGGGGACAACAAUUCGAAUAUAUUGUUCUUUUAAUUCGUAUUUUAUGAAGUUGAAAGUGAGAAUGUCUUCAAUUUUAGAGAGUAUACUAGAUUUUAAACAAGAUGUUACUCGAAUACAUAUAGAUGCUCCCUGCAUUCUUGGGGUUCUGAUGAGCAUUUUUUUGAUCCACCUCAACUUAUAUUCUAUAUGUCUUACCUAAUCAGUGAAAAUGAGGGCAUAAAUUGAAUACUCAAAAUUUUGGGGGGCAGAAAUCCCACUUCCAAUUCGAUUUUGGGAGCCAAAAAAAAAGAAAAGAAAACAUCCCACCUAAAACGUUCGCCCCCACCGGGGCACCCUUUUCUUUCCCUGGUGUUCCCAAAACGCCUUCCGACAAUCAAACAAGUCCAAACGGCGAAUUCCGAAGCACACCAACUUUGACCCAGAGCCCAAGUCUUCCCUCUGUGGAAUAUCCCAUAAAUUUUGUUUAAACUGCCAUGAAAUCAUCCGAAAAGUAUGCUGUGACGUAUGCCUACACCUUCCAGACGUCAUCAGACGACGACGAGGACAUGACGGAGACCGUUACAGACAUGGCAGCAUCCGUGAGGGCGGUGGAGGAACUCCUGAAUUACAAGUUUAAGAACAAGAUGCUUCUAGAAGAAGCUCUGACUCAUUCUUCUUACACUGAUUCGGCAUCUUACCAGCGGCUUGAGUUCGUCGGCGAUGCCGCUCUUGGGUUAGCCGUCUCUAACUACGUGUUCCUGGCUUACCCGGACCUUGACCCGGGCCAGCUCUCUCUUCUUCGGGCUGCCAAUAUUAGCACCGAGAAGUUAGCUCGUGUCGCCGUCAGACAUGGCCUUCAUAAAUAUGUUCGUCACAAUGCCGCUGCUCUUCACGAUAAAGUAAGUUUUUCUUUGCCUUUUAUUUUCUCUCUCUCUCUCUUUUUUCAAAAUAUGGAAUUAAGGUACCAUGGUUAAUGCAUGACGUAUAGCUAUUGAUGCACACGUUUGCUUGCUUUUAAGUUGUUCAGUAUGUGUGUUGAUUCUCGCAGAUAGUUUGAUUAAUUGGAAAAUACUAGCAGUACUACUUUAUUUGAUUGUUGCGGCUAUAUGAUUGUACCUUCUUAGAAUUGAUGGAAAUCAUACCACCAUGAAUGCAUGGCGUGUAUGCUUUUUUUUUUUUUUUUAUGGCUAUAAUAGGUUACAUAUGAGAUGGACCUAUUAGUUUGCGUGAUUAAUUGGAAAAGAUAAAAGGUAGCAGCCUUUCUCUAUCAAUUUUUUUCUGGAAUGCUGGUACCUUCGAUAGCUACAAGUGUUUGUGCGCAAGUCCAAUAUACAUUUAGAUUUAUAGUUUGGUCGGCUUGCGAUUUUUGCAUGAUUUUUGCUGUUAAUAAGGAUUCAGUUAUGGUUGUGAUUGUUUAGGUGAGAGAUUUUGCAACAGCGGUAGGGCAGGAGGAUGAAACAGAGGUAUAUGGAGGGGCAAUUAAGGCUCCAAAGGUUCUUGCUGACAUAGUGGAGUCGGUGGCUGCAGCUGUAUAUGUAGAUUGCGGGUUUGAUCUGCAAGCGUUGUGGGUGGUAAGCGCUUUUUCUAUUUCUUUUUUCCCUCUAUUAUCUGUGCCAUUCACCCCUUUGAUUAAACAUGAUAAUGUUAUACCAUUCUUAUGAGAUUGAAAUAUGAGAUGUGUUAAAAUGAUAGUUUCCUGCCCUGCUUUGUUGGAUGUCUGUUCCAAUAUUAGGACAAUUCAAUAUCAGCAAAUUAUAUGAAAGAAACGGGGUUUUCAAAACUAUAGAGUUUUUUUAAUUCCAUAGUUCGCCAAACAAAAAGAAACCUAGCAACACUGCUAAUCAUGAAUCAUGAAUUAUGAAUUAUUGUGUCAAUGUAUUAGGAAAACUCUCCCUUCAUGCUUCCACUAAGGUUUUGACGAUUCAAAGUAGAUGGUGUUGCAAUAGGCCUUAUUAUUGUCUUAGAUUCUUGAACAUAUGGGAAGCUAUUAUUCAUUACAAAAUGUUUUGGAUCAUCAAUGUGAAUUUCUCAAGGUUUGUACCUUUGUUGGGUUCAGAUAUUUAGGGGCUUAUUGGAGCCAAUUGUCACACCUGAUGUACUACAACAUCAGCCUCAACCAGUAACAUUGCUAUUCGAAUUGUGCCAGAAAGAUGGAAAGCAUGUCGAUAUAAGACAUUGGAGAAAAGGGGAAAAAAACAUUGCAAGUGUUUAUGUUGAUGGGCAAUUUGCUGCCUCAGCUUGUUCUGAUCAGAAAGAAAAUGCAAAGCUUCAUGCAGCUAGGGCUGCUUUGCGGAAGUUAUCUUACAAAGCUAGUGAAAAGAUUGGUGGAGACAUUAUAGGUGAAGUCAAUGGAUCUACUACUAAGAUUGAAAGUGCAAAACAAAAACUUCAUGAGCUCUGUGGAAGGAAAAGAUGGCCAAAACCAAACUACAGGUACCCCUUAUUCAGUUUCAUGAGUUAUACUUGCGCAUUUAGCUCGAUUUUAGUUCCAUGCCAUGUACUUCAAAUUAGAAGUCAGUAUGUUUUUCCUUGCUUCUAAAUUUAGAUUCCUGAAUAUUUGGUAAUAUUUACAGAAUUGAAAAGGAGAUAGGUCCAGCUCAUGAUAGGCGAUUUAUAUGCUCUGUUCAAAUUGAGAUUGCCGAGGCUGUGCUUUUUGUGACGGGAGAUGAAAAAUCAAGAGUGAAGGAGGCAGAGAACUCUGCAGCUUCUCUGAUGCUACUAGGUCUGCAAGGCUCUUAAGUACUAAUGAUGACCUAGGUGUAGAAUCAUGGAAAAUUGUAACCUGCUGUGUUGGUAGACAUUGUAGAAGCUGGAAAAGCAGAACGAUUUUCUUCAUUAUUUCUAUAUUAUUAGUUCAAUAAAUAUUGUAUUUUCUUUUACUUUUGAAUCGAUAAAUGAUCAUUGCUAUGGAUUAAGGUUCUAGUUGUACCGUGAAAACUGGCAUUUUCAACAGGGUCGAUGACUUCCUGAGAGGACAAUCUUCAAAGACAUUGCAUCUUAUAUAUUGGCAAAUGAAGGCUGGUAGUCCAUGGCUCACUCAGCUGCAACUAUUGCGCUUGUGGCUCUCCCAAAGGGUCGCCCCUACCUUUAAGCAGAAUCAUACAAUAGCUUAGUUUGCUUCCCUUUGUUGCAUCUUUGCUCGAUUUGGUGGGAACUUCUUCCAAUGGAGGAAACCUUCCUCGCUUUUAGAUCCAGCACCUUAACAGCAGAAUCAAACUGGACACGAGUUUUGAAGUGGCAAGUUGUUUGUUGAUCAUCUCCCUUUUUUUCAUGGAAGCGGUUUCCCGUGAGGCCACUAUAAGAGAAGAUUGCAGCAGGUGUGUCGUGGUCGUAUAGGCAAAAUGGUGUUGUGAUGUUUUUCUGGAAAAUCUGCACUGGUCUAACAUAUUUGAGAAGACCUCCAUCGUUUGGCCUUACAUAUAGCUGACCAACAGCACUACCAGUUUCCAGAGCUUAUUGUCAUUGUCCUCGUGUCAAUCCUGACAGGUAUGUUAGCAGUGCAGAUGUCAAAGCAAAUUGCAAUAUUAUAGCAAAGCCUGUGGCUUCCAGCUUGUUGGGAUCUUGUCCCUGCUCGCAUUCAGUGAUUAGAAUCAGUUAGUGAAAAUCUGGAGCUAUCUAUUGCUGAAAGAAGAUCUACUGUUCAAUUGGAAAAGAGAAAAAACUCAAUAAUCUUGCUUCCACCGAGUCGUUUGUUUGUACCAGCCGACGGUCCUCUCUAUUUGUAGGAUUAUGUGGCCUGGACUCGUGUCUUCAUGCCCUUCCAUCAACUAGGCUGCUGCUUUGAAUAGGUUGCUGCAAUCUUUGCUGCUCUACUGUUGAAAUUAGUAGGCAAAUGAACUCCUCUUUACCGGUAAUAACUUAGAGAUACGUUGAUCCGUGACAGAAAAAUGUUGGUAGGAAAUGGGGAGGGGGGCAAAAAUUCUUUUCCUAGUAAAAACUAGCCUUCUAACUCCAAGUUUCAGUGCUUCUUGCUGUUUAUAUUUUCAUUUGCCUUAAAUGGUGGGGCCAACAUUAUUAUCAGCCCAAUAUGCAAAGCAUGCUUUCCUUACUUCAUAAUAUUGAGAGCUAGGACCUAAUACACGUCAGGAAUUUUAACAGUAGAUAAAAAUUGAGUUAGAAGGAAUUAGAAGUGUGAAUUACGUUGAUCAAUCUGGAAAAACGCGCACAGUAAUCCAAAGGGAAAACGGUAAGCCUGCUGAUUGAUGGAAGUUGAGAAACUGCAAACCAGCCAGCCAGCCAGCCACUUUUCCUGCAUCGUUCCUCAACUCAUAGCAUCGUGUCUUCAUUUAUUUUUUUUCAUUUUUAAAUAUUUGGCAACUCCAAAAAUCCAUUUAGAACAUGCUAUACCCGGAAUUUUUGGUCUCUCGGUUACUAAAAAAAAAACAUAAAUCAAACAAAUUAAAGGGAAGUCAUUUAUCAUUAUCAUUUUUUUUCCUUUUUUUUGGGGGGUGGGGGUGUGCAAGUUCCGCCUACAUUUUGUCCAAAUUCAAUUCGUCAUAUAAGCGGUUUGACGAUACUAGUGUGUAUCUAUCAACAAAGUCCAUCUCUGAUGUGCAAAAGUCACACGGCAAAAGAUGAUUUAUGAUUGACGAGAAGAGUCAAGUUAUGAGAUGUUUAAGUUGGAAUUUGCAGAAAUGAUAUAGAAUUUUCUUACGAAGUUAAUUAUCACGUAAGAAUCCACCAUGAUUAGGAGUAAUGAUGAUAUCUAUGAGAGACAUGACUUGAUUCCACCAUUCAAGUGCCCCUCUUACCUUGUUAAACAAUAAUGUGGAGAAGAUUCUCAUGAUGUUCUUUCUCCACUUCUCUUUAUUCAGCACCACCCUGCUUUUUCCUUUUUCUAGUUAUUGCAACUUGCUAGUAGGGCACUUCCUUUCCCUUUUUGAUGCAGAAUUUUAUUUUCAAUUACCCCUUUCCCUUUUAUCAUGAGUGGAUUAUUUGAAUCCCACCACCUAUAUGUGAUUUCUUUUUCUUUUUAACAGUCGAGUCGAGUCGAGUCGACAGAAGGGUUAAAACUUGUCAAUCCCAUUAUUAUUAUUAUUAUUCUGGGAGAAUAAAUUUCAUGUCACAACAGCCAAGGUUGAAUGAAGGAUCAAUGAGAAUAUGAUGAGAUCGGUGAUCAAAAUGAAUAUUCCAAUGUAAAAGACAACAACGGAAUUUUAUAGUUUGUACCUGGGCUUCUUGUUAGAAGUUCGCAAUCAAGGGAUGGAUGGUUUUGAAUAAUGCCACCAUUUUACGAGCGAGAGCUGAUGCUUAAACGCAUGGCAACGCAAGCCAGUUUCUCCUACUCCUGUUACUUUACAAUUCUUUGAAGAUUAGGUAGAUAACCCCAAAAAUUGAUUAAGAUCUAAUCGCCAUCAGGCAACUUUUGACUCAGCAGCUUGGAGUUUUUUCUACUAGCUAUGUAUACAUAUAUAUAUGUGUGUGUGUGUGUGCCUUUCUUUUUUGUAUUUUAUGCAUACGACGAUUGUUCAACAACUGGUCCCGCAGCCAAAGUUUACUGGUAUCGUAAUCAAACACAAAAAUUGGGAACAAAAGAUAAGUUCACCUUUAUAUUGUGCUGAUUCUUUCAACCACUCCCGGACCCAUCACUCAACAAAAUGCAAACGAUUAUAUACGCAUUAUCAAAUUGAUAAGGAAAAAUAAUUUGGUCCUCCAUCAAAGCAUAACUUACCAACCAGUUGGAAGGAAAGAAAAAACAUUUUUGUAUACGAUCUGAGUCUACGGGGCAAAAGAGAAAAGAUCUCUUCGAAAGCCACCCUAUGUUUUGUAAACCCAAUGCAAUAAGUACAAUUGUUUGUUUCAACAUUAAGAAGAGAACUACUCAACAUUAUUAACACAUAUAUAAAACUUGUACAAUUAGAGGGACCAUACCCUCUUAUCAUAUCAAAGUUUGCCUUAAUUUUGCAACCAAUUAAUGACUGAUUCCCUCCGCAGCAAGGCGGCAAAGGUUUUCUCUUUCCAGGGAUGUCUAUUACGUAACGUCAUAAAACAACCAAAAAAAUAGUCUAGCCAAAACUAAACCAAACGAAAAAGAAGCUAGCUGUUUUCUUCUCCUUCAGUUUGGAGGGUUUGUUGUGGAGCGUCCGAUGAGCCUCAUUGCUUCAAGAAGGGUAUUCCUAAAUCUUCCCAAAUUGAUCGUCACAUUCUGCUGGUCCAAAUAAUAAACCCUCGAUUUCCUGUAACCCUGUGCUUUGAUGGACUCGGGAUCUUUAAGCACGGGAUGAUCCGGUCCAUACAAAUCAUAAAGUGUGCUCUCUUGAGGCUCAAUCUUGUAUUCCAAGUAAUGCAACCCCAUUCCCGUUGCCGGUCCGCCGUAGUAUGCAUUUCCAACCCAGUCGAGUUCGAGUGGAAGCACCUGAAUCAUGACUGCCCCGUUAGGCAGGAAAAUUUCAUUUGUCAGCCCGGCACCAUGCACUCCAACCAUAACGCUGCUGGAACCGAUAACCCGAGAAAAUUCAUCCAAAUUUGACAUCAGAUCAUUGGUAGGAAUGAACACGCGAAAACCCAACUCCUCCAUCAUCCUCACCACGGCUCCUUGAUUCACUAUAGUUCUCGUUCUCGUGCGAGACACUAUUAGCAAUUGUGGCUUUUCUGUCCCCGGCAUCUGGGACACAUCCCUCGGCUUCAAAUUAAACGAUUUUCUAAGCAGAUCCCUGAAUUCGACCAUGGAAUAAGCUCCUGGGGUGUCGCUGGUGUUGAUUGCCAAGUUGUCAUGAUACUUGAGCCCAACAAUGGCCCCUGGAAAACAAUGAAUGGCCCCCUUACUAGUUUCGGCUGCAUUUAUAAACUCGAAAUGCGACAGCUUGGUUAAAACCCUCCUGAAUUUGUUGAGCACCCAAAGCUGGUAAUCCGUGAUCAUGAACUUCACCUUGGAUCUGAAAUGCCGGCUCGUGAUGAAGACGGGAAUGAUAAUGUCGUUGAAUUCGUGGAAUAUGUUCCCAGCAAAUCCGCCCGAGGAGAAAACCACGGCCGGCACCUUGUGUUUGAAACCACAAGGUGGUGGGCGGACGUUACCGUGCAGAAUCUCGACGGGCUUGACCAUUUUCAUUGCCACUUCAUCGUUUUUAAGUGGGUACGGCUGAGCCGUGUACUUGUGCAAUUCCUGAUCGGAGUAUAUGUAAAUCCUGGAAGCAUUCGUGUCGAACCUCACUUCUUUGCUAGAAAUAUAAAUGUCCGAGUUCAACUCGGACAGGUGAGCAAAUCCAGUUUCUUCGAAUCGAGUCCGUUGUUCUCCUGCUAGCUCCAAAGAAUCAAAAUUCUUGACUCCAAAAAGACUUUUGGCGAAAAUUGAUUUGAUUUGAUCUCUCGGAGAUGCAUGUUAAACAAAUAUAUUGGUAUCUCUACAUAUACAUACAUAAUCUUGUGGAGUAAUUUUUCCGCUUUCAAGAACAACAAAUUUGUAGGAUGGCAAAAAGCUCCACAACUCGUCAAUUGACUGUCGCUCUUAACAACAUCAACAUAUAUAGCUAGGUAGCACAGCCAAAUUCAUGAGUAGAGGGGGAGGGGGGGGGAGAAAAAGGAAAAAAAAAAAAAAAAAAGGAAAGGGAAAGCAUCUUUCUUAUCUUACAAUCAAAGGGAGAGAGAUAUAUUUUUUAUUAAUGAAAGUGCUAAAGAUCGAUCGAAACUCAGACUAGCUAGUAGAACAUAACAAACCUGUUAAUAGCCUUCUGAGCAUAAUCUUGAGCGGGUCUUUCUUGGGUACGACAUCUUUGACGGCGACUUUUCUGCCUGUGCCAAGAUGGUUAUUCGAAUUUGUGAGCUUCGCGUCGAGAUUGCUGUCUGAACUUGAGAACUUUGCCUUCCCUACAACGUAUUAAAGAUCGAUGAGCAUCCACGAAUAUGCAUGGAAUCGCCGUCCAAAUUUUUUUCACAUAAAGGCUAAGUAAGAAAACAAAAUCUAUGUUUUUCCUAGACAACAAAAAAAAAGAGAAAACAAUCGGAUGGUGGAUAGAAGAGCUAGAUUACAUUCAUCAAUCUGGCAAAAUAUUGCAGAGUAGGCCAAAGCGUGAAAGAUGAGCAAGGAGAUUAAGAAAGUUGGGCUGCAAACCAGUCGUUUGGAUUCCUCCACCAUCGAUCCUCUUUACUCCGGACUACAAUUGCUGUUGUAUUCAAGUCCCUGUCUUGACUUCAACGUAUGAGUACGAAGCACUCAAUUCUCAUCCAGCAACCUCUUCUUCUCUUCUAAGACAAAACAUGGUUUAGACGUCCCUCUCUUCUUGUUUAUUAGUAUUACUACUUCCUGUAAUUGCUUUACCUUUCUGUCUGUCUUCUUCCCUGUCUUGCUUCUAGAAUUUGCAACUUGAUUGAUAUUCAACUAAGGUUCAUGCAUAUAAACAACACUGACCUACAAAUUUUUUUUUUUUUUUGGGCAGCAGCCGCGGUUUAACCUUUGCGUCGACCUACAAAUUUUUGCUUUUCAUUACAGGACCUUUUACUUAAGGUAGCUUUCAACUUUCCUAUAUAUAUAUAUAUAUACAUACACAUACAUACAUACAAUUUCUUUGUCAAUCGAUCAAAAAAAUAAUAAUAAUAUUUAGGGAAAGGCAGUAGGGCAUCUCUUACGUCAAAGAUUUGAUUUUGAGAAAUAUAAAACUCGGGCCGUUCUUUGUCGAAGACAAGACGAUACAAUUUUUUUUUUUUUUCCCUUUUCCUUUUCCUUUUCUUGAAGGAAAUAAAUAAAACAAUACAUACAAUUAAGAUGUAGACCAGGACGGCUCUAUAAAUAUCCCAUAAAUGGGGAGGAGAGGAGGGGAGGGAGAUUAUGACCUAAAAAUAUGAUCGCCACUCAAUACUGUAGCCGUAACACAAGGAAAUCAAUGCACACAUUCCUGCGCCAGCUGUAUCUAAUCUAUGUUUCUGCAUCGCACAAGUAACUUUCCACAUCAUAAUCAAGCAUUACAUACGACUUUGUCUUCUACAAAAAUCCCACUAAUUGAGUAAUUGAUUUGAAGAGUCUAAUGGUCCAGGUAUUUUUUUCCCCCUUUUCUCACUGGUCGAAUACCAGCUGCUGCUGCUGCUGCUGCUGCUGCUGCUUAAAAACGUCCAGCUCUAAAGUAUUGAUUGAUUCCUUGCUUUCCUCAGGAAAAAAAAAAAAAAAAAUUUUUUUUCCCUUUUCGAUUCUUUUCUUUCAAUUGAAAAACAGUAUCGAUUCUUUAAUCUUUUUCAUUUAUGUCUUUUAGUUUUUCCCCCCUUAUUUUAAUUUCUAGGAGAAAAAGGGAAAAUGAACUUUCUCUAGAUUAAUAUCUCUAGAUUAAUAGUUUCAGAAACAGAACUCAAACAAUCAUGAAAGAAAGAUACUGAGACUAUAAAAUUAGAUGCCUCACUGUACUUUAGUGAAACAGACGGCAUUGAAUUGAAUCUACAGAAAGCCUCUUCAUUUACAAGAUGACUAUCAAAAAGAAUCAUUAAAUAACCUACAAAAAACGAAAAAGACAGAGCACCAAAAUCUGAAGUCUUUCCAUCAAGGCAGAGGAUUUGUGGGGCGUCCAAGAAGUCUCAUUGUUUCAACAAGUGUCUUCCUGAAUCUUUCAACAUUGAUUUUGACAUCCUGCUUAUCAAUAUAUAUAGCCCUGAAAGCCUGAUAACCCUGUGCCUUCAUGGAUUCAGGGUCGGCAAUCACAGGAUGAUUCGGAGCAUACAAAUCAUAGAGCGAGCUCUCUUGAGGUUCAAUUUUGUAUUCCAGGUAUUGCAAACCCAUGUCAACCGCUGGCCCGCCAAAGCAGGCAUUUCCAGGCCAAUCAAGACCCAGAGGAACCACCUGAAUUACCACAGCUCCAUUAGGCAAGAACAGUUCAUUUGUUAGCCCGGCACCAUGAACUCCAACAAUAACGCUGCAAUUGUUCACAACAUGAGCAAAUUCCUCAAAAUUCAUCAUCAUAUCCAGCGUAGCAGGAACAACUCGGAAGCCCAACUGCUCCAUAAGCUUUACCACCUCAACCUGAUUCAGGAUUUUUCUUGUUUUUGCACGCGACAGAAGCAGCAAUUUUGGCUUUUCCUCCUCAAUCAGCCGGGAGACAUUCUUUAUGUUGAAGUCAAAUGAUUUUACGAGGAAAUCCCUGAAUUCAAACAUGGAAUAACCCCCGGGAACGUCACUCCUGUUCAAAUACAAAUUGUCAUGAUACUUCAGCCCUAUCACUGCUCCUGGAAAGCAAUGAACGGUCCCAUUUGCAGUUUCAGCUGCAUUUAUAGCUUCGUAACUGGGCAACUGGGAGAAUAUUUUCUUGUAUUUGUUGAAAAACCAAUGCUGGAAAUCGGUAACCAUAAAUAUUACGUGGGAUCGAAAGUGCCUGCCCGUAAUGAACAGAGGAACAAGGACAUCGUUGAAUUCAUGGAAUAUGUUCCCGACGAAUCCACCAGAGGAGAAAACAUGGCCGGGGCGUCAUGAUAGUGAUUACAAGCAGGUGGAGUGGUGUUUCCAUGCUGUAUCUCAACAGGUGAAAUCAACUGGAUUGGCGCCUCAUCUCCUUUUAGUGCAUGCGGCCGAACUAUGUGUAUUGCCGCUGCCUGAUUGGCAUGUAUAUAAAUUUUGGAAGAAUUGGUAUCGAACCUUACUUGUUUACUGGAAACGUAGAUAUCAGAGUGUAAUUCAGAUGGAUAAGCAAAUCCAGUGUCUUCGAAUUGGAUCCUCUGCUCUCCUGUUUGAAAUCAUCAAUUUCACUGUAUAGGAUAUCGGGCAAGAUAAUUGAAAAUGUUUGGAUUCUGUUGGGCAACGAUACAUUCUCCUUUUUGAUCUCAGAUACUAAUUGCAUCCUAAGAAAAAAGCUUUAUGUAGUAGGCCCCAGGCACACAUCGGCCCGGUCCACGAACACAUCAGUCCGGCACACGAGCUCGGACAGGAGGAAGCGGACUGGGGCACCAGGUCAGCCCACGGGUCCAUGUGAGCGCCGCCUCUCAGGCCGAUGGGCCUGAUGGGCUGCGAGGUCCGCACCCCCAAGUCGCCUCGCGGAGCCCUAGGAACCGUUUCCUCCCCAAUAAGGACUCCUAGUCCUACCAGAAAACAAACACUGGAGACUCUAUAAAUGCCACCCGAAGGAAGAACACAAGGUACGCUACUGAUAGUACAAUCUCUACUCUUUUAUUUACGAGCCAGUUCUGACUUGAUCGUCGGAGUUGCUUCAGGGGACCUAGCCCCGCAGCUCGCUCACGUGCAGGUCGGACGUUCAACCAGCUCGUUCCUCCGAACCUAACUCAGUUCGGAUCAUCACUUCGGCAGUCGCAUCAAUUGGCGCCGUCUGUGGGAAACGUUUUCUUCUCUUUUUUUUCGCGAACAACAUGCCGAAAACUAGGUCUCAGAGGAAUGUGGAUGGUACUGAGGGGGGCGCUCAGGGCGGCCCCCAACCAGUUCACCAGGAAGCCGACACAGGGGAGGUAAGGGUCGAGCUCUCGCAGAUCUCGCCGGAACAACUGGUGCAGUCGGUUGCCGCGAACUUGCCUACCUUUGAGGCUAUUGUGACGUACCUGAAGGGACAAUCUGGACAAUCUGGUGCGGUGAAGGGACAAUCUGGAGUCCCUCCCAGUCCGGAGCGUCGGGUGCGAAAAACGGGCAGAACAGGGAGUUCGGAAUCUCGAUCUGGAAGCCCCAGGUCGAAGAGGGCGCGAAGGGAGAUUACACGCGAGCAGGUCCAGGUGCCAGAGCCCUCUCAUAGGAAUUCCCGAACUAGCCAUCCGGAGCCCGUUCUGAGGCUUUCUCGGAUGGAGAUCCCUCACAGGAAGGAGGAUUAUCAGGUCCAGGAUGAACUGGAUCUCCUGCUGGAUCCAGAGGCGGAUAGGUACACUGCAUCUCCCUUCAUACCGGAUAUCGAAGAUUACCCUCUGCCUGCCAAGUUCAAAAUACCAUCCAUGAAGUCCUACGACGCGACCACAGAUCCGGAGGAUCACUUGUUUGCAUUCCUGACUCAGAUGCGCCUUCAGACAGCUGCUGAUGCGGUCAGGUGCAAGACCUUUCCGAUGUUCUUGGAAGGAAAGGCCCGACAAUGGUUUCAGGGUUUGCCUCCCAGGUCAGUUCGGUCGUUCAGCCAGCUCGCGCGGCUGUUCGCGGCCCAGUUCGUUUCCUCCCGCGCUUAUUCCAAAACCACGGCUCAUCUGAUGACUGUCCAUCAGGGGCCCGAGGAGUCAUUGCGUGAGUAUAUGGUACGGUUUAACAACGAAUCCCUUCAGGUGCGGGACCGAGAUGACAAGGUGGUGAUGGCUGCCUUCGUCAACGGGUUGCGCAAGCAGAAGUUGUAUACGGAGUUCGUAGAAAGACCUCCCAAGUCCGUCCGGGAGAUGCUAGAUCGAGCCCACGAGAAGGCGAAUGCCGAGGAGGCCAACCGUCUGAAGGGCGCCCAGGAAAGGUUGCGGGAUGACAAGCGAAGGAAGGGUGCCAACCUGGGGGAGUCACGGCCAGGUCAGGACCGAAAGAGCGUAUCCGAGCGCUUACCUCGGAGCCGACCUUGGGAGAAGGAAAAGACCUGGACUUCGCUCACCGCGCCCAGGGCUCGGGUUCUGGCCGUGAUGGAACAUCAAGGGAUCUCUCGUCCUCCUCGGCCGCUGGGGGGCGACAAAACCCAGCGAGAUCAGGGUUUGUAUUGUGCUUACCACAGGGAUGUCGGGCACGAUACUGAGGACUGUCGACACCUUAAGAAGGAGAUCGAAAAACUGAUACGAAGAGGUCAUCUCGGACAGUUCGUCCGUGACGGGCGAACGGACCAGAAGCCAGGAGGGUUCAAGCGAGAUCGGACGGCCAGUUCGCACGACCGACCUCGAGGUCCUCGUGAUCGUACUCCGGAGCAGGGGGUUCAGAACCUAGCUGGAGUAAUCAACACUAUUGCACGGGGACCUGCUGGAGGAGAUAGCCACACGGCUCGACGAAACAACCGACCUCCCCCUAGCGGAGAAAGCUCGAGCAAACGUUUGAAGAUGUACGAGGAAAUCAUCUACGGGCCAGAGGACGCGGUACCCUUAGCCUCUAAUAAUCAUGAAGCGAUCGUGAUAGAAGUUAUCACGUGCAACUAUAAGGUAAAGAAUGUGUACAUCGAUAAUGGGAGUGCCAUCGAUGUGCUGUAUUACAAAACCUUCAAGGAAUUGCAGCUGGAAGACAAGCAGCUCAUCCCAGUUCGGACUCCCUUGAUAGGUUUUGCAGGUCCGCCGGUUAGACCAGAGGGAAUGAUAACCCUCAUGGUCACGGUAGGGGAGUCACCGAAGUGCCGAACUGUACCGGUGAAUUUCGCGAUAAUGAAGGAGCCGUCUUCCUACAAUAUGAUACUAGGGCGACCAACCCUCAACGCUCUCCGAGCUGUCUGCUCGACCCUACACCUUAGCAUGAAAUUCCCCUCGCAUGAGGGGGUGGCCGAGGUGGUGGGGGACCCGGAGGUAGCUCGGGCCUGUUACAUUGCAACCCUCAAAGGUAAGGAGAAACUGGUGGCCCAAACGACCUGUCUGGAGCCCUGGGAGCCUGCUGAAAAGGAAAAAUUGAAGGAGGAAAGGUUGGAGACGGAUGAGAGUCUGGUCGAAUUGUCGAUCUGCCCCGAGCGAACUGAUCGCGUGGUAAAAACCGGAGCAGGUCUGAGCGAGCUGACACGGAGAGCUCUGGAGUCCUUGCUGGAGGAAUAUGCCGAGAUCUUCGCGUGGAGCGCUGAUGACAUGCCCGGAGUCCCUCCCGAGUUGGCAGUUCACAGGUUGCACGUUGACCCAAACAUCCGGCCAGUGAAGCAAAAGAAGAGGAACUUCGCUCCUGAGCGCAACGAGGUCGUCAAGGAAGAGGUAGGCAAGUUGUUGGAGGCCAAAAUUGUGAAGGAGAUCUACUAUCCGACCUGACUGGCCAACCCUGUGCUGGUCAAAAAGGAGGACAGGGCCUGGAGAAUGUGCGUAGAUUUCACCGACCUGAACAAGGCCUGUCCGAAGGAUUGUUACCCCCUCCCUCGCAUCGACCAGCUAGUCGACUCGACCAUUGGGUACGAGAUCUUCUGCUUUCUGGAUGCUUUCAAGGGGUAUCACCAGAUAGCUCUGGACGAGGCAGAUCAGGAGAAGACUGCCUUCAUCACCGAAUACGGUACGUAUUGUUAUACCACUAUGCCAUUUGGAUUGAAAAAUGCAGGCGCGACCUAUCAACGGCUGGUCAACAAGCUGUUUAAAAACCAGAUCGGCCGAAAUAUGGAGGUGUACGUGGAUGACAUGCUGGUGAAAAGCCGAACUCAGGAGCAGUUCAUCAACGACCUCAGAGAAAUCUUUGACGUCCUACGGAGCUCGCGGAUGCGGCUGAACCCCAAGAAGUGCACCUUCGGGGUUAGGUCGGGCAAGUUCCUGGGGUACAUGAUAUCCAAGGAUGGGGUAAGAGCUAAUCCCGACAAGGUGAAAGCUAUCAUGGACAUGGCUCCUCCCCGAAACAUAAAAGAGGUCCAGCGGCUAGGUGGCAGGAUGGCGGCCCUGAACAGGUUCCUGUCGAAGUCAGCCGUUCGGGGUUCCCCCUUCUUCAGGGCCCUGCGAAGAGGUCCCCAGUUCGAAUGGACUCCCGAGUGCCAGCGCGCGUUUGACGAGCUCAAAGCCCACAUCGCACGCUUGCCAGCUUUGACCUCUCCCGCACAAGGAGAAGUCUUAUUCAUCUAUCUAGCAGUUGGGGAGGAGGCGAUCAGUGCGGUACUAGUUCGGGAAGAAGGUAAAAUCCAGAAACCCAUAUACUAUGUCAGUCGAGCUUUGCAGGGGGCGGAGCAGAGGUACACCUCAAUUGAGCGGUAUAUUCUAGCAUUGGUGCACGCGACCCGGAAGCUCAGGUCGUACUUGUAAACUCACCCCGUGGUGGUCAUGACCGACCAACCUCUCAAGCAAAUUCUCUCAAAGCCUGAUGCAUCAGGAAGAAUGGUAAGGUGGGCCGUGGAGCUGUCUGAAUACGAUCUCAGCUACCAACCCCCGCACGGCCAUUAAGGCUCAAGCAUUGGCGGAUUUCAUAGCCGAAAGAAUUUCCUUUGGGCAAGAACAGUUGCAAGCCGAGCUAACCAGUGGCGCAGUCAAGGCUGUGCAGGCCAGAGGAACUGUCGAGGUCGCGCAGGCCGCCGAGACCAAGUCGACCCAAGACGUAGCUGAGGCCAGGCAGGUCGGAGAAGCUGCCGAGGUCGUGAAAGGCACUCAGACUUCCAUGGCUGAACAGACCAUAGACGCAGUCGAGGCCAAGCAGGCCGAGGGACUUGCCGGGGUCGGACAAGCCACAAAGGAAGCCAAGGCCGAACAGGUCAAAGAGGCUGUUGAGGCUGAACAGGCCACGGGCCAGGUCGAUCAGACCAUCCCGACCUGGACACUGUUCGUGGAUGGAUCUUCAAGCAAGGACGGAUGCGGAGCGGGACUUCUCCUGACCAGCCCCUUGGGGGAUGAGUUGGCCUACGCCCUGAGAUUUGAUUUCAGAGCCUCCAACAAUGAGUCCGAGUAUGAGGCUCUGAUCGCGGGGAUGAUGAUAGCCCGGAAGCUGGGGGCUGAGUCAAUAGAAGUCUACAGCGACUCACAGCUGAUAGUCAACCAGGUCGGGAGAAGUUACGAAGUUAAAGAGGAGCCCUUGAGAAGGUACGUUGCCAAAGUACGUGAGCUGGAAACUCAGUUCAAAUUGUUCACGCUCAAGCAGGUGCCGCGAAGCCAAAAUAAGAGGGCGGAUGCACUGUCCAAACUAGCCUCCACCUCGGUCGGCACGUUGAACAAAGAGGUCUUGGUUGAGGUCGUUCGAAGUCGGGCGUAUGACCAGGUAGAUGCGGCGGUCAUCCAAGUAAUAAGCUCGUGGAUGGAUCCCAUCGUGCGAUACCUAGCUAAUGGGGAGCUCCCUCCAAACCGGGUGGAGGCACGUAGGGUCCUCCUCAAGUCGCAGGGGUACGAGCUCUCGAAUGGGGUGCUUUACAAGAAAUCCUACUUACGUCCGUGGCUGCGGUGCAUUACUCCAGAGGAGGGAAACUACAUCCUGCGUGAGCUGCAAGAGGGAAUCUGCGGAAACCACGUCGGUCCAAGGGUUUUGGCCAAGAAAGGAAUGCUGUCUGGGUAUUACUGGCCUACCAUCUUCGUGGACUCCGCCGAACUGGUAGCUCGGUGUAGGUCCUGCCAGCUGCAUGCGCCGAUCCAUCACGCCCCGACUCAAGAGAUGAUCCCUCUCCAGAGUCCUUGGCCUUUCUUUCAAUGGGGAAUCGACCUGCUGGGCCCUUUUCCCCGAGCUCCUGGGGGUUACGAGCACGUGGUGGUAGCAGUAGAUUACUUCACCAAAUGGGUGGAGACCGAGCCACUUACCACCGUUAGCAGCAGGUCGAUACAGAAGUUUCUUUGGAAAAACAUCGUCUGCCGAUUUGGUAUACCCCGUGCCCUGGUAUCGGACAAUGGGCGCCAGUUCGCUGACAGCGCCCUCCAAGGUUGGUGCUCGGAGCUCGGAAUCCGUCAGCACUUCACUUCGGUAGGCCACCCUCAAGCCAACGGACAGGUCGAAAAUGUCAACAGGACCAUCCUGCACGGUUUGAAAACACGGAUGGAGUUCGCCCGAACUGGGUGGCUGGACGAGCUGCCUACCAUACUGUGGGCUUACCGAACUACGCCCCGAACCGCUACCCAGGAGACUCCUUUUGCUCUAACCUAUGGAGUAGAGGCGGUGAUUCCUGCGGAGAUAGGUGUCCCUUCGGGCAGGGUUCAGAACUUCAUAGCUCGGGACAAUGAGGAUGAACUGCGCCUUAACCUGGAUCUGCUGGAGGGAAGUAGAGAGGAGGCGGCCAUACGCAUGGCUAAGUACAAAGGGCAGAUCGCGCGGCACUACAAUGCCAGGGUGAGGCCUCUCUCCUUCAAGCCGGGGGACCUAGUCUUGCGGAAGAAUAGCGUGAGCCGACUUCAGGGCACGGGCAAGCUGGGCCCGAAUUGGGAGGGUCCCUAUGUGGUGAAAGAAGCAGACCGAGCUGGAUAUUGCAAGUUAGCUCACCUCAGCGGGGAAGAGGUCCCGCGUACCUGGCAUAACUCCAAUUUGAGGAUCUUCCGGUAGAAAGACAGCUCGCGCAUUACCAGUUCAUUCCAAGGUCGAGAUCUUUCGUUAUUAUUUGAUGUACUUGGCUAAUAAGUUACUUUGUCUUAGAAAGUAAGCUCCUUUAGGUCGGCAUAGGGCCGAACUGAUGUACUCUGCGAUGAUCUUUGCAAAUAAGACUAAGUAUGAAACAAAGGAAUGGCUUUUUCAUUUCAUUAAAUAAACUUUACAAGAAGGUGCCCGGCUCGUACAAAAGGAAUUAAACAAAGGCGGAACGGAGCUCGUACAAAACGAACUGCCUACCUGCAGUUCGGACUCUAAGGCCCUACUCUAGUUCUCGCCCUCUUCUUCCUCUUGCUCGGAUUCAGGAGUGGUCACUGGCAGCAAGGGAUCGGCAACCAGGUCGGCCAACUUUCGUCCGUGCGUAUAGCCUUCCACCAGGCGGUCGAGCUGCUCCACGGCCAGGGGGUUGUAGUUGGGAAACUUGCCCAGAUCAAACCCAGGCAGGCCCAGCCUUUGCACCUCCUCCAGGGCCUGGGAAUACCCAUGCUGCAACACCGGGGUGUUCAGGAUGGCCAGGUCACCCCUGAAGUUCUCCGACCUAAGGAAGGCUCGCACGCCCUCCUGACCUCCCUCGGCUUUAGCCGCCUCUACCUGGGCCGAUAGCUCGGCCCCCUUUUCCUGCGCCUCCUUCAGCUGGGUCGACAGGUCGGAGUUCUUCUUGAGCUCUAGCUCGAAGUUUGAAUGGGUCAAGGCGAGCUGCUUCUUCAGGCCUUCGACUUCAGUGACGGCCGAAGCAUUUUGGCUGAGCAGCUUCUCGUUGGCUGCCUUGGUCUCAUUCAUCAGGGGCAGCAGACUCCCAUAACGCUGGGCCAGCUCAGACCCGACCACGUUCACUUGAGCCGUGCCCGUGUAGUAAUAGUCGAGGAGGUCGGAGGAGCCCAUGGCCUUGACCAAGUUGUGAUCGCGGGGAAGGAUGGCCCCAUGAACGAGCUCCCGGGCCACCUCGGGAAAUUGAGCUCGAUCGUUUAUGGAGAGCUUCCACUGGGGGCAGAAGUGCAUGGGGUGUGGAUGCGUGACCAGCCGAGUUUGGGGGUCAAAGAGCAGGAUGGAGCUCUGGCGUUGCCACAGAUUGGGAGGAGUUUCAGCUCGGGCCUGCUCCUCGGCGGUAUUCACCCCAUAGUGGCCGCCCGGACCGGGCUCCGGGGUCGACCUCUCCUCCUGACCUGGGGAUGAGGUCGCGUCCACCCUAGCCCUCUUGGCAGUCGUUUUCUUUUUCUUUUUCUUCCCAGCCUCAACAGGCUUAGAGGACUGGGCAGGAGCUGGCUGAUGUGGCGGAACUGGUGCCGAGCUGGUUGGGAUAGCCGAGGAAGGCUGCGUGGUGGCGCCCUGACUGCUGGCACCUCCAAUGGUCAGAAGGGAAGAAAAUCUCUUCACUACAAAAACAGAAGACCAGGAGGUCAGUAGAUGUAUAAAUAAAGAAGGGGAAAGAAGAGGAAGGUCGGGUCGUUUACAGGAGGUCAGUUCGUCUGGUGAGAGCGGCCUAGUCUCUAGCGAGGGAUCUGAGGGGUUAGCUCGGAUCAGCCCCGCCGCCCAAAGCUAGGCAUUGCUGAAUUCUUUCACUUCCAGCUUCUCGUCUGAGCUGAGUAGGCGGCUGAGCUCGGCUAUGGGGAGCGGGUCUGGAAGCAGAUCCGAAACCUGAGUCUCCGCCCUCCAGGUCAGAGGGGGAAAGCCCAGGUUCUUCACAAAAAAGAAGUAAUGCUUCCAGUCUUUGAUGGAGGAAGGUGCCCCCGUGAACAGCUCGCGGGUGGGGGUUUUUGCUCCACUUCUGCGGGCAAAGUAGAACUACCCAGGCACCUUUCCGCUGACCUUCAUCUGGAAGAAGGCCUGGAACAGGUCAUGAGAAAAGGGAAUUUCUAGGGUAUGGCAGAGGAUGAAGAAGCCUAUGAUGGAACGAACACCAUUGGGUAUGACCUGAGUUAUUCGGAUACCCCAAAAGGUGAGGAUGAAGAAGAAAAAAUCAGGGAUAGGCAGGCGAAGACCAGCUAUCAGCUGGUCCCUGUAGAUCGCCACGAACCCUGGAGGAGGUAGGCUGGCGACCUCUCCUGGGAAGGCUGCCCUGGAUUCAAAGAGGGCCGGGAUUUCGUACUUUUCGACUAGCGAGUCCACAUCUUUUUGUUUCAGGGCUGGGGAGAUAGUAUCGACUUCCCCGAAGCCGCCACUAGGUCUUCCCGAGGUCCCUGCUGCCGUUUGAGCUGGAGCUGCUUGUUCAGCAGCUCCGACCAGAGGCUGGGCGAGUGGGUUAGCCGGACUCAUUGCUCUAAUAGGAGACGAGGCAGGAGAACCUGCGAGUUCAGGUCCGGAAGAAGUAGAAGGAGAAGAGCUAGAGGGGUCUGAAGGGCUGCUAUCUAUGUUUAUGGGACUAGCCGCUCUAUGCCUAGGGGCUGAACUGGUGACGUCAGAACUAUCGGAACUGUAUGAAGACAUAAAAAAGAAAGGGAACUUACUAGUGGGAGGAGAUCGGAUGAAAGGCUGAUCUAAGGAUUGCGCGAACUGACUUUGGGCUCCUAAGACUGGGCGACCCGACGUGCUCUUGGGAGAAAGAAGAUGAGGCAGCGAAUUAACAAUGGAAGGAGCGAACUGACAAAAUGAAGGAAGGGGUGUGAAAAUGACGCCCAAGAAGCCUAUUUAUAGGCAAUUCACAUGGCGGGAAGACGAAGGGACGUUCAUUUAUUGAGCCGUUAUGGGGAACCGAUCCUAACCGUCGUAGCUGGCGGACGUGACGAUCGAGGUGACUGACGCGAAACGACGCAACGGUUGCGUGCACCACUCUCUGACAGGGGCCCCACACCGAGCUACCACGACGCACGAUCCGGAUGGUUGACAUGAACCGACGCGACGGUUGCGUGUACCACUUACAGGCGAGGGUCCCACACCGAGCUGACACGACGCCAAAAAGUCGGCUAGACUCACGCGCACGUUCGGUGACUCUAGACUAGAGGGGGGGCUAGUGUAGUAGGCCCCAGGCACACAUCGGCCCGGUCCACGAACACAUCAGUCCGGCACACGAGCUCGGACAGGAGGAAGCGGACUGGGGCACCAGGUCAGCCCACGGGUCCAUGUGAGCGCCGCCUCUCAGGCCGAUGGGCCUGAUGGGCUGCGAGGUCCGCACCCCCAAGUCGCCUCGCGGAGCCCUAGGAACCGUUUCCUCCCCAAUAAGGACUCCUAGUCCUACCAGGAAACAAACACUGGAGACUCUAUAAAUGCCACUCGAAGGAAGAACACAAGGUACGCUACUGAUAGUACAAUCUCUACUCUUUUAUUUACGAGCCAGUUCUGACUUGAUCGUCGGAGUUGCUUCAGGGGACCUAGCCCCGCAGCUCGCUCACGUGCAGGUCGGACGUUCAACCAGCUCGUUCCUCCGAACCUAGCUCAGUUCGGAUCAUCACUUCGGCAGUCGCAUCACUUUACAUUUAGGAUCUACAUAUAAGAACUAUUGUCUGUCUAUCAACUUAGAGAUGUAUUAAAAAAAAACUUUAAAAGAAGAAAGGGGAGGACAAAAAAAUAUCUGUCACUCAGAAAUCACCGGAAAAGGGAGAGUUCUUGGUCAUUGAUACGAUGAAUGUGGGAAGUAGUAAAGAACCUCUUCGUAGCCUUCUGAGAAGAAAUUUCAGGGGUUCUUGCUCUGGUGCACCUUCAUCCAACUUGUUCUCAAAGCCAAGAUUACCAUUCCAAUUUGCUAAAUUUGCCUUCCCUGUAUAUCAAAAAUGCUUUUGACAGAUCAGAAUUGAUAAAUAUGAAAUGACUAGCCACAUUUUAACAUUAUGCCAAGGUUGAUUGAUAUGCCAAUCUGACGCUAAGAAGAAAAGCUAAUUAAAUUACAUUGAUCAAGCUGGAAAAAUGCACAAUAAACCAAGGGGAGAAUGAUUAGCAAGCUGAUCAGGAAACUUGAGAGGCUGCAAGCCUGCUUCUUUGACUCCUCCAUUCUUCUUCAAGUUUCAAUAGACUUUUCUCUACGAAUUAAAAUGCACACAUUAUCGACUAGCCUGUUCUUCUCAAUAUUACCAGUUGGCAUUACCUUUCUUCUUCUUCUUCUCAGUUUCCCAUCUUGCCUUGGUUCUACAAUUUUAAUUCUCAAUUAUUCUGAGGUUGGUGUAUAUAAUACCAGGUUCGUGGCUGGACUGUAAGGGCAUGUCUGUUGGGUUCAGCAGGUUACAGGCCGGAGCUUUUGCUCUUCCAAUCUUUUUACGAUUUUUAAAUUGAGCAAAAUCAGAGGAAGUCAGGGGGGCAUCUUUCACCUAAGAAUUUAAAUGGUUUUUCCAUAGAGCAUCUAUCUAGACUUAGCACAGAUUACAUCGUCGAACAAGCACAUUGACACUAUUUUAUGCUCACCUCUUUCUCCCAUAUAUCUCAUUUCUGAUAUGAACAAGUCAUUGGGCUCAGGCACAGAUUGAAAGGGCAGCUAUACUCGUGGAUCAUUUGGCUUCAUCACCUACGUACUUCGACAUGACACUGCAACGACAUUAUUAGUUUAACAGAACUGCAAUAACAUGUAUUCGUUUGUUAAGCAGUAGUAAUAUUCUAUCUGGGAUUAGUUCAAUCCAGGAUUUAAAGACGCCUCGUGCAUGAACACACGGGCGUUCCUCCUCAAAUGGCUUAGAGUAUGAAUUUAUUGGACAGCCUUCGUGUUUAUUCUGUAUAAUCUAUUUCUCCCUUUAAUCCAACAUGCUGCAUAGUACAGCUGUCGGAUUCCUUGACGAGAAGCAAUUUUAUGUCUUUUUUUUUUCCUUAAUUGCAAAAUGUUUAGCAUCAGCGAUGACAAUUGAGACGAGUGCUUGCAAGCCGCGAGUGUCCACCCCAUAGGAGGAGGAAUGGGGCAGGGAAGAGUGAAUUUUUCUCAGCCCUCCUCCGCCUAAAUUGUAACAUAGUAUAAUAUCUAUGUAUGUUUUUAUAUAUAUAAUAUAAAAUAAAUGGUAUGUUAUUGUUAUUGUAUAAAUAUAUUUAUAUGAAUUAAGUAACAUGUUUUGUUAUUAUGAUACAAUGAUAUAAUAUUUGGCUAAAACUUCAAAAAAAAUUAUUAAUAAAAUUAUUAUUAAAUCUAUAUAAAUAGAAAAAAUUAAUUAAAUAAAUAAUAAUAAUAAUAGUGGGGUGGGCCGGAUGCACCCGUGAAGUAGUGGGGCGGGGACUGGGGACCGGUGAAACUUUUGCAGUGGGGCGGGGGGUGGGGGCAUGGGGAAGCUUGGUCAGUCCCAAAACCAUCCUCCCAUCCCUGCUUAGUAUCCAUCUGUUUGGUUGGCAGAGGCCAGCAAAGGAAUUGCCAGGUUGCUGAUUUUUGAUUGACAAUUAUGGAAAUAACUUUACAGCCAAAUUGGCUGGUUUGCGUCCAUUCCGCAGCCCCACCUCCAAAAGCUCUCGCUUUCCUUUCUCACACCAUACACACGCGCACACGCAAGCCCCCUCCCCGCCUCCCUGCUCCCUUGGCGGGUUUACGAGCCUUCGUCACACGCAAAACCUAAUAAAAGGCUAGCCCAUAUUCUCCUGGGCCAUAGCCCGGAGUUUGUCCAACCCAAACUUCAAAGAAGAAUGAGUGGAUACAUCAAGAUUCUAGCUCUGCCAGGCAAAACUUGGGCCAAACUCAAUUAAGAAGUACACCGACGCCAACUCAAUUGCUAGCAAUAGAUCACUUCUUUUGAGAAAGCAGUUGUGUAUAUUUGAAUUUUAUUGUCGAUGUGAAGACUAUGUAUACAUAUGUGUGUGUAUAUAUAUAUAUAUAUAGUCUCGAGAACUUGUUACCGUGAUCGCGAUGGAACUGCAUCUUGUGAAAACAAAUAAUUACGUUUCUAUUUCACACACAUUUAUUAGAAAGAAAAUGAUACGGUAAAACUAUCUUCAAAAAAAUUUUUUUUUUUUGAGGAAAUCAUAAAAACUCUUUCUAAAACAGCCAUGUCAAACCAAGAAAUUGCAGAUAUUGGGGUGUGCUAUUUAUUUGAGGUCUUGCAAUGCCAACCCAUGAUUGGAGCUGGGCUUAGGGUACAGUGAAGUUAAAUCUCUAUAUGUGGUACGAACAAAGGAAAAAAAAUAAAAAAAUCCGUGCAAAGCAGAAAACGUACAUUCUACAGAAAAAUCUUUAUAGGCAUGAAUUGAGAGGCAAUAUCAUGAAAAAGCGAGAUGAAGGUGCUGCGUGAGCGGGCUCGUUUUCAAUCUGGAUGGACGUUCACAAGCCAGUAAGCGCAAAAUGGAAUCCGAGAUUCAAAGCAUAGAAAUGUCACUAUUAUUUCCCAGGGACGACCACUUAUCCAUCAAAUAUAAUAAAAAAGUAAAGGGCUUUAUCUUUUACAAAUUACGGAAUCUCAACUGAUACCGAUAAAUGGAGAAGAACAUUCAAAAAGACCAAAUCUUGAAAGGGAAAUGUACAGCUCGCAGGAACAUUCUUCACAAUUUCAACAGCUCAUCGUAUUCAUGGUAACUAAGAAAUGGUGGAUCCAAUAAAAACGACUUGGGGAUUUUUAUUGUGGUUUUCAGAGUCAUAUCAACACUAUUCCCCUAUGAGGAGUCGCAAUUGAAACAUAUAGUGGCCUGCUCCGUGUCCCCGGAUCCCUUCAGAUUUGACGUCGCAAAAGGAAAAGAUAUGAUUUCACAUGGUGCAAACGGAUUUGGCUGCAUACGAAAAGGGCAAGAAACUUUUACUCGAAAGUUUGAGUACUAAUUAAUUAAAACACAAAAAAGAAUACUCGAAUGUGAUCUAGAAAGCAUCUAACAUGAAUAAAUUUGAGAGGAAAAGCCCAACAAAAAAGAAGAAGAAGAAAGAUUAGUUUUGCUUUUCCAGUUGAUCCUCUCUAUAGUUGUGUUAAUACUAGAUUCUCUGCCGCAAAUUCAGAUCAUCAUUUGAUCGGAUUAAAUUACCUGUGUAAUUAAUGUCCAGUGUUUUCGCGAUAGGGCUGCAAACGAGCCGAAUCGAGUCGAGUUUUGAGUUAAUUGAGCCGAGUCUCGACUAAAUUUUACCAAACUCGAACUCGAGCUCGAGCUCCACGAGCCAGCAAUUUUCGAGCUCGAGCUCGACUCUAAUCAAGUCGAGCCGAGCUCGAGCUCGAAACAAAUAAAAAAAUAAUAUUUUUAUAUUUUAAAAAAAAUAAAUAAAAUAAUAUUUUUUUAAAUAAAUAAUAAAAUAUUAAGGAUAUAUACGUAAUUUUACUAUAAAAAUAAAAAAUAUAUAUAUAUAAUAUACAUAAUUUUAUUAUUAAAUAAAAAUAAUAUAUAUAUAUAUACUCAAACUCGCGAGCCGGCUCGCGAGCUAACGAGCUUAAUAUUCUGAGCUCAAGUUCGAGCUCGAAUUUGACUUGAGCCGGCUCGAGCUCGACUCGAGCUUGACUCGAGCGGCUCGAUUCGUUUGCAACCCUAUUUCGCGAGUAUCAAAUGCAUGACUUCUUGGUGAAAACUCGUGGUAUAAUUAUGUUCAUACCACAAACAAAGGGAUAGUUUGAUCGUUAUGAAAAAAAAAAAAAAGAAGAGGUGAUUAAUGCUGCAAAAUGUUAAUCACACUUUGCCCCCUUAGCUUUCGGGUUAGUCACACUUUACCAUCUUAAGCUUUAAAAGUAUAAAAAUUAGCCAAAGUUAGAAAUUCUUGAUUCCAUCAAAAAGAAAAAUGCAAGUGUAAUGACAUUAUACAUUUUUUAGCUAUGAAAUUAUUAGUAUUUUACUAUUAUUGUCCCUUUAUUGCUAAAAAUAUGCAUGGUCAAUGCAAUAUCCACUAUACAAAAAUAUCAAAUUGAUAAAAACAAAAUAAAUAAAUCAUUUCUUACUCAUAUUGGUCAUGUUCAUGUUUUAAAUAUUUUAGUCAGUUUAUUAUAAUUUAAAACGAAUAACAAUGGCGAUCACAAUAAAUAUUAGUUAGCAAAACUUUGGAAACAUAGCGCAAUAUUUAGCUUGUUAUUUUUUAAAGAUAAACUCGGAAAAAAAAAGGACAAUAUUUUCAUAGGACUUACUUAUCUUUUCGUGGAAUUAAGAUUUGUAAAGUUGACUAGUCCUCUUAGGGUGUAAACUAGCGUACACUUUUAAGAGAUUUAGGGCGUUAAAGCGUGAUUACUUCCAAAUCUCGGGGGGAAGAGGGUAAAGUGUGAUUAACCCUAUUGCUAAGUAUACGUUCCAUCUCUGCAUUAUUCUGUCUCUGUAUCAACAAGAACAGGGUAAAAUCCCGGAAUAAGAUUUUGGACGGUUAAAACCUCGUACUGACACGCGUAUCAAAUAUAUUAGCUUUAUCUGCCAAGUCAGCACCAUUGCAAACCGUUUUUAAGUCGUAGCCUCCAAGCAGUUGCAUCGACACCGCAGAAUCGUAGUUGGAUUACUUGGAAAAGCGGGCAACAUCAUGAAAGUAGUCGUUCUUUACCUCCCUUGAACUUGAACAUCAUAAUGGUUAGAAUUUCGAAUGAUAAAACCUGCACUCCAUGAAUUUAUAAGCGGAAAAGCAUGCGACUAACAUCUAGCCUUUGCUAAUUCAAACUUUUGCCCUUGACAGCAAAAAAAGAACAAAGAAAGAGCAUGCAGCUACACAAACAAAAGGGCUGAAGGACCUUUUCCAUUUUUUUCUGAAUUAAUGCACCUUGCAGCCUUCUUUUUAGGUAGCGGUGAUCAUGAAAAAUGGAGUACCAAUACAGCAUCAAGACGUCAUUUAUAUUAAAAUAAAAUACUUACAUUAUAUACACAUAGAUUCAACCUGUACCUGCAAACUUUAUCUAAUUCAGUAAUUUGAAAUGUGCUAUUUGUUUCUUCACGAGUGUCGUCGUGUCCAAUCUGACACAAAUUAUAUGUAGAUGAUGGAUAAGAUCCUCCUCCAUACGUCCUAGGUAAAUUAGCCACCUCUCUAAGGACGGCAAGAAUUUUGGCACUUUAAAAACUACCAACCUAGCUAGUUGGCAGAAACAAUGACAGACCUUUCCUAAGGUUUUGGAGAAACAUGAAUAGAAAAUCACAUGCACAUCCCAAAAGGCCGAGCCCAAUAAUAAAUAUCAGAGGCCACCAAAUCUUACAUCAGGAACUUUGGGAGAAACAGGAGUAUGUGGGGUGCUGCGGGUGAUCAAAAGGCUUUGUGGUAAAGCUCAUGAAUUUUCUUCGAUGAGUCUUCUCUUUGCAUCUUCAAUUGCCCAUAGAAGUUCCCAAUAAAUGUCUCGGCCUUAUGAAAUAGCUCCUGUCCACUAAGCUCAUCCCCAACAGCUUCCUGUUGAUCAUCAUCUGAACUAAAAUCUUCUACUUCAGUCUCAGCACCCGCUAUAAAAAAUAGGCUUGGUGUAGAAGGGCUUUUCUUGACAACCUUCUGAACCUUGACACCUGCAACAAUCUUCUCAGACGACAACUUCUCGGCCACAUCAGGUUUUUUCUUGGUUUUUGUAGGCUCAGAUUCAAGAAGCAUUGCCUUGGCGUUGGUGGUGGUGUUAGCAGAUAUUUCUUUAUCAUUCGGAGAAUACUGAUCUGAAGGAAUUAUUAUCUUAGCUUUUUGUGUUUCAUGACUUGUAGAAGGAGGAGAUUUCUUGUCUUCUGCUGCUUUGAGAAUGAAGGAAAGAAGGCCAGCUUCAGCACCAAGCGCGACGAUGAGAAGAUUGAAAACAAAGUAGAGAUAUGGAGACCUCAAUGAUGUAGAUAAGAGAGGCGUGACGCUUAGGAGAAUAGCUAUGAAACAAAGCUUUAGAAUUUGAGACUUCUUAAACUUGUCCAUGAUCAAUAAAAAUACGCUUAGGAAUAUGGACACUAUGAUGUUGUUUGUGUUUGUGUAAUUCCUUUGAACAGAGAGUGAAUGGCAGUAGAUGCUUUAGUACGGUGGAGUGGAAAUGUGGAGGGGCCUAUUGAUUUAUAUACACAGACGCAGGAGUGAAAAUCAGAUUAAGGGGGCGGGUUGGAAGAAUGUUGGUUUGCCUUUAUCCUGAUUCCCCAUGAAAAUAAAUUAAUACUCCUUGAACAGAAUAACGUGCAAUCCAACAAAAAGAAGCAAAUAAAAUUCCGAAAAGACGAAACAAUCAGAACAUGGUAGAAAAACUUGCUUAGUUAUGGUAGGGUUACACUGGAGCCCGGAUCCUUUCUUGUCUUUUAGGGUUUAAUUAAAUCCUGGAUAUAGAGCUUUAGUGGUUGAUAUAUAAAAGAGAAUUGUUCGAACUAUAUAUAUCCUCCCACAAAUCUUCCCCAAACUAAUUUAGACAAAACCGUGCACUCAUAUUUGCCUAGUGCCACCAAAAGCUGUCCUCCCCUGAAACCUGUCAAGUAAUCAUGAUGUGGUGGGAUGGAUUAAUUGAUAACCAACUAGUAUAUUCUAGAAUUUAUGUGUGUAAAAGGUCUAAAUUAAUCUUUCGUACGUUACAAUGCAUAUAUAUUAUUGGGUUCAGAUACACAUCGUACAUGAAAAAUGUGAAUUUCAAAUUUAAAUUAAAAUUAGUUAUCGGGCAUCCAAACCUAAUGGCUUCUACAUUAUUAGCAUAUGGAAAAUUAAUCCAAAAAGUUGUUACUACUGUACAAGGAAAUCUCAGUUUAUUUGCCUGAAACUUGAAUAUAUCUUAGACUAGGCCUUGCCAACCAUAGAGGACAAGCAACUAUCCUUAGGGAUGGCAAUGGAAAUGAGCCCUGCUCCAUAGAGGGAGGAAUGAGGUCGGGGUUAGUACUGUGGGGAUGGGAGAGGGGCAAUUUUUCUUCCCCCGCAUGAAAUGGGACGGGGCGGAGGAGCAAUCCCCCCGCCUCACCUAGUGUCUGUAUUUUAAUAUAGUAUAACAUAUGUGUAAUAUGCAAUAAAUAUUAUGUUAUUGUUAUUAUACAAAUAUAUCGUAUGAAAUAAAUAACAUGUUACGGGUUUGACUUAUCAAGGAAAUAAAUAAGAAAUCACUCUUGAUCCUUUUUUAAUUUUUUUAAAAAAGAAAAAAAAUAAUAAGUAACAUGUUUUUUUGUUAUGAUAAAAUGAGUAACAUGUUAUUUUGUAAAAAAGGGUCUAUAGAAGACAUUAAUCUUUCUAAGGUGCCUUCCUUGCAAUGCUCGCCGGUAAUUCUUCUUUGUGCAUCAAUAAAAAAAUCUGAACUUUGUGGUAGGUUGCAUGGGAGAUGUGGUAUAAUCUGAACUUUAUCAUCGUCAACUUCAAGUAAGGAGAUUUUGAUUCUGACUUACGUCAUCAAGGAGACCAAAGAACAAGCGAAACCGGGAAAAGUUCAUCUGAGUCGGACUAGACAUUUUCAUACGAUAAGGUCGGUGGGAAAACGGACUGAUUAUUCUCAUUCCACUUGAUCAUUCCCCUUUUUGAUUUUUUUUUUUUCUGAUUUUUGGAGAACGCAAAGGCAAAGGCAGGCAGCUCUUCUACUCUUGUCCACUAACUUACUUCAACCGGCCGGCGGCGUUUUUACCGAUCCAGUCGCCCUUUUUCCUGUCGUAAGAAAUCCAGAUGCGUGAUCUUUGCCCUGGUCCCAAAGUAGCUUAAGUUUUCCGAUGGAAUCUCUUAUCUCUACGACUAAAAGCCCACUCGAAGAAUUGUCAUGCUCGCAGUCGUGGUAGUGGAGUCCCCGCCACAAAAUCCGAUUAUACUUUUUCCUUUUUUUUUUUUUCCCAUUCUACGGCUCUGGGCCAAUUGGGCCAGCAGGCGGAAAAUUUUACCAAGUUGACGGUCCAGGCAUAAUCUUCACCUUUUUUACGCUUUUCUUUUCUUUUUUUUUUUCUUUUUUUUCUCUUGUUUGCUAGGUUACUUGAAUUUCAGAAUAUUGUUUGGAUGAGCUUUUCAGAUUCACUUGCAGGCAUGUCCGUUCAAAUUGUUCCGGGGGGUUUUUGCUUGCUCCGGUUUUGUUUCUUUCCGAGGAUUUCGCUUACUCUCUAAGGCUUUAGCUUAUUAGUUGGAACUUGGAAACUGAUUUGAUGAGAUAAACGAAAGGAAAGUACAAUCUUUGACACUCGCCUGUUCUCUGUCCCACUAGAGAUGUAGGUGAUAAACAGCAGAGACCGAAGCUUUUGGCAAGAAGACACAAUAUGUUGUCAUCCAUUUGGAUAAACUUGUCCGAGGAUCGGCUGAGUAGCUCUAGCAAUCCCAUCUCAUCGGAUCGGACUUUUUGAAGUGAAAAAACCAACUGGCAUUUGUCUCUAUUAUGUUUUAUCUGAUCCACAUUAGUUUAUCUCUCCCUAGAGUUGCGUUUAAGCAUUUUUGCUCUCUUUUUUGUUUUUUCCCUUUUUUUUUUCCAACUAUAUCGAAAGUCGGUUUCGAGCAUGCACCGUCCUGAGGAGUGAGUGGUACCAAGUAAAUACCCCAUGAGCCUAAGAUCGAUAAGGUUUCAAGUAGCACUAAAAAGUACAGCCCUGAUCUGCCAUGGAAAAUAAAACCAGCAUAACCUUUUCGAGGUUAUCAUCUCCAAUCCAAACUUCAGUAACAUGCAUAGCAAAAGAUACUUCACCAAAUAUGACCGUCACCUCACUUUGUUGCAAGGUAGCCAAAUUGGCUUUACUUUUAAUGGUUCAAUGAACCGAAGAAUUGUGCAAUUGUAAUGACAACUAUCACCUGCGAAUCAGUUGACACCUACUUAGCAGCGAAACCAUCCCAACAAUAGAACCUAAACAGUUACAUGCAGACGAACGUUCACUUGCAGGCAUUCACUUUUGGAAGAUACAAAAAAAAAAAAAAAAAAAAGUUACUUAAAACUGCCCGAGGACAAUAGUCACAAGAUAAAUAGAUGCCGAAAAGCUAUAUAAUGCUGAACUAAGCUCGAUUAACAAUAAUACAAGGAGGCAAAGAAUCCUUGGAGGCCUAAAUCAAAACUCACUUUGCUGUCCAGGAACAUGCUACACAUCAAUUCUACAUCUCAUCUAAUUGAUGAGGAUGAAUUACAGGGGAUUAGCAUCGACAACAAUCUAACAACUAUAUAUGUCACUGAGUCAAACCUGAAUCAACAGUAGAACUCAUUUCUCACCAAGUUGACUAUGUGUACACAAAUACAAAUGUUGAGAAUUGCCUCCAAUUCCACUGGAUAUUCUUUAUCUAAGAUCUUAGAAAAUGGAUACCAUAACACAGAAUACAAAUGACAUUAUAUAUGUUACUUGUACCGAUACACAGUUUCGAUCACCCACACCCUCUAAUGACCCCACCAUGCAAAAUUUCCCAAACCGUGUCUUAAUGAGCGUAUCUUCCACCACAAAGGAUCCGAUUCCUAACUCCUAGCUCUUUCCUUUCUACUUGAAGCGACCAGUCAAGCUGCAGCCUGAACGAAUCAGAAAGUACAAAAGCCUCUUAUAGCACUUGGCUCUGAAGAAUCACCAGCACCAUUCUAAGCAGAGCUACUCAGGAGAUAGGCUACCACACAUCCAAGCAAAGCACCAGCAACAACCUGUACCACAUAAUGUCACUAUGAGAAUUUCUUUUUUUUUUUUUUGUUGGGGGGGGGGGCGUGGGUGGGUUGGUGGGGUCAAGCUAUCCUCUUGCUGUAGUACAUAAUAUUUUAAGAACCUAAAAAGCUGGACAGUGUGUUAAUCGCUGCAAUUAAGAAGACAGUGGUAUACCAUGGAAGUGACUCUGAAUGGUACCGCUCAUCAUGAUAUCACUGCAAGGAACAUUAGCCACAAUACCUCUAUAUGGGAAUAAUAGUGACACACUAAAAAGAUAAAUUCAGUGGACAUCAAUGCAUGUAACCCAAAUAUAAACCUCAGGCACAAUAUGGGUAUCACAGUACUUAUUUUCUAGGUAAGUACGCUGCAACAUAAGUGGCGCAUCAUUGAGAAUUAGAUAUUAAAUAAUUAUGUAAAUUUCAUUAAGAGAAUAUUAAAACCAGCAUUAACAAGCCGAGAAGGCCUUGGUCUAAUUGCUAAGGUUGAGACCUUAGGAAUUAGAGGUCCUAGGUUCAAAUCCCCCUGCCCCCUUCCCACUUCUUAAGUCCCACCUCCCCUGCUGGGAACAAAUUAAAAAAGAAAAAGGAAAAGGCAGAAUUAACACCCAAAACAAACAACCGCAGUUUACAAAGAACCCUAAUGGAGGACAGCAUUGGGUGGAUUUAUAUGUCCAGCAACUAGUGAAAGGCACUAACUCCGUUCUCGAGCAUAAUAUUAAACAACAGUAGUGUUCCAAACACAGAGUCAAUGUUCCAGAUGAAUAAAACAGAGCUCAGCAAGUAUAUCAGUAAAGGCUGCUCACAGAUGUCCAGCCUUCAAUGACCAAACCAUGACCCCAAAAGGCAAAACCCACAUUUAAAAGAAAAAUAAAAUAAUUAAAAGACAGUAACAAGCAAUCAGUCUCUGUAUAACUUAAGAAUAAGUAAAGCUAGAGGAGUUUUUCUGCAGUCAAACCUGGAAAGGAGUGUGACCAAGUGAAUCUCGCAGAGGCCUAACAUUAGCAACAGGAUGUUCAGGGGGCAAUUCACAAACUAUCUGAUUCAAUAACUGCACAAACGAAAGGUCAAACUAUAUAAUCAACAAAAAGCAAGAAAAACAACUUGGGUAGACUCCUGAAUACAACAUGCAUUGUAUAAGAAGCCAUAUGAAAAGUUUCUAGUAAAUAGGAUAACUCAUACACACAAUUCAAAAUGUGCAUACCCAUCCAAUGAAGAAUGUAACUAAAACACAAAAGACAGUAAAGCUCAUAAACAGUUAAUGAAGUUCAUAGGGAGAGACACUAAUAAACAGUUAGCGAAGGAUCUUUGAAUGCAAAAGGUAAAAUCUUACUUCAGCCUGCCGACCGGCAUGAAGCCUAACACCAGUAGCAUCAUACAUUACCUGAAAUAAAUGCAAAAAGAAAUAACUGAAAAUGAUUGCUCCUUGUUAAACUAUCCAAAGCUCCAAUAAAGAAAGUAGCUACUGCAGCCUCAACAAAACAAAGAACCCAACCAGAGAGCAAGUGAGAGCGAAUAUGAAAAAGGAAAAAAGGGAGCUAUUUGCCGGAGAUAUCAGGACCCUAAGUUAGUUGGUUAAAUGGAAUGGUGUAUGUUUCUAAAUACUAUCAAGUAGAUUCGAUUGAUCCGCCAUCUGAGAUAUAAAACCAUCUCAGUUUCCCACUACAAAACCUUAUUCCGUCUAGAAUAAACACAUUAUGGUUGAUGUUGAAGGGGUUUGGUUGCCCACUGACCUUCCUACUUUAAAUAUUACUGAAGCAUUUUUGAAGCUAUGUAAUACAAAUGUAAAAGAAUGGAGAAAACCUGGUUUAGAAAGUACAUACAACACAUGCCAAAACGACCGCAAUGGCAAAAGCAGAUGUUCCCGCUCCAUCUUGCAAACCUAUUGCUACAGCAAGAGCAGUAACAGUUGCUGAAUGUGAUGACGGCAUUCCACCAGAGCUAAGCAUCCUUCUCGAAUCCCAUUUCCUCUCCUUGAACCUGGAAAUCAAAUGCUUCAAAGUUACAAGCACGAAAUGAAAGUGACAAAAAAAAAAAAAAGGCAAGCUCCAAAAAAGGCACCAACAUGGAAAGCAAAGAACCUUUAACUAAUUUCCGUCUUUACCACUGACAGUCUAACAUUAACACCCCAUCGUCCCAACUGAAAUCAUAGCGUCACUCAUUAGUAGUUCCAUUAUCACUCCAGGGUUCAUUAAAUAAGCAGACACAUUUAAUGACAAAAUUCAUUAUGUCCUUUGUUCCUCCUGAAGGAAGUCAUCAAAGACUCUGCACAGACUUAAGCUUCUCAAAUCACUAAACAAAGGCAACUGAUCUCGGUUCAACUCAAGCUCAAUAUAAUUAGGUAUAAAAUUAACAAUUUACCCUUCAAAAAGUUUUCACAGGGAAAGUGGAAAGUACAGCACCAGCCCUUAAAUAGAAAUACUUUGGGUCAACACGCCACAUAACACCAAUAAACUUGACAAAGCUAAAGAUAUUUCCCUAUUUCAACCGAAGCAACCCUUUAGUCAUUCCAAUUUUAACAGAAAAUCAAGUACACUUCAACAACUACAGUUUCCUAAAACAGCAUUAAUUAACCAAGCUAAAAUUUCAGAGUUAAAGAUAGACAAUCAGAGUAAAGUUAAAAACUUUUUCUCUGUUAUCAUAUGAGACCAGUUAAAUCAACAGCUAAAAGGAAAAAAAAAACAAAUCAAGAAUAUCAGAAUGCAAUACCAAUGGGUAAAGAUCUUGAGAAAUUGGGCAACAAGACAAGCGAGGAAAGCGGAGACAAGGGGGAGAUUGGAGGGAUAAAUGGAGUGUGGAGAUGAGUAUGGGCGUAAGCUGGAGGAUGCAUCAGCUGCCGUCAUUACUUCGUUCAUUUCACCUUUUGGAUCAUAAAAAUGUGGAAGUUGCAGGUUGACUUAGGGCUUAUAAUCUAGAGAAAACUACGUCGUUGAACGUGGAUUCGGAUCCCGGAGGUGGAGACGUGGAGUUUUUUGGGUCUCGCUUUCCAAUUGGAGGAAUUCGGUCAGGGGCGUCGCGGGGGAGGGUGGUGGUGAGGACUCACGCGGGCACCUGCCCGGGCUAAGUAAAUUGUUGGUUCCAACUUCCAGCUUGCGAGGAAGAUGGGAAGAAACCGGUAGCUGGAAUCUUCACCGUCAAGUAUAGAACUACUAUUACAGUAGUAGCAUCCUAAUUUUUUAUUAUUAUAAUUUUUGGAUCCUUGUUCAAUUUGUUUGAUUUAUUUGGAUUAAAUUAAAAAUAAAUAAAUAAAUAAAUGGGUUCUUUAGCCGGGCUGGGCUUUUGAGUCUCCAAUCCUGGACCAAUUCCAGUUGUCUUGGGCUAAUAUUUAAAUUGAGAAAUGAACCCCGUGUGGCCCAAAAGUUUUGCUAACGUUUCUUCUUCUCCCACCCAAGCCAUGAUCCAGUAGCUUACCAUGUCUAUAGGAUAUUCAAAUUGUUAAUUGUUAGCUUUAGGAAUUUGAACCAGUAAAUGUAGCAGCAUUAGCUGACGAGGAGAACAAGCUCAUUUCUCAAAUAUACGAGAAUGACCGGAGCCUUGUCCCCUGGUCUCACUUUGUUGAAGUCAGUUAUAGGUCGGAAAUUAAAGGUACGAGCAGUUGAGUGGUUGGUAAUGUGUACCUAGCAUCUAGCUGGUGAGGAGUAUUUAUAAGGGAAAAUUCAAUUGAUAGAAUUUGACACCUACGACUAAUUAAUUAUUAGAUGAUAGGCAAUGGAGGCGGAGUCAGGCAUAUUUUUAAUCGCUCGGACGGUGGGUGGUUAUAUCAACAUAUCAAUCACUAGUCACCUUUAUCUAUUAGGGUGUUAGAAUUUAUAACCGUGCUCGAGGUAAGAGUGAGGCUGAAUCAAUUUUUUGAGAUGAUUUUUUACCUCGGGAAGGUGAGGACGAGAUACUUGGAGAAACUAAAGGGCCGGGAUAAUCACCUCGGUAUAGAACUGCCCAAGUGGUGUCCACAGUAGUCGAAUACAGAAGUGAAUGGAUGGUUCAUCAAAGAGCUGCCCUCGUUCUUAUUUUUUGGUUUUUGUUUCAGUUCAACAAAGUUCUUGGUAAUUAACUUUGCAAGAUUCUUGGCAAGGGGAUUAUGGAUCUCUACGCCACCGACAGAGCGGAACUAUACCCCCGCCAAAAAAAAAAAAAAGUUAUGUCAAAAAACCGUACGAUAGAAAGUGGAGGUCUUUUAAAAUUGUGACGCAUGGCAAGACUAAAGUGCUGUGUACAGUAAAAUGGGCCAAAGCUGAAAGAAAAAGAGAGACCCAUCCAUUGGCGUUACCCUUCGUGGUUUGCCCGGUGGUAGAAUGAUUGUCAGUGAACGUGAUGUGGAGGUCCCCCCGUACGGUACCAAAGCUGUUGGAGAAAGUCUGUUCACUCCCCAAUACCCUGUGCGACGUUGAGUAGAACAGAACGACAGCCUGCGAAAUUUCCCCUUCUUGUCCUGUGGCCUCGCUCAGACUGACAUGAUGCCUUUUCAACUGCAUCGGAUAACCAUUGUCAUGUUCGUGAAAGACUUUUUUGUCAUUCCAAAUUUUGGGUACUUACUACCUGGUACAACAUUUCUAUUUGAUGCAGCCAACUUAUACCACAUCUAAUUUUCUUAGUACUUUGGGGGGAAAAAAAAUCCAAUUUUGUUUCUCCUUACCUCGACUUUUCUUAGUUCGGUGAUUUUAGUUGGCAUUGGAUUGAAAGAUUCUGAUUGAUUUGAGCAUUUGGAAGUCCAUUUUUUUAAAUGGUAAUUGUAGCAGUUCUUAGCUCUCACUAAAAGGUAAGAACAUGAUAGCAAAAGAUGAGGCCUAAAUGCUAGACACCAUGUUUUGAUCAUGUAACAUGCCUAGCUAGUUUUGAACGUUGUGGUUAAUAGCGCUUCAGUAGCCAUUCUUGAAUUCGGCUUUGUUUGGAUAGCAUUAGCGAUAUGAUAUAUGUGAGAUAAAAAAAUAAUUAAAAAAUAUAUCUACAAAAAAAUGUAACGAUUUUUCUUUAAAAAUCUGCAAUUCAAACACACACCAUUUUAAAUAGACCUUUAAGAAAAUCUACAGCAAACUAGUACUAAAAUUCUUGAACUACAAAUCAGACCAUUCGAAAUGAAGCGGAUAACUUUUUGCCCUAAACAUUCUUCCAUCUCCUUUUGUUUAUAGUUUAUCCUCGGGAAAAGUUGGUCAGGGAGUCAACUCUUCAUCUCCUAGAGUCUUAAUAAUUGUGCUCAUGCAUUCCAAAAUCAAGGAGGGGGGCGGGGGGCGGGGCGGCUAAUCACAUACUCCCUCCGUCCCGUUUUAUUAGUCUUGGUUUUUUUUUCACACAGAUUAAGAAAGUGUAAUUAAUUUGGUUGGAAACAUAAAUUUAGAUUAAUAAUUUCCUAAAAUACCCUUAUGCUAAUCACGAAGAGUGCCAAUUAAUAUCAGUUACAGCUAAUUUAAUGUAGUGGGUUAGUAUUUAAUAACAAUGUAUUAAUAACAAGAUAUUUAAUAAGGGUAUUUUAGACAAUUUGAAAGAUUACUACAUUUCUUAAUGGGAAAGUGGACUACAAUUUGGGACGGACGAAAAAGGAAAACAAUACUAACAAAGUGGGACGGAUGGAGUAUUUUAAUGGAGCCAAUUUUGAAAGAUCACCUAAUCAAUAAAAUGAAGGAAACACGAUGAUGCCAUCAUUUGAUUCCACAUUGGCCCAAUAGUCGAGGUUAAGUUAGCUUGGAGCAGAAGUAGCACAGUAGUACAAUGGAAUAAUCUAAAAUUCUAAAGGAAGAUACGAAUCUCGAUGCUUUCCACAAGUUUUUUUGUCGAUUAUGUUCCUAAAGCGUCUAGAAAUCCAUAGUACGGGACAGCAAGCCGUUGUCCAAUGAGGCUAUUCCAUUUAUUCUAAAAUUUUGCGGUAACAACCCUCCAAAAAAAAUUAUUUGCUGUAACACGUUUUUCUUCUUCUUUUUUUUUUUUGUAUAAAGAAAUCGUCCAAUUAACUGCGGCAUUAAGCAGAAGAGCGUGUUCAUCUGCACAGCUGCUAAAUAGUACUUUGAAUGAAAAAUUUGUCAAAUUAGUCCUUCAUAUUUUUAGAAAAAUUUUUUUUAAUCCCUCACAUUUAAAAUCGGCAUCAAUAAUCCUUUAGAUAUAAAAAAACCUGCCUGAUUGGUCCCAAAAUUCGUUUUAACUCACUUUUUCAACCAAAAAGUACACAUCUUUCUCGCGUGUCCGUAAUUUUAAGGGUAAAAAAGAUGAAAAAACACUUCGUUUCCUCUUUUUAUUUAAAAAAGAAAAAAAAAUGUAGACCACUGAACCCUUUUUCCCCCCUCCCCUCCAUUUUUUAGCUACUAAAAUCCUAGUUGUAAGCCAUCAAACACCCAAUCAAAGAAGAAAAUUUUAGUGUGGUCACCUACAAGUAGUAAAAGAAGAGCAAAAAAGAACAUUUAAGAAACUCACUCAUUGAAGAGUACACUGGAAAUAAAUAAUGAUUGAUGUCAUUGUGAUAAAAAAAACCCAUGAUUGUGAUUUUUUGGAAAACUGCAAAUCCUAGAGAGAGAUUCUGUGGCUACCGAAACUAUGGAAUAAGUCCGAGCAUAUUUUAUUUUAGUUGUUUUAGAAAAAAUUGGUUCUUAAUAUAGAGUGAAAAUAGAUUCCUAAUAUGUGCUGUUAUUACAUUUUAGGUAAAUCGUACAUGUCACUAUUUCAAGUGGUAUAAUCCUCUGAUGUGCAAUAAAUCAAUUUCAAUGAUACCUACCUUGUUAAAGGCCAUCAAUCGGUUGGAAGCUGAGCAAGAAAGAAGAAUUUAAAAAGAAAAAUUACUCUGGGCUACUUUACUUACUUUUGAAUGUGUAUUUUGUUGAUUGUGUUGAAUAAGAAUUUAAUUACAGUCAAAAGAAGAAACAAAACAUAUGGUGUAAAAGCAAUAUGAUCUUUGCACCUUGAUUGUUGGCACCAUCGUCAACAUGAUAUUGAAAAAUGGAAAAAAUUAAAAUCUCCCUUGUUCGAUCGAGGUCUGUAUUUAGGAUUUUGGUGGCUAACAUAUUUUUUAAGAGGAAAUGAAAUGUGUUUUUAUUUUUGUCCUUGAAUUUAUGGGUAAGUGAGAGAAGCGCGCACUUCUUGGCCAGAGAAGUGAGCGAAAACGACUUUUAGGACCAAUCUAGCAGACUUUUUAUAUCUGAGAGACUAUUGUGGUUAAUUUUAAAUAUGAAGGUUUAAAAAAGGUUUUUUUUUUUUAAAAAAUAUAUUAAAGAAAUCGUCCAAUUAACUGCGGCAUUGAGCAGAAGAGCGUGUUCGUCUGCACAGCUGCUAAAUAUUUCUUUGAAAUGCAAAUAGAUCGUUAGCGGUGGGUCCCACAAGCUGGGAAGAUGGAAUGCCCGCUUUAUUACACGACGGGCAACGCUGGCCAUACAAUCAGGCCAGUCGAGUCCACGGCGGAGGAUACUUCGGGGAUCCUUUUCCAAGCCAAGAAAUUUCCGCGUGCACGUAUUUUUUUGUAUUUUUCCCCCAAUCCAUCAUGAAGCCAUGAAUUCAUUUUCUUUUGUUUCUCAGAAAAAAAGUUAAUGAGUUCGUAUAGGCUAUUGCUUAUAGUACGUGCCUUACCUUUUUUCCGUUUCCCUUGCGGUGGUGCGUGUUUCUCACGUAAUCACUGAUCAGCUCUCAAAAUACGAAAUAUGAGCGCCGGUAUCUUGGUACAGAUGCCCGUACAGUUAACUCCAGUGGACCGCUCUCCGCCCGUCCCUCUCCGUGGAAAUGCAAAAGGAGAGGCCCAUCCCCACCAUGGAAGGUUGCAUUCCAUUCCUAUUGCUUGCUCCGCGAUGACAGGCCAACAAACUGAGCAUCAACAUAAAUGAUGACAUUGUUGCAGCAAUUAUUGAUACGGUGAAAUGCUUAUCCUACUUAAAUAAAAGUUGGACGCAUGGACACGUCUUAGGUAGGACCUGUAGAAUUAAGCCGACCCAAAUUUCAGGCAAAAGCGUUGAAAUAGACUCGUUUUAGCUUGUCACUCAAUCGGUACGUCUAUUCGGCAAUUACGUAUGAAACUCAAUAAGUUGAUCCCAUAAUCUAUCUAAGCUUAAUGAUGAAAACCUGACCCCAGCGACGAAUGAAUUAAACUUCAACGGGAGCUUAUCCAACAACCCUAUUUAAUUCGUGUCUAUUCAUAUUCAAAUGGAUAAUUGGUGUAGUGACUAAGAUUGAAUUAGCAGUUUUGAAUUCGAAAUUUUUUUUCCUGCACUUUGCAAAUCUAUUUAUUCCCUAUUGGAAAUUUUUUUUUUUGUAAUAAAAAGGCUAUUCAUUGUUGAAUUUCUACGUUUAGUACUAAAUUUAAUUUUAACCCAGGAUUGAACUUGAGCUCAAGUUCAAACUCGAGAUUUACGCUAGGAGCUCUUCUCUUUUUUAUUUUUCUUUUUAGAGCUCUCCAUGGAGUCCGAGCAAGGUUAAAAGUCAAGUUCAGCUCAAUUGUGUUAAGAGUAAAUCUUUCCUACACUGACGGUGCAUACAUUAUCAGCAUUAGAUUCAUGACACUACGUAAAUGCAUUUAAAUUUUUUUUUGGGGAUUGUAUUCAACUCAAAUCCACAUCCGUUUACAAAAAACGGUUCACGAAAGGAGGCUAAUUUUCUCCCAGAGCGGUCCCAUUUGGAAUGCGGCUUUUCCCCCAAAAAUCUCUCGUAACAUAUUUUUUAACCACAUUUUAUAUGAAAAAGUUUUUAAAAAAAUACCUUUUUAUGUAAAAAAAUUUAUAAAUAUUUUAUUGACAUAUUUUUAACUAUUAUUUUAUCUCAUAUAUAUUUAAAAAAGCUUUUAAAAUAUUAUCUUAACAUAUUUUUAAAUUAAUUUUUUUCUCCACGAACAUCAUCAUGUCGUUAUCGUAAGUCAAUUUGAGUCUCAAAAGCUCCGAUCAAACACUACUGGCUCAUUAUUUUGGAAAUCACUACUCACUUCUCGCCUCUUGCCUCAGCCUCAAUUCGGACAAAUGGAGAGUAUCAAGGGUUCAGCGUUCUUUUUCAGUGGUUGAUAAUCCGAAAACAACACAUGAAUAAGCUUCACUACAAAUUUUAUAUUUAUAUAAAAGUAUCCAAUGAAAUCACGAAAUAUGAAUACUCCAUAAUAAAAUACCGUAGAAGUAAAAAUUUUGUACACCCUUUUUUGACCCCAUACCCGGAUUCCGGUCCCCAUUCAGCAGUGUCAAAGACACGGACAUAGGGACCACUCCCUCCAAUAACCAUACCCACUGCUGCAUCCUUACCCGCCCAACUCUUAUCUUCGGAUAAUGUAAUUACUAUAUAUACACCCGCCUUUCAUUGCCAUCUCCGCCCCCAAAUCACCCAGCAAAAAACCAGCAGCAAAUCUCCUCGUUUUGCAGACCAAACCCUCCCCUUCCUGCCUUGCUUCUACAGCUAGCCAACCGAGCGGGAUAUAGUUUAAUCGAUUGAAUCUCUGCAAUCGCUAUCAACCACCCCCGGAGGCUGGAAACAAAGGUGUGUUAAUGCGAUUUGGCAAUUGCAGGUUUGAUAGGUGCAGGGGUAAGACCCAGGAUUAAACGAGUUGCAGACAUCACGGCUAUACACAGAGCUUUCCGCCCUCUCAUACAUGUCCGAACUGUACGACGCAAGGGUUGUCUAAGCGAGAGCAACAACCCUUCGCCGCACGGCGGACGAGGCGCCUUGCCCUCUGAAGGCGGCAGCCCUUCCGACCUCCUCUUCCUCGCCGGCGGCGGUCAUUAACUUUUUUAUUAGGUCUAAUUUAUAUAGCAGUAUUUUAAAGUUAAAAUUGAUUUUUCGCACUACUAAAAUUAUACUUUCACCGCUCAAGUGUUUAAGUACGCCGAAUUCUGUUACCAACCAAGAAUCUCUGCUUUUGAUUGGUUUCGUUGACUUUUUAAUUGCUGCCCUCUGGGAAAUUUGAAAACUUGUAUGAAAAAUGCUGAGAAUUAAGAGGGUUCCUACUGUCGUUUCCAACUACCAAAAGGAAGAGGCGGAGGAAGGUGCUGCUCGCCAAGGAGGGGGGUGCGGCCGAAAUUGCCUCAUGAACUGUUGCCUUCCAGGUACUUGAUCAAUUGUUGCACCGUGAUUAUUAAAUUUCUUGUUUUAUAUGUCGUGUUUCUGGGGCUGAAGUGUAGUAUUUGGUUCUGUCUGUUGAUUGGACACUAGGCGCAAAGCUGCCUUUGUAUCGUUUUAAGAGGUUGAACGAAGUUGCUAAUGAGAAGGUUGGCCUUAGCCGUGAGAACAAAGAACCUCCGGUUCCUUUCCUGGAAUCUCUCCUGCUCGGGGAGGUAUAUGUCGUAAGAAUGCUAGGGUAUUAAAUUAAACUCUUAUUUUUACAUAUGCGUGCUGAGAGUAGCAAUUUGACUGUAGUGGGAGGGUCGGAUGCAAAGAGGCCUCUUUCGCUAUGAUGUUACUGCCUGUGAAACCAAGGUUUUUGCUUUCUCCCUUUUUACUAUCUAUUAUCUGUUUGGUUUUGAGGCUCUAGGAUGUCUUGCUCGAGAAUCCUAUAUGACAUUGAUGUAAACAACGAAUGUUGGAAUAGGUGAUUCCUGGUGAAUAUGGCUUUAUUGCUCAGCUGAAUGAGGGCAGGCACCUUAAGAAGAGGCCCACUGAGUUUCGAGUUGAUAAGGUUUUGCAGCCCUUUGAUGAGACCAAAUUCAACUUUACUAAAGUUGGGCAGGAAGAGAUCCUCUUUCAGUUUGAGCCGGGCGAUGAAGUCCAGUUCUUGCCAAGUGCACUCAUUGAUACUGAGAACUCACCAAGUGUUGUUGCCAUAAACGUUUGUUACUUUACCUUUCAUGGUCAUUGUAAUUGAUUUUUGUUAGAAUUUCAUCUAUUUUUAGCUGAAUUCGUCCUGGUUAAUUUACAGGUCAGUCCUAUUGAGUAUGGACAUGUGCUGUUAAUCCCUCAAAUUCUCAAUUGCUUGCCUCAGAGCAUUGACCAUGAUAGCUUGUUGCUUGCUCUGUACAUGGCUGCAGAGGCUCGAAGCCCAUACUUCCGAUUGGGUUACAACAGCUUGGGUGCAUUUGCCACCAUCAACCAUCUUCAUUUCCAGGUUCCAAUCUGCCAUCUACAUGGUGUACCGUUAAGCUCUGCUAAUUUGAUUUCAUAGUUGGAAAGUUCUCUAUAACGAAUUCUGGACUAAGUAAUUUGUUUUUCUAAUUAAAGGCCUACUACCUGGCUGUGCCAUUUCCCAUUGAGAAGGCUCCCUCUAAGAAGAUCACCACCACAAAAGGUGGGGUGCAAAUCUCAGAACUUCUGAAAUAUCCAGUCAGGGGUCUUGUGUUUGAGGGUGGAAAUACUCUCAAGGAUUUGUCCAAUGUUGUCGCUGACUCGUGCAUCUGCCUUCAAGAAACUAAUAUCCCUUACAAUGUUCUUAUCUCGGAUUCUGGAAAAAGAAUUUUCCUGUUCCCACAGGUAAGCAUUUCCGGUUAUGUAUUUUCUCAUGGUGACCUUGCACGUUGUGAGUGUUACUUGUACUCCUGCUUACUGGUUUAUUUUGUUUGGCUGUGUAACGUCUGACCUCUUUCUUGUUGGAUGGAAUUGAUAGUGCUAUGCAGAGAAACAAGCUCUUGGAGAAGUAAGCGCUGAGCUACUCGACACACAAGUUAACCCAGCAGUUUGGGAGAUUAGUGGGCAUAUGGUGCUGAAACAGAAGAAAGAUUAUGAGGAGGCAUCUGAGGAAAAUGCUUGGAGGCUCUUAGCUGAGGUAUCCCUUUCUGAAGAGAGGUUCCAAGAAGUGAAGGCUCUGAUCUUUGAAGCCAUUUCUUCUAGCAUUGAGGAAAUCGACAGUGUGAAUCCAAGCGUCCUUGAGAAGCCAGAUGUCACACAUCAGGCUCUUGAGGAUGUUGAUACCCUCAACAAAGGGUCUCAGCGAACAAUGGUGUCUGUGUAAGCAUGCUUGGUUCCCGCUGAGCAUUGGCCGAUACAUUUUAGAUUGGAUAUGGUGUCUGUUGUCAUACUAAUGAAGGUCAUUACAGGAAUUGGCCUUUCCUUGGUUGACAUGCCUUGAAUAAUGCAACUAGGUUUGUGGGAUUGGAUAAUGUAUGUUUACUGCAUAUUAUUGGCUUUGCAAACCUGAGUUCUAUGGUGCGAGUCAUGUAAACAUUUUAGAUUCGAUAUGGUGUCUAUUGUCGUACUAAUGAAGGUCAGAGUAAGUACAGGAUUGGCCUUUCCUCGUGUGACGUGCCUUGAAUAAUGC
RNAcentral lists this long non-coding RNA (469715 nucleotides) under Coffea arabica (coffee). RNAcentral's name for it is "long non-coding RNA (CARA_LNC003912)". The stretch from base 247447 to 247750 matches the Rfam family "Plant signal recognition particle RNA". The record is from RNAcentral. Lineage: Eukaryota; Viridiplantae; Streptophyta; Magnoliopsida; Gentianales; Rubiaceae.